Molecule: long non-coding RNA, 357998 nt
Filed under: Eucalyptus grandis
Lineage: Eukaryota; Viridiplantae; Streptophyta; Magnoliopsida; Myrtales; Myrtaceae
Description: long non-coding RNA (EGRA_LNC004170)
Source: RNAcentral
GUAACCUCUCUUUUUUUAGGGUCAUAUUUCUGCAGAACAACAGCUUUCAUGGCGAAAUCUCACCACAUAUUGGCAACUUGUUUCGGCUACAUGUUCUUGUUCUUAGUAACAACUCAUUUGGUGGGUCAAUACCCUCCAAUCUUUCCCGUUGCUUGAACCUCGAGAUCCUAAAUCUCAUAGAUAAUCAACUUGUGGGAGGAAUUCAUUCUAAUCUUGGUUCUUUAACAAGACUUAAAGGCUUGGGCUUGUCUUCGAACAGUCUUGUAGGUCCUAUUCCUGGUUCGAUUGGAAACCUCUCAUUGCUACAACAGCUCUCCCUGGCAGAAAAUGCGUUAAGCGGAGAAAUACCUGAGGAAUUGUGCAGACUCAAGAGAUUGAUAUUCUUCCAACUAUCUUCCAACAAACUAUCCGGUGACGUUCCAGCAGGGAUUUUAAACAUCUCUGACAUUAUUAUAUUCAUUGUUAGUCACAACCAAUUGUGGGGAAGCUUUCUUAAUGAUGUUGGCACCACUUCUCCUUCUCUCCAUCUACUUGGCGCCAGCGGUAAUUUGUUCACCGGGAUGAUUCCGUCAACGUUAACGAAUGCCACAGGUCUUGAAAACCUUUUCCUUGAGAACAACAAUUUCCAUGGGCCAAUACCCAAAGAUCUGCGUAGGCUAAAGGGCCUUCGCAAUAUUGUAUUCUGAUAACCACUUGCAAGAUGACUUGAGUUUUAUUUCUUCUUUAGUUAAUUGUUCCAACUUAAAAACACUCGGAAUGCAAGGGAACUUGAUUCACGGAUCUUUGCCGAAAUCCUUCUGCAAUCUCUCCACCAGCGUUAAGGGAAUAGAUAUGUCAAACAAUCGGAUCCAAGGAUCUAUUCCUUUAGCCCUCAAAAAUCUUUUCAACUUGUCUGCGUUGGCUUUAUUGAAUAAUUUUAUAAUCGAUCGCAUUCCUGACUCCAUCGGAGCACUUUCCAACUUGCAGGAACUUGGUUUAAGAGGGAACAUGUUGACUGGAGAGAUACCGUCUUCGAUUGGUAACAUUACGUCAUUAAAGCUCCUUGACCUUUCCUCCAACAUUUUCCAAGGCUACAUACCACAAAGUCUCGGUAGCUGCAAGCAACUAAUUGGUCUUGAUCUUUCCAACAAUAACCUAAUUGGCUCAAUUCCUGCUGAAAUCGUGGGUCUUUCUUCCUUGUCGAUCGUCCUUAGUUUAGCAAAUAAUAAUUUAAGUGGAUCUCUUCCAUUGCAAGUUGGAUCUUUGAAGAAUCUUGGCGAAUUAGAUCUGUCUUACAACAGACUGACCGGCUUAAUUCCGGCGUCCAUCAGUGAGUGCUUGGUAUUGGAACGACUUCACUUAGAAGCUAAUUCUUUUCAUGGUCAAAUCCCCGAAGCUUUAUGUCCAUUACGGGGUCUACAAGAGCUGGACCUUUCCAAUAAUAAUUUUUCUGGUCCAAUCCCGAGCUUUCUCGCAGAGCUCUCACAACUCAUGUAUUUGAAUUUGUCCUUCAAUCAACUAGGAGGAGAAGUUCUGGAGGGUGGAGUUUUUCUUAAUGCAAGUUCUGUAUCGAUUUAUGGAAAUACGGAACUCUGUGGAGGUGUUCCCGGUCUGAAGCUUCCUCUUUGCAAAUCACCAAGCUCUAAGAAGGUUUCUUCAACCAAGGCUAGAGUAAUAUAUGUGGUAGCUGGCAGUUUGUUAUGUUUAGCUUUGUUGCUUCUAUGUCUGUCUAUCUCCUACUGCAAAAAGAAGCAGACGACAGCCAAUGCCUCCACUUCAUUAUCUUUUGAGAACCAAUUCUUGAGGAUUUCUUAUGAAGAACUCCUGAGAGCGACUAAUAGAUUCUCUGAAACCAAUUUGAUUGGUAAAGGGAGAUACGGCACGGUUUAUAAGGGGAUUCUUGAUGGCGGUGUCACGGUGGCGACGAAGGUGCUCAAUCUAAUGCAAAGAGGUGCUUCGAGGAGCUUUAUCUCCGAAUGUCAAACUCUAGGAACCAUUAGACACCGAAACCUCGUGAAGAUACUAAGUGUCUACUCGAGUGUGGAUUUUCAUGGAAAUGACUUCAAAGCUCUAAUAUAUGAGUUCAUGGCUAAUGAGAGCUUGGAGGAGUGGCUGCACCCUAGCACUAUAGGACGAGAUGAUGAGCAUGGCGAAUCGAGAAAUGUGAGACUAGUGCAGAGGUUACGCAUUGCCAUUGACAUAGCUACUGCAAUCGAAUAUCUCCACAAGAGUUGUUAUUCAACAAUCGUUCACGGAGAUUUGAAGCCAAGUAAUGUGCUUCUGGACAACAACAUGGUGGCUCGAGUUGGAGAUUUCGGGCUUGCAAAGAUUAUUUCAAUGGUGUCUGCUGAAGCCACGAGAAUUCAGGACCAAGGUAGUUCAACUUCAACUGCAGUCAGAGGAUCCAUUGGUUAUGUGUCUCUUGGUAUGAAUCUAUCAUAUUUUCUUGAUUAGUUUUUCAUUGAACAAACAAGAUCCUUGGUAUUAUGUUAUGCUUCGUAUGCUCUAACACCUCUUUCUCACAACAUUAUUUCCUAUUUUUUUUAAUUAAUAGCUUCAAUUGAAAAAGGAAAUACAUAUGUUUGUGUACGAAAAGAUUUAUAGUAGCAUUUUGUAAUCGUAUUGAAAUUAAGACAAGAAUAAAUCAUCUUAAAUUUGAUCAUUGAAUGGAGAUUUUUUUAUUUUUUUUUAUAAUCAAAACUUGUGAAUUCGUACCAAUAAAUAGAUUAAGCAUAUUGUGUUCUAUCAUGUUUACAUAUUCUUUCUAUAAUUUGUAAUCUAUCUCAUGCCAUGUUGAUGCCGUGAAAAUGGAUUGUGUCUAAUAUUGUCAUAAGGUCACAAUAUGAGAAAUUGAUGAGAACUUGUGAUUCACUUUUGGUAAGCCAUGACUUAAGGUCUUGAUAGUAAGUAAUUGACCCCUCAUGGUGGACCCUUUCCUUUUGACUUGACCUAUAAUUCCAUAUUUCUAAAAUUUGUUUAGAUGACAUGACAUUUAAGUCUGAAUCCGCCCAAGGUCUUAAACCUAUAAAUGCACAAUAAUAUCACACAACAUACACUAAUUCACAGCAUGAUGGACUCCAUCCAACUUUCACUCCCCUAAACUUCUUGUUUAGAGCAUAUUUAGACAAAUUUACGCAUUAAACAAGUAUAAAUCCAUUAGAAAUAACAAAUCACUUAAAGUCUCUUCUGAUAUAGCUAGUAUAAGUACCUAGAGGGGGGUGAAUAGGUAUAUAAAGGAUUUUUCUCAAUAAUUGCACAAUACUAGACAGUUGAUAGAUUUGAGACAAACGAUAAUCAAAGUAAGACUGAGAGAAGAGAAAAUUGAACACGCGAUUUAUAGUGGUUCGGCUUAUGUCAAGCCUACAUCCACUCUUAUGCACUGACAGCCUAUUGGCUAGAUUCCACUAUGAACAAAGAGAUGUUACAGUGUUGUUCUCCCUUGCUUUCACGGUGUAGAUGAUCUACCACACUCGCUCAAGGUAUCACUAAGUAUGAACACUCUUUGUGAGUACAAUUUUGCUCAAAAUGUAUCGACUGAUAAUCAAGGUGCUUCAGACUCUAGAAUUUCUCUAUCGAUCAUACACUAAAGUAACUAGAACGUCUUCCUUUUAUACUCCUUUAUGCCAUCAUACCCGUUGGCACUUACCAAAGGAAUUCCUCCAAUCUACCCGUUGGAUGGAAUCAAUUAAAAAGAUCAUUCGAGCUAUUAAAGGAACCUGACGAUAGCCCAUCAAUCAUGUUCGCCCAUACAAUCAGGAUCUUGAUUUCCAAGAAUAGAACAUUCCAAGAAUAUUUCGUCGAUCAUCGAAUCUUCAAACGAUCUUGAUUACGAAUAAAAGAAUCCGUUAUAUUUAUCCAGCCAAGAGAUCUUCUCCAGAGGAUAGGACUAAAUCAUCAACCAAAUACUUCGGCUCUGGAUUGCCUUCGUCAUUGGAUUAGAAAAACUGUCAAUGAGAAUAGUCUCGAGUCUUUAGUGUUGAGUGUUGAGUCUUGAGUCUGGUGAUCUGAAAGUCUUCAUACUCAAAAUAGAAGAUCUGUACUUAUCCAAACUAGACUGAUAGAAACGUUUUGUCAGCUUCAAAAUAUUCUGGAAAGAUUUCUCCAACAAUCUCCCCCUUUUUGAUGGUGACAAAACUUUCCUGUAGAUUUGAACAACUUUGACCUGCAAAACAUUACUCAAGCAAUAUGGCUAUCUCAUAAAGAUUAAUAAAUCAACCAGACUCUGCAUCCACAAAAAAUCGGUUAGCUUUUCAUGAGUAAGACCAUAUAACAACACUUGAUAUAAAUGCAAACAGUCAAACAUCAAAAUCCACACAAGUCAGUCAAAUUCAAGUUCACACCCAAGUCAUACUCAAAUAUUCAAACACGUCAAAGUUUAAAGAGUUUAAGAGUUCAAAUUGCAAUUCUCCCCCCUUUUGUCAUCAUUAAAAAUGUGAGAGAAGAGUCAAGUCUGCUUGGGAACGCACACAAUCUGGAAAUCUCCCAUCGACUUGACGAUGCCUUCCAGCCUCUUCAAGUCUUCCCGUAGAUGAGCCACCUCUUCUCCUUUGGCAUUGGCUUGAAUUUGAAGAGCGAGGUCUUUCAUUUGAUCUCCCAGGGUAACAGAAGAUGCUUUUCCAGCAUUCUUCAUGACUUGAAGUUCACAUUCCAGAGCAUAGAUUUGACCCUGCAUUUCCAGAAGAACAUCAAGGAUACGAUGAAAAUCUGUGGUAUUGUCCGUUUGUGUGCUCGCAUUUGCUCUUUCGGAUGGAGUGAAGGUAGACGAUGGAACUUCUGUGGAAUCGAGCAGAUUUGGAGUUGACGUAUCAUGUCCUUCCUCAAGCAUUUGAGCAGCCUGAAAGUCUUCUGGAUUUGCUAGUGAGCAACUCACACCUUCACUGAUACCAGUCCUUCCUUGCUCGCCAUCUCCCCCUGUCUCUAAGACCUCAAUUGGGGAAGAGUGAUGGUCAUGCUCAUCUGCGCCUUGAUUUCCUUCCUCUGCAGCUUCAUCUGCAGACUUUUCUUUUUCUGCUUCUCCUUCUGCUUCGGCUUCUUUUUCUUCAUCUUCUUUUUCUUUCUCUUGUUGCUCCUCUGCUUCUCUGUUCUUUGCUUGUCCCUCUUCUUCUCUCUGUUCUUUUUCUUAUGCUUCUUUUCCUUUCUUCUGAUGUUCUAUUGAUUCAGGUACAGAAUGUCUGGUUCUUAUCAAUGCAGAGAUAGUGAAAUCUUCCUCCUCAUCUUCAUCCUCCAAGAUAAGAGUUCUUCUCUUUUUGGAUGGAGCACCCAUGGGCUCCUUCCCUUUUCUCUUUGAUGCAGAAGAUACUGGAGUCUUCACUUUGAACUUCUCCAUUGCCUUACUAAGCUCUUUCAGAUGCAUUUUAGUCAGCAUUUUCAAACCCACCACCAUUUUGUCGCAUGGUCGAACACAAAGAGUAUGCAGAGGUUCAAUGUUCAAGUGUCUGAAGAUCUUGGUCACAAGACCAGAAUAAGGCAAUUGGCCCUUGUCCUUCACCAUUGCUCUGUACAUGCGAAAGAGAAUGGUGUGAGGUAGAGAGAACUUUUUCCCUGAAUUGAUCGCAUACAUUAAUUUUGCCUCGGAAUUAGACACGUCAGUCUUUGAUGUAGACUUUGGCCUGAUGCAGUUGAUCACAAUUUUGUGAAGCAAGAUAUUGAUGCCAUGCAUUCUUGAAUAUGUAACUCUUCCUUCUGUACUCCUGUCUUUGACAAGUUCCACAGUGGUACGAGCGAUUGAAACCUUGAUCGGUUUAUAUCGUCCUCUUUCGACUCCAAUUAUGUCUGCCAACAUGUCCACAUCCACCUCAUAGACUUGGUCUCAAACACUGAAUGAUAUUCUAUUCGCAUCCAAAAAGCUAAGAUUCGAAUAGAAGUAUGCUAUUAAUUGCGCAUAACCGCCUGUGGUAUCGGAGCAGAAUUGCUCAAGUUGAAGCAGAUUUAACUUCUCCCUUAAGUUCACAUUAAUGGCAUCCAAGAAAUCGAAAUCAACACUCCUAGGGUUUAUCACCCCUCGUUUCCACAGUCUGAAGAACAGAUUCUCCUAUUCCUUCGAUUUAAAUAAAUCCAUCCUUUUUGCCUUCACCUUCAUAGCAACACCCAUUCUAGGUUGAAAUUCACUGAACAUUUUAUCAUCAUCGUUCCCGUCAGUCGGAUUCAGUCCCGAUACACGAGGGUCACUUGGAAUAUUCGCAAGUGCUUCCUCAGCCUUUCCUUUGGGAGCAAUUCCCAAAUCCUCCAUUCGUCACAAAAAUAUAUACUCAUUCCCAUAAUUCUUAUCUUUAAGGAAAUCAUCUAUAUAGUUCAGCAGAGUCCAAAUGCUCUUCAACGCACGAUAGAGCUUGUAAAUAAAAGAGGGUUUUUGGACUCUUACAGGGUCUGCGUCCUCGAUUAUUUCUUCCUCCGGUUGAUGACUCACAUCUUGUGGGGUAGAUGAUGAAGAGUGACGUGGUGGAGAGUGAAUUGGGCUCUGUUGCUAACUCGGUAAAUCUUCCUCUUCGGUGAGAUCGAAAUGGGUAGGUCCCUCCUUCAUUCUCUGCGGUCCCCUGUUCGCGAUUCUUGAAGACUUUCUCGAGGAAGACAUCCUUUCUUGUCGAUGAAAGAUUCCUUUACUCGCUUUCCCAAGAAAAGAUGACAACUUUCUCGAAGAUAAACACAAAGUAGAAACAGGAUCGGGAGGAGAAUGCUUUUUAGGGUUUUGAAGAUUGAGCGAGGAAAACUGUAUAUAUAUAUAACUUAGUUUAAAAAGGAAAAACCAAUCGGCACAAAGGAAAAUGAACAGACGCCUCUUUUAAGGUCAAUAACUGCCAAAUAGAAGUUAAUCUUUUUUUGAAAAGACAAGAUUCAGUUUUUCACGGAAAUUAUAAAUUAACUGAACUAAUGAUCGUACCUUUUCGAGAUUGAAUAAAAUAACAGCUUACAGUCUAUAGCCAUGAAUGUCUGAGUCUGAGGGUUGGAGAGUCUCUAGACUUUAACUUCCUCAAGCUUCAAAAUGUUGAGUCUGGAACGAAUGAAAUCGAAUUGAUUUUUCUCCAAAGGCUUUGUGAAUAUAUCCGCUAGUUGAUUUUUUGAAUCAACAAAUUGAAUUGAGAUUUCUCCAUUUUGAACAUGAUCUCUAAUGAAGUGAUGGCGAAUCUCUAUAUGCUUUGCUAUUGAGUGAAGAAUUGGAUUUUUAGUGAGAUUGAUUGCGCUAGUGUUGUCACAUCUAAUCUCUGUGCAUGAGUCUUCAAUUCCAAAGUCUUGUAGCUGUUGUUUUAUCCACAGAAUUUGCGAACAGCAACUUCCAAGUGCUACAUACUCUACUUCUGUUGUUGAAAGAACCACAGUGCUUUGUUUCCUUGAAAACCAAGACACUGUCCUGCUUCCAAGCAACUGGCAAGUUCCCAAAGUGCUUUUUCUAUCAACUCUGCAACCGGCCAGAUCUGCGUCUGAAUAUCCUUGAAGAUUAAAGUCUCCAUUCUUAGGAUACCAAAGACCGAUGCUUGAAGAUGAAGCAACAUAUUUAAUAAUACGUUUCACAGCACUGAGAUGGGAUUCUCUAGGAUCUGAUUGAAACCUAGCACAGAUACAAACACUCAACAAAAUGUCAGGUCUAGAGGCAGUAAGAUAAAGAAGUGAACCAAUGAUACUCCUGUACAGCUUUUGAUCAACUUUCUUCCCUUCUUCAUCUUUGUCUAUCUUCAAAGAACUUGACAUUGGUAUGUCGGUCUUUUUGCACUUUUCCAGUCCAAACAUUUUGACAAGAUCAUUAGCAUAUUUUUCUUGAUAAAUAAAAGUUCCUUCCUUCAAUUGUUUUAUUAGUCUGUCGUACCAAGCUCGAGGUGCUUGCUUUAAACCAUACAAAACCUUUUUCAGUCUGAAAACUGAGUCUGGCUUCUUUGGGUCUUCAAACCCUGGUGGUUGUUCCACAUAAACUUCCUCAUGGAUAAAUCCAUUUAGGAAGGCGCUUUUGACGUCCAUUUGGAAUAACCUGAAAUUUUUAUAAUAAGCAAACGCAAGUAAUAGCCGAAUAACUUCUAACCUUGCUACUGGUGCGUAAGUCUCAUCAUAGUCUAUUCCUUCUUCUUGCGUAUAUCCCUUGGCCACGAGUCUUACUUUGUUUCGUACGACUCUUCCUUUCUCAUUCAUCUUGUUUCUGAACACCCAUUUAGCUCCAAUAACAGUUUUACCUUUUGGUUUUGAUGUCAAUUCCCAGACAUCAUUAAUGUUGAACUGUCUAAGCUCUUCUUACAUAGCUUCAAUCCAGCUUUCAUCAGAUAAAGCUUCUUCUAUGCUCUUUGGUUCAAUUUCAGAAACGAGAGCCACAGCACUAGACUCUUCUCGCCUUUUGGAUCUGGUGCGAAUUCCUUCAUUAAUUUCGCCGAUAAUGAGAUCUUUAGGAUGACUGGACUUAUGCUUCCAGUUACUUGUUGAUUUGUCUAGUAGAUGAUCUCUUUCUUUAUUUGAAUCUUCACGAACAGCUUGAUGCUGGUCUUCCAAAGUCUGAGAUGCUUCUUGAGUUGUAAGCUUUAGAGGGUCUGGAGCAGGUUCAGACUCUUCAUGAUGAGUCUGACUGGAUUCAUCUUGCGUAGAGUCUUGAAAUUUGACAUUCAUUGACUCCUCCACAGACUAGCUCUUCUUGUUAUAGACUCUGUAGGCUUUGCUUGAUGUAGAAUAUCCAAGGAAGAUGCCUUCAUCUGAUCUUUCUUCAAACUUACCAACUCGAUCUUUUGCAUUUUUCAAUAUAAAGCAUUUGCAACCGAAUACAUGAAAGUAUGAAACAAUAGGCUUCUUAUCUUUGAAUAACUCAUAAGGGGUUUUCUCUAGAAUAGGUCUUAAGAAGACUCUAUUGAUGAUAUAGCAUGCUGUUGAAACAGCUUCAGCCCAAAAUCGUGAAGAAAUCUUACUUUCAAUUAAAAGAGUUCUAGCCAUUUCUUGAAGAGAUCUAUUCUUUCUUUCCACAACUCCAUUUUGCUGAGGAGUAUAUGGAGAAGAGAACACAUGCUUAAAGCCAGAUUCAUCACAAAAUUUUGUAAAAUCUUGAUUUUCAAAUUCACCUCCAUGAUCUGUUCUUAUUCUUGAGAUAACACAUCAUUUUUCAUUUUGAACCUUUUUAGCAAAUUUUUCAAAAUACGAGAAGGUUUCAGACUUACUUGCAAGGAAGUAUACCCAAGUAAAACGGGAGUAAUCGUCCACAAUUAGUAGGCAAUAUUUCUUACCUCCAAUGCUCUGGGUUCUGGUUGGUCCGAAGAUAUCCAUAUGCAGCAACUGUAGUACAUGAUUAGUAGAGAUAUGAUUUAUUUGUUUAAAUGAAUUUCUUACCUGCUUUCCCAGAAUACAUGGAGUGCAUGGAUCAGUCUUUUGGUAUGGUAAUUUAGGUAGACUCGAACAAGCUGCUUUGAUGAGAUUUUGGCUAAUUGCUUCAUGNNNNNNNNNNNNNNNNNNNNNNNNNNNNNNNNNNNNNNNNNNNNNNNNNNNNNNNNNNNNNNNNNNNNNNNNNNNNNNNNNNNNNNNNNNNNNNNNNNNNUCUGUGCCAUAAGCUUGCUUCGUCUUGAAUUGAGAUUAGACAUUGCGAUUCAUUUGGUUUCACAUCUAGAAGAUAGAUAUUUCCAUGUCUUUGACCCAUGAAAGACUGAGUAGAGUCUUUACUGAUUCCAGAACAUGUUCCUUCUUGAAAGAAGAUCUUAAAACCAGUAUCACAUAAUUGACUAAUGCUGAGAAGAUUGUAAUUGAGUCCUUCCACUAGGGAAACAUUGCUUAUUGUGAGAUUUCCAAUUUUCACAGUUCCAAAUCCCACAAUACUUCCUUUGUUGUUUUCCCCAAAUAAAACUUUUCCACCAUUUACUUGAACAAGCUUUAUGAAGCAUUUUGAGUCUCCUGUCAUGUGUCUUGAGCAUCCACUGUCAAGAUACCACUUCACCUUUUUCUUGACGGAGACCUGCAUUUAAAAUAAAGUCCCAAGCUUUCUUUGGUACCCAAACUUUCUUGGGUCCUUUGGUGUUAGUAAGAUAAGCAGUAUUAGCCAAUACUUUCUUAACAGGUUUCCAAACUAUAGGACACUCUUUUUCAAAGUGAUCCGGACUGUUGCACUUUGAACAUCUGAGAGCAUUUCGACCUACAGACUUUACAAAAACUUUCUUGAAAUGAUUUUUGUAAGCCUCUCUCGGGGGUCUUUUCUUAAUUUUUUCUUUUACUUUAGGAAAAUCAAUUAAGGGAAUUGUUUCUGCUGUCAUACCUAGACCGGACUUAUUGAAGUAAGGUCUUUGAGCUGAAAGAAUUUUUUUUCAAGUUUUUCGGACCCUAUUGAAAAUUUCUUUGAAAUAUUUGAUAAGUCAGUUUUUAAAAGAGCAUUUUCUUUCAAAAGAUUAUCUUCAUUUUCUUUAAGAGUGGAAACAAUCAAGUCUAGACUUUUAACUCUUUCUUCUAAAACGUUUUCCUUUUGUUUUAGAGCUGAGUUUUCAUUUUUAAGUUCGGAAAUUCUUUUGAGAGAAGUCUUAAGACUAAGACACAGUUCAUCAAUGUAUUUAGAAACUUUGAUAGGAAUUUUAAAAUUACUUGCCUCAAAUUCACUGUCUGAGUCUGAUCCAGAGUCUGAGUCUAAUUGUGCCAUCAGACAUAGGUUGGCAUAUUCAUUAUCACUUUCUUCACACUCUGUAUCACUCCAGGUUUCGACUUUGAGAGCUUUUCAAAAUUUUUCAGCUUUUCCUUUCUUCUUCUUCAAAAGAGGACAGUUGGAUCUGAUGUGUCCCUUCUUUUUACAUUCAAAGCAAACGACAUCUUUGUUUGGUUCCUCAUCAUCAACAGACUUGGUCUACUGUCUUUGGAAGCUUUGUUUUUUUGAGUUGAUCCUUCUUCCUUUUCUAUUCAGUUUUCUGAAUCUUCUUAUCAUGAGAGCAAACUCCUCAUCGUCCAUAUCAUCUUCAGAAUCUGUAUCAUCAGAAUUAUCAUUUGAUUUUAAUGCAAUGGAUUUCUUACCUUUUGGAUCUUCAUCUUCAUUGAUCCGUUCCACUUCAUAAGACUGAAGAGUUCCAAUCAGCUCGUCGACAGAUAGUGGCAUAAUUCUUUGCGUCUCUCUAAUUGAAGUCUUUAUGUGAUUCCAAUCCUUGGAGAGUCCACGCAGUAGCUUGUUUACCUUCAUGGGAUCAGAAAUUGUUUGUCCUUGAUUUUCAAGACCAUUGACAAUAUCUGUAAAACGGCUAAACAUGUCAGUUAUAGAUUCUCCUGGUUUCAUUUUAAAGGCUUCAUAUUGACCGAGGAGAAUGUUAAUUCUGGUUUCCUUCACUCGAUCUGUUCCUUCAUAGGUGAUAUGCAAUCUGUCCCAAACUUCUUUUGCUGUAACACAAGAAGAUAUUCUGUUCUAUUCAGUUGGUGACAAAGCACAAUAUAAAGAGUAAAUUGCUUUUGCAUCGAGUGCUUGUCUCUUGAUUAUCUCUUCCUGAGUCAUUCCGCUAGUCUCAACAGUUUCUUUCCCUCUUUCAGAGAUUGAUGUAGCUGUAGGAGUAAUUCCUUUUUCUACAACGUCCCAUUCUAGAGGAUCCUUUGAUCGUAGGAAAGCUUUCAUCUUGUUCUUUCAGAUGUUGUAAUCCUUUCCAUCAAAGUAGGAUGGUCUGGUAUUGCUUUGCCCUUCCAUCAGCCCUGGUGCUAACAUACUAGCCAUGGAUCUUUUACUCUGAAGCAAAACACUUCAAAUAAAGUGAGUACACGAGCUCUGAUACCAAUUGAUAUAGCUAGUAUAAGUACCUAGAAGGGGGUGAAUAGGUAUAUAAAUGAUUUUUCUCAAUAAUUGCACAAUACUAGACAGUUGAUAGAUUUGAGACAAACGAUAAUCAAAGUAAGACUGAGAGAAGAGAAAAUUGAAUACGCGGUUUAUAGUGGUUUGGCUUAUGUCAAGCCUACGUCCACUCUUAUGCACUGACAGCCUAUUGGCUGGAUUCCACUAUGAACAAAGAGAUGUUACAGUGUUGUUCUCCCUUGUUUUCACAGUGUAGAUGAUCUACCACACUCGUUCAAGGCAUCACUAAGUAUGAACACUCUUUGUGAGUACAAUUUUGCUCAAAAUGUAUCGACUGAUAAUCAAGGUGCUUCAGACUCUGGAAUUUCUCUAUUGAUCAUAUACUAAAGUAACUAGAACGUCUUCCUUUUAUACUCCUUUAUGCCAUCAUACCCGUUGGCACCUACCAAAGGAAUUCCUCCAAUCUACCCGUUGGACGGAAUCAAUUAAGAAGAUCAUUCGAGCUAUUAAAGGAACCUGAUGAUAGCCCAUCAAUCAUGUUCGCCCAUACAAUCAGGAUCUUGGUUUCCAAGAAUAGAACCUUCCAAGAAUAUUUCAUCGAUCAUCGGAUCUUCAAACGAUCUUGAUUACAAAUAAAAGAAUCCGUUAUAUUUAUCCAACCAAGAGAUCUUCUCCAGAGGAUAAGACUAAAUCCUCAACCAAAUACUUCGGCUCUGGAUUGCGUUCGCCGCUGGAUUAGAAAAACUGUCAAUGAGAAUAGUCUCGAGUCUUGAGUGUUGAGUAUUGAGUCUUGAGUCUGGUGAUCUGAAAGUUUUCAGACUCAAAAUAGAAGAUCUGUACUUAUCCAAACUAGACUGAUAGAAACGUUUUGUCAGCUUCAAAAUAUUCUGGAAAGAUUUCUCCAACAUCUUCUUCUUCCCUAGUCUUCUAAGCAUUUUCUUCUAUUAUUUCUUGUAGAAAAGAAAUAGUGUGGUAUAGGCAUCAAACUGAAUCCGGAUCAUGAAAAUGAUGAGCCUCGUGUGCAUUUCAUGUGUGUCCAGUCAAAACCAGCGGUUCAAAUUUACUUAAUACAUGUACUAAGUGCACUAAAUAGUUUUCGCCGAGGCCUUCAUUGCAUAAAUUUUCUUAUUUUUUCUGUUUUCCCCCUCUACCCUAUUAGAGGAAAAAGUCACUCUUGAUGUUUAGGCAAUUUUUUUAAGCCAACAUGUGACAAUUGUGGGUGCACUUAGUAGUUUUGGAGAAAGAAGAGUUCAUAUAUUGUUAACUGGUAUUUGGUGCACUUUUUACAUCCUAAAAUCUCAUUUCUCUACAGUCGAUGCAUUCCAACUUUUGUGACAAUUUUUACCACUUUAGCAUCCGACAAGUGAUAAACAUCGGCCAUCACCAAUAAACUGAACGAAAGUCAAAUAAAGAGAUAUGAAAGAAAAAAACCAGUAGAGGGUUUUAUGACCAUCUACCUUGCUCUGACGGAGGAUCACUUGGCCUCUGCCAUGCAUAGCGAGCCGGACUGUGGAGUGAGGGCUUGCAAGCCAUCACUCUAUGUUGUGCGCAACUGGCGAGAGCCCUCACAACUGUCCUUGGCAAGCUCUUGCAAAUGGACAUCAAGCAAAAUCCCAUGUGACUUAGGAACUUUUUCUAAACAAUUAACUUCAAUAAAAAGUGUAUAUUCGUUUCUAUUAAUGUCUUAAUGAAAUUUUCAGAGUAUGGCAUGGGACACAAGGUUUCCAUACUGGGGAUACAUAUAGUUACGGCAUUCUAUUAUUGGAGAUGUUCAUUGGAAAGAGACCCACUGAGGAGGCCUUUGGGCACAAUCUUAACCUCCACAACUUCGUCCGAAUGGCUCUCUCGGAUCGAGCAAUGGACAUCAUAGACUUAAGGCUUUGGAGUGAAGCUGGCAAUCGACAACAAGAGAUCAAGAUCAGAGAUUGCAUUAUCUCUGUAUUUGAAGUUGGACUCGCAUUUUCGAUGGAAUCACCAUUAGAUCGGAUGGACAUGACCGAGGCUAUAAGGAAAUUACACUUGAUCAAGGUGAGUUCCGAAACCAAAGAGAGGAGGAUAGGUAUGUAGCUAAGUCAGUUUUCUCAUUUCAUCUGGGAACUCUUUCACUAUUAGAGAAAUUUGUCGUGCAAAGGCAAUGCUAGCAAAUUGACAUGAAUGUUUCUCUAACUAGUCUACCUACCCAUACCUAUUGUGUGUGUUUUUUAUGAUGACACCAAUAUCUAUAUUUUAAAAUCAUAGAAAAUGGAUGUAUGGAUUUAUAGUUGUCACGUUCUACCUUUUUUGGAUGGAGAGGAAAAGACAUAAGUUUAAGUAUAUUGCUUAAGAGGCGGGCCUAUAGCCCUUAGUUAGGCAUAGGCUCUCCCAAGCCCAUGCCCUGCCCAACAUUGGGGUGUUUAAUUUUAGUUUCAAUUAAAGCUAUAAGAAUUUUCUAAUGAUGAGUCACCACUUGCCUAUUGGCAUCAGUUAGAAACCAAGUGAGACAUGGGAGUAUACUCUACUUUCUAUGCAACUAGAGAAUUUAGGAGUGAUGACUUGGUUACACUAAUUAAUCAAUCAGUGCCCUCGCGCAGUACAUAAUUUUGUUCAUUUUGUCAGGCAGUUUGGAUUGAUUUUAAACCUAUCCCACUAAUAUAUGAGAUGGUCAUGCGGGUAUACAAUAAUUAAAAUAACAAUUAACAACCAAAGAAGUAUAAAAUAAAUUGCCAAGAAAAGUUAGAAUCUAACUCUAAGUAGGCUAUAAGGAAACCAACUUCAACAUAUCAGAAGUGCACAACCAAUUGGCAAUUGAAAUAGUAAUGCGCAAAUAACGACCAAGCAUUCGUCUUAUAGAACAUUCAAAUCUUGGGCUAAAGGUCUAAGAGGUCAUUCAAUUUUGAGCACAAUUUUUAUCAAAGAUUUCACACAUUUUAAAAAGAAACUACUCAAAAACUGAUUUUUAAACUUUUCCCAAAGAUUUCUGAUUUUUCUAAAUAUUGUAUGAAUUUUUAAAAAAAAUAUAAAUUUAAUAUAAUAUAAUAUACUAAUCCAACCGGGCUUGUCGGCCCGGGUUCACUGUUGGACUCGGCUCAGCUAUUGAGCCCAGUCCGGUGAAACCCAAAACAAAAUAAAUAUAAAAACUAAGCGCAACCCACAAUGAAAUAAACGUAAGUCGAAGCCUCAUUAGACCCACUGAAACCAUAUCAAUGCUCAAGCCCAGCCAUUUGAUCCGAAUUUUUGUUUCUUUUUUUUAUUUUUGAUUUUUUAAGUUUCCUUAUUUUAUUCUUUUAUUUCUUCCCUUCUUCUCCACGUCGUCUUAUUCACGACGACCCCUUCUCGAGCGAUGUCCUUCACCCGAAGCUCCGAAUUUCUUAGACAAGCCUCGAGCCAAAGCUCAAGGUGCCGCCGAGCCACCACCCUUCUUCAGUCGUCUACUCCGACCGCCACUCGUUGGCCGACCUCCCUGCUGCCGGCCGAGGACCACACCACUCGGCCGGAACCAACACAACAGGAAAAACGACAGGGCCAAAGCGAACCAAGCCACGGGUGGCCCCCGAACAACGUCAAGCUCGAAAUCGCAGCAAAACGAUAAGAUUAACAACACGCGAGAACGUCGAUUCAGCCCCGAACCAAGAACACGAAAGCUGAUCUAACUUAAGCAUUUCAUCGAGCAGUUAGAGCGCACUGUCUAAAACGACAGGAAAACGAAGCGGCCGACCUCAAAUCGCGCCAGGACUUAUGACAAUCAACAUACAAGAACACAGAGACGACACAUGGACGACGUGGGCCGGAGCUCGCGUGAGCCGAACGGCCGCGAGCUCCGGUCUGGCAUGCCCAAAAACAGGGCAAAAAUAGGGUCAGGCUUACUGGAAUUUUAGCGCGAGAAAGGAGGCACGGCGGCGUGUCGUCGGCCACGAUUCAGGUGCGUUGGCCGGCGGUCUCUCCCUCCAACUCUCCUCCCUCGCUUGAACUCUCACUCGCUGCUCUCUCUUUCUCGGAUCUCUCUCUUCUCUCCCCCCAAAAAAUCCCCUCUCCUUCUCUCCCUUUUAAGCUCUCUAGCCGGCGUGCAUGGCGUCGUGCCAUGCCAGCUGUCGCUACCGGUCUGCCCCGACCACCAACUCCAGUACGACGCUUGCCCUUGUCUCCUCUGCCUCUGUCGCGUCCACCGUCCUUUCCUCCGGUCUCUGUUCACUGCGGAAGCGUGAAGGAAAAGGGAAAAGGAAGGAGAUGGGGGCCGGGCCAGGAAAUGAGGAGUGGGCCGGCCCAGGUGGAGAGAAGAGAAAAAGGGGCCGAGCAGGCCCAGCCUUGUCCCGGCUCCGCUCUCCCAUUUUUUUUUUUGGAUCAAUAAUUUUAAUUUUAAUUUUUUAAAUAAAUUUUAGUACUGGUAAUGCGAAUGCUCUUAAUACCUAUAUGCUAUGCAAUUUAAUAAAAUUUAUUUUUGCUAAGGGUUAAAAAUUAAUUCCUAAUUUUCCAAUAUAAUUAAUAAAUAAUUAAACAGAUUGCCAAAAUUUAAGUGUCAACAAUAAUCUAUCUAUUUCCACCAAGUAACUAUGUAAAAUUAUGAUGAGUUUGCUUAUUUGUACGGUUCUCUUUAUUUUCAAUGACACUAGGACCGAUGCGUUGUUUAAUUAUCAUGGCUAGGCCAUUGCCCUUGUUUGCCCACCCCCCCAAAAAAAAAAGAAAAUCUUGAUCUUCUCUAUGCUUUUGCGCAUGUGCAGUACAAUACGACCUCACCGUGAGCUUGAGGUCACUGGCUCAAGGCUAACUCUUAACGUUGCACUUAAGUGUGAGCCCACGAUCAAAUCCAAAGAGCACGAAGAGGGAGGCAACCUCAUCGUGAAAUCAUGAGCUCAAGCCCAACUCUCGAUGUCCCGGUCGAGCGAGAGCUCACUAUUCAUUGGAAGCGAAGCUUGAUCGAACUUGGGAGACAUUGCUAACGAAAUUCUAUUGUGGUCAUGUUGCCGACACUAGUAGCCACUAGAGAUAUAGAUUUAACAAACACAUAAAUUAGACAAGAUCAAAAAGGAAACAUCGACACAUAUUUUGUUGCACUCCUCAGUGUGCUGAUCAUACUGUCUAGUAAUACUUGUCGAGUCUUCUCACUCAACCAUCCCUCUCUCUUUCUUCACCAUUAGCCACUGUCUCCGGCCAUUGUGGCCACUUGUCAUCACCGGCGCCUUCUUCACAUCUUGAUUAUUUUGAAGAUAAUUUUCAUUAGAAAAAAUCAUCUUCUAAUUCAGAAUCUUUCUUUCGAAUUUAAAUUACAAAACUUCGAUCACCCCAUUGCCAGAGCCAGUUUACGCAAGGGUUGGCCAUGGCCUCGACAUCCCGAGCCUAUUUUCUCUUUAAGCCAUAGGCGGGGACCGCAAAGUCAUCAUGUUCGACUUUUCAACCGAAUAAUCGACGCAAUUGGUCAUCGUUCUAUAGCUUCUUGAGAUACAUUAUUGUCAAAGAUCCUACACCUCUGAAUCUUCAUUUGCGAGAUGGUUGUCUACAAACAUGGUGUUCCCAUUAUCUUUCCACUCCGAUACCAAUCCACGUAGUGGAAAAACUCGCAAUUUGCUACACGAGCAAGUAACUCGCAAACGCACAGGUGAAGCAUACACGCGUGACACAUAUAGAGAGAAAUUUAUCAUUUUUUUUUCGUAUUAAGUUAAAUUACAAGAGAAACAUAAUCUAUACUCGUAUUAGAAAACCUUAUGAAUUUCUAAGUAUAAAACAUAAUAUAGAUAUACUAAUAAGAAAAUCUAUACUGCUGAAUAUUAAAUAUCUAAAUUAAUAACUACUAAAAGUUGAAACAAAUCACCCAAUAUCCCAACGUAAUUUCUAAAAUAAAAAGAUAAGAAAAUAUGUGUCUCGUCUCAUUAUUAUUGUCAUCGUCCCAUCACAAACUGUUUUCCACGGUUUAAGAAGGGCAAGACAAAAUAGCCGAGGCUAUUGGGCCGACAAGUCAGUUGAAAGACAUUGUGCAAAGCAUAUGUCGACCUAUCAGAAACCUUUUCGAGUUCCACCUUAUCACCUCAAACACAAGAGGCUAUUAUAUCCGCCUACCUGGCAAUAGCUAUUUUCGAAUAAAUGAUGGGGCAUCUACCUACACCUCCCAAGGCCCCCCAACUUUCUAGAUGAAAUCUUUUUCUUCCCCACUUCGGAGGGAAUACUCUCGAGAUUUUACAUUACAUAGUUCAAACGAAACAGUUUAAGGACAUAUCUUAGGAAAAGAGCGUUGACUGAAAAAAAAAAAAAAAGAGUGAGAAAAACGUGACAAAUCAAACCGCGGAAAUUCCUCCGGGGAUGUCGCUCUUCACCAUAUCUCCAUCCUUGUGGAAAACGUUGACUUUUCUGUAUUCCCAGGAGACCCAACUUUCUUGUUUAGACCGUUUCUUCUCUUAAUGAUUAUUUAUAUUUCUAAACCUUUUGAACCCCUGAAUUUAAUUGGCUUGAGCCACGAAUUUACCCUAUCUGUUUAAUAAGAUAGUUAUGUCGUUGGAAUUUGAUAACAGAUUUGAUGUAAAAUGUUGCUUUUGAUCCCCGAUAAUCUUGCAAAUAGACAAACUAGAGGUCUCCUGCCUCCAAUAUUUCGUCUUUUGCGUUAUGUUGGAUACAUUGAGCAAUUGAACCAAUUCAAUUUAUGAACCAAACUGAAUUGGCCUUACUUGAUCGGUUCCGCAUCUAAUCACUUGGAGAUUGGGUAGUUUUUGUUUCCAAACAAUCCCUAGUUCCAAAACACCGGAACCAGAAACCGAACAUAAUAAGAUCUAGAUAUUUUUAUCUAAAUCUAUCUAUCUUGAAGCUAAUCUAAAUUCUAGCAUAAGACCGUUAUGUUUUUUCUUUCCUUUUUUUUCCAUGUAGAGAGGAACCGUCUUUAAUAAGUAAGUUCAGAAUCCAUGAAAUACUAAUCUCAACAAUCGAAUAAGACAUGGGUCAAAACACUAGAUGCAUGAUCUAGAGAUGGAAUUAUUUACGUUGGUAACUUACAAUGUCGGACUAACAUCUGGCUUUGUUGGUAGACAAAAACAAAGAACUAAUGCCUUGUUCUUAACAUGUCUAUUCUAUAGUAGCUAAGCCAAGAUGAGCAAUUGCAUCUAAUCUUUUGUGCAAUGAAUUGUAAUAUUAUUCCCGAAAUUGCGGGUCUUCGUUGGCUGUGCGCCCAUAAAGCAAGCGGUGGAAUAUAUGUUGAGUGAAUUUUGGGGGGCAGAACCGACAAAGACCCACAUUUUCAGGAAUAGUUAUUUCGUACAUAGCAAACACUUGGAAUAUAAAAACUUUUCACAAGUGGCUUUAAUCACCAUGCGAGCAUCAGCUCCUUAGUCAGCUUAUUACCUAUAUGCGCACUCGCACGAUAAUCAAGGCCGCUUUGAUAAACGCCAAUUACCAUCCGAAAUUUAUGACAUCAUUACCCUUAAUGGAUGGUUGUUCCGCUAGUUCACUUUAGCUGGCUAAAUACGAUCAAGCCUCUAAGUCAUACAAAAAAUAUGCAUACCUAUCCUUUUCUUUUUUGAUCUGACCCUUACACAUUUAUCUAUAUCUAUAUAAAUAAAACCAAAACACCAUUUGUCUCAAUUUUAGAUUUUCUAGACUGUCAUUCAAUUUCUUUCUCUCAUACCCUUCUGUUUCAGAAAUAACCAUCCAUUUUUUGUAUCUCUUCACAAUAUUAGAUUUCUUAGUUACCCUUGUUUCUGUUAUUGUAUAUUUACCCAUUUCAUAUAUAACUACUCAAUCUCUUUCCAUGCAUAUUAUCUCAUUAUUUGCUCACGCGUGAUGCAUGCCUAACAUGACAAUAGCGAUGAUAACAUGGAUGAAUGACUAUAUACGUUCAAGCGAAGUGAUUGCAUUUAUUGUAAUUUGAAGAUAUUUUCAAAUGGACAAUAUACAUUCUCAUGGCGAAAUAGAUGAUAGUGUUUCAACGGUGGUGAUACAUUCUUAUAAACAAAACACAUGCAUCCUUAGUCAGUGCCUAAAUCAUAGGUGAGAUGAUCAAGUAGAUCGAGCUUCUCAACCAUCAUAAAGUAAACUUCGAGUCUAUAUCAGCUAUGUCACCAAUAUUUAUAUUCUCUUUUCAAGUUUAUAAAAAGUGUAGGUCUAAUCAUGGAUUUGGCGACCUGCAUGUGCAUCAACAAAACCUACUCAUUUGGGUUUGGGGAAGGCCCCUAGAAGUUCAAACCAAGCCUACUCAACAAUUAGGUCUAAUUGUAAAAUUUUUUCUAAUGUGUGCUAAUAUUAAUUAAUAUUGUAAUUUAUCAUUUUAUGGAAUUGGUAUAAUCACGUAAGAUAUAAGGUUUCUUAAUUACUUUAAUAUGAGACAAGUUAGUGUGGGCUGAGUAAGGCUCGACUUAUGAUGAGAUGACAUGUGGUUUAAAACUCUAUAAAUAGUGUUUAAGUCUCUCUUCUAACCUUGAAGCAUUAAUAUCCUCACAUAAGAAGCGUUUACAAAACAUUAAGGGUGAUAGAUAGUCUCAUUGACCCAGUGAUAUAGAAGGCAAUAGAGGAAAAGAACGGUGAAUUUCAAAUUAGGUACGCAAAUCUCUUUACUUGAUUAUACGUGUUUUUUUAUUUUACUUAUGGAGAUCUUGGGGUGCCAUUUUCACAUAUUAUACUAAAUAAAUGUAAUACUUACAUUUAAACCCCUCUCUCUAUAUAUUAUUAUAUAGAGUUCAUGUGAAUGAGUGGUGUCGCGACCUACCCUCGGGGGGGAGGGAACAAGUUUAGGGGUAUUGCCUAAAAGACGGGCCUAAGGCCCAUGAUUAGGCGCCGCUUCUCCCAAGCCCAUACCCCGCGUGACAUUGGGAUAUUUUCUAGGAAUUUUGCACAAAAGGAGUCGCCACUAGCCUAUUGGGGUUAGCUAGAAACCAAGUGAGGCAUGGGAGCGUGCCUCACUUCCUACGCAACCAGAGAAUUUAGAUUCGGGGACUUGAUUACACUAAUUAACUAAUUAGUGCCCUUUCGAUACCUAAUCUUGUUCAUUUUAACAAAAUAAUUUUUGGCAGGCAGUUUAAAUUGAUUUUAUGCUUAUCCACUAACAUAUAAUGCGAUCAUGCAAGUGCGUAAUCAUUAAAGUAAAAAUCAAGAUCUUAAUUGCAAUAAGUUAACACAUGCCACUAAGCAAUUGCAAACAUAAUUAAACAGGUAAAUUAAAUACGCAAUAUAAUCAAUAUACUUGCAAUUAAAGGCCUAAAUACACUAUAAAUGCAAUACAUGGUCAUUUCUAAUCAGAACCUACCCUUUUGGACUUUCAAAAAAAAAAAUUUAAUUUUUUUUUAAUUUUUUUAAUUUUUUUAAAAAUAUUAUUUUAAUAUUAUAAUAAUAUAAUAUAUUUGAAACGAACUAGGUCGGAUCCCCAGGUUGGGUCCGACCCCGUUCAGUGAACAGGGCCCGAGCCCGGACCGGAUCGGGCCAAGCGGCUCGAAACAAGCAGAAACCAGCCGGACUAGGCCUGAUGUGUAGGCUCAGUCCAGUUUAAUUUUUUUUUAAAACAAAGCCCAUAAGCCCACUACUUAAAACAGCCUAAACCAAGCCCUAACAUUCAGCCCAAAUUACUCAAAACCUUACCCGAUGGGGGUUUCGCCCGACCCGGUCAAGACACGGUUUGCGCCUCCUCUCUCCAGGGCUUCUUUGCGGCGGAGGCACGACGACGCGGUGCUGGAAGUUGGUCACGGCGGCGCGGCAAGGCGGCCGAGGUGCGGUGGCCGGCACGGGUUGCUGGUGUCGAGCAGGGACGGUGCCAAUGGCGGUGGCAUCGCGGCUGGGCAGGGGCGGGCUAUUGCGUUGCGGAGCAGAUGCAGUGGCGACCGGCUCUGGCGUCGCGGGAGGGUGCUCGUGUAGAGGUGCUGCCGCGGAAAUCCGGCAGAGGGGACCGGCAGAAGCUCGGGUGGCGUCAGGGACGGAGGGCGGCGGCAGCUCGAACUGCGUCUGGCGCCGGGCGAAGGUGGCGUGAGCGUUUGAUCGUCACAGUUGCAGCAAGGGGUCGCGGAAGCUCGGGCUGCAGUCGAGUCGGGGCGUAGCGGUGGUGGCGCGGUGCUUGCGAACGAGCAACUCUGCCAUGAGGCGGCCGGCACAGCGAAUGCUUCGAACGACCGCGAGGCGAAGCCGCCUCUCUCUCUCUCUCUCUCUCUCUCUCUCUCUCUCUCUCUCUCUCUCUCUCUCUCUCUCUCUCUCUCUCUCUCUGUUUCUGGGUUGCUCUUCUGUUGAGCUCUCUCUCGAGGCGCGAUGGUCGUCGCAGCUGUGGGUGCUGCAGCGGCGUCAUGGCUUCGAGCUGCUAGUGGUCACUACGGCGUCAGCGACGGAGACGGUUGCAGCAAGUUGCUACUGCGGCGUUAGAUUGCAGGUGGAGGCGGGCGAGCGACGGCACGGGUUGUAGCGAGGUGGCUCGGCUGGCGUCGAGUUGAGGUGGCGAGGAGGGCAGCGGCUCGUACGGCGUCAGGCAGCGCCGCCGCUGCCCUCCUCCCCUCCAUUUCUUCAAAUCUAGAUUCUGGGGAAGACAACAGCGAGCCGCAUCGAUUGGGCAGCUCGUUGGCGACAGUGGUGGCGGUAUAGCUCUCUUUUCUCAAGCUCUCUCUCCCUCUGCCGAGAACUCCCCCAUCCCUUCGUUCUCUCUUUCCUUUUCUUUUUCUUUUUUUUAGAAACUCCCCCCUCUCCAAAACCCUAGCUACUGAGAGAAGAAUACCCUGGGCGCGGGCUGGGCUACACUGGAAAGAAGAGUGGGCCGGCCUUGCACGAGAGAAAGAAAAGGAAUAGGGGGCGGUGGGCCAGUUUGAGGCUGGAUCCAGCCCAAUCCGCCCUCUAAGUAAUUUUUCAUUCAUUUUCUUUCAAUUUUCUAUUUUCUUUUGUUGUUGUUUUGCUCUUUUUUUUUCUUUUUCUCUAAUAAUUUUUUUGUACUUGAAAAUAAAAAUUAGGUGUAAACAGCUGCCCCUCUUUGAAUGUUGUCUCGAAGAGGUUGCAUUUAAAGACAAAAGACACCUAAAUUAUUUAUGUGGUAGCGAGACCCUGAGUGCAUAGGCACACGUUAGGUCGACAGAAAGGAUUUAUAACUAUGAAAGCACGUCUUGUCAAUAAGAUAAAGAAAGACUCCGGGAUACAAAGUUCUCUGGGUCAUAAGAAGUGAUGAAGACUCUAGGAUACAAAGCUCUCCGGGUCAUAAGAAGGGAGGAAGAUUCUAGGAUACAAAGCUCUUCGGGUCAUGAGAAAUGAGGAAGACUCCAGGAUACAAGGCUCUCCGGGUCAUAAGAAGGGAUGAAGACUCCAGGAUACAAAGCUCUCCGGGUCAUAAGAAGUGAUGAAGACUCCAGGAUACAAAGAUCUCCGGGUCAUAAGAAUGGAGGAAAACUCCAGGAUACAAAGCUCUCCGGGUCAUGAGAAAUGAGGAAGACUCCAGGAUACAAGGCUCUCCAGGUCAUGAGAAGUGAUGAAGACUCCAGGAUACAAAGCUCUCCGGGUCAUAAGAAGUGAUGAAGACUCCAGGAUACAAAGCUCUCCGGGUCAUAAGAAAGGAGGAAGACUCCAGGAUACAAAGCUCUCCGAUUCAUGAGAAAUGAGGAAGACUCUAGGAUACAAGGCUCUCCGAGUCAUAAGAAGUGAUGAAGACUCCAGGAUACAAGGCUCUCCGGGUCAUAAGAAGGGAGGAAGACUCCAGGAUACAAAGCUCUCCAGGUCAUGAGAAAUGAGGAAGACUCUAGGAUACAAGGCUCUCCGGGUCAUAAGAAGGGAUGAAGACUCCAGGAUACAAAGCUCUCCGGGUCAUAAGAAGUGAUGAAGACUCUAGGAUACAAAGCUCUCCGGGUCAUAAGAAGUGAUGAAGACUCCAGGAUACAAAACUCUCCGGGUCAUAAGAAGGGAGGAAAACUCCAGGAUACAAAGCUCUCUGGGUCAUGAGAAAUGAGGAAGACUCCAGGAUACAAAGCUCUCCAGGUCAUGAGAAGUGAUGAAGACUCCAGGAUACAAAGCUCUCCAGGUCAUGAGAAGUGAUGAAGACUCCAGGAUACAAAGCUCUCCGGGUCAUAAGAAGUGAUGAAGACUCCAGGAUACAAAGCUCUCCGGUUCAUAAGAAAUGAGAAAGACUCCAAGAUACAAGGCUCUCCGGGUCAUAAGAAAUGAGAAAGACUCCAGGAUACAAAGCUCUCCGGGUCAUGAGAAAUGAGGAAGACUCCAGGAUACAAGGCUCUCCGGGUCAUGAGAAGUGAUGAAGACUCCAGGAUACAAAGCUCUUCGGGUCAUAAGAAGGCAGGAAAACUCCAGGAUACAAGGCUCUCCGGGUCAUGAUAAAUGAGGAAGACUCCAGGAUACAAGGCUCUCCGGAUCAUAAGAAGGGAGGAAACCUCCAGGAUACAAGGCUCUUCAGGUCAUAAGAAGUGAUCAAGACUCCAAGAUACAAAGCUCUCCGGGUCAUAGGAAGGGAGGAAAACUCCAGGAUACAAGGCUCUCCAGGUCAUAAGAAGUGAUGAAGACUCCAGGAUACAAAGCUCUCCGGGUCAUAAGAAAGGAGGAAGACUCGAGGAUACAAAGCUCUUCGGGUCAUGAGAAAUGAGGAAGACUCCAGGAUACAAGGCUUUCCGGGUCAUAAGAAGUGAUGAAGACUCCAGGAUACAAAGCUCUCCGGGUCAUAAGAAGGGAGGAAAUGACUGAGGUCUCAUUGUGUAAAAACGAGUUUUGACCGGGUAUGAUAGUCUCACCAUGUACAAACGGGUUUUGAUUAGGAGGCAAACAAGCGUGGUUUACGGAUGAACCCACCAAUCUUGGAGAUGAUAUGAUUUAAGGUUAACCAUAAGCCUUUGGAGACGACAUGGUUUAAGGCUGACCAUAAACCUUUGGUUUUUAGGGAAGCACCCGCUAACCCCUUAGAAAACUGCAUGGCUUCACCGAUGAAUCUUGUCAAACUCAACUUGAGCAAAUGUCAUUAGAGAUGUCAUCAAGAGACAUAUUGGCAAAUUGCAGCAAUAGUUGAAUAAAAUAAUCAAGCUAAGUCCGACUGCUUUAGAAAAACAUUCGAUGUUCAUCAACCUCAUGUGACGCAAAAUUGUCAUCUUGCUCAUGGAUAUAUCAUUAAUCAUCAAAUUCUCUAGGAGACAAGUUCUUAUCAGAACGGCUAUGACUCGAGAAAAAGGUUCAUUAAGCAUGCCAAACUAGAGCUUCUUAGUUAGAAAGGGUUUCUCGCGCACUCUCAAUGAAAUGGCUACUUGAUCCCAUCCAUUCAUGUGGGAGAUAAUUGGUUGUUGAAGGUAUCUCACAUAACCUACGUCGAAGGCUUCCGGAAACAUUCGCAAUGAGCACAAUCUGAUCGAUCAAAAAUGUCUUUUGAAAGGACGGCAAUAUAGGCUCAGUUAGGGCUUACACAAAGAAAUUAUUGCUUAAAGCAAUGGAUAUCAGUGUUUGGGUAGAGAAGGAAAUGCUCUUCUUCACUUUGGGAUAAGUUGAGAUCUAAUGAGAAUUCAUUUGAGGCUAUCAACAGAAGAUUGAUGCAAGUGAAAGUAAUAGAAUCUUUCUCAACCUUUCGCUUUACAACACGACCGUAACCUCCUAUGUUGCCCCAAUAUAGGGUCGUCCUCAACAGGGGUACUUUGAAUGAUCAUCUUUAUUCUGCCCAAAGGGGUAGGAAGAGAUUAGUGCAAUGCUUGGGAUUGAUGAAGGAAACACCUUUAUCAUUUUGAUCUUUGCGCUCAAUGCGAAUGAAUCAAUCGUUCUAAGAGAAUGUCGUUUUUCACUAAACUCUCAAAAGUGUUUGAAGGACGUGUUUGGAAAUGGGCUUGUCUUUCUUCAUCCUAAGCACUUCUUGUUUGGCAUGGUUAAUGUCUCAAUCUCACUCUGUCAAGAUCAUCUGAGUAGAUCAAUCUCCAUAAGGAAAUUUGAUUUUAAAUGAAUAACCCAAAACCAAAAAAAAAAAAUUUGAAAUAAAAAUGAUGCUCAAAAAGUUUGAAGAAAUUUUUUGUUUUCAAUUUUUCAUUUUUGUGCUUAUUUCUAGGAAAGCGCCAAAGGAUCUUUUUGUAAUGGAAAUUCUCUUUCUUUUUUCUUUACCUUUUUUUUUUACUAAAAAAAAAUUGAGAAGAAUGGCACUUACCUGUUGUGUGGUGACCCGGUAAACCUGUAAAGAAUAUGAAAGAAUAUGUUAGUGUAAAAAUUUUUAGGGAAUGAAAUGUUGGAAACGAUACAUUAUUACCCUUCAUUUGCUUUCAUCUUUUGGGCACUAACAUCUCUUGGAUUCACAUUCGUGGAUAUUUGAUAACUUGACAAUACCAUUCCCUUGCAUCCGCCUUUAAGUGCUUGAUGUCUUCCUGAUUCCUUGGUGGAAGGCGCUGCUUCUAUGGUCAAGGUGCAACUUUUUUUAUAUAUCACCCUGUAAGAAGAGAUGAAACAAGUUAUCUCCAUUCUUAGUUAGGUUCAAAUGAGGAACGAUACAUCCUUUCUGAUGAAUUUGGCAACGUUGUUCCAGCACACUUCAUUGAUGGAUGAAUGAGAGAUUUUUCUUUAAAUCAAACGUUGUUCUCCCACUCUUUAUAUGACAAACCUGUGUUCCGUUCGAGUCUGUCCUAUACCAAAGAAAAUGAUAUGUCAUUUUUUAUACUAAAGAGAAAUCAAGUUUAGGAACAAGUUAUAUCCUUUACAAAGUCAAGUGAUCAACAUCCCAAUGUAUCUCUCAUGGAGGAAGGAAUAAUAUUGCACCUCCGUUUCAUUUGAAUCCUUCUUUGUUUAAGAUGAACAGGACUUAAUAAUGCUCCAUCGCAUUUGUUGAAACAUUACAAAACUUGGUACUCUUUAUGUCUCCUUGACAAUGAAAAGAAAAUCAAGUCAGAAACGGUAUCAGAAAUGAAUAAUUGAAAUCGAUACAGUUUACUCUUCCUUUGAAUUUGUCCUUUUGGAUAUUUGACAACUCCUUUCAUUUGUCUCAUCAUGUAAAGUGAACGAGAUCAAUGUGUUGUUUUGGCAUCUAAGGCAUUUGCGAAUAACAAAACUUCUCAGAAUGGAAUUCAACUUCGUUCCACCUCUAUGGAAAAUUGGUGCCGAUGAAACCUUAACGCAUGCUUGCUCUUCGAGUUCGAUGAGCCCAAGAAAACGCCUACGUGAAGAGAGGGCAUUAAUCAACGUUUUCUUGAAAUUCAUUUUGGAAGGUAAACAUAUAGGUUCACUUAAAACACUUCUGAUUUUUUGAUUUUUUUUUUUUUGCUUUUUUUUGUUUUUUUUUUUGUUUUUUAAAUAAUGAUGAUGAUUUGCAUGAAACUGAAUUCCAUCAUUAAAAAUGAGUCGCAUGAUUUACAAAGGCAUUAAUUGGAUUGACAAUCAAAACUCAAAACGGAAAACACGACUCUUAACAAGAGUAAAGACAAUAAUAAAAUACGAAAAACUCUUGCUCAAAUGAAAGUAAAAAUCAACUCUUGUCCUAGUUCUUGAUUCACUUCUCUAUGUGGUCAAACACGAGAAUGUCAUGGAGCAUUACACACAACCUGCAAAAAGAUGACAAUGUCAGUACAUGAAUGAGAGAAAAUGAUAUCUUAAUGAGGUUGCUUUUUACAAUAAAAUCGAGGCGACGAUACAUGCCCCACAAUCCUUAUUAUGGGAUUUUAGUAUUUCUCCAAGAUUUUAUCAUAAGGGAAGACAUCAUUAAAAUUAUCAAUACAUGGCCGUCAAUCGAAUACCCACUUUGAUUCCAAAAGUUUCGUAUGCAAAAGUGUCAUUGAUUUUUGAAAGAUUGAUUUGUGAUUUUACUCUUAGAAAAAUGAAGUGAUUUUUAUUUUAAGGAAUUUGUACACAAAAUGAUUUGCAUUAUAGUCUCAAAAUGUGAGAAUGAGAAAGUAUGAUAAAACAUGCAAUUUCAAUUUUUGUGCACCAAUAUAAAAUCACAAAUUGAAAUUUUUUUCCUUCCUUUUUUUUUUCGAAAUGAUUUUUGAGCCCAUAACUAGAAAUUUAAACAAAACCAUGUGUUCAAUAGAGCCAAAUCAAAAUGUUUAGAACUUGCAUUCAAAUGCUCACUUGUCAAAAGUGAUUGCCAAUUUUUCAAUCAUAAGCUUGCAUCACCGAGGGCAUCCGAUUGAUUUCCGCGAAUUUCAAGAUGAAAAUGCAAUACAAAAUGAACAAAUAAAAAUGGAAAUGAUACUUACAAUGGGUGCCAACCUUUGUCUCAUGCUUUUUUUUUUAUUAAAAUUACAUAGACAUGCACAUGGAAUGUGGUUCGAUUUCUAUUCUAUACGGCUCAAAAUAAAGCCACAAUAUCACAGGACUGAACCAACAAGCUUGUGGCUAGGUCGUGUUACCCAUGAUUCCGGCUUUGUCAAAGGAUUGACCCCAUGUCGCAUGCUCGCAGACUAGGGUGGGGACCUCUGACAUCAAGAAAGAAAUUUCGGGGUUAAGUGGGCGACUCGUACUACGUGCUUGUAGUCGGAGUGGUAUCCACCUCAACACCAUCCUAAAUGAUCCUAUGCAGCUUAGGUCCGGCGGCAGGUAGUGUGUGCUAUAGUGUAGUGCAAUACAGGGAACUCAUGCAUGACAAUUUAAAAACAAUCAGCACUUCAAACAUAAAUAAACCAUUCACUCUUGCACCCCCUACAAAACAAAGGUUAGAAAUCACCACCCCUUAUAACUCCCAUAAACAAUCAACAUUCGACAUGUUAAGGAUGCACAUAAUAUCUUCGCUGCUAAACAAAAAUAUUUUUGAACAAGAUUAAUUUUGGCCUAAGUCAUCUAAGGUCUAAAACCAUGUCCCCAGCGGAGUCGCCAAGCUGUCGCGACCUAACCUCGGGGGGGGGGGGGGGGGAAGGGAACAGGUUUAGGGGUAUUUCCUAAAAGACGGGCCUAAGGCCCAUGAUUAGGCGCCGCUUCUCCCAAGCCCAUACCCGCGUGACAUUGGGAUAUUUUCUCGGAAUUUUGCACAAAAGGAGUCGCCACUAGCCUAUUGGGGUCAGCUAGAAACCAAGUGAGGCAUGGAGCGUGUCUCACUUCCUACGCAACUAGAGAAUUUAGAUUCGGAGACUUGAUUACACUAAUUAACCAAUUAGUGCCCUUUCGAUACCUAAUCUUGUUCAUUUUAACAAAAUAAUUUUUGGCAGGCAGUUUAAAUUGAUUUUAUGCUUAUCCACUAAUAUAUAAUGUGAUCAUGCGGGUGCGUAAUCAUUAAAGUAACAAUCAAGAUCUUAAUUGCAGUAAGUUAACACAUGCCACUAAGCAAUUGCAAACAUAAUUAAACAGGUAAAUUAAAUACGCAAUAUAAUCAAUAUACUUGCAAUUAAGGCCUAAAUACACUAUAAAUGCAAUACAUGGUCAUUUCUAAUCAGAACCUACACUUUUGGAUUUUCGAAAUUUUUUAAUUUUUUUUAAUUUUUUAAAUAUUUUUAUUUUAAAAAAAUAUUAUAAUAUUAUAAUAAUAUAAUAUAUUUGAAAUGAACCGGGUCGGAUCCCCGGGUUGGGUCCGACCCCGUUCGGUGAACAGGGCCCGAGCCCGAAUCGGAUUGGGCCAGGCGGCCCGAAAAAAGCAGAAACCAGCCGGACUGGGCCUGAUGUGUAGGCCCAGUCUGGUUAAUUUUUUUUAAAACAAAGCCCAUAAGCCCACUACUUAAAAUAGCCUAAACCAAGCCCUAACAUUCAGCCCAAAUUACUCAACACCCUACCCGAUGGGGGUUUCACCCGACCUAGUCAAGACCCAGUUUGUGCCUCCUCUCUCCAAGGCUUCUUCGCGGCGGAGGCACGACGACGUGGUGCCAGAAUUUGGUCAUGGCGGCGCGGCAGGGCGGUCGAGGUGCGGUGGCUGGCACGGGUUGCUGGUGUCGAGCAGAGACGGUGGCAGCUGCGGUGGGGUCGCGGUUGGGCAGGGGCAGGCUGUUGCGUUGCGGAGCAGACGCAGUGGCGAUCGGCUCUGGCGUCACGGGAGGGUGCUCGUGCAGAGGUGCUUCCGUGGCAAUCCGGUAGAGGUGAGCGGUGGAAGCUCAAGUGGCGUCGGCGGCGGCAGCGGUGGUGGCGCGGUGCUUGCGGACGAGCGGCUCUACCGCGAGGCGGCUGGCACGGCGAAUGCUUCGAACGACUACGGGGCGGAGCCGCCUCUCUCUCUCUCUCUCUCUCUCUCUCUCUCUCUCUCUGUUUCUGGGUUGCUCUUUUGUUGAGCUCUCUCUCGAGCGUGAUGGUCAUCGCGGCUGUGGGUGCUGCAGCGGCAUCACGGCUUCGAGCUGCUGGUGGUCACUGUGGCGUCAGUGACGGAGCCGGUUGCAGCAGGUUGCUGCGGCGGCGUUGGAUUGCAGGUGGAGGCGGGCGAGCGACAGCACGGGCUGUAGCAAGUAGCAAGGUGGCUCGGCUGGUGUUGGGUUGAGGCGGCAAGGAGGGCAACGGCUCGAACGUCGUCAGGCAGCGCCGCCACUACCCUCCUCCCCUCCAUUUCUUUAGAUCUGGAUUCUGGGGAAGACAGCGGCGAACGGAAUCGAUUGGGCAACUCGUUGGCGACAGUGGUGGCGGUAUAGCUCUCUUUUCUCGAGCUCUCUCUCCCUCUACCGAGAACUCCCCCCGCCCCUCCCUCUAUUCUCUCUUUCCUUUUAUUUUUCUUUUUUUUUAGAAACUCCCCCCCUCUCCAAAACCCUAGCUAUUGAGAGAAGAAGAACCUGGGUGUGGGCUGGGCUAAACUGGAAAGAAGAGUGGGCCGGCCUUGCGCGAGAGAAAGAAAAGGAAUAGGGGGCGGUGGGCCGGUUUGAGGCUGGAUCCGGCCCGAUCCGCCCUCUAAGUAAUUUUUCAUUCAUUUUUUUUCUAUUUUCUAUUUUCUUUUUCUUUUUCUUUUGUUGUUAUUUUGCUCUUUUCUUUUCUUUUUCUCUAAUAAUUUUUUUGUACUUGAAAGCAAAAAUUAGGUGUCAACAAGUGGUUUGCAGUAUUGCCAUCUCUAAGAGAGGAUGGGACCCUAAUUGACAUGGGGAUUGGGAGUAGACCCCCUUUAUCCCCUCCAUCCUAGGACGAGGAGCUACUCAACUAGACAAUAAUGUUAGGACUAUUACAAUUGCAUGAACAUUUUCUUAAUUAAACGAUGCAAUAACACAUUUGGAGAUAAAUCAAUGGAAAAUUAAAGCGGGAGGACCCAAAAUAAGGUUAUAUGCUUCGUUCAAUCCGCCAAUGGAAACUGUAUGAAUCCGUUGAUAAAGUGGAUUUAAUGCAUAUUUUUAGUACACUUAGCAUUUCUCUAGCCUCAAUAACUAUGCACCACAAUUUCAAUUACCGACUAUUGCUAUGUCAAAGCAUAUAAUAUCUUCGGAAGUUAUCAAAAUUUCUAAUGAUAACCCAAAAUAUUCAUCACCCUCGCAUAUUCAAUAUUUUCCAAACUCGCUCACAUGCAAACAUGAGUUGGAAAAGUCAAGAAUGCAUCAGCUUGACUAGUUGAGCCUGAUGUUUCGGCUUUUAUUGCGUGACUCAUGAUAGACUUGGACUUGAAACCAAUUUCGAAGGCCAAUAGAAAACAAUCAAGAGUAGGGAUUUACCCAAGAGACAACAUAUGUAAAAAAAAAUUGUGUGGAAAGAGAGAAAAUAAUUACAUGAAGGCAAUACUCGUUCAUCAAUCAAUUUGGCCGACAACUCUAGUCAUCGCAGCCUAUUUUUGAACAUUUGACUUUUCCAUGCACAGAUUACUCCACAUGAUCACCCUAUAAAUACCCUUUUAGCUUUUGCUUUUCUCUUCAUCAAUCAACUGAGAUCCUUCCUUCGCCAAUUUUCUUUUGGUCUCUCACAAUAUGAGUUCCCGUAUGACAAUCCCUCUGCGUCUUAUUUUUCUCGUCGCGUUAACCCUAGCAUUGAUCCCUCUGUCCAUCGCCCAAGACUCGCCCCAAGACUAUGUCGCCGCCCACAAUGCGGCUCGCUCUCAGGUUGGUGUGGGCCCGAUGGCGUGGGACGAAAGCGUCGCUGGCUAUGCCAGGGAUUACGCCAACAAGCAUGCCAGCGACUGCACGCAACUCAUUCAUUCAGGCGGACCCUAUGGGGAGAACCUUGCGUGGGCUUCCCCCGAUCUUACUGGCACAGGAGCGGUGAACAUGUGGGUCGGAGAAAAGCCUGACUACGACUACAAUUCCAAUUCAUGCGCACCAGGUAAGGUCUGUGGGCAUUACACUCAAGUGGUGUGGCGCAACUCUGUUCGGCUUGGAUGCGCAAAGGCUCAAUGCGCGACGGGCGGUACUUUGGUCACUUAUAACUACGAUCCUCCUGGGAAUGUUGAUGGCCAGAAGCCUUAUUAAAUUAUGAAAAAUUAUAUGUGGAAUGAUGAACUAUUAUGUCAAAAUAAUGCCUCCUUAGGAUGAGGCAAGAGCUUUUAAACAACAUCAUAUGAAUGAUGAAGGUAAAUCUCUUUACUAAAGAGAAAGUUAACCUCUUAGUAAUUAUAUUUUUCUUUUUUUCUUUUGCAAUUUCUAUUUUUCAAGUGAAGGAAUUUCGAUCAUUGAUCUAACCUCCUCAGCUCCAUGCUCUCGAGCACAUCACUAUCCCUUUGAGGCCUCAUUACACUGUGAAAGAGAAGCUAAGCAUGAUCUCUAUUACGCAUUUCACCCUUCAGUUCAUUGUAUUUGCCGUUCUAUUGAUUGUAUGUAGUACAUAGCAAUGGCUGUCUUGACCAUAUAAGGAUACUUUCUAGUCAAUAAGCUAAUCAUUCAUAGCAAAGAACAUUAAGAUAUGGACCAAUAUUAUUUAAUAAUAUGGACUUGGUGGUACAUUCGUCGAUGAAUUUUAUGUAUUGAUGAAUUGAACUCCUUUAGUUGACCAAGUAUAUAUUUCAAUCCGUAUCGCAGCCUUGUACUCUAGAAAGGUCAUAGACUCGUCACAGUUGGAAAAUUCGUCCCCGAGGAUUUUAUGUACUUAGAUAUAACCAUCUAAGAUAAAUUUUCAUGCUGUAUCAAAUUAUGAUGUUUAAAAAAUUAAGACACAAGAACACGCCAAAAUUUGCGGUCAAUGAAAUCUGAUUUAUAAGUUUUACACUUGUGCAGUCAAUUGUUGGAAUCGAUAUUAGGUUGUUGUAUAUGACUAAGUGGAUAAAAUGAUUAACCUAUAAUUUGGGAAAGUAUUGCGAAAGCUGUAGAAAUCUUGACUAUUGGGAUGGCAUAAUACAAGUCUGAAACUUUCACCUGAAGAAUAGAAAGACAAAAAAAGAAAGAAUUCAAGUCCGAACCCAUUAACAAAUACUGGUGGAUGGUGACAACUUUUAUUCGUUUCAUUGGAAAGCAUGGUUCUUACAUUCAUCAGCAGAACUGCAUGCAUGUUAAAAAAUUAAUAAUCAUCUUUGUCUAUCGUAUUUUAACAUUAUAUUCAAUCUGCUUCAAUGGAAUUUUUUGAUGUAAAAUAAUUGAUAAAUUUUUUGAUUUAAAUUACGAGAGAACAUAAUUUAUAUUUAUGUCUAAAAAACCCUAAUGAAAUUCCAAGUUUAAGACAGGAUAUAGAUAAACUAAUAAGAAACUACUAAAUAUUAUAUAUCUAAGUGGAUAACUACUAAAAAAUUGAAACAAAUCCCCCAAUAUCCUAACGUAGUUAUUAAAAUAAAAAGACAAGGAAAUGAAGUCUACCACUGGCUACCUCUAUGACGACCAUCAUGUCCCUCCCUCCAAUUGACAACCUCUUACAACCUCAACCCAGGCUGAUACCAUAGAUCGAGCAAGAACUACCUCUUCCUCCCGCCAUGCAUGUAAUAACCUUCCUUUUUUAGAAGACAGAAUCGACCACUUUCUAAAUUAACCCUCUCAAUCAAUGAGACAACUUAUUACUAGUUAUCUUUUUAUAUGCCUACCAGGGUUGUCCGCUAGGCGAGACUUUGGACAAAGCUCAAGUUAUUAGAUCAUUAUUCAUACGAUGCCCUAACUUUUAGAUGUGCUAAUUUUAUAUGCAAAACGUUUGAUAUGGACCAAAAAUAUUAAUGCAAAACAUUUGAAUGUUUCAUAUGUACACAUCUAACUGCCUCACGUGUUAUUCAAGCAGUGGUUGCUUGAUAAUCACCAUCAUCGAUGUACGUAAUUAGGUCCAAUCUCUCAGGAUGGUUGAAUAAAGCAUGGACUUCAUGUUAAACAUUUGUGACCAAAUAUUUUGGUUACGUUAGGUUUGUGUUGAGAAAACUCCUAUCUGGUUUUGAUAUUGACAAAACUUUCCUAUUCUUGUUCUUAUUCUGAAGAAGACUAGACUUCUGUGUUAUAUCGUGAAAUGUUAUCAAAGUCUAUUUUACUCUAGAAGUCUUUCCCACUCUGACGAGAUCCAAAUUGAAACCAAGUCCAGAAUGAAGAUAUAAUUAGAUUCAGGAUUAUUGAUCUUUCGAUAAUGAUUCGGUACAUACGAGAUUUAUCCUUAAUAUCUGGCUUUAUGGCAAAGAAUCUCACUUACCUUUUAUAAAUAUAUUGAUGGAAUCAAUCACGAAUUGAUGAAAUCAAUCUCGAAGAUAAGUUUCUUUUUGGGAAGCAUCUAUUUAUGGAAAUCUAGAUUUUGAUUGUUUGAGCGACCAAAAUCAUCGGAUUUUCAUUUCAAUCUUCAAAUGGCUACAAGAUUUCCUUAAUUGAUUAUGUUCAACGGAUUGAUUGAAAGAAAUUCCUCUAGAGAAUGAUAACGGUUAGAAAGGCAUAGAGAAGUAUUUAAGGAGGUCAUUCAGUCCAUUUGGGGUAGAGCGUGAAAAUUGAAAUUCCAAAGUUUGAGCCAUUUCCAAUCACUUGUUCUUUAUCGACAGUGCUUACAAAUUGUGUUCAAGAAAGAAAAACACAAGAGGAGUGACUUAGUGAGAGAAAAAGAAAUCCUUUACUAAGUGUUCGUACUCAAAUCGUUGUAUUUCUCUAUUGAUACCUUAGUGAAUUCCAGCCAGAAAGCUGUUACCGUGUAAGAGUGGACGUAGGCUUGAUUUAAGCCGAACCAUUAUAAAUCUCGUAUUCAAUUUCUCUUCCCUUAACUCUUUUGAUUUGUUUAUCGCAAUCUUUUUCUUAAUUCCACGAAUUUCUAAACCAUCUUAAUUGAGUCUAAACUUACUUCAGAAGUGUCACUUUUAGUUGGACUUUACUUGCAAAAUAACUUAUUAUGCAUUUAUUUGUUUAAUUUGUUUUUACAUCUAUUCACCCCCCUCUAGGUAGUUAUAUUAGCAUUUUCAAGUUGCACUUUGUAUUCUCUGGGCCUCACACAAUGGGAACACGGGUGAAAAUCUAGAGUUUUCGAUACUCGGUCAUCAAAUUUGAAAAUAGCCGCAAAAAAAAAAAAAUGAGACCGUUAUAAUGCAUUGUAAAAUUACAAAUAUAGGGAGGAAAAACCAAUACUUUGCAUAGUUAUCUUAAAUUUCAGGUGUAAAGUUCAUGGUUUUUAAAUACUCAUGAGUCAUGAAAAAAACGUACAUAGAUUAAAGGAGAAUUUAUAAAAUCUUUUCAAACUAAGGGGAUAGAGGGGGAUGUAUUUGUCCCCCAACUAUCAAUCGGUUUAUGUUAUCUCAAGUUCUUACAUCAGUGGUUAAUGGAAAAUCAGAUAAAGUUCUAAGGACAUAACAAAGUGAAAGUUUAGGGUCGACGUUUCAAAGUUCAUAACAAAAUGCAUGUCACUUCCAAAGUUUAAAGGGUUGAGAUAAUUUUUCCUUAAUUAAAAACAGAGAUAAAGGAUGUAAAGCAGAUAAUGAAAUUGUAAGGGGAAAAACUAUAAAAUGAACAUGGCAUCGAUACUAAAUUGAGCCAUAUUAUUGAAAAUGGUCGGUUCCAUGUUUGUAGGACUCAUCAAAUUUGAUGAUUUAACCAUUGUGUGAUUUCGUAGAGUCUAUCAUGUGCGCGCAGAUGUCAAAAUGAAUUGACAUAAUAGGGACCGUACUGAAGAAACUCCGGAACGAAACCCUGAUCCACACGUUGAAGUUGUCCUCCUUGCCAAGCUUACUGCAUGAGCCUUCUCUCUCUUGGGCGUGUGGCUUCCUUUAGAAGCUGAGGACCGACUUUCCUGUCCACACGCAGUACGUCGGCGGAUCCCAGGGCUUUGCGAUUCGGACAGCCAGUGUCCUAAUUUCUCGCUCUCUGCAACUGCUUCCUCGGAAGCGACAAGCUCGUAACUCACAAUUCUUUGUCUCGGUCGUGCGAGUUUUCUUCCUUUACAGAGAAGAAGACGCGUUGCAUACGUUCUCAAAACUUGAUUACCUAUGGUUUCACCUAUGAAGUAAUUAUUUUAGAUUGAGCUUCAUGAGAGUAAUUUAUCAGAUCUUUUUGUGGUGGGAAAACAACCAAGCUAGGGUUUAAUUUUUCGAUUGAGCAUAUGAACGUAAGAAAAGGCAAAAAGUACAUAAAAAGUCCUAAACUUAUGACAUUAAUACUAAUUCAGUCAUAAACCUUUUAAUUUGAUCAAUUUAGUUCUAAAUGUUUCCACAUUUGUACAAAUUCAACUCUUUUGGCCAAUUUUGAUUGGCCUAUGCUACAGUGGAUGUCAGCCGGUGUCGGCUGUCCGAUCAACACUAUUGUGAUAACUUUUAAUAAUUGUUAAUUUUUCGAAUUUUUCUAUUAAUUUUUUCUUUUUCUUUUCUUUUUCUUUUUUUUUUCUUCUUCCUCCUUGCAUUUCUUCUCCCUAUAGUGGCCAACUAGGCUCUGACGAGCCUCACCAACCAGUGGGUGAUGGCUACAAAGCCUUCACCCGCCACUAGGCAAUGGCAACAAAGCCCUCCUUGGUCGCCUCAUUGUGGACCUUGGGCAAGGCUGGAUGAGGCUCGCAACCCUCGUGACAGUAGGUGAGGGCUUCGCAGGCCUUGCCUAGUGGCUGGCGAGCCUUGCCAGAGCCUUGCCAACCACCGCAGGGAGAAGGAGCCUAAAGAGGAAGAAGAGAAAAAAAAUUAAUAAAAAAUUUUAUUUAAAAUUUGUCUUGUAUGGUCGGUGUUGGUUGGCAUCUACAUUAACGCCAGCCAGCCAAAAUUAGCCAGAAAGAUUAAAUUGGUAUCAAAGUGAAAAAUUUUAUGACUAAAUUUAUCAAAUUGAAAUGUUUAAAAUUGAAUUGGUACCAAUGUCAUAGAUUUAAAACUUUUUUGGUACUUUUCUCCCUUGACCAUAAUUGACCUGGGGAUUGGGACUAGACGCCCCUUAUUUCUUGCAUCGUAAGGCAAGGGGCGAGCUUGACUAGCUCGUAGUUGCAUCAAAAGUAUUUUAAAAAGAAGGAUGCGAUAUUCCACUUGGAGAUAAUUUGAAUGGGAAAUAAAAGUGUGAGGACUCAAAACAAGCUUGUAGGUUUCAUUGAGUUGACCAAUGGAAACUCGACGAAUCAUUGAAUAAAGAAGAAUUAAUGCAUAUUCUUAAUACAUUUAGCAUUUCUCUAACCUCAAUAAAUAAAUAAAAAAGGCACCUUAUGAUAUUUUCCGAAGUUAUUAUCAAAUUUCUAAUCAUAAUGAAAAUAAAUAUCUUACUCAUGCAUCUAAUAUUUUUGGAACUCGCUUUCGUGGAAACAUAAGUUAAAAAAACAAAAUUGAAAUUGCAUCAGGCUUGACUACUUAAGCAUGAUGUUUCAGGUUUUGGUGCUUGGCUUAUCAUUGACGUGGACUUUAAACCAAUUUCGUAUGAAAAGCCAAAAGAAACUAUGAAAAGUAAGGGAGAAAACUUUAACCCAGGACACGGCAAAUGUAAAAGGAAUCCUGUGGAAAGAGAGAAAGGAGAUCCAAGAUGACUUUUGCUUUUCUCAUGUUCAUGUAAAAGAAUCAAUGGAGCCACUCUUUGUCAAGAAUAUGAAAGCUUCGUUCUAUAUCUAAAAUUUAAAUAAUAAAGAAUAAAAUAUCAGAAAACGAGUGUUGAGAGCGCACAACAGCAAAUGCCAAUGCAUUUUUUAUAAAUACGAGCGAACAUUUUAAGAAAAUAAUAUCAGCAACACUAUUUUUUGUGAAUUGAAUGCUCCAGACAACAAAUUAUUUUAAAGGAAAAAGCCACAAAAAAAUCUCAAAUUAUAGCUAUUGUGGCACAUUUAUCCUAAACUUGUUAUAUCCACUCAAGAUUGAACAAGAAAAGUAAAAAAAAAAAAAGACACAAAAUAAUAAUUUUAAAACGAAAGAAGAUUGUGCAAACGUCUUCCGUUGAGAAUAUAACGAUAAGAGGGCAAAGAGAGAGAAAGAGACAGUGUAUCAAAGUGAAUAUUACGAGCCCAUUUUGACAGUCACGGGCUCCGUGUGCCUGGCCUAGCCCGUUCCUUAGCUAAUAUUAACCAGGAAAGGGAAAUUAAUAUUGUUUUUAAGAAAAAACUUAGUUGAUGGAGAAAUAUUUUUUUAUGAAAUUCUUUUUCAAGGAAAAUGACUGGUUCUCAACAGUGUAUAUAAAAGUGAGAUGGAAAAGGAUGUUGAAAUCUUACUUUUAAAAUUUAUUCUCUCCACUGUAACUAUAUUUUGUUCCAAAUAUAAGAUACUAAAUUCAUAUUGAAAUGCUUGCAUAUUGUAAUAACAAUAUGCCACAUUAUUUAUCUUACGAAAUAUAUAAAAUAGUCUUAGUGUGUUUAAAAUAAUAAUAACAAUAUUUGAUUAUAUUGCCACACUUUGCACCAUAUUGUUCCCUAGGCUUCAACGUAGAGUGUACGUUUUUUGAAACCUCAUAGAACAUACAUAUAUCUUCAAGAUAGACGAUGUAAAAUUGAGGACCAUAGAAUAUUCUUAUAAGUCUACAGUACUUCCCUUAAUGGAAUCAGUCAAUAAUUGAUUCGUCGCAAGACGGAGGUAUUAAAUGUAGGCAACAAUAAAGGUAGAUCACUGGAGGAGAUGGGGAAACUACUCUUUCUUAUGCUCAACUUUGCCCUCUUGUGGUGGUGGAGCUCAAUCCCUAGCCCCAAAUAGGUUAGCCACCUUAACGAAUCAUGAAAUCCACUUAACUCUCCGAAGUGUCCACCAUAGACCUUAAAACCAAAAUAAAUUGGACUAACUCAUUUCAUACAUGUGUCACGGUCUCGAAUUUUCCCAUGCGCCAAAGAUCGUGUAUGAUAAAAGAAGAUCGAGCCAAAUCUCCUAGAGCUUUCAGAACAUUACUAGGGAUUAGCGAUACGGUAAUUGUACCAACUUGUAGAGUUUUCUUGUCAUAAUUGUCGGUAGUUGGUAAAUGGAUAGCUGCAAUUUGUUCCGUUAGAUCGAAAGGGCAUCAAUGGUUGUAUUGAGAGAGUUUCUAGUAUAAGAAGGGGUGUCUUCCCCCUAAUUUGUAACCAUCCAAACACUUCAAAGUAGAUAAACAUUAUCCCCUAGAGUUUCUCUCUCUAAAAACUUUAUCUCUAUAUGAUCUUGGUGAAUGAGUGAUUGAUUUAAGGAAGCCUAAGUCACUGCACAAGUCUGAUCCAAACAAUUGACUUGUGACACAUGGCUCUUGUUCCACUACUUUCUAUAAAUCAAAGAAAUUAUAUAACAUUUUUAUUCAUUAUUCAAUAUAUGGAUUCACUUUUAUUUCUUCAGCAUUUACAUGAUUUAAGUAGAUAUGAGGUACUUUUCAAAUGUUCGCUAAACAUUAUAUCUAUGUGGUGCAACCAUGAAAUCAAUCUGUCUUAUCCCAAAUCGUGUAGAUAAUUCUUAUUAUCACAAUUUUGUAAUGUCUCCUAUAGAUAUUCACGUGUCACUAGGUGUCAAAAUUUCAGCCUGCAAAGACAAUUAGUGAGUUAACCUCAAUGUUGAGUGAGCAAAUUAUCGACCAAUCGUGUAAUUGCCCACCUCUUCUUGGGAUUAUAUGUGCUAAUAAUAGUAAAUCACAUAUGAUUUUGGUCAUUUCCUUACAUGACACAUUCAAUGCUAUGUUCAGGUCUCCAUUGACUUCCCAAUCCUCACGUAAUCGAUGGGGAAUAUGAGGCACCCGAUUUGUUUAGUCUUCAGUCUUCAUCUCCAUGGCCUUUGCUUGACUUUUCUCGAGUGGCCUUCUUGUGAGUUUUCGAUUGGACUCAUUCCCUUAGGAGAGGGGGUCCGUGAAAAUCUCACUUAUUUACUCUCUCAUCCCAUUUUUAAACUCUGAUUACCUAAUUGGGUCGAUGGCUAGUGGCUAGAUCGCACACUUACCGUGGUUUAAUGACGUUUACAUUUGAAAUGGAGGUGAAAUAUACUGAAGCGACUAAAUUGCCGGAAGAAAAAAACUGACAUCACUGGAUCGUUCUUUUUGAGGUGCGGCACGGUCAAGUUCUGCAUCCAAACAUUGCGGAGUCGGAUCAAUAAUGGUGAAACUACAAUUUCAGGCUAUUCAUGUCUGUGGACACCAAGUACGCAAUGCCCGAUUGAACUGGAAAGAUCAAGUUUGUACUAUCUAGGCCCACUGAUCGGUCGCGCGUUAUCCAGACCUUUUUCCUCAGCCACGUUGCCAAAAGGAGCAAGGGAAGCGAAGGUGGACGGAGGCAAAAAUUAAAUGCCUUUACCUAAUAACAUGACUGGAGAUUUUAAUAGAACAAGAGGCCAUCACGCCACCACCUCUCUCUCUCACUCCCCACCUACACACCUUCAACCAUCAUCCCUCGGGUCUCCAUAAUUAGUAAAAUGGGACUUCAAUAAUCAAUUUACGGAAAAUCAUUAAAAAAAAAGGUAAUCUAUUAAUCGAAACAUUCAUAUUUAGAGUGAAAAUAUUUUUUUCAAUGCAUUUUUUUUAUAAAUACGUGCAACCAUUUUAAGAAAAUAAUAUCUGCAGCGUCGUUUUUUGCGAACUAAAUGCCCCGGACAAUAGAUUAUUUUAAAGAAAAAAGUUACAAAAAAGCCCAAAUUAUAUCUACUGUGAUAUAUUUAUCCUAAACUUGUUACAUCCACUCAAGAUUGAACAUGAAAAGUAAAAAAAAAAAAAGAGAGGAAAAAACAGACACAAAAAUAAUAAUUUUAAAACGAAAGAAGACUGUACAAACGUCUUCCAUGGAGGAUAUGGCGAUAAGAGGACAAAGAGAGAAAGAGACAGAUAGAUAGUGUAUCAAAGUGAAAAUAUUACGAGGCCGUUUGGUAGUCACGGGCUGGGUGUGGCUGGCCUAGCCCGUUCCUUAGCUAAUAUCUAACCAGAAAAGGGAAAUUAAUAUCACUUUUGAGAAAAAAAAAAUUAGUUGAUGGAGAAAUAUUUUUUAUAAAAAAAAAAAAAUUGUUUUCAAGGAAAAUGACUGGUUCUCAACAGUGUAUUUAAAAGUGAGAUGGAAAAAGGUUUUCAACGUUCAAAUAUUUUGAAAUUAUCGUCUCCAUUCUAACUACAUUUUGUUCCACAUAUAAGAUACUUAAUUCAUAUUGAAAUGCUUGCAUAUUGUAAUAAAAAUAUGCCACAUCAUUUAUUUUACGAAAUAUAUAAAAUAGUCUUAGUGCAUUUAAAAUAAUAAUAACAAUAUUUGAUUAUAUUGCCACGCUUUGCACCCUAUUGUUCCAUGGGCUUCAAACCGUAGGGUGUACAUUUUUUGAAACCUCAGAGAACACACGUAUAUCUUCAAGAUAGACCACGUAAAAUUGAGGACCACAGAACGUUCUUGUAAGUCUACAGUACUUCCCUCAGCGGAAUUAGUCAAUACUCGAUUUGUGCGCAAGACGGAGGUGUUAAAUGCAGGUUAGACUGAAAGUGGAUCACCGGAGGAGAUGGGGAAACUACUCUUUCUUAUGCUCAACUUUGCCCUCUUGUGGUGGUGGAGCUCAAUCCCUCACCUUGGCGCUUGCUCGCAAGACCAAACGGAUCGGCUUGCGUUAGCAUCCUUCAGAAAUGCUAUAGACGAAGAUCCAUUUAGAGUCUUGAGCUCUUGGAAUGAUUCUAUCAAUCAUUGUGAGUGGCAAGGUGUUUUGUGCAGCAAAAGGCAUCCCGGGAGGGUCAUGUCCUUGAUCUUGAGAUCACAAGGCUUGGGAGGCUUCUUAUCUCCUCACAUAGGUAACCUCUCUUUCCUCAAGAUCAUGGUUUUACAAAACAAUAGCUUUGGCGGUGAAAUCCCAUCACAGAUCGGCAACUUGUUUCGGCUCCGCAAUCUUGACCUUAGUAACAACUCUUUUGGUGGGUCAAUACCCUCCAAUCUUUCCUGCUGCUCAAACCUCGAGUCCUUGAAUCUUGUAGAUAACCGACUUGUGGGGGGAAUUUAUUCCAAUCUUGGUUCUUUACCAAGGCUUAAAUUCUUGCGCUUGUCUAAGAACAAUCUUGUAGGUCCUAUUCCUCCUUUGAUUGGAAACCUCUCGCUGCUACAACACCUCUCUUUGGCAGAAAAUGCGUUUCAAGGAGAAAUACCUGAGGAACUGUCCAGACUUGAGAGGUUGAUAUAUUUUCAACUAUCAUCGAACAAAUUAACCGGCGAGAUUCCACUAGGGAUUUUUAACAUCUCUAGCAUUAAUUACUUCUAUGUUGGUUGGAACCAGUUGCGGGGAAGCUUUCCUUCUGAUAUUGGCACCACUCUUCCUUCUCUUUAUUACCUUGGAGGGCUCAAUAACAUGUUCACCGGGAUAAUUCCGUCAUCUUUGACGAAUACCACCAGUCUUCAGGGACUUUACCUUGCUAACAAUAAUUUCCGUGGGCCAAUACCGAAAAAUCUGGGAAGGCUAAAGGGCCUUUACGUGAUUGCAUUGGGUUUAAACCAGUUGCAGGAUGACUUGAGUUUUAUUUCUUCUUUAGCUAAUUGUUCCAACUUAGAAAUUCUCUCGGUGGAAGAGAACUCGAUUCACGGAUCAUUGCCAACAUCCAUCUCCAAUCUCUCCACCAGCAUUAAGCAAAUUUCAAUGUCAAACAAUCUGAUCCAUGGAACUAUUCCUUCAGCCUUUGGAAAUCUCUUCAACUUGUCGUAUUUGAGUUUAAAGAAUAAUUCUCUGACCGAUAGCCUUCCUGAUUCUAUUGGAGCACUUUACAACUUGCGGGUACUUUUUUUGAGCAGAAACAUGUUUACUGGAGAGAUACCGCCUUCGAUUGGUAAUAUGACAUCUUUAAAUAGGCUUUUCCUUCAAGACAACAAUUUCCAAGGCUCAAUACCGCAAAGUCUUGGCAAUUGCACGCAACUAAUCGAGCUAGAGCUUUCAAACAACAAUCUAAGUGGCUCAAUUCCAGUCGAAAUUGUGAGCCUUUAUUCCUUGUCAAUCCUCUUCAGUUUAGCGCAUAAUAAUCUUAGUGGAUCUCUUCCAUAUCAAGUUGGGUCUUUAAGGAGUCUCGAAGAAUUAGAUCUAUCUUACAAUAGAUUGACCAGCUUAAUUCCAGCCUCCAUCAGUGGAUGCUUGAGAUUGGCACGGCUUCGCUUAGAAGCUAAUUCUUUUCAUGGUCAAAUCCCUCAAGUUUUAAGUCCAUUACGACGCCUAGAAGUGCUGGAUCUUUCAAAUAACAAUUUUUCUGGUCCAAUCCCGAGCUUUCUUACAGAGUUCUUAUUGCUUAAAUACUUCAUUAUGUCAUUCAAUGAACUAGAAGGACAAGUUCCGGAGAGCGGAGUUUUUCUCAAUGCAAGUGUUGUAUCAGUUUCUGGAAAUAGGGAACUUUGUGGAGGUGUUCCAACUCUGAAGCUUCCUCUUUGUAAAUUACCAAGCUCUAGCAAGUCUUCUACAAUCAAGGCCAUAAUAACAUCUGUGGUCACUAUCAGCUUGUUAUGUUUAGCUUUGUUGUUCCUGUCUAUUUUCUGUUACUGCAAAAAGAAGCAGACAAGAACCACUGCUUGGAUGUCAUCAUCUUUCAAGAACCAAUUCAUGAGGAUUUCUUAUGAUGAACUCCUGAGAGCUACUAAUAGAUUCUCAGAGACCAAUUUAAUUGGUAAAGGGAGAUAUGGCACAGUUUAUAUGGGGAUUCUUGAGGGCAUUGCCAUUGUGGCAGUAAAGGUACUCAAUUUAACACAAAGAGGUGCUGCAAGGAGCUUCGUCUCAGAAUGUCGAACUCUAGGAACCAUUAGACACCGAAACCUUGUGAAGAUACUAAGCGUUUGUUCAAGCGUGGACAUUCGUGGCAAUGACUUCAAAGCUCUAAUAUAUGAGUUCAUGGCUAACGGGAGUUUGGAGGAGUGGUUGCACCUUGGGACUAUAGUGCGAGAUGAUGAGCAUGGCAAAUCGAGAAAUCUAAGACUAGUGCAAAGGUUAAACAUUGCCAUCGACAUAGCUAUGGCGAUCGAAUAUCUCCAUAAGGGUUGCUCUCCGGCAAUCGUCCAUGGAGAUUUGAAGCCGAGUAAUGUGCUUUUGGAUGAUGACAUGGUGGCUCGAGUUGGAGAUUUCGGGCUUGCAAAGAUCAUUUCAACGGUGUCAUCCGAAACCACAGGAGUUCAGGACCAGGGUAGUUCAACUUCGACUUUAGUUAGAGGAUCCAUUGGCUAUGUGGCCCCUGGUAUGAAUCUGCCAUAUUUUCUCAAUUAGUUUUUGGUUGGUUGUGAUAGUGAUAUCAGAGAGGGUUAAAAAUUUGAAUAAACAAUGAUCCAUGAUGUCUUGUAAUGCUUCCUAUGCUCUAACACCUCUUUCUCACAACAUAAUUUCCUCUUUUUUUCAAUUAUUUUCUUCAGCAGAAAAAGAAAAUACAUAAAUAUUUGUAUAUGAACAGACUAAUAUUAGUAUGUCGUAAUUAUAUUUGAAAUUAAGAUGAGGAUAAACCGUCGUAGAAUUGAUCAAUAAUUGGAAAUAUUUAUUGUCAACACUUGUGAAUCCGGGCCACUAAAUGUACAAAGCAUAUUUUAUCAUAUCAUAUUCGCAUUUUUUUUCUAUGAUUCAUAUUUUAUCUCAUACCAUGUUCAUGUUGUGAAAACAUACAGUGGCUAAUAUUGUCGUAAAUUACUAUAUGAGAAAUUGACGAGAACUUGUGCUCUUUUAGUAUGCCAUGACUUAAGGUCUUGACAAUAAGUAAUUGACCCCUCACAGGGGAACCUUUCUUCUUGAGGCGACCUAUAAUUCUAUAUUCGUAAUAUAUGUUUAGAUCAUGCGGCAUUUAAAGCAGAAAUUCUUGGGGAUCUCAAACUCAUAAAUGCAUGAUAAUAUCAUACAACAUACACUAAUUGACUACCCGAUGGGUUCUAUCCAACUGUAAUUCUCCCUAAACGUCUUGUUUAGAGCAUGUCAAAACAAACUCAUGCAUUUACAAGUAUUAAUCCAUCACGUCAACAAAUCUCUCCAAGUCUCUUCUCCCCCCUCCCCCCCAAUGUUCUUUUCUUUGCCUCGUGUGGUAUAGGUAUUAAAUUGAAUUCAGAUCAGAAAAAUGAUGAGCCUCAUGUGUAUUUCAUGUGUAACCAGUUAAAAACUGGUGGCUCAAAUUUAGUUAAUAGAUGUACUAAAUGCACUAAAUAAUUUCCACCAAGGCCUUCGCCACAUAUAUAAUCUUCUUUUUUUCCCCCACCUACUAAAUGACAAAGUCCCUCUUGAUGUUCAGGCAAUUUGUUCAGCAAAAUGUGACAACUUUGGGUGCACUACUUUUUGGACUAGAAGAGCUCUGCGUUGCUGACUGAUCUUUGGUGCACUUUACAAAUCCUAAAGUCUUAUCUUUCUGCGGUUGAUGCAUCUGACUUUUGCAACAAUUUUUACCACUUUGGCAUACGAUAGGUGCUAAGCAUCAGCUAUAGCCAAUAAACUAAACGAAAAUCAAACAAAAAGAUAUGAAAGAGAAAAAACCAGUGGGGCAUUUUGGGACCCUUUCCUUGCACUCUACCAUGCACAGCGAGCCCGUACGUGAAGUCAGUGAGGACUUGCGUGCCAUCACUCUAUUUGGGCGUGACUGGCGCAAGCCCUCAAAACUGUCUUAGGCAAGCUCCUGCGCAUUGACAUCGAGCAAAACCCCAUGAGAUUUAGGAACUUUUUUUUUCAUACAAUUAUCUUCAAGAAAAAGUGUAUAUUCAUUCUUAUUUAAUGCUAUGAUGUAAUUUUCAGAGUAUGGCAUCAGACACCAAGUUUCUACACUUGGGGAUGCAUACAGUUACAGCAUUCUAUUAUUGGAGAUGUUCAUUGGAAAGAGACCCACUAAAGAGGCCUUUGGGUAUUGUCUUAACCUUCAUAGCUUUGUCCAAAUGGCUCUUCUUGAUUGAGUGAUGGACAUUGUAGACUCAAGGCUUUGGAGUGAAGCCGGUGAUCGACAGCAGGGGAUGAGGAUCAAAGAUUGCAUAAUCUCCAUUUUUGAAGUUGGAGUCGCAUGCUCGAUAGAAUCACCACUGGAUCGAAUGGACAUGACUGAGGCGAUUAGGAAAUUAUACUCGAUCAAGGCAAGUUAUGAAAUCAAAGAGAGGACAGGUAUGUAGCUAAGUUAAUUUUCUUGUUGCACCUUGGAAUUUUUUCACUAGCAGAGAAAAUCAUGUAAAGGCAAUGCUAGCAAAUUCACAUGAAUGUCUCCCUAACUAGGCUGCCUACCCAUACCCUUUAUGUAUAUUUUUAAUAAUUACACCCAUACUUAUAUUUAAAAUUGUAGAAAGUGGAUCAAUGGAGUUGGAGUCUACCUAUUUCCAUUAAGUAACCACGUAAAAAUUGAUGAAUUUGCUUAUUUGCAUGAUUCUCUUGAUAUCUAAUGCCGUUGUUUACCAAAGCAUCGAUGCAUUGCUUAAUUACUUGAAUUAUCUGAUUAAUUCAUUUUAUGCACUUUAACCCGGGUUACCAUUUCAAUUAUAUGAAUAAAUGAUGGAUUAAUAAUUUUGAGAGGUUUUCAAGUUGGUCGAGACUGAAUAUCAAACUAUACAGAUCCUUUAGCUUGUGAUAUUAAAUCCUAGAGUGUAAUAGAUGUGUGGAGAAACUAGCAAAUCCACGGAUUCCAUAAAAUUGACAAAAAUAAAUUUGGAACCAAAAUCCUAUUCGAUAGACUAUAUGUGAUAGGUGUCGGACUCCAAUAAACCUACAUUAUUUUUUAUUUUUUUUAAAAGGCACUCAACUUUACAAAUGCUUAGACAUAAAUUAUAAAUAGAGCAGACUCGUUAAACUCAGCCAGACCUAUUUAUUAUAUAAUGUCUCUAUAUUCAGUCGAACCCUCAAAAACAAUACCGAGCCUCAAAAUCCAUACCCAACUAUGUAACCAACUUAAAUAUGUUCAUAAGAAUAUGUGUUGGUCAAGUUAAAUUUAUUAUCAAAUUAAAAAUGAAAAAUUACAAAAAUUAUCAAUAUGAUGGAAAAAAAAAUGAAAAAACCAAUAUGAACUCUAUCAAAUAGACAAGCUAAAANNNNNNNNNNNNNNNNNNNNNNNNNNNNNNNNNNNNNNNNNNNNNNNNNNNNNNNNNNNNNNNNNNNNNNNNNNNNNNNNNNNNNNNNNNNNNNNNNNNNUUCCGCGAAUCAAACCUUUCGUUUAGGAGUGAGCUGUCAUCUCCGCGAAUCAAACCAUUCGUCGAGCGUAGCCAUGGCUGGGCCAUUGCCCUCGCGCCUCCCCACGGUAUGUCAAUCAAAUCCAAAGAGGACGAAGAGGGGGGCAGCUCACGUAAGAUCAUUAGCUCAAGGCCGACUCUCAGUGUUGCAGUUGAGCGCGAUGUCACUAUCAAUUGGAAAAAAAAUGCUUGAUCGAAUUUGAGCGAUGUUACCAACGGAAUUCUGCUGUGGCCAUGUUGCUGACACCGGCGGCCACCGUGUGUGACCCCUACCUCCUAUGCAGGCGACGAAGUCUCAAUGGACAGGCCAGAUAUGGAGGAGGCAUCAUCAGAUCUAGAGACGACUUGUGACCUCAGCAGUGUCGGCAAUUUAAUUGUAGAUGACGAGAGGAGCUCCAUGCGAGGUUUUGAGACCUGCCAAAGGCAUGAACUUCACGUUCAGUCGAGCUCUGCACCCAUAAAGGAGAGAGGGAGAGUGACAGCUGCGAAAGCAGGAACGACAAAACGACAUUGAAGCGAUAGGGGAGAGAGAGCGAACGGAAGGUGACACGAUCUCUCUUGACACAAGCUGUGCUUUUUUACGAGUUCGGAAUCAAUAGUCAAAUCAAUGAUAUGAAACAAUUUCAGACUUAAUGGCUAAAUUAAAUAUUUGAAAUGUUUUUCAGAUGUAAGGUCACAUUAAGUUUUGAAACGGUUUCAAAACUUAACGGUGACCUAAUAAUCUAAAACGAUUUCAGAAUAAAUGGGCAAUUUAAUGAUCUAAAACAGUUUCAGAUUAAUAAAUAAUUAAUACUCUGAAACAGUUUUAGAACUACUGCCAUGAGGACAUUAGACAUUCGUGUUCAAAACCCAAAGAAACUUCUCAACCAAAUUUUGGAGCACGGUAUAAGGUUAAUAUGAUUAGUCCUUUUAGCUCUUCAAAGCAUUUUUAUUAAAAUGCAUGUAAAUGCUAUGGAAACACGUGUAUAAGUGUUUUCACUUCUGCUGCGAUCAAACAUUUGAUCUUAAUUUACUUAUGCACGUAUGCUUGUUUAUCGAAACAAACACCAACAGAUUUAUUGGCACGAAAGAACACAUUCGGAUCAAAUACAAAUCCUCGGGACAAACGAAGGAGUUUUCACGUAAUCUCUUUGACGUGUACCCUCGUUCAUUUUUUUUUUCUCUUCCUCUUUCUUUUUUCGGUUUGAACACAUACAUUUUGUUUUGUUGAUUAAGAGUGUACACAAACCACUUUUGUCAUCUAGUUGUUGGAAUUCUCAUCAAUGCUCCAUCCUUUGUCUUCUGUAUCAUGUAGAUGUUCCUUUGGAAAGCUGGCAAGAUCGUACUUUGGCCCUAUUGAUAAUAGCUGCCGUGGCUUCCUUGGUACUUCGAAUAAAGACACAGGUGAGACUGGCCUGCUCACAAUAUGAGUGUUGGUGAUGCGAUAUUGAGAUUUGUCUUAGUUUCUUUCUGGUUGCUUUAGCUUGAUUUUUAUUUUAUUUUUUUGGUUUGUUGCCAAUCCUUGCCCAAAUUGACAGCGAAAGGUAAUUAACAUCAAAAGAAGGAUAUGAAAGCUUUGCUGAAGGUAUUCGUUGCUUGGUGCAUAUAAUGGUCUUUAUCAAGAAUAUUUUACUGUAUAUCCCAGCACAAAGAGUCAUUGGUAUCGAUCCCAUUAUCUUCUCGGGAGACCCGUAAUUGACCCUGGUUUCAAUUGACGCUUCAAGGAAAUGCUCUAGUCUAAUGCUCUUNNNNNNNNNNNNNNNNNNNNNNNNNNNNNNNNNNNNNNNNNNNNNNNNNNNNNNNNNNNNNNNNNNNNNNNNNNNNNNNNNNNNNNNNNNNNNNNNNNNNNNNNNNNNNNNNNNNNNNNNNNNNNNNNNNNNNNNNNNNNNNNNNNNNNNNNNNNNNNNNNNNNNNNNNNNNNNNNNNNNNNNNNNNNNNNNNNNNNNNNNNNNNNNNNNNNNNNNNNNNNNNNNNNNNNNNNNNNNNNNNNNNNNUUGGCAAGUACGGACAAUAUAAGUUCCUACCCAGAUGUACCCCUUGAAUGUUUACAACUAAUCAUUUAUUCAUUUUUCGUCAAAGCAAUUGAACACAAGUAUCUCCUAUCCGAACACCGGUGCCUAAGCCUCAUCUGACAUGUGAAUUCAUUUGCUUUUUUUUUUUUUUCAUGAAUCAUAUGGUUUUUUUUUUUUUGCUUGAUAUUACAAAACUUUAAUAACUUUUUAUUUAAUGAUCGAUUAUGCAAUCUAUUCCGUGUGUUUCUUUUAGGGCAUUAAGGAAGGAUGGUAUGAUGGUGGAGGCAUUGCUUUUGCUGUUAUUCUCGUCAUUGUAGGUAGGGUUGAGUUAGAUUACAAGACUUGUUUGUAUUGGAAUUUUGUUAACGCAUGUAUUAAGAUUUGAAAUCUUUCAUUUAGUAUCUAUUCACUUUUAAAAAUUUCAAGUAUUGCUUCAUGCCGACGAUGGAAAUGUUUUUGCUGAUUGAUCAGAUGAUAAAUUAUAUUCUCAGAAGCAACUUAUCAUGCCACAUGAUUCCUUCUGAUUAUUCAGAUCGCAACUUAUAUGCUCAGGAGACAUGUUAUGAUGCCGCAUGUUUUAACUUCUUCUGAUAAGGUUGCAGAAUAAUAACAUAAUAAAAGACAAUCAAUGUUUUAAUUUGCGGUGAAUAAUUUACUUCUUCCACUAUGGAUGCUCCACUAUGGAUGCUGUUGACUGCUGUAAGAUGCAAUGACAUAGAAAUUAUUCGUGAUGGGUGGUUUGUUAAUUGGGAUUUGAUUCUUGCCUGCAGCUAUAAGCGAUCACAGACGGUCCCUGCAUUUUCAAGACUUAAAUGGGAAGAAAACAGAUAUACGCUUGGAAGUGGGUACUUUAUAUGAGAUGUGUGAGUUACAUUCUUCUCUUUCCUGUAUGCAUAUGGAUGAAAAUGUUGUAUGUUUAUAGAUGUCAAGGUGGCAGAAGAAUAGAAGUUUCAAUAAAUGAUGCCAUUGUUGGUGAUGUUGCUCUCCUUAAGAUCGGUGACCAGGCAAGUAACUAAAACCAGUUCUGCAUUUGGUACCCUCCUCAUGAGGACAGUGAAUAUGUUCUUACAUUUGAUGUUCACUUUUGUCUCCAGGUUCCUGCAGACAGAGUCUUGAUUUCUGGUCAUUCCCUGGCGAUUGACAAAUCUAGCAUGAAUGGAGAGUGCAAAAUUGUNNNNNNNNNNNNNNNNNNNNNNNNNNNNNNNNNNNNNNNNNNNNNNNNNNNNNNNNNNNNNNNNNNNNNNNNNNNNNNNNNNNNNNNNNNNNNNNNNNNNNNNNNNNNNNNNNNNNNNNNNNNNNNNNNNNNNNNNNNNNNNNNNNNNNNNNNNNNNNNNNNNNNNNNNNNNNNNNNNNNNNNNNNNNNNNNNNNNNNNNNNNNNNNNNNNNNNNNNNNNNNNNNNNNNNNNNNNNNNNNNNNNNNNNNNNNNNNNNNNNNNNNNNNNNNNNNNNNNNNNNNNNNNNNNNNNNNNNNNNNNNNNNNNNNNNNNNNNNNNNNNNNNNNNNNNNNNNNNNNNNNNNNNUAAAGGAGCAUGACUCUUUUAAUCUCAACUAAACUCUGUUCUGAGAUAGAGGGUGGCCCCUAAAAAGAUUUCAGAAAGUACUGGAGAUAUUUAAAAAUAUACAGUUUAUUCUGUCCUUGAGGCCUCGUUAGGAGGAGGUGAGUCAAAUUUGAAUUGAAUGGAUGGCUCUGUCCCUUUGAACGUGCACUUAUACGCUUUGCUCUGGCUGUCCUGACUACCUGCGUGUUUCUCAAUGGAUUUCUAGCAGUAGGGUUGUCUCUGAUAUCAGAAUUAGUUUGCCAAAAAUGGUGCUUCCUGAGAUGGGAGUUUACUCUAUCCCAAGUCUGUCUUUAUCACAAAUCAAGGCUUAUUUCCAUCUGUCUUCUGCCUCACUUUUCUGUUUUUGCCUCUCAGGUGAUGAGUGUGGGUAGUAUUUCGGAAGAUACUGGGGAAGAGACACUCUUGCAGGUUAGUUUCUCUAAACUCUUUUUAUUUUUUUCCCUGUUUUUGGAAGUUAUGGAUUUUGGUUGUCAUACCGAUUUCUUCGCUUUUAUAUUAGGUGGGUAUACAUCUUUCAUUGCUGGACUGCAUGCAGCUGUUGCUGUUUUGGCUGCUCUUUUAGCAAGGUAACUAUUAUUGUAAGGUAAACAAAAACUGCAAUUUUAUUUUAUUAAUUCCUCUAUCUCUGAAGUCCUUCCACAUACUGAAACCGUAAUAGAUCUUACAAACUCAACCUUUGUGCAGAUUUUUUACUGGAUAUACGAAAAAUCCAAAUGGCACCAUUCAGUUUAGGCUGGGAAGACUAUCGCUAGCAUUAUUGUAGAUGGAGUGAUCGAAAAAAUCACUGCAGCAGUAAGUUUAUUUCUGAUGGAAUAGUUUUUGUAAAUUAAUUUUAGGUAGCUCGUCAGUAACUUUUGAGCCUUCCAGGUUACCGUUGUAGCAGUUGCAGUACCUAAGGGCCUUCCUUUAGCUGCUAAACUGACGUAAGUUUGUCCACUAUGAAGAACAGACUUCUUAAUACGACAUUUAUAUUGGUGAUGUCCUGUCCAUGUUUCUGUUGCUUUUUAUCUCAUUGGUUUUUUUAGAAUUUGAUAUAGCUGGAUAGUAUUUCUUUCCUGUAAUCAUCUGCUGGCCUUUAAACGGAUUUAUGUGGAAGUGUACAAUGUUCAUACUCUCACUUUGUACCUUUGAUGCAAUGAGCAGACUAGCUUACUCGAUGAGAAAAAUGAUGGUGGAAAAAGCUAUGGUAUGUAGAUUUUCUACUCCUUACGGCGACCUUCAUCUGAAUCUUUUAUAGCAGUAAAAUGGAAUUCCUAAAAACCAACAGUAAAAAUUUCAGGUGCAAUGGCUUUCUGAAUGCCCGACUAUGGGAUUUGCCACAACUAUCUGUAGUCAUAAAGCUGGAACCUUGACUUUAAAUCAGGUACGUUAUUUUACAGGUUGCUUUAGCUGAUCUAAGCAUGGUGUCAAGAACUCCUUAUUUGCCAUUUAUCUGAGUGCAAGUAGAUUUGAACUCUUAAAGAGCUUUGCAGCUAUUGUAGCAGUGAAACAUGCGCGUGCUCACACAGACAUCAUAUGAGGAUGUUGUCGAUAACAUCAUUUUUGAGACAAUAGCCAGGGAAUGACCUUGACUAAAGGAGUUGUGGUUCUGGAGGAAACUUUGAGACUCUUUAUAACGUGAAGAAAAUGUCCUUCCUGUGACAGAUGACAGUUGUCAAGGCUUAUACUGGUGGAAGAAAAGUUGACCCUCCGGACAGCACCUCAAAGUUAUCAACUUCUCUUAUUUCUCUACUGAUUGAAGCCAUUGCUCAGAAUUAUGCGCCUAAGGUGGGUUUGCAACUGUUGGUAUUAGUGGAAGCGUGUGCUUGAUAUGUGAGUAAUAUAUCAAGGGAGCAAGGGAACUAAGAACAAUGUGUGUAAGAAUUGAUUGGGCAAAGAAGCAACAAGAAUGUUUUGUAAGAGAGUAGCAGCAAGGGAGCCCAAAGGAACAAAAGGAAGGCCUUUAUUAUUUGAUGAGAACUACAAAGAGAAGAGGGAAGGAGCUGAACUUGUUGGUCUGCUACGCUCCACACCUUGCUAUUUAUAAGCAAGGUUCACCGACUUAUGGCCCACAAUUUAUAACUUUUAGUAGAUUUUUAAUCCUACAAUUUUUUACUUCAACAACCGACUCCUCAAGGAAAACAUCUCUGCCAUUUGCAGAGAUAAUUUUAUGGACUCUUCCACUCAAAUUUAGUAGACUCCAGAUUCUUCUUGCGGGCCAAGCACUAGAUUAUUUUGGAUUUUUUCAUAUUUCUCUAGCAAAUACCCUAUGCUAGAAAACUCUAGGAAUUGGAUCAGCAUUUUAACAGCAACAUCAGUAAUGGCUGUUUAAUAAUGGCGACCAGUGAUAACUUCAUGUGUUUUUACUUCUUUAGACAGUGUGAGAUGUAGAGCUGUCUGCUUUGCCAACUGAAAAGGCCAUUCUACAGUGGGGGAUCAAGGUUCUUGCUUAAGUUUUAUAUCGCUUACUUAUGCUCUUCACUCCUAUCUCUAGUUCAUCUAUUUGUUUGACGAGUGAUGUCAUUAGACUACUCACGAUGCCUCAUUUGCAGCUGGAGAUGGAAAUUGAAGUUGUUCGGUCAAGUUCCUCUAUAAUUCAUGUUUUCCCUUUCAAUUCUGAGAAAAAACGAGGUGGAGUUGUUGUAAAGCUGAUAUAUUUCUCAUUCCUUAGUUUUAUUGAUCACAUGUGCAUUAUUGAUCACAUGUGCACUGCUGAAGAGGACAUUUGCUACAAUAUGCACAUUGUAUCUUAUUGUUAUUUAGAGUGUGAAUCUUGUCAUGUGGAUUGGCACAGAUAAAAAGAUCUAGUCAUGCAGACAGUAUCUGUGUCAUUGCAAUACCUUUUGAGAUUGUACCGAGCUGCUAUAACAGUAACUAAAGUUUUGGGAAAGUUGCUUUUGUACAUGAAACUAACUCCCAGACAGUCAGGACACUGUUGUUUUUGCUCUUCAACAGCUUUACUUUUAAGGCAGUAUUAGUGCGGUGCUUUUCUUUGUGCUUACGUUGUAAGCAGGUCUUAACAACAAAGGAGUUAAGAUUCUAAGGCACAGUAAAAUGGUGGAAUACCCACUUGAUUGAAAAAGAAGGUGGUACAAAACUCAGCAGUUUGGGCAAGGUAACCAAGGUUUUUUAAACUUCAAAUCACGAUUUUACUUAGUGAUGGCUUGGUUUGGGGUGUCUGAAGGACUAUAUUGCGGUUGAAUCUGGAUUAGUAAGUUCUUUGAAACUUCUAAAGUACUUAUCAUUUGAAAGUAAAUAGUUAGAGGUUUGCUGAGCUUAAAUUUCCAAAGAUUAUAUCUGCAGAUUUAAUGAUAUUGACAAGUUCUCAUAGUACAAUCAUCUGAUUUUGUCAUGUUGGAUGCAAUCCCAUUAAUAUGCUAAAAUAAUAAGAUCUGGAUAUUAGUCCUUAAGUUUUGGAUUGAACAGUAGUUGGAUCCUAUAUUAGAUUUGAGAUUUUGCUAGCCAUCACUAUGGGGCAAAGCCAUGCAUCCUUUCUAUAUGAUAGCCGUGUAAAGGCCAUUUACUGUUGGGUUCAUGAAUCAUUUAUUUCUUUCUCUUAAACUACUCUUUGGUGGUUUGAACAAAAAAAAGAAUUUGCUGUUUAAGAAAAUUAAGUUUUGGUCUUGGCUGGUACUUGCUUACGAUGCACACCUAUAGUGUGCACAGUUAUUGGGUUGAGUUACCACAAUGUUAAAUCUCCUGCAGAUUUAUACUACAAUUGUACUGUGAUGCAAUGUAAAUCCAUCGUUAAUGAUUGUUUUUAAACUUUCAAGCACAGCAAGACUCAGAGGUUUGCAUGCACCAGAAAGGAGCUGCUGAAAUAGUUUUGGCUUUUUGUACAAAGUACAAGGAUGCAAAUGGUCAAGUGGUAGCAAUGGAUAAAGAUCAGGUUUGGGAAAUAAUUGGCUAUUAUAGCAAUUCAAUAGCUGCUAGCUUUUUCCUUGCCGAAAUCUUUCACAGUGCUAUUAUAGUUUGAAAUAAUUUUGACAAAUCUACAUUUCAUAAAUGCCAUGUUUUUUCUGUGACAGCAGAGCACAUAUUCUGGUAUUGCACUUAUGUUCUUCGUGGGAUUAUGCCUUGACAUUUUCCUGAUCCAAAUUUGACCAUUUAGUUUUGGAAGUUUUGCGCAUUACACAUUAUAUUCCAUGGAGGCAGAUCUUGAAUCCUCUGUACUACUCUUUCCUACGCAACCAUUCUUGAAUACCUUGUAUUAUGUAUGUAUUUCACAUUUGUUGCUUUUAUAUUCAUGGUUACACUUAUAUCCAUGAUUAGGCUUUUUGCAUAGUCUCAGAGUCAGGGUGGUAAAUUGUUUUCUUCAUGUUUUCUUGCCUUGUUACAAGUCAUUAAUGAUAUUGAUGGAAGAUCGUUAAGUGAGUUUCCUCUUGUUUUGCAGAAGAUGUACUUCAGAAAGGCUAUUGAAGAUAUGGCUACUGAUAGUCUUCCCUGUGUUGCCAUUGCAUAUAGAUCAUAUGACAUAAAAGACAUUCCUCUAGAUAAAGAACAGUAAACCAAGUGGGCAUUACCAUAGGAUGAGCUUAUCUUACCGACUAUUGUGGGCAUAAAGGUAAUUCUUGUCUAGCAGUGAACAAGAUAUUAAGUGAAAAGGACAUCAUUGAUUUCUAUUUGUUCUUAUUUCUGGCUAUGAAAGGUUCCCUGCAAGAUGAUAUGACUCUAGGAAUGCUUAAAUUUUUGGAGGUUUUCUAACAUUCAGAGAAAACUUCUGCUUUGGAAAAUUCAGUUCUAUUCCAUGACUUUGAAGAGUUCUUGUUGGGGACCUAAUGAAAUUUAAUGUGUUCGUUAUUUCAUCGACACCAGCUGGUUGAUCCAACUUUUUAAAUAACUUUUGCUGGAAUCCAUAGAACUCUGUCUCAGUACAAGUGGCUGGCAAGUGAAGGAAGAAAAUGUUUUUUUACAUUUGGCCGGAUGCGCUGUUAAUCAUUUGCUGUACUUACUCUUAAUAUGUAUGCAGUUUAAUCGUAAGAAUGAUGAAUUCUCUUGCACACGCAUACCAUGCAGGAUCCUUGUCGUCCUGAAGUAAAAGAUGCCAUGAAACUAUGCCAAAUUGCUAGAGUUAAGGUAUGUUAAUAUUAUUUUAUCAUUUUUUUCAGUUGGUUUAUUUGGGGAUAUGAUCCUUCAUCCUUCUGCUGCUUCUUUUUUAAUUACUUCAGGAACUCAAAAUUUGAGUUUCUCAUCAUUUGCAUCCUUUUAGGUGGUCAUAUUGGAUAUUUAUGUUGGUUCGAUGCUUUUCUUUGGAAAAUGGAUUGACCAUAAUUCAUUGUUGUAUAAUGAAGUUGAUAUGAAGGGUAAGACAUAGAGAUUCUGUUUACGAUUGCGAUUGAGAAGUACAUUGUCAUUUAGUCAUUUCAGUAAAGGGUGCUUUCAAGAUAUUUUCUUAGGAUGCUAAUCAUUGAUGCUGGAUUCCAAAUAGUAAUUUGCGGCAGCAUUACAGAUUGAGGAUAGGUACUUAUCUAGACGUGACCUCAGUAUGUGAUUAAAUCUUAUUUUGUGAUAGGUACAAAUGGUUACUGUUGACCAUCUCCAAAUUGCCAAAGCAAUUGCUUUGGAAUGCGGGAUACUAGAUCCAGAAGCAGAUGCUAUUGCGCCAAACCUUAUUAAAGGAAAAACUUUCCGUUCCUUAAGUGCUGAGGAAAGAGAAGAAGUUGCUGAGAAGAUAUCAGUAUGGAAUUGCUUCUCUUCUGUGUAAUUAAUCAUGUCUUCUAUUUGAAGGUGUGCUUAUAGUCUUUAUGAGAUUUGCAACAGGAUAUGGGAAGAUCAUCUCCUAACAAGAAGCUGCUGGUUUUUCAAGCAUUGGGAAAGCGAGGAAACGUUGUAGCUGUAACUGGGGAUGGCACUAAUGGUUUUUCGGAGGGUUCCUUUAAUAAUGUCCUAAUAAUGUUAUCACCUUUUCUAUUAAUUCAUGACUUCUGUCAUUCUAGCGUCUAUUCAGCAGAUAUAGCAGACAGAUGCCUUGAAAUCCUUCUAAUAGAACUGGUUCAUAGUCUUGAAGUCCCUGGAUGCCUCAUGGUAUCUUUCUGUGCUAAGAUGAAUUGCAAUACGUUGGUAAAUUUGGUUGUAGCCUUCAAGUCGCUUCAUGUCUGGAAGUUGUCUUGUUCUUAUAUUUACUACAAGGUAAAUAGAUUGCAAGGUGUUAAAAUAAUGUGGGAUCUUAGUUUGCCAUGUUUUUAGAAAAAUUUUCAUCAUCAUGAAUGGCUCUCGAGUGUUCAUUUUUUUGGUCUGCUUAUACCCAUGCACUUCUGUUGUGCCUUGACUUUGAACUCUUUUCAACCAAUAAUUUUGUUGCUUGGAUAUCUCUUUUAUCUUGGAGUUCAGGCAGAUAUUGGCCUUGCAAUGGUAUUCAAGGGAUGGUAGUUGCAAAAGAGUUUUCAAACAUUAUAAUGGGUAGUCUGCCUGAAUUUCUAAAGCGGAAUUCAGCAUCCUCAUGACAGACUUUAUUGUUUGAUUGAAUUUUUCUGGAAAGUGGUGUCAACUAAUGGUAAUGAGUUAUAGUGGAGCUUCAGUACAUUAGUUACUUGGAGAGUUCUCUCUCUGGAAAGUUGUCUACUUUUUUUACUAGAUGGUACUGUGCAUAUUUACUUGACUCAGAUACGUAGUCCAGAUUCCUCAAACAAGUACUUCACAAUACUAAAACUUCACCUGCAAAUUUGGAAAAUAUUCAGAUUUGGAAAAUAGAAUUGGGCGGUGGCAAAUCUUUUUUGACUUGCUAAUUAGUUGAUUAUUUGAUUUCACAUUGUCAACUUAAUUGUGGGUUACGAUUUUGAAUCUGGGUGCGUUUGGUUGAUUAAUCCUUAGAAAGUGUAGAGAUGGUUGACAGACCUCAAUUUAUCUGGUGGGGAACAUUUGUAUAUGCAAAUAUUCAGAAAUUUAUUCAGUGUCAGCUACACUUAAAGUUGCAGCUCUUAUCUUUAACGUUGUUGCUGCAUGCAGGUACUCGUUCUCUCUCUCUCUCUAGCAUGGGUGUGCGUGCGCCCACGUGUGGGUGCCCCUACCCAUUUCUGCUUCUCUUUGCUCACUCUACUUCUCAACCUUUCUCUUUGCUUGCAGCUUCUAUGGGUUAAUCUUAUCAUUUCGAACACCCCUGGUGCAGUAGCACUGGCUACCGAGACUCCAACUGACCACCUUAUGCAUAGGCCUCCGGUUGGUAGGAGGUAAGAGUUCCUGGAUGUUAUUAUUGGGUGCAACAUAUGUGAAAAAUUUUGGUCACAAGCUUCGAGAUCCUGUUUUUUUCUUGUCAACUCAAAUCCUCGGUUUCUUUAGAUGUGUAUUGGGAUUUCUUCACUUGCCGAAACCUGUCGUUUAUCCUUACCCUUCGAGCAUGCACUGGUAGGGUGAUUUUCUCAAUUGCAGAGAACCUCUCAUCACAAGUAUCAUGUGGAGGAAUUUAUUGAUACAGGCAUAGCCACUAACACUUUAUACGAAAGGGUUUUUGCUGGCUUCUUGCUCCUAACAGUGGAGUUUUGGGUCUUUAGCCUGCCUAUCAAAUGAGUGUCCUGCCCGUUCUCAAUUUCCGUGGUAUAAGCUUUUACUGAAAUUGGAGUAUGGUAGGAACGGUCAUGCUCACAAAGUGAAGGAUACCCUCAUCUUUGUCUUUUGCCAAGUAAGUUUGGUUCCUUACAGUCAAACAAGACUGCGAUAAUAUUGGGUGGGUCUUACCCUCCACGUAAGCUUAGGGUAAGACCAUUCAGCGAUCAACACGUGGCUCCACAUAGGCGACAGCGUCAGAGGUUUAAAAUUUGGGCGCGCCGCUCUUGGGGCCCACCACUCUGACGCUCUCUCUCCUCUACGACCUCUAUGACCUGUCGACUCGUCCUCUCUCUCCUCUCUCUCUCUCUUUCCCCGUUCUCCCCGUUCUCCGUUCCGUUUUGCGAGAGAACAAAAGUCGCAGGUGCUUCUCUCCGAAUGCUCUUCCCUCUCCUCUGCUCUCUCUCCUCCGCUGGUUGCCUGCGACGUCGAUGCCGACGCCCUUUCCACCUCCACCGACGCCUCUGCUCUCCUCCGCUAGUUGCCCGCGACGCGGACGCGGAUGCCUCUGCUCUCUCUCCUCCGCUAGUUGCCUGCGAUGUCAAUGCCGACGCCCUUUCCACCUCCGCUGAUGCCUCUGCUCUCCUUCGCUGGUUGCCCACAACAUCGACGCCGAUGCCUCUGCUCUCUCCUCCGCUGGUUGCCUGCGAUGCCGAUGCCAACACCCUUUCCACCUCCACCGACGCCUCUGCUCUCUCUCCUCUGCUGGUUGCCCGCGAUGCGGACGCCGACGCUCUCUCUCCUCCGCUGGUUGCCCGUGACACUAACGCCGACACCCUUUCCCCCUCCGCCGACGCCUCUACUCUCUCUCCUCCGCUGGUUGCCCGCGACGCCGACGCCCUUCUGCCGGUUGCCUCCAUCGCCCCCGACUCCGACUCCGACGCCGAUGCCAACGCAGCCUCCGCCUCCGCCCUUGAACCCGAUUCUGACGCCGACGCCUCUUCGCCUCUGCCUCCGCCGCCCCCGACGCCGACGCCCCUCCGCCGGUUGCCUCCGUCGCCCCCGACUCCGACGCCCCUCAAGCCGGUUGCCUCCGUUGCCCCCGACUCCGACGCCGACGCCCCUCCACCUCCGCCCUCAGGCCCCUUCCCUUCCUCUCCCCCGUCGCCAAUUCCAUCGCGUCUCGUUGUUCUAGGUGAGCGCCGCUUCUGAUUCCUUUCCCCACUCGCUUGCUCGCGAUCGACCGGCCUGAAAGUGAAUGUGCUUUUUCGAGAGAUUCGAACUGUCUAUCGAGUGAACGUACCUCUAGGUGUCAGCGGAGGUUGGUGCUGCUCGGUGCGCAAUGUUUGACAGAGCGGCGGCGGCUUUAGGUUCAGACUAUGCCGCGAUAUGCAUUUUGUUUUUUGAAAAUUUAGUGUGGACUUAGGAAUGCUUGUGAAAUUUGAAUACGUGACGGCAGCUGUAAUGUAUGAUGGCUUGUGCCGACUUGAUUGGGCUUGAAUGACGGUUUCGAUAUUAAGCCUAUGUUAGCAUCGGGCAGUGAUUGAAAUCGUACAUGAGCUUGUCUAUUGUAGUUGCUGCCAAAAUGUUCGCGUGAGAUUGUGAGGAACCUAUCUAUUGUUCACGCUUGCUUGAUGUUUAAGGCAUUUAAUUGAUGGUUUCGCUCAACGAGAUGGCGAUGAGAAGUGUCUGUAACUGAGUGUUAAGUCAUCUGUCCCUUUGCCUUCGGUCUUUUAUUUAGUGGUGAUUAAACAAUGAUGAACUUGGAGAAGAUGAAAGAUGUUCAGGGAAUCAGUCAGCUGUUUCUGAUGUGCACAUGCAUGUGCGGACGUGAGUGUUUCCAUGUGUUUUGGGCAAGCAGUCAGCAGCUUCUUGCUUUUUUUUUUUUUUUUAUGGUUUGGGCAAAUAUUCUGGAGAGAGAAGUGGUUUUUGAUAGGGUGCGGGAGUACAUACUGUUACUUUAGUAUUGUUUCAGAUAUGGAGCUUUAACUUAAUCCUAGAAAGUUGCUCGAAUGGAAAAUUUGAUAUUCCUCAAUGCUUAGAAUAUGCCACUGCUUAUCUUUGACUCUACUUGAGUGGGGACCUGAAUGAUGAGUCCAGGUGGGCUUCAGGAGUUUAGAUAAAAAGUGGUAUUGGCAUUCAAAAUGAAAAUGGCACUUUUAGGAUUGUAGUCUUGCACUCGUGUAGCUACCUCGAUCUAACUAUUAGCCUGAUUGGGUGAUUUUUCUUGUAUUUCUUAUAAAUUGAUUUGAUUUAUCUACUUGCUUAUAUAUUCAGGAUCCUUAAAGUUUCCACUGAAGAACUGUGCCAUCGUUUUGAUGAAGAGAUACUUGAAAGUGCUAGGCAACCUUCAGUCUACCCUAGGAAUUUUGUAGAGUUUUGCUCAUACAAGGCAAUGAAUGCGGCAACAAAAGCUCCUGAUUCCUCUUCGCCUGAUGUAGCAUGAGUAAUAGGUAGAGAUGGUUGGUGACAAAGCUGGAGGCAUUUGUUCAUCUAGUUUUAUUAAGUGACUGUUUUUCACGUGGAAUUUAGUACCAAUGUCUCUCAUUAUUAGCCCAUGCAUAUUAGUAGUAGGAUUAUGUCAUUUUACUCAUAAACGAUAAUGAUUGGGAUAUUUUAUUCCCUUAGAAUAUAUAGUUAAUUAAGAUACUUAACUCUGUCAUUGAUGGGAAGGUGAAUAUGUGAAAUCAAACUCCAUUGCAGCUUAUAUUCAUUCAUAAUCUGUUUUUGUUCCGUGGUUUCUAUAGCUAGUUUUGUCAUGCAAAUAUAUGUCAAAACUAAAAGAACACGGUUGAUCAAGAAACUUGCAAAAAUAUAGGAAGAUCAUGGUCUUGUAGUAGAAGUUACUGAUUUGAUGCAAGAAAUUGGGGUUAACUAGAAGUCGACUUCUAUUGUUAACGUUCUUGUGAUUAGUUUUUCCUUGUCCAGCAUUCCUAUUUUGCUGGUUCGUUUGUGCUUAGAUCGCCAGGAUUAUGUCUGUGCACAGCACAUAUCCUUUUCAGGAAGAUCAGCCCCAGAAUGUUUGAUGCAAUUCCUUCCAAAGAGAAAAAAAAGUGUAAAGAAGGUGGAAGCAUUGUGGAAGAAGCUCCAGCUGAUAUUUUGUCACUUGUCGAGUUGAUAAGCUUUCCUGGCAAUUGCCUCCGGUGCUGAAACAAAUAUGGUAGUGAAGUGCCCCUUAUUAAUACCCCAUGUCUUAGGUAAACAAACAGAAACAUAUAAAUCUGUGGUGAUUAUUCUCCACACAAAACUGUUGCUGGCACUCUUACUGAAACUCUGGCUGCCACCUCUCGGUGGGGGAAUGAAAUAAGUAGCAAAGAUGUUGAGCAAAUGUGUAGAGAUGAAUCACUCAAUAAGCACGCUGCACUCUUGCAAUAUCUUGAGAAGAAACUUGCUCUUGUAAGUUAUGAGAUUGAACAAACUUAUGCUAUAAAAUUCUGCUCCAUUUCCUUAAUUAUUUAUCACAUUUUCCAUUUAUUUUUUCCUCUUCUUUCCAGGCUAAAGGGAAGGUCAAAAGGGCUGAGAAAGCUCUAGCAAAAGUGCAGGAGAAUCUUAGACCAGCAGACCUUCCAGUUGAUCUGGAAACCAUAAGUGAUGAGGAGAGAUCUUUACUACGUAAGAUUGGUCUGAGUAUGAAGCCCUUCCUGCUUAUCGGUAAGAAUAGCAGACCUUCCACUUGAUGCCUGAAUUUGGAUGAUUUCUGUCCGAAUUCAGCAAUUAUAUCUCUGCCAUCAAAGAACUAUACUCGUGUCUCAUCCGUGCCCAAUGGGAAAUCUGAAUACUAAGAAGCAUGCGGUAGAUGUAAUGAUUUUCAUAGGUGUUCAAGAGCGUAUGAGAAUUACUAAAUCAAAUUUUUAUUCUUUCUGUGGGUAGGUCAAACUCUUUCGGGUGCAAGGCAUUCAUGUUUUUGCAGGGCUUGUGAUUAUUAUGCCCUUGACAAUAGUCUAUCGAGCUUCUCUGUGAGUAGUAGAUAGUGGAUGCCCAGGUUGGACUUUUAUCUUGCAUAUGCAAUUUAGAUGACUCUGAGUUUGCAAGAUCAAGGAGUACCCGGAAGCCUGCAAGAAGGAUGGCAAAAAUUUUUAUGGCGACAAAGUUAGUUCGUAGGUGUUCCCUGGCUUCGGCGUAGAUAAAUUUGAAGUAAUCUUUUUGAUACAUGUCGAUCUGAUAUCAUUUUCUUGACUUUCGGUUAGGUAAUGUUUCUGAAGUGUCGUUACCUCUGGCCUCCAUUGGCAUUAGCUAGCACAUGCUGGCAAGUUGUUAUGUAUCUUUGGUGGCUGAAUGACUCCAUAUGCUCAGUUAGACCUAGCAUUGAGUAAAUUUUAUAUUUUUGCCAUCUUUCUUCUAACGCAUUUGUAGUUCUUGAAAAUUGACUUGCAGGAGAAGUCAUCUACGAUGGAGUUAAAGCCUCACAAUAUAAAAUUCAAGAUAAGACUUGAUAAAGGGACAUCAUUGCCACCCCCCGAGUUUGGAAAGGGUAAAACUGUGGAGGUCAGCAGUGAUGAAAAAGUUUAUGAGGGUUCUUGGUUUUCUGCAAUUGUCAUCAACUAUAUAGGAAAUGACAAGUAUCUGGUCGAAUACCUAACCUUGAAAACAGAUGACGAAACUUAACCUUUGAGGGAAGAAAAAUAUUCACGGUAUAUCAGGCCCUACCCUCCUCAUCUUCCAGCCAGGCGUUUCAAGCCUCAGUAUGUUGGUACAAUUACGGAUGGUGGGUCGGUGUAAUUUCCAAAGUUCUAAAAGGCUCUCAGUAUGUUGUCCACUUCAGCACAUCCAAUGAAGAACUAAUUUUCAAUGAGUCUAAUCUGAGGCUUCACCAGGACUGGAAUGACGGCAAGUGGGUCAUUGCUUCCCGGGUAAGAACUACGGUAGCUUCUAAUUUUGUGAUGAAUUGUUUUGGUGGAGUUCUGUCAUUUAGGUUCAUGCUUUUGUUUCAUUCCUGGCCGAACUUCCCCCAUGCCUUGUUGUGAUUUUGAUUGGUUGCAUGGAGAAUGCUAUACAUAAGGAGUUCUUGAUGGUGUCAAAUUUGUGAUUUUGCAAGUUUAGAGGAACACUUAAUCAGUCAAACCAUAUUUCAAUUACUUUGAUGCAAAUUGGUGCCAGUCAAUGAUGUCUGAUGAACUAGAGAUUAUUUCACAUGGCAGUUAUACUAUGUUUUACCGAUCUGAGUUUAUAACUCUUUGAAUUCAAAUACCAUAUUCCUUUAUUUAAUUGUAACACUUAAUCGGUUGACUUGCUUCUCUAGGACAAUCAUGUAGCUAAUGGGUUCUUGAAAAGAGACUCGUUGCAAAUGCAGUGCCAUCCCAUGUUAUCGGUUAAUUUUCUUGCUUUCCCCUAUGUUGAAGUGAUCAAAUAUUUUUUGCUGGAAGAGUGAACUAUGAAGCUUAUAUGUAUGGACUCCGGGUCAUGCAGUAGAAAGUCACACCUGUCAAUAAGCAUCAUGCUCGAUAAAUGCUUUAUCAUAAUGUUAUCCACAGAAACUCUAGCUUUCUUCUUGUGCAUACAAUAAAUUAUGGUGUAUUUGUUUGGUGGAUAUGAGAAAUUAUUUAACAUCUAAACCUCCAUGAUCCUAUGCAAUCAAGCCUUCUUAAUGAGUCUUUAGAGGAUAAAAAUCUCUCAGAAAAUUCCCAAUUCAGGUACCAUCUCUGAAUUGUUGUGGGUAAUUGGCUGUGCAUCUUGAAAUAUCACAAUAAUGUGCUAUAGAAUUGGUUGACCAUGCCUUCGAUAUUUGAACGUAGGCUGCUUCUAAAACAAUUGGUCAGGUUGGAAGUUAUCUAGUGACCUGCUUCUUGGAGUACUUUAAAUAUGAAUUCGAGAAUGAGAAAAACAUGCUAGAAGGUGCACCUGUUGAGAAGGCAGCAGAAGUUCUUACACAGAGAAUCAUUAAACUUGUACUUGCAGAACUUUGUCAUUUUUCUUCUUUUCGGAUCAUCAUUCAGAUGUGACUCGAUCUAUUUUCUGCAGAAUAUUAUCUUCAUUCCAAAGCAUUACUCAAGGAUUACCUCAAAAGGACUUGCAGAGCUGUCAUGCCUCAGCAUUCAGGCCUGAUUGUGUUGAACAUUUUUUUUUUUUAAUAUUCUAUAUCAAUGUCAAUCUUUAUGAAUUGUUGCCUAGACCUCUCAUUUAACCUGAGCAGCCUCCCUGCCUUCAAUUCCUGAUUGGGGUAUGGUUGCUGGACUAGGAUACAAGUUCCAAAUUAGUGGAAAAGAGUUUUUGGUGCAUUGAAAGCCAAAGGCUUGUCAUGAAUUGGUGGAGAUCCAUGCUUACUCUAUACUCAAAACAUAGAGAAAUUUAAUGAAUUUAUUAGUUGCUUUUUACUAGAUAAGCACUAAGUUAUCCCUGCUGACAUGUUUACAGGGGCUCCAUUUCCGAGCAAUUUCAAAGAUGUUGUCAAAACCAUUUUCAAGUGCUUGUUCCGUGUCUACGCCCAUAUCUACCAUUCACAUUUUCAGAAAAUCGUGAACUUGAAGGAAGAAGUUCAUCUAAAUACUUGCUUCAAACAUUUCGUUCUCUUCACAUGGGUAAGUAAGCAUAGCUACUAAGCUUUGCAGAUAUGACUUACCCAAUGAUUCUAUCAUACUUUUUAGAUUGGCUUUGAUAUGUUCUUAGUCUUAUUAAGUUUGGGUCAAGGAAAUACUUUCAAUUACUAUAUUAAUGAGUCACAAGCAGUAGUUUAGUUAGGUUAUUAGCUUUACAACGAGAGUCUAGUACAAAAAAGACUUGUGAUGGCAAGUAUUGAUUGUCUUUAAUUUGAUGUAGGAAUUUCGGUUGAUUAACAAAGAGGAGCUUGCGCCGCUUAAUGAACUCGUUCAAUUGUGGUGGUGGGGGGGGGGGGGGGGGGGGGGGGGGGGGGGGCGUGAGUUCCUAUCCCAUGUAUUCUCUUGUUUCCCUUUUCCCCCUUCUUUUGGAUAACUAGAUUGAGAUUUUUUGGCGAACUUUUUUUCGUCGUUUGUGAAUGAGAUAUCUUGAUUCAGUUCAUCGCCUUAUCUUUAGUGUGUUUAUAUAUGUUGAUUUGGUGUAAAUUCUGUACAUCAAACAAGAAAACUCUUGGUCUCCCAAUGUCAUUUAGUGCAAUUUUAGAGCAUGCAAUGAAUCUUGUGAUCCUUCUGUAGAAAGAAGUUCGUCCAUUCAAGACGUUUGAGGGACUUGCAAGAGAAGCCCUUGCUUGUUUGUUGAUAGAAAAUGCUUGAAACAACAUGUCAGUUUGCAAUUCUCUGCAGCAUAAUAAGAAUUGAUUUCUACAGAUUUGGUACUCCUGUACUUUGAAAAUUUUCCAUCUGAAUCAUCUCUCAAAACUUGUAACGUUCGGUAACAUAAUCACAAGUUGGCAUUGAAUACGAAAAGUAUUUGCUGACCGCAAUCUCGUUCUAAGACCAGAAUUCCCCGGGAUUUGAUGCUAGUGGUCAUUGAGACUGUAGCAAAGACAAAAAACUGUUAGUCUCGUAAGAAACUACUCCGGCUAUUCAAGUCAUUUCUCGCGCCCUAUAGAUCUAUGCUUGAAAGUAUGCAUCGCAUUUGCCUGUUUCAUGCCGACUUCAUAUAUAUAUAACCUGAAACCUGAUGUUGUUGAUAAGCAUGGUACAGGAACUAUGAGUGAAAUAACAGCCUUGCAUUCGAAUAUGGGAUGUAACUAAACCGGAUUUUGACAACCCAAAGUGAAAAAUUACAAAUAAAGAUACAGAAGGGAGAUCUUUCAUUGUGUAAUUUGAAGUAUUACAAGGUCUUCUGUGCCACACAAUCGAAUUCACUAUAAUUUAACUUCAUGAGAUUUCUCCAAUCCCCUAAAUAGAAAAGUCUCCUAUCAUUUUGUUUCUUUUUUUGCCACCAUGGGCUCAUAAUCUUUCUUUCAAUGGUAUUCUGUAAAUUUUCUUCUGAAUAAAUUAUUCACCAGAAUCCCUUGAGCGCCUUAAAUUCAGUAGCUCAGUGACGCUAAUGUAAUACCAGCCAGCCUGAGCACUAGGCCAAGGAACUUUCUGAUUUAGCCGUGGCAUCUUUGGCUGACGAGAUUUCUUGAACCUUGACAGCAUGCGUUCAUCUCUCUUAUGCACCCAAAAUUGCAUCACGGAGAAAGGAGACACUUCACCUUUUAGCCUUACUUCCUUCAUCUCCAUUUUAAAUCCAACAUAUCAUGCAUCAAUUAAGGGUUCUGCAUGGAAGCAGUAAAUUGCUUACCGCAACAGAACCUGAUACUAAGCCACCUCCAGGAUCAUUUUCCAACAAAACCCAGCAUUUAAUAGGAGAUGCUUUAAAGUGACCAAGGCUGCGAGUACGGGCAAACAAGUAACCAAUUAGAAUGAUAAUCUUAGUAUCAAGGAAAGAAAUAAUUGGCAUGGGAUACCAAGAGGGUACCAGCCAUGGACUUUGCAGACUCAAAGCAUAACAAGAAUGUGGCUAAACGCUUUAUGAAUGCUGUAGCCUUCUGCAUGUCAAGUGAGUGCCUAUCAUUGCACAGCAUCAUCUUUAGAGCUUCAGCUAGCACCUCACCCUGAUCUCUGCUUGAGACAUCAGAUAUCAAUGAGUAACCAUACAAAGGGAGAAAGACACUAUUGCCAAUCUGGUUUGUUCAUUAUAACAAAGUCAAUAAUUCUUGCAUGACUUUUUCUGUCAUUGCCAAACAUCUAGGACUGCGGUUAUAAAGAAAAUCAUGUGAACAAAAGUGCAUGAGCAGAUGAGUCCAGAAAACCAGCUUGACAGCAAGGAUAUGAUCUCUGCUUCAGACAUCAGAUAUUAAUUACAAUUAAAAGUGUUGUGGUCAUGAGAAAUAGAUCACUAUUUCAUCUCCGAACAAAGUCAUCUGCAUUUAGAGCUAUGGUUUAUAAUAAAAUCUGGUAACUAAAAGUGCAUGAGCACAUGACCUCAAAAAACAAACUUGACAGCAAGGUACUGAGCACCCAACAUAGAAGUGCUAACCUUCCAGGCCUCUAUUCAAGUAUGAGGUUGUAUAGCUGAACAAAAAAAUCUUGCAAAUCAACGUUCAAAGCAUCGAGAUUGUUCCUCAUUACUUUAAAAGCAAUGAUGCAACAGCAAAGUCUUUCCGAGACGGUACGCAUUUUCCUGAACUGUCUGAUUUUCCACAAGAACAUGCAAGCUUUUUAAGGUAAUUCAUGAGAUCUCCAAUAUAAUCCAAGUCAAUCAGGUGAGAAAAUUUUCCUAGACCAUGGUCUAAGGAGUGGGUGAGCCUUAGUCACAUGAGUUGUACCAGUAUCUCCAUUAGGUCUGUAAAACAAACAGAAAUAAUGAAGUGAUCACAGUAUCCCGUUAGAUACCAUUCACAAAGACAAUUUCUAACUCAACUUUAUGCACAUAUUUUAGGUUGAUUAUAGAGAAAGAUUAAAUCAACACAGCAAAUGGACAGCAUCACUUAUAAUUAAGAACCACACCUUAAAUUGGUCCUAUGAAUUUUUUCAAGUCAAUCUGAAGACCUGACCAAUAUUGAAACCCCAGUUUCAGUGUCUAAUAAAACAUUUGCUUUGACACGGUACUACGCACCAAGACCAAUAUGCCCUACCAUGUUCAAAUAUUUCACUAUAGUGUCAAAACCAUACAAAAUGACACAUGAAAUCACCUGGACACAAUUGACUGCAUAGUAUGCUUCAGAAUACGAAAAUAUAUCUCAAAUACGGCAGAAAGUGUCUCUGACUGCAUCCUUCGGCGCUCCAUAAUAUCUGGAUCGAAGCUAGCUGCUUUAUAAUCAGCAGCAACCUGUUUACACCACCAAGCACCUCAAUUUUAUGAUAUGAAAUUAAAAAAUCAGAGAAAGUAGGCAGUUGUUGCAUAAGAAUCCCUACCUCUUCCCUCACUAUCACAAUAUUAGUAGUCAACUAUGAGAAGAAUGUGAAAUCGACUUAACAAGAGAACGUUGCAGGAAGAAAUGCUGAUUUUCUAAUUUAGUACACCUAUGCCUUUUUCUAUAAGGGCCCUCGGAAGUGGAGAUCCUCAAGUAACAGAACCGUAGUAAUAUUGCAACAGCAAGCACAGCUGCAGUUUUCGAUUUUACCAGUGUGAAUUAGGUGUUAAGGAAGACGAGGGCAAUCUUAACUCCUAUUUCCACCAAAGAACAAUUCAUCUUCUUGUCGUGGAAUAUGCCUUGAGUUUUGCUCAACUGCAGGUAAAUAAAAUCUGGAAUAGUGGGCUGAACAAGAAGGUGAAGUAUGUACAAGGAUCAGUUUCUACUGAUCCUCAACAUGGCAAUACUUAUUAAGCAUGGCUGUAAUUGAGUUCACUUGGGGUAAUACCCGUAAGCAAUUUUGUAACAUCCAGUACAGUAAGACAAAGUAAAACAUCAAUCAAGGCUUAUUUACAAGUGACUUGGCAAUGAUGAGCUUCCUAGGUGAAGGCUUGGUUUGAAGCACGGCGCUUUCAUGAUUCUGAUCUGGAAGUACAAAGACCAUGAUAAGACCGGAUAACCUGAAAUAGCAGAUAGCAUUCUUUAUUAAAAUGUGUUUAACUAAUUGAACACAGUGCUUCAUAUUUGAUGAGGAGAUAGAUUCACAACCUUAUUCUGGUCAAGAUCCCAGCAUUUAACUUGUUUGUCAUCACCAGCAGAGACAUAUAAGUAUGCUUACUACUCACUGCAAGGCCUGUAAUUUGAAUAAGGUAUAGAGUUGGAGCUGUCAGAAUCUGAAAAGUAGCUAGCCAAAACAAGUUCAAACUGCUAAUCAUUUAUUAUGUCAAGCACUCACCCCUAAUCUGUUCAAUAUGUCCUGUCAGCGUUAGCUUCAGCCUUCCGCUUGCUAGAUCCCAUAUCUAGGAAAAGAAUAUCAAUAUAGAAUGCUUAAAUGGGCAGAUUUCACAAAAAAGGGAAGUUGAUGAAGAAAGCAUAUGGUCAACCAGAAUGCAUGCAAAGAAGAGAAAAAGAGUCAACUUAAGACCCCCUCUGGUUGGGGGCAUUUAAAAUUCAUCUCUACAAUGUCAACGCUCAUCUAUUUCAAAAAUUUUAAUAGCAAUUUCCAUCUCAAAUUGUACUUUAUACAAUUAAAUCACAGAGAUCAUGCAAUUCGAAAUAACAUUAGAAUUAAGGAUACAACUUCAAAAAAGUUUUAGAACAAAAUGCUGCCAUAGAAAAGAGUGAUCAACUUUCUGGCGACUCAAUGAUUCUAACAAUCAUCUUGUUCAACUAACCAAAAGAACUAGAAAGUGAGCAUCUAUGAUUAGCAAAUUUUACCAACAAAAGAAGACCAGGAAUCAUCAAAAAGCACAAUUGUAAAAGCUUAAUACCUUAAUUGUCCGAUCUGCAGAGCCAGUGCAGAAUCAUUGAUUGCUAGGAUCAAAUGCAAUAGAUCUCACCCAUCCCAAAUGCCCACUUAUGACCUUGCACAUACAAAAAGGAGAAAACAAAACACAUAACAAUCCAAGUAAGCGAGCAAAUAACUGCAGAUACGAUAACAUGGACAAGACACAGCUGUAUGAUAAAUUCAAAUGUAUAAUUAUCACAUGACACCAUAACUAUUACUGAAACAAAACAAGAACUUUCUUCUAGCUGCCAGAAAAAUUAGGCCACAAUUCUCACCCUGUAGUUCUUCCAUGGAGGAUGCCACACAGGACGUGGCCACCUGCUUGGAAUUCUUUCCAUAAUGGCUGAGGUAGACAAAUUCCUAAAAACAGAGUGAGAGCAUGAGGCCAAACCAGAUUAAGUACCUUAGAGCAGAACUUAAGAUGACUCGGUGAUCCUUGAAUGCAUGAGUCGAAUUAUGAGAAUCCAUGAAACAGCUUUUUAGAAACCAUUAAGAAAUGUUCUGAUGUUACUUCAGUGGACUGUGCAAAUAGAUGCAUGUCAACGUAUUAAAAAAGUAAUAGUAAUAUAAAAGUCCUAUUUUGACCAAAAAUAUAGGAUACAUAGCCUAUCAUUGCCAAUAGCAUACAUUACUCAAGAAACUCAGAAAUGGGGAUUCCGCCCUAUAGCCAUAAGAGAUAAUCACGUGAAAACAGGAGCGACUCUGGCAUCCCCUUAACCGUAGCAAGAGCACGGUCCUCAAUCAAGAAGCAAUAUAGGUCAAGACAAAUAAUUGAUGAAUAUGUCGUUGUGUAAUAAAACACUUGCAGCUUUCUUAUAUGGUGUUAUAGUUAAGAUGGUUUUCAAACUUAUCAAUUGAUGAAGUUGCAUAAAGAGGUGUGAUCUGUAAUAGCCAAGACAAAUAAUUUGUUCAUACCGCAAUAGGAACAACGUUGAUGUAGUAGUCAACCAAGGUCGUUGCCAUCGACCUGCAAUGUAGUGGGCAAAAAUUUAUCAGUAAUCCACGUUUUGCAUAAGCAUGUUCUAGUAAAGAAAGAACCUUCGGACAUACGGGAGUCGCCAAUGGGGUGCCUAUCAGUGGGGCUUGGGAAGGCUACGGCAGGAGACGACGGCGUUGGCGGCCUCCAUGUUCAGGAGCGGGGGGCGCUUCGCAGAGGAAAGAGAGAGGGAGAGAGCGAGCAGAGUGACCUUCGUUCGCGGAGAGGGAGGCCAAAACGCGAGCAGGGGUUCGUUGGCGUCGGGGUUGCCGGCAAGGGCACUCCACAGAGGAAAGAGGACAGAGCAGAGUAGAGGUUGUGAGAGGGAGGUGAAGGGGCGUCGGUGACGGUGUCGGAGUCGGGGGUGACGGCGGAGGCAGAAGAGUCGAGGGCACCGCGGAGGAGAGAGAGCGUCAGCAUCGGCAGAGGUGGAAAGGGCAUCGGCGUCGAGGCAACAGGUGAAGGAAGAGGAAUAGAGGCGUUGGAUCGGGAUCGCAGGCAACCCAGCAGAGAAGAAGAGAGUAGAUUGCGUCGGCGGGAGUUGGAAAAGGGCGCCGGCUUUUGGCGUCCCCGGGGAACCAGGGGGAGGAGAGCAGAGGCCAACAGCGGAGGGUGGAAAGGGGCGUUGGGGUUUUGGCGCGCCAGGCAACUGGGGGAGGNNNNNNNNNNNNNNNNNNNNNNNNNNNNNNNNNNNNNNNNNNNNNNNNNNNNNNNNNNNNNNNNNNNNNNNNNNNNNNNNNNNNNNNNNNNNNNNNNNNNNNNNNNNNNNNNNNNNNNNNNNNNNNNNNNNNNNNNNNNNNNNNNNNNNNNNNNNNNNNNNNNNNNNNNNNNNNNNNNNNNNNNNNNNNNNNNNNNNNNNNNNNNNNNNNNNNNNNNNNNNNNNNNNNNNNNNNNNNNNNNNNNNNNNNNNNNNNNNNNNNNNNNNNNNNNNNNNNNNNNNNNNNNNNNNNNNNNNNNNNNNNNNNNNNNNNNNNNNNNNNNNNNNNNNNNNNNNNNNNNNNNNNNNNNNNNNNNNNNNNNNNNNNNNNNNNNNNNNNNNNNNNNNNNNNNNNNNNNNNNNNNNNNNNNNNNNNNNNNNNNNNNNNNNNNNNNNNNNNNNNNNNNNNNNNNNNNNNNNNNNNNNNNNNNNNNNNNNNNNNNNNNNNNNNNNNNNNNNNNNNNNNNNNNNNNNNNNNNNNNNNNNNNNNNNNNNNNNNNNNNNNNNNNNNNNNNNNNNNNNNNNNNNNNNNNNNNNNNNNNNNNNNNNNNNNNNNNNNNNNNNNNNNNNNNNNNNNNNNNNNNNNNNNNNNNNNNNNNNNNNNNNNNNNNNNNNNNNNNNNNNNNNNNNNNNNNNNNNNNNNNNNNNNNNNNNNNNNNNNNNNNNNNNNNNNNNNNNNNNNNNNNNNNNNNNNNNNNNNNNNNNNNNNNNNNNNNNNNNNNNNNNNNNNNNNNNNNNNNNNNNNNNNNNNNNNNNNNNNNNNNNNNNNNNNNNNNNNNNNNNNNNNNNNNNNNNNNNNNNNNNNNNNNNNNNNNNNNNNNNNNNNNNNNNNNNNNNNNNNNNNNNNNNNNNNNNNNNNNNNNNNNNNNNNNNNNNNNNNNNNNNNNNNNNNNNNNNNNNNNNNNNNNNNNNNNNNNNNNNNNNNNNNNNNNNNNNNNNNNNNNNNNNNNNNNNNNNNNNNNNNNNNNNNNNNNNNNNNNNNNNNNNNNNNNNNNNNNNNNNNNNNNNNNNNNNNNNNNNNNNNNNNNNNNNNNNNNNNNNNNNNNNNNNNNNNNNNNNNNNNNNNNNNNNNNNNNNNNNNNNNNNNNNNNNNNNNNNNNNNNNNNNNNNNNNNNNNNNNNNNNNNNNNNNNNNNNNNNNNNNNNNNNNNNNNNNNNNNNNNNNNNNNNNNNNNNNNNNNNNNNNNNNNNNNNNNNNNNNNNNNNNNNNNNNNNNNNNNNNNNNNNNNNNNNNNNNNNNNNNNNNNNNNNNNNNNNNNNNNNNNNNNNNNNNNNNNNNNNNNNNNNNNNNNNNNNNNNNNNNNNNNNNNNNNNNNNNNNNNNNNNNNNNNNNNNNNNNNNNNNNNNNNNNNNNNNNNNNNNNNNNNNNNNNNNNNNNNNNNNNNNNNNNNNNNNNNNNNNNNNNNNNNNNNNNNNNNNNNNNNNNNNNNNNNNNNNNNNNNNNNNNNNNNNNNNNNNNNNNNNNNNNNNNNNNNNNNNNNNNNNNNNNNNNNNNNNNNNNNNNNNNNNNNNNNNNNNNNNNNNNNNNNNNNNNNNNNNNNNNNNNNNNNNNNNNNNNNNNNNNNNNNNNNNNNNNNNNNNNNNNNNNNNNNNNNNNNNNNNNNNNNNNNNNNNNNNNNNNNNNNNNNNNNNNNNNNNNNNNNNNNNNNNNNNNNNNNNNNNNNNNNNNNNNNNNNNNNNNNNNNNNNNNNNNNNNNNNNNNNNNNNNNNNNNNNNNNNNNNNNNNNNNNNNNNNNNNNNNNNNNNNNNNNNNNNNNNNNNNNNNNNNNNNNNNNNNNNNNNNNNNNNNNNNNNNNNNNNNNNNNNNNNNNNNNNNNNNNNNNNNNNNNNNNNNNNNNNNNNNNNNNNNNNNNNNNNNNNNNNNNNNNNNNNNNNNNNNNNNNNNNNNNNNNNNNNNNNNNNNNNNNNNNNNNNNNNNNNNNNNNNNNNNNNNNNNNNNNNNNNNNNNNNNNNNNNNNNNNNNNNNNNNNNNNNNNNNNNNNNNNNNNNNNNNNNNNNNNNNNNNNNNNNNNNNNNNNNNNNNNNNNNNNNNNNNNNNNNNNNNNNNNNNNNNNNNNNNNNNNNNNNNNNNNNNNNNNNNNNNNNNNNNNNNNNNNNNNNNNNNNNNNNNNNNNNNNNNNNNNNNNNNNNNNNNNNNNNNNNNNNNNNNNNNNNNNNNNNNNNNNNNNNNNNNNNNNNNNNNNNNNNNNNNNNNNNNNNNNNNNNNNNNNNNNNNNNNNNNNNNNNNNNNNNNNNNNNNNNNNNNNNNNNNNNNNNNNNNNNNNNNNNNNNNNNNNNNNNNNNNNNNNNNNNNNNNNNNNNNNNNNNNNNNNNNNNNNNNNNNNNNNNNNNNNNNNNNNNNNNNNNNNNNNNNNNNNNNNNNNNNNNNNNNNNNNNNNNNNNNNNNNNNNNNNNNNNNNNNNNNNNNNNNNNNNNNNNNNNNNNNNNNNNNNNNNNNNNNNNNNNNNNNNNNNNNNNNNNNNNNNNNNNNNNNNNNNNNNNNNNNNNNNNNNNNNNNNNNNNNNNNNNNNNNNNNNNNNNNNNNNNNNNNNNNNNNNNNNNNNNNNNNNNNNNNNNNNNNNNNNNNNNNNNNNNNNNNNNNNNNNNNNNNNNNNNNNNNNNNNNNNNNNNNNNNNNNNNNNNNNNNNNNNNNNNNNNNNNNNNNNNNNNNNNNNNNNNNNNNNNNNNNNNNNNNNNNNNNNNNNNNNNNNNNNNNNNNNNNNNNNNNNNNNNNNNNNNNNNNNNNNNNNNNNNNNNNNNNNNNNNNNNNNNNNNNNNNNNNNNNNNNNNNNNNNNNNNNNNNNNNNNNNNNNNNNNNNNNNNNNNNNNNNNNNNNNNNNNNNNNNNNNNNNNNNNNNNNNNNNNNNNNNNNNNNNNNNNNNNNNNNNNNNNNNNNNNNNNNNNNNNNNNNNNNNNNNNNNNNNNNNNNNNNNNNNNNNNNNNNNNNNNNNNNNNNNNNNNNNNNNNNNNNNNNNNNNNNNNNNNNNNNNNNNNNNNNNNNNNNNNNNNNNNNNNNNNNNNNNNNNNNNNNNNNNNNNNNNNNNNNNNNNNNNNNNNNNNNNNNNNNNNNNNNNNNNNNNNNNNNNNNNNNNNNNNNNNNNNNNNNNNNNNNNNNNNNNNNNNNNNNNNNNNNNNNNNNNNNNNNNNNNNNNNNNNNNNNNNNNNNNNNNNNNNNNNNNNNNNNNNNNNNNNNNNNNNNNNNNNNNNNNNNNNNNNNNNNNNNNNNNNNNNNNNNNNNNNNNNNNNNNNNNNNNNNNNNNNNNNNNNNNNNNNNNNNNNNNNNNNNNNNNNNNNNNNNNNNNNNNNNNNNNNNNNNNNNNNNNNNNNNNNNNNNNNNNNNNNNNNNNNNNNNNNNNNNNNNNNNNNNNNNNNNNNNNNNNNNNNNNNNNNNNNNNNNNNNNNNNNNNNNNNNNNNNNNNNNNNNNNNNNNNNNNNNNNNNNNNNNNNNNNNNNNNNNNNNNNNNNNNNNNNNNNNNNNNNNNNNNNNNNNNNNNNNNNNNNNNNNNNNNNNNNNNNNNNNNNNNNNNNNNNNNNNNNNNNNNNNNNNNNNNNNNNNNNNNNNNNNNNNNNNNNNNNNNNNNNNNNNNNNNNNNNNNNNNNNNNNNNNNNNNNNNNNNNNNNNNNNNNNNNNNNNNNNNNNNNNNNNNNNNNNNNNNNNNNNNNNNNNNNNNNNNNNNNNNNNNNNNNNNNNNNNNNNNNNNNNNNNNNNNNNNNNNNNNNNNNNNNNNNNNNNNNNNNNNNNNNNNNNNNNNNNNNNNNNNNNNNNNNNNNNNNNNNNNNNNNNNNNNNNNNNNNNNNNNNNNNNNNNNNNNNNNNNNNNNNNNNNNNNNNNNNNNNNNNNNNNNNNNNNNNNNNNNNNNNNNNNNNNNNNNNNNNNNNNNNNNNNNNNNNNNNNNNNNNNNNNNNNNNNNNNNNNNNNNNNNNNNNNNNNNNNNNNNNNNNNNNNNNNNNNNNNNNNNNNNNNNNNNNNNNNNNNNNNNNNNNNNNNNNNNNNNNNNNNNNNNNNNNNNNNNNNNNNNNNNNNNNNNNNNNNNNNNNNNNNNNNNNNNNNNNNNNNNNNNNNNNNNNNNNNNNNNNNNNNNNNNNNNNNNNNNNNNNNNNNNNNNNNNNNNNNNNNNNNNNNNNNNNNNNNNNNNNNNNNNNNNNNNNNNNNNNNNNNNNNNNNNNNNNNNNNNNNNNNNNNNNNNNNNNNNNNNNNNNNNNNNNNNNNNNNNNNNNNNNNNNNNNNNNNNNNNNNNNNNNNNNNNNNNNNNNNNNNNNNNNNNNNNNNNNNNNNNNNNNNNNNNNNNNNNNNNNNNNNNNNNNNNNNNNNNNNNNNNNNNNNNNNNNNNNNNNNNNNNNNNNNNNNNNNNNNNNNNNNNNNNNNNNNNNNNNNNNNNNNNNNNNNNNNNNNNNNNNNNNNNNNNNNNNNNNNNNNNNNNNNNNNNNNNNNNNNNNNNNNNNNNNNNNNNNNNNNNNNNNNNNNNNNNNNNNNNNNNNNNNNNNNNNNNNNNNNNNNNNNNNNNNNNNNNNNNNNNNNNNNNNNNNNNNNNNNNNNNNNNNNNNNNNNNNNNNNNNNNNNNNNNNNNNNNNNNNNNNNNNNNNNNNNNNNNNNNNNNNNNNNNNNNNNNNNNNNNNNNNNNNNNNNNNNNNNNNNNNNNNNNNNNNNNNNNNNNNNNNNNNNNNNNNNNNNNNNNNNNNNNNNNNNNNNNNNNNNNNNNNNNNNNNNNNNNNNNNNNNNNNNNNNNNNNNNNNNNNNNNNNNNNNNNNNNNNNNNNNNNNNNNNNNNNNNNNNNNNNNNNNNNNNNNNNNNNNNNNNNNNNNNNNNNNNNNNNNNNNNNNNNNNNNNNNNNNNNNNNNNNNNNNNNNNNNNNNNNNNNNNNNNNNNNNNNNNNNNNNNNNNNNNNNNNNNNNNNNNNNNNNNNNNNNNNNNNNNNNNNNNNNNNNNNNNNNNNNNNNNNNNNNNNNNNNNNNNNNNNNNNNNNNNNNNNNNNNNNNNNNNNNNNNNNNNNNNNNNNNNNNNNNNNNNNNNNNNNNNNNNNNNNNNNNNNNNNNNNNNNNNNNNNNNNNNNNNNNNNNNNNNNNNNNNNNNNNNNNNNNNNNNNNNNNNNNNNNNNNNNNNNNNNNNNNNNNNNNNNNNNNNNNNNNNNNNNNNNNNNNNNNNNNNNNNNNNNNNNNNNNNNNNNNNNNNNNNNNNNNNNNNNNNNNNNNNNNNNNNNNNNNNNNNNNNNNNNNNNNNNNNNNNNNNNNNNNNNNNNNNNNNNNNNNNNNNNNNNNNNNNNNNNNNNNNNNNNNNNNNNNNNNNNNNNNNNNNNNNNNNNNNNNNNNNNNNNNNNNNNNNNNNNNNNNNNNNNNNNNNNNNNNNNNNNNNNNNNNNNNNNNNNNNNNNNNNNNNNNNNNNNNNNNNNNNNNNNNNNNNNNNNNNNNNNNNNNNNNNNNNNNNNNNNNNNNNNNNNNNNNNNNNNNNNNNNNNNNNNNNNNNNNNNNNNNNNNNNNNNNNNNNNNNNNNNNNNNNNNNNNNNNNNNNNNNNNNNNNNNNNNNNNNNNNNNNNNNNNNNNNNNNNNNNNNNNNNNNNNNNNNNNNNNNNNNNNNNNNNNNNNNNNNNNNNNNNNNNNNNNNNNNNNNNNNNNNNNNNNNNNNNNNNNNNNNNNNNNNNNNNNNNNNNNNNNNNNNNNNNNNNNNNNNNNNNNNNNNNNNNNNNNNNNNNNNNNNNNNNNNNNNNNNNNNNNNNNNNNNNNNNNNNNNNNNNNNNNNNNNNNNNNNNNNNNNNNNNNNNNNNNNNNNNNNNNNNNNNNNNNNNNNNNNNNNNNNNNNNNNNNNNNNNNNNNNNNNNNNNNNNNNNNNNNNNNNNNNNNNNNNNNNNNNNNNNNNNNNNNNNNNNNNNNNNNNNNNNNNNNNNNNNNNNNNNNNNNNNNNNNNNNNNNNNNNNNNNNNNNNNNNNNNNNNNNNNNNNNNNNNNNNNNNNNNNNNNNNNNNNNNNNNNNNNNNNNNNNNNNNNNNNNNNNNNNNNNNNNNNNNNNNNNNNNNNNNNNNNNNNNNNNNNNNNNNNNNNNNNNNNNNNNNNNNNNNNNNNNNNNNNNNNNNNNNNNNNNNNNNNNNNNNNNNNCCUAAUCAACGAGUAGAGAAUAGGGAUAGCAAGGCACAACAAAUAAUUUCCAAAAACAGCACAUUUAUUUAUCCACUUGUUAAUCCUAUGAAGUUUGAUAUUUACAAGUCUACCUCAAAAGACAACUUCCUAUUGACCUAUAGGCAAAAAAGGUCUGAAAGGGUGGGGGUUAGCUUAAGCUCUUCAAGGGUAGUAGUCGUGAAAUUUUCGGGGGUCACAGUCAGGUCCAUCCUCGGGGAGGAACUCCACCUCGGGUUCAUAGUCAAGGGGGUACUCCUCUGCCUUUGACUCAGACUUCGAAUCCACAAUGACACCAUCAGGGAUGUCAAUGUCCAUGAGGUCCCAGUCUUGUGUCCCCACACUCUCGACAAGUGGUCCAUCAAAACUAUGAGGUAGACCGGUAUGAACACCAUCCUCCUUAACAAACCAUGCCUUGAACCUGUGGGCACCUAGGCAAUCAACCCCUCAUCUCCCCAAUGGUCGUAACCACUAGCUUAUGGACACUGUUGGUCCCCGGAACGGGGUCAUAUGCGAGUCCUUGUGCAUGGGGACCCCAAAACAUACAGGUAGCACUCCAUACUAAGGAUCUGAAAAAUAAUCAACAACAAAAGGGUGAGAUAAAAAUCUCAACGAGUUAGCAGCCUAAGCCUUGACGAGGACGCAAAUUCAUCUCGGAGGUAGCUUAAACGCGCACGAUAUACAAACUUACACCGCCUUGACACACCCAUGCACAUUAUUACAUCACAUAUGGCAAUAUCAUUGCAACAAGCAUAAAUAAUAAUUAUAACACAUUCCAUAAUAUCCAGGCACACUGCCAAACACACGUAUUUUGAUUAUAUGACCCUUUGAGCCACAGCCAACACAAGAGUCAGCGGUCUUCUGGCAUGACCAGGCAUUGUCCCGUCCCAUUGGGCAUGGCAUCGUCUAGAACCCCCCUUAGACGGCAUUUCCUAAGGAACAUCAAUAUGUCCUUAAUUGCGACUCAACAUCCCAACCCCUAUCAGGCAUUUGAUAAACAUCGGGCAUCACCCCCAAACUCCCGUUGGGUGAUGAGUUCUAUUAAGUGAUCACUUAAGCAUGCCAACAUUCAAGCCAAUUUUAUUUGCCAUCAAUCAGCCCAACGUAAAAGAAUACGUGCUCAAAUAACAAGUUUCACAAUUUUUACUCUUAAAAUUACGGUAAAAUAUUUACAUGUGGUCAUGUACUUAAAAUCAACCCGCUAAAUUUUACAUGUUUUCAUUUUAAAACCCCAUUGUCCCAUUUAACAUGUAAAAUAUGGCAUCCAAACAUGACACCUCAAAGUUUGCUAUUUUUUUACCGAGAAACUCUCUUUGGAAAAAAAAAAUAGCAUUUAAGAUGCAUGAGUUGAGCAAUCAAACAUCAUGACAUCACAAGCUCAAACAAUCAAAAUUAAGUAUAAAUUCAUCCAAUAAAACGAGUAUAAAAUUCUACUUAAUGACUAAUCUGUCAUUAAUUUUCUCUAAUCGCGAUUAAUUAAGCUAAUUGCGAUUAAUUAGGCUACCCACGGUUAAUCAAACUAACCAUGCUUUAUUAAUCUAACCGCGAUAAUUAAACUAACUAUGAUUAAUUAAGACUAACCAUCAUUGAUUAAUCUAACUGUAAUCAACUAAACUUAUAGCACUUAACUUUAAUAUGAACCAUCCUUAAUUAUAAUUAAGGCUAAACCAUACUUAUUUAUCAUUAAACACCAUUAGUCUAAACUAAACCUACCCCUAAACGCAAUGAACUACCUAAUCAAGAAUUAGGAGUUCACUCAUGAUUUUCUGAUGGCAACGGAUUCAUAGCGACGGCGGUGUGACGGUGUUGACACCUAAAUUUUUGCACAAUUUUUGGGUUAAUUUUUACUAAAAUAAAAAAAAAAACACAUGGCAUAUAGUUUAGAAGCAUUUUAUUUUCGUUUUUUUAUUUUAUUUUAGGCUGCCGGUGAAGGGAAGAUUUUUCACAUAUUCUGUUCAAACUUUUCAUAUUUUUAGGCAAUAUACACCAAAGGGUGUAUUUUCGAGCAAAAAGGAAAAUUUUGGAUAGAAUAUGUGGAAACUACAAAAGGGGAGUAUUGCGCGAGGUGGGUAUAUUUCAACGAUAUAUUUAGGGGUAUCAUGCGUGAACAAAAAGGAAAAAAUAUAUACCGUAGAGAUACAUUUUUUAGACCUAUAUAAAUACCUCGCGUGCAAUUUGUUUGAGGAGGCCACACAAUUGAGAAUACCCGGCCACAGAUUCGUGAAAUAAGAAAUCACGUAGGAGAGAGGGAGAGAUUUCGGCCAGCUUUCAGCGGAGACAACUCUCCACGCCAGCGCCCUCUCCGCGACCAGACCAGUGGUCGCACCUCCGACGCGAUUGCCUCUCACCACUUCUAGCAACUUCACAACAAAGUAGCCAGUCGCGGCUUCAAAUUGUCCCCUUCGGUCUCGCUGUGCCCCAACGGUAGCCGUGACAUGUCUUUGCCACUGCUCUCCAUCGCUCGCAUCUCCAACUAGCAAGCACCGUCAUAAUGUCAUCAAUAAGUUGACUCAUCCAAGUUAAAAGUUGAAGACCGUGAGUUCAAGGGGUGGAUUUUGUUCCCUACUAUCAAAACUGUCGACCAAGGUUGAGAAUUCCAAGUCAAGGAAACCCAUCACGUGAUCUUGCAGAGGAUAAAAGACAACAAAGAGGGAGGUGGCUCUUGGAUGAUCUGCCAAUCGAGGACACGCCUGUUACCUCUCUUCAUCACCAGCUGUUCAAUCCGAGUCUUCGCAAUGGCUGGUCAUCAUCUCUAUCCUUGGACGCGAACUUGCUCGACUGUGACUAUCCUUGGCGUGUCGCCUCUGCUGCCCCCGCCGUGUUCAAAUAGACCGUGACGACCCGUUGCCGCUUUGAUCUGUGCCACGCCCAACGACGAGUUGCUGUCCAUUCGAGCUGUAAAGCCACCGUUCCCAUUCGCAUCCAAACUAAGUCGAUCCCGAGGUUCUUAUUUUUGCAGGUUCGUUGACCGUGAGCCUACGGUCAUCCUUUACCAAGAGAUCCCACCAUCACCCACAACGCACCAUCAUCAAUCUGAUGUCAACUGGGUGAGACUCAGUGAGAAUUGCGAAACGUGGAGAACAAGAGCUAAAGAAAAGAACAGAAAUCCUUCCGAAAAUCGUGCGCGAUCCACGCUGGGAUAAAUGCCACAGGCGGCCUUCUCUACAGCUCAAGAAAUUUCUGUUUUGCAGGUUUCCUUAAAACCCCACCGAGCUCACUCCUUGCCGUGACGACUCUUACGUGAAGCGUCGUCCCCGUUCGCAGUCGAAAAACCGGUCGCGAUCUCGGUUCGAUUGCACUUGGUCCAAAUUUGGGAAGGAUAUCAUCAAAUUAGGUAAGAUGCACAUCUCUCGUAUAUUUGGAUAUUUUAUUGCUUAAUAUAUGUCUAUUUAUAUCCAGUUUGAUAUCCGUGAGUGAUAGACAUAACUUUCAAUUAGGAUUUAUCCCUAAUUCGCAACCGCACUAUGAUUUUUUAUUAUUUCAUCUAUAAGCUUUAGAUGAAAUAAUUAAUCAAGUGGGAAUUAAAUUGAUAUUUUGAUCUUUAAGACUUAAGAUCAAUUUAUCGGUUUUACUAGCAAAAUAUUAUCCCUUGAUCUGAAUGAUGUAUGACAUUUUUUGGGUAAUUUUAAAUGGACUUGAUUGCUUUAUUUAUCUUGAAAUAUGCCUGAAUUAGAAUAUUGCAUGUUUAGGCUAAGCAUUCUAUUUAUCAUGAAUUUUCAAAAAUUAAUUAAAAAAAAUGUGUCAUAUGCACGUCAUUAGGGUUAGAUUCAUUGAAAUGCGUGUCAUUUAGUAUUGUUGCUAGGCCCAUUCAACUAGAAGUUACAUGUCAUUAGAGUUAGGUUAUCUAGUUAAUAUUGCAUUGCAUAUUGCAUAAUUUUCAUUAAAUAAGUGAAAACAAAAAAAAAAGAGAAUUUGCGUGUUAAUUAGAAACCAUAUCCAAGGUUGUUGAUGUGGAUUUUGAAUUAACAUUGCAGAUGCUUUCGUUGCUACGAGGUAAGUCCUGCAUUUUCUAUUUGCUUUAUUGGGUGUUAAAUUGAUGGAUUACGCACCCGCAUGACCACCUCACAUGUUAGGAAAAUAGAUUUAAAAUCAAUCCAAACUGCUUGCCAAACAUUUUUCAAAAUAAAAAGAAAGGUACCGAAAGGGCGUUAGAGAAAUUUAGCGUAACCAAGUCCCCGUACCCAAAUCUCUGGUUCGUAGAAGUAAAGUAAAUCUCCCAUUACUUUACUUGGGUUUCUAAUCGACCCACCAAAAAUAGAUUAGUGGCGACUCCUAAUUAAAAAUCAAUUGCAUGUUAAAAAACUUGAACCUAAAGUCGCGAAUUGGUAUGGGCUUGGGAGAGCCCGAGUUAAGUCUAGGCUUAACAAUCCAUUAGCCAAACCCUAGGUGGUUCAAACGUGAAAAAAUUGGUCGCGAUAGCUUGGCGACUCCGCUGGGGACUUGAGUUGAAACUCUUAGUGGACUUAGGCCAAUUUUAUUUUUUGGAAAAAUGUUUUUGUUUGGCAGCGAGGAUCCCAGGUAUGUCCCUAACAUUUAAGGUGUUAAAUGUUUUUGCAGAUGAGGAGAUAUAAGGGGAGUAGUCUUUGCUAACUCUUGUCUUGCAGGUUGGAGUUGGGGAUGAAUGUUUUAAAUUCAAGCUAUUGAAGUGUUGUUUGUUUUAAUUGUUGUGCAUGCCCUGCAUUUAGCACUACACUUUUGCACACACAACCUGCCGCCGGACCUGGGCCGCACUAGGAUAUUUAGGAUGGUAUUGAGUUGGAUACGACUUCGACCGCGAGGCCGCGUAGUAGAGGUUGCCCAACUCAAUCCCGAAAGUUUUUCUUGGUGUUAAGAAUGUUUACCUCUGCCCGCGAGGCUACGUCGCAUUGGGGUAUCAUUCUUAACUGAGCCGGAGUUAGGAGGACUUGACUUAGUAUGCGAGGCUGCAACUAAGUCAGCCCACCCUUUUAACUCCACCUUGUUUAGUCUUUCUAGUUAGAAAUCGAACCUCACACUUCAUGCGCUUGUCUAUGUGAUUGCCGUCGUUUUACCUUGGUGAAGUAAGUCUUCUAUUCUUAUACCAUGCAAUUUAUUUUGUAAUGUUUUUGGUCGGUCCAUGACAAUUCAGGUCAAUCAUUAAUUUAACUUCUUUAGAGAUGAAAUGAGAAAAUUGCCAUGCAAUAAAUCAUUUGGAAAAUAAAAAACUUUGGAGAAUUUGUUUUCAAUUCAUGUCUAGAAAAAUUGAUCUUGCUAAGGUAUCCACUUUUCUAGCUCUCUUUAGGAAAUUCUCUUCUUGUAAGAACUUUUCAUAAAAAAGAAAAAAGGAAAAAAAGUUGAUAGAUCAUUGUCAUGGAUUGAUUCGCUAUUUGCACCUCAUACUUAUGCAUUUUCAUCCAUUUAAAUUAGGUGAUAACGGAUUCUCCACGCUCGCCUAUUAUCACACGAUUAAGAGCAAGAAUGGCCAACCAAAGCGAGAUGCGCGAUCGCAUGUCCUCCGUGGAAGGCCAACUCCAACAGUUAGCUGCCUCUAUGGAGCUUAUAACAGCUCAACUUCAAUCCCUCCAAGUGAAUCUGGCUCCUGCACCUGCUCUCCCUGAGAUAGUCGUCCCGAAGCUGGCAAACAAGGCCCUAAUAGGUGAGGAUGACAUGCUAGGGCUCGAAGAUGAUCCAUUCCAGAUCAAUGUGGAAAAUGCUAAGCUUGUCAACAUCCCUAAGACGGAGCAGGAUGAACGCUUUGCGAAAUUGGAAGAAAAGUUGAAACAAUUUCAAGAGUCACAAAGUUCACUCCCGUUUGACUUAUCCGUGUACGAGAAAGUCAAGAUGCCAAAGAAAUUCAAAAUGCCGGAUUUUGAGAAAUACGAUGGUACUUCCUGCCCAAAAGCUCAUUUGCAGAUGUACCACGUACACAUGGCUCAAUAUGUCAAGAACGAGCCUCUCAUGAUCCAAUCAUUCCAUGCAAGUUUGACUGGGCCUGCACUGAAUUGGUAUGUCAUGAAGAAUGUGAACCUUCUCAACACUUGGAAUGAAGUGGCUGACGCAUUUCUCAAGCAAUACAAAUUCAACAUGGAUAUUGCACCUUCCCGAGAGGAUCUUGAGAGGAUGGAGAAGAAGAAGAGCAAGUCGUUCAAAGAGUAUGCCGUGAGAUGGCGAAAUCUGGCAGCUCAAAUCACCCCCGAGCCUACUGACAAGGAGUUAAUGAAGUUGUUUAUCAAAACUCUCCCAUCUGAGUUUCGUAUACGGAUGGCCAGCAUGUACGUUGAAAACUUCAAUCAGCUUAUUCCUGUGGGGGAACAAAUCGAGAUGGGGAUAAGGGAAGGCUGGUUUACUGAGCCAUCGAGUAGAAGAUUCUUUGCCAAGAAGGAUAAAGAGCCUGCUGAAGAUGUGAAUAUGGCUUAUAGCCAAGAAAGUACCAAUCAUGCCCCGACUAUCCAGAUGAAUCAAAGGCAACAAGCUGCCCAAGCAAGAAGACAGUUCACCCCUCUCCCUGGAUCUCCAUCCCAAGUGUUGGCAAUCCUAAGAAAGAAAGGUUUGCUUACUAAUGAGCCGAAGCGUCCUAAUCGUGAAAGCACCCGAGGCUACGACCCGAUGAAGAAGUGUGAUUACCAUAGCGGCGAGUUGGGGCAUUCAACUGAUGAAUGUUUCACUCUCAAGCAUAAGAUCCAAGACCUCCUGGACACGAAGGCCUUCUCAUUUCAAACUACUCGGCCGAACGUCCAAAAGAAUCCACUACCAGAGCAUGAGGGUACGGUCAAUGCUAUUCUGGAUCCAGACGUUGAAGUCGAAUCAAGUUACCACUCAUUGGAGUUGGUGUCCACCAUACAUGCACCUCGAGACUCACCACCCACUCCUGAAGUUUCAAAUGUUGCCCUUAUGAUGGGAAGGGUGACGAUUGGGAAUGGUUUUGUUCCUGGUAGUGGCCUUGAAAGAAAUGGUCAGGACAUUCGAAGUCCCAAUGAAGCCCCUCAGAGGUCUCGUGUUGCUAGAUUAGGGUACCAUGGAAGAGGUGGGGAAAGUUCUGGAGGACGAAGACAUGAAAGGCGGAACCCGUCACCUGACCACGAGAGAGGAAGGCAAAACCCAUCACACUCGAACAUUCGUGAGACAUUCCCUAGCCCCCCAGUAAUGAUGCAGGAUGAAGCAGAAAUAAUAGACACCCUAGGGCAGCCAAGCGGAAAAUUCGACUAUCUGGUGAAGUAUACGGCUCCUCCUAGUUUCUACAUUGAUCCCCGCAGCAUUGUCCCAGAUGGAUGGGGUGGCAUGGAUGAUCCAACACCCUCGGAAACAGAGAACCCCGAUGAUGCAUUGGAAGGGAUCACUAGUCUCUUCGAUGACGUCUUCAGGGGGACCAUUAACAAAGAACCUCUGAAGGAGAUGGGCCUUGGCCCACAAGAGUAACUCAUUUACUGCUUUCUCACAUUCCCCUGCGCGGGAAUUUUUUAUCGUUUUCUAGGGCUUGUUUUCUAUUUCUUCUUUUUCGCUUUCUUUUAAGGCUUGAAAAUCACAUUCAAUAAAUGUAAUUGAUCGAUGAAUAUCAAUAAAAUUGCAAGUUUUAUUUUGAGGGCAUGAUGAGGUAUACCAAACCAGCCCGGUGAUGAUAUCCAGCCAACAAUAAAAAGAAAAUAUCAUCCAUGGAGAAAUUCUGAGGCCUAGGCUUCAUCAUGCUUUCUCAUGUCAAAAUACUUCAAAAAAGACUCUUCCAGUUGCUUUUUAAAAAAAAAAUUCAAAAAAAAUCUUUCAAAAAAAAUAAAAAUAAAAAAUGAUUUACCCCGUUUGUCUAUUUGACCAAUCUACAUUCUGUUUCAGAGACAGUCUUAUAGCAUGGAAAGGUAUGAAGAGGAUCCAAUCCAAUUCCAUAUUCUGGGGGCAAGUUUGUUCCAAACUGCAGCCACCCAUAUGUGGUGAAGAAGGUACUUCCUGGAAGUGCUUUGAUCUUGGCGGAAAUGGACGGUCGUGAGUUUUCUACUCCAGUCAAUGCUGAUGCUGUCAAGAAGUAUUAUCCGUGAUAGAAUUUCCCAUGUCUUGUCUUGAAUUGCAUGAAUAAUAUGCUUCAAUCAGUUGAAUAGUUCAAAUUUGUCAUAAAUCUUGCAUUUUUCUUCCUUGAUGAAUUGUGUGAGAUAAAUUGAAUGUGUCGAAUGAGAUACCUGGGAAUGAUGAAAGGCAAGCCUUGUUCCAUACACUAUCCCAUACACUAAUCAUCGGUGAGUUGUGUGAAGAAAUUCCAUGCCCACAAGGACAAGGGUGAUCUCGCAAAGGGUACACUAACCAAGGUGACAAGAGGCAAUUUCUUCUUCUACUCGAAACACUACAGGUAUACCCAUUGUUUAGCCCUUUGAGCCCACACAAUAAAGAGUUUUUAAAUCAUCCCUGUCAAGGAUCAUCUCACAUUGGGACAAAGUUUGGAAUGAAUGAUAGGAAUUUUCUUACUCACACUUGCAUCAAUCUUCGAGUAUUGCUUUCGCGUUGUAACUCGUAUGAUAGUUUAAAGUGCCUUAGGAUGAUGAAGAGCAGUCAUUUCUCUAUCCUACACACUUUUAUCCAUUGCAUAGCCCACUUGAGCCUAUGAAUUUAUUUCAUAUUAAACCCAGUUGGUGAUCAUCCCCCACACUGGGGUAAGACAAAAACACUCAAGUAGCAUGAACUAGAAUACCGACAAAAAUGGAGAUUUUGUUCACAAAAAUGCAAAAAUAGGGCAUGAAAGAAGCAUUGUGCCUGGUAAAAGCAAGGCCGAUGCCCAAAAGAAAAAAAAAACUCAAAUGCUGUUGCAAUCAAUGAGUGCAAAAAAAAUAAAAAAAUCUCUCUGACAAUGGAGAAGGAAAGUGGUGGAAAUAUCAAGAUGAUCACCAACUUUGACCCUUUAAACACUUUUUGAGCCUAAUGAUCCUUUCAUUUCAUAACCCAUGAACCAAGCCUACGUUACGUCCCUUGCAAAGUCUCUUUAGAUUAGGGCACUUGAAUUAACGUAAGAGUUCAUAUGCUUGAAAGCAUCGCUUGAAGAAGUGCGAGUAAGAUAAUUAAUGCCUCAUUUCUUGACUUGAAAAUCCCAAGACAGUUACGAAAUGUCAUUUUUCAAAUAACCUUGACUCAAAAGAGUCCCCUUUGUUAAGCCGUUGACUAAGCCCACAUUACGGUCCCUUUUAAAGACCUCUCAGAUUGGUGAAAUCGCACCACUUGCAAGAUUGAUCAGACCCUUGUUUGGCAUGACGAUAGUGAGAUAGAGUGAUUGACAAAAUCCUGCAUCAAAGGUCAGGAUGAAAUUGCCAUUUUAAUGAGGAUGAGAGAAAAAGUCCUUUCAGACCAAAGGAUACCUCAUUUGACACAUUCAUGACACUCAUGGUGUAAGAUUAAUGAAAAUUAUCAUGAACCUCCAUUAUAUUGAUGCAUGUUUAUGAUUACAAAUGCAUGUUGCUUCUCCUACAACCAUGUUUUGCAGGAGAUGUAUCCCCGAAGAUCAGAGAUGUUACCAGGUAAGUAUAUCUCUAUCCAUACCUUGAAUAUUUGUCAUUGCACAGGUAUUCUCUUUUAAGCAUACCGACACUUAAUUGAGUUGUCCCCCAAAGAUUUCUCUCCAGAUUCAAUCUGAUUAAGGCGACCGAAGAAUGGUUCGGGUCCUGGUCAAAUGAUUUCUGUCGCAAAGCUAGGCGACCGAAGAUUGGUUUGGGUCCUAGCCAAGCAAAACCUCAGUUUAGGCAACCGUAGAAUGGUACGGGUCCUAGACAAUAUUUAUUGCUCUAACAGGCGACCGUAGAAUGGUACGGGUCCUGGAAAAGCAAUUUCCUCACUCAGGCGACCGUAGAAUGGUACGGGUCCUGGAAAAAUAAUUUUCUUCGUCAAGGCGACCGUAGAAUGGUACCGGUCCUAGACAAAACCUUUCUGCUAUACUGGGCGACCGUAGAAUGGUACAGGUCCUGGGAAAGCAGUACAGAACCUUUCUGCCGUAUUGGGCGACCGUAAAAUGGUACGGGUCCUGAGAAAGCAGCUCCUUUCUGCCAUACUAGGCGACCGUAGAAUGGUACGGGUUCUGGGAAAGCAGUUUCUUCACAAAGUCAUGUUACUAUUUUAGGCGACCGUAGAAUGGUACGGGUCCUGGACAGGUAACACUCACUACCUCGAAUUACUCUAUUCUCCUCGAAAGUAAGUUAUUCCAGGAAGGUUCAUCUAUCAUUUGCAUUAGUAUUUUCAUACAUCAUAUAAUUUGCAUUAAAAAAUGGAAUUCAUUUUCCAACAAAAAAUCAUUUAUUGCAUGUGCAUGACCAAAAUUUAGGUUUCAAUUUGUCUUUGAAGGCAACCUCUUCGAGCUCACCUUCAAAGAGGGGCAGCUGUUGACACCUAAAUUUUUGCACAAUUUUUGGGUUAAUUUUUACUAAAAUAAAAAAUAAAAAAACACAUGGCAUAUAGUUUAGAAGCAUUUUAUUUUCGUUUUUUAUUUUAGGCUGCCGGUGAAGGGAAGAUUUUUCACAUAUUCUGUUCAAACUUUUCAUAUUUUUAGGCAAUAUACACCAAAGGGUGUAUUUUCGAGCAAAAAGGAAAAUUUUGGAUAGAAUAUGUGGAAACUACAAAAGGGGAGUAUUGCGCGAGGUGGGUAUAUUUCAACGAUAUAUUUAGGGGUAUCAUGCGUGAACAAAAAGGAAAAAAUAUAUACCGUAGAGAUACAUUUUUUAGACCUAUAUAAAUACCUCGCGUGCAAUUUGUUUGAGGAGGCCACACAAUUGAGAAUACCCGGCCACAGAUUCGUGAAAUAAGAAAUCACGUAGGAGAGAGGGAGAGAUUUCGGCCAGCUUUCAGCGGAGACAACUCUCCACGCCAGCGCCCUCUCCGCGACCAGACCAGUGGUCGCACCUCCGACGCGAUUGCCUCUCACCACUUCUAGCAACUUCACAACAAAGUAGCCAGUCGCGGCUUCAAAUUGUCCCCUUCGGUCUCGCUGUGCCCCAACAGUAGCCGUGACAUGUCUUUGCCACUGCUCUCCAUCGCUCGCAUCUCCAACUAGCAAGCACCGUCAUAAUGUCAUCAAUAAGUUGACUCAUCCAAGUUAAAAGUUGAAGACCGUGAGUUCAAGGGGUGGAUUUUGUUCCCUACUAUCAAAACUGUCGACCAAGGUUGAGAAUUCCAAGUCAAGGAAACCCAUCACGUGAUCUUGCAGAGGAUAAAAGACAACAAAGAGGGAGGUGGCUCUUGGAUGAUCUGCCAAUCGAGGACACGCCUGUUACCUCUCUUCAUCACCAGCUGUUCAAUCCGAGUCUUCGCAAUGGCUGGUCAUCAUCUCUAUCCUUUGGACGCGAACUUGCUCGACUGUGACUAUCCUUGGCGUGUCGCCUCUGCUGCCCCCGCCGUGUUCAAAUAGACCGUGACGACCCGUUGCCGCUUUGAUCUGUGCCACGCCCAACGACGAGUUGCUGUCCAUUCGAGCUGUAAAGCCACCGUUCCCAUUCGCAUCCAAACUAAGUCGAUCCCGAGGUUCUUAUUUUUGCAGGUUCGUUGACCGUGAGCCUACGGUCAUCCUUUACCAAGAGAUCCCACCAUCACCCACAACGCACCAUCAUCAAUCUGAUGUCAACUGGGUGAGACUCAGUGAGAAUUGCGAAACGUGGAGAACAAGAGCUAAAGAAAAGAACAGAAAUCCUUCCGAAAAUCGUGCGCGAUCCACGCUGGGAUAAAUGCCACAGGCGGCCUUCUCUACAGCUCAAGAAAUUUCUGUUUUGCAGGUUUCCUUAAAACCCCACCGAGCUCACUCCUUGCCGUGACGACUCUUACGUGAAGCGUCGUCCCCGUUCGCAGUCGAAAAACCGGUCGCGAUCUCGGUUCGAUUGCACUUGGUCCAAAUUUGGGAAGGAUAUCAUCAAAUUAGGUAAGAUGCACAUCUCUCGUAUAUUNNNNNNNNNNNNNNNNNNNNNNNNNNNNNNNNNNNNNNNNNNNNNNNNNNNNNNNNNNNNNNNNNNNNNNNNNNNNNNNNNNNNNNNNNNNNNNNNNNNNGGUGGACUCUUGAGUUGCCCAUUUGGAUCCUCUUUAGUUGACCUGCAGGAGUGCAAGCUUGAAACUCGAAGUGGAUUUACAACGUCUGGCUGGGGAAACCAAUGGAAACAAACUGACACUUGUCCUCCAAAGAGAACGCCUCCUUAGGCAGUGUGCCAUCUAGCACACUCGUCCAUCGACCCACGGCCGCGCCUGCUUUCAACCGCCGAAGCUCCGGUAGGCCCCAGCCCCGUUCUUGUGCCCUGUUUUGGCCGCGCCGGGCCGGAGCUCACGGUCGUCCAGCUCACUCGAGCUCCGGCCCCGACCUUCCUUUGUUUGCUGGGUGCGUCCUGGAUUGUUUGUCGAGGGUUGCGGCUCGGGUUUGAGCCUCGGUUGAGUGGCAUGUUCCAUGGCGCAUUCCACCCGCUCGACGAAACGCCUGAACUAGAUCUAGCUUUCGCGUCUUUGUUUCGGGCCAGCGUUGAUUUGUCCGGGCAUUGUCUCGUCCGAUCGAGGCAUCCCGGCGAAGCAGGGCUUCUGGGCGUCGGCCCGUCUGGUUGGUUCGAUGCGUACGCUCCGUCCCCUCCGCCAUCGUCGAACAAAGCAAAGGAGGAGGGGGCCCGUUUCGGUUAUCCCAUGAGAUCCCGCCACGGCCACACCCUCGCACCCUCGGCCACCGUCUCGAUGUGCCGGGACGUAUUUUGGCUGGCCGCCCAGACUCGGAGCCCCGGCACGCCCUCGGCUGAGCCGAGACGAGCGGCGACGCUCGGCGCCGUGGCGUUUGUUGCGGCCAAGGAGGGCCCAGUCGGGUCGGAACGCGGAUCCUGUUGACCCGGUUGGCCCUGGUUCUACGCUAGGGUUUGUUUGGUCCCGGGUUGGGCUAUAUUUUAUUAUUUGCGUUUCUUUGCAGGUGGGCAUGUUGGGCCUCUUCGCUAAAGCCCAGUUCAGCAGAAGACCUGGGCUGCGCGCUCAGGCUAGCCUCGAUCGGGUCAAACGCGGGGGUCCGAUCUGGAUCCGUUUUAGAUGAUAUAAUAUAAUGUUAUAUUAUUAUUUUAAUAUAAUAAUAAUAAUAAUCAAAAUUCAAAAAUAUAAAAUAAUAAAAAAUGAAUUGCAUUUUCUGAAAAAUCAGAAAAAGCCUAAAAGAUGGUUUUAUUCACCAUGUUAGCAUAUAAGCGUAGUUACUUAAAAUCUCGACACGUUUUUUUUUUUUUUUUUUUGGUCAGUCCUACUCUAUUCCAACUCUACACUUACUCUCAGACUUUGCCCUAACCUCUUGCAGGCGUGGGGAGUCGAAACCCACUCUUGAAACUUAUGCGUCCCCACCCCAUCCCAUCCCCCCUGAGAAGGUGGGGAUUUGAACUCCUCACCUCCCCCUUCCAUGUUGGAAGGGUGGCCACUGGGGUGAAUCCCAGUGGUUUCUCGACAACGUUGGUACUUGUGUUAUUUUUACCAAUGUGUUGGGUCUAUAAAAAUGCAUAAAUACUAUUAAAAAAAAGCACUUAUGACUUACGACCCUUAAAAACCGAGCUUCCGAAGGAAGAAAUUGAAUCUAGUUCUUCAUGAUACAAGUCAGCAACACACACCUAUAUCCAGCACAUAUUGAGCAGCAAUUCUCCAUGAAACAAGCUUAAAUCAAGCUGGAACUUGUUGAUUCUCACCUCAAUUGAUGAACUAAUUCGUCAUACCAAAAGCAUCAUCUUCUUGCAUAAACAUGACAAAAUCAAGCCUCAUCUCCAUGGAAACCCCAAAAUCAUCUUCUCGAUUUGUCCAUCUUUCCUCCGUCCCCUUCUUUCUAUUUUUCUUUUUUCCUUUUUCUUCUCUCCCUUGUCUUGCUUGUCUCCACUACAACAAGGAGACACCUUAACGAGUCAGUAAAUCCAAUUUUUUAUCCAGGUGCCCAAGAUAGACUUUAAAACCAAGAUAUAAUGGACUAACGUAUUUAGAUGCUUCAUUCGCUACUUUCUAGAAAUCAAAGAAACCAUGUAAAAUUGUUAUUCAAUAUUCAAUUUAUGGAUCCAUUUUUAUUUCUUGAGCAUUUACAUAAUUUACAUAAAUAUGAGGUACUUUUCAAAUGUUCGCUAAACAUUAUAUUUACAUGGAAUCAUUGAAUCAACCCGUCUUAUCCCAAGUUGCAAAAAAUAUUCCUUAUUGACAUAACCUCAUAAUGUCUCAUAUCAAUGUCGACAUGUCACUAGGUGUCAAAAUUUCACCCUGCAAACACUAUUAGUGAGUUACCCUCAAUGUUGAGCAAACAAUCGACUGAACAAGUAAUUGCCCACCUCUUCUUGGUCGGCCACUUUUUUGGAAUCAAAGAAAGCAUAUACAGUAUUAGUUAUUAAUUUUAUAGGUACACUUUUAAUUCUCGGUCACUUACUUGAUUUUCAUAAUUAUGAGCUAUUUAUCAAGAUUCAAGAGAUGACUAUCAUGAUGUAGCACUUUUUCCAUUGUGGCAUUUAAUUUUAGGUGUAAGCAAUAAAGACCGAAAGCCCAAAUUGGACAGGCUAGAAUAGGCCCUGAUGGGAUUUCGGGCUCCCGCUUUUUUUAAGGCCAGUCCGAGCCUUCGGGCUUGAGAUGCUCAAGCCUGAAAUGGUCCAUCUCCAAAUUAAUUUUUUAAAAAUAGAAUAUGCAAUAAAGGUAUAAAAUCUAAAAACUUUAGAAAGUUCGUUGUUUAUGUUCAAAAUAGUUUAAUAAAGUCAUGAACAAGUUCAAAAUAAUUAGAUAAUAAAGUGAUUUUUAAGGUGAAAAGUAUAUAGUUAUUUAUUUAUUUUAAGUCCAAAAAAAAAAUUUGGCUAGGCCUGAGGGGAUGUUUGAGAGGACAUUUGUUACAACAUUGAAAAGAAAGAUAACAAUAUAAGAAGUUAAAUUUUCAUUCAUUGAUCCUACCCUUUUUAUGUUUAUUUCCCAUUAUAAUAUCAUGUUUUUAGAUUGAUUACCAACUUCACACCUAUUUGAUGACAUGGCCCAAGCCACGCAGCCACCGUGUCAUUUAGAAAGAAAUUUACAAGUAACAUAAUACUUGUCUCACUAUGCCCAAUAAAACAUUGCAUUUCUAGACACUUUAUAAGUUAGGGCAACAUUUCGAAAUGCAAUGGGUGUUCAUGCCAAUCUGGUGCAUCAUAGUUCUCAACUGGGGUGGUUAAUUUUCACGUGAGACUAAUGGACAUACUCCCCUGGUGAUCGUAUUGGCCAAGAACUCUUGAAUUUUCUUGAUUGGAAUAUUUCUAAUAAUUAGGUUCAACAGUGUCUUAAAAUUGUUAAUUAUCCUAUAGAUUUCACCCCAAAAGCCUUUUUUUAUGCAUCGUUUGCAAAAGCUCUUGAAGAAGAAUCCACUCCAAUGGAAAAAGAGAGCAUACUGGUGCAGUUGUGGUGCUAAAGGAGAAAUUGAUGCAUCUUCCCCCACUGUCAAUUCCUUUUGAUGGCAAGUGAAUCUUGCAAAUUGAUGAUAGUGAAAAGUUUUGGACAGUAAUUUUGCUCGAAGGAGUCAAGGAAAGAGAUACAUCUGUGAACAAAAGAGUGGACGGUUUUCACCUGUUGAACUUCACUACCACUCUACAUUCAAAGAAACUUUAGCCAUCAAAUAUGAAAUAAAGGAAUUUGAAUUCAAUAUGAUUGGUUAUCAUUUCUUUGUCAAAGAAAAAAAGAAAAAGAAAUCUGUCCUUUCCCCAUCCCAAAUGAAGUUUAAAGCCAAACUAGUUUCUCAUCCUCAACUUAUUUGAUGGGUAGAAUAAUUUUUCAAAUAUUCUUUUGAAACCAAACCCAUCAAAGGAGAGAAGAACCCCCUUGUAAAUCUUCUUUGAAGACCCAAAGACUUCUCAUCCUUUUACAUGUUCACUUUUGACCGAUUGCAAAUUGAUACCGUAAAAGAAGGGUGAAAAGAAACCCAUCAGGGUAAUAUGCCCAAUGUCCUCCUUGAAAACCACAAUACUUUCCUCGUCAGAUGACAAUUUUCCACAUGUAAUAAUGAUAAAUGCUAAACAUGUUGUAAGUGUGAAUGCAUUGAAAAUUUGGCCUCCUUCCUUCGUUAGAAAUCUGGCUCAUUCACAAAAAUAGAGUGUUUGUAGAUAGAUUGUAGUUAGAAUUUAUGUAGUACAUAAAACCUUGUAAGGAGCACUUCUAUCUAAUUUUUCCCCUAAUAAAAUACAAUCUCACAAACUUGUCCCUUGAAGAGGAUAUUUGUACUUUGCAAGUAUAGCCAGGCGUGUUUUCAAUUAAAUGAGAUCGAUUGAAAACACUAGAUCUCAUAAUGAGCUAGGGCAACAAUGACAAGAACAAUGUAAAACGCGGUUGAUGGAAUGUUUAGUCUUCAUCUCCAUGUACUUCUCAAUCCCUCCCAUAAUUGACGGAAAACUGACGGAAAACAUGAGGGACCGAUUCGUCCAAUCUUUGGCCUUCAGUUUGCCAAUUUGUCCUUUUUUUUUGGGUUUUGUCCUCCCUUCUUCUUUCUUAUCACCUUAAAUAUUGAUUUCUCUCUCCUAAACUUUUUAUGGUGUUUUCUAUUGCACAAUACUAUGCUAAUAUAAUAUUAGUGUACAAAGCCACAUAGCAAACUACGGGUGGACAAUAAAUCAUAUUUAAUGCAUCUUCCCUCAUUGCCAGAUCUUUCUGAGGGCAAGUGAAUCUUGCGAAUUGAUGAUAGUGAAAAGUAUUGGAUAAUAAUUUUGCUCGAAGAAGUCAAGGAAAGAGAUACAUCUGUGAAUAUAAGAGCAGACGGUUUUCACCUGUUGAACUUCACUACCACUCAACGUUCAAAGAACAUUAGCCAUCAAAUAUGAAAUAAAGGAAUUCGAGUUCAAUAAAAUUGGUAUUCAUUUCUUUGUCUGAAAAAAAAAAGGCCAUCCUUUCCCCAUCCCAAAUGAAGUUUAAACCCAAAAUAGUUUCUUAUCCUCAACUUGUUUGAUGGUUAGAAUGGUUUUCAAAGUACUCUUUUGAAAUCAAACACAUUAAAGAAGGAAAAACAUCUUCAUAUAUCUUCUUUCAAGAAUUAAAGACUUCUCAUCCUUUUAUAGGUUCGCUUUUGACCAAUUGCGAAUUAAUACCGUGAGGGAAGGGUGAAAGAACUCCAUUAGAGAGAUUAGCCCAAUGUCCUUAUUGAAAACCACAAUACUUUCCUUGUCAGACAACAUUUUUCUACAUGUAAUAACAAUAAAUACUAAACAUAUUGUAAAUGUGAAUGCAUUGAAAAUUUGGGCUUCAUUCCUUCAUUAGAACUUUGGCUCCUACGUAGUAGUACAAUGUUUGUAGACAGAUUAUAGCUAGAAUUUCGGUAGUACAUAACGCCUUGUAAGGAGCAGUUCUAUCUUAGUUUUGCUCUAAUAGAUAGAAUCUCAUGAACUUGUCGCUUGAAGAGAAUAAUUGUACUUUGCAAGUAUAGCUAGGUGUGUUUUCAAUAAAAUACACCAAAUGUUAUAAUGAGCUAGGGCCAGCAAUGAAAAGAACAUGAUAAAACGCAUUUGAUGGAACAUGAGGCACCAAUUCGUGAGGAGUUAAGGUAUACGAAAGUUAUGACAAUUAAGUGGUUGAAAAAAAAGUUUAUGACACUAAAGUAAUCAUUUGGUACUUGGAGUUUUCUUUUCCAACAAAGUUUGUUAAAAAGGGAAAAGAGAGGGGCAACUUUAAUAAAAUGAGAUAUAGUUUUCUAUACCCUCGUCUUCCUUCUCAAGAUUACACGGAAGUCAUCUCAAGCAUUAUUACAAUCUGCCAUUAAAGUUUUGCUGGAGAAUCGUUGAAGCUAACCAAAUAGUUUUUAACUUGUCAUACCAAAAUAUGACAAAAUAUAUUGUAAUUACACAUUUCUUACAUUGAUCUUCAUUAUUUCACCCACUGUUAUUUUAUUUUUAUUAAUUUUGAUUUCACUAGAGUCAAAAUUCUCGCUGAAAUAAAAUCCAUGAAGAUGGAGAUUUGUCAAUGUAACCUCCAGAGAUUAAUUUCAUUUGACUUUUGCACGCUUAAUAGAUUGUUGGACCCCUUCUAUCAUGUAGUAGUUGCAUGUAGAUUGUCUUCAAAACUAAAAUUUGUUUGAUCAUCUUUAUAAAGUUCGAAUAUGUUCAAUUCCUUUAUGGCCCCUUUACUUAUUGUGCUUGCAUUCAAAAGAAGUUUAGAGCAUACUUCAGUGUCAGCUUGAGACGAGCUUGAGAGGAGAUCUGUUUCAACAUCGGAAUAUAAAAUAUAAAAUAAAGGAAUUUGGAUUCAAAAUGAUUGAUUAUCAUUUCUUUGUCAAAAAAGUUAAGAAAGCCGUCCUUUCCCCAUCCCAAAUGAAGUUUAAAGCCAAACUGGUUUCUUUUCCUCAACUUGUUUGAUGGCUAGAAUAGUUUUCCAAAUACUCUUUUGAAACCAAACCCAUUAAAGGAGAGAAGAACAUCCUUGUAAAUCUUCUUUCAAGAAUCAAAGACUUCUCAUCUUUUUACAUGUUCACUUUUGACCGAUUGCGAAUUGAUACUGUAAGGCAAGGGUGAAAAGAACCCUAUAAGGGUGAUAUGCCCAAUGUCUUCCUUGAAAACCACAAUAUUUUCCUCAUCAGAUGACAUUUUUCUACACGUAAUAAUAAUAAAUGCUAAACAUAUUGUAAGUGUGAAUGCAUUGAAAAUUUGGGCCUCCUUCCUUCGUUAGAACCCUAGCUCCUUCACAAAAGUAGAAUGUUUAUAGAUAGAUUGUAGCUAGAAUUUCUAUAGUACAUAACACCUUGUAAGGAGCACUUCUAUCUAAUUUUUCCCCCGAUAAAUACAAUCCCAUGAACUUGUGGCUUGAAGAGAAUAUUUAUACUCUGCAAGUAUAGCCAGCCGUCUUUUCAAUUGAAUAAGUUUGAUUGAAUACACUGGAUGUCAUAAUGAGCUAGGGUAGCAAAGACAAGAACAACAUAAAAUGCAUUUGACGGAAUGUUCAGUUUUCGUCUCCAUGGACUUCUCAAUCCUUCCGUAAUUGACGGAAAACAUGAGGCACCAAUUUGUCAAGUCUUCGGCCUUCAGUCUACCAAUUUGUCCUUCUUUUGGUUUUUUCCUCCCUUUCUUCUUUCUUAUUACCUUUAAUAUUACUUUCUCUCUCCUCAACUUUUUAUGGUGUUUAUUAUUGCACAAUACUAUCCUCUAUAUUAAUAUUAGUGUACAAAACCACAUAGCAAACUACGAGUGGACAAUAAAUCAUAUUUGAUGCAUCUUCCCUAACUGUGAGUUCCUUUUGAUGGCAAGCGAAUCUUGUGAAUUGAUCAUAGUGAAAAGUAUAGGAUAGUAAUUUUGCUUGACGAAGUCCAGGAAAGAGAUACAUUUGUGAACAUAAGAGUGGAUGGUUUUCACUUGCCAAACUUCACUACCACUCUACAUUCAAAGAACUUUAGCCAUCAAAUAUGAAAUAAAGGAGUUUGAGUUCAAUAUAAUUGCCUAUCAUUUCUUUGUCAAAAAAAAAAAAAAGGCCGUCCUUUCCCCAUCCCAAAUGAAGUUUAAACCCAAAAUAGUUUCUCAUCCUCAACUUGUUUGAUGGUUAGAAUGGUUUUCAAAGUACUCUUUUGAAACCAAACACAUUAAAGAAGAAAAAAAAUCUUCGUAUAUCUUCUUUCAAGAACCAAAGACUUCUUAUCCUUUUACAUGUUCACUUUUGACCAAUUGCGAAUUAGUACGAUGAGGGAAGGGUGAAAAAAAGUCCAUUAGAGAGAUUAGCCCAAUGUCCUUACUAAAAACACCAUACUUUCCUUGUCAAACAACAUUUUUCUACAUGUAAUAACAAUAAAUACUAAACAUAUUGUAAGUGUGAAUGCAUUGAAAAUUUGGGCCUCCUUCCUUUGUUAGAACUUUGGCUCCUCCACAGUAGUACCAUGUUUGUAGAUAGAGAAUUUUGUUAGUACAUAACACCUUGUAAGGAGCAGUUCUAUCUUAAUUUUUCCCUACUAGAUAGAAUCUCACGAACUUGUCACUUGAAGAGAAUAUUUGUACUUUGCAAGUAUAGCCGGGCAUGUUUUCAAUUAAAUACACUAGAUGUAAUAAUGAGCUGGGGCAGCAAUGGAAAGAAGAUGAUAAAACGCAUUUGAUGGAACAUGAGGCACCGUUUUCGUGAGGAGUUAAGGUAUACGAAAGUUAUGACACUUAAGUGGUCGAAAAAAAGUUUAUGACACUAAAGUAAUCGUUGUACCAAAGUUUUUGUACUUCUAGUGUUCUUUUCCAACAAAGUUUGUUAAAAAUGGAAAAGAGAGGGGCAACUUUAAUAAUUGAGAUAUAGUUUCCUAUUCCCUCGUCAUUCCUUCUCAAGAUUACACGAAAGUCCUCUCAAGCAUUAUUACAAGCUGCCAUUGAAGUUUUGCUGGAGAAUCGUUGAAGCUAAUCGAAUGGUUUUUAACUUGUCAUACCAAAAGAUAUUGUAAUUACACAUUUCUCACAUUAAUCUUCAUUAUUUCUCCCACGGUUAUUUUAUUUUUAUUAAUUUUGAUUUCACUAGAGUCAAAAUUCUCACUGAAAUAAAAUCCAUGAAGAUGGAGAUUUGUCGAUGUAACCUUCAGAGAUUAAUUUCAUCUGACUUUUGUAUGCUUAAUAGAUCGUUGGACCCCUUCCAUCAUUUAGUAGUUGCAUGUAGAUCGCCUUCAAAGCUAAAAUUUGUUUUAUCAUCCUUAUAAAGUUCGAAUAUGUUCAAUUCCUUUAUGGCCCCUUUAAUUCUUGUGAUUGCAUUCAAAAGAUGUUCACAGCAUACUUCAGUGUCAGCUUGAGACGAGCUCGAGAGGAGAUCUGUAUAACAUUGGAAAGAAAGAUAAACAGAAUACGAAGCUAAUUUCUUUUAUUUGAUCUUACUCUGUUUAUUUCUUAUUUCCUUUCUCACAAUCUCUUCCACAUCAUCCUUAUCUUAAAUGGAGUCCAAAACUUAAGUUACAUAUUGGUGAAGCAAAUUGACCUCAAAUAAGAUAUUUCAAAUCUAAUUCAUAUUUAUGUUUUUGAUCAUAAUAAGUGCGACAUUUUAAAACUAAGCUAUAUUGUCGCGAAAAGGGAUCUUUUGCAGAUUUUGUGAAGAUUAUUCUGAACAACUUAUCUUGAACCAAAAUAGAAGAAAUGAACAAGUAACACUAUUUAAUAGUCACUAAAGUAGCAUGCGCAUAAUUUGAGAGGGGACACAUUGAUUACGCAUUUGAUGGAAUGUUCGGUGAUCGUCUCCAUGUGCUUGUUAGUCCUCACGUAAUUGAUGGGUUACUAAUUGACUAAACAAGUUGAUCACUGUUUAACAAAAAGUGAUAGGAUAUGAUGGAGAAAAACCACUUUUUCUGUAAUUUUUUUGAAAAAAAAUCAAAUGUCAAUUAAAACUAUGUACACACACAUAUAUAUGUUGGGGCAACAUUUUAAAAUGCACUGGAUUCAUGUCAAUCUAAUGCAUCAUAGUUCUAAACUGGGGUUGUAAAAUUCCAUGUGGGAUUUACAUAAUCUAAACUUAAUUAGACUCAUAUGAGUUCAAUGGACAUACUACCUUAGUGAUCCUAUUGGCCAAGAAGUCUGAGAGUUUCUUGAUUAGAAUAUUUCUCAUAGGCAAGUUCAACAAUUUCUUGGGAUUGUCAAUUAUCUUAGAGAUUUUGUACCAAAAGCCUCUAAAUUUAUGCAUGCAUUGCAAUAAGCUCUUAAAGAGGAAUCCACUCCCAUGGGAAAGAGAUCAUACCAGUGCAAUUGAGGUGUCAAAGGAGAAGUUGUUGUAUCUUCCCCCAUUGCAAUUUCCUUCUGAUGGCAAGCGAAUCUUGGGAUCUGAUGAUAGUGAAAGUAUUGGAUUGUAGUUCUACUUGAAGGAAUUGAUGAAAGAGAUAUAUCUAUGAACAUAAGAGGGGAUGGUUUUCACCCGCCGAACUUCACUACCACUCUAUAUUGAAAGGAACCGUAGCCAUUAAUUAUGAAAUUACGGAAAUAAAAUUCCAUCUUAUUGUUUAGCAUUUCUUUGUCAAAAUAAGAAGCCAUCCUUUCCCCAUAUGAUGAAGUUUAAAGCCAAAAUAGUUUCUUAUUGUCACGCCCCGACCCUCAGACACGCACACAUCCCUUUCUUUUGGUCGAUUUUAAAAUGCGAUAUCCCAUGACUAUGUAUCGCCAACCCUUUCAUUUUUAAUAGCACAUGCGGAAGCGGUUAUAAUUCCCCAGACAAUAAAGUAAUAGGAUAGAAAAGCAGGCCAUAUAUUUUUCUUAAUGAAAAUUCACAACUACAUCUUUUUACAUGCAUCUCAUAGUAUUCUACAAUACUAUAUAUACGCAACUCUGGUCUAACACCUAUUCACAUACAAACAAGGUCUGACAAGACAGGACGGGAUCUCAGUCCUCAUCCGGCUCGUACUUGGGGUUAUCUUCGAGGUCCUCCUCCACGUACUCCUCUUUGGGUUCCUCAACAGGGAUCUCCUCAUCAGAUUCAUGCUCCUUAGGCUCCUCAUCUAGGUCCUAAAAUGGUUAUUCAAUAACCACUGAGACAACGUCUCAGCAAGUUCUACCCCCUAAGACCCGAUUAGUAAACUAAUACACCUUAGGGCUGCCUAUGCACAACAUGAGUCAGAGGACUUACCUUGGCCUCAAAUUCCACCUGCAUAUUAGCAUAGAUCAAAUAGGCACCCAAGCAAUCACAUCAUAGAUCGAAGCAUCGAUCUAAUUGACUUAAUCGAUUACACGCCAACAAGACCACUCACGGUCAUUUCCAUUCAAUCAAUCAAUUCGCAACAUCAAAUCAAGACAAUGAUCAAUCACAUUGAAUCACACUCAGAUCGAAUCAUUGAUCAAUCGACCUAGUCGAUUACAUGUCAUCCAAAUUAUCUCUUGAUCAACCCUUUAUCAUACCGUACUGUCUCAAGAUGAUCUAUAGGAUUAUCGAGCCGGUAUAUCAUACCGUACUGUCUCAAGAUAAUCUGUAGAGUCACCAAGCCGGUAGAUCAUACCGUCCUGUCUCAAGAUGCUCCGUGGAGUCAUCGAGCCGGUAUACACACAAUCUAUCAUAUCGUACUCUCUCCAGAUGCUCCGUAGAGUCAUCGAGCCGGUAGAUCAUACUGUCUUGUCUCAAGAUGCUCUGUGGAGUCAUCGAGCCGGUAUACACACAAUUUAUCAUACCGUACUGUCUUCAGAUGCUCCGUAGAGUCAUCGAGCCGGUAUACAUGCCAUUCCAAGCAAACAAUCAAAUAACCGAUUUUAUCAUUUCCGAUAAAAUGUCGUGUGUGGUACACGAUCGGCCCUACCCAAAAUAUAAUAAUUUCCUUUUUUAUAAAUCCUACCAUUUUCUGUAGUCCACUAAAACAUUUUUGGCAUCAUUAACUGAUGCCCGGAUAAUUUCCAAUUAAUUUUCCAAGAUUAUUUAAAUUAGGGAAUAAAUCCUAAAUUCACAAAUAAAUCAUUUCCGCACAAAAUAAAGCUCAAUUAAAUAAACGGACUACACCACGACAAUCAGCAUAAAAUUCCGGUCACUGGCCAUCCAAGUUGAAUUUUCGGAAAAUAAAUAAAUAAUUAAUUUAAUUCCAAAAAAUAAAUAAAUAAACACAAUAAUUCCAAUUUAUCACAAUAUGAAGCUCAAUUAAAUAAACGGUCUGCACCACGAUCAUCAGCAUAAAAUCCCGGUCACUAGCCAUCCCAGUUGAAUUUCCGGGAAAUAAAUAAAUAAAUAAAUAAUUAAUAAUUAAUUUCAAAAAUUAAUAUUUAAUUCCUAAAAAUUCCACCUAGGCCCGAAUCGCCUAAUUAACACCCGAUAAGGGACGGAAAAAAUCCCAAGAAGCAUCCAAUAAAUACUACAGGCAAUUCUCUAUCUAAUUACACUAAUCACACAACUAAUUGCAAAGCAAUUAACUAAUAAUCACUAAUUAAUUCUAAUCUAACAACCUAAUUACACUUAAUUAACACUAAUCAACCUUUAAGUAUAAUUAGCGCACUAAGAAGGCAUUAGUGAGUAAAACUCACUCAAAACGAUGGGCUCGACGCGAGGAUCGACUUUCCUCAAAGCGGGCCGAGCAUCCGAGCUCGAGAAGGCGGCCAAAACGGGCCAAACAGUUGCUAUAAUACCCAUUUUCUGCACUCUCUGUGCGCUGCUAGUUGGGGCCGUUCCGGGGUCGAUUGAGGCGGCCAAGGGCAGCUAGGGUCGGGUGGAGCUCCGGCGGGUCGACGUGGCGGCGCAUGGUGGCCGGAGAUGGCUGAAUCGUGGCCUGAGCUGGCCAAAACGGAGCUGAACAGAGGCGGUUGGGAGCUGGGGUUGCACGGCGGGGCGGUGAGAGGCGCGGCCAAGCACGGCUGCACGCGCGCUCGUGCGGGGACGGGCGACCGACGACAACCGUAGCUCCGGUCCAUCAACGCCAGCUGCUGCUCCAACUUCGGUGUCCUCCCAAAUCUGGGACCCCGAGCAGCGAACGGAGGGGAAGACAGAGGUGCCAAUGGCGGCUGGGAUGGGUGAGGGAGAGGUGGAGACGAACGACAGAGCGGUGGAGCUGGUGAUGCGCCGGCGAGGACGGCUUGCGGCGUGAGGCGGGGUGGAGUAGCGACGGCAAGCUGCUGUCUCUAUUUUCUGCUUCUACUCGCUCGAACCACCCGAGAAGGAGAGGAAGAGAGAUGUCGAGUGGAUGAGGGAGAGAGAUAAGGAUAAGAGAGAGAGAGAGAGGAUAAGUUUGAAAAGUCAAAAAGGUGGGGAAGCAAAGUUGGAACCGGCAGAGGGAGUCGGUGGGGGGUUUCGCACGAUGGGAAAGAAAAGAGAGGGAGAAGAGAGAAAAAGAAAAAGAAAAAGAAAGAAGGAAAGAGAGAGAGAAAAGAGAAAAAGGAGUGUUUGGCUAAAAAGGGAAAAGAAAUGGGAAUAUCACAAAAAUAAAAGGAUUUCCUCAAAUAGAAAAUCCUAAUCCCAAUUUCUUUUAAAUAAGCUCAUAGAUUCUCAAAAGGAUUUUCCAACUUAGAGUUCUUGAUCCCCACUUGCAAUUGCAUCCAAUUUCCCUCUUGAAUUUCUCUCAAAUGACUCUCAAAAUCAAUUGAUAUCUUACUUAUCAAAUUGAUUAUUUUCUUUAUCCAAGAAUCCCUCAUACUCCUCAAUUUCACAAUCCUCGGCUUCAACUUAACGAAAACGGCCCAUUUAUCCAGUCGAAAUUAGAACCCGAAAAUCUGGAUGUCACACUUAUCCUCAAUUUGUUCAAUGGUUAUUAUGAUUUUCAAAAUACUCUUUUGAAAUCAAGCACACUAAAGUAGAGAAGAACAUCCUUGUAGAUCUUCUUUCAAGACACAAAGACUUCUCAUCCUUGCACAUAUUCACAUUUGACUGAUUGUGAAUAAGUACCAUGAAGGAAGGGUGAAACGAACUCCAUGAGGGUGAUAUGCCCAAUGUCCUCCUUAAAAAUCACGAUACUUUCGUCAUUUGAUGACAUUUUUCUACAUGUAAUAAUAGUAGAUGCUAAACAUAUUGUAAGUGUGAAUGCAUUGAAAAUUUGGGCCUCUUUCCUUUGUUGGAACUUUGGCUUAUUCAUAGUAGUAGCGUGUUUGUAGGUAGAUUGUAGCUAGAAUUUCAGUAGUACAUAACACCUUGUAAGGAGCACUUUCUAUCUAAUUUUUCCCCUAAUAGAUAAAAUCUCAUGAACUUGCCGCUUGAAGAGAAUAUUUGUGAUUUGUAAGUAUAGUUGGGUGUGUUUUCAAUUGAAUGAGAUCGAUUGAAGACACUGGAUGUAAUAAUGAGUUGGGGCCCAAUGAGAAGAACGUAAUAAAAUGCAUUCGAUGGAAUGUUCAGUCUUUGUCUCCUUGGACUUCUCAAUCCUCCCGUAGUUGACAGGGAACACGAAGCACUCAUUUGUCCUUUAUUUGGUUUUGUCCUCCCUUUCUUCUUUGUUAUUGCUCUCAACUUUUUUAUGGUGUUUCCCAUUAGAUGAUGCUAUACUAUAUGUUAAUAUUAGUAUACUAAACCGCACAGCAGACUAUGAGUGUACUAUAAGUCAUAUUCGAUAACUAAUAACAAUAUGUCACGUCAAAUUCAUAAAACAAUUUUAGUAUCUGACAUUUCUUUGUUUUUAUUUUUAUGGUAAAAUUGAAAGCUAGCAAGACACUAAAAUAAGAGUAGCACUACAUGUACUAAGACUUUACUUGAGUUUCUCGGUAAAUGAAAUGGUGCACUAUGUGCUGUACAGCAUGUCGUCAAAUAAGAGUGGGAUCGGCGUUAGUUUGUAAAAAGGGGAAAAGUGAUAAAUGGGGCAAGUUCUAUUAAAGGAAAUUUUCUGGAAAAAAAAUAAAAGGAAAUUUUGCCAGCCCUCUAAUAUUUCGUGCAAUCUGUAAUAUGCUUUAUUGGCUAUACUUAUUGGCCAUACUGAUAAUGAAAAUGCCUGUAUAACCCUUAACAUCAGCUACAUGAGGCAAGGUGACGUUUGAAUAAAAGGGAAAGUCGGAAGAAGGGAAAUAUUCCCAAACCUCCGCUCUGUUCUCCUUGAUUUCUUAGAAAUCUUUCUCUUCUAGGUCUAGUGACAUUGGAAGGAUAAAAUUGCAAUUUUGAUCGUAUAAGAUGAGUUGGUUCAACAAGUCUGCUCUCUAUUUGUUAUUCAAAUCCUACGUAUGAGAAAGCUUUUCCGAGGCCAUGAAGCCUUUGGUUGAAGACUAAUGAUAUUUUGGAGAGCAUCAAGCAGUUCCAUUUAAGGACUAAAAGAGGAAAGGGCAUGCAUCCUAGGAUAACAUACAUGCCCCAAAUUUCAUUAGUCUUCCUCUUGUUUUAUGGUUAUAUGCAUUGUUAGCUUAUUCCAUUUCUCUUUUUUUAUUUUUCCUAUGGGGUAAUUUUCGUCAAUUACAUGCUAUUUCUGUUGAAAUAAGUUAGAUGUCCCUAUCCUAUUCCUCUUCCCAAUCGUUAUUAAAUUGAUGGGAAAUAUGAGGCACCAAUUAUUAAGUUGUGGCUUGAGUUUGAAGUAGGUACGAGACCCAACUCAUUUAAAGGAUUUUGAUUUGUUCAAAAUAUGGUGUUCCUUUUUAAUCAGUAUCAUAUUUUGAUUUGUUGGGCGGUGCUACUUAACUAUUAAAUGUAUUGAAGGUUUGGUUCUGUUGAAGAUAGAUAUCCAAGUUUAACCGAGGGAGCAAACAUUAGUCGGACUCCACUCAACGCGUCCAGUUUAGGCCUUUUCUAAUGUCCUAAAGAAGACGUACUGCUGAAGUCUCUAUUUUAUAUCCCCGCACGAGAGGACUCUCUCUUUAGCGAAGAAGAAAAGGGGACGCACCAGUAACGCUUUCUUCGAUCGCACGGAGUUCUACAAUCGGUGGAUUUUGUGACGCAAGUCGCAUAAUGAGUCGUUCUAUUAAUAAACACUGUGAGUUUAUAUGUAAUCAAGGCAUGGAAAACACUCGAACUUGUAAGUAAUUGUAACUCUAUUUUUCUCUGAUUUUUAGUGGAUUAUAGGUGCUUACUCUUCCAGCUGCAUAGAUAUCGAUUUUUGGACUGAACCACGGAAAUCUCAGGUUUUUUUCAUUGUGUCUCAUUUAUUUUCUCGGUGAUUUUGCAUUAAUUAAUUACAAAUUUUGGUUAGUUUCCACAUUAUUUUAUAAUAAUUUAUUCAAUCUUCAGUCUUCAGUCUUCAAGAGAGAGAAAGUUUACGGAACUUCGCAUGAUGGAGUUAGUCAAUAAUUGAUUUGUGCAUAGAGAGAGGAGGUUUAUAAAUUUAGCUCAAACUGAAAGUGGAUCAUUGGACGAGAUGGGGAAGCAGCUAUUUCUUAUUCUCAGCUCUAUUCUCUUGUGGUGGUGGAGUUCAAUCACAAUCUCUGGAGCAUACUCACAAAACCAAACAGAUUGGCUCGCGUUAGCCUCCUUCAAAAAUGCAAUAUACAAAGACCCAUUUGGAGUCUUGAACUCUUGGAAUGAUUCUACCCAUCAUUGUGAGUGGCAAGGUGUUUUGUGCAGCAAAAGACAUCCCGGGAGGGUCACAUCUCUGGUCCUGAGAUCACAAGGCUUGGAUGACUUUCUAUCUCCUCACAUAGGUAACCUCUCUUUUAUGAGGGUCAUAUUUCUGCAGAACAACAGGUUUCAUGGCGAAAUCCCACCACAAAUUGGCAAUUUGCUUCGACUCAGUGUUCUUGUUCUUAGUAACAACUCAUUUGGUGGGCUGAUACCCUCCAAUCUUUCCCGCUGCUCGAACCUCGAGAAACUGAAUCUCAUAAAUAACCAGCUUGUGGGGGGAAUUCAUUCCGAUCUUGGUUCUUUAACAAGACUCAAAGGCUUGGGCUUGUUUCGGAACAGUCUUGUAGGUCCUAUUCCUCGUUCGAUUGGAAACCUCUCGUUGCUACGAGAGCUCUCGCUGGGAGAAAAUGCGUUAAGCGGAGAAAUACCUGAGGAAUUGUCCAGACUCAAGAGAUUGAUACUUUUCCAACUAUCUUCCAACAAACUAACCGGUGAGGUUCCAGCAGGGAUUUUAAACAUCUCUGACAUUAUAAUAUUCGAUGUUAGGUUGAACCAGUUGUCGGGAAGCUUUCUCAAUGAUGUUGGCACCACUUCUUCUCUCCGUUUACUUAGCGCCGGUGGUAACUUGUUCACCGGUAUGAUUCCGUCAAUGUUAACGAAUGCCACAGGUCUCGAGUCACUUGGCCUUUCCUACAACAAUUUCCAUGGGCCAAUACCAAAAAAUCUGGGAAGGCUAAAGGGCCUUUACUUGAUUACAAUGUCUGGUAACCACUUGCAGGAUGACUUGAGUUUCAUUUCUUCUUUAGUUAAUUGUUCCAACUUAGAAACUCUCGGGAUGAUGGAGAACUUGAUUCACGGAUCGUUGCCGAGAUCCUUCUUCAAUCUCUCCCCCAGCAUUGAUCGAAUUUCUAUGUCAGACAAUCGGAUCCAAGGAUCUAUUCCUUUAGCCCUCGGAAAUCUCUUCAACUUGUCUUUCUUGUGUUUACGUAAUAAUUUUCUAACUGAUUGUAUUCCUCAUUCCAUCGGAGCACUUUCCAACUUGCAGCAACUUUAUUUGGACGGGAACAUGUUUACUGGCGAGAUACCAUCUUCGAUUGGUAACAUUACGUCAUUGGGUAUCCUUGACCUUUCCUAUAACAUUUUCCAAGGCUACAUACCGCAGAGUCUCGGCAACUGCAAGCAACUAAUUGGGCUUGAUCUUUCGAACAAUAACCUAAUUGGCUCAGUUCCUGUCGAAAUCAUGGGUCUUUCUUCCUUGUCGAUCGCCUUCAGUUUAGCAAAUAAUAAUUUAAGUGGAUCUCUUCCAUUGCAAGUUGGAUCUUUAAAGAAUCUUGGCAUAUUAGAUCUGUCUUACAAUAGAUUGACCGGCUUAAUUCCGACGUCCAUUGGCGAGUGCUUGGUAUUGGAACGACUUCACUUAGAAGCUAAUUCUUUUCAUGGUCAAAUCCCCGAAGCUUUACGUCCAUUACGGGGUUUACUAGAGCUGGACCUUUCCAAUAAUAAUUUUUCUGGUCCAAUCCCGAUCUUUCUCGCAGGGCUCUCACUACUCAUGUACUUGAAUUUGUCCUUCAAUCAACUAGAAGGACAAGUUCCAGAGGGUGGAGUUUUUCUUAAUGCAAGUUCUGUAUCGAUUUAUGGAAAUACGAAACUUUGUGGAGGUGUUCUCGGUCUGAAGCUUCCUCUUUGCAAAUCACCAAGCUCUAAGAAGUCUUCUUCAACCAAGGCCAGAGUAAUAUAUGUGGUAGUUGGCAGUUUGUUAUGUUUAGCUUUGUUGCUUCUAUGUCUGUCUAUCUACUACCGCAAAAAGAAGCAAACGACAACCAAUGCCUCCACUUCAUUAUCUUUCGAGAACCAAUUCUUGAGGAUUUCUUAUGAAGAACUCCUGAGGGCGACUGACAGAUUCUCCGAGACCAAUUUGAUUGGUAAAGGGAGAUACGGCAUGGUUUAUAAGGGGAUUCUUGAUGGUGGUGCCAUGGUGGCGACGAAGGUGCUCAAUCUAACGCAAAGAGGUGCUUCGAGGAGCUUUAUCUCCGAAUGUCGAACUCUAGGAACCAUUAGACACUGAAACCUCGUAAAGAUACUAAGUGUCUGUUCGAGCGUGGACUUUCGAGGAAAUGACUUCAAAGCUCUAAUUUAUGAGUUCAUGGCUAAUGAGAGCUUGGAGCAGUGGCUGCACCCUAGGACUAUAGGACAAGAUGAUGAGUGUAGCAAAUCAAGAAAUCUUAGACUAGUGCAGAGGUUAAACAUUGCCAUCGACAUAGCUACUGCAAUCGAAUAUCUCCAUAAGGAUUGUUAUCCAGCAAUCGUUCAUGGAGAUUUGAAGCCAAGUAAUGUGCUUUUGGACAUUGACAAGGUGGCUCGAGUUGGAGAUUUCGGGCUUGCAAAGAUCAUUUCAACAAUGUCUAUUGAAACCACAAGAGUUCCGGACCAAGGUGGUUCAACUUCAACCGCAAUCAGAGGAUCCAUUGGCUAUGUGCCUCCUGAUAUGAAACUGUCAUAUUUUUCUCUAUUAGUUUUUAGUUGAUUGCGAUAGUAAUAUGAGAAUGCCAAAAGUUUGAAUAAACAAUGAUUCUUGAUGUGAUGUUAUGAUUUGUAUGCUCCGACAAUUCUCUCUCAAGACGCAAUUCCUCUUUCCCUUAUUAAUAACUUCCGCAUAAAAAGAAAACAUGUAUCUUUUUGUACGAAAAGAUUAAUAGUGGCUCGUUCUAAUUGUAAUUGAAAUUAAGAUGAGAAUAAACCAUCGUAAUUUUGAUCAAUGACUGGAAACUUUUUGGACAAAACUUGUGAAUCCAUAAUAGAUUAAGCAUAUUGUGUCAUCUCAUAUUUAUAUUUUCUUUUUAUAAUUUGUAUUUUGUCUCAUAUCACGUUCAUGCCAUUAAAAAGGAUUGCGAUUCUCUUUUGGUAUGUCAUGACUUAAGGUCUUGACUCUAAGUAAUUUUUCCUUUACGGCAGACCCUUUCAUGACCAAUAAUUUUAUAUUUGAAGAAUAUACUAGAUGACAUGACAUUUACACCAGAAACCGUUGGAGAAUACACUAAUUCACAACAUGAUGGGCUCUAUCCAACUUUCACUUUCCCUGAACUUCUUGGUUAGAGCAUAUUAAGAUAAAUUUACGCAUUUACAAGUAUAAAUCCAUCACCGUCAACAAAUCAUUCUAUGUCUCUUCUUUUUCCCCCACUAUGUUCAUUUUUUGCCUGUUCUUCUAAAAGAAAGUGUGGUAUAGGUAUUAAACAUAAUUUAUAUCAUGAAAAUGACGAGCCUCAUGUUGAUCCCAUAUGUUUCCAGUCAAAAGACCAACCAUUCGAAUUAAGUUAACACAUAAACUUCUGCUAAGGCCUUCACCCAACAUAUUUUCUUCUUUUUUUGUUUUCACCCGCACCCUACUAGAGGACAAAGCCACUCUUGAUGUUUAGGCAAUUUGUGGAGCAAACAUGUGACAACUUUGGUUGCACUUAGUAGUUUUGGAGAAGAAGAGUUCAUAUGAUGUUAACUGAUCAUUGGUGCACUUUAUAAAUUCUAAAAUCCCAUUUCUCUACUGUUGAUGCAUUUCUCAACGGUUGAUGUGCUUUAUAAGAGUUCACACGAUGGGCGCUAAACAUCAGCCAUAUACGGUAUACUAAACAAAAAUUAAACAAAGAGCAAUGAAAGAAAAAAAAAACCAGUAGGGGGCUUUGGGACCCUCUACCUUGCUCUAGCAGAGGAUUCUCUGGCCUCUGCCAUGCAUAGCGAGCCCAACUAUGAAGUGAGUGAGGUCUUGCAAGACAUUGCUCUAUAUUGGGCACGAUAGGCGCAAUCCACCACAGUUGUCCCCGGCAAGCUCUUGCAAAUUGAUAUCAAACAAAAUCUCAUGUGACUUAGAAGCUUUUUCUAAACAAUUAACUUCAAGAAAAAGUGAAUAUUCGUUCCCAUUAAUGUCUAGAUAAAAUUUUCAGAGUAUGGCAUGGGACACAAGGUUUCUACACUUGGGGAUGCAUACAGUUACGGCAUUCUGUUAUUGGAGAUGUUCACUGGAAAGAGACCCACUGAAGAGGCCUUUGGGCACCAUCUUAACCUUCACAACUUUGUCCGAAUGGCUCUUCCGGAUCAAGCAAUGGACAUCAUAGACUUAAGGCUUUGGAGUGAAGCUAGUGAUCGACAACAAGAGAUCAAGAUCAAAGAUUGCAUUAUCUCUGUAUUCGAAGUUGGAGUCGCAUGUUCGAUGGAGUCACUGCCAGAUCGGAUGGAAAUAUCCAAGGCUAUAAGGAAAUUACACUUGAUCAAGGUGAGUUAUGAAACCAAAGAGAGGAUGAUAGAUAUAUAGCUAAAUCAAUUUUCUUGUUUCAUCUUGGAACUUUUUCACUAGUAGAGAAAAUCAUCAUGUAAAGGUAGUGCUAGCAAAUUGACAUUAAUGUCUUUUAACUAGUCUGCCUACCCAUAUCUAUUACGUGUAUUUUUUUAUAAUUACACCAAUAUCUAUAUUUAAUAAUCAUGGAAAGUGGAUGUAUGGAGUUAAGUCUACCUAUGUUCACCAAGUAACCACAUAAAAUUUGAUGAAUUUGCUUAUUUGCCCAGUUCUCUUAAUUUUUUAUGCCUCUAUGGAUCGAUGCAUUGCUUAAUUAUCAUGGCUAGGCCAUUGCCCUUGCCUCUCCCUCUGCACAUGCUUGUAUACUAGAAUGUGACCUCACCGUGAGGUCACGAGCUCAAGGCCAACUCUUAAUGUCAUGCUUAACCGAGAGCCCGCGGUCAAUUAGAGACCAAGCUUGAUCGAAUCCAAAGGCAAGGAGUGGGAGGCAACCUCAUCACAAGAUCAUAAGGUAAGGCUAACUCUCAAUGUCGCUGUUGAGAGUGAACUCACUAUCAAUUGGAAGCCAUCCUUGAUAAAAUUUGGGCGACGUUGCCAAUGAAAUCAUGUUGCGGUCAUGUUGUGAACACCAACAGCCACCGUGUGUGGCCCUUACCUCUUCUCCAAACCUCCUUUUUUCAAUCAUUUUUUCUUUGCUAUGUCAUUGAAUUACAGAGUUUUUCUUUUUUCUUUCGUUUUGGUCGAUAGAGAUAAAUAGUUAACAAAGACAUAAAUGAGACAAGAUUAAAAAGAGAACAUGGAUGCAUAUUUGUUGCACUCGCAGGUGUGCUUGUCACACUGUAAUUAUUUUCAUCAAGUCUUCCCACUCAACUAGGCUUCUCUCUUUCCACCAUUAGCCACCGUCUCUAGCCAUUGUAGCCACCUAUCAUCACAGACCUUGAGACGACCUUCCAAUCUCAUCAUCGCCAACCACUUGAUUUGUAGAUGGCGAGAGAAGCUCAACGCGAGCUCUUGAAACCCACCAAGGGCAUAAACUUGAUGUCAUGGCCCGAUCAUCAAGCGUGUGCCCAUACCUCAGUGGUCGAUAAAAAAUUUGCGACUUCCCAGUACGAGUCGCCGACCCUUUCAUUUUAUUGCACAUGCGGAAGCGAAUAACAAUUCCCCUGAAAGUAACCAUCUCAGGAUAGAAAAGCAGGACAUCGGAUUCAAAAACAAACAUGCUUUUAAAUACACAUCGAGUCAAAUACAAAAGUCUACAGUCACAAGACUUCAAAUGAUUGACUCUAAAAAACAAAUUGUCCUAUCUGACCUACACUUCAGAUCACCUCAGCUCGGCUCCAGGUCUUCCACCCUACGGUCCUGAAAAAUAAAGCCUACGACAGGGUGAGAUAUAAAUCUCAGUGAGUUCACGCUCGAAACCCUGAUUAGAAGGGUAAUAUGCCUAGGGCAUCCUAAUCACAAAAUCAUACAAUCACAGAGACUUACCUUGUCUCGGAUCCUCCCUGCAGGUCAGCAUAGUUCAAAUCACAAUCAUGUGUAUAUAGCAAAUUCACAAACCAAUUUGGAACGUCCAAACUAAUCAUUACUCACACGAGCAAGAAUCACAAUUUAAUCACUGCUCACACGAGCAAGAACUACCGAUACACAUCAAAGAAAGAAUUACUGACACACGUCGAUCCAUCAAUUCAACUCAACAUGCAUUCCAAUUAAUUAAUUAUUACUACCCACAUGAGCAGUUUUACAUGACACACACCGGGGAAGAAUAAUAACUACCGACAUAUGCCGGGGUUAGGUAAUAUCCAUCGACACAUGCCGGGGUGUUGACACCUAAAGUUUGAUGACCCAUUUAGUCAUUUAUUGCAUUAAAAAAAUAGGGAUUAAUUUUAACCCCUAAAAAAAUAUAUUAGUUAAUUAAUUAAUUGCAUAGCAUAUAGUUUUAGGUGCAUUUACAUUCUUUGCGUUUUAUUGGAUCAGUGGUGAAUAGAUUUGGAUUAGUGGUUCUAAGCUUUAAUUUGGCAGACCGGACUAAGCCCACAAAGCAAGUAAAUUGGCCCAAGUCCGUUUUCUUUUAAUGAAAAAAAUUACCUAAAUUGAGAUUUGAAAUGAUAUUACGAUGGAUUUUUGGAAUUUAAGAAAAUUGGGUUGCAAUCUUAUCUUUAGGCGAUAAAAUCAGGAGAUGUGGAAAAAAAAAAGUUAUAUUGUGUGCGAAAAAGAAAUCUUUGUGGAUGUUGAUUUGAAAAGGAAAUUAAAACCCUAAUCUUCGGCCUAUAAAAAAGUUUUUCGCGUAGGGUUUCAAGAGGAGGCCACACAUUAGAAAUACACGGCCGCAUCCAGAGGCUUUUCUCUCGAUUGCUAGGUCAAAAGAAAAUUCUACGCAAAAGAAAAGUGAGAGGAAAAGUUUUCCCUUGGUCCAUUUGUUCCUUUGGAAACACAAAAGAAAAAUUGAGCAGGAGUUGUGUUUCCUUCUGCUGACAGUAGCAGAGAGGAAGAGACAGGAGAGAGGGACGUGUGCUGCAGAGAGGAGAGAGAACAGUAGGAAAAAAGAAAACAGAGAGCUGUUGUUCAUCUUCCUCACGGACUCCUUCCGUCGGCCGCACGCCGUUCCGCCCGUGACCGGUUGCUGCCUCGUCGACGUCUCCGCUGCACCCCGCCUCGCCUGGAGCCCGCGAGCACCCACGUCUGAGCCUCCUCCAAGCGAAGCCUGCACCGGAGCUGCGACCCGAAGCCGAAGGCAUCGCCCCCUGCUUCCACUCGGACUGACCCACGACGCCAUUGGAUGCUGAGUAUCUGACAACGCUGAGCAUGACCGAGCCAUUGUCCCGAGCUGCUAUCCAUGACGUCUCUUACUCUUCACUUGCUACGCUGCCAAGCCCAGCCCCAAUCCUAACGACGAGUUGUGGUACUGAUCAUCGGUACUGCUCAAAGAAUCCAUUCCAUGCCACGAGUUCAGUGACCGGAGACAAUGCAGCAGCCCUCUAUCUCAAGCCGUUGCUGUUGCAUCGUGACCCCGGACCAACGGUGUUCACGAUCCUUCCUAGUGACAACAAAACUUCUCUUUGUUUUGCAGGUUUCCCACAAGCGGGUAAGACUUUCAGAGCAUCCGAAAGUUGCCGCUACCGCUGAUCUUGGGACGCGGCAUUCAAGCAUCCGUUGCUACCCUCAUCACAUCCAAAACUCCUGGUAUUUGUGGAAGUCUCUAGUGAAUUGUUCUUAAUAGUUUUUAAUCCCAACCUUGAGCACAUCACCAGAAACCGUCUCAUCGUGCUAAGAAGCAUCAACCAUGAAUCAUCCACUCACGGUCAAAUGCAGAAGAAGCAAAAAUUUUUGAAAGCCACAAGACAACAGACAAUCCACAGAGAGAAAGAGGGCAUGAAGCAUUGAGACGCUAUUAGUGAGUGGAAGAAUAAAAAAUAGGAGUUAAAGAGGAAUUGUGAGUGGUGAUUUGUGGAGAUUGAUUCAUGCAAUUCUCACAUCUCAGACGCCGUUUUUCCGAGGCCAACAUCAACGAAGCCAGUCCUCGCCCACUCCGCAGCUUUCUGGUAUUUCAUCCAACGAUUCUAGUGGCCGCCGCAUCGGGCAUCAUCCACCACGAGCCAUCGCUGAUCCCAUCAUCCGACGAGUCCAAAUUUGGGAACGAUAUUACGAAAUAGGUAAAGAUAUUAUCCAAAUUUAAUUUGAUAAUUUCCUUACUUAAUUUAUUGAUAUUGCGUUUAAAUUCAAAUCUUCCGAUGAUGCAUCUAAUCCAAAUUUUCUCGAAAAUCUUUUUAAAUUAUGGAUUUAUUCCGUAAUUUCACAACGUGCAUAUGAUUGACAGUUCAAUUUCACGCUCGAAAUACGACUCGCAAUUGCACAGAAAAAUUGUCAAUCCGAUCUCACGCUCGAGAUACGAUUCGUGAUUUUGUUAAAAAUUGGCCAAUCCGAUCUCAUGCGCGAGAUACGAUUCGUCAAUUUAUUUCCCUAAAUUAAAUGGACAUGGUUGAUAUCUUGCUUGAUUUGGUGCCGUGCUUUCUUGAUGCCUCUAUUUGAUUGCUCCCGUAAAAGAAAAAACCCAAAAAUAUUUAUUUGAGUUAGAUUAGGUUCAUGUUAGAAUAUUACUUGUUUUAGGGUUAUUUUGCAUGUUUAGAAUAGGAAAUUUAUUUAUUUCAAAUUUCUUAAAUAAAAAUCCAAUAAAAAUGCGUUCAAUUAGGAUGUUAGUUUUUCUUUAAUCUAAAGUGCACGUUUAAUUAUUUGGCAAUUUUAAUUUCGAAUUUCAUAAAAGAAAAAGAAAAGGAAAAUAGAAUUAGGGCAUUCUUUGCACGUCAUUGCAUAUUGUGAUAGAUUGCAUGCUUAUUAAGAAAAUAAAAAAUCAUGUGCACGUCAUAUAACGUUAGGUUCAUGAAAUCCACGUCAUUUAGUGAUUGUUGCUAGGUUCAUUUAAUUAGAAAUUGCCCGUCAUUAAGAUUUAGGUCAUUUUGGUUAAUUUAGAUUGCAUAUUUAAUUAUUGCAUGUUUAUUAAGAAAACAUAAAAAGUUACUUUACCCAUGUCAUAUAGUUUAGGCUAUACUACCAUGUCAUAUCAUUUCAUGUUAGAUUAGAAGCAUUGCAUUGCAUAUGGAUUUGAUUCUCAUUAAUUAAGUGAAAAUGAAAAAAAGAAAUUGCGUGUUAAUUAGAAAUCAUAUCUAGGGUUGAUGAUUUGAAUUCUGAUCUAAUAACGCAGAUGCUUUCAUUGCUAUGAGGUAAGUCCUGCAAUUUAUUCAUUGCUUUUCUUGGGUGUUAAAUUAGUGGUUUGCACACCCGCAUGAUCGCAUCACAUGUUAGAAAAAUUAGAUUUAAAAUCAAUUCAAGCUGCCUGCAAAACAUUUUUCAAAAUAAAAGAAAAAGGUACCGAAAGGGCAUUAGAGAAAUCUAGUGUAACCAAGUCUCUGUACCCAUAUUCUCUGGUUCGUAGGAGUAAAGUAAAUCUCAUGUGACUUUACUUGGGUUUCUAAUCGACCCACAAAAAAUAGAUUAGUGGCGACUCCUAAUUGAAAAUCAAUUGCAUGUUAAGAAUUUGAACCUAAGUCGCGAAUUGGUAUGGGCUUGGGAGAGCCCAAAUUAAGUCAAGGCUUAAUAAUCCAUUAGCCAAGCUCUAGGUGGUUCACCCAAAAAAUUGGUCGCAAUAGCUUGGCGACUCCACUGGGGACUUGAGAUAAAACUCUUAAGAGACUUAGGCCAAUUUUCUUUUUGAAAAAAUAUUUUUGUUUGGCAGCGAGGAUCCCAGGUACGUCCCUAACCUUUAGAGUGUUAAAUGUUUUUGCAGGAUGGGAGGUAUAAGGGGAGUAGUGAUUCUUAACCCUUGUCUUGCAGGUUGGAGUUGAUGAUAAAUGUUUUGAAUUCAAAUUAUUGAAGUGUUGUUUGAUACAAACUGUUGUGCAUGCCUUGCAUUUGCACUACACUUUUGCACAUACAACUUGCCGCCAGACCUGGGCCACAUAGGAUCAUUUAGGAUGGUAUUGAGAUGGAUACUACUCCGACCGCAUGCUCGCGGUAUGAGUCGCCCAUCUUAAUCCCGAAGUUUCUUUCAUGGUGUCAAGAGUACCCACCUCAGUCCGCAUGCUCGCGACCUGGGUCGGCUCUUUGACCAAGUCGGAGUCAUGAGGACUCGACAUAGUCCACAAGCCCGUGGCUAGUUUGAUCAUCCUUGUGGCUCCACUUGUUAAGCCUUAUAUACUAGAAAUCGAGCCACUUACCAUGUGCAUGUUUAUGUGAUUGCUAUUGAUUUUCCUUAGUGAAGUAAGUCUUCUAUCCCUAUACCUUACAAUUUAUUUUGUCGUGUUUUUGGUUUGUCCAUGACAAUCUAGAUUAGUCAUUUAAUCUAAUUCCUUUGUCAAUUAAAAAUGAAAUGAAGAAAUUGCCAUGCAAUGAAUCAUUUGCAAAAAAAAAAAAAAACUUUGGAGAGUUUGUUUUCAAAUCAUGUCUAGGAAAUUUGGUCUUGUUAGGGUGUCUAUCUUUAUUUUCCUUGUCCAUUUUUAGGAAAUUCCCUUAUUGUACGAACUUUUCAUGAAUAAAUGAAAAAAAAAUGGAAAAAUCAAUUGGAUCAUUGUCAUGAAUUGACUUUCUAUUUACCUUCAUGCUUACAUGUUCCCGUUCAUUUGAAUUAGGUGAUUAUGGAACGAUCCCGCUCACCCAUCCGUUCACGAUCGAGAGCUAAAAUGACGGAUCAAAAAGAGCUUAUCUCGUCAAGCAAAAAUGCUACAAUCUAUCUUCAGUGAGAAAUUGCGACUCCAAGAAGAGAGCCAAGAAGACCUUUUGAAUCGUCUCAUUUUCCUGAGGUAGUCGAAUUUGAUGCCAUCAUGAAGAGGGUAGUGACAUAUCUAGAUGGAAGAAUAUUUGACUUGAAGGCUUUGCAUCACACAAGAUCAAGGAGGGUGAAGAAUUCCAGUACACAUGAUUCAUGGUUCUAAGUAAUUCAAUUUCCUCAUUUAAUUAGGGGCAUGCACCUUCCCCUGCGUGGGAAUUCUUAUCGCUUUUUAGGGAUUGGUUUCAAUUUCUUUAGUGCAUGAACAUCACAUUUUUCUUUCAAAUAUAUGUAAUUCGAUUGAUGAAUAUCAAUAAAAUUACGAUUUUUGUUUUGAGAACAUGAUGUGGUACACCAAACCAGCCCGGUGACGAUAUCCAACAAUGAAAAGAAAAUAUUAUCCAUGGAGAAAUUCUGAGGACUGGGCUUCUUCAUGCUUCCUCGUAAAAAAAAAAGAUAAAAAAAAAUCAUUUUUGAAGCCAUUUCUAAAAGCAUGCAUUAGGUUACCCUUGUUUGUUUUUCCAACCCAUUUACUUCAUGUCUCAGAGCAUAACAGAAAAGCAUUUGAAAGUAACGCGUCAAUUUCCAGUUAUAGUGGGCCCAUUGAUUUGGGAACGUACAUCUGAAGGAGAAAUAGGCAUGGGGGCAAAGGAUCAUUUCCUAACUGAUUGUGAUGACAUCUCCCAAGAGUGAAGAAGACAUUAAACACUACUUAUCCUCUUACUUGUCCCAAGCGAUUUCCUUGCAUAUCAAUAAGAAACUGCGGGCAAGUCAAAAGAAGAUCAUCUAGAUUCCAAAGUGUGACAUGUGGCACAUCUCAUUACAAUUUGUGUGAGAUGUCAUUCUCGAAAGCCAAAUGAAGUUUCUCAUUUCCAUGAGAGAAUGAUGGAAGAAGUCAAAAGAGGAUCAUCCAUCUUGGAUAAAAUAGAUGCAUUGCAUUCAUGAAUAUAAUUAAUUUUGGAAUUGACACUCUGUUCUUUUCCUUGCAGAUGACGAAUUAGAGCACUGAGAUUCUAGUAGUAACAUAACUGAGACAAAAUCUUGAUCCGAGCCAAAAUGAUUGUGCAAUUUGAAUUUAUUCUGAUAUUGCAUGGUAUCAUUUUCAUGCAUGUUCUUUUGCGCAAGGGAAAAAGUGGAUUUUCAGUCUUGAUUGAUAGGGAUUAUCUAAGGACACCCAAUUAUUGAGAUAGUCCCUUUGUAGGACAAUUCCUUGAUUGAAUGCUUGAAAUUUUCAUACUUAUGAGAGCAUGUUUUGUCUAUUUGAAAUCACAAAAGCUUUUCAUGCUUAAUGUUGUUGGGCUCUUUUGAAAAGAGAAUUUUCUAGCGGCCGCCGCAUCGGUUCAAGCAUCAUCCACCACGAGCCAUCGCUGAUCCCAUCAUCCGAUGAGUCCAAAUUUGGGAACGAUAUUACGAAAUAUGUAAAGAUAUUAUCCAAAUUUAAUUUGAUAAUUUCCUUACUUAAUUUAUUGAUAUUGCGUUUAAAUUCAAAUCUUCCGAUGAUGCAUCUAAUCCAAAUUUUCUCGAAAAUAUUUUUAAAUUAGCGAUUUAUUCCCUAAUUUCAUAACGUGCAUAUGAUUGACAAUCUGAUUUCAAGCUCAAAAUACGACUCGCAAUUGUACGGAAAAAUUGCCAAUCCGAUCUCACGCUCAAGAUACGAUUUGUGAUUUUGUUAAAAAUUGGUCAAUCCGAUCUCAUACGUGAGAUACAAUUCGUCAAUUUAUUUCCCUAAAUUAAAUCGACAUGGUUGAUAUCUUGCUUGAUUUGGUGCCGUGCUUUCUUGAUGCCUCUAUUUGAUUGCUCCCGCAAAAGAAAAAACCCAAAAAUAUUUAUUUGAGUUAGAUUAGGUUCUUGUUAGAAUAUUACUUGUUUUAGGGUUAUUUUGCAUGUUUAGAAUAGGAAAUUUAUUUAUUUCAAAUUCCUUAAAUAAAAAUCCAAAAAAAAAAUACGUUUAGUUAGGAUGUUAGUUUUUUCUUAAUCUAAAUUGCACGUUUAAUUAUUUGGCAAUUUUAAUUUCAAAUUUCAUAAAAGAAAAGGAAAAGGAAAAUAGAAUUAGGCAUUCUUUGCACAUCAUUGCAUAUUAUGAUAGAUUGCAUGCUUAUUAAGAAAAUAAAAAAUCAUGUACACGUCAUAUAACGUUAGGUUCAUGAAAUGCACGUCAUUUAGUGAUUGUUGCUAGGUUCAUUUAAUUAGAAAUUGCCCGUCAUUAAAAUUAGGUCAUUUUGGUUAAUUUAGAUUGCAUAUUUAAUUGUUGCAUGUUCAUUAAGAAAACAUAAAAAGUUACUUUACCCAUGUCAUAUAGUUUAGGCUAUACUACCAUGUCAUAUCAUUUCAUGUUAGAUUAGAAGCAUUGCAUUGCAUAUGGAUUUGAUUCUCAUUAAUUAAGUGAAAAUGAAAAAAAGAAAUUGCGUGUUAAUUAGAAAUCAUAUCUAGGGUUGAUGAUGUGAAUUCUAAUCUAACAACGCAGAUGCUUUCGUUACUAUGAGGUAAGUCCUAUAAUUUAUUCAUUGCUUUUCUUAGGUGUUAAAUUAGUGGUUUGCGCACUCGCAUGAUCGCAUCAUAUGUUAGAAAAAUUAGAUUUAAAAUCAAUUCAAGCUGCCUGCAAAACAUUUUUCAAAAUAAAAGAAAAAGGUACCAAAAGGGCAUUAGAGAAAUCUAGUGUAACCAAGUCCCCGUACCCAUAUUCUCUGGUUCGUAGGAGUAAAGUAAAUCUCAUGUGACUUUACUUGGGUUUUUAAUCGACCCACCAAAAAUAGAUUAGUGGCGACUCCUAGUUGAAAAUCAAUUGCAUAUUAAGAAUUUGAACCUAAGUCGCGAAUUAGUAUGGGUUUGGGAGAGCCCGAAUUAAGUCAAGGCUUAACAAUCCAUUAGCCAAACCCUAGGUGGUUCACCCGAAAAAUUGGUCGUGACACGGGGUUAGGUAAUAUUAACUUUUAAUGUCCACCGACACAUGUCACGCCCUAAUCCUCGGGCAUGCGCCCAUCCCUCACCUUGGUCGAUUAAAAAUUUGCGAUAUCCCAGGAUGUAUUGCCGACCCUUUCAUUUUCAUAUGCACAUGCGGAAGCAAUUAAAAAUCCCCAGACAAUAAAACAUUGGGAUAGAACAGUAGGACUAAAUUUCAAACUCUUAAAAACCUUCACUCUUAUAUACAAGGUGAACUAUAAAGUUCAAUUUACCUAAGCCAGUUUAAAAACAAGGUCUACAAGCAGAAGUGGGGUUCUACAAGCUAUGGGUCCCCGUCCUCCUCUUCAUCAUCCUCCACACUCCAAAUGGAGCCUUCAGCAAACUACACCGGGCUUUCGAGAUCUUCAAAAUCCAAGUCUACUGCAUCUAGGGACCUAAAAUGGUUAUUCAAUAACCAAUGAGACAACGUCUCAGCAAGUUCUACCCCCUAAGACCCGAUUAGUAAACUAAUACACCUUAGGGCUGCCUAUGCACAACAUAAGUCAGAGGACUUACCUUGGUCUCAGAUUCCACCUGCAUAUUAGCACAGAUCAAAUAGGCACCCAAGCAAUCACAUCACUGAUCGAAGCAUCAAUCAAAUCGACAUAGUCGAUUACAUCUCAAUCGAACCAUUCACUAGUCAUUUCCAUUCAAUCAAUCAAUUCACAACAUCAUAUCAAAGCAAUGAUCAAUCGACCUAGUCGAUUUCAUAUCAACAAGACCACUUUCGGUCAUUUCAACUAUUCCAACUCAAUUCCCAAUUAUGAAUCACGGUCCUUAGGACACAACUUAUCUAUAGGUGGUAAUCACGGCCCCACCAAGUAACUUUCUUAGAUUUAGUGGCUUUACGGUCCCACCUGACCCUUCCAAGAUUCAAUGGCUUUAUGGUUCCACCCGACCCUCUCAAGAUUCAAUGGCUUUAUGGUCCCACCCGACCUUUCCAAGAUUUAAUGGCUUUACGGUGCCACCCGACCCUCUCAAGAUCUAGUGGCUUUAUGGUCCCACCCGACCCUUUCAAGAUCUAGUGGCUUUAUGGUCCCACCCGACAUUUCCAAGAUUUAAUGGCUUUACGGUCCCACCCAACCCUUUCAAGAUCUAGUGGCUUUAUGGUCACACCUGACCCUUUCAAGAUCUAGUGGCUUUAUGGUGGCUUUAUGGUCCCACCCGACCCUUUCUACGAUGCCAUACUCUAUCACCAAGCCACGUGCAUUCUCCAACUCACUUUCGAUAUUGACAACCAAUACCCGACGGUUUCUCAAUCAAAGAAUUAAAAUCACAUCACUUAGGAAUAUACCCAAAAAUUCACAAUUAAUUUAAUUCGGCACGAUUCAAGCUCAAAUAAAUAAACGGAUUGCACCACGACAAUCAGCACAAAAUUCCGGUCACUAGCCAUCCCGGUUGAAUUUCCGAAAAAAAAAAUAAUAAUUAAUUAAUUUCGAAAAUUAAAUAAAUAAUUAUAAAAAAAAUCCAAUUUAGGUUCGUAAUGCCGAAUUGGACGCCGAGACGAGCCCAGAAAAUUACCGAGACUCGUUCCAUAAAUAACAUGGCAUGUCUACUUGCUAAUGUCUAUUUCUAACCACCUAACAUGCAUCAUUAAGUCUCUAAUUUAAUUGAUCUAAACUAAUCUAACCACCUAAUUGCAUUUAAUUAAAUCUAACCAACCCUAAGCAUAAUUAGCAAACUAAAAAGAAAGCAUUAGUGAGUAAAACUCACUUGAUUAAAAACGGGGACCAGGACACCGCGACGACGACGCGACGGCGGCCGAACUUGGGCCGACUUGCUUCACGGGCCCAGGAUGGGCUGAACUUGCUGGGCCUCGUUGAAACUAAAUUGAACUGGGCUUCAAGUUGUGAGCUUGAAGAUGGGCCGAAAACUGGGCUUGGGCUGCUGCGAACUGGGCCAAAUUCCAAUGGGCUAAACAGCUGGACUUUUGGGCUUCAAAUGGACUGAGAAUGGGCUGCUGGGUUCACUUGGGCUGAUAUUUAUUAAUUUGCGGGCUGAAUAAGAGAGCUUCAUGGGCUGUUGAACUGGGUCUAAAAUGCUGGACUGGGCUGCAACUUGAAUCGUUGAAGCAGAUGGGCCGUUGAUGCGAUCUGAUCCACGAGCGAAGAUGGGAGACAACGCGGCAAGAUCGAAGCAGCUGGCGUCGAGCGAAGACUUCGAUUGAUGGAGGAACACGCGGACGAUGUUGCUGCUAGGGAGUCUUCGAUCGUUGCUGGACACGCACAACCCCGAAAGAAAAAGAAGCCAGCUGGCGUCGGGCUUCGUGGGGGUGUGCUAGACAAGGCAACGGCGUGGCACAUGAAGCUGCUGGAGAUGAUGCAGCGAUUAACAAACCGACUGGUUUGACUGGGGAACAAAAGAUGGUGGAGGCGUGCUGGUAGAAACUGGGAGAGAUCUUCGGACGUGGCAGCUGUAGUUCCGGUGGCCACGAGCUGGAGAAGACCACGCGGAUGCUUACUCAAGUCUUCCGUGUUAAGGAGUUUGAUCGAGAGAGGGCAGCAAAGGAGAACUUGGUGGAUGUUGGGCUAAAAUCGUGAGGAUUGGGGGGUCAAAAGAAAUGGCUUCUUGUGUUGAUUGAGUUGACCGAAUAGCUUGCUGGCGUGAGAGUUCGAGGGGAUGAAGGGAAAGAAAUCAAGAGAGAGAGAGAGAGAUGGAGUUGCGGAGGGGGAGGUCGGCAAGUGUUGAAGAAGACCGAGGAUGGAGCUCACGAAAAUGGAGAAGUCUUGGACGGCAGCUGAGUGAGAGGGAAGAGAGAGAUGGAUAGAGAUGAGGUUGAGGAGCCCACAAGCCUUCAUUUUCCACACGAUUAUCCCCUUGAACCCUUCCUGGCCAAGUCUUCUUCCUUGGCUCACCUUAGGCCAACAAUGCACUCUCCAUAACAUCUCAAUUGGUCCAAAAAAUGCUAGGGGAAGGGGGGCUACGAAUUUUAAAAUCAUGGCUUCAAAUUGGACACUCAUCCCAUCUCAAUUUCAUCUCAAAUGGCCUCCACAAAAUCAAUUAACCUCUCAAGGCCUCAAUCUCAUCCUCUAUGUCUCCCCCAUCAUUUUCAAGCAUAAAUUCCGCCAUUAAACCAAUUUAGGUCCAAAAUAAUACUGUCCUCCCUUAGUUCCGAAUUUCACAUUUUGAGCUUCCAAUUUCUUCGACAAAUUCCCAAAUUGAGAUCCAAUCUCGAUGAAGAAAAAUUCCGAACAAUUUUCUAUAAAUCCCCAACACUCACUAGCUUGGCUUGAAAGUCCAAACUCCCUUAAAUUCGGUCCAUAUGAAUUUCUGUUAAUUUUCCAUGACGUCCGAACGAUUUUCCGUAAAAAAUCUCGGAAUCUCUGAAAAACCUUUUGAGACUAAGUCGACGUUCCUAGAAUUGAUCGUGACACUACAGAACUUUCCAUUUCUGAAAUCGGACUCGAAUUCACGGUUAAUUUCCAUUCGACGCGUUUUUAGCGUGACCUAAACUAUCGGGUAACUUUCAAAAAAUUUUAGUGCAAACGGUCGAUUUUCUUCAAGCCACAAUGAACCCACUCGACCCAUUGACGACUUUUGAUUGUCGUGAAAAUCUCGAGGAUUCAAAUACGGACAUAGGGUACCAAAACAAUAAGAAAAUCGGUCUAAUGCCGGUCAACGAGAAUUUUCUAAUUUAGUGGUGUCACCCAUGAUUAGACACACAUCUCAGUCGAACCGACCUAUCUCUGAUCUUGAAUCGAUUUUAUACUGUGCCGCAAUGGCCUCUAAAGAUAGACAUGGUCAAGAAGCCGAUCUCUAGUCGAAUUCUCAAGUCUAUUUGUCUUAAAAUCCUUAUUGGUUUCCCCAGAUAGUCUAGUUAUCUCAAGAAUGAUCAGUUCUGAGAACAACCCUAUAGACGCGUCAAUGAAAUGCCCGAUUUAUUCAAUUGAAAACAUGACUGAAAAUCUGGGAUGUCACAACACACGCUGGGAAUGGGUUCUCCUAACUUUUAACGUCUACCAACACACGUUGGGGAUGGGUUCUCUUAAGUUUCACACGAUUAUUAAGCAGUAUCUCUAGGUAUGUCACAAACCUACCUUAUAUCAUCAAAUGUGCAAUUUCCAGCAAGCAAAGCAUCAAGAACCAUCACAAAAUCAUAACCGGCCCUAACUGGUAGAAUAGGCCUACUCGCACGUCUCCAAGUUUAAAUCCAGAAAUCUAAUCAAACAAGUUCAAGAAAUUCCCAAAUUUGAAUAUGUUGUAAAGGACACACAAAAGAACAUUUUUUUAUGCAGACACCUUAACCCAGAUUCUUCUAGAUUCGGCCCAGUAAAUCACUCAAUCUAGUACAAAAAACUGUAUCCAUUUUCAGAAUUCUAUUUUACAAACUCAGUUUGGUUCGAGAUCCAAAACACGUCUGUUUGAUUAAAAAUUUGAUUAUGUUAAACUCAAAGAUGUGACAAACAACUUUUGUGAAGAAACCAUUUUGAAAUUCAAACCCUAAGAGUUGAUAAAAAUCCCUAGAAUCCAGAAAGGUCACCAGUUCCAGCAAAAACUGAGAUUCUGUUUGUAAAUGACGGAGUUGAUAUCUCUUUCUUUUGAACCCCUAAAAAUCUUGAAAAAAUAUAUAUUGUAUCUGAGGAUGUCUAAAACAUUUCUCAAGAAGACAUCAACCUCACAUUCGUAACACACUUCGGUCCACAAAAAUGGCAAACGGUGAGGAUCCAAAAACCAUAACUGUAGGAAUUUCACUAGAUUUGACUAAUCCAUCAUCAAUGAUACCAAUCUCACUAAUUAGAUUAACACUAAUCCAUUUUAAGGCUAAUCUAACCAUUCUAGAUUAUCACUAAUCCAUAUUUAAGCUAAUAUAAACAGCCCUUGAGCAUAAUUAAUCCACCAAGCAAGGUUUACUGAGUAAACUCACUUGUUCGACAAUCUGCUCAGAUCAAUACGACAAUGACGCGGCGGGGAGCGACAAACUCCAAAGCGGGUUUGCCAAACGGGGUGCGGAAGCGGUCCAAAGCGGGCCUCAAAGCUCCAAAACCCUUGCUGGUUUCUAGCUGUUGGUCUUUGUCGAAAAAGGGAGAACUGGUGGCUAGUUGAGUUGGAAACGAAGAGAAAGGGCUGCAACGGUGCUCGGCGGAACUUGGCAGGGCUUCACGGUGGCGGAGGGAGCUCUAGUGACGGCGAGACGAGCUUGACGACCUGUUGGUCGCAUGAACUGGAUGAGGACGACCCAGCUUUGGAUGACGAGAUGAGAACAGCUUGUGCGGGAUGCCCAGGCAAGCAUGGACGCACGAUGGCGGCUACUCGAGCUCCGGUGGGCAGCAGGGGUGUCCGGCGGCUUGUUGGCUGGCUUCUUAUGGGUUUGUGAGCUUCAAAUAGCAAAAUGGAGAGGGAGAGGGGGCUGGUCGACGGCAGCUAAGGGAGGGGAGAGAGAGGGAGGAAGGAGAAGAGAGGGGGCAAGGGGGGACCACUUGGUCUCUCCUAUCUCAAUUUGUCCCCUUGACUUGGCUCGUCUUGUUUGCUGUCUUCCACCACCAAUUUCCUGCUCUCAAACCCUUCUAGAAGCCCUUUUGAAAUAGUUCACAAGUCAUGGGUGUGGGGGCAUACGAAUUUCAAGUGAUUUCCCUCAAAUUGGGCACCAAAUCCUUCUUGAACCAACAUCAAUUGGUCCUAAAAAAUUCAACCAACAUAGCAACAAUCAAAUUGGCAUUUUUCCUCGCCAAUUGAACCCACUUGCAUCCUAAUUGCGUGAUAAAAACGGUCAUCUGAAUUUUCUAAACAAAAAUGACCCUACCUUGACUUUUUCUCAAAAAGUCUUGAUUUGCAUAAAAAUCUUUGGAGAUUGAGUCGACAUUCCUAAAAUAACUUAUGAUAUGACAUCACUUUUAAUUUUUGAAAUCAGAUUCAAAUUUGCGGUUAAUUUCAAUCUAACGCGAUUUUAUUGUGACCUAGGCUAUUGGGUAGCUUUCAAAAAAAAAUUAGUGCAAAUGACCCGUGGCCGAUUUUAUUCGAACCACAAUGUACCACUUCGACACAUUAGCAACUCUUAGUAGUCGUGAAAAUCUCAAGGUUUCAAUUACGAGCACAGGAUACCCAAAACGACAAAAAAUCGAUCUAAUGUCGAUCGAUGAGAAUUUUGCAAUCAUGUGGAAUUACCCACACAUUGAUCGCACAUCUCAGUCGAAUUGACCUAUCCCUGAUCUCUGGUCGAUUUUGACAAUGCCGUAAUGACCCUUGCAUACUAGUACGGUCGAGCAGUUGAUUUUUGGUCGAAUUCUCAAGUCUAUUGCAUUAAAAUCUCUUAAUGACUUCCCCAGAUAGUUUAGUUACCUCACGAGUGAUCGGCUUUGAGAAUAGCACUAUAAGCGCAUUGAUGAAAGGCCUGAUUUAUUCAAUUGAAAGCAAGACUGAAAAUCGAGGAUGUCACAACUCUUCCUCUCUUAUAAAAAUUUCGUCCUCGAAAUUUAAACCUUUACCAAUCUCAAUGAAAGGUGGGGGUAUCGUCUUUUCAUCGGGUUUCACUUUCUCACGUUGCUUCUUUAGUCUCGUGGUGUUGUUAGACCACUUUGACAAGGGGACCUUCUUGAUACACAGAAUCUGACAUUUCUGAACCACAAGCUGAACUGGGCUUUCCACGUACGACACUUUGUCGUCCAUGCCCAAUUCUUCCAGAUUUAGCACGUGGGUCGGGUUAAGCUCACACAUCCUCAACCUCGACACGUGAAAGACGUCAUGCACUUGCGCCUACUUCGACAGAAAUGCAAGACGAUAUGCUAGGAUCCCGAUUCCUUCUCUGGAAUCUCAAAGGGACCUACAUAUCUCGGUUUCAAUUUUCCCUCCUUGCUGAAGCGCAAGGUAUCCCUCAUUGGUGACACCUUCAGAAAGAUGUAAUCACCAAUUUGGAACUCUAAGGGCCUUUGAUGCUUAGCUAUACAACUUCUCUGGUACCUCUGAGCGAUCUUUAAUCCGUUUCUUAUCACGGAAACUGUAAUCAUUGACUGCUGAAUAGACUCUAGGCCUAUGAUCUCUCUCUUUCUCUGACCUCAUCUUAACAAACUGAAGUUCUGUACACUUUGCUCUGUCCUAUUUCAAAAGGAACCAUCUGACUGUUCUACUGAAACUAGGAAUCCUCGGGUCUACAUCUGAUAUAAAUUCAUCACUGGCACUCCAUGUAGACAAACUAUCUAACACGCAUACACUUCUAUAUGCCUAUUCAAAUCGAGAUCUUUUGAUACUACACUGAAGUGAGUCGGCUUCAUCAAUCUGUCGACCACUUACCAAAUGAAAUCAUUACCUCUUUGACUUCUUAGUGAGUUCAUCACAAAGUCCAUCAUGAUAUGCACUUAGUUCCACUCUGGGGUCUCGAGAGGUUGUAACAGUCCUCCCAGCUUACAAAGCUUUGCCUUGAUUUUAAUCUGAGCAUUCGGCUCAAUUCCGAGGAUGACUAUAAGAUUUGAAAUGUAGCCUACCUCAAAUUUGAAGACCGAAUUUCGAGCUUUCUUAAGUAAAGUCCAUUCCUUGACCACCAUCAGCGCAACUGAAGACUCCUGACUCAGCGCAUCAACUACCUCAUUCGCCUUCCCAGGGUGAUACUAAAUGUCACAAUCCUAGUCCUUCAGAACUUCUAAUUCACGACGCUGUCUCACAUUCAACUCCUUCCGAGAAAAUAAAUACUUGAGACUUUGAUGCUAUGUAAAGAUCUGGAAUCUUUUUCCCACAUAAAUAAUGUCUUCCAAUCUUUAGAGUGAAAAUAAUUGUUGCGAGUUCUAAGUUAUGCGUUGAGUAGUUCAGUUCAUGAGGUCUCAACUGAUGGCACGCGUAUGCAACAACUCUACCACGUUGCAUCAAGGCGCAACCCAGUCCUUUGAACGACGCAUCACUAUAGACCUCGUAUCCUCUAGGACUAGAUGGAAUGGUCAAUAGAGGUGCGAUAGUCAGCUUCUGCUUAAGCUCUUGGAAACUACACUCGUACUUGUCUGUCCACACAAACUUCUCUUCCUUCUUCAAUAGUCAAGUCAACUGCAAAGCUAAUGCUGGAAACCCUUCCAUGAACCUUCUGUAGUAUUCGGCUAAAUCCAAAAAGCUUCUGAUCUCUGACACUGACGUCAGUCUUGACCAAUUGAUAACUGCUUCGAUCUUCGUCGGGUCCACGAAGAUUUUUUCGCUUGAAAUCACGUGACCUAGGAAAGCACUUGUUGAACUUGACGUACAAUCCAUGAUCUCGCAAAGUCUCAAGUAUUGUCCUCAACUGUCUCUCGUGCUCCUCAACUGUCAUAUCCACGACAGUUCCCAAAUAACCUUGGCAACAAUUGUCUAGCAAACGGGUUGCCUCAAGUGACGAGAUUAAAGGGAUUGAGGGUACUCCUCGACUUCCAAUAAACUCGAAAUUUUCAUCUAUCUACGGAUUAAAUUGUAUCACAUUGCAGCAACAAUUCAUGACAACAAAAGCUCAUUGAGCCAAACCUUUUUAUAUAUGUAUCAAAGUUAUACAUAAGCGAACUAGUCAAGUACAACUAUAGUCGGUGCUUCUCCUUUCUAUGAUUUCAUUAUAACAACCGAGGUUCUAUAAAUUUAACCAAAAUUCCGCUGCGCCACUUUGAUAAAAUUGUUCUGAGGACACUGCCCUUCCUGUCCGGCACAUAACUCGAUUCAUCUUUGAGCUGGCGGCCUGUUCAAUCCACCAUGCAGUGCAUUCUACGGUGCAAUUCCUCGGUUUUGACCUAUCUGUGGCGGUGGCGGUAACUGUUGCAGUCCCAUCUGUCUUCGGGGACAAUUCCUAGCUAUGUGACCUUGCUGGCCUCAUUCAUAACAUGUACCCAUCUCAAAAUGGCAUGGGGUCGAUUCGUGUUGUUAUCCGCAGAAGUGACACAUGCCAUUCUAUCUUAGAGCUGACUUUCCGAUCCCACCCUUCCUAUUGAGUGGAAUAUGAUACAUUCCUCCAGACAUGGGUCUCUUCCCAAACCUAUUCCCAUCUCUGUUCGAUCCAAACCGUGACCCAUAUGUGGCAGCUCACUCAUUUAGACUUCUCUCUAACAGCUAGGCUCAAUUGUACACCUAGCGAUAGUCUUUUAGAUCCAACGGUACCAGUGAUUGUUUUAAUUCUAGCUAAAGGCCAUUCCUAAACCUUCGAGCUUUAUCCUCUAGAUCCUUGAUGAACCUUAGAGCAUACUAAGAGAGCUCUGCAAACUUGAUCUCGUAUUGGUCAACAGUCAUUGUCCCUUGACGGAGACGCUGGAAUUCUUUCAUUUUCUGUUCUCGGGCACUUCUCGAAAAUUAUUUGUCAUUGAAGGCUCUAAGGAAUGUGUCCCACAGGGAGACUAUUCCUCUCGGAAAUACUGUAUCUCUAACGGCUUUCCACCAGGUAUUUGCAUUACCCUGCAGUUGAUAUACUGUUAGGACAACUUUCUCCUCCUUAUUGCACCUCAGAAGUGCAAAAGCUUUGUCCAUAUCUUGAAUCCAAAGAGAUGCGGUCUCUGGUUCUCUAGUACCCGUGAACCUCAGCGGGUUCAGCUUCAGGAAUUGUUUCACCAACUUAUGGAUCGGCCACUCCCUAUCUACGAGUAUGUUCCCAGUUGGAACUUUGGCAAGUGUGGCGACAGGUGCGGCAGCGGCUGCGACCUCAGCAGCGACGGCAAUGACAGUAGUGCGGUAGCUUGAGCGGCGGCUGCAACGACGGCGGUAAAGGCGGCGACUUGGUUCUAGGCUUGUUGCCCCAUCAGAUCUCUCAUCGCCUCUAGCGGCUGCAUGAUCCCAACAGUUCCCGAAUUACCAGGUGCUACUACACCAGCACCGACUGGUGGCAAUGCUACGCCACUUGCGCUAGCUUGAGCUGGUGCUCUACCAUGACCUCCUCAGGUACUGACCCUCAUCAACGUCUUACCCCGAGUUACAGGACCAAUGGUACGCUUCCUAGGAGUCCUCUGCUCCCGAUCACUCAUAAUUUAGCAUUUCUGCAAAACUUGUUCCCAAUUCCAUACAGAAUUAGAAACUGAGUGAUCCACACAAACAAACAAUUCUACCAACCAGUUAUCAUAGACAUGCACCAGCAUGAAAUAAAGAUCAAUCUUACUAACUAUCCCAAGGACCUAUCGCACCUUAUCACUCCAUAGAAAAAACUAAGCUCUAAUACCACUUAAAUGGGGAUGUCACGUCCCGAUCCUCGAGCAAGUGCUCAUCUCUCAGUGGUCAAUAAAAAUUUUGCGACUUCCUAGGAUGAGUCACUGACCCUUUCAUUUUAUUUCACAUGCAGAAGCGAAUAACAAAUCCCCUGACAGUAACCAUCUUGGGAUAAAAAAGCAGGCGAUCAAAUUCAAAAACAAACAUGCUUUUAAAUACACAUCGAGUCAAAUACAAAAUUCUACAGUCACAAGACUUCAAAUGAUUGACUCUAAAAAAGAAACUAUCCUAUCUGACCUACACUUCAUAUCACCUCAGCUCGUCUCCAGGUCUUCCAUCCUACGAUCCUGAAAAAUGAAGCCCAUGAGAGGGUGAGAUAUAAAUCUCAGCGAGUUCACGCUAUAAACCCCAAUUAAGAGGGUAAUACAUCUAGGGCGUCUUAACCACACAAUCAUACAAUCACAAAAACUUACCUUGUCCCAGAUCCUCCUUGCAGAUCAGCACAGUUCAUAUCAAAAUCAUGUGUAUAUAGCAAAUUCACACACAAUUUAGAACGUCCAAACCAAUCAUUACGCACACGAGCAAGAAUCACAAUUUAAUCACUGCUCACACGAGCAAGAACUACUGAUACACAUCAAAGCAAGAAUUAACGACAUACGUCGAUCCAUCAAUUCAACUCAACAUGCGUUCCAAUUAAUUAAUUAAUACUACCCACAUGAGCAGUUUUACCCAACACACGCUAGGGAAGAAUAAUAACUACCGACACAUGCCGGACAAUAAUAAUAACUACCAACACACGCCAGGGUUAGGUAAUAUCCAUCAACACAAGCCAGGGAAGAAUAAUAUCUACCGACACACGCCGGGGUUAGGUAAUAUCCACCGAUACACGUCAGGGAACAAUAAUAACCAUCAACAAAUGCCGGGGUCAGAUAAUAUCCACCAACACAUGCCGGGGAAGAAUAAUAUCCAUAUUUAAGCCAAUCAAAAUAGCCCUUAAGCAUAAUUAACCUACUAAGCAAUGUUUAGUGAGUAAACUCACUUGUUCGACGAUCCGCUUAGAUCAAAACGAUGGGGACGCGGCAAGGAGCGACAAACUCCAAAGUGGGCUUGCCAAACGGAGUGCGGAAGCUGUCUAAAGCAGGCCUCAACACUCCAAAACCCUUGCUGGUUUCUAGCUGCUGAUCUUAGCUGAAAAAGGGAGAACUGGUGGCUAGUUGAGUUGGAAAUGAAGAGAAAGGACUGCAGCAGUGCUCUAUGGAGCUUGGCAAGGCUUCACAGUGGCGGAGGGAGCUCUAACGACGGCGAGAUGAGCUCAACAACUUGCUGGUCGCACGAACUAGACGAGGACGACGCAGCUCUGGAUGGCAAGACGGGAACGGCUUGCGUGGGACGCGCGAGCAAGCAUGGACAUGCGACAGCGGUUGCUUGGGCUUCGGUGGGCGGUAGGGGUGUCCGACUGCUUGUUGGCUAGCUUCUUCUGGGUUUGUGAGCUUCAAACAGCAAAAUAGAGAGGGAGAGGGGGUCGAUCAACAGUAGCUAGGGGGGAGGGAGGAACGAGAAGAGAGGGGGCAAAGAGGGACCACUUGGUCUCUCUUAUCUCAAUUUGUCCCUUGACUUGGCCCACCUUGUGUGCUGUCUUCCACCACCAAUUUCUAGCCCUCAAACCCUUCUAAAAGCCCUUUUGAAAUGGUCCACAAGUCAUGGGUGUGGGGGCAUACGAAUUUCAAGUGAUUUCCCUCAAAUUGGGCACCAAAUCCUUCUUGAACCAACAUCAAUUGGUCCCAAAAAAUUCAACCAACAUAACAACAAUCAAAUUGGCAUUUUUCCUCGCGAAUUGAACCUACUUGCAUCCUAAUUGCGCGAUCAAAAAUGGUCCUCUAAAUUUUUUGGACAAAAAGAACUCUACCUCGACUUUUUCCCAAAAAGUCUCGGUUUCAGAGAAAUCUUCAGAGACUAAGUCGACGUUCCCAAAGUGACUUGUGACAUGACAUAACUUUCAAUUUUUGAAAUCAAAUUCAAAUUCGCAGUUAAUCUCAAUCCAAUGCGAUUUUAUCAUGACCCGUGGUUGAUUUUCUUCAAACAACAAUGUACCACUUCGACACAUCGGCAACUCUCGGUGGUCGUAAAAAUCUCAAGGUUUCAAUUACGGGCACAAGGUACCCAAAACGACGGAAAAUCGGUCUAGUGCCGAUCAAUGAGAAUUUUGCAAUCAGCUGGAAUCACCCACACAUUGAUCACACAUCUCAAUCCAAUCGACCUAUCCCUGAUCUCUGAUCGAUUUGACAAUACCGUAAUGACCCUUGCAAACUAGCACAGUCGAGCAGUCGAUUUCUGGUCGAAUUCUCAAGUCCAUUUUAUUAAAAUCUCUUAAUGACUUCCCUAGAUAGUUUAGUUAGCUCACAAGUGAUUAGCUCUAAGAAUAGCACUAUAGAUACGUCAAUGAAAUGCCCGAUUUAUUCAAUUGAAAACUGGAUUGAAAAUCAAUGAUAUCAUACUUGACAUGUAGGCAAGCUCAGCCGCCCUUAAAUGAGAGAGAGAGAGAGAGAGAGAGAGAGAGAGAGAGAGAGAGAGAGAGAGAGAGAGAGAGAGAGAGUGUGUGUGUGUGUGUGUCAUGUCCCAAAUCUCCGAGUGCGUGAACAUCCCUCAAUGUUAGAUUAAAUUGCAAUGUCCUAGAACGCAUCGCUGACCCUUUUUUUUUUUCUCUUUCGGUUAAAUGUAAGUGAAAGCAAUUUAUAUAACCACCUAAUCAACGAGUAGAGAAUAGGGAUAGCAAGGCACAACAAAUAAUUUCCAAAAACAGCACAUUUAUUUAUCCACUUGUUAAUCCUAUGAAGUUUGAUAUUUACAAGUCUACCUCAAAAGACAACUUCCUAUUGACCUAUAGGCAAAAAAGGUCUGAAAGGGUGGGGGUUAGCUUAAGCUCUUCAAGGGUAGUAGUCGUGAAAUUUUCGGGGGUCACAGUCAGGUCCAUCCUCGGGGAGGAACUCCACCUCGGGUUCAUAGUCAAGGGGGUACUCCUCUGCCUUUGACUCAGACUUCGAAUCCACAAUGACACCAUCAGGGAUGUCAAUGUCCAUGAGGUCCCAGUCUUGUGUCCCCACACUCUCGACAAGUGGUCCAUCAAAACUAUGAGGUAGACCGGUAUGAACACCAUCCUCCUUAACAAACCAUGCCUUGAACCUGUGGGCACCUAGGCAAUCAACCCCUCAUCUCCCCAAUGGUCGUAACCACUAGCUUAUGGACACUGUUGGUCCCCGGAACGGGGUCAUAUGCGAGUCCUUGUGCAUGGGGACCCCAAAACAUACAAGGUAGCACUCCAUACUAAGGAUCUGAAAAAUAAUCAACAACAAAAGGGUGAGAUAAAAAUCUCAACGAGUUAGCAGCCUAAGCCUUGACGAGGACGCAAAUUCAUCUCGGAGGUAGCUUAAACGCGCACGAUAUACAAACUUACACCGCCUUGACACACCCAUGCACAUUAUUACAUCACAUAUGGCAAUAUCAUUGCAACAAGCAUAAAUAAUAAUUAUAACACAUUCCAUAAUAUCCAGGCACACUGCCAAACACACGUAUUUUGAUUAUAUGACCCUUUGAGCCACAGCCAACACAAGAGUCAGCGGUCUUCUGGCAUGACCAGGCAUUGUCCCGUCCCAUUGGGCAUGGCAUCGUCUAGAACCCCCCUUAGACGGCAUUUCCUAAGGAACAUCAAUAUGUCCUUAAUUGCGACUCAACAUCCCAACCCCUAUCAGGCAUUUGAUAAACAUCGGGCAUCACCCCCAAACUCCCGUUGGGUGAUGAGUUCUAUUAAGUGAUCACUUAAGCAUGCCAACAUUCAAGCCAAUUUUAUUUGCCAUCAAUCAGCCCAACGUAAAAGAAUACGUGCUCAAAUAACAAGUUUCACAAUUUUUACUCUUAAAAUUACGGUAAAAUAUUUACAUGUGGUCAUGUACUUAAAAUCAACCCGCUAAAUUUUACAUGUUUUCAUUUUAAAACCCCAUUGUCCCAUUUAACAUGUAAAAUAUGGCAUCCAAACAUGACACCUCAAAGUUUGCUAUUUUUUUACCGAGAAACUCUCUUUGGAAAAAAAAAAUAGCAUUUAAGAUGCAUGAGUUGAGCAAUCAAACAUCAUGACAUCACAAGCUCAAACAAUCAAAAUUAAGUAUAAAUUCAUCCAAUAAAACGAGUAUAAAAUUCUACUUAAUGACUAAUCUGUCAUUAAUUUUCUCUAAUCGCGAUUAAUUAAGCUAAUUGCGAUUAAUUAGGCUACCCACGGUUAAUCAAACUAACCAUGCUUUAUUAAUCUAACCGCGAUAAUUAAACUAACUAUGAUUAAUUAAGACUAACCAUCAUUGAUUAAUCUAACUGUAAUCAACUAAACUUAUAGCACUUAACUUUAAUAUGAACCAUCCUUAAUUAUAAUUAAGGCUAAACCAUACUUAUUUAUCAUUAAACACCAUUAGUCUAAACUAAACCUACCCCUAAACGCAAUGAACUACCUAAUCAAGAAUUAGGAGUUCACUCAUGAUUUUCUGAUGGCAACGGAUUCAUAGCGACGGCGGUGUGACGGUGUUGACACCUAAAUUUUUGCACAAUUUUUGGGUUAAUUUUUACUAAAAUAAAAAAAAAAACACAUGGCAUAUAGUUUAGAAGCAUUUUAUUUUCGUUUUUUUAUUUUAUUUUAGGCUGCCGGUGAAGGGAAGAUUUUUCACAUAUUCUGUUCAAACUUUUCAUAUUUANNNNNNNNNNNNNNNNNNNNNNNNNNNNNNNNNNNNNNNNNNNNNNNNNNNNNNNNNNNNNNNNNNNNNNNNNNNNNNNNNNNNNNNNNNNNNNNNNNNNUUUUAGGGGGGGCGGGAGGACGGGGAGAGAGAUAUUUUGAGAUUUUCUCUAAAAUCAUCAUUUCUCGCACCCACUUUCCUCAAAACUCUCUAGCCUAGCUCUUUACUCUCUUUAUUCUUUUUGUUUUCCUUUUUCUCUAAAGCCAAGAUUUUGGCUAAAAUUCACAACUUUGCCAUUGGGUCUAGUUCCCUUUCUGGCUUCUAAUUUUUGCCUGACAAUUCCUUUUUCGAAAAAUUUUAUACUUGCCGAUAAUUUGAUGAACAAUGAGGCAACAUCCAAUAAGUCAAUCUUGAAAUUCUUGAAAGUUCGAUACUCGAAAUCGAAUUAAAUUUUAUGGUUAAAAUCAAUUCAAUGCGACUUUAGUACAAUCUAAAUUAUUGGAUGGCUUUUAGGGGUUUUCAUGCAGUUGAACUGUGGUCGAUAAUUUUUUUUUUUUUGUGAAAAUAUGAUAUUUUUAAAGAAAUUCAAUUGAUGAAUUGUAAGGAAUCAACUUAUUGGUCUUUUAUCCACGUUUGUGCCUCCUCAAAUAGUGGAUGACCAUCAGUUGUCAUGUAAUCGCGAGGGUUCAAUUAUGUGCCUUGAGUACAAGAUCAAUAGGAAAUCAGUUUAUCGUCAUUCAACAUGAGUAUCAUAAUUGUACAAAACCACCUGCAAACCGAUUACGUACUUCUAUCGAAUCGAUUUAUAUUAGUUCGCUAAUUGACUUAGAACAUCGUAGAAUUGACCAUUGUCCAUCCUUGUGGUCAAGCGGUAGAUCCCUGAUUGAAUUCUCUAGUUUUUUGCAUUUUAACCAUUUUAUGAGUGAUCAGUUCGGGGUAAAAUAACUAUCAGUGCAUUGAUGAAAUAAUUGUUUCAUAUAUUUUGAACUGAGCCAAAUUUUGAGAUAUCAAAGAGAGAGAGAGAGAGAGAGAGAGAGAGAGAGAGAGCUAUACGAAAGUAGGGACAUCGACCGGCAUUGAAGCAAUAUGAGAGAGAGGGCGAACGGAGUGUGACACGAUCCCUUGUCAACACCAACAGUAAAUUGUGAAGCGAAGAAGGUCACUAUUUAUAUUGGUGGUGGAGAACAUUAAUGACAUAAGCCACGCAUGGUUGUAAGGAGGCUCGGCAAGGGGCGGAGACAAACUGGAGGCAGAAAAAAGAUUAGCGUUGUGUUCUUGAGGAGUGAUUGGGGAAGGUGUACAAUUAACAAGAGAGACUCAUGUCUUGAUCUAGUCAUUGGAGACAGCAGAUAAGUACACCAAUAGUACAAUGGAUCUGCAUCCAAUGACAUAGAUGUGGCGCAAAAUACAUAACAUCACAAUAUAGUGACGACAACGCUGAGCAAACAAAAUUGACUCACAGUAUGGAUGGAAUAGGCUAUAUUAGGGCAAAUGCUCGUGAGAUAUAUACUAAAUUGUAGGUUAACUAUCAAUAGUGUAACAAUUCACGGUAGAAUGCCAUCAGGAAGCUCAAGUUUGGCAUUAGGAUCAUAAUCAGAGGCGGCCUAAAAACAUCAUGAAUUGAGAUCAGAAGAGGAACAAUUUAAUGUUGAUAUCAAGUUGGAAUGUGAGAGAAUAUUGAAUUGUGUAUUGCUCGAUUGAAAAAUAUAUUACACUGGAGGGGUAUUUGUAUCUAGGAUGAUAUACACAAGGGAAGUAAUCUAUUAUGGGGUGUUUAACUCCAAACCAUCGGCAGAUCCAUGAAUCACUGCUUGUAAAAAGCCCUUCCCCUUAUAUCAUGAAGCAUAAAAGUCGAAAGAACACUUUGUUCUCAUGCAUCCUUUCAUUACAAAAGCAGAUAAUCAAUUGAUGAUCAAGAACACUUGAAUCUACAAAAGCCAUUUCAAACAUUGGCAAAAUAUUGCUGAUUUUCUAGUAAUAAUCUACUUAAAUUGCUCUUAUGAGCAACAUUUAUACAUCCAUAUUUUCCUAAACUAGCUCAUGAAUCACAUCAAGCUAGUCGUUUUUAUUUUCCUUUUAUUUUUUAUGUCACUCCUAUGAUGCAUAUAACAAUAGCCAUAGGUAAGCUUGUCACUCUAAAAGCCUUUCCUAGUAUGGAAGUUGUCCUUUAUAGUUGCUUGGAAGAUCGUAGUUGCACCCAAUGCACCACCACCCGUUGUUACACUGAACCUUAGCACACUCGACUCAAAUUGAGUCGUGCCAAACCAUCUAAGUGUAGUGCAAACAAUCGCACCCGCUCGCGCAAGUGUUGGUGUUGUAAUUGCAGUUCUGCUUCUCUGCGACCCACAAGCUAAUGGCAUAGGUGCCAGUGAACGUGCUGGUGCCCUUGGCAAGGUUCUUGCCAUAGGGUCCAUUGGAGUGCAUGAGGCUGCAAUCAUCGACCCGUUGGUUCACAUAGCUAUGGGUGUAGGCAGCAAGCGUGUUGUCCCAUGUCAUGUUCGCCACGCCAACUUGCUUCUAAGCGGCAUUGUGAGAGUGAAGAUAGUCUUGGGGUGAGUUUUGGACAUGAAUAGGUUGAAAGAGAGAAAUGAAGACAAGAGAGAUGAUCAUGGUUAGAGGAUUCAUGAUGCUCAAGGAAUUAGCUCAUGUUGGUUCAAGGUUAUAUUUUUUGUGAUCAGUUAUGCUAUUUAUAGAAAAAUAUUUUCAAGGCUUCAACUUACCAUGUGCAAUGAACUUAUCGGGGAACAUCCCCUUUGGACAGUGCAACUUUGCAUUCAAAUCCCAUUUGAUCUGAAAUGAUAAACUAGUAACUGGUGCAUGAGGAAGCAGUUUUGCAUGUUCUUCCUUACCUCAAAUGGAAGUAAAGUAAAAGGCUUAAAAGUUCUCACGAGAGAAAUACUGUGUACAAUACUCAUUUUAGCAUUAAAAGUUUUCACUGGAUCAUUUAAAUGCCUCCGACGAUCAAAAUAUAUACAUGACAUUUAUAAUUAAAAUUUUAAUAUGAGUUGACAUUUAAAAAAAAAAGUACCGGUUUCUAUGGCAUUGCCAUAUGUACAUUUCUCCGCGUCUCCCUCCACUUCAUUUGUUUUUUCUUUUUUUCUUUUUUUUCUUCUCUUUUCUCCCUUAUGCACCCUCAUUGCUUCACACUGUACAUGGACUUCUCAGCUACAACUCAUCAACGCUCACCCAUCACCACCCAAACCUACGAGCUUCGCCACAACCUCAACAAACAACACCAAGAAUCGAUGAACGACACCUGUGACGGGUUGGAGAGAAGGGGCGAGGAAUAACAUGGUUCAGAUCUGUGAGAAGAGUGUUGUUCAAUCAAGAUUGCUUGGUUUCAUCAAAUUAGAAAGCCACGAAGAACGUCCAGCAAUCAAUGAACGCCUAGGUUGGACGAAAAACCAAGAACAAGCACGCGAACCUCACCCAAACAUGUCAUCGAAAAUCUAAGGUACAACAACUGGAAAGCAUUCGGGCCGCAAAUUCAGACUAGAACCAAGCAUAAUCAGAAAACAACACUAGGACACAGAGAAAGGAAUGAGCAGGCCCAAAACGCAUGCAGACCGGGGCCGGUGAGCCUCGUUACGUCGAAUCGAUAAGACAGGGGAAAACAAGCUUGGGCGUAACUUGUGAAAGGAAAGUUGCCAGAAGCGAUUGCUAGGUAGAUCGGAACAAAACAGCUCCAGAAACCGCCUCGAGGGACUUGGCCGGUGAAGAAGGCAACACCAACCACGAUUCGAACUCGCCGAGAAUGGAUCCGACUGAUCCUCCGGUUUGCAGCUUUUCAGCGAAUCGACUCUGUUAACGGCGGAUUUUGAGGUGGUUUUGAUGAAUUGGCCAGACAAGAAGCCAGAGAGCAAUUCCCUGCUGUCCUUCCCUUUUCCCUCUGCAUCCCCUUUCUAUCAAUUGUUUAGCAAGAAAUUAAUUUUUCUUGCUGAACGAAGUCGUUUUGGGUCAUGCAGACAAGUGAAACUUGUUAGACGUCAUCGUUUUGAGCUUUUUAUGCUGAAUCAGGCCGCCCGCAAGCCACACGGUGGAAAAAGUAUCAAAAUUUUGUCACGUCAAAUUUCCAGCACUCGAGAUCAAAGUUGACACUUAAAUAAUUAUUUUUUAUUUAAGUGUCAAUUAAGUGAUCUAAAGAAAAAAAAAAUUGACAUUGAGGUGAGCAUCGUACAUAACUUUUGGCACUUUUAGUGUACUUCUCUCUCCUCCCACUCCUAGCAAUGGCCCCCAUCGAGACAUCGACGAGCUAUAACCAACCCUCGACACCUUGAUGCUGUUGAGAUUGCAGCGAGCAUCUAGAUCUGGAGGUGCAUCCUCCUUAUCUAGAGACUCAACCCCUCCACUCUAGAUCUAGAGGUAGCGAGAUCCGGAUCCAUCGCCCUCAGCAGGCAGGUGGUCGCCGUUGCCCUUUGAUUUAUUGCUUAACAUAUCAAUCUUCCAUAAAAAAAAAUAAAAAAAAAAGAUAAAAUAUAUGAAUCAUUCUUUAAUGUCUCUGCCAUUUUCCUUAUUUUAAGCUAUCUAACAGGUACAUGUACUUCUUUUUUGUCUCAAUUAAGUUAUCAUCCACUUGUUUUUAAAUUAAUACAAACAUGUUGUUUCUUUCCUCGAAUGGAAGUUAAGUAAAAGACUUAAAGCGAAGUUUGAAGUUUCAGCAAGUUUGAUGCAGUAAUCAAAGUAUAAUGUUAGACGUUAUUUGGAGUAAUGCUAAAGACAUUGAAAUUAGUGCAUGAAAUUAAAUUAUUAGGGGAUAUAAAAAACUUUAUCCAGGUGUGAUGAGCAAACAGGUCUCUCUCUCUACGCCAUUCAAAAGCCACCACCAACUCGUCAUCGUAUCCAUCUUUAAGUUCCACCAUCCACCUUCAACCAGACUUACGAUCUCCAACGUCCCCCACCUUAAAACAAUACGUCACUAUCCUCCCAUAGGAGAAAUACAUCAUAUAUAGAGAUGGCAAAAUGGGUCUUAGAUCCAUAUGACCCAUUUAAAUCAUAAAUGGGUCAUAUAUGAGUCACUUGUUUUUUGACAAAAAGUAGUUAGAUGGGUUUAACAAUUAAAAACUUUGAUAGGUGGGUCUUAAGUGGGUCUUAAAUAAAUUAGAUUUAUAACCCAUUUUGUGACAGCCCAAGCGACGGUGCAUAGGGAGAAGGGAUGGCAAUGCGUCCGCAUCUCGGUCCCUGGACGUGCGCAAGGAAAGGGAAGGGGUCCCUCUUUAGUCCCACAUCGCUUAGGGGGGAGUCCUAGGCUAGUUUAUAAGACUUAGGUCCCUCUAAUCUAUGUAACGUUUAAAGCCGUGAGGACUCAGUGUCCAAAGUGGACAAUAUUACACAGUGGGCCCGGGUCGUUACAAAUGGUAUCAGAGCUAACUCUUGACCGACCGUGUGUGAGGCCACAAUGAGGACACUAUGCUCCUAAGGGGUGGAGAGUGUGACAGCUCAAGUAACGGUGCGCGGGGAGGAGGGAUGGCAGUGUGUCCACACCUCGGUCCCCAGACGUGUGCAAGGAAGGCAAAUGCUCCUAAGGGGUGGAAAGUGUGACAGCCCAAGCGACGGUGCACGGGGAGGAGGGGGGAGUAGGGAUGGUGGUGCGUCCACGCCUCGGUUCCCAGACGUGCGCAGGGAAGGCGAAUGCUCCUAACAGGUGGAGAGUGUGACAGCCCAAGCAAUAGUGUGCGGGGAGGAAGGAUGGCGGUGCGUCCACGCCUCGGUCCCCAGACGUGCGCAGGGAAGGCGAAGGGAGUCCUAAGCUAAUUUAUAAGACUUGGGUCCCUCUAAUCUGUGUAACGUGUUUUAAAGUCAUGAGGACUCAGUGUCCAAAGCGAACAAUAUUACACAGUGGGGCCCGGGUCGUUACACAUUUUUAAGCAAAACCUCACAAUCUUUCUCUUCGCCUUCUAACUUUACAAAAAUAUUUUUUUUUGUAAUAUCUGCGAAGAGAAAUUCUGACUAAAAUAUAUAUGUGGCAUUUAUAAAUAAAAUUUUAAUAUGAGCUGGCAUUUAAAAAAAAAAGCCUACGUGGCAUUUUCAUUUGUACAUUUCUCCUCAUCUCCCUCCACGUCAUUUUUUUUUUCUUUUUUUCUAUUUGUUUCUUCUCUUUUCUCCCUUGUGCACCCUCACUACUUCACGUUGUAAAUGGACUCCUCGACCCCAACUUCAUCGACGCUCACCCAUCACCGCCCAAACCUCCGAGCUGCGCCACAACCUCAACAAACGACACCAAGAAUCAAUGAAUGAUAUGGUCCAGGCAAGGAACGAGAUGGUUCAGAUCUAUGAAAGGAGUCUUGUCCAGUCAAGAUCGCUUGGUUUCAUCGAAUUAGAAAGCCAUGAAGCAUAUCCAGCAAUCAAUGAAUGCCCAGGUUGGACAGAAAACCAAGAACUAGCGAGCGAACCUCUCCCAGACAUUUUAUCGAACACCUAAGGGUACAACAACCAGAAAGCAUUCAGGCGCUCCAAUUCAUGCCAGAACCAACCAUAACCAGAAAACAACACUAGGAAUACACAGAGAAAGGAAUGAGCAGGCUCAGAAUGCGCGAAACUGGGGCCAGCAAGCCCCAUUCCAUCUAUUCGACAAAACAGGGGAAAACGAGCUUAGGCGUAUCCUAUGAAAGGAAAGUUGCUGGACGCGAUUGCUAGGUAGAUCGGAACAAAAUUGGCUCUAGAAACCGCCUUGAGGGACUUGGCUGGUGAAAGAGGCAACACUAACCGCAAUUUGAACUCGUCGAGAAUGGAUCCAACCGAGCCUCUAGCUUGUAGUAGGGUUUUUCAAUGAAUCGGCUUCAUUAACAGCGGAUUUUGAGGUGGCUUUGAUGAAUUUCCCAGAUAAGAAGCCAGAGAGAAAUUCCCUGCUGUGCUCCCUUUUCCUGUUCAUCCCCUUUCCGUCGAUUGUUCAACAAGAAAUUGAUUUUUCUUGUCGGACAAAGUCGUUUUGGGUCAUGCAGGCAAGUGAAACUUCGUAAAUGAAGUCGAGCUUUUUAUGCUAAGUCAAACCUCUUGCGAGCCACGUCAGUAGAAAAAAUAUUAAAAUAUUACCAUACCAAAUUUCUAGCAUUCGAGAUUGGAAUUGAUACUUAAAUAAUUGUUUUAUUUUUUUAAAAGUGUCACAUGAGUGAAUUUUUUUUUUUUAAUUUGACACUAAAAUAAACGUUGUAUACAACUUUUGACACUUCUAGUGUACUUUUCCCUUCUCCCACUCCUUGCAAUGGCUGCCCUUGAGACAUCAACGAGUCCUAACCAGCCCUUGAAGCCUUGAUGCUAUCGAUGUUGCGGCAAGCGUGCAGAUCUGGAGGUGUACCCUCCUUAUCUAGAGACUCAAUCCCUUCACUCCAAGUCUAGAGGAAGUGGGAUCCGGAUCCGUCAUCCUCAGCGGGCAAGUGGUCACCAUUGCCCAUUGGUGUGGUAAUAUUUAAAAUAAGUCAGACAAGUGACACGAUCUCGUAGAAGCGACGGGCGAUGGAUACAUAAAUGGAGGCAACAUAUUGCUCAAUAAAUCAAUCUUCCAUAAAAAGAUAAAAUUUAUAAAUCAUUCAUUAGUGUCUCCGCCAUUUUCCUUAAUUUAAGCUAUCUGACAUGUACGGGUACUUCUCUUUUGUCUCAAUUAAGUUAUCAUCCAAUUGUUCUUUAAUGAAUCCACGCAAGAAAACCAUAUAAUUUGCGUUUAUUAUUUUAUGCAGCCACCUUUACGGUUUUCCAAUUGGCAUGGAUGCGAAGGGCACGCCCUCACAUCCCCACUUGCCAUUGAACGGUUGGAUGUGCAUCCUGUAUUAGUCUAUCACUCCAUGUAUAAGUCUUAUAAUAUAGAAAUUAUUAUAGUUGGAGAUAUGUAAUAAAUUGAAUCUGAAUUGUAGAAAAUGUUUGGGUCAUAUGUAAGUCACACCUAGAUCUUAUCAAAUUCGACAGUUGAAUAGCAUUAACAUCUUUACAAAGACCUAGCAAAUGACAUAAUACAUAUAGAUCAGGAUACUUUUCUCAAACAUUUAUGCACAUGUGCAAAGAGGCAGUACUAACUUUAUUCGAUAAUUUCCAAAGCCUCCACUUCAAGAUCCAUAAAACAAUAUUUAUCAUUUAGCAAUUGGUGUUUUCUUUUUUCCCUCACGGCAAAAGAUGACAAAAUGAAUGAAGACUGAUUCAUUGAGAAAAUACGAAAACGCAUAUUGUCUGAGUUGCUAAUAAAUCAUGGAAGUUAAGAAGCUCAUGAAAAAGUGGAGCCGAUUGACAAGAGAUGGUGUACCAAAAAAUUCAAUAUCUAGGGAGGAAAAUCCAAGAGUAUACAGAAGAAAAAAAACAAAAAGGAAGAAGACAAGCUCCUGCUGUCACGCCCCGAUCCUCGAGCGCGCGCUCAUCCCUCACUUGAUCGAUUAAUAGCGACAUCCCAGGACGCAUCGCUGAUCCUUUCAUUUUAAUACGCAUGCAAAAGCAUAUAAAAUAAUCCCUAGACAAUAAAACAAUGAGAUAGAAAAGUAUGGCCAUAUUUUUCAAACCUGAAAAACCACAACCACACUUUUAUACAAAGCAAACCUCAUAGUAUAUAUUGCAAUACUAUUACCAAGUUAGAUCUAUGACACAUCAUUACAACUUAGAGUUCACAAAAUAGGGUGGGGAGUUUCAAUCCUCAUCCGGGUCACACUCUGGAUCCUCUUCUGAAUCUUCCUCUGACUCCUCCUCCGGUUCCCCUUCAGGGUCCUCCUCCUACUCAACAAUCUCCCAUUCCUCUUCGCUCCAGCUGGAGUCCACGGGAGUAUCAGGGUCACCCUUGACCUUAGGGUUUUUUGCAUCGAGCACCACUCCGUUCUUGGGAUCUGCAGUCCCCUUUCCGAAUGCUGCCUCUAAGACGUACAAAAGCAUGUCACCUUCUGCUAUGGGACCCUCUCUUCGCCCAUCAUGGUAGUGACGAUACCACGACCGAUACUCGUGGGGUACCAAGCCGUCUCUACCGACAUCAACCUAGAUGUUGGACUUCACCAGUACAUAUUAUAAUCCUUUAGGGUGGGGGUUUAUCGGGAAGUGGUAUCCUAUCUCGGUGAUCCCUUCAAGUAUACCGAAAUGCAUGGGAGGACGAUGAGGUGGAGGUGCUGCCAUCUAGGGACCUAAAAUGUUGUCCUACAACAGAGUGAGACUAUGUCUCAGCAAGUUCUACCCCCUAAGACCCGAUUAGGAAGCCAAUACACUUUAGAGGCUGCCUAAGCACAACACGAAUCAGAGAGCUUACCUUGGCCUUAGUUCCAUCCUGCAAAUCAAUGUCAUUUACAGAUAACUCAAAUCACAACAACUAAUCAAUUCACAGUAUCAGAUCAAAUCAUUAAUUAAUCGACCUAGUCAAUUACAUGUCACCAUGACCUUCCCCCGGUCGAUACUUCAAUACUAUCUAUAAGUCCACCAUAAUAGGAAUGCUCGCUCUACGCUGAUAAAUAGUAUACUGCUCUCACUAAGCUGACAUAUCAAACCUUUGAGUUGAUAUAAUAUACUAAUAAUGCUCUCUCUAAGCUGAUCAUAAUACACUUGUUAAGUUGAUUAGGUAUACUGCUCUUGCUAAGCUGACAUAUCAGAGCCCGUAGGUUGAUAUAGCAUACUAGUAUACUGCUCACAAUCUAAGCUGACAUAUCACCUGUAAGCUGAUAUAGUAUACCAUCCCGACCAUUCAAUCAAUUCAUCAUUUUUAUCAUACCUGAUAAAAAUAAUCGUAUAUGGGUGCACGGUCGGCCUUAACCAAAAUAUAAUAAUUUCACUUUUUGAACAUCCAACCAGUUUCAAUAGCCCAUAAUAUAUUUUUGGCACUGUAAACUGACGCACGGUAAUUUUCCCAUUAAUUACCAAAAUUAAUUAAUUUAAGAAUAAAAUCCUAAAACUACAAUUAAUUCAAUUCAGCACAAUUUAAUGCUCAAAUAAAUAAACAGAUCACAUCAUCACGAUCUGCAUAAAAUUUCGAUCGUCAACUACCUCAGCCUAAUUUCUAGAAAUUAAAUAAUAAAUUAAAUAAUUACGAAAAAUAUUAAAUAAAUGAAAUAAAUCCAAUUUAGGCCCAUAAUGCCUAAUUAGACGCCGAAACGGAUUCAGAAAAUUUCCAAGAUUUGUUCAAUAAAUACUAUAGACUAUUCACUAGUUAAUAGCAUUAACCAUUUGCCUAACAUGCAUUGAUAAGGCACUAAUUUAAUUGCUCUACUCUAAUCUAUCCACCUAUUCAUACCUAAUUAAAUCUAAACAACCCCUAAGCAUCAUUAACCGACUAAGCAGGGAUUAGUGAGUAAAACCCACUUGUUUAACGAGUGGUUCGGUGCAAAACGACGGGAACGUAGCGGGACUCGACUUUCCUCAAGGCGGGCCUAGCAACCGAGGCUCGAGACUACCUCAAAACGGGCCUAGAACUUGCUGGAAAACCCACAAAAUCAGCCCCUCUUUUGAGUUGCAAAAUAGAGUAAACAAGCUAGUUAUUGCAAAGCAAGAUUGGUGGAGGCCGCUAGGGUGUUUGGCGGUUUGAACGGCGACUCCGGCUGGCUUCUUCAGCCACUCACGGUGACUAGCACAACUGGACAACGACCCUGGAUGCACAUACAAGGUUGCUGGACGAUGGUGAGGCGCGGCAAGGUGCGACAGUGCACGUGCGCGCGAGGAGGGCGAACCAUGGAGGCAGUGGCGUCGUGCGGCUCCAGUUGCUGCUAGAUGCUUCUAGCGACUUCCUCUGGCUCUUAGGGGUUCGAACAGUAAGGAUGGAGGGGAAGGAAGGCUGGCUGGUUGGCUUGGAGAGGAAGAGAGAGAGAGAGAGAGAUGGAGGCAAAAGGGGGAACACCAUGGCCAAUUUUUCCAAUGAAAUGUUCCCUUGACCCAUCCCUAGCCAAGGCUUCCUUCCUUGGCUGUGAUUCAGCCAACAAAGCUCCUAUCACAACCUUGAGGUGGUCCAUUUUGGCUAGGCAAGGGGAGAGCUACGAAUUUGCUUACCAUUUCCUCUAAUUGGACACUUAUUCCUACUUGUUUCAAUUUCAAUUGACCUCAAUAAAUUUAAUCAACUCAACAUCGGUCAUCUCGGAAUUUUUCCUCACCCAUACAAUCCACUUGAUUCUCAAAUUUGCGAUGAAAAACGGUCUCAGCCUUUUUCUAAACAAAAAAGGCACUGUGUCGACAUUCCUAGAAUUUAUUGUGACAUGAAAAAAUCUUUAAUUUCUGAAAUCGGACUCGAAUUUGCAAUUAAUUUCCAUUCGGCUUGUUUUUAGCGUAACCUAGGCUAUCAGGUAACUUUCAGAAACUUUUCAGUGUAAAUGACCCUUGGUCGAUUUUCUUCGAGCCACUAUGAACCCACUCAACACAUUGACGACUCUCGGUUGUCGUGAAAAUCUCGAGAAUUCAAAUACGGACACAGGGUAUCAAGAUGAUAGAUAAAUCAAUCUAGUGCCGGCUGAUGAGAAUUUUUCAAUUUAGUGGUGUCACCCACGAUUAGCCGAUCAAUCGAAUUGAUCUAUCUCUGAUCUCAAAUCCAUUUUUAACUGUGUCGUAAUGGCCUCUAAAGAUGGAUACGAUCGAGAAGCUGAUUCUUGAUCAAAUUCUCAAGUUUAUUGCAUUAAAAUUCCUUAAUGCCUUCCCCAGAUUAUCUAGUUAUCUCGAGAAUAAUCAACUUUGAGAACAGCCCUAUAAGCGCGUCAUUGAAAUGCCCGAUUUAUUCAAUAAAAAAUAGGACUGAAAAUCUGGGAUGUCACAACUCUUCCCUUCUUAUAAAAAUUUCGUCAUCGAAUUAAACCAUUAUAAACCUUCAUAAAAAAGAUGGGGGUACAACUGUCUCAUCAACUUUUUAGUCUCCCAUGUCGCUCCUUCAAUACUAUGAUGUUGCUAGGCCACUUUGACUAUCGGGAUGGUUUUUGUACGCAGAACUUGUUCUUUUCUGUCCAUGAUCUGAACCGAGCUUUCAACGUAUGACACACGGUUAUCCACAUCUAAUUCUUCAAAAUUAAGCAUGUGGGUCGAGUUAGGCUCAUCUUCCUCAACAUUAAUACGUGAAAGACGUCGUGCAUUUGCACCAAUCUCAGCGGCAACAUUAGACGAUACGCCAAGAUCCCAAUUCUCUCAAGAAUUUCAAAUGAACCUACGUACCUUGAACACAGUUUUCCUUUCUUCCCAAAGCGUGAAGUUGUAAGCAAAUUCUACCAGGUCUCCAGCGCUUAUUUGCGUAACUUUUCUGUCUAUUCUAAGUGGUCUUUAAUCUACCUCUGAUCACUGCCACGGUGUCUACUGACUGCUGGACCAACUCUGGGCAUAUAAUCUUUCUUUCCCCAAUUUCAUUCCAACACACUGGUGUUCUACACACUGCCAUACAAUGCUUCAAAGGGAGUCAUCUGUAUGCUCUGCUGAUAACUGUUGUUGUAGGCAAAUUCUACCAGGUGUAACUGAUCUUCCUAACUGCCUUUGAAGUCUAAUACGCAAACUCUCAGCAUGUCCUCGAGGGUUUGAAUUGUCCUCUCAGACAGGCCAUUCAUCUGAGGAUGAUAUGCCAUAUUGUAUUGAAGUUUGGUACCUAAGGCACUCUGUAAGCUCUUCCAAAAAGUGGUGGUAAACCUCAGGUCUUUAUCUGAAGUUAUUGUAACCAGCACUCCAUGCAUACGAGCCACCUGACGCAUGUACAAAUCUACGUGUCUAUCCAAACUAAGGUCCUUUUGAACUGUAAUGAAGUGAGCCAACUUUGUCAGUAUAUCGACUACUAUCCAUAUCGAAUCAUUUCCCCUCUGACUCCUCGGUAGUCCAGUCACAAAAUCCAUUGCGAUAUGCUCUCAUUUCCAUUCUGGGAUCUUAAGAGGUUGUAGAAGUCCUCCCAGCUUGCAAUGUUACACUUUAACCUGCUGAUAGGUCAAACACUUAGCGAAAUGCUUGGUGAUGUCUGCCUUCAAACCUAACCACCAAUAGUGUUGACGCAGAUUCUGAUAUAUCUUGGUACUACUAAGAUGGACGCUGUAACUGCUACGAUGCGGUUCUGACAAGAUAUCCUCUCUAAGCUCCACAUCAUCAAGUACAACUAAACGUCCUUGGAAUCUUAGUAUUCCUUCAUCAAAAAUCUAAAAGUCAGCCUUUCUUUUCUCAGUGUCCUCUUCUAGAAUUUUCUGCACAUAUGGAUCUAUCGGUUGAGUAACUUGAUUCUGUCCUAGACAUCCGGUUCAAUUCUAAUAGUAGUCAUAAAACUCGAAAGAUGGCCUAUCUCAAACUUGAAUACCGAAUCUCGAGCUCUCUCGAUUAGGUUCCACUUCUUCAUCAAUAUAUGAGCAACUGAAGACUUUUGACUCAAAGCAUCGCCGACCUUGUUUGCCUUUCCCAGGUGAUAUAAGAUAUCACUGUCGUAGUCCUUCAAUAAUUCCAUCCAUCAACGCUGUCUCAUGUUCAUCUCUUUCUAAGAGAACAGGUACUUGAGAUUUUGAUGGUCCUUGAAGAUCUGAAAUUUUUCUCCGCACAGAUAAUGUCUCCAAAUCUUCAGGGCAAAGAUAAUUGCUGCGAGUUCUAAGUCAUGCAUCGGAUAAUUAUGUUCAUGAGGUCUCAACUAAUGAGAGGUGUAUGUAACAACUCUACCAUAUUGCAUCAGCAUGCAACCCAAUCCUCUGAAUGACGCAUUACUAUAGAUCUCAAAUCCUCCAGGACUAGAUGGAAUCAUCAGCAUAGAUGCGAUAGUCAACUUUUCCUUCAGCUCUUGGAAACUACUCUUGCACUUGUCUCUCCAUACAAACUUUUCUUCUUUCUUCAAGAGUUUCGUCAGUGGCGACGCUGAAGAUGAGGACCCUUCCACAAACCUUCUGUAAUAACCUACCAAACCCAGAAAACUUCUGAUUUCUAUCACUGUAGUCGGUCUUGGCUAGUUGAUCACGGCUUCAAUCUUGCUCGGGUCCACAAAGAUUCAUUCACCUAAAAUCACGUGACCUAAGAAAGUAACACGAGUUAACCAAAACUCACACUUGCUAAACUUAGCGUACAACUAAUGGACCCUCAGUGUCUGCAGCACUAGUCUCAAAUAACUCUCAUGCUCUUCAUCACUCCUCGAAUACACUAGGUUAUCAUCAAUGAACAUGAUCAUGAACUGAUCUAGAUAUUCAUUGAAUAUACGGUUCAUUAAAUCCAUGAAGACGGUAGGAGCAUUCAUCAACCCAAAUGGUAUCACUGUGAACUCAUAGUGGCCAUACCAAAUACGAAAUGCUGACUUAGGAACGCCCUCCUUCUUAAUCUUCAGCUAAUGAUAUCCCGUCCUCAGGUCGAUCUUUGAAAAUAUCAACACUCCUUAUAAUUGAUCAAACAAGUCAUCAAUCCUUGGGAUUGAACACUUGUUUUUUAUCGUUACCUGAUUGAGUUGCCGAUAGUUGAUGCACAAACGCAACGAACCAUCUUUCUUUUUCACAAAUAGAACUAGUGCUCCCCAAGGUGAUGCACUGGGACGGAUGAAUCCCUUAUCCAAUAACUCUUGCAUCUGCACCUUCAGUUCUUUCAACUCAGAUAACGCCAUCCGGUAAGAAGCCUUAGAGAUUGGCUCUAUCCCGGGUGCUAACUCAAUUACGAACUCAAUUUCUCUCUCUGGUGGCAAUACUGGCAAUUUCUUUGGAAAGACAUCUGGAAAUUCUUGCACCAUAGCAAUGUCUUCCAUUUUCAGCUCCACAACUGUCAUAUCCAUGAUAGUUGCCAGGUAACCUUGACAACCCUUGUCUAACAGACAAGUUGCCUCUGGCGACGAGAUCAGGACAAUCGAGGGUCCUCCUUGAUUUCCGAUAAACUCGAAGCUCUUACCCUUUAACUGGUCAAACUGAAUCGCCUUAUGAUAGUAGUCCAUUAUAGCUCAUUGCUUGGUGAGCCAGUUCAUGCCAAUAAUUAAAUCAAAGCCAUACAUGGUUAGGACUAACAAGUCUACUUUCCCCACUCGUACACAAAUCGCUAACUUCCAACCAUGACAACCCAAAGAAGCAAUCACUUUAUUCUUCAAUGGUGUAGAUAUACAAACUACCGUCUCCAACAAUAUAGGACUUAAUCCUAACAGCUUAAGAUAUUAUUCGGCAAUAAAGGAAUGAGUUGCUCCUGAGUCAAAUAAAGCAUAAGUAAGAUGGUCGUUUAGCGAAACCAUACCUGUGAUCACGUCAGGCGUAGCCUUUGCCUGACCUUGAGUGAUGGCAUACACCAUGCCUUGAACUGGGGGUCUAAACUGUUAUCCUUACUAUGCGUUCAGAGGCGCAUACCCUCUGAUUUGUCCUAAUGGUGGCGGCGGCGGCAAUUACGCUUGUCCUUUUGGCCUUCUAGGAUAAUCUCUGGCCAUGUGACCUUGCUCGCCACAUUCAAAACAUGCCCCCGUCCUUCGGGGGCACUGAUUCACACCAUGUUGUCUUCCACAAAGGCAACAUAGGCCAUUCUGACUCGGCCUAGACUUUCCAACUCCACCCUUCCUAUUGGGUGGGAUCUGGAAUCUACCUCCAGGCAUGGGCCUCUUUCCCUGGUUCCUUCUCGACUUGAACUAAACCUCGGUCCAGACGAGGCAACUUGCUCGUUCAAACCUAUCUCUAUCAUCUGAGCUCGACGAUAGACUUCCUGAAAAUCUUUUAAAUCCAAUAAUAGUAGAGGUUGUUUCAAUUCAGAACGAAGACCACUUCUGAAUUUUUGGGCUUUCUCUUCAGGGUCUUCUAUCAACCUCGCAGCAUACUGUGACAAUUCUGUAAAUUUGACCCCAUAUUGGUCAACUGUCAUGCUCCCCUAGCGGAGACGUUGGAACUCCUCUAUCUUUUGCUCCCGGGCAGUACUCGAGAAGUACUGAUCAUUAAAAGCUUUGAGAAAUGUGUCCCACACCUGGACCACACCUUCCAAGAAUACAAUAUCCUUGGCGGCUCUCCACCAAAUGUUCGCAUUGCCUUGAAGUUGGUACACAACUAGUACCACCUUCUCCUCUUUGUUGCACAUCAAAAGUGUGAACGCUUUCUCAAGACCUUGAACCCAUAGUGAAGCGGCUUCAGGGUUUCCUUCACCAAUGAACCUCGGUGGGUUUAGCUUCAAGAACUACUUGACAAGCUUAUGGAUCGGCCUCUCUCUCUACACCACGACAUUCUCAGGCUGAACUUUGGCAGGCGCAACAACGGGUGCGGCGGCAAGUGUGGCCUUAGUGACGGCGGCAACGGCAACAGCAGUAGCAACCUGAGUGGCGGCUUCAACAGCAGUGGCUUGAUUCUAAGCCUGGUAAUCCAUUAUAUUCCCCAUGACUUCUAACACUCGCAUGGUCCCUUCGAUCCUGAGAUCAACAGCGGCUACUACGCCAACACCAAUAGGAGGUGGUGCUACUCCACUGGCACUGGCCUAUGCCGAUGCCCUAACUCUGCCUCCCUAGGUAUCGACCCUAGUCAGGGAUCUAACCCGAGCCGUAGGCCUAACAGUUCUCUUACUCGGAGUUCUCUGCUCCAGCUCGCUCAUGGUUUAGUCUUUUCUACUGAAACCUGUCUUCCAAAUCCACAAUGGAUUAGAAGAUGAGCGAUCCACACACAAUAAUCAAGUCUACCAAACAACUAUCAUGAACAUGCAUUAGCAUGAAUUUAAAUGUCUUUCCUACCACUAUCCCAUGAACCAUCGCACCUUAUCACUCCAAUCCCUAACCAUUACUCUGAUACCACUUAAAUGAGGAUGUCAGGCCCCAAUCCUCAAGUGCGUGCCCAUCCCUCACCUGGUUGAUUAAUAGCGACGUCCCAAUACGCAUCGCCGACUCUUUCAUUUUAAUACACAUGCGGAAGCAUAUAAAAUAAUCCCUAGACAAUAAAACAAUGAGAUUGAAAAGCAGGGCCAUAUUUUUCAAACCUGAAAAACCACAACCACACUUUUAUACAAAGCAAACCUCACAGUAUAUAUUACAAUAAUAUUACCAAGUCAAAUCUAUCACACAUCAUAUCAUAACUCAAAGUUCGCAAAAUAGAGUGGGGAUUUUAAUCUGCAUUCGGGUCAUACUCCAGAUCCUCCUCUGAAUCCUCCUCCGACGCCUCCUCCAUUUCCCUUUCAAGGUCGUCCUCCUGCUCAACAAUCUCCCCUUCCACUUUGCUCCAGUUGGAGUCCACAGGAGUAUCAGGGUCACCCUCGACCUUAGGGUCUUUGGCAUCGAGCACCGCUCCGUCCUUAGGAUCUGUAGUCCCCUUUCCAAAUGUUGCCUCUAAGACGUACUGUGACAUCCCGAUUUUUCUCAAUUUCAUUUUCAGUCAAUUGAGUUGGGCAAUUCAUUUGUGCAUGUAGUUCGUCUCUCAGAGUUGGCCACUCACGAGGGAACUGGUCUAUUGAGUGAAGUAAUUAAGGAAUUUUACCAUGUCAGACUUGGGGACUGAUCACCCUCGGGUCAGAUGCAAGAAAAUUUCCCCAAAAGCUACUCAGUGGAUUAGGCGAGCUGAAAUCGCACCAGAUUGAAUUCAACCGUAAAAAUUGAGAUUGAAUUUAGAAGUCGGAAGCUCGGUCAUGUCACACAUCUUAUUAGGAUCAUGGGAUAAUUUUUGUGGUUUUUAAUUGGAUUCAAUUAGAAGAUAAUUGAUAGAAGAAUUGAAGAAAUUGGGUGUACAAAAAUUCGGACCUCGGCGGAAAUAAUAUUGCACCCAUUGAAUGAUGUUGUGGAGGAUUUGAAUUAGUGGAAGAUGACAUGGGAUGAUGUCAUGGUGGUUGAGGCCAAGGGUGGAGAUCUUGACAAGUGGACGGUGGGGAUUGGCUCUUGAAAAGAUGACCAAUCAACAUCAUCUUCAACCUUGUAGGAGAGAGAGGGAAGAGAGAGGGGGAAACCAGUGAAGGGGGGGAGCUCGCCGUUCGGACAGCCGCCGUGUCCCCCGUUCGCCGCUCGCCGCCGCCGUGUGGCGCCACCGUCGCUGUCUCGCCCGACCGGGCAAGGACCCGCGCGCCCGCCUCGCCGCGCCGCUCCGCCCGUUUCCCCUCGUCUCGCCAGCCGCCUCAGCCGCCGUCCCGAGCUGCUCGUCGUCGCCAGUCGCCGCCGGAGGCCCGUCGGAGUCGCUGCCUGCACCGCCUAAGCCACCGUCGCCCUUCCCCGCCGGUUUCGGGCCUAACCGGCCGCUGUUUCGGCCCUCCUCUGCCGCGACCAGCAGCUGGUUUUUGUGGGUCUCGCAGCCCACUCAAGGCCGGUUUUGGACGUCUUCCCGGCCCCGGAAGCUAGGCCCGCCUUUGGAAAAGUUGAUCCCGGCGUCGCCCUCGUCGUUUUGGUCUAAGCGGCGAGUUAAUCAAGUGAGUUUACCUCACUAAACCUUGAUUAGAGUGUUAAUGAUGCCCUAAGUGUGUUUAGUUUAAAUUAAGUAAGUUUAGGUGGAUAGAUUAGUAUAUUUAAUUAUAAGUUUGAUUAAGAGAUUGGUUUAUAUUAAACUGUGUUUAAUUAAGGUUCAAAGGAGUUAUUUAAUGUUAAACCUUGAUGGGACAUAAUAGGAUUUUAGUUUUGAGUUAUUUAAAUUCUUCGAAAAUUCUAAAAAAUAUAAUAUUAUAUUAUAAUCCGAAAAAAAAAUUGAAAAUUUAUUUUUAAUCCUAUUUGCUCAGAAUUUUGUGCCGAUCGCUGCUGUGUGUUUAUAAGUUGAAUUUGAUGAGUAAAUGUUGCAAAUUGAAUGUUGAUUGUGAAAAAUGGGAAUUUUAUUCAAAAAUUCCCACGUGUCGGGUUUGAUACCGAAAUCGAAUUUGGAAGGGUCAAUAUUGAAAUUGGAGUAUGUGAGUGACAUAUAAAGCAUACAAGGGUCUAUUUUGAAUUGUCGAGUAUUGGUUGAAAGGCUUGGUCGCAGUAGUGGCGAGACCGACUGGACCUUUAUUAUUCUAGAAAUGCUGUCGAUAGAAGGACGUGGCUUGGUCGCAGUAGUGGCGAGACCGACUGGACCUUUAUUAUUCUAGAAAUGUUGUCGAUAGAACGACGUGGCUUGGUCGCAGUAGUGGCGAGACCGACUGGACCUUUAUUAUUCUAGAAAUGCUGUCGAUAGAAUGACGUGACUUGGUCGCAGUAGUGGCGAGACCGACUAGACCUUUAUUCUUCUAGAAAUGAUGUAAUGUUAGUAGAUAGCCGACCUGCGAGUAGGUUGUGCCCUUGUGUGGCAAUGGAUAAUAAUGACAUGGAAUGUUUGUUGUGAUUGUAGAAUUUAGUCAAAUUGAUUGUGUUUCAAUGGCUUACAUUCUUAUCAUUACUGGUGCUUGAGUGAUAUGAACUAUACUAACAUGCAGGAAGCCAAGAAGGCGAGGUAAGUCUUAUGUGCUGUGUGGCUAGACCAUUUUGGGGUGUAUUUGCUUUCUAAUAGGGGUUUAGGAGGGGUGAACUUGCUGAGACAAAGUCUCAUCCCGGUUUGGGGAAAAAUAUUACAGGACCGUAGAUGGCGAUACCCCGGAGAUGGAUGGCAUGCCGACGGAGGUGGACCAGACGAUAGAGAGUGCUCUUGACCCUUUUUGAUGCACAUAAACUCUGAACCAUUUUGGUGCAUAGUCUCUGGAUCCUGUUGGUAUAUGUAAACCUUGGUUUGAUGAUGAUGUGUGAAAGUAUGCUUGGUUUUGAAUUGAAUUCCCUGCUGUCCUAUCCCGUAUAUCUUUGUCAAGGGAUUUCUUAGCACGUUCCGCAUGCGUAUAAUAAUUUAAAUAAAUGAAAUUGGGGUCGGCGACACUACCUGGGAAUGUCGCAUUUACAUGACCAUGGCGGGUUGUUCACGUGUCUCGGGGUUCGGGGCGUGACAACCCUAUUUAAGUGGUAUCAGAGCAUGGGUAUGUAUGGAGUGAUAAGGGCGAUGAGUCAUGGGAUAGUUAGUAGGAAGAUUUUCCAUAUCCUAAUGCAUGUGGAUGUUAGUUGUUUGUUAGCUUGGUUGGAAGGUUACUCAAAUUCUAAUAUGGUAUUGGAAUUCGCCAAUAGGCAUCUAUAUUGAGCCUGUAGCAUGAGUGACCGAGAGCCGAGAGCUGCUAGGAAGAGAGCAGCAGGCCCCGUGUUUCGGGGUGGGUCUUCGUUGAGGGGUGACGCUCGUGGUGCCCUGAGAGGAGCGCAGGCCGAGACCAGUGCAGGUGGUAGUGCAGGUGGUACAGCUUUGCCGCCAGAUGGUGCAGCAGCCCCAGAUUUAUUGGGAUCAUGCAGAUGCUCGAGGCGAUGGGAGACAGGAUGGAUCAGCAAGCCGCUGCUAUCGCCACCGCCUUGAACACCGCCAAUGCCGCCAAUGCCGUUGCUACUGCCGCUGCAGCUGCCGCCGCACCGGUUGUCAAACCAGAAGAGGAAUUUGAGGAAAUUCCACCUGAGAAUGUAGCCGCUGAGAGGCCUAGGCAGAAAUUGGUACAGCACUUUCUGAGGUUGAAUCCACCAACAUUCACGGGAGUAGGAGAUCCUGAAGCUGCAGCAUUAUGGAUCCUGGAGUUAGAGAACGCAUUUGAGUUACUGUUGUGCACUGAAGCAGAAAAGGUCGUCCUGGCAGCCUAUCAGUUGAGGGGGACCGCAGCUACCUGGUGGAAGACUAACAAGAGGAUAGUGUUCCCUGAAGGUGUGGCUCCGAAGUGGAAUGCUUUUCUUGAAGCCUUCAAUGAGAAAUACUUUUCUGAUUGUGCCAAAGAGGAGAAGAUGGUAGAGUUUCAGCGCCUUCGUCAAGGUACCAUGUCAGUUGAUCAAUACGAAGCGAAGUUCGCCGAACUAUCACAGUAUGCCCUUGAGUUGGUCCAGCGACCGUCAGACCAAGCUCGAAGGUUUAGAGAUGGGUUCCGACCGGAGGUGAGGAGCUUGUUGGUACCCCUAGAUCUGAAGGAGUACAAUGACCUCUACAGGCGGGCACAGCUGAUCGAGAAAGACCAUAAUGAGAGAGCUGCUUCAUCUGGGUCGCGGUUUAAUUCAAACAGAGACGAUAAUCGGUUUGGGAAGAGGCCGAUGCCUGGAGGAAGGUACCCUGUUCUACCCAACAAGAAGGGUGGGAUAGGGAAGCCGGCACUGAGAUCGAAUGGUGUGUGUCGUCUAUGUGGAAGACGACAUGGUCCAGCCCCGUGUCCUCCUAGGACGGGCGCCUGUUAUGAGUGUGGCCAGCAGGGUCAUAUAGCCAGGUACUGCCCCAGGAAUCAGAUGGGACAGCGUCAGUUGCCGCCACCACCACCGUUGGGUCAGAACAGGGGAGUCGCGCCGCAGAUCAUGCCGCAGGGUGGAUUGAACCGACCUCCAGCUCAAGGAAGGGCUUAUGCGCUCACCAGAGGACAAGCGGAGGAUGCGCCUAAUGUGGUCACAGGUAUGGUCUUACUGAACGACCAUCCUGCUUAUGCUUUAUUUGAUCCUGGAGCUUCGCAUUUGUUUAUAGCUGAAAGAUUUGUUAAAUUGGUAGAAUUAAUUCCUAAAUUGUUAGAGUCUGUGGUUAGUAUAUCUACUCCGUUGAAAGAUAAAGUGUUAGCUACAGUAGGUUGCCUUGGUUGCAAGUUAGUGAUUGGUGAGCGAGAGGGGAGGAUAGACUUGAUAGUCUUAGCUAUGUAUGAUUUUGAUGUGAUAAUUGGCAUGGAUUGGCUCACCAAGCAACGGGCCAAGAUGGACUGUUAUCGCAAGGCGAUUCAGUUUAACCCAUUAGGUGGUGAGGGUUUCGAAUUCAUAGGGAGUCAGGGAGGACCCUCAAUCUCUUUAAUCUCAUCGCUCGAGGCAACUCGCUUACUAGACAAGGGCUGCCAAGGUUACCUAGCAACUGUAGUGGACAUGACAGUAGAGGAGUCGAAGAUAGAAGACAUUCCAGUGGUGCAAGAGUUCCCAGAUGUGUUCCCGAAAGAAUUACCGGGUUUGCCGCCGGAAAGAGAGGUAGAGUUUGUAAUUGAGUUAGCUCCUGGGACCGAGCCUAUCUCCAAAGCUCCUUACCGAAUGGCCUUGUUCGAGCUUAAGGAACUGAAGGUGCAAAUGCAAGAGUUAUUGGAUAAAGGAUUUAUACGUCCAAGUGCAUCACCUUAGGGAGCACCGGUGUUGUUUGUGAAGAAGAAGGAUGGUUCAUUAUGCUUGUGCAUCGAUUACCGACAACUCAACCAGGUGACAAUUAAGAACAAGUAUCCGUUGCCAAGGAUUGAUGAUUUGUUUGAUCAGCUUCAAGGAGCGUCGAUAUUUUCUAAGAUCGACUUGAGGACGGGGUAUCAUCAGCUAAGAAUCAAGAAGGAAGAUAUACCGAAGUCGGCGUUUCGCACUCGAUAUGGCCAUUACGAGUUUACUGUGAUGCCGUUUGGGUUGACGAAUGCCCCAGCUGCUUUCAUGGACCUGAUGAACCGGGUGUUCAGAGAGUAUUUAGAUCAGUUUGUAAUUGUUUUCAUCGACGACAUCCUGGUGUAUUCAAGGAGCACUGAGGACCAUGAAAGGCACUUAAGGGUAGUGCUUCAGACUUUGAGAGAUCACGAGUUGUACGCUAAGUUCAGUAAGUGCGAGUUUUGGCUAACUCGUGUGGCGUUCCUAGGUCAUGUUAUCUCUGGAGAAGGAAUCUCAGUGGACCCAGCCAAGAUUGAAGCAGUGAUCAAUUGGCCGAGACCGACUACAGUGACAGAGAUAAGAAGUUUUCUGGGUUUAGUGGGGUAUUACAGACGGUUUGUAGAAGGGUUUUCAAGGUUAGCAUCACCGAUGACGAGACUGUUGAAGAAGGAAGAAAAAUUCGUGUGGACAGAUAAGUGCGAGAGUAGUUUCCAAGAGCUUAAGCAUAAGCUAACUACCGCACCUGUGCUUACUAUUCCAGCUGGUCCGGGAGGGUUUGAGAUCUACAGUGAUGCGUCGUUUAAGGGAUUAGGUUGCGUGUUGAUGCAGCAUGGUAGGGUCGUUGCAUAUGCGUCCUGUCAAUUGAGACCUCACGAGUUGAAUUAUCCGACGCAUGACUUGGAGCUUGCGGCGAUCAUCUUUGCCCUAAAGAUUUGGAGGCAUUAUUUGUGCGGAGAAAGAUUCCAGAUCUUCACUGACCAUCAGAGUCUCAAGUACUUAUUCUUUCAAAAGGAGUUGAAUAUGAGACAGCGUCGAUGGAUGGAGCUCUUAAAGGACUAUGACUGUGAGAUUUUGUAUCAUCCUGGAAGGGCGAACAAGGUCGUCGAUGCAUUGAGUAGGAAGUCUUCUGUUGCACAGAUGGUACUCAAGGAAUGGAGUCUACUUGAGGGAGCACGAGAUUCGGAUUUCAAGUUUGAAGUAGGCCACCUUUCAAAUCUUAUGGCCACCCUCAGAAUUGAGCCAGAAGUGCAGGUUAGAAUCAGGACGCUUCAGCAGACAGAUCCGGAUAUUCAGAAAAUUGUACAAGAGGAUUCAGAGAAGAGGAAAGCUGACUUCCAGAUUUCUGAAGAUGGAACGUUGAAGUUCCAAGGACAAUUGGUUGUACCUGACGAUGUGGAGCUUAAGGAAGAGAUUUUAUCAGAAGCACAUUGUAGCAGUUACAGCAUCCAUCCUGGCAGUACCAAGAUGUAUCAGAAUCUGCGUCAACACUACUGGUGGUGUGGCAUGAAAGCGGAUAUCGCCAAGCAUGUCGCCAAGUGUUUGACGUGUCAGCAAGUGAAAGCUCAGCAUUGCAAACCAGGAGGACUUCUACAACCCCUUGAGAUCCCAGAGUGGAAAUGGGAGCAUAUCACGAUGGACUUCGUGACGGGACUACCAAGGAGCUAGAGAGGAAAUGAUUCGAUUUGGGUAGUAGUUGACAGACUGACAAAAUCGGCUCACUUCAUUGCAGUUUGAAGGGACUUGAGUUUGGAUAGACUCGCAGAUUUGUAUGUAGGUCAAAUAGUUCAUAUGCAUGGAGUGCCGGUUACAAUUACUUCAGACCGAGACCCGAGGUUCACCGCCGCUUUUUGGAAGAGCUUGCAAUCUGCUUUAGGAAAGAAACUGCAGUACAGUACGGCCUAUCACCCGCAGACUGAUGGCCAAUCUGAAAGGACAAUUCAGACUCUUGAGGACAUGCUGCGAGCUUGUGUCUUGGACUUCAAAGGAAGUUGGGAGGAACAGCUUCAUCUGGUCGAGUUUGCCUACAACAACAGUUAUCAGCAGAGUAUUCAGAUGGCUCCUUUUGAAGUGUUAUAUGGUAGAGCAUGCAGAACACCCGUGUGUUGGGAAGAGGUAGGAGAAAGAAAGAUCACCGGUCCAGAGUUAGUACAGCAGUCAGUGGAAGCAGUUGCAGUUAUCAGAGACAGACUAAAGACCGCUCAGAGCCGACAGAAAAGUUAUGCCGAUAAGCGUCGGAGGCCAUUGGAGUUCCAAGUUGGUGAGCACGUCUUCUUGAAGGUGUCACCGGUGAGAGGUACUUCCCGCUUUGGCAAAAAGGGGAAACUGAGUUCGAGGUACGUAGGUCCCUUCGAAAUUUUGGAAAGAAUAGGGACUCUAGCGUAUCGUCUUGCACUGCUGCCGAAGUUGUCAUAGGUGCACGACGUCUUCCACGUGUCGAUGUUGAGGAAGUAUGAACCUGACUCGACUCACGUUCUAAAUUUCGAGGAACUAGACGUGGACGACAAAGUGUCCUACGUCGAAAGCCCGAUUCAGAUUGUGGAUCGCAAGGAGCAAGUUCUGCGCAGCAGGACCAUCCCAAUGGUCAAAGUGGUCUGGCAACACCAUGGCACUGAAGGAGCAACUUGGGAGACUGAAGAGUUGAUGAGAGAAUUGUACCCCUACCUUUUUGCUUCAGAUGUGUAAUGAUUAAAUUUCGAGGACGAAAUUUUUAUAAGAGGGGAAGAGUUGUGACAUCCCGAUUUUUCUCAAUUUCAUUUUCAGUCAAUUGAGUUGGGCAAUUCAUCUGUGCAUGUAGUUCGUCUCUCAGAGUUGGCCACUCACGAGGGAACUGGUCUAUUGAGUGAAGUAAUUAAGGAAUUUUACCGUGUCAGACUUGGGGACUGAUCACCCUCGGGUCAGAUGCAAGAAAAUUUCCCCAAAAGCUACUCAGUGGAUUAGGCGAGCUGAAAUCGCACCAGAUUGAAUUCAAUCGUAAAAAUUGAGAUUGAAUUUAGAAGUCGGAAGCUCGGUCAUGUCACACAUCUUAUUAGAAUCAUGGGAUAAUUUUUGUGGUUUUUAAUUGGAUUCAAUUAGAAGAUAAUUGAUAGAAGAAUUUAAGAAAUUGGGUGUACAAAAAUUCGGACCUCAGCGGAAAUAAUAUUGCACCCAUUGAAUGAUGUUGUGGAGGAUUUGAAUUAGUGGAAGAUGACAUGGGAUGAUGUCAUGGUGGUUGAGGCCAAGGGUGGAGAUCUUGACAAGUGGACGGUGGGGAUUGGCUCUUGAAAAGAUGACCAAUCAACAUCAUCUUCAACCUUGGAGGAGAGAGAGGGAAGAGAGAGGGGGAAACUAGCGAAGGGGGGGAGCUUGCCGUUCGGACAGCCGCUGUGUCCCCCGUUCGCCGCUCGCCGCCGCCGUGUGGCGCCACCGUCGCUAUCUCGCCCGACCGUGCAAGGCCCCGCGCGCCCGCCUCGCCGCUCCGCCCGUUUCCCCUCGUCUCGCCAGCCGCCUCAGCCGCCGUCCCGAGCUUCUCGUCGUCGCCAGUCGCCGCCAGAGGCCCGUCGGAGUCGCUGCCUGCACCGCCUGAGCCACCGUCGCCCUUCCCUGCCGGUUUCGGGCCUAACCGGCCGCUGUUUCGGCCCUCCUCCGCCGCGACCAGCAGCUGGUUUUUGUGUGUCUCGCAGCCCACUCAAGGCCGGUUUUGGACGUCUUCCCGGCCCCGGAAGCUAGGCCCGCCUUUGGAAAAGUUGAUCCCGGCGUCGCCCUCGUCGUUUUGGUCUAAGCGGCGAGUUAAUCAAGUGAGUUUACCUCACUAAACCUUGAUUAGAGUGUUAAUGAUGCCCUAAGUAUGUUUAGUUUAAAUUAAGUAAGUUUAGGUGGAUAGGUUAGUAUAUUUAAUUAUAAGUUUGAUUAAGAGAUUGGUUUAUAUUAAAGUGUGUUUAAUUAAGGUUAAAAGGAGUUAUUUAAUGUUAAACCUUGAUGGGACAUAAUAGGAUUUUAGUUUUGAGUUAUUCAAAUUCUUCGAAAAUUCUGAAAAAUAUAAUAUUAUCUUAUAAUCCGAAAAAAAAUAAAAAAAAUAAAAAAAAUCGAAAUUUUAUUGUUAAUCCUAUUUGCUCAGAAUUUCGUGCCGAUCGCUUCUGUGUGUUUAUAAGUUGAAUUUGAUGAGUAAAUGGCAAAUUGAAUGUUGAUUGUGAAAAAUGGGAAUUUUAUUCAAAAAUUCCCACGUGUCGGGUUUGAUACCGAAAUCGAAUUUGGAAGGGUCAAUAUUGAAAUUGGAGUAUGUGAGUGACAUAUAAAGCGUACAAGGGUCGAUUUUGAAUUGUCGAGUAUUGGUUGAAAGGCUUGGUCGCAGUAGUGGCGAGACCGACUGGACCUUUAUUAUUCUAGAAAUGCUGUCGAUAGAGUGACGUCGCUUGGUCGCAGUAGUGGCGAGACCGACUGGACCUUUAUUAUUCUAGAAAUGCUGUCGAUAGAACGACGUGGCUUGGUCGCAGUAGUGGCGAGACCGACUGGACCUUUAUCAUUCUAGAAAUGCUGUCAAUAGAACGACGUGGCUUAGUCGCAGUAGUAGCGAGACCGACUAGACCUUUAUUCUUCUAGAAAUGCUGUAAUGUUAGUAGAUAGCCGACCUGCGAGUAGGUUGUGCCCUUGUGUGGCAAUGGAUAAUAAUGACAUGGAAUGUUUGCUGUGAUUGUAGAAUUUAGUCAAAUUGAUUGUGUUUCAAUGGCUUACAUUCUUAUCAUUACUGGUGCUUGAGUGAUAUGAAUUAUACUAACAUGCAGGAAGCCAAGAAGGCGAGGUAAGUCUUAUGUGCUGUGUGGCUAGACCAUUUUGGGGUGUAUUUGCUUUCUAAUAGGGGUUUAGGAGGGGUGAACUUGCUGAGACAAAGUCUCAUCCCGGUUUGGGGAAAAAUAUCACAGGACCGUAGAUAGCGAUACCCUGGAGAUGGAUGGCAUGCCGACGGAGGUGGACCAGAUGAUAGAGAGUGCUCUUGACCCUUUUUGAUGCACAUAAACUCUGAACCAUUUUGGUGCAUAGUCUCUGGAUCCUGUUGGUAUAUGUAAACCUUGGUUUGAUGAUGAUGUGUGAAAGUAUGCUUGGUUUUGAAUUGAAUUCCCUGCUGUCCUAUCCCGUAUAUCUUUGUCAAGGGAUUUCUUAGCACGUUCCACAUGCGUAUAAUAAUUUAAAUAAAUGAAAUUGGGGUCGGCGACACUACCUGGGAAUGUCGCAUUUACAUGACCAUGGCGGGUUAUUCACGUGUCUCGGGGUUCGGGGCGUGACACGUACAAAGGCACGUCACCUUCCACUAUGGGACCCUUUCUUCACCCAACAUGGUAGUGACAAUACCACGAUCGAUACUCGUGGGGUACCAAGCUGUCUCUACCCACAUCAACCCAAACAUUGGACUUCACUAGUACAUAUUAUAAUCCUUUAGGGUGGAGGUGGAUUGGGAAGUGGUAUCCUAUCUCAGUGAUCUCUUCGGGUAUACCAAAAUGCACGGGAGGACGAGGAGGUGGAGGUGCUGCCAUCUAGGGACCUAAAAUGAUGUCCCACAACGGGGUGCGACUACGUCUCAGCAAGCUCUAAUCACUAAGAUCCGAUUAUGAAGCCAAUACACUUUAGAGGUUGCCUAAGCACAACACUAGUUAAAGGACUUACCUUGGCCUCAAUUCCAUCCUGCAAAUCAAUGUCAUUUACAGAUGCCUCAAAUCACAAUAACAAAUCAAUUCACAGUAUCAGAUCAAAUCAUUGAUCAAUCGACCUAGUCAAUUACAUAUCACCACGACCUUCCCCCAAUCAAUACAUUCAAUACUAUCUAUAAGUCCACCAUAAUAGGAUUGCUCGCUCUAAGCUGAUAUAUAGAUAGUAUCAUGCACACUGAGCUAAUAAAUAGUCUACUGCUCUCGGUAAGCUGACAUCUCAAACCCUUGGGUUAAUAUAGUACACUAAUAAUGCUCUCUCUAAGCUGAUCAUAAUGCUCUCACUAAGAUGAUUAGGUAUAUUGCUCUCGCUAAGCUGACAUAUCAAAGCCCGUAGGUUGACAUAGCAUACCGAUAUACUGCUCACAAUCUAAGCUGACAUAUCGCCUGUAGGCUAAUAUAGUAUACCAUCCCAACCAUUGAAUGAAUUCAUCAUUUUUAUCAUACUCGAUAAAAAUAGCCGUGUGUAGGUAUACAGCCAGCCUUAACUGAAAUAUAAUAAUUUCACUUUUUGAACAUCCCACCAGUUUCAACAACCCAUAAUAUAUUUUUGGUGCUACAAACCGACGCCCGGUAAUUUUUCCAUUAAUUACCAAAAUUAAUUAAUUUAGAAAUAAAAUCCUAAAACUACAAUUAAUUUAAUUCAGCACAAUUUAACGCUUAAAAAAAUAAACAGAUCACAUCAUCACGAUCAGCAUAAAAAUUCGAUCGUCGGCUAGCCUAGCAUAAUUUCCGGAAAAUAAAUAAAUAAAUAAAUAAAUAUGAAAAAUAUUAAAUAAAUUCAAUAAAUCCAAUUUAGGUCCGUAAUACCUAAUUAGAUGCCGAAACGGAUUCGGAAAAUUUUCAAGAUUCGUUCAAUAAAUACUAUAAACUAUUCACUAGUUAAUAACAUUAACCAUUUGCCUAACAUGCGUUGAUAAGGCACUAACUUAAUUGCACUAGUCUAAUCUAUCCACCUAAUCACACUUACUUAAAUCUAAACAACGCCUCAGCAUAAUUAACUGACUAAGUAGGGAUUAGUGAGUAAAACGCACUUGUUUAACGAGCGGUUCAGUGCAAAACAAUGGAAACGUCGCGGGGCUCAACUUUCCUCAAGGUGGGCCUAGCAACUGAGGCUCAAGACUACCUCAAAACGAGCCUAGAGCUUGCUGGAAAACCCACAAAAUCAGCCUCUGUUUUGAGCUGGAAAACAGAGUAAACAAGCUGGUUAUGGUGAAGCAAGACUGGUGGAUGCGGUUAGGGUGUUCGGCGGUUUGAAUGGCGGCUUCGGCGAGCCUCCUAAUCCACUCACGGUGGCUGGCACGGCUAGACAAUGACCCUAGAUGCACAAACAAGGCUAUUGGACGACGGUGAGGCGCGUCAAGGCGCGACCGCGUACGUGCGCGCAAGGAUGGCGAACGAUGGAGGCGGUGGCGUCAUGCGGCUCCAGUGGCUGCUGGCUGCUUCUGGCGACUUCCUCUAGUUCCUAGGGGUUCAAACAACAAGGAUGGAGGGGAAGAAAGGCUGGCUGGUUGGCUUAGAGAGGAAGAGAGAGAGAGAGAAAUUGAGGCAAGAGAGGGGCCACCAUGGCCAAUUUUUCUAUUCAAAUGUUCUCGUGAUCCAUCCCUAGCCAAGGCUUCCUUCCUUGGCUAUGAUUCAGCCAACAAAGCUCCUCUCACAACCUUGAGGUGGUCCAUUUUUGCUAGGCAAGGGGGGAGCUACGAAUUUGCUUGCCAUUUCCUCUAAUUGGACACUUAUUCCUACUUGUUUCAAUCCCAACUGACCGCAAUAAAUUCAAUCAACUCAGUAUCGGUCAUCUCGGCAUUUUUCCUCACCUAUACAAUCCAUAUGAUUCUCAAAUUUGCAAUAAAAAAGGUCUUGGCCUUUUUCUGAACUUAAAGGCCCUAGGACGACUUUUCUAAAAAAGUCUCGGGUUGUAGAAAAAUCUUCUAAGACUAAGUCGACGUUCGUAGAAUUUAUUGUGACAUGACAGAAUCUUCAAUUUCUAAAAUCGAACUCGAAUUCGCAGUUAAUUUCCAUUCGGCGCGUUUUUAGCAUGACCUAGGCUACCGGGUAACUUUCAGAAAUUUUUCAAUGCAAAUGACCUGUGAUCAAUUUUCUUCGAACCACUAUGAACCCACUCGACACAUUAGCAACUCUCGAUUGUUGUGAAAAUCUCAAAAAUUUAAAUACGGACACAGGAUACCAAAACAACAGAUAAAUCAGUCUAAUCCCGGCUGACAAGAAUUUUUCAAUUUAGUGGUGUCACCCAUUAUUAGCCACACAUUUCAAUUGCACUGAUCUAUCUCUGAUCUCAAAUCGAUUUUUAAAUGUGCCGUAAUGGCCUCUAAAAAUGGAUAGGGUCGACAAGCCAAUUCCUGGUCGAAUUCUCAAAUCUAUUGCAUUAAAAUUCCUUAAUGGCUUCCCCAAAUAGUCUAGUUAUCUCGAGAGUGAUCAGCUCUGAGAACAGCCCUAUAGGCGCGUCGAUGAAAUGCCCGAUUUAUUCAAUAGAAAAUAUGACUAAAAAUCUGGGAUGUCACACCUGCUAUGCCAAAGUCUUUAGUUUUCCUUUGAAUGUACUUUCACUUUCGAAGCAAAGUCUAUCAAUUUCAACCUUAUUCUAUGCAGAAGCAAUCGCUAAACACCAUCCUGUUGGAGAACCGCUUUAAACACAAUCAACACUAGGGUUUCGAAUUCCCAAAGGAGUAUAGCAAAUCAGUAUGCAGAACGCAGCCAUUCAAUUUCAACAAUUGAGAAUCACAACUAUUAAAUGUACAAUGAGAAGGAAUUGAAGCGAGAAACCUGGAUACAAUGUGAGACAAGCACAAGAGAAGCAAUGGAGAGAGAGGUGAGCACGAACAGAGGCGAUUGAACAGAGGCAACACAACCAAAGGCAACUCAAUCGGAGAGAGGCGACUGGGGAUUCAACUUCGAGAAGUAAGAAUCAAAACUAGAAAAUGUACAACAAGAAGGAAUCAAAGUGAGAAACCUAGAUUCAAGGUGAGAGUAGCACAAGAGAAGUAACACAGAGAGAGGCGAGCAUGAGUAGAGGCAAUCGGACAGAGGCAACACAACUGGAGAGAGUUGACUGGACAAAGGUGAAGGUGAGCCGAGAAGAGACAAGAGGCAACCUUUGGGCUUAAGAGUGAAAAGAGAUGAGAGGCAAUUUUAGGGUUUUCUCUAAAAAAGAAGCCAUUUCUCAUUUUUGUUCCUAGGAAUAAGAAUUAGGUUUUUUUUUGCUUCUUGCUCCUACUCUAAAUCUAUUUCAAUUUAUUCCCUAGCCACUUUUCUAUUAUGGGGAAUAGAAAAAUUAACUAACGUUACCAAACAUAUUUCUGUUAUUUUUCUAUUCCGAAGAAUAAAAGAAUAGAAAAAUAGAAAAGUAGAAACAUUAACAAACGUAACCUAAGUGUCCAUUAGGAAAAUGAUUUGAGUAAUUUCUCAUUGACCAAAAUAUGUGUCAUUUUUCAUUAUAUUCUCAAUUUCUCCUUAAUCUAAAUCAAUUGUUUUAUUUGACAAUCAAUAUAUUGGAAACUUUGCAACGGCUUUAGAAGAUCAUGGUUACAUUGAAAAUUUUCUAAAAUUAGGAGGCAAUUUGUAAUGAUAUGAAAAUCUAGGGGAUAUAUUGCAAUUCUCCCGCAUUUGCUGGAAAUUUUUUUCCUAGGCACCACCUAGUCACGUAAGAGAACAUGACUUAAGUUUCUAACGAGAAUUUGGCUAGAGUCCACACAAGAGAGAACAUAAAAGGUAAUUUCAAAAUGCCAUGUUAAUAUUGAGAUAGAUAUAAGGGGUAAAUUGCCAUGAUUGCAAGAACACGGGGGCCACAAAUAUCCCGAGGAAUUCUAUUAUCGCUUUUAGAAUAGACUUGAUCCCACCAAAUUCCAGCCCAUGCCAAAAGAAGUGGAUGUACUACUAAUGGAUGUGAGAACUCAAAUCCUUAUUGAAUCCUAUUUUUCAAUGGGAAAAAUCCAAAAUGAAAUAUGUUCAAUCAAAACAUGUAGUGUGAAUUCUUAAUCUCUCUAAACAUCUUUGUCAACUCGAAAAUUCAAGAAUUUGAAUUGAUGUCCUUUCAUUGAUUCCUCCCAAAUUGCAUUAAUUUAUCCUAAGGAUUUCAUUUCAAUUGGAAUUUGGUUAUUUGCCACGUGCAAUGUUCCCCUACAUAGAGUCCAAUCUUAUUUUAUAUUUUUUGGUUGCGCAUGAUCUUGAAUCCUGGACAAGGGCCUUUCGCUCGAAGGCUGAUCCUAGCUCCUCCCCCCNNNNNNNNNNNNNNNNNNNNNNNNNNNNNNNNNNNNNNNNNNNNNNNNNNNNNNNNNNNNNNNNNNNNNNNNNNNNNNNNNNNNNNNNNNNNNNNNNNNNCCACUGUAUGGAAACAAAAAGAAGAGUAUGAAGAAAAUGAAAAAAAAAAAUAAAGAAAAAAACUAAUUAAAAGAUUCAAAAAAAUAAAAGGUAGAAAUGUUUAGUACUCAAUUGGUAUAAUUCAAAUGUUUAGAACUAAAUUGGUAGAAACACAAUAUAUAUAUAUAUAUAUAUAUAUAUAUAUAUAGAUAUGACUUUUUUAGGUAAUUUACCCAGAUUUAAUGCAAAUUGUUAAUACAUUUGGCAUUUCUAUAAUCUCAAUUAAGAGGGCACCAAAUAAUAUUUUCGGUGGUCUAAUUUUUUUAUUUGUUCAAAAGUAAUCAGCUCUAAUGAAGUGUAUUUGAUCAAGUCAAAUUCAGAUAUAUAUGUUUUCCCCUAUAUUUGAUGUUUUAUCUCAUGGAGCGUUCGUAUCAUAUGAAAUUGCAACUACCAGCUCUAAGAAUGGGAUAGGAUGAGGCCUUUUGACCAUAAUUGACGCGGGGAUUGGGACCAGGCGCCCCUUAUUCCCUCCAUCCUAGGGCUAGGGGUGAGCUCAACUAGCAAGUAAUUGCAUUAAAAGUUAAUUAAAAAAGAACGAUGCGAUAAUACAUUAGGAGAUAAUUUGAAUGGGAAAUACAAGUGUGAGGACUCAAAACAAGCUUGUGGGUUUCAUUCAAUCGACCAAUGGAAACUUCACAAAUCAUUUGAUAAAGAGGAUUUAAUGCAUAUUCCUAGUACAUUUAGCAUUUCUUUAACCUCAAUCAAGAAGGCACCAUAUAAUAUUUUCAGAAGUUAUCAUCAAAUUUUUAAUCGCAACCAAAAAUAAAUAUAUUACUCAUAGAUAUAAUAUUUUUGGAACGCGCUUUCCUACAAACAUGAGUUAAAAAAAUUGAGAUUGCAUCAAGCUUGACUACUUGAGCUUGAUGUUUCAGCUUUUGGUGCCUGACUUAUAAUUGACUUGGACUUUAAACCAAUUUCGUGUGAAAAGCCAAAAGAAACAAUCAAAAGCAAGGGAGAAAACUUUUACCAAAGACAUGACAGAUGUAAAAUGAAUUUUGUGGAAUGAGAAAAAAGAGUUUCAAAUUAACUUCACCUUUUAAUGAGUCUCAUGUUCAUAUAAAUAAUUGACGGAGGCACUUUUUGUCAAGGAUAUGAAAGCUUCGUUCGUACUCAAUCCUCUCGUGAUUGACGGUGAAUUAUAAGGCACCAAUUUGUUCAUUCUUCAGUCUUUGGUCUUCACUCCAUGGACUUCAUAGAAUACGAGGCACCAAUAUUGAUAUUGCUUUUUCUCCCCUCAACUUUAUAAAGGAGUGUCCUAUUGGACAAUCCUAUCUUAUAGAUUAGUAUUGAUAUACAAACCACAUGGCAGAUCAAAAGCGAAUAAUAAGCCAUAUUCGAUAAUUAAUGACAAUAUACCAUGUCACUUAUUACACCAAAUUUAUGAAACAUUCUUAGUGUUUUUGACAUUUCUUUUUCUUGUUUUGGUUGUAAACGUGAAAACUAGUGAGGCGUUGAUAAAUGAAUGACACCACUACAUGUACUAAGACUUUACUCGGAUGUUCUAAAUGAAAUGGUGUGUAGUGUGGUAUGCACCUAUGUCACCAAAUAAGUGUGGAAUCAGCAUUAUUAUGGAGUUUGUGAAAACGAGAAAAGAGAUAAAUUGAGCAAGAUCAAUUUAAGGAAAUUUACUUUUCUAUUCCUCCAUCAUUUCUUCUCAAAAUUGCACAAAGUGCUCUCACGCAUUACUGGGAGCCUCUAUUCAAAUUUGACUAACAAUCAUUGAAGCAAUCCAAAGAUGCAUUUAGCACUUUGCCUUUACAAGAUUCAAGAAAUAACUCCCAAGGGGUGGGACUUUGUCCCAAGUGAUACUUAGUUCUAGAGCUGAGGAAAAAAAAAGAUCUAUGCAAUGAGUUGGCUUAGAUCAGAUGGCCAACAUUUUCAUGUUCAAAGAGGUCUGACAUGACAUUUAGGACUCCCCCUAUCCUUCUUUGUUAUUACUCCCAACUUUUUUAUGGUGUUUCCUAUUAGAUGAUGCUAUGCUAUAUAUUAAUGUUUGAAUCGACAGCAUAGUGGAAGUGGAUCGUAAUUUUGUAAUUAUGUCGGGAGUUAUAGAAAUCGUCAGAAAUAAAACGAGGAACAAUAAAAAAAAAUGAUACCAGAAAUUUACGUGAUUCGAUCCGAAUAUCAGAACUUAUAUCCACAGGGAGAGCCAGCAAAAUAAUUUCACUAUAAAUCGGAGAAUUAUAAUAUUACAAUUAUUUAUAUAUUUAAGUGUUUUCCAGUCCUACUUUAUAUCCGACACACACGGUGUUUAACAACUCAGCUCAAUGGACUCAACUCUGCACAAACCUGUCUGAGCUCACGUCUCUCUUUCGAGCUCUUUAUUUUUGCUGCUUCUCGAGCUCCAGACGUCUUCUCCUUUAAUCGAUGGAAGGGAAGGACACAAAACAAAAAUUGUACUCCACAAAUGUCAACACCAUGCCGAUCUUUAAUGCGCCUCCGUGCAAUUAAUGAUAGCAUGUGUGAGCGUGAAGAAGAAUAGCUUCUGCCUUUCCUCAUUUAUCCACAACAAGACGAAAGAAGUUCACAAAAGAUGACCAAGAAGAGGGAGAGAGUUCGGCGCCUACAUGAUAGGCUUCUGAGGCAGCAAGUGCUGACCAACUUUUUCUACGAGAAAGCAUGCACAUGGCCAUGUGCAUGCAUUUAAUGACGUAGAAGAAAUUCAGACGAUCAACCCAUAAGCCUUAUUUCGUGCUGACAAAUGAGAAGAAUCCCAUGGAUUGUAGUCUUCAUUUCCAACGUGAAGCGCAGAUCGAAAGCGGUAUCCUCUCGGCUCCUAUCACACGCCAUUUCUCCUUAAAAGCUUUGUGGACGUUCUUUCUCGUUUUGGCAUGUAUAUCGUUUUGUACGUAUCGGGUAUCGUAUAUGAAUUCAAACUCGAGAUAUAAUUUAACAAUUAAUAUUAAUAUACUAAACCAAAUACUAGACUCUGAGUUUCGAUAACUAAUAACAAUAUGUCACGUCAAAUUCAUCAAACAAUCUUACCUUCUAACAUUUUUUUUUUCUUAUUUUUAUUGUAAAAUUGAGAGCAAGCAAGACUUUAAAAUAAGAGUAACACUACAUAAACUGAGACUUUACUAGAGUUUGUCAGUAAAUGAAAUGGGACACUAUGUGCUGUGCGGCAUGUGCGGCGUGUCGUCAAAUAAGAGUGGAAUCAGCGUUAUUUUGUAAAAUGGGGAGAAGUGAUAAAUGAGGCAAGUUCAAUUAAAGGAAAUUUUGUGGCAAAAAAAUUAAAGGAAAUUUUGUCAGCCCUCUAAUAUUCCGUGCAAUGUGUAAUAUGCUUUGUUGGCUAUACUUCUUGGCCAUACUGGUAAUGAAAAUGCAUGUAUUACCCUUAACAUCAGCAAUAUGAGGCGAGGUGACGUUUGAAUAAAAGGCAAAGUCGGAAGAAGGGAAAUAUCCCCAAACCUCUGCUCUGUUCUCCUUGUUUUCUUACAAAUCUUUCUCUUCUAGGUCUAGUGACAUUGGAAGGAUAAAAUUGCAAUUUUGAUCAUAUAAGAUGAGUUGGUUCAACAAGUCUGCUCUCUAUUUGUUAUUCAAAUCCUACGGAUGAGAAAGCUUUUCCAAGGCCAUGAAGCCUUUGAUUGAAGGCUAAUGAUAUUUUGGAGACCACCAAGCAGUUUCAUUUAAGGACUAAACAAGGAAAGGGCAUGCAUGCUAGGAUAACAUACAUGUCCCAAAUUUCAUUAGUCUUCCUCUUUUUUUACGGUUAUAUGCGUUGUUAGCAUAUUCCAUUUCACUUUUUUUAUUUUUCCAAUGGGGUAAUUGUCGUCAAUUACAUGCCAUUUAUGUUGAAAUAAGUUACAUGUUUGUAUCCUCUUCUUCUUCCCAAUCGUUAUUAGAUUGAUGGGAAAUAUGAGGCACCGGUUAUUAUAUUAUGGCUUGAGUUUGAACUUGGUACGAGACCCAACUCAUUUAAAGGAUUCUGAUUUGUUCAAAAUAUGGUGUUCCUUUUUAAUCAAUAUCAUAUUUGAUUGUGGGCGGUGCUACUUAACUAUUAAAUGUAUUGAAGGUUUGGUUCUGUUGAAGAUAAAUAUCCAAGUUUAACCGAGGGAGCAAACAUUAGUCGCACUCCACUCAACGCGUCCAGUUUUAGGCCUUUUCUAAUAUCCUGAAGAAGACGUACUGCUGAAGUCUCUAUUUUAUAUCCCCGCACGAGAGGACUCUCUUUAGCGAAGAAAAAAAGGGGACGCACCAGUAACGCUUUCUUUGAUCGCACGGAGUUUUGAAAACAGUGGAUUUUGUGACGUGAGUCGAUGAGUUUAGAUGUAAUCAAGGCAUAGAAGACACUCGAACUUGCGAGUAAUUGUAACUCUAUGGUUCUCCGAGUAUCGGUGGAUUAUAGCUGCUUGCUCUUCCAGUUGCGUAAAUAUCGAUUUUUAGACCGAAUCAUGUAAAUCUCAGAAGUUCUUUAUUAUUUCUCAUUUAUUUCUCUGUAAUUUCGCAUUAAUUCAUUAAUUACAAAAUUUGGUUAGUUUCCAUAUUAUUUCACAAGUCUUCGGUCUUCAGGAGAGAGAAAGUUCACAGAACUUCCCAUGAUGGAGUUAGUCAAUAAUUGAUUUGUGAGCAGAGUAAAAGUUUAUAAAUUCAGCUCAGACUGAAAGUGGAUCAGUGGAUCACUGGACGAGAUGGGGAAACAACUAUUUCUUAUUCUCAACUUUGUUCUCUUGUGGUGGUGGAGCUCAAUCACAAUCUCCGGAUCAUACUCGCAAAACCAAACAGAUCGGCUUGCAUUAGCCUCCUUCAAAAAUGCAAUACAUGAAGACCCGUUCGGAGUCUUGAGCUCUUGGAAUGAUUCUACCCAUCAUUGUGAGUGGCAAGGUGUUUUCUGCAGCAAAAGGCAUCCUGGGAGGGUCACGUCCCUAGUCCUAAGAUCGCAAGGCUUGGAAGGCUUCCUAUCUGCUCAUAUAGGUAACCUCUCUUUCCUAAGGGUCAUGGUUUUACAGAACAACAGCUUCCGUGGCGAAAUCCAACCACAGAUCGGCAACUUGUUUCGGCUCCGUAAUCUCGAUCUUAGUAACAACUCAUUUGGCGGGCCAAUACCCUCCAAUCUUUCCCACUGCUUGAACCUUGAGAUCCUGAAUCUCAUAGAUAACCAACUUGUGGGGGGAAUUCAUUUCGAUCUUGGUUCUUUAACAAGACUUAAACAAUUGCGCUUGUCUAAGAACAGUCUUGUAGGUCCUAUUCCUCGUUGGAUUGGAAACCUCUCGCAGCUACAACAGCUCUCCCUGGCAAUAAAUGAGUUGAGCGGAGAAAUACCCAAGGAAUUGUCCAAACUCAAGAGAUUGACACUUUUCCAACUACGUUCCAACAAACUAACCGGUGAGGUUCCAACAGGGAUUUUAAACAACUCUGACCUUUAUGCAUUCGGUGUUAGUCAUAACCAGUUGCGGGGAAGUUUUCUCAAUGAUGUCGGCACCGCUUCUCCUUCUCUCUACUUCCUUGGCGCCAGCUAUAACUUGUUCACCGGGAUGAUUCCGUCAACGUUAACGAAUGCCACAGGUCUUGAAAAUCUUAUACUUUUGAACAACAAUUUCCAUGGGCCAAUACCAAAAAAUCUGGGAAGUCUAAAGGGCCUUAAUGUGAUUGCAUUGGGUUCAAACCAGUGCAGAUGACUGAGUUUUAUUUCUUNNNNNNNNNNNNNNNNNNNNNNNNNNNNNNNNNNNNNNNNNNNNNNNNNNNNNNNNNNNNNNNNNNNNNNNNNNNNNNNNNNNNNNNNNNNNNNNNNNNNCAAUCUUUCCACCAGCAUGAAGGAAAUUUAUUUGUCAGGCAAUCAGAUCGAAGGAUCUAUUCCCUUAGCCCUCGGAAAUCUCUUCAACUUGUCUGUCUUGGAUUUGAGCCAUAAUUCUCUAACCGAUUGCAUUCCUCAUUCCAUCGGAACACUUUCCAACUUGGAGUAACUUCUUUUAAGUGGUAACAUGUUUACUAGAGAGAUAGCAUCUUCGAUUGGUAACAUUACGUCAUUAGGUCACCUUGACCUUUCCUCCAACAUUUUCCAAGGCUACAUACCGCAAAGUCUUGGCAACUGUAAGCAACUAAUUGAGCUUGAUCUUUCGAAUAAUGACCUAAUUGGCUUAGUUCCUGCCGAAAUCGUGGGCCUUUCUUCCUUGUCGAUCGCGUUGAGUUUAGCAAAUAAUAAUUUAAGCGGAUCUCUUCCAUUGCAAGUUGGAUCUUUAAAGAACCUUGGCAAAUUAGAUCUGUCUUACAAUAGACUGACCGGCUUAAUCCCGGCAUCCAUCAGUGAGUGCUUGGUAUUGGAGCGACUUCACUUAGAAGCUAAUUCAUUUCAUGGUCAAAUCCCUGAAGCUUUACGUCCAUUACGGGGUCUACAAGAGCUGGACCUUUCCAAUAAUAAUUUUUUUGGUCCAAUCCCAAGCUUUCUCGCAGAGCUCCCACUACUCGAGUACUUGAAUUUAUCCUUCAAUCAACUAGAAGGACGAGUUCUAGAGCGGGGAGUUUUUCUUAAUGCAAGUUCUGUAUCGAUUUAUGGAAAUACGAAACUCUGUGGAGGUGUUCCCAGUCUAAAGCUACCUCUCUGCAAAUCAUCAAGCUCUAAGAAGUCUUCUUCAACCAAGGCUAGAGUAAUAUAUGGGGUAGCUGGCAGUUUGUUAUGUUUAGCUUUGUUGCUCCUAUGUCUGUCUAUCUUUUACCACAAAAAGAAGCAGACGACAACCAUUGCCUCCACUUCAUUAUCUUUUGAGAACCAAUUCUUGAGGAUUUCUUAUGAAGAACUCCUGAGAGUGACUAAUAGAUUCUCUGAGACCAAUUCGAUUGGUAAAGGGAGAUACGGCACGGUUUUUAAGGGGAUUCUUGAUGGCGGUGCCAUGGUGGCAAUAAAGGUGCUCAAUCUAAUGCAAAGAGGUGCUUUGAGGAGUUUUAUCUCCGAAUGUCGAACUCUAGGAACCAUUAGACACCGAAACCUCGUGAAGAUAUUAAGUGUCUGUUCGGGCGUGGACUUUCGUGGCAAUGACUUCAAAGCUCUAAUAUAUGAGUUCAUGGCUAAUGAGAGCUUGGAGGAGUGGCUGCACCUUGGGACUAUGGGACGAGAUGAUGAGUGUAAUGAAUCAAGAAAUUUGAGCCUAGUGCAGAGGUUAAACAUCGCCAUCGACAUAGCUACUGCAAUCGAAUAUCUCCACAAGGGUUGUUAUCCAGCAAUCGUUCAUGGAGAUUUGAAGCCAAGUAAUGUGCUUUUGGACAAUGACAUGGUGGCUCGAGUUGGAGAUUUUGGGCUUGCAAAGAUCAUUUCAACAGUGUGUGUCGAAGCCACAGGAGUUCAAGACCAGGGUAGUUCAACUUCAACCGCAGUCAGAGGAUCCAUUGGCUAUGUGCCUCCUGGUAUGAAAUUGUCAUAUUUUCUCGAUUAUUUGUUAUUUGAUUGCGAUAGUAAUAUGAGAGUGCCAAAAGUUUGAAUAAACAAUGAUUCUUGACGUUAUGUUAUGUUUUGUAUGCUCAGACACCUCUUUCUCACAGCUCAAUUUCUCUUUCCCCUAUUAAUAGCAUCCGCAGAAAAAGAAAAUACAUAUCUUUUUGUACAAAAAGAUUACUAGUAGCUUGUCCUAAUCGUAUUUGAAACUAAGAUGAGAAUGAACCAUUGUAAUUUUGACCAAUGAGUGGAAAAUGUUUGGACAAAACUUGUGAAUCCAUGCGAACAAAUAGAUUAAGCAUAUUGAGUCAUCUCAUAUAAAUAUUUUCUUUCUAUAAUAAGUAUUUUGUCUCACAUAACGUUCAUGCCACUAAAAUGGAUUGCGAUUCUCUUUUGGUAUGUUAUGACUUAAGGUCUUGACAAUAAAUAAUUUUUCCUUCAUGGCAGACCCUUUCAUGACCUAUAAUUUAAUAUUUGAAAGAUAUAUUAGAUGACAUGACAUUUACGCUAGAAAUUAUUGGAGGAUACACUAAUUGACAACAUGAUGAACUCUAUCCAACUUUCACUUUCCCUAAACUUCUUGGUUAGAGCAUAUUAAGACAAAUUUAUGCAUUGACAAGUAUAAAUCCAUCACCGUCGACAAAUCACUCUAAGUCUCUUCUUUUUCCCCCACUGUGUUCGUUUUUUGCCUGUUCUUCUAGGCAAUUUUUCUUCUCGUCUUUGCAUAAAAGAAAGUAUGGUAUAGGUAUCAAACAAAAUCUGGAUCAUGAAAAUGACAAGCCCCACGUGGAUCUCACAUGUUUCCACUCAAAAAACCGGCGAUUCAAAUUUAGUUAACACAUAAACUUCUACCAAGGCCUUCAUCUAACAUAUUUUCUUCUUUUUCCUGUUUUCACCCGUACCUUACUAGAGGACAAAGCCACUCUUGAUGUUUAGGCAAUUUGUGUUGCAAACAUACGACAACUUUGGUUGCACUUAGUAGUUUUGGAGAAGAAGAGUUAUUAUGUUGUUAAUUGAUCUUUGGUGCACUUUAUAUAUUCUAAUAUCUCAUUUCUCUUCUGUUGAUGCACUUCUCAACGAUUGAUGCACUUUAUAAGAGUUCGUACGACAGGCACUAGACAUCAGCCAUGUACAGAAAACUAAACAAAAAUUAAAUAGGGAGAAAUGAAAGCUAAAAACCAGUAGGGGCUUUGGGACCCUUUGCCUUGCUCUGGCAGACGAUCCAUUGGCUUCUGCCGCGCAUGGCAAGCCCGACAGAGAAGUUAGUGAGGGCUUGCAAGGCAUCGCCUUAUGUUGGUAGCGAUUGGUGCGAGCCCUCACAACUAUCCUUGGCAAGCUCUUGCAAAUAGACAUCAAGCAAAAUCCCAUGUGAUUUAGGAACUUUUUCUAUACAAUUAAUUCAAGAAAAAGUGUCUAUUCAUUCCUAUCUAAUGUCUUGAUGAAAUUUGCAGAGUAUGGCAUGGGACACAAGGUUUCCACACUUGGAGAUGCAUAUAGUUACGGCAUUCUAUUAUUGGAGAUGUUCACUGGCAAAAGACCCACCGAAGAGGCCUUUGGGCACCAUCUUAACCUCCACAACUUCGUCCGAACGGCUCUUCCAGAUCGGGCAAUGGACAUCGUAGACUUAAGCCUUUUGAGUGAAGCUGGUGAUCGACAACAGGAGAUCAAAAUCAGAGAUUGCAUUUUCUCCAUAUUCGAAGUUGGAGUUGCAUGUUCGAUGGAAUCACCGCCGGAUCGGAUGGAUAUGACUGAGGCGAUCAGGAAAUUACACUUGAUCAAGGCAAGUUACGAAGCCAAAGAGAGGAGGAUAGGUAUGUAGUUAAAUCAAUUUUCUCAUUUCAUAUUGGAACUCCUUCACUAGUAGAGAAAAUCAUCUUGCAAAGGUAGCGCUAGCAAAUUGACAUGAACGUCUCCCUCACUAGCCUGCCUACCCACACCCAUUAUGUGUAAUUUUUUUAUAAUUACACCAAUAUCUAUAUUUAAUAAUCAUAGAAAGUGGAUGUAUGGAGUUAAAGUCUAUCUAUUUAUACCAAGUAACCGUGUAAAAGUUGAUGAAUUUUCUUAUUUGUUCGGUUCUCUUCAUUUCUGAUGCCAUUGUGGAUUGAUGCAUUGCUUAAUUACCAUGGCUGGGUCAUUGCCCUUGCCCCUCUCUCUCUGCACGCUUGUGUACUAAUAUGUGACCUCACUGUGAGGUCACAAGCUCAAGGUCAACUCUUAAUGUCAUGCUUAACUAAGAGCCCGCGGUCAAUUGGAGACCAAGCUUGAUCAAAUCCAAAAACAAGGAGAGGGAGGCAACCUCAUUAGAAGAUCAUGAACUCAAGGCCUACUCUUAAUGUCGCCAUUGAGAGUGAACUCACUGUCAAUUGGAAACCAUGCUUGAUCAAAUUUGGGUGACGUUACCAUCAAAAUUAUGUUGUGGUCAUGUUGCCGACACCAGCUGCCACCGUGUGUGACCCAUACCUCUUCUCCAGACCUCCUUUUCUUUUAUCUUUUUUAUUUGCUAUGUCAUCAAAUUACAAAGUUUUUAUUUUUACUUUUUUUUGGUUGAUAGAGAUAUAGUGUUAACAAAGGCAUAAAUGGGACAAGAUCAAAAAAGGGAACAUGGAUGCAUAUAUGUUGCACUUGUCAAUGUGCUUAUCACAUUGUCUAAUUAUCCUUGUCAAGUCUUCCCACUCAACCAACCCCGUCUCUUUCUUCACCAUUAGCCAUUGUCUCUGGCCGUUGCAGCCAAUUGUCAUCACAGUCGGCUCCCCCACGUCUCGCCGCUUUCUCCUUCGUGUCAUCCACAACCAUCUUUGCUCUCUCUAUUUGCUGACCCAACACUCUCCCUCACUCUCUCUCUUCCCUCACCACCAAAUCUCUGUGAGGUCUCGGCACUACCUUUGAUGACCUGAUCUGGCCAUGGCCUUGAGAUCUCACCAAGAUCUUAGUGGACAGGCCAGAUAAGGGGCAGGCGUCCCUAGAUCUGGAGACGACCCUCUAACCUCAUCACUGUCGACAACUUAAUCGUAUGACUAGGGGAGCUUGAUGCGAGGUCUUGAGACCAGCCAGAGGCUUGAUGCGAGGUCUUGAGACCAGCCAGAGGCAUGAAAUUGACGUUUAGGCAGCUCAGCCACCCUUAGAGAGAGAGAGAGAGAGAAAGAGAGAGAGAGAGAGAGAGAGAGAGAGAUUGGUGUUGGGAUUUUGAGAAGUAAUGGUGUAAGGAGUGAAAUUAAUAAAGAGAGAAUCGUGUCUUGGUUUGGUGUUGGAGACAACGGAUAGGUACCCAUGUCAUCAAAUAAGUGUGGAAUUAGGAUUAGAAUGGAGAUUGUCAAAAGAGGGAAAGAGAUAAAUUGAGCAAGAUCAAUUAAAAGAAAUUUAGUUUUCUAUUCCACCAUAAUUUCUUCUCAAAAUUACACAGUGCUCUCAACCAUCAUUAGGAGUUGCCAUUCAAGUUUGUCUGACAAUCGUUGAAGAAAUUCGAUGAUGCCUUCCAUAUAGACAAUCCAACAAAUCUAGAGAUGGCCCCAUGGAUUCACGACAUGCUUUUCACCAUUUAGCACUUUGCCUCUUUACAAGCUUCAAGAAAUAGCUCCCGAGGUGUAGGACUUUGUCCCACAUAACAUUUAGUUCUAGGGGUGGAAAAAAGAAGAAGAUCUAAAGAACAAUUUGGCCUAGAUCAUACGGCCGACUUUUUCAGGUUUGAAGUGGCCGAGGCUGAAAUUUAGGAUUCCUCCUUAUUCUUUUUCGAGCCAAUCCGCACCUUCAGCUUUAGCAUCUCCGGGAUCUCAGGACUAAUGUGGAUCGAACUGGUCAAAUUAUACAUUAAAACUAAAAAAUAUGAUCAUAAUCAAAAGAUUAAUAAUUAAUAAUAGAAGAUGUUUAAAAAUUACUCCAAACACUUGAAUAAACUCUUAAGUAAUUUAUAACAUUAACAUAUAAAAAAUGACUUUUGAGGCCCAAAAUAUAAUAACUAAUCUAUUUUUAAUUCAUAAAAAAUGAAACAAAAAUCCACUAAAAAUAUUAAACUAUAAUUUUUUCCCAAAAAAUAGGCUCUCUAGUCUCUCUUCUCCUCAUUGGUACCAUGGAUAGUGCGUUGUAUUAAACAGUGACAAAGAGGUCAGAUUGCUUUUCACAGAAUGAUCCAGAGCUUUAGCGAAUCAAUUAGAAUAUUUUAAUGCAAAAAUCAAUUGUAAUUUUCUUGAAUCCAAGUGCACGGGACGCAAUCUCUUUUCACGACAUGACUCAUGUACAUUUCUUUUGAGGGGCCAAAGGAAGUUCCCAAUGGCUUUGAUGACUUGAGCAGGAAAAGUAUUGGACUAGUUGCAUGAUGCGCACCGCGCUCAAGAACUAUAAAAAUGAUUUUUGUUUCAAUAAUCAUAAAGAUCCCGACACUCGCGCAUCACACCACGAUUAAAGAAAUUAAAAAUAAAAACUUUUUCUAUAAUAAAAGUGAGUUUUGCUUUCACAUUUCUAGAUUGAAAAGAUGCCCAAAAUCCAUUUCAUUCGACCAGAAAAAAGAAAUUGUUGGGUGACUUUUUCAUUCAAAAAGAGAUUAUGUGGAAAAUCUUGGCCUUUUGGAAAAGGAGAAAAAAGAAAGUUAUUAUACAAAAAGUUAGUUGAUUGGUCAUGUAAUGAUUUGAUCUUUGUGUUCAUAUUGACCAAGUAAAUAUUAUUAAACUGUGCUACAUUGCAAACUAUAAAUGGACAAUAAACCAUAUUUAAUAAUAAUAUGCCACAUUACUUACUAUACCAAAUAUAUAAAACAGUCUAAGUGUUGGACGUUCUCUUUCUUGUUUCUGUGGUCAAAGUGAAAACAAACCAAACCUUAAAAUAUGAAUAACACUACACGUACUAAGACUUUACUAAAUUAAAUGGCGUGCUAUCCCCGUGUGAUCAGUUAAGUGUGGAAUCAAAAUAGAAAUAAUAUUUGUAAAAAAGGGGAAAAUAUAAGUUUUAAAACAUGUCUGCACUUUUUAAAAGUCUUAGGAUUCAAUUGCACUUUGUUACCAAGUUUUAGGACUCAGUUACACAUUUCGAAAGCUUUAGAACUAAAUUGCACUUUCGUGAUAAAUUUUAGAACAUCCAAUGCACUUAUCCCUAAUUGAUCCUACCCCAUUCAUGUUUAUUUUCCUUUUUAAUAUAAUCGUCAGUUUGGUCGCCGACUUCACACCAAUUUGAUGGUAUGUCGCAAGCCACACAGCCGCCUUGUCAGUUAGUAAGAACUUUCUAGUAAAGUACCUUUGACAUUACUCUUGAAAUACUUGUAUCACUAUGCCCACUAAAACAUUACAUCUCUAGACACUUCAUAUGUUGAGGAAAUGCAGUGGGUUCAUGUCAAUUAGUUCUUAAUUGGGGUGGUUAAUUUCCACAUGGUACUUACAUAAUCUAAACUUAAUUGGACUCACAUGAGUCCAAUGGACAUACUACCUCGAUGAACACAUUGACCAAGAACUCUUGAGGUUUCCUAAUCAGAAUAUUUCUCAUAAACAAGUUCAAUAGUUUGUUAGGACUGUCAAUUAUCUUAGAACUUUCGUCCCAAAAGUCUCUAAAUUUUUGCACCCCUUGCAAAUAAACAUAUAACAAAAAGAAUUUUGAGGGCCAAAAUAAUUUUAUUUCAUAAAAACGAAAAAAUCCAAAAAAAAUUUGGGUAAAUAUAUUAAACUAUACUUUUUUCCCCAAAAAAAUAGGCUCUCUAGUCUCAUUGUCCCCUCGUCGGUACCAUGGGUAGUUUGUUGUAUUAAACAGAGCGAAGAGGUCAGAUUACUUUUCCCAGAAUGAUCCAAAGCAUCAGCAAAUCAAUCAGACCAUUCUAAUGUGAAAAUCACUUUUAGUUUUCUUGAAUCCAAGUGCACGGUACGCAAUCUCCUUUCAUUGAGGGGCCAAGGGAAAAUCCCAAAUGCUCUUUUGAUCACUCGAGCAAGAAAAGCAUUGGACUAAUGGCACGAUGUACCGCACUCGAGAAUUAUAAAAAUGAUUUUUGCUUCAAUAAUGAUAAAGAUCACGACACUCGCACCUCCCACCAUGAUUAUAGAAAUUAAAAAAUAUAUAUAUUACGUUUGCUGUUGUAAAAGUGACUUUUGCUUUCACAUUUCUAGAUUGAAAAGAUUCCAAAACCCAUUUCAUUCGAACAGAAAAACAAAUUUUAAAAAAAAAAAAUUUUGGAUGACUUUUCCAUUCAAAAAGAAAUUUGUGGAAAAUAUUUGCCUUUCAAAAAAGGAAACAAUGAGAUUUGAACAAUCUUUCAAAGAAAAAAACGAAUGCAGGGUCUCACAACCCCCUACCACGCACGGCGAGCCUGGUGAAAAACUCUUUUGAAGAACAAAAUCCCAUGUGAUUUUGGAAUUAUUUCUAUAUAAUUAUUUAUAAGAAAAAAGUACAUCGUGUAUUCCUAUUUAGUGCCUUCAUGAAAAUUUUCGGAGUGUAGCACUAGACACAAGGAUUAACAGUUGGGGAUGCAUACAGUUACGGCAUUUUGUUGUUGGAGGUGUUCACCAGAAAGAGCCUAACUGCGGAGGACUUUGGGCCCAUUUUUACCUGCAUAGCUUCGUCCAAAUGGCUCUUCCCAACUGAUUGAUGGAUGUCGUAGACUUGAGGCUUUUAAGUGAAGCUGGUGAUCAACAUCAGGAGAUUAGGAUCCGAGAUUGCACGAUUUCCAUGUUAGAAAUUGGAGUCUCAUGCUCAAUGAAAUCACCGCAAGACCGGAUGGAUGUGACCGAGGCAAUCAAGGAAUUAUAUUUGAUCAAGCCGAGUUACGAAACCAGAGAGUGACAUAUAGGCAUGUAGGAAAGUAAAUUUGUCGCUUUAUUUUAGAACUCUUUCACAGUGGCAUGGAUAUGCUCUAAGUAAUCCACCUACCCGUAUUUACAUAUCAUACAAGGUGGAUGUCUGUCAGCCAUUUAACCAUGUAAAAUUUGAAGAAUUUGCUUUCUGAACAGUUCUCUUCACUGGUGCCACUGUAUACCAUAUGAUCAAUACACUGCCUUGUUACCCAAAUUAUGUGGUCAAUUCAUUAUCAGCAAUUUAAUGGCAUGUUGCCAUUUUAUUUGGGAAAAUUAAAUGACGGGUUAAUAAUUUUGGGAGGUUGUUGAGUUGGUCAAAGGCUCGAUAUCAAACUAUACUGCUUACGAUAGCAAUUUUAGGAGGGUUCUGCUUGCUUAACACAAGUGUGAUUUAACCUUCACGGACCACUUCACUACCCAGCAAACUCCGUCUUGAAAGCAACUUGUGCAAAAGCCGUUAUGCGUUAGCUCAUUUGUUUUCUUGCUCGUUAGCAUUAACAUUUGAUUGCAGUUUAGCCUUGACAAAACAUAGAAAGGGCUUUUCUUGCUUGUUUGAGAUCAAAGUAGACUUUCUUCGGGAAAAUUGUCCAAAAAGUACUGAACUCAUUGCACUUUUACCAAUUUAUUCCUAAACUUUUCAAUUUUGUCAAUGGACUCAUAAACCUUUCAACAUUUUGCUAAUUGAGUCUAUCUGGCUACUUUUGGCUGGAAUUCACUGAUGUGGAUGCUAACCAUUUUACGUGAUACGGUUAGUGCCGACAAGGACCAAAUUUAUUAAUUUUUUAAUGUUUUUUCAAAAUUUUUUAUGUUUUUAAUUAUUUUUCUCUUUCAUUUUUCUCCUUUUCUUCCUUUGGCCGGUCGCCCAGCCUCCGACGAUCGGCUAGAGGCCAUGACCGAUGAGACUCAACCUUGCCGAGAUCUUGCUAGGGACGAGGUAGGGUGACCAACCAAAGGCCACCGGUUAGGGGCAGCCUCACUGGGAUCUGGCCAAGGGCAACCUCGCUUGGAUUGGGCGAGGCUCACCCUUGCCAAAGGCCAAUGAGGGUCAGUCUUCAUCUUUGACGAGGCCGACUUCACUAGCCUUUGACAAGAUUGACCCUCACUGGCCUUCGGAAAUUGAAUUCCAUUUGAUUGUUUAUCAUUUCUUUGUCAAAACAAAAAUUCAUCCUUUCCCCAGUUGGUGAAAUUUAAAGCCAAAAUAGUUUUUCAUCCUCAACUUGUUUGAUGGGUACAAUGGCUUCCAAAAUACUCUUUUGAAACCAAAUUCAUUAGAGGAGAACAUCCUUGUAGAUCUUCUUUCAAGACCUAAGGUGAAAAGAACCCCAGGAAGGAGAUUUGCCCAAUGUCCUCACUCAAAACCACAGCACUUUCCUUGUCAGACGGCAUUUUUCUCCAUGUAAUAACACUAAAUGAUAAACAUAUUGGAAGUGUGAAUACAUUGAAAAUUUGGGCCUCCUUCCUUCGUUGGAACUCUGGCUCCGACACAGUAGUACCUUGUUUGUAGAUAGAUUGUAGCUAGAAUUUCGGUAGUACAUAACAACUUGUAAGGAGCUCUUCUAUCUGAAUUUUUCCCCUAAUAAAUAAAGUCUCGUGAACUUGCCGUUUGGAGAGAAUAUUUGUAAUUUGUAAAUAUAGUCGAGCGUGUUUUUAAUUGAGUGAGAUCGAUUGAAGACACUGGAUGUAAUAAUGAGCUGGGCCAGCAACGAGAAGAACAUAAUAAAAUGCAUUCGAUGGAAUGUUCAGUCUUCGUCUCCAUGGACUUCUUAAUCCUCCCGUAGUAGACGGGGAACAUGAAGCACUAUUUGUCCUUUAUUUGGCUUUGUCUCCCUUUCUUCUUUAUUAUUACUCUCAACUUCUUUUAUGGCGUUUCCUAUUAGAUGAUGCUAUGCUAUAUAUUAAUAUUAAUAUACUAAACCGCAUAGCAGACUAUGAGUGGACUAUAAGUCAUAUUUGAUAAAUAAUAACAAUAUGUCACGUCAAAUUCAUAAAACAAUCUUAGUAUUUGACAUUUCUUUUUUCUUAUUUUUUUUGUAAAAUUGAAAGCAAGCAAGACGUUAAAAUAAGAGUAGCACUACAUGUAUUGAGACUUUACUAGAGUUUCUUGGUAAAUGAAAUGUGGCACUAUGUGCUGUGCGGCAUGUUGUCAAAUAAGAGCGGAAUCCGCAUUAGUUUGUAAAAGGGGGGAAAGUGAAAAAUUGGGCAAGUUUGAUUAAAGGAAAUUUUAUGGCAAAAAAAUUAAAGGAAAUUUUGUCAGCCCUCUAAUAUUCCAUGCUAUCUGUAAUAUGCUUUAUUGGCUAUACUUCUAGGCCAUACUGGUAAUGAAAAUGCAUGUAUAACCCUUAACAUAAGCUAUACGAGGCAAGGUAACGUUUGAAUAAAAGGCAAAGUCGGAAGAAGAGAAAUAUUCCCAAACCUCCGCUCUGUUCUCCUUGAUGUUAUUACAAAUCUUUCUCUUCUAGGUCUAGUGAUGUUGGAAGGAUAAAAUUCCAAUUUUGAUCAUAUAAGAAAGUUGGUCCAACAAGUAUGCUCUCCAUUUGUUAUUCAAAUCCUAUGGAUAAGAAAGCUUUCUCGAGACUGUAAAGCCUUAAGAUGAAGGCUAACGAUAUUUGGGGACCAUCAAGCAGUUUCAUUAAAGGACUAAAAGAGAAAAAGGCAUGCACGCCGGAAUAACAUACAUGUCCCGAAUUUCAUUAAUCUUCCUCUUAUUUUAUUGUUAUAUGCGUCAGUGUGUUCCAUUUCUCUUUUUUCAUUUUUCCUGUGGGGUAACUAUCAUCAGUUACAUGCAUUUUCUGUUGGGAUAGUGACAUGUCCCUAUCCCGUUCCUCUUCCCAAUCUUUACUAAAUUGAUGGGAAAUAUGAGGCACCAGAUGUUAAAUUAUGGUUUGAGUUUAAACUAGAUACGAGACCCAACUCAUUUAAAGGAUUUUGAUUUGUUUAAAAUAUGAUAUUCCCUGAUAAUCAGCAUCAAAUUUUGAUUUGUUGGGUGAUGCUACUUAACUAUUAUAUGUAUUGAAGGUUUGGUUCCAUUGAAGAUAAAUAUCCAAAUUUAACGGACGGAGCAAACAUUAAUCGGACUCAGCUCAAAGCGUACGGUUUUGGCCUUAUCUAAUAUCCCGAAGAAGACGUAUUGCUGAAGUCUCUAUUUUAUAUACCCGCACGAGAGGACUCUCUCUUUAGCCAAGAAAAAAAAGGGGACGUACCAGUGACGCUGUCUAUGUUCACACGAAGUUCUAAAAACGGUGGAUUUUGUGACGUCAGUCGCAUAAUGAGUUGUUCUAUUAAUAAACACUGUUAGUUUAGAUGUAAUCAAAGUGUGCGUGGAAAUCACUUGAACUUGCAAGUAAUUAUAACUCUAUGAUUCUCUGAUUAUCAGUGAAUUAUAGUUGCUUACUCUUCCAGUUGCAGAGGUAUUGAUUUUCAAACCGAACCACAGAAUUCUCAAGAGUUCUUCACUGUCUCUCGUUUAUUUUUCUGGUGUUGCAUUAAUUAAUUACAAAAUUUGGUUAGUUUCCACAUUAUUUCACAAUAAUUUAUUCAGUCUUCGGUCUUCAGUCUUCAAGAGAGAGAAAGCUUACGGAACUUCCAAUGAUGGAAUUAGUCAAUAAUUGAUUUGUGCAUAGAGCGGAGGUUUAUAAAUUCAGCUCAGACUCAAAAGUCGAUCACUGGACAAGAUGGGGAAACAAUUGUUUCUUAUUCUCAACUCUAUUAUCUUGAACUCUAUUAUCUUGUGGAGGUGGAGCUCAAUCACAAUUUGCAGAGCAUACUCGCAAAACCAAACGGAUCGGGUAGCGUUAGCCUUCUUCAAAAACGCAAUACAUGAAGACCCACUUGGAGUCUUGAGCUCUUGGAAUGAUUCUACUCAUCAUUGUGAGUGGCAAGGUGUUUUGUGCAGAAAAAGACAUCCUGGGAGGGUCACAUCCCUUGUCCUAAGAUCACAAGGCUUGAAAGGCUUCCUAUCGCCUUAUGUAGGUAACCUCUCUUUUCUGAGGGUUAUAAUUCUGCAAAACAAUAGCUUUCAUGGUGAAAUCCCACCACAGAUCGGCAACUUGCUUCGGCUUCGUGUUCUUUAUCUUAGUAACAACUCAUUUGGUGGGCUAAUACCCUCCAAUCUUUCCCGCUGCUCGAACCUCGAGAUCCUGAAUCUCGUAGAUAACCGACUUGUGGGGGGAAUUCAUUCUGAUCUUGGUUCUUUAACAAGACUUAAACUCUUGGGCUUGUCUACGAACAGUCUUGUAGGUCCUAUUCCUCAUUCGAUUGGAAACCUCUUGCUGCUACGACAACUCUCCCUGGCAAAUAAUGCGUUAAGCGGAGAAAUACCCGAGGAAUUGUCCAGACUCGAGAGAUUGAUACUUUUCCAACUAUCUUCCAACAAACUAAUCGGUGAGGUUCCAGCAGGGAUUUUAAACUUCUCUGACAUUACUAUAUUCAGUGUUGCUUAUAACCAGUUGUGGGGAAGCUUUCUCAAUGAUGUUGGCACCACUUCUCCUUCUCUCUAUUUCCUUAGCACCACCGAUAACUUGUUCACCGGGAUGAUUCCAUCAACGUUAACGAAUACCACAGGUCUUAGAGAGCUUUACCUUGACCACAACAAUUUCCAUGGGCCAAUACCGAAAAAUCUGGGAAGGCUAAAGGGCCUUUAUUUCAUUUCAUUUUGUUAUAACCACCUGCAGGAUGACUUGAGUUUUAUUUCUUCUUUAGUUAAUUGUUCCAACUUAAAUGCUAUUGCGGUGCGAGGGAACUUGAUUCACGGAUCGUUGCCGAAAUCCUUCUGCAAUCUCUCCACCAGCAUUCACCGAAUUGAUAUGCUAGAAAAUCAGAUCCAGGGAACUCUUCCUUCAGCCAUUGGAAAUCUCUUCAACCUGUCUGCGUUGGGUUUAUCGAAUAAUUUUUUAAUCAGUCGCAUUUCCGAUUCCAUCGGAGGACUUUACAAGUUGCAACAACUUGUUUUGGCUGGCAACAUGUUGACUGGAGAGAUACCGUCUUCAAUUGGUAACAUUACAUUGUUAAAUCUCCUUGACCUUUCCUUCAACAUUUUCCAAGGCUACAUACCGCAAAGUCUCGACAAUUGCAAGCAACUAAUUGGGCUUGAUCUUUCGAACAAUAACCUAAUUGGCUCAGCUCCUGUCGAAAUCCUAAGUCUUUCUUCCUUGACAAUCGUCCUUAGUAUAGCAAAUAACAAUUUAAGUGGAUCUCUUCCAUUGCAAGUUGGAUCUUUAAAGAAUCUUGGCAUAUUAGAUUUGUCUCACAACAGAUUGACUGGCUUUAUUCCAACGUCCAUCAGCGAGUGCUUGGUAUUGGAACUACUUCACUUAGAAGCUAAUUCUUUUCAUGGUCAAAUCCCCGAAGCUUUACGUCCAUUACGGGGUCUAUAGGAGCUGGACCUUUCCAAUAAUAACUUUUCUGGUCCAAUCCCGAGAUUUCUCGCAGGGCUUUCACUACUCGAGUACUUGAAUUUGUCCUUCAAUCAACUAGAAGGACAAGUUCCAGAGGGUGGAGUUUUUCUUAAUGCAAGUUCUGUAUCGAUUUAUGGAAAUACGGAACUCUGUGGAGGUGUUCCUAGUCUGAAGCUUCCUCUUUGCAAAUCAUCAAGCUCUAAGAAGUCUUCUUCAACCAAGGCUAUAGUAAUAUAUGUGGUAGCUGGUAGUUUGUCAUGUUUAGCUUUGUUGCUCCUAUGUCUGUCUAUCUUUUACCACAAAAAGAAGCAAACGACAACCAUUGCCUCCACUUCAUUAUCUUUUUCGAGAACCAAUUCUUAAGGAUUUCUUAUGAAGAACUCCUGAGAGCGACUAAUAGAUUCUCUGAGACCAAUUUAAUUGGUAAAGGGAGAUAUGGCACGGUUUAUAAGGGGAUUCUUGAUGGUGGUGCCACGGUGGCGAUAAAGGUGCUCAAUCUAAUGCAAAGAGGUGCUUCAAGGAGCUUUAUCUCCGAAUGUCAAACUCUAGGAACCAUUAGACACCGAAACCUCGUGAAGAUACUAAGUGUCUGUUUGAGCGUGGACUUUUGUGGCAAUGACUUCAAAGCUCUAAUAUAUGAGUUCAUGGCUAAUGAGAGCUUGGAGGAGUGGCUCCACCUUGGAACUAUAGGACGAGAUGACGAGCGUAGCGAAUCGAGAAAUUUGAGACUAGUGCAAAGAUUAAACAUCGCCAUCGACAUAGCUACCGCGAUGGAAUAUCUUCACAAGGGUUGCUAUCUAGCCAUCGUCCAUGGAGAUCUGAAGCCGAGUAAUGUGCUUCUGGACAACGACAUGAUGGUUCGAGUUGGAGAUUUCGGGCUUGCAAAGAUCAUUUCAACGGUGUCUACCAAAGUCAUAGGAGUUCAAGACCAGGGUAGUUCAACUUCAACCGCAGUCAGAGGAUCCAUUGGCUAUGUGCCUCCUGGUAUGAAACUGUCAUAUUUUCUUGAUUAGUUUUUAUUUGAUUGCGAUAGUAAUAUGUGAGUGCCAAAAGUUUAACUAAACAAUUAUUUUUGACGUUAUGUUAUGAUUCGUAUGCUCUAACACCUCUUUCUCACAACUCAAUUCCUCUUUCCAGUAUUAAUAGCUUCCGCAUAAAAAGAAAUACGUAUCUUUUUGUAUGAAAAGAUUAAUAGUAGCUUGCCCUAAUCAUAUUUUAAAUUAAGAUGAGAAUAAACCAUCGUAAAUUUUUAGACAAAACUUGUGAAUCCAUGUGAAUAAAUAGAUUAAGCAUAUUAAUUCAUAUUUUGUCUGAUAUAAAGUUCAUGCCAUUAACACAGAUUGCGAAUCUCUUUUGGAAUGUUAUGACUUAAGGUCUUAACAAUAAGUAAUUUUUCCUUUACAGCAGACCCUUUCAUGACCAAUAAUUUAAUAUUAGAAAAAUAUAUUAGAUGACAUGACAUUUAUGCCAGAAACCGUUGGAGGAUAAACUAGUUGACAACACGAUGGGCUCUACCCAACUAUCACUUUCCCUAAACUUAUUGGUCAGAGCAUAUUAAGACAAAUUUAUGCAUUUACAAGUAUAAAUCCAUCACCGUCAACAAAUCACUCUACGUCUCUUCUUUUCCCCCCACUGUGUUCAUUUUUUGCCUGUUUGUCUUGGCAUUUUCUUCUCAUCUUGCAUAAAAGAAAGUGUGGUAUAGGUAUUAAACAUAAUUUGUAUCAUGAAAAUGAUGAGCCUCACUUGGAUCCCAUAUGUUUCCAGUUAAAAAAACCAACUAUUCAAAUUCAAUUAACACAUAGACUUCUGCCAAGGCCUUCACCCAACAUAUUUUCUUCUUUUUCAAUUUUCACCCGUAUCCUACUAAGGGACAAAGCCACUUUUGAUGUUUAGGCAAUUUGCAUAGCAAACAUGUGACAACUUUGGUCACACCUAGUUGUUUUGGAGAAGAAGAGUUUAUAUGUUGUUAACUGACCUUUGGUGCACUUUAUGAAUUCUAAAAUCAUCUUUCUCUACUGUUGAUGCAUUUCUCAAUGGUUAAUGCAUUUUAUAAGAGUUCACACAAUAGGCGCUAAACAUCAGCCAUAUACAGUAAACUAAAUGAAAAUUAAACAUAGAGAAAUGAAAGCAAAAAACCAGUUGGGGGCUUUGGACCCUCUGCCUUGCUCCAGCAGAGGAUCCCUUGGCCUCUGCCAUGCAUAGCGGGCCUGAUUGUGAAGUGAGUGAGGACUUGCAAGCCAUCUCUCUAUGUUGGGUGUGAUAGGCGCGAUCCUUCACAAUUUUCUUUGGCAAGCUCUUGCAAAUGGACAUCAAGCAAAAUCCCAUGUGACUUAGAAGCUUUUUCUAAACAAUUGACUUCAAGAAAAAGUGUAUGUUUGUUCCUAUUAAUGUCUUGAUGAAAUUUUCAGAGUAUGGCAUGGGACACAAGGUUUCCACACUUGGGGAUGCAUACAGUUACGGCAUUCUAUUAUUGGAGAUGUUCACAGGAAAGAGACCCACUGAAGAGGCCUUUGGGCACCAUCUUAACCUCCACAACUUUGUCCGAAUGGCUCUUCCGAAUCGAGCAAUGGACAUUAUAGACUUAAGGCUUUUGAGUGAAGCUGGUGAUCAACAACAAGAGAUGAAAAUCAGAGAUUGCAUUAUCUCUGUAUUCGAAGUUGGAGUCGCAUGUUCGAUGGAAUCACCGCCGGAAUGGAUGGGCAUGACUGAGGCAAUAAGGAAAUUACACUUGAUCAAGGUGAGUUACGAAGCCAAAGAGAGGAUGAUAGGUAUGUAGCUAAAUCGGUUUUCUCAUUUCGUCUUGGAACUUUUUCACUAGUAGAGAAAAUCAUCGUGCAAAUGUAGUGCUAGCAAAGUUACAUGAAUGUCUCCCUAGCUAGUCUACCUACCCAUACUUAUUAUGUGUGUUUUUUUAUAAUUGCAUUUUAUAAUCGUGGAAAGUGGAUGUAUGGAGUUAAGUCCACCUAUUUCCACCAAGUAAUCAUGUAAAAUUUGAUGAAUUUGCUUAUUUGCCUGGUUCUCUUCAUUUCCGAUGCCAAUGUGGAUCGAUGCAUUGCUUAAUUAUCAUGGUUGGGCCAUUGCCCUUACCUCUCUCUGCGCAUGCUUGUGUAUUAGAAUGUGACCUCACCGUGAGGUCACGAGCUCAAGGCCAACUCUUAAUGUCGUGCUUAAACGAGAGCCCACGGUCAAUUGGAGAUCAAGCUUGAUCAAAUCCAAAGGCAAGGAGAGGGAGGCAACCUUAUCACAAGAUCAUGGGGUCAAGGUUAACUCUCGAUGUUGCUGUUGAGAGUGACCUCACUAUCAAUUGGAAGCCAUGCUUGAUUGAAUUUGGGCGAUGUUGCCGAUGAAAUUAUGUUGUGGUCAUGUUGCCAAUGCCAACAGCCAUCAUGUGAGACCCCCCUACCUCCUCUCCAAACCUCCUUUUCUUUUAUCUUUUUUCUUUGCUAUGGCAUCAAAUUACAGACUUUUUUUUUUUGGUCGAUAGAGAUAGAGAGUUAACAAAGACAUAAAUGGAACAUGAUCGAAAAGGGAACAUGGAUGCAUAUUUGUUGCACUUGUCGGGUGUGCUUACUACAAUGUCUAAUUAUCCUCAUCAAGUCUUCCCACUCAACCAACCCUCUCUCUUUCUUCACCAUUAGCCACCGUCUCCGGCCAUUGCAGCCACCUAUUAUCAUGGUUGCCUCCUCCACGUCUCACAACUUUCUCCUUCAUGUCAUCCAUGACCAUCAUUGCUUUCUCUAUUUGCUGACCCAAAACACUCUCUCUUUCACUGUCUCUUCUCUCACCGCCAAAUUUCUAAGGUCUCCAAACCACCAUUGAUGACCUAAUUUACCCAUUAUGGCCUUUAAGAUCUCAUGGAAAUCUCAAUGGACAGGCUAGAUUUAGGAGGCAUCCCCAAACCUUGAGAUGGCCUUUUGAUCUCAUCAUCGUCGACAACUUGAUUGUAGAUGACGAGAGGAGCUCAAAGCGAGGUCUUGAGACCCACCAAAGGCAUAAACUUGACACUCGGGCACUCUUCAAACCUCCUUUUUUUCAUUGCCAUGUCAUUUAAUGGAGAUACAAAGUUGACAAACACAUAAACAAGACAAGAUCAAAAAGGAAACAUGGACCUAUAUUUGUUGCACUUCUUAGUGUGCUCAUCACACUGUCUAAUAAUUUUUGUCAAGUCUUCCUACUCAAUCAACCCUCUCAUUCUUCACCAUUAGCCACCGUCUCCAGCCGUUAUGGCCACUUGUCAGCACCGUCACUCCUCCACAUCUCGCUGUUAUCUCCGUCGUGUCAUCCACGACCAUCUUUGUUUUCUCUAUUUGCAAACCGAAAACACUCUCUCCCUCACUCUGUCUCUUCUCUCACCACCAAAUCUCUAUAAGGUCUCGGCACCACCAUUGAUGACCUGAUCUGGCCAUGGCCUUUGAGAUCUCACCUCAAUCUCAAUGGACAGGCAGAUGGAUGUGGCAUCCCCAAAUCUUGAGAUGACCUUUUGAUUUGGUCAUUGUUGACAAAGUAAUUGUAAAUGAUGAGGGGAGCUCAACGCGAGGUCUUGAGUCCCGCCAAAGGCAUAAACUUGAUGUUCAAAUGAGCUCAUUUGUCUUUAUCCAAGAGAGGGAGAGAAAUAGCUACACAAAAGCAAGGAUGCCGACUAACAUUGAAGCAAUAGGGGAGAGAGAGCAAAUGGAGCAUGGCAUGACCCUUCAUAGGCACCAGCAUUGAAUGGCGGAGUGAGGAAGGUCAAGAAUGAUGAUGGCACUAGCGGCAUGUCAAUGACACAAGCCAUGUGUGGUUGUGGGAGCUCGAUAAGGGGGGAGAAAGAUGGGGAGAAGAAGAGAGAUUGGUGUUGGGAUUUUGAGGAGUGAUUGGGUAAGCUGUAAAAUCAAGAAGAGAGACUUGUGUUUUGAUCUUGUGUUAGAGACAGAAAAUAAUAAACCAAUGCAUACAAUGGAUCUACAUCCAAGAGACAUAAAUAGGGACGGUGAAGGACAUAAAAUACAAUGCCCUGGAUCUAGUAUAAAAUAGGUAACAUGAUGGCAUAAUUGGGAAAAUGAAAAUCAAUCAUAAACUGACUCAUAGCAUGGUCGAUCUAGGCUAUGUUAGAGUGAGUUACCAUAAAAGAUAUACUACAUUAUUGACCAACUGUCAAUGAAGUGUGACGUCUUACAAUAGCAUGCCAUCAACAAGCUCAAGUUUGGCAUUAAGAUCAACAAUAUCAGGGGGGCUGUAGGCUUCAUGGAUUGAGAUCAAAACAGGAACAAUCUAGCUAUAAUACCAAGUCAGUAUGUGAGGAAAUAUUGAAUUGUGCGUUGCUUUAUUGAAUAAUGUUUUACAUUAUAUGGGUACUUAUAUCCAGAAAAAUAAACACAAAUAGGGAAGCAAUCUAAUGAAGAAAUUAACUAACAUAGGAAUUAACGAUAAAACCAGAACAAAUUGAAACCAAUUACAAUCUGCAUUACAUCACAUAAUCUUGAACAUUACCUAACGAUUGAAAUUCAUCAUAACAAUCAACAUGUCUUUGCAGAAUUUUUCUAUGAAAGUUUGAGGUUGAAAUUGCUCUCGCAAGUUUGUUUGAUAGAUUAUAAACUUUUCUGUUUUUUUAACUUUUUUGGUCAAUAUAGUGGAGACAGUUGAGAUAAGUGGCCUUGGCUAUAUUUGUUAACAAAGUAAUGGGAGGAUGACCACAUCCUAUGGUAAAUCAAAAAAGAAAACAGUGCUCUCCUGCAAUUAGCUUACAAUUAGCUUACAAUUAGCCAACAACUAGCUAACAAUCAUCACAUGUGCCCUUCCUCUAGUGGCCUGGAGCAUAAAAUUUGAAAGAGCAAGAGUACUUGAAAUCUGCCAAAGCCAUUUCAAGCAGUUGCAGAUUACUUCUAAAUUGCUAGUAAUAAUCUGCUUAAGUUGCUUUUAUGCGCAACGUGUCAUGCAUCCAUAUUUUCCAAAACUAGCUAAUUCUAAUACUAAAAUAUAACAACCUAAUAAAUGCCUAUUUUUCCAACCGAUUUCCAGUUUUAUUUUCCAGAAUUUUUUAUUUUAUUAUAUUCGUUUUCUUAUCUUAUUCUCGGUCCCUCCUCUGAAUCAAAUUUUCACUGAGAUACUCCGUGAAUUUCAGUAUUACCUCAGACGGAGCAAUUGGUAACAAACAUGCUCAAUGAUGAAGAAAUCAUCAACAUACGGGUAAUUAGAACAACACUUUGGAUAGGCUUCAGAUCAAUUCAAUCUACACCCAAAAGAGGUGACCAGCAAAGGAAUGGUGAUGACAGCAAGUUCAAGGCACAGCAACAUGGUUAUUCAUUGAAAAAUCAUCACCAAUUCACCAUAACAAUCUCCUAAAUCAUCAUGCUGAGGUAAGAGAUCGUACUGAUGUAGCUUCAUCACACACCAGAGGGGUUUUGGUAGGACUGAAGAAAAGCAAAUGUUAAGCAAACCCUACUAAAAACUUAGUUUCACAAAUCGCGAGACAUUGAUUCCCCUAAAGCAAUCAAUAAUUCCCCAAAGAACUAUGGCUACUUCCUUCUUUUUAGGGGGAAUUAGAAAGAUACAACACCUCAAGCUUUCUAUAUACAAAUACAUCGUAAUACCUACUCAGGAUAGCAACAGAAGAGAGAGAGAGAGAGAGAGAGAGAGAAUAGGCCAAAGAAGGAUUCACCUGUACUGAAUUGAUCUUUCCUCACCAAAUUUACAUGGAUAUCCCCGUACUCGAACCUUUCAAGUUGAAAGCAAUGCGGAUACGGAAAGAGCAGGAGUUUCACCCAGUGAUGGAUAACUUCGAUUUCGUCCUCGCAGGGCCUUGAAACAUAGCAACAACAAAGAUGUGAACGGCGGACAGAAAAGAAGAAACACAUGUGAUGAAGGCAGCUAAAUGCAGAGAGAAGGAUAGAGAGUCCAUAAUUAUGAUUGCGACCUUGUCAAGUGCAGUCAGCGACCUUCCUGAGCUUCCAUUUUGAGAGACAAGCUCUCGGCAGAAUAUUCAGCGGAUUUCAGUAGACUCCGCUGCUCAUUCACAAGGGAGACAUGUCCAGUAAACAUAACAUUGUAAGCACUAGCAGAAAGGAUGACAAGUCUAAUCCAACAAGAAGAGAAUAACAAGUUUGAUCCAACAAUAAGCAUAUGAACAGCAGAAUCAACACGGUUCCACUUGAAUUUGGCAAACAUACUUCAGUAUUGAUUUAGUUUCAUAUAGGACUCAUGUGCAAGAAUGGACAACGACCAAUGUACCCACUGAUUAAAUGAGGACCGAAAUUCUUUACAAUCUCAAAGCAUGAAUAGCAAACAGAGAAGAUGUUAGCAUGUCACUGUGAAGAUUUAGGUAAAACAUACUCACUUCUUUACUCUUCACUCAUUUACACAUAUACAUGCACAAGCACUUCCCAAGCACCUCACUGCUCUCUGUUUUUCCUCAGGCUUUUUGAUGUUAGUUCAUGGCAAAGAACUAAUCCAUCCAAAGUAGGACCUUCCGGGCUCCCAAUAGAUUCAAGAGUAAGACAUCUCUCCUAUUUACCCCAGUCAGAAUUCACCAGUCCAUGUAUUUUGCAUGACAAACGGUUCUACCUUCCGAACAAAAUCGCAUUAUGAUGCAAGCCAAUAUGCGCAUCUGCCUCUUGAGAAAUUUUCUAUCCUAUCAUAUCAAUAUGAAAGCUUCCCCGGCCACUAUGACAAAUANNNNNNNNNNNNNNNNNNNNNNNNNNNNNNNNNNNNNNNNNNNNNNNNNNNNNNNNNNNNNNNNNNNNNNNNNNNNNNNNNNNNNNNNNNNNNNNNNNNNUCAAUUAGCCCACAAGUACAAAAUUGUUAAGCAUCGUUAAAGCAAAUACCAAAUUAAGACCACAGCACCAAUCAGCCAAGCAAGAGAAUUCACAACCAGCGAGCAUAAUCUCAAUCCGUUGAAUAUAAUCCGUCAGAUGCCAAAACCCUUGGGUAUAUGUAAGUCGACAUGCUUUGCUCACGAAUCUAUACUUGGCAUAACAUCAGAAUCAGAGACAACAUAUUUGGAUGGAUUUGAACAACAAUUCAAGUAGUCAUGGCAUGUGGAGAUCUUGGCCGUAGUCCAAAAUCACCGGAAACAGAGGAGCUGUAAGUGAGUCGAACAUGUACAUCAUGCAACAAUCAUUCCAGACACUAAAGCAUAAGAACGCUGCUCAAAAUCGUAUUCCGAAUUCGUUCAGGCGUUUUCACGAAUGUUUGAUGGUCAGUUCAAAAAUUAGAACACAGAGUCAUAAUCAAAGAGUCAAUUCCGAUAUAGACGAUUUCAAUGACAUCAGAACGUAUUUAAACUACUAACAGAUCCGCAAUCAUCAUUCUACUUUCACUCAUAACCUUAAUAACAAAUCUCGGAUUCAACUGAAUAAAACAGAGCAAUGACGUACAUCCCUCGGAGUCCGUCUUUGGCCAAGAACAGCCAAAGACGUCGUCACAGGUGAUCUGCGUCUGAGAAGAAGCUCCAGCAAAUAUCUCAGCUCGUCGGAUUUCACGGCCUGAAGAUUUGAAGAGGUCGGGGCCAUCGCGAGACAUGGAACCGCACCUUGCUUGCGUAGCAUCGCGCGCUGGUGAAAUAAAAAUGAAUAGAGAAGAGUAAUCAGGAGAAAAGGAAAAGAAGACAGUCGCCAUGGGGGUCGAAAAGAAAGAAAACAGAAGAGGGAGGGGUGACAAUAUUAUAAAAUAAAAAAGAAAGGAAACAGAAGUGGAUGUAUGGAGUCAAGUUUACGUAUUUCCACCAAGUAAUCAUGUAAAAUUUGAUGAAUUUGCUUAUUUGCCAUAUUCUCUUCAUUUCUGAUGUCUUUGUGGAUCUGCGUCUGAGAAGAAGCUCCAGCAAAUCUCAGUCCGUCUUUGCGUAGCAUCGCGCGCUGGUGAAAAGCCAACGUGCGAGUGCGUUGUAGACAUGGAAUCGGGAAGCAAACCUUCGGGUGUUCUGGGCGUGCUCAAAGGAAACAGCGAAGAGGUGAAAGGAAAAGGAAUAGAGAAGAGUAAUAAGGAGAAAAGGAAAAGAAGACAGUCGCCUGGGGGGUCGAAAAGAAAGAAAACAGAAGUGGAUGUAUGGAGUUAUGUUUACCUAUUUCCACCAAGUAAUUAUGUAAAAUUUGAUGAAUUUGCUCAUUUCUAAAGCCACUGUGGAUUGAUGCAUUUCUUAAUUACCAUGAUUAGGCCAUUAUCCUCGCCUUUCUCUCUCUCUCCGUGCUUGCUUGUGUACUAGAACGUGACCUCACUGUGAGGUCAUGAGCUCAUGGCCAACUCUUAAUGUCACACUUAACUGAGAGCCCGUAGUCAAUUGGAGACCAAGCUUGAUCAAAUCCAAAGACAAGGAAGGGGAGGCAACCUCAUCACAAGAUCAUGAGCUCAAGGCCAACUGUCAACGUUGCUAUGCCAACGAAAUUAUGUUGCCGUCAUGUUGCUGACACCGGCGGCCACCGUGUGUGGCCCCUACCUCCUCUCCAAGCCUCCUUCUCUUUAUCUUUUUUUCUUUGCCAUGUGAUCGAAUUACAGAGUUUUUCUUCUUCUUUUUUAUCAAUAGAGAUAUAGAGUUGACAAACACAUAAAUGAGACAAGAUCAAAAAGGAAACGCAGACACAUAUUUAUUGCACUUGUCGAUGGGUUAUCACAUUGUCUAAUAAUCCUGUCAAGUCUUCCCAGUCAACCAACUCUCUCUCUCUCUUUCUUCACAAUUUGCCACCAUCUCCGCCCAUUGUGGCCACCUACCAUUACCGCUGCCUCCUCCACGUCUCGCCACUUUCUCCAUCAUGUCAUCAUGGUCGCCCUUAAAUGAGAGAGGGAGAGAGAUAGCUACACGUGGUUGAACUGCCAGAAUCUCAGCUUUUGAGGUGGAUCUCGCGCUUCUUUUGGCGAUGUUUUGUACUUUUGAUUGUGCUUUGUGUUACAAAACUAACGGCGUUGUCGUCCCAGCAGAAGAUCACGGGCGUGGACCGCAAGUGUGUCCCACCCUCCUUUUUCUUAAUAUACACCUUCCUCGUCAUUAACCUCAUCACCGUCGCCACUGCUGUCACCGCCGUCGCCGCCUUAGGAGGGCCAGUAUGGCGUUGUCUGCAAAGAGGCCGUGAGGCCACCAUGUGGUGGAGAUACGUGACCCCUUGAAGAAGAUGCCGCUCCGACUCGGCACCUUCAGCACCCCGAGGAGGCUGCUCUCGCCAAUGACGAUGCCGCUGCCAGCCUCCGCGGCUCGAAUGCCAAGACCAACUUCCCUCCUCCUCCUCCCUCCGCUGCCUCCGCCCUCUCCCUCGCCCUCAAAUGACACAAGCCUCGCGUGGUUGUGGGGUGGGCUCCAUAAGGAGGGAAAAAGAUGGGGAGGAGAAGAGAGAGCGGUGUUGGGAUUUUGAGGAGUGAUUGGGUGAGGUAUAAAAUUAAUAACAGACUCAUGUUUUGAUCCGGUGGUGGAGACAGCAGAUAAGUAAAUUAACGUUACAAUGGAUCUACAUCCAAGAGACAUGAAUAGUGAUAGUGAAGGCGAUAAAAUACAAUGCCUUAGAUGUGGUAUAAAAUACAAAACGCGACGGCAUAGUGAGUAAAGUACGGAGCAAACAAAAACUAUCUCGCAAUAUGGACAACAUAGGCUAUAUUAGGCAAAUAUGUCCAUGAGAUAUAUACUAAACUGCUGAUCAACUGUCAAUAGCAUACGACAACUUGUAAUAGAAUGCUGUCAAGAAGCUCAAGUUCGGCAUCAGGAUCAAUAUCAACAUGGAUUGAGAUCAAAAUAGGAACAAUAUAAUGUUGAUAUGGAGUCAGAUAGUGAGAAUAUUGAAUUGUGUAUUGUGCAAUUGAAAAAGGGAAGUAAUCUAAUAUGGGAUAUUUAACUUCAAACCAUUGGCACAUCCAUGAAUCGCCACACGUAAAAAGCCCUUUCUCUUAUAUCGUGAAGCAUAAAAGCCGAAGGAACACUUACAAAGGUAUAUAUAACCACUUGAUGAUCAAGAACACUUUGAAUCUGCCAAAGCCAUUGCAAACAGUAGCAAAAUAUUGCUACUUUGCUUGUAAUAAUCUAUUUAAGUUGCUCUUAUGAGCAACAUGUUAUACAUCUAUAUUUUCCUAAACUAGCUCAUAAGUCAUAUUAAGCUAGUCGCUUUUAUUUUUCCUUUACUUUUAUAUAAUACCCUAUGAUGCGUAUAAUAAUAGGUCAUAAGUAAGCUUGUCACUCUAAAAGACUUUCCUAGUAUGGAAGUUCUCCUUCAUAGUUGCCUGGAGGAUCAUAGUUGCACACAACGUACCACCACCCGUUGUUACACUGAACCCUAGCGCACCCGACUCGGACCGAGUCACGCCAAACCAUCUGAGUGUAGUGCAAGCAGUCACACCCGCUCGAGCAAGUGUUGGUGUUGUAAUUGUAGUUUUGCUUCUCUGCGACCCACAAGCUAACGGCAUAGGUGCCAGUGAAUGUGCUAGUGCCCUUGGCAAGGUUCUCGCCGUAGGGCCCAUUGGAGUGCACAAGGCUGCAGUCGCCGACCCGUUGAUUUGCGUAGCUUUGGGCGUAGGUAGCAAGGGCGUUGUCCCAUGUCACAUUCGCCACACCAACUUGCUUCCGAGCGACAUUAUGAGAGUCAAGAUAGUCUUGGGGUGAGUUUUGGGCAUGACUAGGCUGAAAGAGAGAAAUGAAAACAAGAGAGAUGAUGAUGGUCAGAGAAUUCAUGAUGCUCAAGGAAUUAGCUGAUGUUGGUUCAAGGUGAUAUUUUUGGUGAUCAUUAGGCUAUUUAUAGAAAAAAAAAAAACAUGGAGAUUUUCAGGGCUUCAACUCAUUGUGUGCGAUGAACUUAUCCGGGACAUCUCCUUUGGACAGUUCAACUUUGCGUUAAAAUCCAGACUGAUCAAGAAAUGAUAAAAUUAGUAAAUGCGGCAUCUAGGUAAUUGGUUUUGCAUGUUCUUUCAUUCCUCAAAUGGAAGUAAAGUAAAAGGCUUUAGCAAAGUUUGAAGUUUCAGCAAGUUUGAUGCAGUAAUUAAAGUAUAAUGUUAGACGUUAUUUGGAGUAAUGCUAAAGACAUUGAGAUUAGUGCAUGAAAUUAAAUUAUUAGGGGAUCUAAAAAACUUUGUCCAAGUGUGAUGAACAAACAGGUCUUUCUCUCUCUCUCUCUACACCAUUCAAAAGCCACCACAACUCGUCAUCGUAUCCAUCUUCGUUUUUUAAGAUCAACUGUCCAUCUUCAACUAGACUUACGAUCUCCAGCAUCCCCCACCUUAAAACAAUACGUCACUAUCCUCUCAUAGGAGAAAUACAUCAAAGAUACCAAAAAUUUUGUAUAGCACUCACUUUAAUGUCAAUUUUUUUUGUCGAAUACUUAAAUAUCAAAUCUAAUAAAAAACGAUUACUUAAUUAUGUCUCCGGAGAGAAAUUCUGACUAAAAUAUAUAUGUGAAAUUUAUAAAUAAAAUUUUAAUAUGAGCUGGCAUUAAAAAAAAAAAAGUCUGUGGCAUUUCCAUGUGUACAUUUCUCCUCAUCUCCCUUCACGUCAUUUUUUUUUUCCUUUUUUCUUCUCUUUUCUCCCUUGUGCACCCUCACUACUUCACGUUGUAGAUGGACUCCUCGACCACAACUUCAUCGAGGCUCACCCAUCACCGCCCAAACCUCCGAGCUGCGCCACAACCUCAACAAACGACGCCAAGAAUCGAUGAAUGAUAUGGUCCAGGCAAGGAACGAGAUGGUUCAGAUCUAUGAAAGGAGUCCUGUUCAGUCAAGAUCGCUUGGUUUCAUCGAAUUAGAAAGCCAUGAAGCACGUCCAGCAAUCAAUGAAUGCCCAGGUUGGACAGAAAACCAAGAACAAGCGCGCGAACCUCUAACAGACAUUUCAUCGAACACCUAAGGGUACAACAACCAGAAAGCAUUCAGGCGCUCAAAUUCAUGCCAGAACCAACCAUAACCAGAAAUCAGCACUAGGAAUACACAGAGAAAGGAAUGAGCAGGCUCAGAACGCGCGAAGCUGGGGCCAGUGAGCCCCAUUCCAUCGAUUCGACAAAACAGGGGAAAACGAGCUUGGGCGUAUCCUGUGAAAGGAAAGUUGCCGGACGCGAUUGCUAGGUAGAUCGGAACAAAAUUGGCUCUAGAAACCGCCUCGAGGGACUUGGCCGGUGAAGGAGGCAACACCAACCGCAAUUUGAACUCGCCGAGAUUGGAUCCAACCGAGCCUCUAGUUUGUAGUCGGGUUUUUCAAUGAAUCGGCUUCAUUAACGGCGGAUUUUGAGGUGGCUUUGAUGAAUUUCCCAGAUAAGAAGCCAGAGAGAAAUUCCCUGCUGUGCUCCCUUUUCCCCAUUCAUCCCCUUUCCGUCGAUUGUUCAGCAAGAAAUUGAUUUUUCUUGUUGGACAAAGUCGUUUUGGGUCAUGCAGGCAAGUGAAACUUGUUAAAUGAAGUCGUUUUGAGCUUUUUAUGCUAAGUCAGACCACCGAUGAGCCACGUCAGUAGAAAAAAUAUAAAAAUAUUACCAUACUAAAUUUCUGGCAUUCGAGAUCGGAAUUGAUAUUUAAAUGAUCAUUUUACUUUUUUAAAAGUGACACUUGAGUUAUUUGAAAAAAAUAAAAUUAGCAUUAAAAUGAGCGUCGUAUAUAACCUUUGACACUUCUAAAAUACUUUUCCCCUCUCCAACUCCUUGCAAUGGCUGCCUUUGAGACGUCAAUGAGCCCUAUUCGGCCCUUGAGGCCUUGAUGCUAUCAAGGUUGCGGCAAGCGUCCAGAUCUGGAGGUGCAUCCUCCUUCUCUAGAGACUCAAUCCCUCCACUCCAAGUCUAGAGGAAGUGGUAUCUGGAUCCGUCUCCCUCAGCGGGCAAGUGGUCACUAGAGGUGGCAAAAUGGGUCAUGGACCCAUUUUGCACCCAUAUUUUUUAUAAAUGGGUCAAAUGUGGGUUAUGAAGUUGUAAUGGGCCAUAACCCACAUUCGACCCACUUUAAAUUCAGUUUUAUAUGGGUCAGAAAAUGGGUCACACGUUCUGACCCAUUUUCGACCCAUUUUCAAAACUUAAAACGUAAAAUCAUCUUAGUGAUUCAAUGACGUUCGACCCACCUCUGCUGCUCGCCUCCAGCGCUCCUCCGCUCGCCUCCACCACUCGCCGCCGCAGCUUGCCUUGACGGAGCUCGGGCGAGCCGUGAGCUCGCCGGCCGCGACCGAGCUCGGGCGAGCCUGGAUCGAGCGAGUCGCGAGCUCGCCGGCCAUGGGCGAGCUCGGGCUCGCCUGGAUCUGGCGAGCCGUGAGCUCACCAGCCGCGACGGAGCUCGAGCUCGCCUGUAUCGAGUGAGCCGCGAGCUCGCCGGCCGCGACGGAGCUCGGGCUCGCCUGGAUCGAGCGAGCCGCGAGCUCGCCGGCCAUGGCCGAGCUCAGGGUCGCCUGGAUCUGGCGAGCCGCGAGCUCGCCAACCGCGACGGAGCUCGAGCUAGCCUGUAUCGAGCGAGCCGCGAGCUCGCCGGCCGCGACAGAGCUCGGGCUCGUCUGGAUCGAGGGAGCCGCGAGCUCGCCAGCCAUGGCCGAGCUCAGGGUCGCCUGGAUCUGGCGAGCCGCGAGCUCGCCGGCCGCGACGGAGCUCGGACUCGCCUGGAUCGGCCGAGCCCCGAGCUCGCCGGCUGCGACGGAGCUCGGACUCGCCUGGAUCGGCCGAGCCCCGAGCUCACUGACCGCGACGAAGCUCGGCAGCUCGGGCUCGCCCAGACGGCGAAGCCUUGAUCUCGCCGGACUACGGCUUGGCCGGUCACCGUCGACGGAGUAACAAUGGAGAAGAAGGAGGAGAAAAAAGAAAGAAAAGAGAAAUAAGAAAAUAAGAAAAUAAAAUAAAUAAUAAUAACAAUAAUUUCAAAAAGUUUUAAAAUAAUAAAAAAGUCAAUUUUUUUAAUGAUAUUUGGUAGAUAGAUAUCCAUAUACAUACUGGAAAAGUACUUUUAGACUCGAUGCUAUUUAGAUUGAUAAAUAGAAAUUCAAAACAUCAUAAUGUAAUUUAUAACUUGAUGAACUAAAAUCAAUAAAUCAACCAAAAUAAAAAACAAUUAGGAUUAAGAGGCUAUGUAUUCUUGCAUUCAAGAAGAUUUGUUUUAAACAAAUAUUAUUUUCAUAUCAAUUAUUAGCUCAUCAAACUUUCUCUUAUUAAGAGUUCUUCAAAAGUAUUUUAAUUUAAAGGUUUUUCACAUUUUUUAUUUAUUUACUUUUUAAAUUUGGGAUUAAAAGGUUUUUCAUAUUUUUUAUUUUAUUUACUUUUUAAAUUUGGUGUGAAGUUUUUAUUUAAGUAAAUAAAUUGAGUUAAAUAUAAAUGUGUUUCGAUAAUAUGGGUCGGGUAUGAGUCGGGUAUGGGUCAGGUCAGAUAUGAGUCAUAAGAUUUACACUAUAAGAAUAUGGGUCAAAACGGGUUAAAUGGGUCAAAUAUGGGUCGACCCAUUUUCGACCCAACCCAUACCCGACCCGACCCACCCAUUUGCCACCUCUAGUGGUCACUAUUGCCCAUUGGUGUGGUAAUAUUUAAAAUAAGUCAGACAAGUGACACGAUCUCAACGGGCAAUGGAUACAUAAAUGGAGGCAACAUAUUGCUUAAUAAAUCAAUCUUCCAUAAAAAGAUAAAAUUUAUAAAUCAUUCAUUAGUGUCUCCGCCAUUUUCCUUAAUUUAAGCUAUCUGACAUGUACGGGUACUUCUCUUUUGUCUCAAUUAAGUUAUCAUCCAAUUGUUCUUUAAUGAAUCCAUGCAUUGAAACCAUAUAAUUUGCGUUUUUUAUUUUAUGCAGCUACCUUUACGGUUCUGCAAUUGGCAUGAAUGCGAAGGGCACGCCCUUACAUCCCCACUUGCCAUUGAACGGUUGGAUGCGCAUCCUGUAUUAGUCUAUCACCCCAUGUAUAAGUCUUAUAAUAUAGAAAUUAUUAUAGUUGGAGAUAUGUAAUAAAUUGAAUCUGAAUUGUAGAAAAUGUUUGGGUCAUAUGUAAGUCACACCUAGAUCUUAUCAAAUUCGACAGUUGAAUAGCAUUAACAUCUUUACAAAGACCCAGCAAAUGACAUAAUACAUAUAGGUCAGGAUACUUUUCUCAAACAUGUCUGCACAUGUGCAAAGCUCCAGUAGUAACCUUAUUCGAUAAUUUCCAAACCCUCCACUUCAAGAUCCAUAAAACAAUAUUUAUCAUUUAGCAAUUGGUUUUUUCUUUUUUCCUCACAGCAAAAGAUGACUAAAUGACUGAAGACUGAUUCAUUGAGAAAAUACUAAAACGCAUAUUGUCCGGGUUGUUAAUAAAUCAUGGAAGUUAAGAAGCUCAUGAAAAAGUGGAGCCGAUUGACAAGAGAUGGUGUACCAAAAAAUUCAAUAUCUAGGGAGGAAAAUCCAAGAGUAUACAGAAGAAAAAGAACAAAAAGGAAGAAGACAAGCUCAUGCUAUGCCAAAGUCUUCCAAGUUUUCCUUUGAAUGUACUUUCACUUUCGAAGCAAAUUCUAUCAAUUUCAACCUUAGUCUAUGCAGAAGCAAUCGGUAAACACAAUCACGUUGGAGAACCACUUUAAACACAAUCGACACUAGGGUUUCAAAUUCCCAAAGGAGCAGAGCAAAUCCGUAUGCAGAACGCAGCCAUUCAAGUUCAAGAAUUGUGAGUCACAACUAUUAAAUGUACAAUGAGAAGGAAUUGAAGCGAGAAACCUGGAUUCAAUGUGAGACAAACACGAGAGAAGCAAUGGAGAGAGAGGUGAGCACGAACAGAGGCGAUCGAACAGAGGAAACACAACCAGAGGCAACUCCACCGGAGAGAGACGACUGGACAAAGGAUUCAACUUCGAGAAGUAAGAAUCGAAACUUACAACAAGAAAGAAUUAAAGCGAGAAACCUGGAUUCAAGGCGAGAGUAGCACGAGAGAAGUAAUGCGGAGAGAGGCGAGAAUGAGCAGAGGCAAUCGGACAGAGGCGACACGACUGGAGAGAGUUGACUGGACAAAGGCGAAGGUGAGCUGAGAAGAAAUGAAAGGCAACCUUCAGGUUUAAGAGUGAAAAAGAGACGAGAGGCAAUUUCAGGGUUUUCUCUAAAAAAAAAGAAGCCGUUUCUCGUUUUUGUUCCUGGGAAUAGGAAUUAGUUUUUUUUUUUUUUUUCUACUUCUUGCUCAUACUCUAAAUCUAUUCUCUAGCCAUUUUCUAUUCUAGGGAAUAGAAAAAUUAACUAACGUUAUCAAACAGAUUUCUAUUAUUUUUUUAUUCCAGAGAACAAAAUAACAGAAAAAUAGAAAACUAGAAACGUUAACAAACGGAAACUAAGGGUCCAUUAGGAAAAUGAUUUUAGUACUCAUCGACCAAAAUAUGUGUCAUUUUUCAUUAAAUUUUCAAUUUCUACUUAAUCUAAAUUACUUGUUUUAUUUGACAAUCAAUAUAUCGGGCACUUUGCAAUGGCUUUAGAAGAUCAUGGGUUACAUUGCAAAUUUUCUAAAAUUAAGAGGCAAUUUGUAAUGAUAUGAAAAUCUAAGGGAUAUAUUGCAAUUCUCCCGCAUUUGCUGGAUUUUUUUUUUCCUUUGAGAUAGGCACCACCUAGUCCCGUAAGAGAACAUGACUAAAGAUUCUAGCGAGAAUUAGGCUAGAGUCCACGUAAGAGAGAACAUUAGAACUAAUUUCAAAAUGCCAUGUUAAUACUGAUAUAGAUAUAAGGGGCAAAUUCCCACGAUUGCAAGAACACGGGGGCUACAAAUAUCCCGAGGAAUUCUAGUAUCACUUUUGAGUAGAUUUGAUCCCACCAAAUUCUGGCCCAUGCCAAAAGAAGUGGACGUACUACUGAUGGAGGUGAGAACUUGAAUCCUUAUUGAAUCUUAUUUUUUAAUGGGAAUAAUCCAAAAUGGAAUGUGUUCAAUCAAAACAUGUAGUGUGAAUUUUUUAUCUCUCUAAACAUCUCUAUCAACUUGAAAAUUCAAGAAUUUGAAUUGAUGUCCUUUCAUUGAUUCCUCCUAAAUUGCAUUCAUUUUUUGGUUGGGCAUGAUCUUGAAUCCUGGACAAGGGCCUUUCAAUCUAAAGCCCGAUCUAGGCCCGCCCAGCCUGCAUAGUUAUUAUUAUUUUUUUAUUUGAUAGGCUGGACUAGGCCAUAAUGUUGGCCCAAUUGGAAGGCUUGGUCUAGCUUUUGCCCGCUCAUCAUGUUUCUUCCAGUAUGAUCGAGUCCUCGACAAGUUCAAGCAUAGCUCACCCAAUAUAUCGAGCCCAAUUAAGAUUAAUAUAUUCCAACUGAAGCUGAUUCGCUCUAAAAAGAGAAAACAUUUGCACUAUCGAAAAAUAACGAAAGAAUUAUCGAUUAAUCACACUAGAAAUCGCUGAUUCAUAUAAUAUUAAACUCAGAGGAUCACGUACGUGUCGAAAACCUUAAGAUGCAAUAACCACACGGUAUGUACUCCGGCAAACCAGUUUCAUAAAUAUUCGGCGGCACAAUUGAAUCAAAUGUGGAAGGAAAGAAGAAAAUGAGGUGAAAGAAUUGGAGAUGAUGUGUUAUGGAUCAGCUAGUUUAGUAUUUGGGAAGAAAGCACUCUCUGGGCAGGUUGUUUUCGAACCUUGCAUUGUCCUGGCAACAGUCAUAUAUCAUGUGAUGUCUCCUGACCCAUUUAAACCACCUCCUCGUUGUUCCACCAGUUUGUGGGGCUCUCCGCCCUGCAAGACCUCGGAUUGCCCUUCCAGACACAGGCGCCAACCUUGGAGUCCCCGAACGAGGCCACGAAGGGCCCUUCGACCAAUUGACCAUGUCGCGCUCACCUCGUGUCCCCCAGAUGUCGCCAUCCCCUAGGGUGGCUUUGACACCCAUCUGUUGCCACCUAGGGAACGUCCACCCACUUGUCCGCGUGGUUUCGGUACGUCUAAGUCGGGAUCGAAUCCAUAAAGAAACUGCAAAGAGGUUUCCAUCCAUUCUUUCACGGAUGAUCAGAUUUUUCGCGAAUUUAUUAACCCGCAGGUAAAUCCACUCUUCGUGGUUGUCGAACUAGUCAGCAAAUAGAUUGGUUUGGAGAAUGUACAGCUGCCCGGACACGUCGCUGAGGAACUUGAAAUCUAUCUCGUCCCGUUCAGCUAAUCGGACGUCAAUUGAAGUUUGAUCCCAAUUCAAAUCAACCAUCAAGGCACAGGCCAAUGCAAGGUAUUUUAUCUUUAUCCUUAUUUAUAUUAUUUGUCGAAUAUAAAGAUCACUUUAAAUAUACUAUCUUUUGUUUUCAAUUUUUAAAUUUGAAUUCAACUGGGGUUUGUACAGGAUUCUUCAUCAAGAAGCAGGUGUAUUGUGACACCCACUGAGGGUCGCCCCACCUUCUCAACAUCUAUAUUAUUGGUUGCUAACAAAACUGCAUUUAUUAUUUUAAUGUGCCGAUACCCGUACAACCCAACCUCCCAAUUUGGUGUGGUAUCUUUAUCGAGCCCCAUACCUAAUUCUACCCUUUAUGUGUUUAAUGUCCAAUGAUGCUGAGGUUUGCACGAGACCCAAAUGGAGCAAUUUAAGGACCUAUUCAAGUCUGAACUCAACAUAUAUACAUCUGCAGCAAAUAAUCAAUAACCUGCCCAUAGCAAUUUAAGGCUAGUAAACAAUGUAUUUAAUCAAUCAUAAUAUUGAGCUAAACUAUAAAUCUCACGCACCAAGUUUCAUCCCUGUUUUAAAGUCUAAACUACAGUUGAGAUUCAAUAACAUCAAAAUCAUGUUAAGAUUCAACCAUUUCAUUUUAUUCUGAACACGCCAGCUUUAUAUCUAGUAUUUCGAGAACAUAUUUAAUAUCACAACCUCUAUGUCUAUUAUACUAAUUUAGACAUUCAAACUAGUUUUUUCUUGAGAAAACAUAUGAGAAUAACCCCACUACUUAUACGUAAACGUAUUGAGGAUCAAUCCUAAGCAAAAUCAAGAAAUCUCAAUCACAAUUUGUCCAAUUUCAAAUCUGGAAAAUCUGGACACCAGCUAUAUCUCAUGAAAAACCACUUAAAACACCCUGAAAUUAAUUAGACUUCCCUCCAAACUUCAUCCACACAUAGUAUCCACUCUCUAGGAAUCAAAGAUAUUUUCAUACAUGGCUCUUGGUCGGCCAAUUUCUAGGAAUCAAAUAAACCAUAUAAAAUUGUUAUAUAUUAUUUAAUUUAUAUAGAUACACUUUUAUUUCUUCGGCAUUUACAUAAUUUAUGUGAAUAUGAGGUACUUUCCAAAUGUUCACUAAACGUUAUAUCUACAUGGUGCAACACGAAAAAAAAGCCUUGUUAUGCCAAAUGCCAACAGAUAUAUUCCUUUUAGCACAAUUGAAUAACAUCUUGAAUGGACAUUGACAUAUCACUAGGUGUCAAAAUAUUAGGAUAUUAUAGUUCCAGCCAGCAAACUUGUUAGUGAGUUGGCCUCACUAUACAUAAGCAAAUCACCAACCAAGUAAUCUACCAUCUCUUCUAGGGAUCAUAAAUGCUAUAAUAGUACAUCAAACAUAUUAUAGAAUUAGCCCCACUGAUAUAACCAAGCGGUCGAACAUAAAAGAUUCUAGAGCUGACCCUCAUAGAUUCAAGUUGUGGUUCCUUCCAUGUAGCACUUUACCCUUGCAAGGUUCAAAAAGUGGCUCCCAUGAGGUAACACUUUGUUAUACAUGGCACUUAGUUUUACAAGUGAGCUACAAAGACUGAAAGCUUGAGUUCGCCUAGACUAGGCUAGCCUGAAUUUUCGAGCUCAAAUAGGUCAGUGACGUGAUUUCAAGGACCAUUUAGGCUUUAACAUCUCUGGCUUGGAUUGGCCCGAACAAUUACUUUAAAUUAAAAUUUAAAAUAUAUUAAAUAAAAAUAUAAAAAGAAAUAGUAGAAAGUACAUUAUUUGUACUUAAAGCACUUCAACAAAGUCAAUAUAUAGAACAAAGUAAUUUUUUAGGCCAAAAAUAAUAACCAAUCUUUUUAAAGGAAAAUCAAGCUAGGCCUAAACCAGCUUAGAGCCAAAAAAGCAUUGAAGCUAGCCCUCUCGAUCCGUGCUUACUCCUACUUAGUUCAUACUUGCUAUUCCAUUUCACACAUGAUGAAUGCAUAUUAACACAUGAGAUCCGAUUUACAUGAAGAAUAUGAUAUACAAUUUACAAAUACUUAAGACAUUAAAAUCCAUAAACUCAAUCAACAACAUUUCUAUCUAAUUCAAGAAACACAAACUGAAUGCUGCACUAGCCUCUUUAGCAGUGGAUCGAUGCAUUGAUUAGUCAUGAGCCACAUGUAAAUUAAGAGCAUCCCAUGGGUCCACCAAUUAUAAAAACUAUUCCCGGCUAAGCUGAUAUGUAGGUGGCGUCCAAAACCUCGUGAUUGUGAAUGACUUAUCUUUAAACUAAAAUUGGGGACAUAAGUAUGAAUUAUGAAAUACUAUUUUAUAGCUAUUAGAAUAGCGUGGCGGCUGGACAUAUGGAUAGUGUAUAUAUUGAUUACUCAUUUGACAGAAUGGUGAGUCUUUUGUCUCUAUGGACUUGUUAAUCCUCACAUAAUUGACGAUGUAUAAAUAGACUAAACAAGUCCAUCACUGCUUAAUGAAGUCAAUGGGAUAUGAUGGAGGAAAACCACUUUGUUUAAUUGACGGAACAAGUCCCAUCAUUAUAUGGAACCUUUAAAAGUGUUUCCUAUUAGACUGUUAUGUUAUUUAUUGAUAUAGACUCGUCACAGUUGGAAAAUUCAUCCCUGAGGAUUUUAUGUACUUGGAUAUAACCACCUAAGAUAAAUUUUCAUGUCGUCUCAAAUUAUGAUGUUUAAAAAAUUAAGACACGAGAACACGCCAAAAUUUGCGGUCAAUGAAAUCUGAUUUAUAAGUUUUACACUUGUGAAGUCAAUUGUUGGAAUCGAUAUGAGUUUGUUGUAUAUGACUAAGUGGAUAAAAUGAUUAACCUAUAAUUUGGGAAAGUAUUUGUGAAAGCUCUAGAAAUCUUGACUGUGGAACGGCAUAAUAUAAGUCUGAAACUUUCAUAUGGAAAAUAGAAAAAUAAAAAAAGAUUUCAAGUCCGAACCAUUAACAAAUUCUGGUGGAUGAUGACGAUGUUUAUUCAUUUUAUUGGCAAAUCAUGGUUCUUACGUUCAUCAGCAGAACUGCAUGCAUGUUAAAAAAUUAAUAAUCAUCUUCGUCCUUCGUAUUUUAACAUUACAUUCAAUCUGCUUCAAUGAAAUUUUUUGAUGUAAAAUAAUUGAUAAAUUUUUUGAUGUAAAUUACGAGAGAACAUAAUUUAUAUUUAUGUCUUAAAAAGCCUAAUGAAAUUCCAAGUUUAAGACAGGAUAUAGAUAAACUAAUAGGAAACUACUACAUAUUAUUUAUCUAAGUGGAUAACUACUAAAAAAUUGAAACUAACGUAGUUAUUAAAAAAAAAAAAAAAAAGGACAAGGAAAUGAAGCCUACCACUGGCUAUCACUAUGACGACCAUCAUCUCCCUCCCUCCAAUCGACAGCCUCUUACAACCUCAACCAAGGCUAAUGCCAUAGAUCGAGCAAGAACUAGCUCUUCCUCCCGCCAUGCAUGUAAUAACCUUCCUUUUUAGAAGACAGAAUCGACCGCGCUUAAAAUAAACCCACUUAAUUAAUGAGACAACGUAUUACUAGUUUUCUUUUAUAUGCCCACCAUGCUCGUCCGCUAGACGAGACUUUAGACGAAGCUCAAGUGAUUAGAGCAUUAUUCAUAUGAUGCUCUAACUUUUAGAUGCAAAACAUUUAAUAAACUUUUAGAUGCGAUAACUUUUAGAAGCAAAACGUUUGAUAUGGACCAAAAAGAUUAAUGCGAAACACUUUAAUGUUUCAUAUGUACACAUCUAACUACCUCACGUGUUAUUCAAGCAGCUAUUGCAUGAUAAUUACCAUCAUUGAUGUACGUAAUUAGGUCCAAUCUCUCGGGAUGGUUGAAUCAAGCAUGGACUUCUUGUUAAACAUACGUGACAAAAUAUUUCAGCCAUGUCAGGUUCGUACUUUGUAUUCUCUAGGCCUCACACAAUGGGAGCUUGGGUGAAAAUCUAGAGUUUUCAACACCCGAUCAUCAAAUCUGAAAAUAGACCCAAAAAAAAAAAAAAAAUCCUACCAGACCGUUAUAGCGCAUUGUAAAAUUAUAAGUAUAGGAGAGAAAAACCAAUUCUUUGCAUCAUCUAUCGUUAUGGUUAUCUUAAAUUUCAGGCGUAAAGUUCAUGGUUUUUAAAUCCUCAUGAGUCAUGAAAAAAACAUACAUAGCUUUAAGGAGAAUUUAUGCAAUCUGUUCGAACUAAGGGGAUAGAGGGGCAUGUAUUUGUCCCCAAACUAUCAAUCUGUUUAUGUUGUCUCUUGAGUUCUCAAGUCAGUGGUUAACGUAAAAUCAGACAAAGUUCUGAGGACAUAACAAAGUGAAAGUUUAGGAUCGACGUUUAAAAGUUCAUAACAAAGUGCAUGUCACUUCCAAAAUUUAGAGGGCAUACAUAAUUUUUCCCUAAUUAAAAACAGAGAUAAAGGAUGUAAAGCAGAUAAUGAAAUUGUAAGGGGAGAAACUAUCAAAUGAGCGUGGCAUCGACACUAAAUUGAGCCAUAUUAUUGAAAAUGAUUGGUUUCAUGUUUGCAGGCCUCCCAUUGCACUCAUCAAAUUUGAUGAUUUAAAUUCAGUUUAGUACAUAUUGUUGAUACCUAAAUUUUAACAUCCCAUUUAGUAAUAUUGCAUAGUAAAUUAGGAAUCGACCUAGACCCCUAAAAAAAAUAUUAAGUUAAAUUGCAUAUAAACUUUUAGGAGCAUUUGUUAUUUAGUUUAUAUUUUUUAUUAUUAUAUUUGUAUUAGAUCGGUGAUGGAUGGGUUUGAAUCAAUGGUUCUUUGCUUGAAUUUAACGAGUUGGACUAAGUCCGCGGUGAAAGAGAAUGUGGCAAAGCCUGUCAUUCUUUAAUGGCUGAAAAUUAACUUUUGAGGAGAUUGCAAGAUUAGUUUAUUUUGAAAAAGAUUAAUAUUAUUCUUACAAUAUUCAUUUAAGAGCAUAGAAGGAAAAUUUGGCCAACGAAAAGAAAAAAAAAAGAAAGAAUGAAGUGGCGGUUAAUCUAAUUUUAUCUCCUGUAUAUUCAUGCAAUUUAAGGGAAAUAAAGAUAGAAAAAUAAGAGGAAAGUGUGCUAAGGCAGAAUCAGUCAACAUGGGCAUAUACAUAUGUAGAGUGAUAUGUCUCGUUUUGACGCGUCCUUGCUCGUGGCAAAAAGGAAGUUUUCAGAUGAGUAAUAUUGGAAAAUAAAAGGGAAUGAUGCAUGUGGGGGAUAUAUUUGGUGUCACUCUUUAGGCAACAUAUUUUUUGGUUAAUAAAAGAAACACCAACGCAAGAAAAGAGGUCUUCAAUCCUCAGUAGGCGUGAGCAGAAAGGAAGGAAAACAAAAUGAAAGUAAGGAGAUUGUAUCUUGACCGUACCAGACGUGAUUGGAAGGAGGAAAGAAAUUUUGUUUCUUCCUUUGGCGGGAUCUCUUUUUCCAGUCCGACACAGGCAAGGAAUAGACAACAGAGGGAGAGGAAAGGUAUAGAGAGUUGUCUCGGUCACACUCUCCGCUGUGUCAUCACCGUCGUCGCUGCUGCUGCUCGCUGUUUUGCUGAGCAUGACAAUGCCAAACCUGCCGCUGCAUGAAAACAACGAGCCGCUGCUCUUCAUCGCCCGAACACCAUGCGCCUGAGCUACUGCUGCUUAAGCUCACCACCGAUCUGCUGCUGUCCCGUGGAGUCCCGACGACGCUGUUGCUGCUGAUCAACUGCCUGCUGUGGUUGUCAGUGAGCCACGGAGACCCGAUCCUUGCUGCACGGAAAAGCCACGACCUUUACCACGACAAAGCUUUGAGCCGUUCCGAAGAAUUUCAAGGCGGUGUUCGAGUUCCUUUAAGCUUUGAGCCACUACCUGUUCACGUAAUUCCUUACGCUUGACCAACAUUCGACACCAGGGGAGGAAAUCGGGAACAGAGAGAGAUCCACUCACAUUGGUCACGUACAGAAUACGCCCGAGAAAGAGAUAACAAAAAAGGAGAUUUUGAUGUCCUUAUGCUCGGCGAGUUCUGAGUAUCAUUGUUAUCCAGGUUGCGGUGCUAUUAUUCUUCUUGCAGAUUGCUGGCCCUGUGCAUCUCCAUCAUUGCGAAUCACCACCAGUAAGCAUCACCGUGGUUGUCCAAAGCCGUGACCCGAGACACCCGCCCCCGGUCACACCGUGUAUCGUUGUGAACAGCCGUGCAACCACCGUUCAAACCCGCCGCUGUUCAAGUUGGAAACCAUAUCUUCAAAUUAGGUGACAAAUCCUAUCCAAAUUUCAAUUAUUAAUUACCUAAUUUGAAUAUAUUGUGAUCUUAAUUAGACGUCUUGAAGAUAUGCCAUAUACAAAAGAUUUUUGAAGUAUUCGUGUAUUAGGAUAAUUUCUUAAUUUUACAAUAUCCAAUGAUAAUAGUCUGAUUUUAUCUCUAUAGUUCCGGCCUUUCUAGGCAGGCAACAGUGGCAGUGGCAGACCUAUUCUCUGAGUCGGGCCAGGCUUUUAUGUCUAUGUUGGAGUCGUGGGAGCACCCCCUCCCGAUCCUUUCUCAAAAUUCCGAUUGUUUUUGCUGGUUGGAGGGCUCCUUGGGAUGGUUCACGGUAGCGAUGGUGUGGGAGGCCAUUAGGCAAAAGAAGCCUCGGGUCCAUUGGCAUGGCUUCAUCUAGAACGACUCCAUUACGCCAUGGUAUCAACUAAACGUUUGGCUUAUUGCCAAGCGUUGACCACCCACCCAAGCUCUAUUAUUGUCUUAUGGGAGGAUAGAUAGUGGCUCAUGUGCUUUUUGUAAUGACAUGCCUGAUUCGAUUGAUCAUCUAUUUUUUGGGUGUUACAUCACGGCUGGUAUUGCUUUCUUUUGGACGGCCAUGUGCAAUCUUUCGUGGCGUAACAAGUAUUGGGGGGAAAAUCUCCAUUGGGCCAUAACCUUGCUUUCGGGCAAGGAUUUUUAUAAAUGCAUUGUCUGCUUUUCCUUCGGUGCUCUUUGUCACAUUAUUUGGAAAAACAGGAACAACGUCCUUUUUAGACAGCAGCCUCUUGCCAUCCCGACCAUGAAGAACCACCAUUUUAAAAUUGUCAAAGACAAGACACUCACCUUCAGGAAUGUGGAGGAUACCGCAAGGAAUAGGAGGUUACAGAGAAGUUGGGAAAUUGACCCGGUUAUAUUCUCUUCGGGAGACCGUGAUCGCCUCCCUAAAUUGCAAGUGGUGCCGCCGAUUCGAGUGACGCGGCUCCUUAUUUCCCCUUCCAAGGUUGCUGAUGGCUGUUGCCGGGGCUGUGGGUGUGCCUUCUCCUUCCUUGACCGGCGUUUUCUUGCGUUGUUUUGGUUUGCGGUUGUUCAUGCCGUGUUGGUGAUUUGUACCUAGUGCUAGUGUGUUUCUAGUUUACCAUUUGUGGCUUCCUUUUACAUCUCAGCAUCCUUCCACUCAUAAUGAUUACUACUCAUUUUGAGUGUAAGUUAUUGGUGCCGUGAUCUCUUUUGUAUAGUUUGGUCAUUGCUCAAUAUAUUUCUUACUUUUACCAUUAAAAAAAAAAAAAGUCUGAUUUUAUCACGUGAAAAACUGGCCAAUCUAAUGCCCAAUAUACAAUUGGUUGAUUUUAUUUUUUUCCAAAUUUAGAUGGGUAUGGAUGAUAUCUUGGGCGAUAGAUGUUUGCCAUUGCUUGAUUUUAUUUUUAUUUUUUAUCUAAAAAAAAUCCAAAAAGAUUAGAUGCAAUUAAAGUAGAUUAUUUUUUAGGGGUCGAUUGCAUGUUUAUUUUGAUUAUUUUAUAAUUUCAAAUUUAAAUAAAAAAAUCACAUGCAUGUCAUGUAGAUUAAUUGCAUCAUGCCUACAUCAUCACUACUAUGUCAUUACUACGUGUCACGUGCGUCGUGUUGUGUGUCAUCUUGCCAUGUCAUUCAUCAUAUGCAAUGUCAUUUGCUACGUCAUUGUAUGUAGUGUCAUUGUGCCACACCAUAUGUCAUAUCAUCAUAUAUGUCACGUCAUUGCUUGCACGUCAUGUACUGAUCUAUAUGUUUAGGUCAUUUAAUUAAAAAAUCACCUGUCAUAAAAUUUUGCAUGUUAAGUUUAUUUAUUUUAGAAAUUCUAUGUCGAGGUUCAUCUAAUUAAAUUGCAUGUUAUGUAGACUAUUUUAAUUAGGACUGCAUGUCGAUUUUGCCUGUCAUUAAAAAUUGCAUGCUUAGGUUUGUAUACUUAGGAAAUUUUGUGUCAUGCUAGAAUAAUAUAUUUAAUCAUCAUUAGAAUUAGGAUAUUUAAAUAAGUUAUGUCACAUGUCAUGUUAGAUUAGUAGAAUGCGUUGCAUAAAACAUUAUCUUUAUUAAACAAGUUUAAAAAAAAACAUUUGAGAGAAAUAGCGUGUUAAUGAGAAAUCAUAUUUAGGUUGCUAAUGUCAUUUUCUAACUAACUACAUAUGCUUUCGUAGCUUCAAGGUGAGUAAUUCUUCCAUUUCCUUGCAAUUUAUUUAAUGCUUUGAUUGUUGAGUGUUAAAUAAUGGUUGCACACUUGCUUGAUCACCUCGCAUAUGAGUGAAUUAAAAUCAAUACAGACUGCCUAUAAUACAUUUUUCUGAAAUAAAAGAGAAAAUGUAUUAAAAGGGCAUUACAGAAAUCUAAGGUAAUCAAAUACUCGUACCCACAAUUUCUAGUUCAUAGAAGUAAAGUAAUUCUCCCGUCACUUUAUUUGGGUUUCUAGUCAAUCAACCGAAAAUAGAUUAAUGGCAACUUCACUUGUUAAGAACUUAAACCUUAAGUCGCAAAUUAAUAUGGGUUUAAUAGAGCUUGAGUUAACUUUAAGCUUAAUAAUUUAUUAGCCAAAUCCCUAGGUGAUGCACCCACUUUGGGGAGGUCGCAACACAUAAGUUAUAUAUAGUUAUUAUUUUCCGAUGGGAUAUAUUAUCAUUAUCAUCAAUAUCGCAUGGACUAUUUUCCACAAUUGAGGAGGACCAAACAAAGCAGGAAAAGAAUAAGAGAAAGAUAACAAAAACCACCAAUGCAUCCGGCGAUGCUGCUUGUCCCAUCGUUGACUUUUCUUCAUUCCCGCGAGCAAACAAAUUUUUUUUUUUCUUCUUCUAUUAAGACAUUUUUGCCGUUGACAUUUUGUAACAUAUUUGAAAUGUUAGGUUGAGCGGAGCUUUGCUCAAGCCUGACAACCAGAAGUGGGAGGUGAGCAGUCGGUUAUUAGGCUUGAGCUAAGCUCCCUCACCUUGCGGUGGUUUUGACAUCACCGUACCUCCCCUGGAUGCGAAAAGUUAUUAUAAUCCCCUAUUUGAUGGUAGCUAGUAUCAAAAUAUUAACACAUAGUCUAUCUUCCCACCAAUAGACCCCUUGAUUCUAACCCAAACUUUUCUUCUUGGGUGGAUAGGAGUACAAGAUGUGACAUUGUGGGGUCUCUUACCCCGCUUUCCUGUUUCUUCUCCCUUAAUAAUAAGGAAGUUAUGCCCGUUGAUGUUUUAUAACAUAUUUGAAAUGCUAGGCGGCAUCUAUCUCCGGCAUUUUGGCAACUAAACAAAUUGCAAUCCCACGCCUGCAAUCUACGUGUCCUAUGCCUCCAAUAUUUCGUCUUUUAAAUUCUAUUGCAUAUUCUUUUUCUUCCCUUCUUUUCUUCUAAAUAUGAUGAGGAACCGCAAAUUCCAAUCUAUAGAAUAUCUGACUAACCUCAAUAAUCAGAUAAGACAUGGAUCAAGACAUCAAACGAGCAACCCGAACAUGAGAUUAUUUAUACUAGUAACGUACGGAUUUGAGCUAAUGUCUUGCUUUUGAUCCACACCUUUGUGUCUAUUCUUUUGUCACUAAGCCAAAAUGAGGAAUUGCAUGUAAUCUUUUCUGCAAUCGAUUGUAAUGUUUUUCCUGAAAUGGCGGGUCUCCAUCAGUCGUGCCCUAAAGCAAGAAGUUUAAUUGUGACAUUAUUCCUGAAAUUGCAUAAAGCUACUUUAUUAUAAGUUCCAUUAGGUCAAUAAGUUACUGUCGUCUUUGUCGGUCGUGCCCUAGGACACUCCCGUUUUAGUUCUUAUUAAUUUGUAUUAACAUCAAAACACAUCAUCUAUAACUUUGGUUAAAAAAUUUUAGUGAUUGACUUAGGAAAAAGUGUCAAUUGAUGUUAUAAAUUAAUCGUAGACUUGAUCAUAAAUUUGACAACUCGCAGGUAUUCCGAUAAAAUGGGAGGUUUGACUGAAAAUUUUGCGCUUUUCGGCGGGCUCAAGCAAUGCAUUCUAGGGUCUUGUUAGUGAGUGCCCUAGGCCUAAGCAAUGGCUUUGAGGCUUGGCUUAGUUCGCCCAUUAAUUUAUUAAAAAUUACAUCGAUAAAAUAUUUAUUUUAGUUUAUCUACCUCAAAAUACAAACUUGGUAAAUAUUGAAAGUGAAAGUGGAAGUAAGGCUUAAAACAGAAGAAGAAAAGUAUUUCAUGACACAAUUAAAGUACAAUACCAAAAAAUUAUGGAAUUAUUAUCUAAUUAUGUUUCCAAUUUAUCUAUUUUUUAGCUCAGCUUUUUUUGCUUUAAAAAGCAAGACAUUCCCCAUGUGAUUGGGCCAAUGAAUUCAAGUGAGUGAGCUUGGUACUUGUCAAAACCCGCUGGAUUGGGUUUGGACAUGGCCCAUAAAAGCUCGAACCAAACUUGUUUAGUGAUAAGGUCUAAUUAAGUGUAUCUUGUCACACCAUUUUCAGGUAUGUUUUCCUCUGUAUCCGAUGAUUUAGUGUUCGUGUCAUAUGAAAGCGCCACUACCAGCCCUAAGAAAGGAUGGAAUAGGUCCUUGACCAUGGAAAAAGUACUUAAAAGUCAUAAACUUAUGGCAUUGAUAUCAAUUCAGUUAUAAACUUUUUAAUUAGACCGAUUUAGCCCAAAACUUUUUCACAUUAAUAUCAAUUUAGUCCAUCUGAUCAAUUUUACCCUUACGAUACUGAUGUGUGGUCAAUGAACGCUGACAUGGCAGUUGCCCCACUAGCUCGAAGGAACUCAUAUGUUUCAGAUUUCAAUUGCUGCCGCUACUUCCUUUCAAUUUAGCCAAAUUUUGACCUUUUGUUUAGUCCGAUUUCAAGGCCAACGUAAGGUCAAGGUGACGAAAUUUAGUAGGGCACAGUGGUGCCAGGAGUUCCUUCGAGCUUUGAGGGCCUUAAGAGUUCCGUCGCUCCAAAUCUUCUGUUGUGGGGCCGAGGUAUUAAAAAUUACCUUGUCUCUAAUCACUAGAUGCAAUGAAAUGAAUGCAAAAUCUGGUGGGGUCGGUGUUUUUUGAGGGAUCGAAUUUCACCGUUAUCGGUUAAUUUGAUUCCUAUUUUUUUAAUAUAAUAUUCAUGAUCAAUAAUUUUUUUUUUACUAUGAUGCUUCUAGUUUUCAAAUGCAGAGAAAUGAAAUACGGUCCAAGAUGCUGCAAAAUCAAUCAAUUUUUGGUUAGGGGUUGAAUUCUAGACUUAUCAGCGAACUUGGUCCCUAAUUUUUUUUUUUUUAAAGAAUUGCAAUAACGAUCUAUCAAUGAAAACUUAGAUGUCAACGACUUUAUAAAACAUCGUCAUUAAAAAAAAAAAUCCAAAUUUAUGAUGUUUUGUCGUUAGUCAUUACAGAUCAUCGUCAACCUUCAUAAAACAUUGUUUUAUAUACAUAUCGCAUUCCAAAAUUAGUGUUCCAAUAAUAAAACACCAAACUAGUGUUAAAUAAUGUACUGAUUUAGCAAUUGACCUCAAACCUGUCUCACUACCCAGCACCAAAAACUCGUUUACCUAACAUUAGAGUGAUCAAAUCCCUGAUUAUGUACAUGCCCGCUUGCUUCCCUAGGGACAUUCUUGACCAUCGACUAAGGACCUUCACUAAAUAUGCAUCUCAAAGUGGGGAAAUUAAUGCUAAUUUUUAGAACAACCUGUUUCAGUAAAUUAUGUACUUAUUAUACUUCAAGCUAAAAUAGAAUCAAGAAAUUUCCAGUUCGAUUUAUGAUACUCCAUUCAAUCCCUGACGGAUUUCCGUCACACGUUUCAGACAAAAAUAAUGACGCAUGUUGUUCUCCAACCUUUUAAACUUCAAUAUAUAGUGUUCUGCGCUAAAUUUCAAGUAUAACCCAAGAUGUGUCAUCUUAUUGGAAAACGACAUGCUCCUUUUGUCAAUCUAAACAUGUAGGAGAGGAAUGGUGCGAUCAUGAUAUCUCCUCGUAUUUUCAGCAAUUCUCAAAUAGAAAAACUCUGAUGUCCAAUCUUAUUUUUUCACAAAGUUUCAUACAAACACUAAGACUCCGUUCAUUUUAUGAAAAACAACUUCCACGAAAACCUUUCCUGGAUAAUUCAGCGUUCGGUUCACAGGAAAUAAAUUAGUGGAAAAAACAACUUUAAAAAUGAGGAAAAUAUUUUUCGCUUUUCAAAAAGUGGAAGACAUUUUCCAUCUCCUUUCUUUCACUUCUACACAAAGCACUUUGUUUUACCAAAUAUCUUUUCGUUUGUUUUUAUUUUUUUUGAAAAAGUUGAGAUUUUAAUUAUUAUUAAUUUUUUUAAUUUUCUUUUUUUCUUCUUCUUUAGCCGGUCAAGGGCCAUAGCGUGAGUCCACGAUUGGCUAUAGGAGAGCUCAAACGUUGCUAGAUUCCAAUGAAUUCAAGCCUUGCUAAAUCUGAGGAGGCCUAAGCUUGCUCAAGGUCACCAAGUGAGCUCGGGUCUUACCAAAUUCGGCAAGUUGGGAGGGACUCAAGCCUCACUUAAGAUCGCUAGAGGUCAAUGAGGCUCUGGCCACCUCAAGUGAGGCUUGAGGUUGCUUGUGACCAGUCGUUGACUAUCACCGUCGUUGGUGAUCGGUUGAGAAAGAAGAAAAAGAGAAAAAAGAGAAAAAGGAAAGAAUGAAAAGAAAAUUAAUUAAAAAAUUUAAAUUCUUUUGGUAAUUUUCCUCAAAAAAUCAAAUCAUAUAUUAAAUGGCGGAAAAUAUUUUCUAAUUUAUUUUCAAAUUUGAGCUGAAUAUCAAAAAAAUAUUAUCACUUUUUUAAAAAAUAACUUUUUAAAAAAUAUUUUUUAAAAACGUGACACCUUCCGCGAAAUUGACGGGUACUAACCAUUGUGUGAUUUCAUAGAGUCCAUCAUGUGCGCGCAGAUGUCAAAAUGAAUUGACAUAAAGGGCACCGUACUGAAGAAACUCCGGAACGAAAUCCUGAUCCACACGUUGAAGCUGUCCUCCUCGCCAAGCUUACUGCGUAAGCCUUCUCUCUCUUGGGCGUGUGGCUUCCUUUAGAAGCUGGGGACCGACUUUCCUGUCCACACGCAGUACGUCGGCGGAUCCCAGGGCUUUACGAUUCGGACAGCCAGUCUCCUCAUUUCUCGCUCUCUGCAACUGCUUCCUCGGAAGCGACAAGCACAUAACUCAAAAUUCUUUGUCUCGGUCGUGCGAGUUUUCUUCCUUUACAGAGAAGAAGACGCGUGUUGCAUACGUUCUCCAAACUUGAUUACCAUAUGAUUUCCCCUUUGAAGUAAUUAUUUUAGAUCGAGCUUCAUGAGAGUAAUUUAUCAGAUCUUUUUGUGGUGGGAAAACGACCAAGCCAGGGUUUGAUUUUUUUGAUUGAACAUAUGAAUGAAAGAAAAGGCGAAAAGUACAUAAAAAGUCCUAAAUUUAUGAUAUUAAUAAUAAUUCAGUCCUAAACCUUUUAAUUAAACAAAUUUAAUCCUAAUUUUUUUUACAUUUGUACAAAUUUAGCUCUUUCGGCCAAUUUUGACUGGCCUAUGUUGAAGUGGAUGUCAGCUGGUGUUGGCCAUAUGAACAACGUUGAUGUGAUAAUUUUUUAAUAAUUUUUUAUUUUUUUGAAUUUUUGUAUUAGUUUUUUGUUUUUCUUUUUUCUCUUAUUCCUCCUUGCAUUUCUUCUCCCUAUAGUGGCCGGCAAGGCUCCGACGAGCCUUGUCAGCCAUUGGGUGAUGGUUGCGAAGCCUUCACUCGCCACUAGGCGAUGGCAACGAAGUCCUCCCUAGUCGCCUCAUUCGCAAUCUUGGACAAGGUUGGAUGAGGCCUGCAACCCUCGUUGAUGGCAGGUGAGUGCUUCGCAACCCUCUCCUAGUGGCUGGCAAGUCUUGCCGGAGCCUUGCCAACCAUCACAGGGAGAAGGAACCUAAAGAGGAAGAAGAGAAAAAGAAAAAGAAAAAGAAAUUAAAAAGAAAUUAAAAACUUAAAAAAUUACUGAAAAUUUGCCUUGUAUGGCUGGUGUUGGUUGGCAUUUACAUUAGUGCUGAACAGCCAAAAUUAGUCGGAAAAAUUGAAUUGGUACUAAAGUAAAGAAACUUAUGACUAAAUUGAUCAAAUCAAAAUGUUUAAAACUAAAUUGACAUCGAGACUAAAUUGAGCCAUAUUAUUGAAAACAGUUGGUUCCAUGUUUGCAGGUCUCCCAUUGCACUCAUCAAAUUUGAUGAUUUAAAUUCAGUUUAGUACAUAUUGUUGAUACCUAAAUUUUAACAUCCCAUUUAGUAAUAUUGCAUAGUAAAUUAGGAAUUGACCUAGUCCCCUGAAAAAAAAAAUAUUAAGUUAAAUUGCAUAUAAACUUUAGGAGCAUUUGUUAUUUAGUUUAUAUUUUUUUAUUAUUAUAUUUGCAUUAGAUCGGUGAUGGAUGGGUUUGAAUCAAUGGUUCUUUGCUUGAAUUUAACGAGUUGGACUAAGUCCGCGGUGAAAGAGAAUGUGGCAAAGCCCGUCAUUCUUUAAUGGCUGAAAAUUAACUUUUGAGGAGUGUUGGAAGAUUGGUUUAAUUUGAAAAAGAUUGAUAUUAUUCUUACAGUAAUAAUUUAAGAGCAUAGGAGGAAAAUUUGGCCAACGAAAAGAAACAAAAGAAAGAAUGAAAUGGUGGUUAAUCUAAUUUUAUCUCUUCUGUAUAUUCAUGCAAUUUAAGGGAAAUAAAGAUAGAAAAAUAAGAGGAAAGUGUGCUAAGGCAGAAUCAGCCGACAUGGGCAUAUACAUAUAUAGAGUGAUAUGUCUCGUUUUGACGCGUCCAUGCUCGUGGCAGAAAGGAAGGUUUCAGAUGAGUAAUAUUGGAAAAUAAAAGGGAACGAUGCAUGUGGGGGAUAUAUUUGGUGUCACUCUUUAGGCAACAUAUUUUUUGGUUAAUAAAAGAAACACCAACGCAAGAAAAGAGGUCUUCAAUCCUCAGUAGGCGUGAGCAGAAAGGAAGGAAAACAAAUUGAAAGUAAGGAGAUUGUGUCUUGACCGUACCAGACGUGAUUGGAAGGAGGAAAGAAAUUUAGUUUCUUCCUCUGGCGGGGUCUCUUUUUCCAGUCCGACACAGGCAAGGAAUAGACAACAGAGGGAGAGGAAAGGUAUAGAGAGUUGUCUCGGCCACACUCUCCGCUGUGUCAUCACCGUCGUCGCUGCUGCUGCUCGCUGUUUUGCUGAGCGUGACAAUGCCAAACCCGCCACUGCAUGACAACAACGAGCCGCUACUCCUCAUCGCCCGAACACCAUGCGCCCGAGCUACUGCUGCUUAAGCUCACCACCGAUCUGCUGCUGUCCCGUGGAGUCCCGAUGACGCUUUUAUUGCCAAUCAACCGCCUGCUGUGGUUGUCAGUGAGCCACAGAGACCCGAUCCUUGUUGCACGGAAAAGCCACGACCUUUACCACGACAAAGCUUUGAGCCGUUCCGAAGAAUUUCAAGGCGGUGUUCGAGUUCCUCUAAGCUUUGAGCCACUACUUGUUCACGUGAUUCCUUACGCUUGACCAACAUUCGACACCUGAGGGGAGGAAAUCGGGAACAGAGAGAGAUCCACUCACAUUGGUCACGUACAGAAUACGCCCGAGAAAGAGAUAACAAAAAAGGAAAUUUUGAUGUUGUCAUGCUCGGCGAGUUCUGAGUGUCAUUGUUAUCCAGGUUGCUCUGCUAUUAUUCUUCUUGCAGAUUGCUGGCCUUGUGCAUCUCCAUCAUUGCGAAUCACCACCAGUAAGCAUCACCGCCGUUGUCCAAAGCCGUGACCCGAGACACCCGCCGCCGGUCACACCGUCUAUCGUUGUGAACAGCCACGCAACCACCGUUCAAACCCGCCGCUGUUCAAGUUGGAACCAUAUCUUCAAAUUAGGUGACAAAUCCUAUCCAAAUUUGAAUUAUUAAUUACCUAAUUUGAAUAUAUUGUGAUCUUAAUUAGACGUCUUUAAGAUAUGCCAUAAACAAAAGAUUUUUCAAGUAUUCGUGAAUUAGGAUAAUUUCUUAAUUUUACAAUAUGCAAUGAUCAAUAGUCUGAUUUUAUACCACCGGCCGUGGUGGCUCCGUUAGAUAAGAACUUCGCUGAUCCUUACCCAAAGGUGAGGAGUUCGAAACCUAGUGGCGGCACUUGGUGUCUUAUGCGGGAUGUCGGGGUGGUGGGUCCUUCGCUAGCGUCCCCCAGGUUUGCUCGGUCGGCUGCCGCUAUACGGGUUCUUGGGUUAUCAAAAAAAAAAAAAAAGUCUAAUUUUAUGGUCCAAAUACGACUCAUGAUCAUGUGAAAAACCCGCCAAUCUAAUCUCAUGCCCAAUAUAAAAUUGGUUGAUUUUACUUAUUUCCAAACUUAGAUGGGUAUGGAUGAUGUAUUGGGUGAUAGAUGUUUUCCAUUGCUUGAUUUGAUUUGAUUUGAUUUUUAUUUUUUAUCUAAAAAAUCAAAAAAAGAUUAGAUACAAUUAAAGUAGAUUAUUUUUUAGGGUCUGCAUGUUUAUUUUGAUUAUUUUAUAAUUUCAAAUUUAAAUAAAAAAUCACAUGCAUAUCAUGUAGAUUAAUUGCAUCAUGCCUACAUCAUUGCCACUAUGUCAUUACUACGUGUCACACGUGCAUCGUGUUGUGUGUCAUCUUACCAUAUCAUUCAUCAUAUGCGAUGUCGUUUUCUAUGUCAUUGUAUGCGGUGUCAUUGUGCCACACCGUAUGUCAUAUCAUCAUAUAUGUCACGUCAUUGCUUGCAUGUCAUGUACUGAUCUAUAUGUUUUGGUCAUUGGUAGAAAAAAAUGCACAACCCCUUGGGGUUAUCCUGCACUUGGAAGAAGAAGUAGAAAAAGGAAGAAAUUUAAUUAAAAAAUCACCUGUCAUAAAAUUUUGCAUGUUAAGUUUAUUUAUUUCAGAAAUUCUAUGUCGAGGUUCAUCUAAUUAAAUUGCAUGUUAUGUAGACUAGUUUAAUUAGGAGUGCAUGUCGAUUUUGCCUGUCAUUAAAAAGUGCAUGUUUAGGUUUGUAUACUUAGGAAAUUUUGUGUCGUGCUAGAAUAAUAUAUUUAAUCAUCAUUAGAAUUAGGAUAUUUAAAUAAGUUAUGUCAUAUGUCACGUUAGAUUAGUAGAAUGCAUUGCAUAAUGCAUUAUCGUCAUUAAACAAGUUUAAAAAAAAAACAUUUGAGGGAAAUUGCAUGUUAAUGAAAAAUUAUAUUUAGGUUGCUAAUGUCAUUUUCUAACUAACUACAUAUGCUUUAGUAGCUUCAAGGUGAGUAAUUCUUCCAUUUCCUUGCAAUUUAUUUAAUGCUUUGAUUGUUGAGUGUUAAAUAAUGGCUGCACAUUUGCUUGAUCACCUCGCAUGUGAGUGAAUUAAAAGCAAUACAAUCUGCUUAGGAUACAUUUUUCUGAAAUAAAAGAGUAAAUGUAUCGAAAGGGCAUUACAGAAAUCUAGGAUAAUCAAAUACUCGUACCCACAUUUUAUAUUUCAUAGAAGUAAAGUAAUUCUCCUAUCACUUUAUUUGGGUUUCUAAUCAAUCAACCGGAAAAUAGAUUAAUGGCAACUUCUAAUUAUAAAUUAUUUACUUGUUAGAACUAAACCCUAAGUCGCAAAUUAAUAUGGGUUUGAGAGAGCUUGAGUUAACUUUAAACUUAAUAAUUUAUUAGCCAAAUCCCUAGGUGAUACAUCCGCUUUGGGGAGAUCGUGACACAUACAUUAGAUAUAGUUAUUAUUUUCGGAUGGGAGAUAUUAUCAUUAUCAUCAUUGUCACGUGGACUAUUUUCCGCAAGUAAGGAGGACCAAACAAAGCAGGAAAAAUAUAAGAGAAAGAUAACAAAAACCAUCAAAUGCAUCCGGCGAUGCUGCUUGUCCCAUCGUUGACUUUUCUUCAUUCCCGCGAGCAAAGAAUUUUCCCCCUUUUUUUUUUUUUUUUGCUAUUAAGACAUUUUUGCCGUUGAUAUUUUGUAACAUAUUUGAAAUGUUAGGUUGAGCGGAGCUUUGCUCAAGCCUGACAACCAGAAGUGGGAGGUGUGGGAGGUGAGCAGUCGGUUAUUAGACUUGAGCUAAGCUCCCUCACCUUGCAGUGGUUUUGACAUCAUCGUACCUCCCUACACGUGAAAAGUUAUUAUACUCCCCUAUUUAAUGGUAGCUAGUAUUUCAAGCUUUUCUUCUCGAGUGGAUAGGAGUAUAAGAGGUGACAUAUAUGAAAUGCUAGGAGGCAUCUAUCUCCGGCAUUUUGGCGACUAAACAAAUUGCAAUCCCAUGCCUGCAAUCUACGUGUCCUAUGCCUCCAAUAUUUCGUCUUUUAAAUUCUAUUGCAUAUUCUUUUUCUUCCCUUCUUUUCUUCUAAAUAUGAUGAGGAACCGCAAAUUCCAAUCUAUAGAAUAUCCGACUAACCUCAAUAAUCAUAUAAGACAUGGAUCAAGACAUCAAACGAGCAACCCAAACAUGAGAUUAUUUAUACGAGUAACGUACAGAUUUGAGCUAAUAUCUUGCUUUUGAUCCACACCUUUGUGUCUAUUCUUUUGUCACUAAGCCAAAAUGAGGAAUUGCAUGUAAUAUUUUCUGCAAUCGAUUGUGAUGUUAUUCCUGAAAUGGCGGGUCUUCAUCGGUUGUGCCCUAAAGCAAGAAGUUUAACUGUGACAUUAUUCCUGAAAUUGCAUAAAGCUACUUCAUUAUAAGUUCCAUUAGGUCAAUAAUUUACUGUCAUCUUUGUCGGUCGUGCCCUAGGACACUCCCGUUUUAGUUCUUAUUAAUUUGUAUUAACAUCAAAACACAUCAUCUACAACUUUGGUUAAAAAAUUUUAGUGAUCGACUUAGGAAAAAAGUGUCAAUUGAUGUUAUAAAUUAAUCGUAGACUUGAUUAUAAGUUUGACGAUUUGCAGGUAUUUCGAUAAAAUGAGAGGUUUGAUUGAAAAUUUUGCGCUUUUCGGUGGGCUCAAGCAAUGCAUUCUAGGGCCUUGUUGGUGAGUGGCCUAGGCCUAAGCAAUGACUUUGAGGCUCGGCUUAGUUCGCCCAUUAAUUUAUUAAAAAUUACAUCGAUAAAAUAUUUAUUUUAGUUUAUCUACCUCAAAAUACAAACUUGGUAAAUAUUGAAAGUGAAAGUGAGGCUUAAAACAGAAGAAGAAAAGUAUUUCAUGGCACAAUUAAAGUACAAUACCAAAAAAUUGUGGAAUUAUUAUCUAAUUAUGUUUCCAUUUUAUCUAUUUUUUAGCUCAGCUUUUUUUGCUUUAAAAAGCAAGACAUUCCCCAUGUGAUUAGGCCAAUGAAUUCAAGUGAGUGAGCUUGGCACUUGUCAAAACCAGCUGGAUUGGGUUUGGACAUGGCCCUUAAAAGCUCGAACCAAACUUGUUCAGUGAUAAGGUCUAAUUAAGUGUAUCUUGUCACAUCAUUUCCAGAUGUGUUUUACUCUGUAUCCGAUGUUUUAGCGUUUGUGUCAUAUGAAAGCGCCACUACCUGAUAUGGCUAGUAUAAGUACCUAGAGGAGGGUGAAUAGGUAUAAAGUAUAAUUUCUUAUGAUAAUCGCACAAUACUAGAUAGUUGAUAGAAAUGAGACAAUUUUUCUCGUCAAUAAACAAACAACGAUCAAAAUAAGAUUGAGAAUAGGGAAGAGAAAAUUGAACACAAUGUUUAUAGUGGUUCGGCUUAUUUCAAGCCUACGUCCACUCUUCUGCACUGACAGCCCACUGGCUGGAUUCCACUAUGAACAAAGAGAUAUUACAGUACUGUUCUUCCUUGAUUUCUCGGUGUAGAAGAUCUACCACACUCCCUCAAGGUAUCACUAAGUAUAGACUCUCUUUGCGUGUACAGUUUCGCUCAAUAUGAAUCAACUAAUAAUCAAAGAGCUUUAGACUCUGGAAUUUCUCUAUCAAGCACACACUAGAACAACUGAAACGUCUUCCUUUUAUACUCAUUUAUGCCAUCAUACCCGUUGGCACUUACCAAAGGAAUUCUUUCAAUCUUCCCAUUGGACAGAAUCAAUUAAGAAGAUCAUUCGAGCUAUUAAAGGAACAUGUCGAUAGCCCAUCAAUCUUGUUCGCCCAUACAAUCAGGAUCUUGGUUUCCAAGAAUAGAACCUUCCAAGAAUAUUUCGUCAAUCAUCGGAUCUUCAAACGAUCUUGAUUUCAAAUCAAUAAUCCGUUAUAUCAAAUCCAGCCAAGAGAUCUUCUCCAGUCGAUAAGACCAAAUCCUUAACCAAACACUUUAGCUCCGGAUCACCUUCGUCGCUAGAUUAGAAACUAUCAAUGAGAAUAGUCUUGAGUCUUGAGUCUUGUGUGCUGAGUCUGGUGAUAUGAAAGUCUUUAGACUCUAAGUACAAGGGUCUGCACAGCUUUCAGACUAGACUGAUAGAAAAGUUUUGUCAGCUUCAAAACACUCUAGAGAGAUUUCUCCAACAAUCUCCCCCUUUUUGAUGGUGACAAAACUUUCCUGUAGAUUUGAACAACUUUGACCUGCAAAAACAUUACUCAAGCAAUAUGGAUAUCUCAUAAAGAUUAAUAACUCAACUAGACUCUGCAUCCACAGAAAAUAGGUUAGUCUUUCAUGAGUAAAGCCAUACAAUAACACUUGAUAUAAAUGCAACAGUCAAUUUCAAAUCCACACUCAAGUCACUCAAAUUCACCAAGUCCACCACACCUAAGUCAUACUCAAAAUAAAUAUCCAAACUAAAAUUAAAAACAAAUUCAAAGUCAAAUUUCAGUCUAAAAUUCAGUUCAAAGCUGGCAAUUCUCCCCCUUUUUGUCAUCAUUAAAAAGGUGAGAAAGAGUCAAGUCUGCUUGGGAACGCACACAAGCUGGAAAUCUCCCAUCGACUGUACGACGCCUUCCAGCCUCUUCAAGUCUUCCCGUAGACGUGCCACCUCUACUCCUUUGGCAUUUGCUUGAAUUUGAAUAGCGAGGUAUUGCAUUUGAUCUGACAAGGUAACGGAAGACGCUUGUCCAGCAUUCUUCAGGACUUGAAUUUCACAUUCCAAAGCAUAUAUUUGACCCUGUAUAUCCAGAAGAAGAUCAAGGAUACGACGAAAAUCUGCGGUAUUGUCCGUCUGCGUGCUAGCAUUUGCUCUAUCAGAUGGAGUAAAGGCAGACGAUGGAACUUCGGUGUAAUCGCGCAAAUUUGGCGUUGAGGUGUCAUGUCCUUUCUCAGGCAUUUGAGAAGCCUGAAUAUCUUCUGGAUUUGCUUGCAAGCGACUCACACCUUCACUAUGAAUAGGAUAUGGUGUAGUCCUUCCUUGCUCGCCAUCUCCCCUGUUUCUAAGGCCUCAAUUGGGGAAGAGUGAUGGUCAUGCUCGGCAGCAUCUUGAUUGCCUUUCUCUCCAGCUUCAUCUACUGACUUUUCUUUGACUGCUUCUUCUUCUUCUUCAACUUCUUUCUCCUCUUCUUCUUUUUCUUUCUCUUCUUUCUCCUCUGCUUCUCUCUGUUUUUGUUCCUCUGCUUCUUUUCCUUUCUCCUGUCGUUCCGUUGAUUCGGAUACAGAAUGACUGAGUCUUUUCAAUGCCAAGGCAGAGAUAGUGAGUUCAUCCUCUUCAUCUUCAUCCUCUAAGUUUAGAGCUCUUUUCUUUUUGGAUGGAGCAUCCAUGGGCUCCUUCCCUUUCCUUUUCGACGCAGAAGAGACUGGAUGAGAUUUAACUGGAGUUUUCACGUUGAACUUCUCCAUUGCCUUAUCAAGCUCUUUCAGAUGCAUUUUUGUCAGCAUUUUCAAACCCACCACCAUUUUGUCGCAUGUUCGAACACAGAGAGUCUGUGGAGGUUCAAUGUUCAAGUGUCUGAAGAUCUUGGUCACAAGACCUAAGUAAGGCAACUGGCCCUUGUCCUUCACCAUCGCUCUGUACAUGUGGAAGAGAAUGGUGUGAGGGAGAGAGAACUUCUUCCCUGAAUUGAUCGCGUACAUCAAUUUCGCCUCAGAGUUAGACACGUCUGUCUUGGAUGUUGAUUUUGGCCUGAGACAGUUGAUCACGAUUUUGUGCAGUAAGAUGUUGAUGGCAUGCAUUCUUGUGUAGGUAAUUCUCCCUUCUGUACUCCUGUCUUUGACGAGUUCCAGUGUGGUACGAGCGAUUGAAACCUUGAUCGGUUGAUAUCGUCCUCUUUCAACUCCAAUUAUGUCUGCCAACAUGUCCACAUCUACCACAUAGUCUUGGUCUCGAACAUUGAAGGAUAUUCUAUUCGCAUCUGAAAAGCUGAGAUUUGAAUAGAGAUAUGAUGUCAAUUGUGCAUAGCCGUCUGUGGUGUCAGAGCAAAAUUGCUCUAGUUGAAGCAGAUUGAACUUCUCCUUCAAGUUUACAUUGAUGGCAUCCAUAAAGUCAAAAUCAACGCUCCUAGAGUUUAUCACCCCACGUUUCAACAAUUUGAAAAAUAGAUCCUCCUGUUCCUUCGAUUUGAACAACUCCGUUCUUUUUCCCCUCACCUUCGCAGCAACACCCAUCCUAGGUUGGAAUUCACUAAACAGUUUAUCAUCGUCAUUCCCAUCAGUCGGAUUCAAUCCCCCCACACGAGGGUCACUUGGAAUGUUCGCAAGUGCUUCCUCAGCCUUUCCUUUGGGAGCAAUUCCCAAAUCCUCCAUCCGUCGCAAAAAGACAUACUCAUUUCCAUAUCCUUUGCCUUUAAGGAAAUCAUCUACAUAGUUCAGCGGUGUACCUGUGCUUUUCAAAGCACGAUAGAGCUUGUAAAUAAAAGAGGGUUUUUAGACUCUUACAGGAUAUGCUUCCUCGAUUAUUUCUUCCUGCAGUUGUUGUCCCACACCCUGUGGGGUAGAUGAUGGAGAUUGACGUGGUUAAGAGUGAAUAGGGCUCUGUCGCUGUCUCGGUAACUCUUCCUCCUUGGUGAGAUCGAAAUGGGUAGGACCCUCCCUCAUUCUCUGUGGUCCCCUGCUCGCGAUUCUUGAAGACUUUCUCGAAGAGGACAUCGUUUCUUGUCGUUGAAAGAUUCCUUGACUCGCUUUCCCAAGAAAAGAUGACAACUUUCUCGAAGAUGAACACGAAGUCGAGACAGGAUUGGGAGGAGAAUGCUUCUUUUUUUUUUUUUAGGGUUUUGGAGUUAAGCGAAGAAAACAAUUGACUGUAUAUAUAUAACCCAGUUAAAAAAGGAAAAAGCCAAUCGACAUAAAGGAAAGUGAACAGUCGUCCCUUUUUAAAAACGAUAACCUUUUUAAAUAGAGGUUAUCUUUUUGAAAAGGCAAGAUUCCGUUUUUCUUGGAAAUUAAAGAUAAUAUAAAUCAAAUAUAACUGAACGAAUGAUUGUACCUUUUCGAGAUUGAAUAUUAAAACAACUUACAGUCUAUAGCCGUGAAUGUCUGAGUCUGAGAGUCUGAGAGUCUUUAGACUUUGAUUUCCUCAAGCUUCAAAAUGUUGAGUCUGGAAUGGAUGAUAUCGAAUUGAUUCUUCUCCAAAGGCUUUGUGAAUAUAUCAGCUAGUUGGCUCUUUGACUGAACAAAUUGAAUCGAGAUUUCUCCAUUUUGAACAUGAUCUCUAAUGAAAUGAUGUCGAAUCUCUAUAUGCUUUGCCCUUGAGUGAAGGAUUCGAUUUUUAGUAAGAUUGAUUGCGCUGGUGUUGUCACAUCUAAUCUCAGUACAUGAGUCUUCAAUUCCAAAGUCUUGUAGCUGUUGUUUUAUCCACAGAAUUUGCGAACAACAACUUCCAAGAGCUACAUACUCUGCUUCUGUUGUAGAUAGAGCCACAGUGUUUUGUUUCCUUGAAAACCAAGACACUGUCCUGUUCCUAAGCGAUUGGCAAGUUCCCGAGGUGCUCUUUCUAUCAACUUUGCAACCGGCUAGAUCUGCGUCUGAAUAUCCAAGAAGAUUAAAGUCUCCCUUCUUAGGAUACCAAAGACCGAUGCUUGAAGAUGAAGCAACGUAUUUAAUAAUACGUUUCGCAGCACUGAGAUGAGAUUCUCUAGGGUCUGAUUGAAACCUAGCACAUAUGCAAACACUCAACAAAAUGUCAGGUCUAGAGGCAGUAAGAUAAAGAAGUGAAUCGAUGAUACUCCUGUACAGCUUUUGAUCAACUUUCUUCCCUUCUUCAUCUUUGUCUAUCUUCAAAGAACUUGACAUCGGUAUGUCGGUCUUUUUGCACUUUUCCAGUCCAAACCUUUUGACAAGAUCAUUAGCAUAUUUUUCUUGAUGAAUAAAAGUUCCUUCCUUCAAUUGUUUUACUUGAAGUCCAAGAAAGAAGGUUAACUCUCCCAUCAUACUCAUUUCAAACUCAUCCUGCAUAGACUUAGAGAAUUUCUUGCACAGACUUUCAUUAGAGGAUCCAAAAAUAAUAUCAUCCACAUAUAUUUGAACAAGUAAAAAGCUUUUGUUUUCCUUUUUGAUAAAUAGAGUAGUAUCUACUUUACCUUUGACAAAACCAUUAUGUAUUAAAAACUUACUUAGUCUGUCGUACCAAGCUCAAGGUGCUUGCUUUAAACCAUACAAGGCCUUUUUCAGUCUGAAGACUAAGUCUGGCUUCUUUAGGUCUUCAAACCCUGGUGGUUGUUCCACAUAAACUUCCUCAUGGAUAAAUCCAUUUAGGAAGGCACUUUUGACGUCCAUUUGGAAUAACUUGAAAUUUUUAUAACAAGCAAAAGCAAGCAAUAAUCGAAUAGCUUCUAACCUUGCUACUGGUGCGUUUGUCUCAUCAUAGUCUAUCCCUUCUUCUUGCGUAUAUCCCUUGGCUACGAGUCUUGCUUUGUUUCUUACGACUUUUCCUUUCUUAUUCAUCUUGUUCCUAAACACCUAUUUAGCUCCAAUAACAGUUUUACAUUUUGGUUUAGAUGUCAAUUCCCAGACAUCAUUAAUGUUGAACUGUCUAAGCUCUUCUUGCAUAGCUUCAAUCCAGCUUUCAUCAGAUAAAGCUUCUUCUAUGCUUUUUGGUUCAAUUUCAGAGAUGAGAGCCACAUCACUAGACUCUUCACGCCCUUUGGAUCUGGUGCGAAUUCCUUCAUUAAUUUCGCCAAUAAUGAGAUCUUUGGGAUGACUGGACUUAUGCUUCCAGUUACUGGUUGAUUUGUCUGAUUGAUGAUCUCUUUCUUUACUUGAAUCUUCACGAACAACUUGAUGCUAGUCUUCCAGAGUCUGAGAUGCUUCUUGAGUUGUAAGCUUUGAAGAGUCUGGAGCAGGUUCAGACUCUUCAUGUUGAGUCUGAUUGGAUUCAUUUUGCAUUGAAUCUUGAAAUUUGACAUUCAUCGAUUCCUCCACUGAUUGACUCUUCUUGUUAUAGACUCUGUAGGCUUUGCUUGAUGUAGAAUAUCCAAAGAAGAUGCAUUCAUNNNNNNNNNNNNNNNNNNNNNNNNNNNNNNNNNNNNNNNNNNNNNNNNNNNNNNNNNNNNNNNNNNNNNNNNNNNNNNNNNNNNNNNNNNNNNNNNNNNNNNNNNNNNNNNNNNNNNNNNNNNNNNNNNNNNNNNNNNNNNNNNNNNNNNNNNNNNNNNNNNNNNNNNNNNNNNNNNNNNNNNNNNNNNNNNNNNNNNNNNNNNNNNNNNNNNNNNNNNNNNNNNNNNNNNNNNNNNNNNNNNNNNNNNNNNNNNNNNNNNNNNNNNNNNNNNNNNNNNNNNNNNNNNNNNNNNNNNNNNNNNNNNNNNNNNNNNNNNNNNNNNNNNNNNNNNNNNNNNNNNNNNNNNNNNNNNNNNNNNNNNNNNNNNNNNNNNNNNNNNNNNNNNNNNNNNNNNNNNNNNNNNNNNNNNNNNNNNNNNNNNNNNNNNNNNNNNNNNNNNNNNNNNNNNNNNNNNNNNNNNNNNNNNNNNNNNNNNNNNNNNNNNNNNNNNNNNNNNNNNNNNNNNNNNNNNNNNNNNNNNNNNNNNNNNNNNNNNNNNNNNNNNNNNNNNNNNNNNNNNNNNNNNNNNNNNNNNNNNNNNNNNNNNNNNNNNNNNNNNNNNNNNNNNNNNNNNNNNNNNNNNNNNNNNNNNNNNNNNNNNNNNNNNNNNNNNNNNNNNNNNNNNNNNNNNNNNNNNNNNNNNNNNNNNNNNNNNNNNNNNNNNNNNNNNNNNNNNNNNNNNNNNNNNNNNNNNNNNNNNNNNNNNNNNNNNNNNNNNNNNNNNNNNNNNNNNNNNNNNNNNNNNNNNNNNNNNNNNNNNNNNNNNCACAUCCAAGAGAUAGAUAUUUCCAUGCCUUCGACCCAUGAAAGACUUAGUAGAGUCUUUACUGGUUCUAGAACAUAUUCCUUCUUGAAAGAAGAUCUUAAAACCAGUAUCACAUAGUUGGCUGAUGCUGAGAAGAUUGUAAUUGAGUCCUUCUACUAGGGAAACAUUACUUAUUGUGAGAUUUCCAAUUUUCACAGUUCCAAAUCCCACAAUUCUUCCUUUGUUGUUUCCUCCAAAUGAGACUUUUCUACCAUUUACUUAAAUGAGCUUUAUAAAGUAAUUUGAGUCUCCCGUCAUAUGUCUUGAGCAUCCACUGUCCAAAUACCAAUUUACCUUUUUCUUGAUGGAGACCUGCAUUUAAAAGAGAUUCUCAAGCUUUCUUUGGUACCCAUAUUUUCUUGGGUCCAUUAGUGUUAGUAAGAUAAACAAUAUUAGCCCAUGUUUUCUUAACAGGUUUCCAAACCAUAGGACACUUUUUCAAAGUGAUCCGGGCUAUUGCACUUUGAACACCUGAGGGCAUUUCGACCUACAGACUUUACAAAAACCUUCUUGAAAUGAUUUUUGUAGGCCUCUCUUGAGGGUCUUUGCUUAAUUCUUUCUUUUACUUUAGGAAAAUCAAUCAAGGGAAUAGUUUCCGCUGUCAUACCUAAACCAGACUUAUUGAAAUAAGGUCUUUGAGCUGAAAGAAUUUUUUCAAGUUUCUCGGACCCUAUUGAAAAUUUCUUUGAAAUAUUUGAUGAGUCAAUUUUUAAAAGAGCAUUUUCUUUCAAAAGAUUUUCUUCACUUUCUUUAAGAGUAGAAACAUUCAUGUCUAAACAUUUAAUUCUUUCUUUCAAAACGUUUUCCUGUUGUUUUAGAACAGAGUUUUCCUUUUUAAGUUCGGAAAUCCUUUUAAGAGAAGUCUUAAAACUAAAACACAGCUCAUCAAUAUACUUAGAAACCUUGACAGGAAUUUUAAAACUACUUACCUCAAAUUCACUGUCUGAGUCUGAUCCAGAGUUUGAGUCUGAGUUUGAUUGCACCAUCAGACACAAAUUGGCAUAUUCAUCAUCACUUUCUUCAUACUCUGUAUCACUCCAGGUUUCGACUUUGAGAGCCUUUCGAGACUUUUCAGCUUUUCCUUUCUUCUUCUUUAGAAGAGGACAGUUGGGUCUGAUGUGUCCUUUUUUUCUUACAUUCAAAGCAAACUACAUCUUUGUUUAAUUCAUCAUCAUCAACAGACUUGGUCUGUUGUCUUUGAAAGCUUUGUUUCUUUGAGUUGAAUCUUCUUCCUUUUCUAUUCAGCUUUCUGAAUCUUCUUAUCAUGAGAGCAAGCUCCUCAUCGUCCAUAUCAUCUUCAGAAUCUGUAACAUCAUAAUCAUCAUUUGAUUUUAAUGCAAUGGAUUUCUUACCUUUUGGAUCUUCGUCUUCGUUAAUUUGUUCCACUUCAUAAGACUGAAGAAUUCCAACCAGCUCGUCGACAGAUAGUGGCAUGAUUCUUUGCGUCUCUCUUAUUGAAGUCUUUAUGUGAUUCCAAUCCUUGGAGAGUCCACGCAGUAGCUUGUUUACCUUCAUGGGAUCAGAAAUUGGUUGUCCUUGAUUUUCAAGACGAUUUACAAUUUCUGUAAAACGGCUAAACAUGUCAGUUAUAGAUUCUCCAUGUCUCAUUUUGAAGGCUUCAUAUUGACCGAGAAGGAUGUUGAUUAUGGUCUCUUUCACUCGAUCAGUUCCUUCAUAGGUGAUAUGUAACCUAUCCCAGACUUCUUUUGCUGUAACACAAGGAGAUAUUAUGUUAUAUUCAGUAGGUGACAAGACACAAUAGAAAAAAUAUAUAGCUUUUGCAUCAAGAGUUUGUCUCUUGAUUAUCUCUUCCUGAGACAUUCCGCUGGUCUCAACAGUUUCUUUCCCUAUUUCUAAGACAGAUGCAACUUUAGGAGUGAUUCCUUUUUCUACAACGUCCCAUUCCAGAGGAUCCUUUGAUCGAAGAAAUGCUUUCAUUUUUUUUUUUCCAGAUGUUGCAGUCCUUUCCAUCAAAAUAAGGAGGUCUGGUAUUGCUUUGCCCUUCCACCAGCCUUGAAGCUAGCAUACUAGCCAUGGAUCUUUUACUCUAAAGUAAAACACUUCAAAUAAAGUGAGUACACGAGCUCUGAUACCAAUUGAUAUGGCUAGUAUAAGUACCUAGAGGGGGGUGAAUAGGUAUAAAGUGUAAUUUCUUAUGAUAAUCGCACAAUACUAGACAGUUGAUAGAAAUGAGACAAUUUUUCUCGUCAAUAAACAAACAACAAUCAAAAUAAGACUGAGAGUAGGGAAGAGAAAAUUGAACACAAGGUUUAUAGUGGUUCGGCUUAUUUCAAGCCUACGUCCACUCUUCUGCACUGACAGCUCACUGGCUAGAUUCCACUAUGAACAAAGAGAUAUUACAGUACUGUUCUUCCUUGAUUUCUCGGUGUAGAAGAUCUACCACACUCCCUCAAGGUAUCACUAAGUAUAGACUCUCUUUACGUGUACAGUUUCGCUCAAUAUGAAUCGACUAAUAAUCAAAGAGCUUCAGACUCUGGAAUUUCUCUAUCGAGCACACACUAGAACAACUGGAACGUCUUCCUUUUAUACUCCUUUAUGCCAUCAUACCCGUUGGCACUUACCAAAGGAAUUCUUUCAAUCUUCCCGUUGGACAGAAUCAAUUAAGAAGAUCAUUCGAGCUAUUAAAGGAACAUGUCGAUAGCCCAUCAAUCAUGUUCGCCCAUACAAUCAGGAUCUUGGUUUCCAAGAAUGGAACCUUCCAAGAAUAUUUCGUCAAUCAUCGGAUCUUCAAACGAUCUUGAUUUCGAAUAAAUAAUCCGUUAUAUCAAAUCCAGCCAAGAGAUCUUCUCCAGUCGAUAAGACCAAAUCCUUAACCAAACACUUUAGCUUUGGAUCGCCUUCGUCGCUAGAUUAGAAACUGUCAAUGAGAAUAGUCUUGAGUCUUGAGUCUUGUGUGCUGAGUCUGGUGAUCUGAACGUCUUUAGACUCUAAGUACAAGGGUCUGCACAGCUUUCAGACUAGACUGAUAUAAAUGUUUUAUUAGCUUCAAAACACUCUAGAGAGAUUUCUCCAACACUACCAGCCCUAAGAAAGAAUGGAAUAGGUCCCUUGAUCAUAAAGUCAUAAAUUUAUGGCAUUAAUAUCAAUUCAGUUAUAAAUCUUUUAAUUAGACCAAUUUAAUCUUAAACGUUUUCACAUUAAUGUUAAUUUAGUCCAUCCGAUCAAUUUUACCCUUGCGAUGCUGAUGUGUGGCCGAUGAACGCUAACAUGGCAAUUGCCCCACUAGCUCGAAGGAACUCCUUUGUUUCGGAUUUCAAUUGCAGCCGCUACUUCCUUUCAAUUUAGCCAAAUUUUGACCUUUUGUUUAGUCCGAUUUCAUGGCCAAUGUAAGGUCAAGGUGACGAGACUUAGUGGGGCACAGUGGUGCCAGGAGUUCCUUCGAGCUUUGAGGGCCUUAAGAGUUCCGUCGCUCCAAAUCUUCUGUUGUGGGGCCUGAGGUAUUAAAAAUUACCUUGUCUCUAAUCACUAGAUGCAAUGAAAUGAAUGCAAAAUCUGGUGGGGUCGGUGGUUUUUGAGGGAUCGAAUUUCACCGUUAUCGGUUAAUUUGAUUCCUAUUUUUUUUUUAUAUAAUAUUCAUGAUCAAUAAUUUUUUUUUUUACUAUGAUGCUUCUAGUUUUCGAAUGCAGAGAAAUGAAAUACGGUCCAAGAUGCUGCAAAAUCAAUCAAUUUUUGGUUAGGGGUUGAAUUCUAGACUUACCAGCGAACUUGGUCCCUAAUUUUAUUUUUUUUAAAGAAUUGCAAUAACGAUCUAUCCAUGAAAACUUAGAUGUCAAGGACUUUAUAAAACUUUGUCAUUAAAAAAAAUCCAAAUUUAUGAUGUUUAGUCGUUAGUCAUUACAGAUCAUCGUCAACCUUCAUAAAACAUUGUUUUAUAUACAUAUCGCAUUCCAAAAUUAGUGUUCUAAUAAUAAAACACCAAACUAUUGUUAAAUAAUGUACUGAUUUAGCAAUUGACCUCAAACCCGUCUCACUACCCAGCACCAAAAACUCGUUUACCUAACAUUAGAGUGAUCGGAUCCCUGAUUAUGUACAUGCCCGCUUGCUUCCCUAGGGACAUUCUUGACCAUCGACUAAGGACCUUCACUAAACAUGGAUCUCAAAGGGGGAAAAUUAAUGCUAAUUUUUAGAACAACCUGUUUCAGUAAAUUACAUACUUAUUAUACUUCAAGCUAAAAUAGAAUCAAGAAAUUCCAAGUUCGAUUUAUGAUACUCCAUUCAAUCCCUGAUAGAUUUCCGCCACACGUUUCAGAUAUAAAUAAUGACACAUGUUGUUCUCCAACCAUUUAAACUUCAAUAUAUAGUGUUCUGCGCUAAAUUUCAAGUAUAACCCAACAUGUGUCAACUUAUCGGAAAACGACGUGCUCCUUUUGUCAAUCUAAACAUGUAGGAGAGGAAUGGUGCGAUCAUGAUAUCUCCUCGUAUUUUCGGCAAUUCUCAAAUAGAAAAACUCUAACAUCCAAAUCUUAUUUAUUCAUGAAGUUUUGUACAAACACUAAGACUCUGUUCAUUUUACCGAAAAACAACUUCCACGAAAACCUUUCCCGGAUAAUUCAACGUUCGGUUCAUGAGAAAUAAAUUAGUUAAGACAUUAAUGGAAGAAACAACUUUAAAAAUGGGGAAAAUAUUUUUCGCUUUUCAAAAAGUGGAAGACAUUUUCCAUCUCCUUUCUUUCACCUCUACACCAAAGCACUUUUUUUUACCAAAUAUCUUUUCGUUUGUUUUUUUUUGAAAAAGUUGAUUUUUUAAUUAUUAUUAAUUUUUAUUUUAAAUUUUUUUUCUUUUCUUUUUUUCUUCUUCUUUAGCCAAUCAAGGGCCACAGCGUGAGUCUGCAAUUGGCUAUAGGAGAGCUCAAACCUCGUUAGAUUCCAAUGAGGUCAAGCCUUGCUAAAUCUGAGGAGGCCCAAGCUUGCUCAAGGCCACCAAGUGAGCUCGGGUCUUACCAAAUCCAGCAAGUUGGGAGGGACUCAAGCCUCACUUAAGAUCGCUAGAGGUUGAUGAGGCUCUGAUCACCUUAGGUGAGGCUUGAGGUUGCCUGUGACCAGUCGCCGACUAUCAACGUGGUUGGUGAUCGGUUGAGAAAGAAAAAAAAAAGAGAAAAGAGAAAAAGGAAAGAAUGAAAAGAAAAAUAAUAAAAAAAUUAAAUUCUUUUGGUAAUUUUCCUCAAAAAAUCAAAUCAUUUAUCAAAUCAUAUAUUAAAUGGUGGAAAAUAUUUUCUAAUUUAUUUUUAAAUUUGAGCUAAAUAUCAAAAAAUAUUAUCACUUUUUUGGAAAAUAACUUUUUUUAGAAGUACUUUUUUAAAAACGUGACAUCUUCCGCGAAAUUGACGGGUACUAAUCAUUGUGUGAUUUCGUAGAGUCUAUCAUGGGCGCGCAGAUGUCAAAAUGAAUCGACAUAAAGAGGACCGUACUGAAGAAACUCCGGAACGAAAUCCUGAUCCACACGUUGAAAUUGUCCUCCUCGCCAAGCUUACUGCAUAAGCCUUCUCUCUCUUGGGCGUGUGGCUUCCUUUGGAAGCUGAGGACCGACUUUCCUGUCCACACGCAGUACGUCGGCCGAUCCAAGGGCUCUGCGAUUCAGACAGCCAGUAUACUCCUCAUUUCCCGCCCUCUGCAACUGCUUCCUCGGAAGUGACAAGCACAUAACUCACAAUUCUUUGUCUCGGUCGGGCGAGUUCUCUUCCUUUACAGAGAAGAAGACGCGUUGCAUACGUUCUCAAAACUUGAUUACCAUAUGAUUUCCCCCUUUGAAGUAAUUAUUUUAGAUUGAGCUUCAUGAGAGUAAUUUAUCAGAUUUUUUGUGGUGGGAGAACGACCAAGCCAGGGUUUAAUUUUUCAAUUGAGCAUAUGAACGUAAGAAAAGGCAAACAGUACAUAAAAAGUCCUAAAUAAAUAUUAAUUCAAUUUUAAACAUUUUAAUUAGAUCAAUUUUUAUACAAAUUCAGCUCUUUCGGCCAAUUUUGACUAGCCUAUGCUGAAGUGGAUGUUAGCCGGUGUCAACCGUCUGGUUAACGUUGAUGUAAUAAUUUUUUAAUAAUUUUUAUUUUUUCGAAUUUUUGUAUUAUUUUUUUUUCUUUUUUCUCUUCUUCAUCCUUACGUUUCUUCUCCCUAUAGUGGUUGGCUAGGCUCCGAUGAGCCUCGCCAGCCACUGGGUGAUGGUUGCGAAGCCUUCACCCACCAUUAGGCGAUGGCAGCAAAGCCCUCUCGGGUUGCCUCAUUCGCGGCCUUGGGCAAUGUUGGAUGAGGUUCGCAACCCUCAUUGACGGCAGGUGAGGGCUUUGCAACCCUCACCUAGUGGCCGAUGAGCCUUGCCAGAGCCUUGCCAACCACCGCAGGGAGAAGGAACCUGAAGAGGAAGAAGAGAAAAAGAAAAAGAAAAAGAAAAAGAAAUUUAAAAUUUGCCUUGUAUGGCUAGCAUUGGUUGGCAUCUACAUUAGUGCCAGCCAGCCAAAAUUAGCCGGAAAAAUUGAAUUGGUACUAAAGUAAAGAAACUUAUAACUAAAUUGAUUAAAUCGAAAUAUUUAUGACUAAAUUGGUACCAAUGUCAUAAAUUUUAAAUUUUUUUGGUACUUUUCUCCCUUGACCAUAAUUGACUUGGGGAUUGGGAAUAGAUGCCCCUUAUUUCUUUUUCUUUUUCUCUUCUUCCUCCUUGGUGGAAAAUAUUUUCUAAUUUAUUUUCAAAUUUGAGCUGAAUAUCAGAAAACAUUAUCAUUUUUUUUAAAUAACUCUUAAAAAAUAUUUUUGAAAAACGUAGUAUCUUCCGGGAAAUUGACGGAGUCUGGCCGUUGUAUGAUUUCACUGAGUCAUGUGCGCGCAGAAGUCAAAAUGAAUCGACAUAAAGGGGACCGUACUGAAGAAACUUGGGAACGAAACGCUGAUCCACACGUUGAAGUUGUCGUCCUCACCAAGCUUACUGCAUAAGCCUUCUCUCUCCUGGGCGUGUGGCUUCCUUUGGAAGCUGAGGACCGACUUUCCCGUCCACACGCAGUACGUCGGCGGAUCCAAGGGCCCUGCGAUUCAGACAGCCAGUAUCCUCCUCAUUUCUCGCUCUCUGCAACUGCUUCCUUGGAAGCGACAAGCACAUAACUCACAAUUCUUUGUCUCGGGUGGGCCAGUUCUCCUCCUUUACAGAGAAGAAGACGCGUUGUUUGUACGUUCUCAAAACUUGAUUGCCAUGUGAUUUCACCCUCGCCUAAGUCUGGCUUCCCUCCGCCGGCCAUGGCGGAGGGAAGAGAGAAGGGAAAAAAAAAAGGAAGAAAAGAAAGAAAGGAGAAAAAAAGAAAAGACAAAAAUGUCAUUGAUGUGGUAAAUGGGUUACGGUUAGCAAAGUUUGAGAUUUUUCAUAUCACAAAAAAAAAAGUUUAGAGUAAAUUUGUCAUUUUUAGCAAAGUUUGAGAUUUUUAGUGAUCUUUUCCUUCAAAUAAAUAUCAGAACCCUCGCAUAUCACAUCAUGAUUAAAGAAAUUAAAAUUAAAGUACUUUUGCUUUGCUUUUCCAUUUCAAGAUUGAAAAGAUGCCAAAACCCAUAUCAUUCGACCGGGGGGGAAAAUUUGUUGGAUGACUUUCCCAUUCAAAAAGAUAUUUUGUGAAAAAUCUUUCCCUUUUGGGAGAAAAAGAAUAUUAAUAUACUGAAAAUGUUAAUUGAUUUGUGAUAAUGAUUUAACCUUCGUGUUCAUAUUUACAGAGUAAAUAUCAUUAAAUCAUUAAAUCAUUAAAUGAGGGUUUUAUUCAUUUUUCUAGAGGUCAUCCGGAGGAGGGUCAUUGUUAAUAUGAGGCACCAACUUGUCCUUUAUAUGUACCCUUCGGUUUUGUUAAUUAUUUUGUGUUAUCCCCACUUUCUUCUUUGUUAUUACCUUAAAUAUUACUUUUUCUUCCCUAAACUUUUUAGGAUGUUUCUUAAUCGACAAUGCUAUGUUAUAUAUAAAUUUAUGUGCUAUGCUACUUGGUAAACUAUAAAUGGACAAUAAGCCAUAUUCAAUAAUUCAUAACAAUAUGCCACAUAACUUAUUAUACCAAAUGUAUAAAACAGUUUUAAUGUUCUCUUUCUUGUUUCUGUGGUAGAAGUGAAAACAAGCCAAACGUUGGAAAUAUGAAUAACACUACAGGUAUUAAGACUUUACUCGCGUUUCCUACAGUAAAUAGCGAGCUAUGUGGCGUGCGCCAUGUAAUCAAUUAUGUGUACAAUCAACAUAUGAAUAAUCUUUGUAAAAAGGAAAAAACAUAAUUGGGGCAAGAUCAUUUAAAAGAAAUUUAGUUUUUCAUUUCGCCAUCAUCUCUUCUCAAAAUUACACAAAAAUCUUCUCGAGCAUUAUUUCCAACUGCCAUUAAAGUUUGUCUGACCAACGUUGAAACUAUUCGAAUGGUUUUUAAAUUGUUAUACCGAAAUGCAUUGUAAUUAUACCUUUUUCACGUUGAUCUUUACUAUGUCACCAUAUUUAUAUAAUUUUUAUUAACUUCGCCUUCACUAGAGUUAACGUUCACGCUGAACUUAAACCCAAGAAGAUAGAGAUUUAUCAUGUGACCCCAAAGACAUAUCAAAAUAGUUUAUUAUAAAUAAUAUAGUAUGAAAUUGAAAAUCUUGAAUCAUUUAGCAGUUGUCUGGAGAUGGUCUUCAAAGCGAAAUUUUGUUUGAUCAUCCUUAUAAAGUUCAAAUUUCUUCAUUACCUUUAUUUAUCUUUUCCUUUUCCACAAUCACUUCCGCAUUAUUCUUAUCUUAAGUGACGUCCGCCUCAUCAUAAUAUCUCUCAUUUUCGUCAUGCAAGAUUAAGUCACGCAUAGGUGAACCAAAUUGACAGAAAGAAAUAUGAUAUUUUAGGUCUGAUCAAUACUUAUGUUUUUGAAAAGCUCUAAUUCGUAUUAAUGGGUGGAUACGUAUUAAGUGCGACCUUUUAAAACUAGGUUAUAUUAUCACGAAAAGUGAUUUUUCGCAGACUUUGUGAAGAUUAUUUUGAACAACUGAUCUUUAACCAAAAUUGGAGAGUUGAUUAUGAAACGCAAUAAUAGAGGUUGAAAUAGCGUGGUGGUUGGGCAUAAUUUGAGGGUGGACAUAUUGAUAACACAUUUGAUGGAAUAUUCGGUCUUCGUCUCCAUGGACUUGUCAAUCCUCACGUAAUUGACGGGGUAUCAAUUGACUAGAUAAGUCCAUCAUUAUUUGGGAAAUAGCGUGGUGGUUGGGGAUAAUUUGAGGGUGGACAUAUUGAUAACACAUUGUAUGGAAUGUUCGGUCUUCGUCUCCAUGAACUUGUCAAUCCUCACGUAAUUGACGAGGUAUCAAUUGAUUAGAUAUGUCCAUCAUUAUUUGGGAAAUAGCGUGGUGGUUGGGGAUAAUUUGAGGGUGGACAUAUUGAUAACACAUUUGAUGGAAUAUUUGGUCUUUGUCUCCAUGGACUUGUCAAUCCUCAUGUAAUUGAUGAGGUAUCAAUUGACUAGAUAAGUCCAUCAUUAUCAAAAACAUCUUAUAUCUAUUGUAAUUGUGCCAAUUUAAUCAUAAACCUUUCUUCUUCUUCUUUUUUACAAUUCAGUCAUAAUUUUUUUUUUUUGCAUUUGUACUAGUUUAGUGCGUUCGGCCAAUUUUGGCCCGUCAGCAUUGACGUAAACGCCGAUUGGCACAAAUUGUCUGGCCAACGCUAAUGUGACAAUUUUUAAAUAAUAUUUUAUUUCUCUUGGAAUUUUUUUUAAAAAUUUUUUUCAUUUUGUUCCUACUCUUCUUUGUCUUUUUCCCAUAAUGGCCAACGAGGGUCACGAAGCCCUUGCUAACCAUUGGGCAAGGGCAGCCUUGCCAUGGCCUCACCGACCGCAAGCGAAAAUGGUCUCACCUAUGAUUGGGGAGGCCAUGGCCACCUUCGAACAGGCUAACAAGGCUACCCUUGCCUAUGGCUCCCAGGCCUUCGUGAGGCACCUCAUGGUCCCCCCCCCCUCCCUUCCCCUCUCUAUGUGUACCAAUGGUUGUUGGUCUUGAUUGAGCUUUGCUGCCACACUUCAAUUUUGAUUUGAGGCAAUCGUGCAAAGGCUUGGAGGCCGCGGGUGAAGGUGGCCAUGGCCUUGCAGCCAUGGAGAAGGCCGCUUUUGCCCGCAAUCGGCAAGGCCAUGGUGAGGCUAGCCUCACCCAAAUCUAGGCCAAGCCGCCUCACCCGUAGUCCCCAAGCCUCGCCUAGUGGAUAGUGAGCCCCACUAGCCAUUGUAUGGAGAAGAAAGAAGAGCAUGCAGAAAAUGAAAAAAAAAAUAACCAAUUAAAAGAUUCAAAAAAAUAAAAGGUAGAAAUGUUUAGUACUCAAUCGGUAUAAUUGAAAUGUUUAGAAUUGAAUUGGUAGAAACACAAUAGAUAUAUGACUUUUUAGGUAAUUUACCCCGAUUUAAUGCAAAUUGUUAAUACAUUUGGCAUUUCUACAACCUCAAUUAGGGCACCAAAUAAUAUUUUCGGUGGUCUAAUUUUUUUAUUUGUUCAAAAGUGAUCAGGUCUAAUUAAGUGUAUCUGAUCAAGUCAAAUUCAGAUAUAUAUGUUUUCCCCUAUAUUUGAUGUUUUAUCUCAUGGAGUGUUCGCGUCAUAUGAAAUUGCAACUGCCAGCUCUAAGAAUGGGAUAGGACGAGGCCUUUUGACCAUAAUUAACGCUGGGAUUGGGACUAGGCGCCCCUUAUUCCCUCCAUCCUAUGGCUAGGGGUGAGCUCAACUAGCAAGUAAUUGCAUUAAAAGUUAAUUAAAAAAGAACGAUGCGAUGAUACAUUAGGAGAUAAUUUGAAUGGGAAAUACAAGUGUGAGGACUCAAAACAAGCUUGUGGGUUUCAUUCAAUCGACCAAUGGAAACUUCACGAAUCAUUUGAUAAAGAGGAUUUAAUGCAUAUUCCUAGUACAUUUAGCAUUUCUUUAACCUCAAUCAAGAAGGCACCAUAUAAUAUUUUCAGAAGUUAUCAUCAAAUUUUUAAUCGCAACCAAAAAUAAAUAUAUUACUCAUAGAUAUAAUAUUUUUGGAACGCGCUUUCCUACAAACAUGAGUUAAAAAAAUUGAGAUUGCAUCAAGCUUGACUACUUGAGCUUGAUGUUUCAGCUUUUGGUGCCUGACUUAUAAUUGACUUGGACUUUAAACCAAUUUCGUGUGAAAAGCCAAAAGAAACAAUCAAAAGCAAGGGAGAAAACUUUUACCAAAGACAUGACAGAUGUAAAAGGAAUAUUGUGGAACGAGAGAAAAGAGUUUCAAAUUAACUUCACCUUUUAAUGAGUCUCAUGUUCAUAUAAAUAAUCGACGGAGGCACUUUUUGUCAAGGAUAUGAAAGCUUCAUUCGUACUCGAUCCUCUCGUGAUUGAUGGUGAAUUAUAAGGCACCAAUUUGUUCAUUCUUCAGUCUUUGGUCUUCAUCUCCAUGGACUUCAUAAAAUACAAGGCACCAAUAUUGAUAUUGCUUUUUCUCCCCUCAACUUUAUAAAGGAAUGCCCUAUUGGACAAUCCUAUCUUAUAGAUUAGUAUUGAUAUACCAAACCACAUGGCAAAUCAAAAGCGAAUAAUAAGCCAUAUUCGAUAAUUAACGACAAUAUGCCAUGUCACUUAUUACAAUAAAUUUAUGAAACAUUCUUCGUGUUUUUGACAUUUCUCUUUCUUGUUUUGGUUGUAAACGUGAAAACUAGUGAGGCGUUGAUAAAUGAAUGACACUACUACAUGUACUAAGACUUUACUCUAAUGUUCUAAAUGAAAUGGUGUGUAGUGUGGUAUGCACCUAUGUCACCAAAUAAGUGUGGAAUCAGCAUUACUAUGGAGUUUGUGAAAAGGAGAAAAGAGAUAAAUUGAGCAAGAUUAAUUUAAGGAUAUUUACUUUUCUAUUCCACCAUCAUUUCUUCUCAAAAUUGCACAAAGUGCUCUCACGCAUUACUGGGAGCCUCCAUUCAAAUUUGACUAACAAUCAUUGAAGCAAUCCAAUGAUGCAUAUAGCACUUUGCCUUUACAAGAUUCAAGAAAUAACUCCCAAGGGGUGGGACUUUGUCCCAAGCGAUACUUAGUUCUAGAGCUGAGGAAAAAAAAAAAAGAUCUAAGCAAUGAGUUGGCUUAGAUCAGAUGGCCAACAUUUUCAUGUUCAAAGAGGUUCGACAUGACAUUUAGGACUCCCCCUAUUCUUCUUUGUUAUUACUCCCAACUUUUUUAUGGUGUUUCCUAUUAGACGAUGCUAUGCUAUAUAUUAAUGUUUGAAUCGAUAGCACAACGGAAGCGGAUCGUAAUUUUGUAACUAUGUCGGGAGUUAUAGAAAUCGUCAGAAAUAAAACGAGGAACAAUAAAAAAAAAAAAAAAGGACACCGGAAAUUUAUGUGAUUCGAUCUGAAUAUCGGAAUCUACGUCCACGGGGAGAGCCAGCAAAAUAAUCCACUAUAAAUCGGAGAAUUACAAGAUUACAAUCACUUAUAUACUCAAAUGUUUCCCAACCCUACUUUAUACCCGAUACACACGGUGUUUAACAACUCAGCUCAAUGGACUCGACUCUGCACAAACCUCUUUGAGCUCACGUCUCUCUCUCUCCCGAGCUCUUUAUUUUCGCUGCUUCUCGAGCUCCAGACGUCUUCUCCUUUAAUCGGUGGAAGGGAAGGAAACAAAACAAAAAUUGUACUCCACAAAUGUCAACACCGUGCCGAUCUUCAAAGCAUGCGCCACCAUGCAAUUGAUGAUAGCGUGUGUGAGCGUAUGACCAUCAUGCACUGACACAAGAAGAAUAGCUUCUGCCUUCCCUCAUUUAUCCACAACAAGACGAAAGAAGUUCACAAAAGAUGACCAAGAAGAGGGAGAGAGUUCGGCGCCUACAUGAUAGGCUUCUGAGGCAGCAAGUGCUGACCAACUUUUUCUACGAGCAUGCAUGCACAUGGCCAUGUGCAUGCAUUUAAUGACGUAGAAGAAAUUCGGACGAUCAACCCAUAAGCCUUAUUUCGUGCCGACAAAUGAGAAGAAUCCAAUGGAUUGUAGCCUUCAUUUCCAACGUGAAGCGCAGAUCGAGGGCGGGAUCCUCUCGGCUCCUAUCACACGCCAUUUCUCCUUAAAAGCUUUGCGGACGUUCUUUCUCGUUUUGGCAUGUAUAUCGUUUUGUACAUAUCGGAUAUCGUAUAUGAAUUCAAACUUGAGACAUAAUUUAACAAUUAAUAUUAGUAUACUAAACCGAAUACCAGACUCUGAGUGAACUAUAAGUCAUAUUCGACAACUAAUAACAAUAUGUCACGUCAAAUUCAUCAAACAAUCUUACCAUCUAACAUUUUUUUUUCUUAUUUUUAUUGUAAAAUUGAGAGCAAGCAAGACUUUAAAAUAAGAGUAACACUACAUAAACUGAGACUUUACUAGAGUUUGUCGGUAAAUGAAAUGGGACAGCGAUAAAUGGGGCAUGUGCGGCGUGUCGUCAAAUAAGAGUGGAAUCAGCGUUAUUUUGUAUAAUGGGGAGAAGUGAUAAAUGGGGCAAGUUCAAUUAAAGGAAAUUUUGUGGCAAAAAAAUUAAAGGAAAUUUUGUCAGCCCUCUAAUAUUCCGUGCAAUGUGUAAUAUGCUUUGUUGGCUAUACUUCUUGGCCAUACUAGUAAUGAAAAUGCCUGUAUUACCCUUAACAUCAGCAAUAUGAGGCGAGGUGACGUUUGAAUAAAAGGCAAAGUCGGAAGAAGGGAAAUAUCCCCAAACCUCUCCUCUGUUCUCCUUGUUUUCUUACAAAUCUUUCUCUUCUAGGUCUAGUGACAUUGGAAGAAUAAAAUUGCAAUUUUGAUCAUAUAAGAUGAAUUGGUUCAACAAGUCUGCUCUCUAUUUGUUAUUCAAAUCCUACGGAUGAGAAAGCUUUUCCAAGGCCAUGAAGCCUUUGAUUGAAGGCUAAUGAUAUUUUGGAGACCACCAAGCAGUUUCAUUUAAGGACUAAACGAGGAAAGGGCAUGCAUGCUAGGAUAACAUACAUGUCCCAAAUUUCAUUAGUCUUCCUCUUUUUUUUUUUUUUUUUAACUGUUAUAUGCAUUGUUAGCAUAUUCCAUUUCACUUUUUUUUUUUAUUUUUCCAAUGGGGUAAUUGUCGUCAAUUACAUGCCAUUUAUGUUGAAAUAAGUUACAUGGCACUAUCCUAUUCCUCUUCCCAAUCCCCAAUCGCUAUUAAAUUGAUGGGAAAUAUGACGCACCAGUUAAUAAAUUAUAGCUUGAGUUUGAACUAGGUAUGAGACCCAACUCAUUUAAAGGAUUCUGAUUUGUUCAAAAUAUGGUGUUCCUUUUUAAUCAGUAUCAUAUUUUGAUUUGUUGGGCGGUGCUACUUAACUAUUAAAUGUAUUGAAGGUUUGGUUCUGUUGAAGAUAAAUAUCCAAGUUUAACCGAGGGAGCAAACAUUAGUCGGACUCCAUCAACGCGUCCAGUUUUAGGCCUUUUCUAAUAUCCUGAAGAAGACGUACUGCUGAAGUCUCUAUUUUAUAUCCCCGCACGAGAGGACUCUCUCUUUAGCGAAGAAAAAAAGGGGACGCACCAGUAACGCUUUCUUUGAUCGCACGGAGUUUUACAAUCGGUGGAUUUUGUGACGUGAGUCGAUGAGUUUAGAUUUAAUCGAGGCAUGGAAGACACUCGAACUUGCGAGUAAUUGUUGAUAUUGCUAGUAUAAACACCUAGAGGGGGGGUGAAUAGGCGCACAAACAAUUUUUGCCAAAUACGGAAGCAAUUCUUAACAAAAUGAAAUACGAUCGAGGUAGAGAAAGAGAAAUUGGAACACAGGAUUUAUAGUGGUUCGGCUUAUUCCAAACCUACGUCCACUCUUCCGCACUGACAGCCCACCGGCUGGAUUUCACUAUGAUCAAAAGAGAAGUUACAGCACAGCUUUGCCUUGAUUCCACAGUGUAGAUGUUCUACCACACCUUCUCAAGGUCUCUCACAAAUAUAGACUCUCUUUUGUAUACAAGUAUUCGCUCAAAGGAAUUAUCUAAACAAAUAGGAGCUUCAGACUUUGGAAUUCUUCUAUCGCGCACACCUCGAACAACUAAGAACGUCUUCCUUAUAUACUCCUUUAUGCCAUCAUACUCGUUGGCACUUACCAAAGGAAUUCCUCCAAUCUACCCGUUGGACGGAAUCAAUUAGGAAGAUUGUUCGAGCUAUUAAAGGAACGUGUUGAUAGCCCAUCAAUCCUGUUCGCCCAUACAAUCAGGAUCUCGGUUUCCAUAAGUAGAACCUUCCAAUAAUAUUUAGACAAUCAUCGAAUCUUCAGUCUUUGAAUCAAACUUGAUCAAUCAAAGGAUUCUGAUACGUCUUCUCCAGCCACGAGAUCUUCUCCAGAUGAUAAGGUCAAAUCCUGAACAAAACAUCCAGUUCUGGAUAACCUUUCUUCAACGGAUUAGAGACUGUCAAUGAGGAUAGACUUUGAAUCUUGAGUCUGGCUGUCCGGAAGUCUUCAGACUUUAACUAACAGAGUCUGCAGACCUUCAGACUAGACUGAUGGAAACGUUUUGUCAACUUCAAAACACUUCACGAGGAUUUCUCCAACAAUCUCCCCCUUUUUGAUGGUGACAAAACCUUCCUGCAGAUUUGGAUAAUUUUGUCCUGCAAAACAUUUCUCAAACACAUAUGCAUAUCUUAUAGAGAUGAAUGACUAAAAGAUUAACACUAGAAUCUGCACCCACAGAAAAUAGGUUAGUCUAUAUAAUAAAACCAUCCAUAAGAUAUCAAUACUUGUUAAUAGAAGCAGUCAAGUCCAAGUCUAGUUCAGUUCACAUCUAGACACAAAACAAAGUCAAAGUCUAUCAAAAACAGACAGUUAAACACAAUCCAACAAACAGUUAAAAAAAUGAUUGAAAGUUUUUUUUGAUCAAAUCAUGCAUCUCUCCCCCUUUUUGUCAUCAUUAAAAAGGAUGAGAUGAAGUCAAGAUUGCUUGGGAACGCGGACAAGCUGGAAAUCUUCCAUAGACUGAACGAUGCCUUCCAGCCUUUUGAAGUCUUCCUUUAGCUGUACAACCUCCUCACUCUUGGCAUUGGCCUGAUUCUGAAUAGAGAGGGCUUGCAUCUUAUCAUUCAAUGAACAGGAAGAAGCUUGACUUUUAUUCUUCAAACUUUGAACUUCGCAUCCCAAUGCAUAAAUUUGACCUCGCAUUUCCAAGAGAAUAUCCAUGAUUCUGCGAAAAUCUGCUCCAUUAUCAGUCUGAGUACUUGCUUCGGCUCGAUCUGGAGUAAAAGCAGACGAUGGUGGAUCAGCAUAAUCUCGCAGUUUUGGCGAUGAAGCUUCAUGACCUUCCUCUGGAAAUUGAGAUGCAUAAACAUCUUCUGGGUCUGCAGGUGAGCGACUGACUCCUUCACUUGCAUCAGGAAAUGAAGAUGUCACUCCUUUCUCCUGAUCUCCCCCUGUUUCCAUGCCUACAGGUGGAGAAGAGAUUUCCUCAGGUUCUCCUUCUUCCCUUCUUUCUUCUUCAGGUCUUUCUUCCUCUGCUUCUUGCUCUGUUUCUCUUUCUUCUUCUUCCUUCUCCUCUGCUUCUCUUUCUUCUUCUUCUUCCUCCUCUUCUGCUUCUUUCGUCUUUUGUUCCGAUUCUUUCUGUGGAACAGGACGACUUAAAUUCUUCAAAGCCAUUGCAGAGAUGGUGAUGUCGUCGUCAUCAUCUUCAUCCUCAACGAGGAGAGCUCUUCUUCUCUUUGAUGGAGCAGCCAUGGGCUCCUUCCCUUUUCUCUUAGCAGUAGAAGAGAGUUGAUGAGAUUUGGCAGGAGUCUUCUCCUUGAAUUUCUCCAAUUCCUUGCUCAGUUCCUUCAGACGCAUUUUGGUCACCAUUUUCAGUCCUACCACCAUAUGAUCGCAUGAUCGAACACAAAAGAUUUGCGGAGGCUGAAUAUUCAGAUGUCUGAAUAACUUCGUAACAAGGCUUGGGUAAGGAAGUUGACCUCUGUCCUUCAUCACUGCUCUAUACAUGUGAGACAUAACAGUAUGAGGGAGAGAAAACUUCUUUCCACAGAGGAUGGCAUACAUCAACUUUGCCUCAGAGCUUGAAACAUCAGUUUUGGAAGUUGAUUUCAGCCGAAGGCAAUUAAUCACAAUCUUGUGGAGCAAGAUGUUGAAUGCAUUCAUCCUUGAGUAGGUGAUCUUCUCAUCCGUUCUCAUGUCCUUCACCAGUUCAAGUGUGGCCCGAGCAAUGGAAACUUUGAUUGGUUGAUAUCUGCCUCUCUCAACUUCUAACACAUCUGCCAGCAUAUUCAUAUCCACAACAUAGUCUUGUUCUUUAACGCUGAAGGAGAAUCUAUUCGCAUCUAAAAAGCUAAGAUUCGAAUAGAAAUAGGCAGUCAAUUCAGCAUAAGCCUCAGUUGAGUCAGAGUAAAACUUUUCAAGUUGAAGAUAACUGAACUUUUCCCUUAAGUUCACUUUCACGGCAUCCAGAAAAUCAAAGUCCACACUCCUAGGGUUUAUUACCCCACGCUUCAGCAAUUUCGAAUACAGAUCUUUUUGUUCCUUUGAUCUGAACAAAUCUCCCCUUUUUCCUUGAAUUUCAGUCGCAAUACCCAUUUUCGGUUGAAAUAGACUGAACAGAUUGUCAUCGUCAUUCCCAUCUACAGGAUUCGGCCCCCAAUCACGAGGAUCACUUGGGAUAUUCGCAAGAGUUUCCUCAGCCACCCCUUUACGAGCGAUUCCCAAACUUUCCAUUUUUCGCAGAAAGAUAUACUCGUUCCUAUAUCCUUUUUCUUUAACAAAACUAUCAACAUAGUUCAAAGGAGUACGAAUUCCUUUUAAAGCACGAUAUAGCUUGUAAAUAAAAGCGGGCUUUUGAACUCUUACGGGGUCUACAUCCUCGACGAUUUCUUCCUGAUGCUGAUUAACAACGCCUUGAGGACUAGAUGGUGGAGAAUGACGCUGCUGAGAAUGUUGUGGGCUCGGUUGCUGAUCUGGAGUAACUUCAUCUUCAGUAAGAUCGAAGUGCGUAGGCCCCUCACUCAUUCUCUGUGGUCCCUUGCCUGCGAUUCUUGACGACUUUCGUGAAGAAGACAUCUUUCUCAGUGUUUGGGAGAUUCCUUGCUUGACUUUCCCAGAAAAGAUGACAACUUUUUGAAGAUUUAGCGAAGAAGACAAACGGGAAUGGAGGAUCGAUGCUUUCUAGGGUUUUUGAGAGAAAAGUGAAUAGAAAAGUGAAGAGAAAUUGACAGUGUUCGUUCGGUUAAAAAGAAGAGUAAACGAACCGUCACAAAGGAAAUAAAGAUAUGCCUUUUCAAAAUAACUGUCUUUAUCCGCAAAAAUAGCUAUUUCAAAAAUAACUUCCCUUUUGAAAAUGAAUCGAUGCAAUAUUUACGUUAAUUAAAUAUAGCAACAAUUUAAACAAGUCUGAUGAUCGUACCUUUUCAAGAUAAGAUUGGAGAGAGAAAGACUUACAGUCUGAAGGUCGAGACAAGACUGUAGAUAAAGUCUUGUAAGCCUGAGUCUGAAAGUCUUUAGACUUUGAUAUCCUCAUACCUCAAAAUGUUGAGUCUGGAACGGAUAGACUCAAAUUGAUUUUUCUCCAAAGGCUUUGUGAGUAUAUCAGCCAGCUGAUUCUUUGAGUCAACAAAUUGAAUUGAAAUAUCUCCAUUUUGAACAUGAUCUCUAAUAAAGUAAUGUCGAAUUUCUAUAUGCUUCGCUCUUGAGUGGAGAAUUGGAUUUUUGGUGAGGUUGAUAGCGCUAGUGUUGUCGCAAUUAAUCUCCGUGCAUGAGUCUUCAAUUUCAAAAUCUCUUAGCUGUUGUUUUAUCCAUAUAAUUUGCGAACAGCAGCUUCCAAGAGCUACAUACUCUGCUUCUGUUGUUGAAAGAGACACAGUGCUUUGUUUCCUUGAAAACCAAGACACUGUUCUGCUUCCAAGCAACUGGCAAGUUCCUGAAGUGCUCUUUCUAUCAACUCUGCAACCGGCCAGAUCUGCGUCUGAAUAUCCCAGAAGAUUAAAGUCUCCCUUCUUAGGAUACCAAAGACCGAUGCUUGAUGAUGAAGCGACGUAUUUAAUGAUGCGUUUCGCAGCACUGAGAUGAGAUUCUCUAGGAUCUGAUUGAAACCUAGCACAGAUGCAAACACUCAACAAAAUAUCAGGUCUAGAGGCACUAAGAUAAAGAAGUGAUCCAAUAAUGCUCCUGUAUAGCUUUUGAUCAACUUUCUUCCCUUCUUCAUCUUUGUCUAUCUUUAAAGAACUUGACAUUGGUAUGUCGGUCUUUUUGCACUUUUCCAGUCCAAACCUUUUGACAAGAUCAUUAACAUAUUUUUCUUGAUAAAUAAAAGUUCCUUCCUUCAAUUGUUUUACUUGAAGACCAAGAAAGAAUGUUAAUUCUCCCAUCAUACUCAUUUCAAACUCAUCCUGCAUAGACUUUGAAAAUUUCUUGCACAGACUUUCAUUAGAGGAUCCAAAAAUAAUAUCAUCCACAUAUAUUUGAACAAGUAAGAAACUUUUGUUUUCCUUCUUGAUAAAUAAAGUCGUAUCUACUUUACCUUUAACAAAACCAUUUUGUAUUAGGAACUUACUUAAUCUGUCGUACCAAGCCCGAGGUGCUUGCUUUAAACCAUACAAAGCCUUUUUCAGUCUAAAGACUGAGUCUGGCUUCUUUGGGUCUUCAAACCCUGGUGGUUGUUCCACAUAAACUUCCUCAUGGAUAAAUCCAUUUAGGAAAGCGCUUUUGACAUCCAUUUGGAAUAACCUGAAAUUCUUAUAACAAGCAAACGCAAGUAAUAGUCGAAUAGCUUCUAACCUUGCCACUGGAGCGUAAGUCUCAUCAUAGUCUAUUCCUUCUUCUUGCGUAUAUCCCUUGGCCACGAGUCUUGCUUUAUUUCGUACGACUUUUCCUUUCUCGUUCAUCUUGUUUCUGAACACCCAUUUAGCUCCAAUAACAGUUUUACCUUUUGGUUUGGAUGUCAAUUCCCAGACAUCAUUUAUGCUGAACUGUCUGAGCUCUUCUUGCAUAGCUUCAAUCCAGCUUUCAUCAGAUAAAGCUUCUUCUAUGCUCUUUGGUUCAAUUUCAGAAACGAGUGCCACAGCACUAGACUCUUCUCGCCUUUUGGAUCUGGUGCGAAUUCCUUCAUUAAUUUCACCAAUUAUAAGAUCUUUGGGAUGACUGGACUUAUGCUUCCAGUUACUUGUUGAUUUGUCUGGUUGAUGAUCUCUUUCUUUAUUUGGAUCUUCACUAACAACCUGAUGCUGGUUUUCCAGAGUUUGAGAUGCUUCUUGAGUUGUAGACUUUGGAGGGUCUGGAGUAGGUUCAGACUCUUCUUGAUGAGUCUGACUUGAUUCAUCUUGCGUUGAGUCUUAAAAUUUGACAUUCAUUGAUUCCUCUACAGACUGACUCUUCUUGUUAUAGACUCUGUAAGCUUUGCUUGAUGUAGAAUAUCCAAGGAAGAUACCUUCAUAUGAUCUUUCUUCAAACUUACCAAUUCGAUCUUUUGCAUUUUUCAAUAUAAAACAUUUAUAACCAAAUACAUGAAAGUAUGAAACAAUAGGCUUCUUUUCUUUGAAUAACUCAUAAGGGGUUUUCUGAAGAAUAGAUCUUAAGAAGACUCUAUUGAUAAUAUAGCAAGCUGUUAAAACAGCUUCAGCCCAAAAUCGAGAAGAAAUUUUACUUUCAAUUAAAAGAGUUCUAGCCAUUUCUUGAAGAUAUCUGUUCUUUCUUUCCACAACUCCAUUUUGUUGAGGAGUAUAUGGAGAGGAGAACACAUGCUUAAAGCCAGAUUCAUCACAGAAUUUUGUAAAAUCUUGAUUUUCAAAUUCACCUCCAUGAUCUGUUCUUAUACUAGAGAUAACACAACCUUUUUCAUUUUGAACCUUUUUAGCAAAUUUUUCAAAAUACAAAAAGGUUUCGGACUUACUUGAAAGGAAAUAUACCCAAGUAAAACGGGAAUAAUCAUCAACAAUUACUAGGCAAUACUUCUUACCCCCAAUACUCUGAGUUCUGGUUGGUCCGAAGAGAUCCAUAUGCAGCAACUGUAGUACAUGAUUAGUAGAGACAUAAUUUAUUGGCUUAAAAGAAUUUCUUACCUGCUUUCCCAGAAUACAUGGAGUGCAUGAAUCAGUCUUUUGGUAUGGCAAUUUGGGUAGACCUCGAACAAGCUGUUUUGAUGAGAUUUUGGCUAAUUGCUUCAUGUUGACAUGACCAAGCUUUUUGUGCCAUAAGCUUGCUUCGUCUUGAAUUGAGAUAAGACAUUGCGAUUCAUUUGGUUUCACAUCCAGAAGAUAUAUAUUUCCAUGUCUUCGACCCAUGAAAGACUGAGUAGAGUCUUUACUGAUUCCAGAACAUGUUCCUUCUUGAAAGAAGAUCUUGAAACCAGUAUCACACAAUUGACUAAUGCUGAGAAGAUUGUAAUUGAGUCCUUCCACUAAGGAAACAUUACUUAUUGUGAGAGUUCCAAUUUUCACGGUUCCAAAUCCCACAAUACUUUCUUUGCUGUUUCCUCCAAAUGAAACUUUUCCACCAUUUACUUGAGCAAGCUUUAUAAAGCAAUUUGAGUCUCCUGUCAUGUGUCUUGAGCAUCCACUGUCAAGAUACCACUUUACCUGUUUCUUGACGGAGACCUGCAUUUAAAAUAAAGUCUCAAGCUUUCUUUGGUACCCAAAUUUUCUUGGGUCCUUUGGUGUUAGUAAGAUAAACAGUAUUAGCCCAUACUUUCUUAACAGGUUUCCAUACCAUAGGACACUCUUUUUCAAAGUGAUCCGGACUAUUGCACUUAGAACAUCUGAGAGCAUUUCUACCUACAGGUUUUACAAAUACUUUCUUGAAGUGAUUUUUGUAAACCUCACUCGAAAGUCUUUUCUUAAUUCUUUCUUUUACUUUAGGAAAAUCAAUCAAGGGAAUUGUUUCUUCUGUCAUACCUAGACCAGACUUAUUGAAGUAAGGUCUUUGUGCUGAAAGAAUUUUCUCAAGUUUUUCAGACCCUAUUGAAAAUUUCUUUGAUAUAUUUGAUAAAUCUGUUUUUAAAAAAGCAUUUUCUUUUAAAAGAUUUUCUUCAUUUUCUUUAAGAUUGGAAACAGACACGUCUAGACUUUUAACUCUUUCUGCUAAAACAUUUUCUUUUUGUUUUAGAGCUGAGUUUUCUUUUUUCAGUUUGGAAAUUCUUUUGAGAGAAGUCUUAAGACUAAAGCAUAGAUCAUCAAUAUAUUUAGAAACUUUGACAGGAAUUUUAAAAUUACUUGCCUUAAAUUCACUGUCUAAGUCUGAUCUUGAGUCUGAUCCAGAGUCUGAGUCUGAUUGUGCCAUCAGACAUAGAUUGGCAUAUUCAUUAUCACUUUCUUCACACUCAGUAUCACUCCAGGUUUCAGCUUUGAGAGCUUUUCGAAAUUUUUCAGCUUUUCCUUUCUUCUUCUUCUUCAGAAGAGGACAGUUGGGUCUGAUGUGUCCCUUUUUCUUGCAUUCAAAGCAGACUACAUCUUUAUUUGGUUCCUCAUCAUCAACAGACUUGGUCUGCUGUCUUUGAAAGCUUUGUUUCUUUGAGUUGAACCUUCUUCCUUUUCUGUUUAGUUUUCUGAAUCUUCUUAUCAUGAGAGCAAGCUCCUCAUCGUCCAUAUCAUCUUCAGAAUCUGUAUCAUCAGAAUCAUCAUUUGAUUUUAAUGCAAUGGAUUUCUUACCUUUUGGAUCUUCAUCUUCAUUGAUUCUUUCCACUUCAUAGGACUGAAGAGUUCCAAUCAGCUCGUCAACAGAUAGUGGCAUAAUUCUCUGCGUCUCUCUUAUCGAAGUCUUUAUGUGAUUCCAAUCCCUGGAGAGUCCACGCAGUAGCUUGUUUACCUUCAUGGGAUCAGAAGUUGGUUGACCUUGAUUUUCAAGACCAUUCACAAUAUCUGUAAAACGACUAAACAUGUCAGAUAUUGAUUCUCCUGGUUUCAUUCUGAAGGCUUCGUAUUGACCGAGAAGAAUGUUGAUUCUUGUUUCCUUCACUCAAUCUGUUCCUUCAUAGGUGAUAUGCAAUCUGUCCCAAACUUCUUUUGCUGUACCACAAGAAGAUAUUCUAUUAUAUUCAGUUGGUGAUAAAGCACAAUAUAAGGAGUAAAUUGCUUUUGCAUCGAGUGUUUGUCUCUUGGUUAUUUCAUCCUGAGACAUUCUGCUGGAUUCUUCAGUUUCUUUUCCUCUUUCAGAGACUGAUGCAGUGGUAGGAGUAAUUCCUUUUUCUACAACGUCCCAUUCCAGAGGAUCCUUUGAUCGUAGGAAAGCUUUCAUCUUGUUCUUCCAGAUGUUGUAAUCCAUUCCAUCAAAGUAGGGUGGUCUGGUAUUGUUUUGCCCUUCCAUCAGCCCUGGUGCUAGCAUACUAGCCAUGGAUCUUUUACUAUGAAGUAAAACACUUCAAAUAAAGUAAGUACACAGGCUCUAAUACCAAUUGAUAUUGCUAGUAUAAACACCUAGAGGGGGGGUGAAUAGGCGCACAAACAAUUUUUGCCAAAUACGGAAGCAAUUCUUAACAAAAUGAAAUACGAUCGAGGUAAAGAAAGAGAAAUUGGAACACAGGAUUUAUAGUGGUUCGGCUUAUUCCAAGCCUACGUCCACUCUUCCGCACUGACAGCCCACCGGCUGGAUUUCACUAUGAUCAAAAGAGAAGUUACAGCACAGCUUUGCCUUGAUUCCACAGUGUAGAUGUUCUACCACACCUUCUCAAGGUCUCUCACAAAUAUAGACUCUCUUUUGUAUACAAGUAUUCGCUCAAAGGAAUUAUCUAAACAAAUAGGAGCUUCAGACUUUGGAAUUCUUCUAUCGCGCACACCUCGAACAACUAAGAACGUCUUCCUUAUAUACUCCUUUAUGCCAUCAUACCCGUUGGCACUUACCAAAGGAAUUCCUCCAAUCUACCCGUUGGACGGAAUCAAUUAGGAAGAUUGUUCGAGCUAUUAAAGGAACGUGUUGAUAGCCCAUCAAUCCUGUUCGCCCAUACAAUCAGGAUCUCGGUUUCCAUAAGUAGAAUCUUCCAAUAAUAUUUAGACAAUCAUCGAAUCUUCAGUCUUUGAAUCAAACUUGAUCAAUCAAAGGAUUCUGAUACGUCUUCUCCAGCCACGAGAUCUUCUCCAGAUGAUAAGGUCAAAUCCUGAACAAAACAUCCAGUUCUGGAUAACCUUUCUUCAACGGAUUAGAGACUGUCAAUGAGGAUAGACUUUGAAUCUUGAGUCUGGCAGUCCGGAAGUCUUCAGACUUUAACUAACAGAGUCUGCAGACCUUCAGACUAAACUGAUGGAAACGUUUUGUCAACUUCAAAACACUUCACGAGGAUUUCUCCAACAAUUGUAACUCUAUGGUUCUCCAAGUAUCGGUGGAUUAUAACCGCUUGCUCUUCUAGUUGGGUAAAUAUCGAUUUUUAGACCGAAUCAUGUAAAUCUCAGAAGUUCUUUAUUAUUUCUCAUUUAUUUUUCUGGUUAUUUCGCAUUAAUUAAUUAAUCACAAAAUUUGGUUAGUUUCCAUAUUAUUUCAUAAGUCUUCGGUCUUCGGUCUUCGGUCUUCAGGAGAGAGAAAGUUCACAUAACUUCCCAUGAUGGAGUUAGUCAAUAAUUGAUUUGUGCGCAGAGUAAAGGCUUAUAAAUUCAGCUCAGACUGAAAGUGGAUCACUGGAUCACUGGACGAGAUGGGGAAACAACUAUUUCUUAUUCUCAACUUUGUUCUCUUGUGGUGGUGGAGCUCAAUCACAAUCUCCGGAUCAUACUCGCAAAACCAAACAGAUCGGCUUGCGUUAGCCUCCUUCAAAAAUGCAAUACAUGAAGACCCGUUCGGAGUCUUGAGCUCUUGGAAUGAUUCUACCCAUCAUUGUGAGUGGCAAGGUGUUUUCUGCAGCAAAAGGCAUCCUGGGAGGGUCACGUCCCUAGUCCUAAGAUCACAAGGCUUGGAAGGCUUCCUAUCUGCUCAUAUAGGUAACCUCUCUUUCCUAAGGGUCAUGGUUUUACAGAACAACAGCUUCCAUGGCGAAAUCCAACCACAGAUUGGCAACUUGUUUCAGCUCCGUAAUCUCGAUCUUAGUAACAACUCAUUUCGUGGGCCAAUACCCUCCAAUCUUUCCCACCGCUUGAACCUUGAGAUCCUGAAUCUCAUAGAUAACCAACUUGUGUGGGGAAUUCAUUUCGAUCUUGGUUCUUUAACAAGACUUAAACAAUUGCUCUUGUCUAAGAACAGUCUUGUAGGUCCUAUUCCUCGUUGGAUUGGAAACCUCUCGCAGCUACAAGAGCUCUCCUUGGCAGAAAAUGAGUUGAGCGGAGAAAUACCCAAGGAAUUGUCCAGACUCAAGAGAUUGAUACUUUUCCAACUACGUUCCAACAAACUAACCGGUGAGGUUCCAACAGGGAUUUUAAACGUCUCUGACCUUCAUGUAUUCAGUGUUAGUCAUAACCAGUUGUGGGGAAUUUUUCUCAAUGAUGUCGGCACCGCUUCUCCUUCUCUCUACUUCCUUGGCGCCAGCUAUAACUUGUUCACCGGGAUGAUUCCGUCAACGUUAACGAAUGCCACAGGUCUUAAGAAUCUUAUACUUUUGAACAACAAUUUCCAUGGGCCAAUACCAAAAAAUCUGGGAAGUCUAAAGGGCCUUUAUGUGAUUGCAUUGGGUUUAAACCAGUUGCAGGAUGACUUGAGUUUUAUUUCUUCUUUAGCUAAUUGUUCCAACUUAAAAACUCUCGGGGUGGAAUGGAACUUAAUUCACGGAUCAUUGCCGAGAUCCUUCUCCAAUCUCUCCACCAUUAAGCGGAUAUCUAUGUCAGGCAAUCAUAUCAAAGGAUCUCUUCCUUUAGCCCUUGGAAAUCUCUUCAACUUGUCUUUCUUGGGUUUAAUUGAUAAUUUUCUAACUGAUUGUAUUCCUCAUUCCAUCGGAGCACUUUCCAACUUGCAGCAACUUCAUUUGAGCAGGAACAUGUUUACUGGAGAGAUACCAUCUUCGAUUGGUAACAUUACGUCAUUAGGUCUCCUUGACCUUUCCUCCAACAUUUUCCAAGGCUACAUACCGCAAAGUCUCGGCAACUGUAAGCAACUAAUUGAGCUUGAUUUUUCGAAUAAUAACCUAAUUGGCUCAGUUCCUGCCGAAAUCGUGGGCCUUUCUUCCUUGUCGAUCGCGUUGAGUUUAGCAAAUAAUAAUUUAAGUGGAUCUCUUCCAUUGCAAGUUGGAUCUUUAAAGAACCUUGGCAAAUUAGAUCUGUCUUACAAUAGACUGACCGGGUUAAUCCCGGCAUCCAUCAGCGAGUGCUUGGUAUUGGAGCGACUUCACUUAGAAGCUAAUUCUUUUCAUGGUCAAAUCCCCGAAGCUUUACGUCCAUUACGAGGUCUAAAAGAGCUGGACCUUUCCAAUAAUAAUUUUUCUGGUCCAAUCCCAAGCUUUCUCGCAGAGCUCCCACUACUCGAGUACUUGAAUUUGUCCUUCAAUCAACUAGAAGGACAAGUUCUAGAGCAUGGAGUUUUUCUUAAUGCAAGUUCUGUAUCGAUUUAUGGAAAUACAAAACUCUGUGGAGGUGUUCCCAGUCUGAAGCUACCUCUUUGCAAAUCAUCAAGCUCUAAGAAGUCUUCUUCAACCAAGGCUAGGGUAAUAUAUUGGGUUGCUGGCACUUUGUUAUGUUUAGCUUUGUUGCUCCUAUGUCUGGCUAUCUUUUACCACAAAAAGAAGCAGACGACAACCAUUGCCUCCACUUCAUUAUCUUUUGAGAACCAAUUCUUGAGGAUUUCUUAUGAAGAACUCCUGAGAGCGACUAAUAGAUUCUCCGAGACCAAUUCGAUUGGUAAAGGGAGAUAUGGCACAGUUUUUAAGGGGAUUCUUGAUGGCGGUGCCACGGUGGCAAUAAAGGUGCUCAAUCUAAUGCAAAGAGGUGCUUUGAGGAGUUUUAUCUCCGAAUGUCGAACUCUAGGAACCAUUAGACACCGAAACCUCGUGAAGAUACUAAGUGUCUGUUCGGGCGUGGACUUUCGUGGCAAUGACUUCAAAGCUCUAAUAUAUGAGUUCAUGGCUAAUGAGAGCUUGGAGGAGUGGCUGCACCUUGGGACUAUUGGAUGAGAUGAGUGUAACGAAUCAAGAAAUUUGAGACUAGUGCAAAGGUUAAACAUCGCCAUCGACAUAGCUACUGCGAUCAAAUAUCUCCACAAGGGUUGUUAUCCAGCAAUCGUUCAUGGAGAUUUGAAGCCAAGUAAUGUGCUUUUGGACAAUGACAUGGUGGCUCGAGUUGGAGAUUUUGGGCUUGCAAAGAUCAUUUCAACAGUGUGUGUUGAAGCCACAGGAGUUCAGGACCAAUGUAGUUCAACUUCAACCGCAGUCAAAGGAUCCAUUGGCUAUGUGCCUCCUGGUAUGAAAUUGUCAUAUUUUCUCGAUUAUUUGUUAUUUGAUUGCGAUAGUAAUAUGAGAGUGCCAAAAGUUUGAAUAAACAAUGAUUCUUAACGUUAUGUUAUAUUUUGUAUGCUCUGACACCUCUUUAUCACAGCUCAAUUUCUCUUUCCCCUAUUAAUAGCAUCCGCAGAAAAAGAAAAUAGAUAUCUUUUUGUACAAAAAGAUUACUAGUAGCUUGUCCUAAUCCUAUUUGAAAUUAAGAUGAGAAUGAACCAUUGUAAUUUUGACCAAUGAGUGGAAAAUGUUUGGACAAAACUUGUGAAUCCAUGCUAACAAAUAGAUUAAGCAUAUUGCGUCAUCUCAUAUUUAUAUUUUCUUUCUAUAAUAAGUAUUUUGUCUCACAUAACGUUCAUGCCACUAAAACGGAUUGCGAUUCUCUUUUGGUAUGUCAUGAUUUAAGGUCUUGACAAUAAAUAAUUUUUCCUUCAUGGCAGACCCUUUCAUGACCUAUAAUUUAAUAUUUGAAAGAUAUAUUAGAUGACAUGACAUUUACGCUAGAAAUUAUUAGAGGAUACACUAAUUGACAACAUGAUGAGCUCUAUCCAACUUUCACUUUCCCUAAACUUCUUGGUUAGAGCAUAUUAAGACAAAUUUACGCAUUGACAAGUAUAAAUCCAUCACCGUCGACAAAUCACUCUAAGUCUCUUCUUUUUCCCCCACUGUGUUCGUUUUUUGCCUAUUCUUCUAGGCAAUUUCUUCUCGUCUUUGCAUAAAAGAAAGUGUGGUAUAGGUAUUAAACAAAAUCUGGAUCAUGAAAAUGACAAGCCCCACGUGGAUCUCACAUGUUUCCACUCAAAAAACCGGAGAUUCAAAUUUAGUUAACACAUAAACUUCUACCAAGGCCUUCAUCUAACAUAUUUUCUUCUUUUCCUGUUUUCACCCGUACCUUACUAGAGGACAAAGCCACUCUUGAUGUUUAGGCAAUUUGUGUUGCAAACAUACGACAACUUUGGUUGCACUUAGUAGUUCUGGAGAAGAAGAGUUCAUAUGUUGUUAACUGAUCUUUGGUGCACUUUAUAUAUUCUAAAAUCUCAUUUCUCUACUGUUGAUGCAUUUCUCAACGGUUGAUGCACUUUAUAAGAGUUCGUACGACAGGCACUAGACAUCAGCCAUGUACAGAAAACUAAACAAAAAUUAAACAGGGAGAAAUGAAAGCUAAAAACCAGUAGGGGCUUUGGGACCCUUUGCCUUGCUCUGGCAGACGAUCCAUUGGCUUCUGCCGUGCAUGGCAAGCCCGACAGAGAAGUCAGUGAGGGCUUGCAAGGCAUCGCCUUAUGUUGGUAGCGAUUGGUGUGAGCCCUCACAACUGUCCUUGGCAAGCUCUUGCAAAUAGACAUCAAGCAAAAUCCCAUGUGAUUUAGGAACUUUUUCUAUACAAUUAAUUCAAGAAAAAGUGUCUAUUCAUUCCUAUUUAAUGUCUUGAUGAAAUUUGCAGAGUAUGGCAUGGGACACAAGGUUUCCACACUUGGGGAUGCAUAUAGUUACGGCAUUCUAUUAUUGGAGAUAUUCACUGGAAAAAGACCCACCGAAGAGGCCUUUGGGCACCAUCUUAACCUCCACAACUUCGUCCGAACGGCUCUUCCGGAUCGGGCAAUGGACAUCGUAGACUUAAGCCUUUUGAGUGAAGCUGGUGAUCAACAACAGGAGAUCAAGAUCAGAGAUUGCAUUUUCUCCAUAUUCGAAGUUGGAGUCGCAUGUUCGAUGGAAUCACCGCCGGAUCGGAUGGAUAUGACUGAGGCGAUCAGGAAAUUACACUUGAUCAAGGCAAGUUACGAAGCCAAAGAGAGGAGGAUAGGUAUGUAGUUAAAUCAAUUUUCUCAUUUCAUCUUGGAACUCCUUCACUAGUAGAGAAAAUCAUCUUGCAAAGGUAGUGCUAGCAAAUUGACAUGAACGUCUCCCUCACUAGCCUGCCUACCCAUACCCAUUAUGUGUAAUUUUUUAUAAUUACACCAAUAUCUAUAUUUAAUAAUCAUAGAAAGUGGAUGUAUGGAGUUAAAGUCUAUCUAUUUCCACCAAGUAACCGUGUAAAAGUUGAUGAAUUUUCUUAUUUGUUCGAUUCUCUUCAUUUCUGAUGCCAUUGUGGAUUGAUGCAUUGCUUAAUUACCAUGGCUGGGUCAUUGCCCUUGCCCCUCUCUCUCUGCACGCUUGUGUACUAAUAUGUGACCUCACUGUGAGGUCACAAGCUCAAGGUCAACUCUUAAUGUCAUGCUUAAGCGAGAGCCCGCGGUCAAUUGGAGACCAAGCUUGAUCAAAUCCAAAGACAAUGAGAGGGAGGCAACCUCAUCAGAAGAUCAUGAGCUGAUGGCCAACUCUUAAUGUCGCCAUUGAGAGUGAACUCACUGUCAAUUGGAAACCAUGCUUGAUCAAAUUUGGGUGACGUCACCAUCAAAAUUAUGUUGUGGUCGUGUUGCCAACACCGGCUGCCACUACGUGUGGCUCCUACCUUCUCUCCAAACCUCCUUUUCUUUUAUCUUUUUUAUUUGCUAUGUCAUCGAAUUACAGAGUUUUUAUUUUUACUUUUUUUUUUGGUUGAUAGAGAUAUAUAGUUUUUUUUAGCAAGGAUAGAGAUAUAGAGUUAACAAAGGCAUAAAUGGGACAAGAUCAAAAAGGAAACACGGAUGCAUAUAUGUUGCACUUGUCAAUGUGCUUAUUACAUUGUCUAAUUUUCCUCAUCAAGUCUUCCCACUCAACCAACCCCAUCUCUUUUUUCACCAUCAGCCACCGUCUCUGGCCGUUGCGGCCAAUUGUCAUCACAGUCGCCUCCCCCACGUCUCGCCACUUUCUCCUUUGUGUCAUCCACAACCAUCUUUGCUCUCUGUAUUUGCUGACCCAACACUCUCCCUCACUCUCUCUCUUCCCUCACCACCAAAUCUCUGUGAGGUCUCGGCACAACCAUUGAUGACCUGAUCUGGCCAUGGCCUUGAGAUCUCACCAAGAUCUUAGUGGACGGGCCACUGUCGACAACUUAAUCGUAAUGACUAGGGGAGCUUGAUGCGAGAUCACUGUCGACACUUAAUCGGCAUGAACUUGACGUUUAGGCAGUGAAAUUAAUAAGAGAGAAUCGUGUCUUGGUUUGGUGUUGGAGACAACGGAUAGAUACAUAAAUGGUACAAUGGAUCUACAUCCAAGGAACGUAAAUAGGGAUGGUGAAGGCCAUAAAAUACAAUGCCUUAGAUCUAGCAUAAAAUAUGUAACCAGACGGCAUAGUCACAAAAACACGAAGAAACAUAGACUAAUUCAUAAUAUGAAUGGCCUAGGCUAUUUUAGGCUACAUUACUGGCCAACUGUCAAUAGAGUGCGAGGUCUUACAAUAGCGUGUCAUCAAGAAGCUCAAGUUUGGCAUUAAGAUCACCAAUAUCAGGGGCGGUUGACUUCCUGGAUUGAGAUCAAAACAAGAACAAUAUAGUGAGAAAAUGUUGAAUUGUGUAUCGCUUUAAUGAACAAUGUAUUACAUUAUACAGGCAUAUGUAUCCAGAACAAUAAACACAAAACGAGAAGUAAGCUAAAUCAGGAUUUAAUAAAAACACCGGAAUCAAUUAUGACCAAUUACAAUCCACACAAAGUCACAUAAACUUGCACAUUUCCUAACUAUUGGAAUUCAUCAUAACAAUAAACAAGUGCUUUUAAAAAUUUCUCUAUGAAAGUUUGAGGUUGAAAUUACUCUCGCAAAUCUGUUCUAUAGAUUAGAAACUUUUUUUUUUUCACUUUUUUGGUCAAUAUAGUAGAGACUGUUGAGAUAAGUGGCCCUGGCUGUAUUAUUAACAAAGCAAUGGAAGGGUGACCACAUCCUAUGGUAAAUCAAAAAAGAAAACAGCGCUCUCCUGCAAUUGGCUUACGAUUAGCCAACAACUAGCUAACAAUCAUCACAUGAGCCCUUCCUCUAGUAGCAUGGAGCAUAAAAGUCGAAAGAGCAAGAAUACUUGAAAUCUGCCAAAGCCAUUUCAAGCGGUCGCAGAAUAUUGCUAAUCUGCUUAAGUUGCUUUUAUGCGCAACAUGUUAUGCAUCCAUAUUUUUCAAAACUAGCUAUUUCUAAUACUAAAAUCUAACAACCUAAUCAAGGCCUAUUUUUCUAACCAAUUUCCCAUUUUUAUUUUCCAGAAUUAUUUUCGUUUUCUUAUCUCAUUCUCGAUCCCUCCUCUGAAUCAAAUCUUCACUCAGAUACUCCAUGAAUUUCAGCAUCACUUCAGUCAAAGAAAUUGGUAACAAACAUGCCCAGUGAUUAAGAAAUUAUGAAAAUAAAAACACCACAUCGCGGGUAAGUAGAACAACACUUGGAUGGGCUUCGGAUCAAUUCAAUCUACACCCAAAAGAGAGUGACCAGCAAAGGAAUGGUGAUGACAGCCCAUAUCCAGCGAGUUCAAGGCACAGCAAAAUGGUUAUUUGUCGAAAAAAUUUCACCAAUUCACCUAACAAUCUCCUAAAUCAUCAUACAGGUUUAAAUGAUAAAAAUGACAUCACAAGAAGUCCAAAUUGAACUCCAAUUAGAUAAGCCAGCAAAUCCAAAUUUCAUUCCACCAUGGUCAAAUAUGCCAAAGGUUCUAUUUCUUUCAAAAUUGACAUGUGUUCUUAACGCCCAUUCAUUGCUCACUAAUUUUAUGAAAAGUACAUGCAAGUAUCGGCUAGAUGAAUAAACGUCCAGGCUGCAAAGAAGAAUACAAAACACACACUGCAAUUAUGAUUUAAUAUCAAAUCAAAACUUUGUUUAAUCCCUGGCUUCAAUCAAUCGAAUGAGUUUCUGUAUCCAUAAAGGUGCUGAGGUAACCGUUAAGCAAAGCCUACUAAAAACUUGGUUUCAAAUUCGCAAGAAAAGCAAAAAGAGAAUAGGAAAGCAGGAUUCGCCUGUACUGAAUUGAUCUUUCCUCACCAAAAUUUACGUGCAUAUACCCGUACUCAAACCUUUCAAGUUGAGAGCAAUGCGGAAAUGGAAAGAGCUAGGGUUUCUCCCAGUGCUGUCCAACUUUGACUUCGUCCUCCCAGGGCCUUGAAACACAGCAAUAACAAAGAUGUGAAUGACGGACAGAAAAGAAAACAUGUAAUGAAGACAACGAAAAGCAGAGAGAAGAUACAGAGUCCAUAUUAAUGACUGGGGCCUUGUCAAGUCCAGUCAGCGAGCUUCUCUGAACUUCUAUUUUGAGAGAUAAGCUCUCGGCAGCAUAUUCAGCAGAUUUCAGCGAAAACCAUUGCUCAUUCACAAGGGAGACGUGUCCAGUAAACAUAACAUUGUAAGCACUAGUAGAAAAAGAUGACAAGUCUAAUCCAACAAAAAGAGUAUAACAAGUUUAAACCAACAAUAAGCAUAUGAACAACAGAAUCAACACGGUUCCACUUGAAUUUGGCAAACAUACUUCAGUAUCGAUUUAGUUUCAUAUAGGACUCGUGUGCAAGAAUGGACAACGACCAAUGUACCACCGAUUAACUGAGGACCGAAAUUCUUUACAAUCUGAAAGCAUGAAUAGCAAACAGAGAAGAUGUUAGCAUGGCACUGUGAAGAUUUAGCUAAAAGAUACUCACUUCUUUACUCUUCACUCAUUAACACACAUACAUGCACAAGCACUCCCCAAGCACCUCACUGCUUUCUGUUUUUCCUCAGGCUUUUUUAUGUUAGUUCAUGGCAAAGAACUAAUCCAUCCAAGGUUGGACCUUCCAGGCUCUCUAUAGAUUCAAGAGUAAGACAUCUCUCCUAUUUACCCCACUCAGAAUUCACCAGUCCAUGUAUUUUUCACGACAAACGGAUUUACCUUCCGGACGAAAUCGCAUUAUGAUGCAAGCCAAUAGGCGCAUCUGGCUCUUGAGAAAUUUUCUAUCCUAUCAUAUCAAUAUGAAAGCUUCCCCGGCCACUAUGACGAAUAGCAAUCAGCGCAAUUGAGAAAUCCUCGAUUAGCCCACACAACAGCUCAAAGGAAAUUCACGAGUGUAAUCAAAUUCGCAAGUGCAUAAUUAUUAAGCAUCAUUAAAGCAAAUACCAAAUUAAGACCACAACACCAAUCAGCCGAGCAAAAGAAUACACAACCAGUGAGCAUAUUCUCAAUCCAGUGAAUACAAUCCGUCAGAUGCUAAAACCCUUGGGUAUACGUAAGUCGACAUGCUUUGCUAAGCGAUGAGGCUGAAAGAAAAAGGAAUAGAGAAGAGUAAUAAGGAGAAAAGGAAAAGAAGACAGUCGCCUGGGGGGUCGAAAAGAAAGAAAACAGAAGUGGAUGUAUGGAGUUAUGUUUACCUAUUUCCACCAAGUAAUUAUGUAAAAUUUGAUGAAUUUGCUUAUUUCUCCUAUUCUCUUCAUUUCUGAUUCCACUGUGGAUCGAUGCAUUGCUUAAUUACCAUGACUAGGCCAUUGCCCUCACCUUUCUUUCUCUCCGUGCUUGCUUGUGUACUAGAAGGUGACCUCACUGUGAGGAGGUCAUGAGCUCAUGGCCAACUCUUAAUGUCACACUUAACUGAGAGCCCGUAGUCAAUUGGAGACCAAGCUUGAUCAAAUCCAAAGNNNNNNNNNNNNNNNNNNNNNNNNNNNNNNNNNNNNNNNNNNNNNNNNNNNNNNNNNNNNNNNNNNNNNNNNNNNNNNNNNNNNNNNNNNNNNNNNNNNNNNNNNNNNNNNNNNNNNNNNNNNNNNNNNNNNNUCCAAGCCUCCUUUCUUUUAUCCUUUUUUCUUGCCAUGUGAUCGAAAUUACAGAGUUUUCUUCUUCUUUUUAUCAAUAGAGAUAUAGAGUUGACAAACACAUAAAUGAGACAAGAUCAAAAAGGAAACGCAGACACAUAUUUAUUGCACUUGUCGAUGGGUUAUCACAUUGUCUAAUAAUCCUGUCAAGUCUUCCCAGUCAACCAACUCUCUCUCUCUUUCUUCACAAUUUGCCACCAUCUCCGCCCAUUGUGGCCACCUAUCAUUACCGCUGCCUCCUCCACGUCUCGCCACUUUCUCCAUCAUGUCAUCAUGGUCGCCCUUAAAUGAGAGAGGGAGAGAGAUAGCUACACGUGGUUGAACUGCCAGAAUCUCAGCUUUUGAGGUGGAUCUCGCGCUUCUUUUGGCGAUGUUUUGUACUUUUGAUUGUGCUUUGUGUUACAAAACUAACGGCGUUGUCGUCCCAGCAGAAGAUCACGGGCGUGGACCGCAAGUGUGUCCCACCCUCCUUUUUCUUAAUAUACACCUUCCUCGUCAUUAACCUCAUCACCGUCGCCACUGCUGUCACCGCCGUCGCCGCCUUAGGAGGGCCAGUAUGGCGUUGUCUGCAAAGAGGCCGUGAGGCCACCAUGUGUUGGAGAUACGUGACCCCUUGAAGAAGAUGCCGCUCCGACUCGGCACCUUCAGCACCCCGAGGAGGCUGCUCUCGCCAAUGACGAUGCCGCUGGCAGCCUCCGCGGCUCGAAUGCCAAGACCAACUUCCCUCCUCCUCCUCCCUCCGCUGCCUCCGCCCUCUCCCUCGCCCUCAAAUGACACAAGCCUCGCGUGGUUGUGGGGUGGGCUCCAUAAGGAGGGAAAAAGAUGGGGAGGAGAAGAGAGAGCGGUGUUGGGAUUUUGAGGAGUGAUUGGGUGAGGUAUAAAAUUAAUAACAGACUCAUGGUUUGAUCUGGUGGUGGAGACAGCAGAUAAGUAAAUUAACGUUACAAUGGAUCUACAUCCAAGAGACAUGAAUAGUGAUAGUGAAGGCGAUAAAAUACAAUGCCUUAGAUGUGGUAUAAAAUACAUAACGCGACGGCAUAGUGAGUAAAGUACGGAGCAAACAAAAACUAUCUCGCAAUAUGGACAACAUAGGCUAUAUUAGGCAAAUGUCCAUGAGAUAUAUACUAAACUGCUGAUCAACUGUCAAUAGCAUACGACAACUUGUAAUAGAAUGCUGUCAAGAAGCUCAAGUUCGGCAUCAGGAUCAAUAUCAACUUGGAUUGAGAUCAAAAUAGGAACAAUAUAAUGUUGAUAUGGAGUCAGAUAGUGAGAAUAUUGAAUUGUGUAUUGUGCAAUUGAAAAAGGGAAGUAAUCUAAUAUGGGAUAUUUAACUCCAAACCAUUGGCACAUCCAUGAAUCGCCACACGUAAAAAGCCCUUCCUCUUAUAUCGUGAAGCAUAAAAGCCGAAGGAACACUUACAAAGGUAUAUAUAACCAGUUGAUGAUCAAGAACACUUUGAAUCUGCCAAAGCCAUUGCAAACAGUAGCAAAAUAUUGCUACUUUGCUUGUAAUAAUCUAUUUAAGUUGCUCUUAUGAGCAACAUGUUAUACAUCCAUAUUUUCCUAAACUAGCUCAUAAGUCAUAUUAAGCUAGUCGCUUUUAUUUUUCCUUUACUUUUUAUAUAAUACCCUAUGACGCGUAUAAUAAUAGGUCAUAAGUAAGCUUGUCACUCUAAAAGACUUUCCUAGUAUGGAAGUUCUCCUUCAUAGUUGCCUAGAGGAUCAUAGUUGCACACAACGUACCACCACCCGUUGUUACACUGAACCCUAGCGCACCCAACUCGGACCGAGUCACGCCAAACCAUCUGAGUGUAGUGCAAGCAGUCACACCCGCUCGAGCAAGUGUUGGUGUUGUACUUGUAGUUUUGCUUCUCUGCGACCCACAAGCUAACGGCAUAGGUGCUGGUGAAUGUGCUAGUGCCCUUGGCAAGGUUCUCGCCGUAGGGCCCAUUGGAGUGCACAAGGCUGCAGUCGCCGACCCGUUGAUUUGCGUAGCUUUGGGCGUAGGUAGCAAGGGCGUUGUCCCAUGUCACAUUCGCCACACCAACUUGCUUCCGAGCGACAUUAUGAGAGUCAAGAUAGUCUUGGGGUGAGUUUUGGGCAUGACUAGGUUGAAAGAGAGAAAUGAAAACAAGAGAGAUGAUGAUGGUCAGAGAAUUCAUGAUGCUCAAGGAAUUAGCUGAUGUUGGUUCAAGGUGACAUUUUUGGUGAUCAUUAGGCUAUUUAUAGAAAAAAAAAAAACAUGGAGAUUUUCAGGGCUUCAACUCAUUGUGUGCGAUGAACUUAUCCGGAACAUCUCCUUUUGGACAGUUCAACUUUGCGUUAAAAUCCAGACUGAUCAAGAAAUGAUAAAAUUAGUAAAUGCGGCAUCUAGGUAAUUGGUUUUGCAUGUUCUUUCUUUCCUCAAAUGGAAGUAAAGUAAAAGGCUUUAGCAAAGUUUGAAGUUUCAGCAAGUUUGAUGCAGUAAUUAAAGUAUAAUGUUAGACGUUAUUUGGAGUAAUGCUAAAGACAUUGAGAUUAGUGCAUGAAAUUAAAUUAUUAGGGGAUCUAAAAAACUUUGUCCAAGUGUGAUGAACAAGCAGGUCUUUCUCUCUCUCUCUCUACACCAUUCAAAAGCCACCACAACUCGUCAUCGUAUCCAUCUUCGUUUUUUAAGAUCCACUGUCCAUCUUCAACUAGACUUACGAUCUCCAGCGUCCCCCACCUUAAAACAAUACGUCACUAUCCUCUCAUAGGAGAAAUACAUCAAAGAUACCAAAAAUUAUGUAUAGCACUCACUUUAAUGUCAAAAAUUUUCGUCGAAUACUUAAAUAUCAAAUCUAACAAAAAACGAUUAAUUAUGUCUCCAGAGAGAAAUUCUGACUAAAAUAUAUAUGUGACAUUUAUAAAUAAAAUUUUAAUAUGAGCUGGGAUUUAAAAAAAAAAAAGUCUGUGGCAUUUCCAUGUGUACAUUUCUCCUCAUCUCCCUUCACGUCAUUUUUUUUUUUCCUUUUUUCUUCUCUUUUCUCCCUUGUGCACCCUCACUACUUCACGUUGUAAAUGGACUCCUCGACCACAACUUCAUCGAGGCUCACCCAUCACCGCCCAAACCUCCGAGCUGCGCCACAACCUCAACAAACGACGCCAAGAAUCGAUGAAUGAUAUGGUCCAGGCAAGGAACGAGAUGGUUCAGAUCUAUGAAAGGAGUCCUGUUCAGUCAAGAUCGCUUGGUUUCAUCGAAUUAGAAAGCCAUGAAGCACGUCCAGCAAUCAAUGAAUGCCCAGGUUGGACAGAAAACCAAGAACAAGCGCGCGAACCUCUCACAGACAUUUCAUCGAACACCUAAGGGUACAACAACCAGAAAGCAUUCAGGCGCUCAAAUUCAUGCCAGAACCAACCAUAACCAGAAAUCAGCACUAGGAAUACACAGAGAAAGGAAUGAGCAGGCUCAGAACGCGCGAAGCUGGGGCCAGUGAGCCCCAUUCCAUCGAUUCGACAAAACAGGGGAAAACGAGCUUGGGCGUAUCCUGUGAAAGGAAAGUUGCCGGACGCGAUUGCUAGGUAGAUCGGAACAAAAUUGGCUCUAGAAACCGCCUCGAGGGACUUGGCCGGUGAAGGAGGCAACACCAACCGCAAUUUGAACUCGCCGAGAUUGGAUCCAACCGAGCCUCUAGUUUGUAGUCGGGUUUUUCAAUGAAUCGGCUUCAUUAACGGCGGAUUUUGAGGUGGCUUUGAUGAAUUUCCCAGAUAAGAAGCCAGAGAGAAAUUCCCUGCUGUGCUCCCUUUUCCCCAUUCAUCCCCUUUCCGUCGAUUGUUCAGCAAGAAAUUGAUUUUUCUUGUUGGACAAAGUCGUUUUGGGUCAUGCAGGCAAGUGAAACUUGUUAAAUGAAGUCGUUUUGAGCUUUUUAUGCUAAGUCAGACCACCGAUGAGCCACGUCAGUAGAAAAAAUAUAAAAAUAUUACCAUACUAAAUUUCUGGCAUUCGAGAUCGGAAUUGAUAUUUAAAUGAUCAUUUUACUUUUUUAAAAGUGACACUUGAGUUAUUUGAAAAAAAUAAAAUUAGCAUUAAAAUGAGCGUCGUAUAUAACCUUUGACACUUCUAAAAUACUUUUCCCCUCUCCAACUCCUUGCAAUGGCUGCCUUUGAGACGUCAAUGAGCCCUAUUCGGCCCUUGAGGCCUUGAUGCUAUCAAGGUUGCGGCAAGCGUCCAGAUCUGGAGGUGCAUCCUCCUUCUCUAGAGACUCAAUCCCUCCACUCCAAGUCUAGAGGAAGUGGUAUCUGGAUCCAUCUCCCUCAGCGAGCAAGUGGUCACUAGAGGUGGCAAAAUGGGUCAUGGACCCAUUUUGCACCCAUAUUUUUUAUAAAUGGGUCAAAUGUGGGUUAUGAAGUUGUAAUGGGCCAUAACCCACAUUCGACCCACUUUAAAUUCAGUUUUAUAUGGGUCAGAAAAUGGGUCACACGUUCUGACCCAUUUUCGACCCAUUUUCAAAACUUAAAACGUAAAAUCAUCUUAGUGAUUCAAUGACGUUCGACCCACCUCUGCUGCUCGCCUCCAGCGCUCCUCCGCUCGCCUCCACCACUCGCCGCCGCAGCUUGCCUUGACGGAGCUCGGGCGAGCCGUGAGCUCGCCGGCCGCGACCGAGCUCGGGCGAGCCUGGAUCGAGCGAGUCGCGAGCUCGCCGGCCAUGGGCGAGCUCGGGCUCGCCUGGAUCUGGCGAGCCGUGAGCUCACCAGCCGCGACGGAGCUCGAGCUAGCCUGUAUCGAGCGAGCCGCGAGCUCGCCGGCCGCGACAGAGCUCGGGCUCGUCUGGAUCGAGGGAGCCGCGAGCUCGCCAGCCAUGGCCGAGCUCAGGGUCGCCUGGAUCUGGCGAGCCGCGAGCUCGCCGGCCGCGACGGAGCUCGGACUCGCCUGGAUCGGCCGAGCCCCGAGCUCGUCGGCUGCGACGGAGCUCGGACUCGCCUGGAUCGGCCGAGCCCCGAGCUCACUGACCGCGACGAAGCUCGGCAGCUCGGGCUCGCCCAAACGGCGAAGCCUUGAUCUCGCCGGACUACGGCUUGGCCGGUCACCGUCGACGGAGUAACAAUGGAGAAGAAGGAGGAGAAAAAAGAAAGAAAAGAGAAAUAAGAAAAUAAGAAAAUAAAAUAAAUAAUAAUAACAAUAAUUUCAAAAAGUUUUAAAAUAAUAAAAAAGUCAAUUUUUUUAAUGAUAUUUGGUAGAUAGAUAUCCAUAUACAUACUGGAAAAGUACUUUUAGACUCGAUGCUAUUUAGAUUGAUAAAUAGAAAUUCAAAACAUCAUAAUGUAAUUUAUAACUUGAUGAACUAAAAUCAAUAAAUCAACCAAAAUAAAAAACAAUUAGGAUUAAGAGGCUAUGUAUUCUUGCAUUCAAGAAGAUUUGUUUUAAACAAAUAUUAUUUUCAUAUCAAUUAUUAGCUCAUCAAACUUUCUCUUAUUAAGAGUUCUUCAAAAGUAUUUUAAUUUAAAGGUUUUUCACAUUUUUUAUUUAUUUACUUUUUAAAUUUGGGAUUAAAAGGUUUUUCAUAUUUUUUAUUUUAUUUACUUUUUAAAUUUGGUGUGAAGUUUUUAUUUAAGUAAAUAAAUUGAGUUAAAUAUAAAUGUGUUUCGAUAAUAUGGGUCGGGUAUGAGUCGGGUAUGGGUCAGGUCAGAUAUGAGUCAUAAGAUUUACACUAUAAGAAUAUGGGUCAAAACGGGUUAAAUGGGUCAAAUAUGGGUCGACCCAUUUUCGACCCAACCCAUACCCGACCCGACCCACCCAUUUGCCACCUCUAGUGGUCACUAUUGCCCAUUGGUGUGGUAAUAUUUAAAAUAAGUCAGACAAGUGACACGAUCUCAACGGGCAAUGGAUACAUAAAUGGAGGCAACAUAUUGCUUAAUAAAUCAAUCUUCCAUAAAAAAGAUAAAAUCUAUAAAUCAUUCUUAGUGUCUCUGCCAUUUUCCUUAAAUUAAGCUAUCUGACAUGUACAUGUACUUCUCUUUUGUCUCAAUUAAGUUAUCAUCCAAUUGUUCUUUAAUGAAUCCAUGCAUUGAAACCAUAUAAUUUGCGUUUUUUAUUUUAUGCAGCUACCUUUACGGUUCUGCAAUUGGCAUGAAUGCGAAGGGCACGCCCUUACAUCCCCACUUGCCAUUGAACGGUUGGAUGUGCAUCCUGUAUUAGUCUAUCACCCCAUAAAUAAGUCUUAUAAUAUAGAAAUUAUUAUGAGUUGGGGAUAUGUAAUAAAUUGAAUCUGAAUUGUAGAAAAUGUUUGGGUCAUAUGUAAGUCACACCUAGAUCUUAUCAAAUUCGACAGUUGAAUAGCAUUAACAUCUUUACAAAGACCCAGCAAAUGACAUAAUACAUAUAGGUCAGGAUACUUUUCUCAAACAUGUCUGCACAUGUGCAAAGCUCCAGUAGUAACCUUAUUCGAUAAUUUCCAAACCCUCCACUUCAAGAUCCAUAAAACAAUAUUUAUCAUUUAGCAAUUGGUUUUUUCUUUUUUCCUCACAGCAAAAGAUGACUAAAUGAAUGAAGACUGAUUCAUUGAGAAAAUACUAAAACGCAUAUUAUCCGGGUUGUUAAUAAAUCAUGGAAGUUAAGAAGCUCAUGAAAAAGUGGAGCCGAUUGACAAGAGAUGGUGUACCAAAAAAAUCAAUAUCUAGGGAGGAAAAUCCAAGAGUAUACAGAAGAAAAAGAACAAAAAGGAAGAAGACAAGUUCAUGCUAUGCCAAAGUCUUCCAAGUUUUCCUUUGAAUGUACUUUCACAAUCACGUUGGAGAACCACUUUAAACACAAUCGACACUAGGAUUUCAAAUUUCCAAAGGAGCAGAGCAAAUCCGUGUGCAGAACGCAGCCAUUCAACUUCAAGAAUUGAGAAUCACAACUAUUAAAUGUACAAUGAGAAGGAAUUGAAGCAAGAAACCUGGAUUCAAUGCAAGACAAGCACGACAGAAGCAACGGAGAGAGAGGUGAGCAUGAAUAGAGGCGAUCGAACAGAGGCAACACAACAAAGGCAACUCGACCGGAGAGAGGCGACUGGACAAAGGAUUCAAGUUCGAGAAGUAAGAAUCAAAACUAGAAAAUGUACAACAAGAAGGAAUUAAAGCGAGAAACCUGGAUUCAAGGCGAGAGUAGCACGAGAGAAGUAAUGCGGAGAGAGGCGAGAAUGAGCAGAGGCAAUCGGACAGAGGCGACACGACUGGAGAGAGUUGACUGGACAAAGGCGAAGGUGAGCUGAGAAGAAAUGAAAGGCAACCUUCAGGUUUAAGAGUGAAAAAGAGACGAGAGGCAAUUUCAGGGUUUUCUCUAAAAAAGAAGCAGUUUCUUGUUUUUGUUCCUGGGAAUAGGAAUUAGGUUUUUAUUUUUUUUAUUUUUUUACUUCUUGCUCAUACUCUAAAUCUAUUCUCUAGCCAUUUUUUAUUCUAGGAAAUAGAAAAAUUAAUUAACGUUAUCAAACAGAUUUCUAUUAUUUUUUUAUUCCGGAGAACAAAAUAACAGAAAAAUAGAAAACUAGAAAUGUUAACAAAUGGAAACUAAGGGUCCAUUAGGAAAAUGAUUUGAGUACUCAUCGACCAAAAUAUGUGUCAUUUUUCAUUAAAUUUUCAAUUUCUACUUAAUCUAAAUUACUUGUUUUAUUUGACAAUCAAUAUAUCGGGCACUUUGCAACGGCUUUAGAAGAUCAUGGGUUACAUUGCAAAUUUUCUAAAAUUAGGAGGCAAUUUGUAAUGAUAUGAAAAUCUAAGGGAUAUAUUGCAAUUCUCCCGCAUUUGCUGGAUUUUUUUUUAUUUGAUAGGCUGGACUGGGCCAUAAUGUUGGCCCAAUUGGAAGGCUCGGUCUAGCUCUUGCCCGCUCAUCAUGUUUCUUCCAGUAUGAUCGAGUCCUCGACAAGUUCAAGCAUAGCUCACCCAAUAUAUCGAGCCUAAUUAAGAUUAAAAUAUUCCAACUGAAGCUGAUUCACUCUAAAAAGAGAACAUUUGCACUGUCCAAAAUAUAACAAAAGAAUUAUUUAUCAAUCAUACACUGAAAAUCACUAAUUCAUAUAAUAUCAAACUCAAAGGAUCACGUACGUGCCGAAAAUCUUAGGGUGCAAUAACCACAUGCUAUGUGCUCUGGCAAACCAGUUUCAUAAAUAUUUCGGCGGCACAUUGAAUCAAAUGUGGAAGGAAAGAAGAAAAUGAGAUGAAAGAAUUGGAGAUGAUGUGUUAUGGAUCAGCUAGUUUAGUAUUUGGGAAGAGAGCACUCCUUGGGCAGGUUGUUUUGGAACCUUGCAUUGUCUCCUGACCCAUUUGAACCACCUCCUCGUUGUUCCACCAGUUUGUGGGCUCUCGGCCUGCAAAACCUCGGAUUGCCCUUCCAGACACAGGCGCCAAUCUUGUAGUCCCCGAACGAGGCCACGGAGGGCCCUUCGACCAAUCGACCAUGUCACGCUUACCUCGUGUCCCCCAGAUGUCGCCAUCCCCUAGGGUGGCUUUGACACCCAUCUGUUGCCACUUAGGGAACGCCCACCCACUUGUCCGCGUGGUUUCGGUACGUCCAAGUCGGGAUCGAAUCCAUAAAGAAACUGCAAAGAGUUUUCCAUCCAUUAUUUCACGGAUGAUCAGAUUUUUCACGCAUUUAUUAACCCGCAGGUAAAUCCGCUCUUCGCGGUUGUCGAACUAGUCAGCAAAUACAUUGGUUUGGAGAAUGUAAGGCUGCCCGGACACGUCGCUGAGGAACUCGAAGUCUAUCUCGUCCCGUUCAGCUAAUCGGACAUCCACUGAAGUUUGAUCCCAAUCCAAAUCAACCAUGGAGACACAAGCCAAUGCAAGGUAUUUUAUCUUUAACCUUAUUUGUAUUAUUUGUCGAAUAUAAAGAUUACUUUAAAUAUACUAUUUUUUAUUUUUCGUUUUUAAAUUUGAAUUCAACUGGGGUUUGUACAGGAUUCUUCAUCAAGAAGCAGGUGUAUUGUGACACCCACUGAGGACCGCCCCACCUUCUCAACACUUAUAUCAUUGGUUGCUAACAAAACUGCAUUUAUUACUUUAAUGUGCCAAUACCCGUACAACCCAGCUUCCCAAAUUUGGUGUGGUAUCUUUAUCGAGCUCCAUACCUAACUCUACCCUCUAUGUGUUUUAUGUCCAAGGAUGCUGAGGUUUGCACGAGACCCAAAUGGAGCAAUUUAAGGACCUACUCAAGUCUGAACUCAACAUAUAUACAUCUGUGGCAAAUAAUCAAUAACCUGCCCAUAGCAAUUUAAGGCUAGUAAAACAAUGUAUUUAAUCAAUCAUAAUAUUGAGCUAAACUAUAAAUCUUACAAUUGAGGUUCAUCCAUUCCCCUGUUUUAAAGUCUAAACUAAAGUUGAGAUUCAAUAACAUCAAAAUCAUGUUAAGAUUCAACCAUUUCAUUUUAUUCUGAACACGCCAGGUUUAUAUAUAGUAUUUCAAGAACAGAUUUAAUAUCACAACCUCUAUGUCUAUUAUACUAAUUUAGACAUUCAAACGAGUUUUUUCUUGAGAAAACAUAUGAGAAUAACCCCACUAUUUAUACGUCAACGUAUUGAGGAUCAAUCUUAAGUAAAAUCAAGAAAACUCAAUCACAAUUUGUCCAAUUUCAAAUCUGGAAAAUCUGGACACCAGCUAUAUCUCAUGAAAAACCACUUAAAACACCCUGAAAUUAAUUAGACUUCCCUCCAAACUUCAUCCACACAUGGUAUCCACUCUCUAGGAAUCAAAGAUAUGAUGGACUAAUAUAUUUUCAUACAUGGCUCUUGGUCGGCCAAUUUCUAGGAAUCAAAUAAACCAUAUAAAAUUGUUAUAUAUUAUUUAAUUUAUAGAUACACUUUUAUUUCUUCGGCAUUUACAUAAUUUAUGUGAACAUGAGGUACUUUCCAAAUGUCCACUAAACAUUAUAUCCACAUGGUGCAACCCAAAAAACAAGCCUUCUUAUGCCAAAUCCCAACAGAUAUAUUCCUUUUAUCACAAUUGAAUAACAUCUUGAAUGGACAUUGACAUAUCACUAGGUGUCAAAAUAUUAGGAUAUUAUAGUUCCAGCCAGCAAACUUGUUAGUGAGUUGGCCUCACUAUUACAUAAGCAAAUCACCAACCAAGUAAUCUACCAUCUCUUCUAGGGAUCAUAAGUCCUAUAAUAGUACAUCAAACAUAUUAUAGAAUUAGUCCCACUAAUGUAACCAAGCGGUCAAACAUAAAAGAUUCUAGAGCUGACCCUCAUAGAUUCAAGAUCUGGUUCCUUCCACAUAGCACUUUACCCUUGUGAGUUUCAAAAAGUGGCUCCCAUGAGGUAACACUUUGUUAUACAUGGCAAUUAGUUUUACAGAUGAGCUACAAAGACUAAAAGCUUGAGUUCGCUUGGACUAGGCUAGCCUGAAUUUUCGAGCUCAAAUAGGUCAGUGCCGUGAUUUCAAGGACCAUUUUAGGCUUUAACAUCUCUGGCCUGGAUUGGCCUGAACAAUUACUAUAAAUUAAAAUUUAAAAUAUAUAUUAAAUAAAAAUAUAAAAAGAAAUAGUAGAAAGUAUACUUAAAGCACUUUGUCACGACCCAAUUUUUCGGAUGUGAACUACCUAGGGUUUGGUUAAUGGAUUGUUAAGCCUAGAUUUAACUCGGACUCUCUCAAGCCCAUACCAAUUCGCAACUUUAGGUUCAAGUUCUUAACAUGCAAUUGAUUUUCAAUCAGGAGUCGCCACUAAUAUAUUUUUUGGUGAGUCGAUUAGAAACCCAAGUAAAGUAAUGAGAGAUUCACUUUACUCCUAUGAACCAUAGACUAUGGGUAUGGUGACUUGAUUACGUUAGAUUUCUCUAACGCCCUUUCGGUACCAUUUCCUUUAUUUUGAAAAAAAUGUUUUGCAGGCAACUUGAAUUGAUUUUAAACUAUCUCCCUAACAUGUGAGGUUAUCAUACAGGUGCGCAAACCACCAAUUUAACACCCAAGAAAGCAAUUAAAUAAUGCAGGACUUACCUCAAAGCAACGAAAGCAUCUGCAGUGUUAAAUUAAAAUCCACAUCAACAACCCUAGAUAUGAUUUCUAAUUAACACGCAAUUUCUUUUUUUGUUUUCACUUUUUAACGAGGCUAUAAUCCAUAUGCAAUGCAAUGCAAUGCUUUUAAUAUAAUAUGAAAUGAUAUGGCAUGGCAACAUGUCCUAAACUAUAUGAAUAAAAUUAAAAAAUUUAUGAUCUCUUAAUGAACAUGCAAUUGUUAAAUAUGCAAUCUAAAUUAACCAAAAUGAUUUAAUUCUAAUGACGUGCAAUGCAAUGCAAUGACGUACAAAAUGCAAUGCAAUGAUGUACAAAAUUAUUUCAACUAAAAUGACAUGCAACAUGCAAUUUAAUAUGAGGAGAAACGGUAGAUUUUGUUUUUUUCCCUUUUCUUCCUCUCUCCUCUGCUCUCCCUGUACCUCUCUGUGCACACUUUUACUUUUCCUUUUCAGCCUUUUUAUGAAGGAAAAAGAAACCUAGGGAAAGACCUCUUCUGUUCUUUUUCUUUCGACCAAGAGAAACGUAGAAAAGGCCCCCCCUUUUAACUUUUUCCGUGCACUCCUUAUAUAAGGAAAACAAAAUGCAAUCUUUUGUAAAUAUUUCAUCUCUUAUGAAAAUUGCUUAUAACCCUUACGAUCACAAAAAUCCUUUUCCUUAUCUCCCGAAUAUCUUCUACUGAUUUUUAAAGAUAAGAUUGCAAUCCGAUUUUCUUAAAUUCCAAAAAUCCUUAUUUCAAAUCUUAAUUUUAGAAAACGGGCUCGGGCCAAUUUGUAUUCUUCAUGGGCUUAGUCCAGCCUGUUAAUUUAAAACCCAAAACCACUAAUCGACCAAUCCGCCAUCGGUCCAGUAAAUGCAAAUAAAAAAUAAAUGCACCUACAACUAAAUGCUAUGCAAUUAAUUAAUAUUUUUUAGGGGUUAAAAUUAAUCCAUAAUUUCUUAAUGCGAUAAAUGACUAAACGGGUAGCCAAAAUUUAGGUGUCAACACACUUCAACAAAGUCAAUAUAUAAAACAAAGUAAUUUUUUGGGCCCAAAAUAAUAACCAAUCUUUUUAAAGGAAAAUCAAGCUAGCCCUAAACCGGCUUAGAGCCAAAAAAGCAUUGAAGCUAGCCCUCUCGAUCCAUGCUUACUCCUCCUACUUAGUUCAUACUUGUUAUUCCAUUUCACACAUGAUGAAUGCAUAUUAACACAUCAAAUCCGAUUUACAUGAAGAAUAUGAUAUACAAUUUACAAAUACUUAAAGACAUUAAAAUCCAUAAACUCAAUCAAUCAACAUUUCUAUCUAAUUCAAGAAACACAAACUGAAUGCUGCACUAGCCUCUUUAGCGGUGGAUCAUUGCAUUGAUUAGUCAUGAGCCACAUGUAAAUUAAGAGCAUCCCAUGGGUCCACCAAUUAUAAAAACUAUUCCCGGCUAAGCUUAUAUGUAGGUGGCGUCCAAAACCUCAUGAUUGUGAACGAUUUAUCUUUAAACUAAAAUUGGGGACAUAAGUAUGAAUUAUGAAAUACUAUUUAAUAGCUAUUAGAAUAGCGUGGCGGCUGGACAUAUGGAUAGUGUAUAUAUUGAUUACUCAUUUGAUAGAAUGGUGAGUCUUUUGUCUCUAUGGACUUGUUAAUCCGCACAUAAUUAACGAUGUAUAAAUAGACUAAACAAGUCCAUCACUGCUUAAUGAAGUCAAUAGGAUAUGAUGGAGGAAAACCACUUUGUUUAAUUGACGGAACAAGUCCCAUAAUUAUAUGGAACCUUUAAAAGUGUUUCCUAUUAGACAGCGUUAUGUUAUUUAUUGAUAUAGACUUGUCACAGUUGGAAAAGUCAUCCCUGAGGAUUUUAUGUACUUGGAUAUAAGCACCUACGAUAAAUUUUCAAGUUGUCUCAAAUUAUGAUGUUUAAAAAAUUAAGACACGAGAACACGCCAAAAUUUGCGGUCAAUGAAUUCUGAUUUAUAAGUUUUACACUUGUGAAGUCAAUUGUUGGAAUCGAUAUGAGUUUGUUGUAUAUGACUAAGUGGAUAAAAUGAUUAACCUAUAAUUUGGGAAAGUAUUGCGAAAGCUCUAGAAAUCUUGACUGUUGGGACGGCAUAAUACAAGUUUUUCAUCUGGAAAAUAGAAAAAUAAAAAAAGAGUUCAAGUCCGAACCAUUAACAAAUUCUGGUGGAAGAUGACAAUGUUUAUUCAUUUUAUUGGCAAAUCAUGGUUCUUACGUUCAGCAGAACUGCAUGCAUGUUAAAAAAAUUAAUAAUCAUCUUCGUCCUUCGUAUUUUAACAUUACAUUCAAUCUGCUUCAAUGAAAUUUUUUGAUGUAAAAUAAUUGAUAAAUUUUUUUUAUGUAAAUUACGAGAGAACAUACUUUAUAUUUAUGUCUAAAAAGGCCUAAUGAAAUUCCAAGUUUAAGACAGGAUAUAGAUAAACUAAUAGGAAACUACUACAUAUUAUUUAUCUAAGUGGAUAACCACUAAAAAAUUGAAACAAAUCCCCCGAUAUCCUAACGUAGUUAUUAAAAUAAAAAGACAAGGAAAUGAAGUCUACCGCUGGCUACCACAAUGACGACCAUCAUCUCCCUCCCUCCAAUUGACAGCCUCUUACAACCUCAACCCGGGCUAAUACCAUAGAUCGAGCAAGAACUACCUCUUCCUCCCGCCAUGCAUGUAAUAACCUUCCUUUUUUAGAAGACAGAAUCGACCGCGCUCAAAAUAAACCCACUUAAUUAAUGAGACAACUUAUUAGUAGUUUUCUUUUAUAUGCCUACCAUGCUCGUCCGCUAGACAAGACUUUAGACAAAGCUCAAGUGAUUAGAGCAUUAUUCAUAUGAUGCUCUAACUUUUAGAUGCAAAAUGUUUAAUAAACUUUUUGAUUCGAUAACUUUUAGAUGCAAAAUGUUUGAUAUGGACCAAAAAGAUUAAUGCGAAACACUUUAAUGUUUCAUAUGUACACAUCUAACUACCUCACGUGUUAUUCAACCAGCUAUUGCAUGAUAAUUACCAUCAUUGGUGUACGUAAUUAGGUCCAAUCUCUCGGGAUGGUUGAAUCAAACAUGGACUUCUUGUUAAACAUACGUGACAAAAUAUUUCAGCCAUGUCACGUUCGUACUUUGUAUUCUCUAGGCCUCACACAAUGGGAGCAUGGGUGAAAAUCUAGAGUUUUCGACACCUGAUCAUCAGAUCUGAAAAUAGACAAAAAAAAAAAAAAAUUCCUACUAGACCGUUAUAGUGCAUUGUAAAAUUAUAAGUAUAUGAGAGAAAAACCAAUUCUUCGCAUCAUCUAUCGUUAUGGUUAUCUUAAAUUUCAGGCGUAAAGUUCAUGGUUUUCAAAUCCUCAUGAAUCAUGAAAAAAACAUACAUAGCUUUAAGGAGAAUUUAUGCAAUCUGUUCGAACUAAGGGGAUAGAGGGGCAUGUAUUUGUCCCCAAACUAUCAAUCUGUUUAUGUUGUCUCUUGAGUUCUCAAGUCAGUGGUUAACGCAAAAUCAGACAAAGUUCUGAGGACAUAACAAAGUGAAAGUUUAGGAUCGACGUUUAAAAGUUCAUAACAAAGUGCAUGUCACUUCCAAAAUUUAGAGGGCUUACAUAAUUUUUCCUUAAUUAAAAACAGAGAUAAAGGAUGUAAAGCAGAUAAUGAAAUUGUAAGGGGAGAAACUAUCAAAUGAGCGUGGCAUCGACACUAAAUUGAGCCAUAUUAUUGAAAACGGUCCGUUCCAUGUUUGCAGGUCUCCCAUUGCACUCAUCAAAUUUGAUGAUUUAAAUUCAGUUUAGUACAUAUUGUUGAUACCUAAAUUUUAACAUCCCAUUUAGUAAUAUUGCAUAGUAAAUUAGGAAUUGACCUAGUCCCCUGAAAAAAGAUAUUAAGUUAAAUUGCAUAUAAACUUUAGGAGCAUUUGUUAUUUAGUUUAUAUUUUUUUAUUAUUAUAUUUGCAUUAGAUCGGUAAUGGAUGGGUUUGAAUCAAUGGUUCUUUGCUUGAAUUUAACGAGUUGGAAUAAGUCUGAGGUGAAAGAGAAUGUGGCAAAGCCCGUCAUUCUUUAAUGGCUGAAAAUUAACUUUUGAGGAGUGUUGGAAGAUUGGUUUAAUUUGAAAAAGAUUGAUAUUAUUCUUACAGUAAUAAUUUAAGAGCAUAGGAGGAAAAUUUGGCCAACGAAAAGAAACAAAAGAAAGAAUGAUUUGGUGCCGUGCUUUUAUAGACCUUCGUGGUCAAGAGGAAUCGUUCUUUAAGCAAAAAUCAAGGAUUAGAUGGCUGAAGGAAGGAGAUCGCAACACAAAAUUCUUCCACAACUGUGUUAAAGCUAGACAUCUCAAUAACCGUAUCCUCUCUGUCAAGGACACUGCAGGUACGGUGAUUUCGGAUCCUGAUUUGGUGCCUCAAGUUUUUCUAUCUUUCUUUUCGGAUCUGCUUGCUCCUAGAGUUGGCUUAGCAAAGCCAGAUAUUCAAGAGCUUACUUCUCUCAUUCGAAAGCCGUUAUCUGAUAGCCAGGUAUGUGCCCUAGCUUUGCCUGUCUCUGAUUUGGAAAUCAAGAGGACCUUGUUCUCACUUGCAAAGGGAAAAGCCCCCGGUCCAGAUGGUUUUACAGUAGAAUUCUUUAAAAGUAACUGGGGUAUCGUGGGCUCUUUAGUUACAGAGGCUGUGAAAGAUUUCUUUUCAGUAGGUUCUCUUCUUAAAGAAGUCAAUGCGACCAUCCUAACUUUAAUUCCCAAGGUGCCGAAUGCUUGUGAAGUUAACGACUUCAGACCGAUUGCUUGCUGCAACACUAUUUACAAACUUAUCACCAAGAUUUUGGCCAAUAGAAUUGCGCCUGUACUUCAGGAUAUUGUUAGUCCAUCCCAGAAUGCGUUUGUGAAGGGUAGAAGAAUAAGGGAUAAUAUCUUAUUGGCUCAAGAGCUAUUUGCAGGCUUCCACUUAGACCCAUACCUCCCAAGAUGUGCAGUCAAAGUGGAUUUUCGCAAGGCCUAUGACACUAUUGACUGGGAUUUCCUAGAGCUUACCCUUACUGCCUUCCGGUUUCCUCUGUGGAUUAUUAGCCGGAUCAUGGCUUGUGUACGCACACCCAGAUUCUCUAUCUCUAUUAAUGGGGAGCUUCAUGGUUUCUUCCCUGGAGGCAGAGGCCUUAGGCAGGGCAACCCAAUGUCACCUUAUCUAUUCACGUUGAUCAUGGAAAUCUUCUCAGGAAUUUUGAACCAAAGGUCUUCGGCUAAAGAGUUCAAAUAUUAUUGGAGAUGUAAGUCUCCCAAGCUCACUCAUCUGUUUUUUGCAGACGAUGUGUUCCUUUUUUGCCAAGCAGAUUGGAAAUCGGCUGUGAUCCUUAAAAGAAGCCUCGACAUCUUCUCUUCAUGGAGUGGUCUUAUCCCCAACAAAAAUAAGAGUGACAUCUUUCUUUCGGGAGGUGAUCCUGCUUUGUGCAAUAGAAUCCUCCAAGAAUUUGGCUUUCAGGAAGGUAAACUUCCGAUUUGAUAUCUUGGAGUGCCGAUCAUCUCUAAGAGGUUGACUAAGGCUGAUUGUACCCAGUUAAUUGAUCGCAUUACCGCGAGAGCCCGCUCCUGGUCCCACAGGUUCCUUUCUUUUGCUGGAAGACUUCAGCUCAUAAGGUCAGUGCUUCAUGCUAUUCAGACUUUUUAGGCUAGUGUAUUCACUUUGCCCUCUUCGGUUAUCUUGGGUAUUGAAAGCAUUCUUCGUAGAUUUCUUUAGAAAGGCACCUCCUUGGAUAAGGGAGGUGCCAAAGUCUCAUGGGCGGAAGUUUGUUUGCCUAAGGAGGAAGGGGGCUUGGGGAUUCGGUCUAUCAAGGACUGUAACAAAGCCUCAAUGCUGAAAUUUAUUUGGAUCCUCUUUACGAAUAAGGAAUCGCUGUGGUGCCGAUGGAUACACUCCAACUUUUUAAAGAAGCAUAACUUCCGGGUUGCCACUCAGCCUUCGGUUUGUUCCUGGAAUUGGAAGAAGAUCCUUCAUCUUCGGGGCUGUUGUAGACAAUCCUUUGAAUGGAAGGUCGGAGACGGCCGAUCUACAUCAUUGUGGUUCGAUAGCUGGUUGCCUUGUGGCCCUCUUCAUCUACAAGUUCCUCAAUCGUUUUUGUUGGACCCUGACGUUCCUACAAAGGCUACUGUGGCUUUUUUAUAUUCUUAUGCUGGUAGAUCCUGUAAGUCUCGGUUAGAGGAUUAUGGUUUCUCGCUUCCUCCUCAUUCGGUUGAUAACGAUCGUUUUGUGUGGCGUCAAGAUUCCUCGGGGGCCUUCUCCGUUGCUUCUGCUUGGAACGUCAUCAGAACUUCUAAAGCCAAAGCACCUUGGACUCUUUUUGUGUGGGAUAAGGAUGUUGCCCCUCGGUUUCAAUUCCUUUUGUGGCUUAUUACUAAAGACCGCUUGCCUACGCAGUCCCUUCUCCUCUCAUAUGGAAGGAUUGAGUACUCAGCUUGCACUUUUUGUAAUACUCAGCCAGACUCGACUAACCAUUUGUACUUUGAUUGCAAUAUCUCAACUACCAUUAUCUACUUUUGGGCAACUAGGUGCAAUUUGCCUUGGAGGAACGGUACUUGGGCGGAAAACCUUGCUUGGGCUAUGAAAUUCCUUGCGGGUAAGGACUUCUUUCAUAGGCUAUCCCGCUAUUCCUUUGGAGCUCUUUGCUACCUAAUUUGGAAGAAGAGAAAUGCCAUGAUUUUCCGUGGGGAAUCUCUUGAUAUCCCCGCUUUGAAGAAUCAUUUGAUAAAGAUGGUUAAAGAUAAAGCAAUUACCUACAAGGAUGUUCCUGACAAUCCAAGGAAUCGGCAUCUUCAAAGGGGUUGGAAUCUCGACCCUAGUAUCUUCACAUAAAGAUGGUUAAAGAUAAAGCAAUUACCUACAAGGAUGUUCCUGACAAUCCAAGGAAUCGGCAUCUUCAAAGGGGUUGGAAUCUCGACCCUAGUAUCUUCACGUAACCCCUUGGGUGUUAUCUUUGGAUCUUGCUCGUUCUCAUGUGCGGGUGUCUGGCUCCCGGAUUCCCUGGCGUCCUUUGAGUCCGGUGGUUGUUUCUGGUGGUUGUGUUGUGUUGUUUGUUUACUGCGUUCUUUCUUUCCUUGCCUCUUGAGGCUUUUGCGCGGUUCCCUUCCACUCUUUUGCACGCAGUGAGAGUGUAAGUUUUGGUGCCGCUUGUGUACAUUUGUCCUUUGUCUUUCAAUAUAUUCUUACCUUACCAAAAAAAAAAAAAAAGAAUGAAAUGGUGGUUAAUCUAAUUUUAUCUCUUCUGUAUAUUCAUGCAAUUUAAGGGAAAUAAAGAUAGAAAAAUAAGAGGAAAGUGUGCUAAGGCAGAAUCAGCGGACAUGGGCAUAUACAUAUAUAGCUAUAUGUCUCGUUUUGACGCGUCCAUGCUCGUGGCAGAAAGGAAGGUUUCAGAUGAGCAAUAUUGAAAAAUAAAAUGGAAUGAUGCAUGUGGGGGAUAUAUUUGGUGUCACUCUUUAGGCAACAUAUAUUUUGGUUAAUAAAAGAAACACAAACGCAAGAAAAGAGGUCUUCAAUCCUCAGUAGAAGUGAGCAGAAAGGAAGGAAAACAAAAUGAAAGUGAGAAGAUUGUGUCUUGACCGUACCAGACGUGAUUGGAAGGAGGAAAGAAAUUUUGUUUCUUCCUUUGGCGGGGUCUCUUUUUCCAUUCCGACACAGGCAAGGAAUAGACAAUAGAGGGAGAGGAAAUGUAUAGAGAGUUGUCUCGGCCACACUCUCCGCUGUGUCAUCACCGUCGUCGGUGCUGCUGCUCGCUGUUUUGCUGAGCAUGACAAUGCCAAACCUGCCGCUGCAUGACAACAACGAGCCGCUGCUCCUCAUCGCUCGAACACCAUGCGCCUGAGCUACUGCUGCUUAAGCUCACCACCGAUCUGCUGCUGUCCCAUGGAGUCCCGACGACGCUGUUGUUGCCGAUCAACUGCCUGCUGUGGUUGUCAGUGAGCCAGGGAGACCCGAUCCUUGCUGCACGGAAAAGCCACAACCUUUACCACGACAAACCUUUGAGCCGUUCCGAAGAAUUUCAAGGCGGUGUUCGAGUUCCUCUAAGCUUUGAGCCACUACCUGUUCACGUGAUUCCUUACGCUUGACCAACAUUCGACACAUGAGGGGAGGAAAUCGGGAACAAAGACAGAUCCACUCACAUUGGUCACGUACAGAAUACGCCCGAGAAAGAGAUAACAAAAAGGGAGAUUUUGAUGUCAUGCUCUGCGAGUUCUGAGUGUCAUUGUUAUCCAGGUUGCCGUGCUAUUAUUCUUCUCGUGCAACCACCGUUCAAACCCGCCGCUGUUCAAGUUGGAAACCAUAUCUUCAAAUUAGGUGACAAAUCCUAUCUAAAUUUGAAUUAUUAAUUACCUAAUUGGAAUAUAUUGUGAUCUUAAUUAGACGUCUUGAAGAUAUGCCAUAAACAAAAGAUUUUUCAAGUAUUUGUGAAUUAGGAUAAUUUCUUAAUUUUACAAUAUGCAAUGAUCAAUAGUCUGAUUUUAUGGUCCAAAUACGACUCGCGAUCAUGUGAAAAACUGGCCAAUCUAAUCUCAUGCCCAAUAUACAAUUGGUUGAUUUUACUUAUUUCCAAAUUUAGAUGGGUAUGGAUCAUAUCUUGAGUGAUAGAUGCUUUCCAUUGCUUGAUUUUAUUUGAUUUUACUUAUUUCCAAAUUGCUUGAUUUUAUUUUUAUUUUUUAUCUAAAAAAUCGAAAAAGAUUAGAUACAAUUAAAGUAGAUAUUUUUUAGGGUCUGCAUGUUUAUUUUGAUUAUUUUAUAAUUUCAAAUUUAAAUAAAAAAUCACAUGCAUAUCAUGUAGAUUAAUUGCAUCAUGCCUACAUCAUCGCCACUAUGUCAUUACUACAUGUCACGUGCAUCGUGUUGUGUGUCAUCUUACCAUGUCAUCGUAUGCGAUUUCAUUUGCUAUGUCAUUGUAUGCGGUGUCAUUGUGCCACACCAUAUGUCAUAUCAUCAUAUAUGUCACGUCAUUGCUUGCAUGUCAUGUACUGAUCUAUAUGUUUUGGUCAUUUAAUUAAAAAAUCACCUGUCAUAAAAUUUUGCAUGUUAAGUUUAUUUAUUUCGGAAAUUCUAUGUCGAGGUUCAUCUAAUUAAAUUGCAUGUUAUGUAGACUAGUUUAAUUAGGACCGAAUGUCGAUUUUGCCUAUCAUUAAAAAGUUGCAUGUUUAGGUUUGUAUACUUAGGAAAUAUUGUGUCACGCUAGAAUAAUAUAUUUAAUCGUCAUUAGAAUUAGGAUAUUUAAAUAAGUUAUGUCACAUGUCAUGUUAGAUUAGUAGAAUGCAUUGCAUAAAGCAUUAUCUUGAUUAAACAAGUUUAAAAAAAACAUUUGAGAGAAAUUGCAUGUUAAUCAGAAAUCAUAUUAGGUUGCUAAUGUCAUUUUCUAACUAACUACAUAUACUUUCGUAGCUUCAAGAUGAGUAAUUUUUCAAUUUCCUUGCAAUUUAUCUAAUGCUUUGAUUGUUGAGUGUUAAAUAAUGGUUGCACACUUGCUUCGCAUGUGAGUGAAUUACAAUCAAUACAAACUGCCUAUGAUAUAUUUUUCUAAAAUAGAAGAGAAAAUGUAUCGAAAGGGCAUUACAGAAAUCUAGGGUAAUCAAAUACUCGUACCCACAAUUUCUAGUUCAUAGAACUAAAGUAAUUCUCCCGUCACUUUAUUUGGGUUUCUAAUUAAUCAACCGAAAAUAGAUUAAUGGCAACUUCUACUUAUAAAUUAUUUACUUGUUAAGAACUUAAACCCUAAGUCGUAAAUUAAUAUGGAUAUGAUGGAGCUUGAGUUAACUUUAAGCUUAAUAAUUUAUUAGCCAAAUCCCUAGAUAGGGGUGAUCGGUUCCCGGUUCGGUUCGGUUCCAAGGUGGAACCGGGAACUGGACUGGGAAAACCGGUUCCCAAUUUUGGGAACUGUGGACCGGACCAUUGGUUCUGGUCCAGUCCGGUUCGGUCCAAUAGGAUCGGCACUUUCUUUUUUCACUAAAUAACGACCAUUCAUUAAAGAACAAUCAUGCUUCGGACUGAUCAAUCCAAUUCGGUUCCCGGACAAUCUAAUAAAACUACUCACACAUGUUUUCACAUGCAAAAUAUUCAAACUUCACUUGUGUGAAUAUUAAUCAUAAUUUAUGUGUUUCACUCUUAAUUUUAAGCAUAAAAGCCAUGAACAAUUUGAGUAUAAUCUGUGCUUGGCUUAGGUUUCACUCUUAAUUUUAAGUAUAAAAGCCAUGAACAAUUUGAGUAUAAUUUGUGCUUGGCUUAGAUUUUAUAGACAAUCUCUCUUCUAUACUUUGAAUAUUUAGUCGAUGUUAGACUCUUUGAGACUUGAAGUGCCUUGUCAUUUGCAAGUGAGGGGAGCAAGAGAGAGAGUGAGCAUGAGGAACUCCUAGAGCCUUAUCCCAAUCGAGGAGAAGAUAAAACUAACAAAUAAGUUUUUUAAGAGCUUUGGUGGUCUCUUGACCACAUAAGAGGUUGUUACCUUAAUUGCAAUUCCGAUUGCAACAAGUUUCAUAUAUAAUAUUCAUAUACUAUAUGUGUUUAUAUAUUAUAUGUAUAUAAAUUAUAUAUAAAAAAUUUCGUCUAGUCCAAUCAGUCUGGUUGGUCCGAUUCCCACUUUGGAAUCGAGAACCGGACCGCCGACCGUGGGAACCGCCCAAAACCGGCCGGUCCAGUUAAGUCCGGUCUGGUCCUAGUUCGGGCAGUUUCCGUUGCACACCCCUAUCCCUAGGUGAUGCACCCACUUUGGGGAGGUCGCGACACAUAAGUUAGAUAUAGUUAUUAUUUUCCGAUGGGAGAUAUUAUCAUUAUCAUCAGUAUCGCAUGGACUAUUUUCCGCAAUUAAGGAGGACCAAACAAAGCAGGAAAAGAAUAAGAGAAAGAUAACAAAAACCACCAAAUGCAUCCGGCGAUGCUGCUUGUCCCAUCGUUGACUUCUCUCUCUCUCUCUCUCUCUCUCUUUUAAGACAUUUUUUCCGUUGACAUUUUUGUUCAAGCCUGACAACCAGAAGUGGGAGGUGAGCAGUCGGUUAUUAGGCUUGAGCUAAGCUUCCUCACCUUGCGGUGGUUUUGACAUCACCGUACCUCCCCUGGACGCGAAAAGUUAUUAUAAUCCCCUAUUUGAUGGUAGCUAGUAUCAAAAUAUUAACACAUAGUCUAUCUUACCACCAAUAGACCCCUUGAUUCUAACCCAAGCUUUUCUUCUUGGGUGGAUAGGAAUACAAGAUGUGACAUUGCAGGGUCUCUCACCCCACUUUCCUGUUUCUUCUCCCUUAAUAAUAAGGAAGUUGUGCCGUUGAUGUUUUAUAACAUAUUUGAAAUGCUAGGCGGCAUCUAUCUCCGGCAUUUUGGCAACCAAACAAAUUGCAAUCCCAUGCCUGCAAUCUACGUGUCCUAUGCCUCCAAUAUUUCGUCUUUUAAAUUCUAUUGCAUAUUCUUUUUCUUCCCUUCUUUUCGUCUAAAUAUGAUGAGGAACCGCAAAUUCCAAUCUAUAGAAUAUCUGACUAACCUCAAUAAUCAGAUAAGACAUGGAUCAAGACAUCAAACAAGCAACCCGAACAUGAGAUUAUUUAUACUAGUAACUUACGGAUUUGAGCUAAUGUCUUGCUUUUGAUCCACACCUUUGGGUCUAUUCUUUUGUCACUAAGCCAAAAUGAGGAAUUGCAUGUAACCUUUUCUGCAAUCGAUUGUAAUGUUUUUUCCUGAAAUGGCGGGUCUCCAUCGGUCGUGCCCUAAAGCAAGAAGUUUAAUUGUGACAUUAUUCCUGAAAUUGCAUAAAGCCACUUUAUUAUAAGUUCCAUUAGGUCAAUAAGUUACUGUCGUCUUUGUCAGUCGUGCCCUAGGACACUCCCGUUUUAGUUCUUAUUAAUUUGUAUUAACAUCAAAACACAUCAUCUACAACUUUGGUUAAAAAAAUUUAGUGAUUGACUUAAGAAAAAAGUGUCAAUUGAUGUUAUAAAUUAAUCGUAAACAUGAUCAUAAGUUUGACAACUUACAGGUAUUCCUAUAAAAUGGGAGGUUUGACUGAAAAUUUUGCGCUUUUCGGCGGGCUCAAGCAAUGCAUUCUAGGGCCUUGUUAGUGAGUGCCCUAGGCCUAAGCAAUGGCUUUGAGGCUUGGCUUAGUUCGCCCAUUAAUUUAUUAAAAAUUACAUCGAUAAAAUAUUUAUUUUAGUUUAUCUACCUCAAAAUACAAACUUGGUAAAUAUUGAAAGUGAAAGUGGAAGUAAGGCUUAAAACAGAAGAAGAAAAGUAUUUCAUAACACAAUUAAAGUACAAUACCAAAAAAUUAUGGAAUUAUUAUCUAAUUAUGUUUCCAAUUUAUCUAUUUUUUAGCUCAGCUUUUUUUGCUUUAAAAAGCAAGACAUUCCCCAUGUGAUUGAGCCAAUGAAUUCAAGUGAGUGAGCUUGGUACUUGUCAAAACCCACUGGAUUGGGUUUGGACAUGGCCCAUAAAAGCUCGAACCAAACUUGUUCAGUGAUAAGGUCUAAUUAAGUGUAUCUUGUCACACCAUUUUCAGGUAUGUUUUCCUCUGUAUCCGAUGAUUUAGUGUUCGUGUCAUAUGAAAGCGCCACUACCAGCCCUAAGAAAGGAUGGAAUAGGUCCGUUGACCAUGUAAAAAGUACUUAAAAGUCAUAAACUUAUGGCAUUGAUAUCAAUUCAGUUAUAAACUUUUUAAUUAGAUCAAUUUAGUUCUAAAAUUUUUCACAUUAAUAUAAAUUUAGUCAAUCCGAUCAAUUUUACCCUUGCGAUGCUAAUGUGUGGCCAAUGAAUGCUGACAUGGCAAUUGCCCCACUAGCUCGAAGGAACUCCUUUGUUUUGGAUUUCAAUUGCAGCUGCUACUUCCUUUCAAUUUAGCCAAAUUUUGACCUUUUGUUUAGUCCGAUUUCAUGGCCAAUGUAAGGUUAAGGUGACGAGACUUAGUGGGCCACAGUGGCGCCAGGAGUUCCUUCGAGCUUUGAGGGCCUUAAGAGUUCCGUCACUCCAAAUCUUCUGUUGUGGGGCCUGAGGUAUUAAAAAUUACCUUGUCUCUAAUCACCAGAUGCAAUGAAAUGAAUGCAAAAUCUGGUGGGGUCGGUGUUUUUUGAGGGAUCGAAUUUCACCGUUAUCGGUUAAUUUGAUUCCUAUUGUUUUUUUUUAUAUAUAAUAUUCAUGAUCGUGGGCAUAUACAUAUAUAGAGUGAUAUGUCUCGUUUUGACGCGUCCAUGCUCGUGGCAGAAAGGAAGGUUUCAGAUGAGUAAUAUUGGAAAAUAAAAGGGAAUGAUGCAUGUGGGGGAUAUAUUUGGUGUCACUCUUUAGGCAACAUAUAUUUUGGUUAAUAAAAGAAACACCAACGCAAGAAAAGAGGUCUUCAAUCCUCAGUAGGCGUGAGCAGAAAGGAAGGAAAACAAAAUGAAAGUAAGGAGAUUGUGUCUUGACCGAACAGACGUGAUUGGAAGGAGGAAAGAAAUUUAGUUUCUUCCUUUGGCGGGGUCUCUUUUUCCAGUCCGACACAGGCAAGGAAUAGACAACAGAGGGAGAGGAAAGGUAUAGAGAGUUGUCUCGGCCACACUCUCCGCUGUGUCAUCACCGUCGUCGCUGCUGCUGCUGCUCGCUGUUUUUCUGAGCGUGACAAUGCCAAACCCGCCACUGCAUGACAACAACGAGCCGCUACUCCUCAUCGCCCGAACACCAUGCGCCCGAGCUACUGCUGCUUAAGCUCACCACCGAUCUGCUGCUGUCCCGUGGAGUCCCGAUGACGCUUUUAUUGCCAAUCAACCGCCUGCUGUGGUUGUCAGUGAGCCACAGAGACCCGAUCCUUGUUGCACGGAAAAGCCACGACCUUUACCACGACAAAGCUUUGAGCCGUUCCGAAGAAUUUCAAGGCGGUGUUCGAGUUCCUCUAAGCUUUGAGCCACUACCUGUUCACGUGAUUCCUUACGCUUGACCAACAUUCGACACCUGAGGGGAGGAAAUCGGGAACAGAGAGAGAUCCACUCACAUUGGUCACGUACAGAAUACGCCCGAGAAAGAGAUAACAAAAAAUGAAAUUUUGAUGUUGUCAUGCUCGGCGAGUUCUGAGUGUCAUUGUUAUCCAGGUUGCUCUGCUAUUAUUCUUCUUGCAUAUUGCUGGCCUUGUGCAUCUCCAUCAUUGCGAAUCACCACCAGUAAGCAUCACCGCGGUUGUCCAAAGCCGUGACCCGAGACACCCGCCGCCGGUCACACCGUCUAUCGUUGUGAACAGCCACGCAACCACCGUUCAAACCCGCCGCUGUUCAAGUUGGAACCAUAUCUUCAAAUUAGGUGACAAAUCCUAUCCAAAUUUGAAUUAUUAAUUACCUAAUUUAAAUAUAUUGUGAUCUUAAUUAGACGUCUUUAAGAUAUGCCAUAAACAAAAGAUUUUUCAAGUAUUCGUGAAUUAGGAUAAUUUCUUAAUUUUACAAUAUGCAAUGAUCAAUAGUCUGAUUUUAUACCACUGGCCGCAGUGGCUCCGUUGGAUAAGAACUUCGCUGAUCCUUACCCAAAGGUGAGGAGUUCGAAACCUAGUGGCGGCACUUGGUGUCUUACACGGGAUGUUGGGGUGGUGGGUCCUUAGCUAGCGUCCCCCUAGGUUUGCUUGGUCGGCUGCCACUAUAUAGGGUUUCUGGGUCAUAAAAAAAAAAAAAAAGUCUAAUUUUAUGGUCCAAAUACGACUCACGAUCAUGUGAAAAACCCGCCAAUCUAAUCUCAUGCCCAAUAUAAAAUUGGUUGAUUUUACUUAUUUCCAAAUUUAGAUGGGUAUGGAUGAUAUCUUGGGUGAUAGAUGUUUUCCAUUGCUUGAUUUUAUUUGAUUUGAUUUUUAUUUUUUAUCUAAAAAAUCGAAAAAUAUUAUAUACAAUUAAAGUAGAUUAUUUUUUAGGGUCUGCAUGUUUAUUUUGAUUAUUUUAUAAUUUCAAAUUUAAAUAAAAAAUCACAUGCAUAUCAUGUAGAUUAAUUGCAUCAUGCCUACAUCAUUGCCACUAUGUCAUUACUACGUGUCACGUGCACCGUGUUGUGUAUCAUCUUACCAUGUCAUUCAUUGUAUGUGAUGUCAUUUGCUAUGUCAUUGUAUGUGGUGUCAUUGUGCCACACCGUAUGUCAUAUCAUCAUAUAUGUCACGUCAUUGCUUGCAUGUCAUGUACUGAUCUAUAUGUUUUGGUCAUUUAAUUAAAAAAUCACCUGUCAUAAAAGUUUGCAUGUUAAGUUUAUUUAUUUCAGAAAUUAUAUGUCGAGGUUCAUCUAAUUAAAUUGCAUGUUAAGUUUAUUUAUUUCAGAAAUUAUAUGUCGAGGUUCAUCUAAUUAAAUUGCAUGUUAUGUAGACUAGUUUAAUUAGGAGUGCAUGUCAAUUUUGCCUGUCAUUAAAAAGUGCACGUUUAGGUUUGUAUACUUAGGAAAUUUUGUGUCGUGCUAGAAUAAUAUACUUAAUCAUCAUUAGAAUUAGGAUAUUUAAAUAAGUUAUGUCAUAUGUCACGUUAGAUUAGUAGAAUGCAUUGCAUAACGCAUUAUCUUCAUUAAACAAGUUUUAAAAAAAACAUUUGAGGGAAAUUGCAUGUUAAUGAGAAAUCAUAUUUAGGUUGCUAAUGUCAUUUUCUAACUAACUACAUAUGCUUUAGUAGCUUCAAGGUGAGUAAUUCUUCCAUUUCCUUGCAAUUUAUUUAAUACUUUGAUUGUUGAGUGUUAAAUAAUGGCUGCACAUUUGCUUGAUCACCUCGCAUGUGAGUGAAGUAAAAGCAAUACAAUCUGCUUACAAUACAUUUUUCUGAAAUAAAAGAGAAAAUGUAUUGAAAGGGCAUUACAGAAAUCUAGGAUAAUCAAAUACUCAUGCCCACAUUUUAUAUUUCAUAGAAGUAAAGUAAUUCUCCUAUCACUUUAUUUGGGUUUCUAUUAUUUGGGUUUCUAAUCAAUCAACCGGAAAUAGAUUAAUGGCAACUUCUAAUUAUAAAUUAUUUACUUGUUAGAACUUAAAUCCUAAGUCUCAAAUUAAUAUGGAUUUGAGAGAACUUGAGUUAACUUUAAACUUAAUAAUUUAUUAGCCAAAUCCCUAGGUGAUACAUCCGCUUUGGGGAGAUAGCGACACAUACAUUAGAUAUAGUUAUUAUUUUCGGAUGGGAGAUAUUAUCAUUAUCAUCAUUAUCACGUGGACUAUUUUCCGCAAGUAAGGAGGACCAAACAAAGCAGGAAAAAUAUAAGAGAAAGAUAACAAAAACCAUCAAAUGCAUCCGGCGAUGCUGCUUGUCCCAUCGUUGACUUUUCUUCAUUCCCGCGAGCAAAGAAUUUUCCCUUUUUUUUUUUUUUUUUUUUGCUAUUAAGACAUUUUUGCCGUUGAUAUUUUGUAACAUAUUUGAAAUGUUAGGUUGAGCGGAGCUUUGCUCAAGCCUGACAACCAGAAGUGGGAGGUGUGGGAGGUGAGCAGUCGGUUAUUAGACUUGAGCUAAGCUCCCUCACCUUGCAGUGGUUUUGACAUCAUGGUACCUCCCUACACGUGAAAAGUUAUUAUACUCCCCUAUUUAAUGGUAGCUAGUAUUUCAAGCUUUUCUUCUCGAGUGGAUAGAAGUAUAAGAAGUGACAUUGCAGGGUCUCUCACCCCGCUCUCUUGUUUCUUCUCCCUUAAUAAUAAGGAAGUUAUGCCAUUGAUGUUUUAUAACAUAUAUGAAAUGCUAGGCGGCAUCUAUCUCCGGCAUUUUGGCGACUAAACAAAUUGCAAUCCCACGCCUGCAAUUUACGUGUCCUAUGCCUCCAAUAUUUCGUCUUUUAAAUUCUAUUGCAUAUUCUUUUUCUUCCCUUCUUUUCUUCUAAAUAUGAUGAGGAACCGCAAAUUCCAACCUAUGGAAUAUCCGACUGACCUCAAUAAUCAUAUAAGACAUGGAUCAAGACAUCAAACGAGCAACCCAAACAUGAGAUUAUUUAUACGAGUAACGUACAGAUUUGAGCUAAUAUCUUGCUUUUGAUCCACACCUUUGUGUCUAUUCUUUUGUCACUAAAGCCAAAAUGAGGAAUUGCAUGUAAUAUUUUCUGCAAUCGAUUGUGAUGUUAUUCCUGAAACGGCGGGUCUUCAUCGGUUGUGCCCUAAAGCAAGAAGUUUAACUGUGACAUUAUUCCUGAAAUUGCAUAAAGCUACUUCAUUAUAAGUUCCAUUAGGUCAAUAAUUUACUGUCAUCUUUGUCGGCCGUGCCCUAGGACACUCCCAUUUUAGUUCUUAUUAAUUUGUAUUAACAUCAAAACACAUCAUCUACAACUUUGGUUAAAAAAUUUUAGUGAUCGACUUAGGAAAAAAGUGUCAAUUGAUGUUAUAAAUUAAUCGUAGACUUGAUUAUAAGUUUGACGAUUUGCAGGUAUUCCGAUAAAAUGAGAGGUUUGAUUGAAAAUUUUGCGCUUUUCGGCGGGCUCAAGCAAUGCAUUCUAGGGCCUUGUUGGUGAGUGGCCUAGGCCUAAGCAAUGGCUUUGAGGCUCGGCUUAGUUCGCCUAUUAAUUUAUUAAAAAUUACAUCGAUAAAAUAUUUAUUUUAGUUUAUCUACCUCAAAAUACAAACUUGGUAAAUAUUGAAAGCGAAAGUGAAAGUGAGGCUUAAAACAGAAGAAGAAAAGUAUUUCAUGACACAAUUAAAGUUCAAGACCAAAAAAUUAUGGAAUUAUUAUCUAAUUAUGUUUCCAUUUUAUCUAUUUUUUAGCUCAGCUUUUUUUGCUUUAAAAAGCAAGACAUUCCCCAUGUGAUUGGGCCAAUGAAUUCAAGUGAGUGAGCUUGGUACUUGUCAAAACCCGCUGGAUUGGGUUUGGACAUGGCCCAUAAAAGCUCGAACCAAACUUGUUCAGUGAUAAGGUCUAAUUAAGUGUAUCUCGUCACGUCAUUUUCAGAUAUGUUUUCCUCUGUGUCCGAUUUUCUAGCGUCCGGGUCAUAUGCAAGCGCCACUACCAGCCCUAAUAAAGGAUGGAAUAGGUCCCUUGACCAUGGAAAAAGUACUUAAAAAUCAUAAACUUAUGGCAUUGAUAUCAAUUCAGUUAUAAACCUUUUAAUUAGACCAAUUUUGUCCUAAAUUUUUUCACAUUAAUAUCAAUUUAGUCCAUCCGAUCAGUUUUACCCUUGCGAUGCUGAUGUGUGGCCAAUGAACGCUGACAUAGCAGUUGCCCCACUAGCUUGAAGUAACUCAUUUGUUUUAGAUUUCAAUUGCAGCCGCUACUUCCUUUCAAUCUAGCCAAAUUUUGACCUUUUGUUUAGUCUGAUUUCAUGGCCAAUGUAAGGUCAAGGUGACGAGACUUAGUGGGGCACAGUGGUGCCAGGAGUUCCUUCGAGCUUUGAGGGCCUUAAGAGUUCCGUCGCUCCAAAUCUUCUGUUGUGGGGCCUGAGGUAUUAAAAAUUACCUUGUCUCUAAUCACUAGAUGCAAUGAAAUGAAUGCAAAAUCUGGUGGGGUCGGUGGUUUUUGAGGGAUCGAAUUUCACCGUUAUCGGUUAAUUUGAUUCCUAUUUUUAUUUAUAUAAUAUUCAUGAUCAAUUUUUUUUUUUUUUUACUAUGAUGCUUCUAGUUUUCGAAUGCAGAGAAAUGAAAUACGGUCCAAGAUGCUGCAAAAUCAAUCAAUUUUUGGUUAGGGGUUGAAUUCUAGACUUAUCAGCGAACUUGGUCCCUAAUUUUUUAUUUUUAAAGAAUUGCAAUAACGAUCUAUCCAUGAAAACUUAGAUGUCAACGACUUUAUAAAACUUUGUCAUUAAAAAAAAUCAAAAUUUAUGAUGUUUAGUCGUUAGUCAUUACAGAUCAUCGUCAACCUUCAUAAAACAUUGUUUUAUAUACAUAUCACAUUCCAAAAUCAGUGUUCCAAUAAUAAAACACCAAACUAGUGUUAAAUAAUGUACUGAUUUAGCAAUUGACCUCAAACCCGUCUCACUACCCAGCACCAAAAACUCGUUUACCUAACAUUAGAGUGAUCGGAUCCCUGAUUAUGUACAUGCCUUCUCGCUUUUCUAGGGACAUUCUUGACCAUCGACUAAGGACCUUCACUAAAUAUGGAUCUCAAAGUGGGGAAAUUAAUGCUAAUUUUUAGAACAACCUGUUUCAAUAAAUUAUAUACUUAUUAUACUUCAAGCUAAAAUAGAAUCAAGAAAUUCCAAGUUCGAUUUAUGAUACUCCAUUCAAUCCUUGACGGAUUUCUGUCACACGUUUCAGAUAUAAAUAAUGAUGCAUGUUGUUCUCCAACCUUUUAAACUUCAAUAUAUAGUGUUUUGCGCUAAAUUUCAAGUAUAACCCAACAUGUGUCAACUUAUUGGAAAACGACAUGCUCUUUUUGUCAAUCUAAACAUGUAGGAGAGGAAUGGUGCGAUCAUGAUAUCUCCUUGUAUUUUCAGUAAUUCUCAAAUAGAAAAACUCUGACGUCCAAUCUUAUUUAUUCAUGAAGUUUCAUACAAACACUAAGACUCAGUUCAUUUUACGGAAAACAACUUCCAUGAAAACCUUUCCUGGAUAAUUCAGUGUUCAGUUCGCGGGAAAUAAAUUAGUUAAGACGCUAAUGGAAGAAACAACUUUAAAAAUGGGGAAAAUAUUUUUCGCUUUUCAGAAAGUGGAAGACAUUUUCCAUCUCCUUUCUUUCACUUCUACACCAAGCACUUUUUUUUUUUUACCAAAUAUCUUUUCAUCUGUUUUUAUUUUUUUUGAAAAAGUUGAGUUUUUAAUUAUUUUUAAUUGUUAUUUUUUUUCUUCUUCUUUAGCCGGUCGAGGGCCACAACGUGAGUCCACGAUUGGCUAUAGGAGAGCUCAAACCUUGCUAGAUUCCAAUGAGGUCGAGCCUUGCUAAAUCUGAGGAGGCCCAAGCUUGCUCAGGGCCACCUAAGAUUGCUAGAGGUCAAUGAGGCUUUGGCCACCUCAGGUGAGGCUUGAGGUUGCUUGUGACCAGUCGUUGACUAUCAUCGUGGUUGGCAAUCGGUAGAGAAAGAAGAAAAAGAGAAAAAUGAGAAAAAUGAAAGAAUGAAAAGAAAAAUAAUUAAAAUUUUUAAAUUCUUUUAGUAAUUUUCCUCAAAAAAUCAAAUCAUAUAUUAAAUGGCAGAAAAUAUUUUCAAAUUUAUUUUCAAAUUUGAGCUGAAUAUAAAAAAAAAAUAUUGUCAAUUUUUUUAGAAAAUAACGUUUUUAAAAAUAUAUUUUAAAAACGUGACAUCUUCCUUGAAACUGACGGUACUAACAAUUGUGUGAUUUCAUAGAGUCUAUCAUGUGCGCGCAAAUGUCAAAAUGAAUUGACAUAAUAGGGACCGUACUGAAGAAACUCCGGAACGAAACCCUGAUCCACACGUUGAAGUUAUCCUCCUCGCCAAGCUUACAGCAUAAGCCUUCUCUCUGUUGGGGGUGUGGCUUCCUUUAGAAGCUGGGGACCGACUUUCCUGUCCACACGCAGUACGUCGGCAGAUCCAAGGGCUCUGCGAUUCAGACAGCCAGGGUAUACUCCUCAUUUCCCGCCCUCUGUAACUGCUUCCUCGGAAGUGACAAGCACAUAACUCACAAUUCUUUGUCUCGGUCGGGCGAGUUCUCUUCCUUUACAGAGAAGAAGACGCGUUGCAUACGUUCUCAAAACUUGAUUUCCAUAUGAUUUCCCCUUUGAAGUAAUUAUUUUAGAUUGAGCUUCAUGAGAGUAAUUUAUCAGAUUUUUUGUGGUGGGAAAACGACCAAGCCAGGGUUUAAUUUUUCAAUUGAGCAUAUGAACGUAAGAAAAGGCAAAAAGUACAUAAAAAGUUCUAAAUAUUAAUUCAAUUUUAAACAUUUUAAUUAGAUCAAUUUAGUCAUAAACUUUUCUACAUUUAUACAAAUUCAGCUCUUUCGGCCAAUUUUGACUGGCCUAUUCUGAAGUGGAUGUUAGCCGGUGUCAAUCGUUUGGUUAACGUUGAUGUAAUAAUUUUUCAAUUAUUUAUAUUUUUUCGAAUUUUUGUAUUAAUUUUUUUUCUUUUUUCUCUUCUUCAUCCUUACGUAUCUUCUCCCUAUAGUGGCUGGCUAGGCUCCGAUGAGCCUCGCCAGCCAUUGGGUGAUGGUUGCGAAGCCUUCACCCACCAUUAGGCGAUGGCAGCAAAGCCCUCCCGGGUUGCCUCAUUCACGACCUUGGGCAAUGUUGGAUGAGGCUCGCAACCCUCAUUGAUGGCAGGUGAGGGCUUUGCAACCCUCACCUAGUGGCCAAUGAGCCUUGUCGGAGCCUUGCCAACCACCGCAGGGAGAAGGAACCUGAAGAAGAAGAAGAGAAAAAGAAAAAGAAAAAAAAUUAAAAAAAAAUUAAAAACUUAAAAAAAAAAAAAAUUGCCUUGUAUGGCUAGCAUUGGUUAGCAUCUACAUUAAUACCAGCCAGCUAAAAUUAGCCGGAAAAAUUGAAUUGGUACUAAAGUGAAGAAACUUAUAACUAAAUUGAUUAAAUCGAAAUAUUUAUACUAAAUUGGUACCAAUGUCAUAAAUUUUAAAAAAAAAUUGGUACUUUUCUCCCUUGAUCAUAAUUGACUUGGGGAUUGGGAAUAGAUGCCCCUUAUUUCUUUUUCUUUUUCUCUUCUUCCUCCUUGGUGGAAAAUAUUUUCUAAUUUAUUUUCAAAUUUAAGCUGAAUAUUAAAAAAAAUUAUCAUUUUUUGAAAAAUAACUCUUUAAAAAAUAUUUUUUGAGAAAGGUAGUAUCUUCCGGGAAAUUGACGGAGUCUAACCGUUGUAUGAUUUCACUGAGUCUAUCAUGUGCGCGCAGAAGUCAAAAUGAAGCGACAUAAAGGGAGCCGUACUGAAGAAACUUGGGAACGAAACGCUGAUCCACACGUUGAAGUUGUCCUCCUCACCAAGCUUACUGCAUAAGCCUUCUCUCUCUUGGGCGUGUGGCUUCCUUUGGAAGCUGAGGACCGACUUUCCCGUCCACACGCAGUACGUCGGCGGAUCCAAGGGCCCUGCGAUUCAGACAGCCAGUCUCCUCCUCAUUUGUCGCUCUCUGCAAUUGCUUCCUUGGAAGCGACAAGCACAUAACUCACAAUUCUUUGUCUCGGGUGGGCCAGUUUUCCUCCUUUACAGAGAAGAAGACGCGUUGUGUACGUUCUCAAAACUUGAUUGCCAUGUGAUUUCACCUAUGAAGUAAUUAUUUUAGAUUGAGCUUCACGAAAGGAAUUUAUCAGAUCUUUUUGUGGUGGGAAAACGACCGAGCCUUUGUUUAAGUUUUCAAUUGAGCAUAUGAACGUAAGAAAAAACAAAAAGUACCAAUUUUGACUGGCUGGUGCCGACAUGGAUUCUAGUCAGUGAACGCUGAUAUUGUAAUUUUUAAAUAAUUUUUAAUUUUUUUUCUAAUUUUUGCAUUAAAUUUUUCUUUUUUCUUUUCCUUUUCUUUUUUCUCUUCUUUCUCCUUGGGUUUCUUCUCUCUAUAGUGGCUGGAGAGGCUUGUAAUUUUUAAAUAAUUUUUAUUUUUUUCUAAUUUUUGUAUUAAUUUUUUCUUUUUCCUUUCCCUUUUAUUUUUCUUUUUUCUCUUCUUCCUCCUUGGGUUUAUUCUCCUUAUAAUGGCCAAAAAGGCUUUGACGAGCCUUGAUUGGGUCAGGCAGGGCCUCCCUCACCCAAUCUGGCGAGGGCAGCCUGCCCUCGCCGGUGCCCAACGUUGGUGAGGGCGGCCCUAGCUAGCCCAAGCAAGGGCGACCCUCGCCUAACGCAACCAAGAGCCGCCCUCGCCUAAGUCUGGCUUCCCUCCGCCGGCCAUGGCGAAGGGAAGAGAAAAUGGAAAAAAAAAGAAAAAUAGAAAAAAUAAGACAAAAAUGCCAUUGAUGCGGUAAAUGUGUUAUGGUUAGCAAAGUUUGGGAUUUAUUUUUCGUAUCACAAAAAAAAAAUGGGGCAAAUUUGUCAUUUUUGGCAAAGUUUGAGAUUUUUUAUAAUCUUUUCCGUCAAAUAAAUAUCAGAAUCCUCGCACAUCACAUCAUCAUUGUUAAUAUGAGGCACCAACUUGUCCUUUAUAUGGACCCUUCGGUUUUGUUAAUUAUUUUGUGUUAUCCCGACUUUCUUCUUUGUUAUUACCUUAAAUAUUACUUUUUCUUCCCUAAACUAUUUAGGAUGUUUCUUAAUCGACAAUGCUAUGUUAUAUAUAAAUUUAUGUGCUAUGCUACUUGGCAAACUAUAAAUGGACAAUAAGCCAUAUUCAAUAAUUUAUAACAAUAUGCCACAUAACUUAUUAUGCCAAAUGUAUAAAACAGUUUUAAUGUUCUCUUUCUUGUUUCUGUGGUAGAAGUGAAAACAAGCCAAACGUUGGAAAUAUGAAUAACACUACAGGUAUUAAGACUUUACUCGCGUUUCCUACAGUAAAUAGCGAGCUAUGUGGCUUGCGCCAUGUAAUCAAUUAUGUGUAGAAUCAACAUAGGAAUAAUCUUUGUAAAAAGGAAAAAAAAAACAUAAUUGGGGCAAAAUCAUUUAAAAGAAAUUUAGUUUUUUAUUUCGCCAUCAUCUCUUCUCAAAAUUACACAAAAAUCUUCAAGCAUUAUUUCCAACUGCCAUUAAAGUUUGUCUGACCAACGUUGAAACUAUUCGAAUGAUUUAUAAAUUGGUAUACCGAAAUGCAUUGUAAUUAUACUUUUUUCACGUUGUUCUUUACUACUUCACCAUAUUUAUAUAAUUUUUAUUAACUUCGCCUUCACUAGAGUUAACGUUCACGCUGAACUUAAACCCAAGAAGAUAGAGAUUUAUCAUGUGACCCCAAAGACAUAUCAAAAUAGUUCAUUAUAAAUAAUAUAGUAUGAAAUUGAAAAUCUUGAAUCAUUUAGCAGUUGUAUGUAGAUAGUCUUCAAAACGAAAUUUUGUUUGAUCAUCCUUAUAAAGUUCAAAUUUUUCAAUACCUUUAUUUCUCUUUUCCUUUUCCACAAUCACUUCCGCAUUAUUCUUAUCUUAAGUGACGUCCACCUCAUCAUAAUAUCUCUCAUUUUCGUCAUGCAAGAUUAAGUCACGCAUAGGUGAACCAAAUUGACAGAAAGAAAUAUGAUAUUUUAGGUCUGAUCAAUACUUAUGUUUUUGAAAAGCUCUAAUCGUAUUAAUGGGUGGAUACGUAUUAAGUGCGACCUUUUAAAACUAGGUUAUAUUAUCACGAAAAGUGAUUUUUCGCAGACUUUGUGAAGAUUAUUUUGAACAACUUAUCUUUAACCAAAAUUGGAGAGUUGAUUAUGAAACGCAAUAAUAGAGGUUGAAAUAGCGUGGUGGUUGGGCAUUUGAGGGUGGACAUAUUGGUAACACAUUUGAUGGAAUAUUCGGUCUUCGUCUCCAUGGACUUGUCAAUCCUCACGUAAUUGACGGGGUAUCAAUUGACUAGAUAUGUCCAUCAUUAUUUGGGAAAUAGGGUGGUGGUUGGGCAUAAUUUGAGGGUGGACAUAUUGGUAACACAUUUGAUGGAAUAUUCGGUCUUCGUCUCCAUGGACUUGUCAAUCCUCACGUAAUUGACGGGGUAUCAAUUGACUAGAUAAGUCCAUCAUUAUUUGGGAAAUAGGGUGGUGGUUGGGCAUAAUUUGAGGGUGGACAUAUUGAUAACACAUUUGAUGGAAUAUUCGGUCUUCGUCUCCAUGGACUUGUCAAUCCUCACGUAAUUGACAAGGUAUCAAUUGAUUAGAUAUGUCCAUCAUUAUUUGGGAAAUAGCGUGGUGGUUGGGGAUAAUUUGAGGGUGGACAUAUUGAUAACACAUUUGAUGGAAUGUUCGGUCUUCGUCUCCAUGAACUUGUCAAUCCUCACUUAAUUGACGAGGUAUCACUUGAUUAGAUAUGUCCAUCAUUAUUUGGGAAAUAGCGUGGUGGUUGGGGAUAAUUUGAGGGUGGAAUGUUUUAUGGAAUGUUUGGUCUUCGUCUCCAUGGACUUGUCAAUCCUCACGUAAUUGAUGAGGUGUCAAUUGACUAGAUAAGUCCAUCAUUAUCCAAAAAGUCUUAUAUCUAUUGUAGUUGUGUCAAUUUAAUAAUAAAUCUUUAUUAUUAUUUUUUUUUACAAUUCAAUCUUCUUCUUUUUUGCAUUUGUACUAGUUUAGUGCAUUCGGCCAAUUUUGGCCUGUUGGCGUUGACGUAGAUGCCGAUUGGCACAAAUCGUCUGNNNNNNNNNNNNNNNNNNNNNNNNNNNNNNNNNNNNNNNNNNNNNNNNNNNNNNNNNNNNNNNNNNNNNNNNNNNNNNNNNNNNNNNNNNNNNNNNNNNNCAUUUUGAUUUGUCUACUCUCUGUUCUUUUCCCAUAGUGCACGAGGGUCACGAGCCUGCUACAUGGGCAAGGGCACCUUGCCAUGGCUCAUUGGCUUAAGCGAAAAUGGUCUCGCCUGUGAUUGGGGAGGCCAUGGCCACUUCGAACAGGCUAGCAAGGCUACCCUUGCCUAUGGCUCCCAAGCCUUUGUGAGGCACCUCAUGGUCCUCCCCACCCCCCUUCCCCUCUCUAUGUGUACCAAUGGUUGUUGGUCUUGAUUGAGCUUUGCUGCCACACUUCAAUUUUGAUUUGAGGCGGUCAUGCAAAGGCUUGGAGGCUGUGGGUGAAGGUGGCCAUGGCCUUGCAGCCAUGGAGAAGGCCACCUUUGCCCGCGGUCGGCAAGGCCAUGGUGAGGCUAGCCUCACCCAAAUCUAGGCAAACCCGCCUCACCCGCAGUCCCCAAGCCUUGCCUAGUGGCUAGUGAGCCCCACUAGCCAUUGUAUGGAAAGAAGAGUAUGAAGAAAAUGAAAAAAAAAGAAAGAAAAAAAACUAAUUAAAAGAUUCAAAAAAAUAAAAGGUAGAAAUGUUUAGUACUCAAUCGGUAUAAUUGAAAUGUUUAGAACUGAAUUGAUAGAAACACAAUAGAUAUAUGAAGUUUUAGGUAAUUUAUUUGGAUUUUAUGCAAAUUGUUAAUAUAGUUGGCAUUUCUAUAACCUCAAUUAAGAGGGCACCAAAUAAUUUUUUCGAUGGUCUAAUUUUUUUAUUUCUUCAAAAGUGAUUAGUUCUAAUGAAGUGUAUCUGAUCAAGUCAAAUUCAUAUAUAUAUGUUUUCCCCUAUAUUUGAUGUUUUAUCUCAUGGAGUGUUUGUGUCAUAUGAAAUUGCAACUACCAGGUCUAAGAAUGGGAUAGGACGAGGCCUUUUGACCAUAAUUAACGCGGGGAUUGGGACCAGGCGCCCCUUAUUCCCUCCAUCCUAGGGCUAGGGGUGAGCUCAACUAGCAAGUAAUUGCAUUAAAAGUUAAUUAAAAAAGAACGAUGCGAUAAUACAUUAGGAGAUAAUUUGAAUGGGAAAUACAAGUGUGAGGACUCAAAACAAGCUUGUGGGUUUCAUUCAAUCGACCAAUGGAAACUUCACAAAUCAUUUGAUAAAGAGGAUUUAAUGCAUGUUCCUAGUACAUUUAGCAUUUCUUUAACCUCAAUCAAGAAGGCACCAUAUAAUAUUUUCAGAAGUUAUCAUCAAAUUUUUAAUCGCAACCAAAAAUAAAUAUAUUACUCAUAGAUAUAAUAUUUUUGGAACGCGCUUUCCUACAAACAUGAGUUAAAAAAAUUGAGAUUGCAUCAAGCUUGACUACUUGAGCUUGAUGUUUCAGCUUUUGGUGCCUGACUUAUUAUUGACUUGGACUUUAAACUAAUUUCGUGUGAAAAGCCAAAAGAAACAAUCAAAAGCAAGGGAGAAAACGUUUACCAAAGACAUGACAGAUGUAAAAGGAAUUUUGUGGAACGAGAGAAAAGAGUUUCAAAUUAACUUCACCUUUUAAUGAGUCUCAUGUUCAUAUAAAUAAUCGACGGAGGCACUUUUUGUCAAGGAUAUGAAAGCUUCAUUCGUACUCAAUCCUCUUGUGAUUGACGGUGAAUUAUAAGGCACCAAUUUGUUCAUUCUUCAGUCUUUGGUCUUCAUCUCCAUGGACUUCAUGGAAUACGAGGCACCAAUAUUGGUAUUGCUUUUUCUCCCCUCAACUUUAUAAAGGAGUGUCCUAUUGGACAAUCCUAUCUUAUAGAUUAGUAUUGAUAUACCAACAUGGCAGAUCAAAAGCAAAUAAUAAGCCGUAUUCGAUAAUUAAUGACAAUAUGCCAUGUCACUUAUUACACCAAAUUUAUGAAACAUUCUUAGUGUUUUUGACAUUUCUUUUUCUUGUUUUGGUUGUAAACGUGAAAACUAGUGAGACGUUGAUAAAUGAAUGACACCACUACAUGUACUAAGACUUUACUCGAAUGUUCUAAAUGAAAUGGUGUGUAGUGUGGUAUGCACCUAUGUCACCAAAUAAGUGUGGAAUCAGUAUUACUAUGGAGUUUGUGAAAAUGAGAAAAGAGAUAAAUUGAGCAAGAUCAAUUUAAGCAAAUUUACUUUUCUAUUCCACCAUCAUUUCUUCUCAAAAUUGCACAAAGUGCUCUCACGCGUUACUGGGAGCCUCCAUUCAAAUUUGACUAACAAUCAUUGAAGCAAUCCAAAGAUGCAUAUAGCACUUUGCCUUUACAAGAUUCAAGAAAUAACUCCCAAGGGUGGGACUUUGUCCCAAGUGAUACUUAGUUCUAGAGCUGAGGGAAAAAAAAAAAAAAUCUAAGCAAUGAGUUGGCUUAGAUCAGAUGGCCAACAUUUUCAUGUUCAAAGAGGUCCGACAUGACAUUUAAGACUCCCCCUAUCCUUCUUUGUUAUUACUCCCAACUUUUUUUUAUGGCGUUUCCUAUUAGAUGAUGCUAUGUUAUAUAUUAAUGUUUGAAUCGACGGCACAGUGGAAGCGGAUCGUAAUUUUGUAAUUAUGUCGGGAGUUAUAGAAAUUGUCAGAAAUAAAAUGAAGAACAAUAAUAAUAAUAAUAAAAAAGGAUACCAGAAAUUUACGUAAUUCGAUCCGAAUAUCAUAACUAACGUCCACAGGGAGAGCCAACAAAUAAUCCACUAUAAAUCAGAGAAUUACAAUAUUACGAUCAUUUAUAUAUUCAAGUGUUUUUCAAACCUACUUUAUACCCAAUAUACACGGUGUUUAACAACUCAGCUCAAUGGACUCAACUCUGCACAAACCUCUCUGAGCUCACGUCUCUCUCUCGAGCUCUUUAUUUUUGCUGCUUCUCGAGCUCCGGACGUCUUCUCCUUUAAUCGAUGGAAGGGAAGGAAACAAAACAAAAAUUGUACUCCACAAAUGUCAACACCGUGCCGAUCUUCAAAGCAUGCGCCUCCGUGCAAUUAAUGAUAGCGUGUGUGAGCGUAUGACCAUCAUGCCCUGACAGAAGAAGAAUAGCUUCUGCCUUCCCUCAUUUAUCCACGACAAGACGAAAGAAGUUCACAAAAGAUGACCAAGAAGAGGGAGAGAGUUCGGCGCCUACAUGAUAGGCUUCUGAGGCAGCAAGUGCUGACCAACUUUUUCUACGAGCAUGCAUGCACAUGGCCAUGUGCAUGCAUUUAAUGACGUAGAAGAAAUUCGGACGAUCAACCCAUAAGCCUUAUUUCGUGCUGACAAAUGAGAAGAAUCCCAUGGAUUGUAGCCUUCAUUUCCAACGCGAAGCGCAGAUCGAGGGCGGGAUCCUCUCGGCUCCUAUCACACGCCAUUUCUCCUUAAAAGCUUUGCGGACGUUCUUUCUCGUUUUGGCAUGUAUAUCGUUUUGUACGUAUCGAAUAUCAUAUAUGAAUUCAAACUCGAGACAUAAUUUAACAAUUAAUAUUAGUAUACUAAACCGAAUACUAGACUCUAAGUGAACUAUAAGUCAUAUUCGACAACUAAUAACAAUAUGUCACGUCAAAUUCAUCAAACAAUCUAACCAUCUAACAUUUUUUUUUCUUAUUUUUAUUGUAAAAUUGAGAGCAAGCAAGACUUUAAAAUAAGAGUAACACUACAUAAACUGAGACUUUACUAGAGUUUGUCGGUAAAUGAAAUGGGACACUAUGUGCUGUGCGGCAUGUGCCGCGUGUCGUCAAAUAAGAGUGGAAUCAGCGAUAUUUUGUAAAAUGGGGAGAAGUGAUAAAUGGGGCAAGUUCAAUUAAAGGAAAUUUUGUGGCAAAAAAAUUAAAGGAAAUUUUGUCAGCCCUCUAAUAUUCCGUGCAAUGUGUAAUAUGCUUUGUUGGCUAUACUUCUUGGCCAUACUGGUAAUGAAAAUGCAUGUAUUACCCUUAACAUCAGCAAUAUGAGGCGAGGUGACGUUUGAAUAAAAGGCAAAGUCGGAAGAAGGGAAAUAUCCCCAAACCUCUCCUCUGUUCUCCUUGUUUUCUUACAAAUCUUUCUCUUCUAGGUCUAGUGACAUUGGAAGGAUAAAAUUGCAAUUUUGAUCAUAUAAGAUGAGUUGGUUCAACAAGUCUGCUCUCUAUUUGUUAUUCAAAUCCUACGGAUGAGAAAGCUUUUCCAAGGCCAUGAAGCCUUUAAUUGAAGGCUAAUGAUAUUUUGGAGACCACCAAGCAGUUUCAUUUAAGGACUAAACAAGGAAAGGGCAUGCAUGCUAGGAUAACAUACAUGUCCCAAAUUUCAUUAGUCUUCCUCUUUUUUUACGGUUAUAUGCGUUGUUAGCAUAUUCCAUUUCACUUUUUUUAUUUUUCCAAUGGGGUAAUUGUCGUCAAUUACAUGCCGUUUAUGUUGAAAUAAGUUACGUGUUUGUAUCCUCUUCUUCUUCCCAAUCGUUAUUAGAUUGAUGGGAAAUAUGAGGCACCGGUUAUUAAAUUAUGGCUUGAGUUUGAACUUGGUACGAGACCCAACUCAUUUAAAGGAUUCUGAUUUGUUCAAAAUAUGGUGUUCCUUUUUAAUCAAUAUCAUAUUUUGAUUUGUUGGGCGGUGCUACUUAACUAUUAAAUGUAUUGAAGGUUUGGUUCUGUUGAAGAUAAAUAUCCAAGUUUAACCGAGGGAGCAAACAUUAGUCGCACUCCACUCAACGCGUCCAGUUUUAGGCCUUUUCUAAUAUCCUGAAGAAGACGUACUGCUGAAGUCUCUAUUUUAUAUCCCCGCACAAGAGGACUCUCUUUAGCGAAGAAAAAAAGGGGACGCACCAGUAACGCUUUCUUUGAUCGCACGGAGUUUUGAAAACGGUGGAUUUUGUGACGUGAGUCGAUGAUAGAUUUAAUCAAGGCAUGGAAGACACUCGAACUUGCGAGUAAUUGUAACUCUAUGGUUCUCCGAGUAUCGGUGGAUUAUAGCUGCUUGCUCUUCCAGUUGCGUAAAUAUCGAUUUUUAGACCGAAUCAUGUAAAUCUCAGAAGUUCUUUAUUAUUGCUCAUUUAUUUAUCUGGUAAUUUUGCAUUAAUUCAUUAAUUACAAUCAUUAAUUACAAAAUUUGGUUAGUUUCCAUAUUAUUUCACAAGUCUUCGGUCUUCAGGAGAGAGAAAGUUCACAGAACUUCCCAUGAUGGAGUUAGUCAAUAAUUGAUUUGUGCGCAGAGUAAAUGUUUAUAAAUUCAGCUCAGACUGAAAGUGGAUCAGUGGAUCACUGGACGAGAUGGGGAAACAACUAUUUCUUAUUCUCAACUUUGUUCUCUUGUGGUGGUGGAGCUCAAUCACAAUCUCCGGAUCAUACUCACAAAACCAAACAGAUCGGCUUGCGUUAGCCUCCUUCAAAAAUGCAAUACAUGAAGACCCGUUCGGAGUCUUGAGCUCUUGGAAUGAUUCUACCCAUCAUUGUGAGUGGCAAGGUGUUUUCUGCAGCAAAAGGCAUCCUGGGAGGGUCACGUCCCUAGUCCUAAGAUCGCAAGGCUUGGAAGGCUUCCUAUCUGCUCAUAUAGGUAACCUCUCUUUCCUAAGGGUCAUGGUUUUACAGAACAACAGCUUCCGUGGCGAAAUCCAACCACAGAUCGGCAACUUGUUUCGGCUCCGUAAUCUCGAUCUUAGUAACAACUCAUUUGGCGGGCCAAUACCCUCCAAUCUUUCCCACUGCUUGAACCUUGAAAUCCUGAAUCUCAUAGAUAACCAACUUGUGUGGGGAAUUCAUUUCGAUCUUGGUUCUUUAACAAGACUUAAACAAUUGCUCUUGUCUAAGAACAGUCUUGGAGGUCCUAUUCCUCGUUGGAUUGGAAACCUCUCGCAGCUACAAGAGCUCUCCCUGGCAAUAAAUGAGUUGAGCGGAGAAAUACCCAAGGAAUUGUCCAAACUCAAGAGAUUGACACUUUUCCAACUACGUUCCAACAAUCUAACCGGUGAGGUUCCAACAGGGAUUUUAAACAUCUCUAACCUUCAUGUAUUCAGUGUUAGUCAUAACCAGUUGCAGGGAAGUUUUCUCAAUGAUGUCGGCAUCACUUCUCCUUCUCUCUGCUACUUUGUUGCCAGCUAUAACUUGUUCACCGGGAUGAUUCCAUCAACGUUAACGAAUGCCACAGGUCUUGAAUAUCUUGUACUUUUGAACAACAAUUUCCAUGGGCCAAUACCGAAAAAUCUGGGAAGGCUAAAGGGCCUUUAUGUGAUUGCAUUGGGUUCAAACCAGUUGCAGAAUGACUUGAGUUUUAUUUCUUCUUUAGCUAAUUGUUCCAACUUAAAAACUCUCGGGGUGGAAGGGAACUUAAUUCACGGAUCAUUGCCAAGAUCCUUCUCCAAUCUCUCCACCAGCAUGAAGGAAAUUGCUUUGUCAAACAAUCAGAUCCAAGGAUCUAUUCCCUUAGCCCUCGAAAAUCUCUUCAACUUGUUUGCCUUGGAUUUGAGCAAUAAUAAUCUAACUGAUCGCAUUCCUCAUUCCAUCGGAAUACUUUCCAACUUGGAGCGACUUCUUUUAAGCGGUAACAUGUUUACUAGAGAGAUACCAUCUUCGAUUGGUAACAUUACGUCAUUAGGUCGCCUUGACCUUUCCUCCAACAUUUUCCAAGGCUACAUACCGCAAAGUCUUCGCAACUGUAAGCAACUAAUUGAGCUUGAUCUUUCGAAUAAUAACCUAACUGGCUCAGUUCUUGCCGAAAUCGUGGGCCUUUCUUCCUUGUCGAUCACGUUGAGUCUAGCAAAUAAUAAUUUAAGCGGAUCUCUUCCAUUGCAAGUUGGAUCUUUAAAGAACCUUGGCAAAUUAGAUCUGUCUUACAAUAGACUGACUGGCUUAAUCCCGGCAUCCAUCAGUGAGUGCUUGGUAUUGGAGCGACUUCACUUAGAAGCUAAUUCAUUUCAUGGUCAAAUCCCCGAAGCUUUACGUCCAUUACGGGGUCUACAAGAGCUGGACCUUUCCAAUAAUAAUUUUUUUGGUCCAAUCCCAAGCUUUCUCGCAGAGCUCCCACUACUCGAGUACUUGAAUUUAUCCUUCAAUCAACUAGAAGGACGAGUUCCAGAGCUUGGAGUUUUUCUUAAUGCAAGUUCUGUAUCGAUUUAUGGAAAUACGAAACUCUGUGGAGGUGUUCCCAGUCUGAAGCUACCUCUUUGCAAAUCAUCAAGCUCUAAGAAGUCUUCUUCAACCAAGGCUAGAGUAAUAUAUGGGGUAGCUGGCAGUUUGUUAUGUUUAGCUUUGUUGCUCCUAUGUCUGUCUAUCUUUUACCACAAAAAGAAGCAGACGACAACCAUUGCCUCCACUUCAUUAUCUUUCGAGAACCAAUUCUUGAGGAUUUCUUACGAAGAACUCCUGAGAGUGACUAAUAGAUUCUACGAGACCAAUUCGAUUGGUAAAGGGAGAUACGGCACGGUUUUUAAGGGGAUUCUUGAUGGCGGUGCCACGGUGGCAAUAAAGGUGCUCAAUCUAAUGCAAAGAGGUGCUUUGAGGAGUUUUAUCUCCGAAUGUCGAACUCUAGGAACCAUUAGACACCGAAACCUCGUGAAGAUACUAAGUGUCUGUUCGGGCGUGGACUUUCGUGGCAAUGACUUCAAAGCUCUAAUAUAUGAGUUCAUGGCUAAUGAGAGCUUGGAGGAGUGGCUGCACCUUGGGACUAUGGGACGAGAUGAUGAGUGUAAUGAAUCAAGAAAUUUGAGCCUAGUGCAGAGGUUAAACAUCGCCAUUGACAUAGCUACUGCGAUCGAAUAUCUCCACAAGGGUUGUUAUCCAGCAAUCGUUCAUGGAGAUUUGAAGCCAAGUAAUGUGCUUUUGGACAAUGACAUGGUGGCUCGAGUUGGAGAUUUUGGGCUUGCAAAGAUCAUUUCAACAGUGUGUGUCGAAGCCACAGGAGUUCAGGACCAGGGUAGUUCAACUUCAACCGCAGUCAGAGGAUCCAUUGGCUAUGUGCCGCCUGGUAUGAAAUUGUCAUAUUUUCUCGAUUAUUUGUUAUUUGAUUGCGAUAGUAACAUGAGAGUGCCAAAAGUUUGAAUAAACAAUGAUUCUUGACGUUAUGUUAUGUUUUGUAUGCUCAGACACCUCUUUCUCACAGCUCAAUUUCUCUUUCCCCUAUUAAUAGCAUCCGCAGAAAAAGAAAAUACAUAUCUUUUUGUACAAAAAGAUUACUAGUAGCUUGUCCUAAUCGUAUUUGAAACUAAGAUGAGAAUGAACAAUUGUAAUUUUGACCAAUGAGUGGAAAAUGUUUGGACAAAACUUGUGAAUCCAUGCGAACAAAUAGAUUAAGCAUAUUGAGUCAUCUCAUAUAAAUAUUUUCUUUCUAUAAUAAGUAUUUUGUCUCACAUAACGUUCAUGCCACUAAAAUGGAUUGCGAUUCUCUUUUGGUAUGUUAUGACUUAAGGUCUUGACAAUAAAUAAUUUUUCCUUCAUGGCAUACCCUUUCAUGACCUAUAAUUUAAUAUUUGAAAGGUAUAUUAGAUGACAUGACAUUUAUGCUAGAAAUUAUUGGAGGAUACACUAAUUGACAACAUGAUGAGCUCUAUCCAACUUUCACUUUCCCUAAACUUCUUGGUUAGAGCAUAUUAAGACAAAUUUACGCAUUUACAAGUAUAAAUCCAUCACCGUCGACAAAUCACUCUAAGUCUCUUCUUUUUCCCCCACCAUGUUCGUUUUUUGCCUGUUCUUCUAGGCAAUUUCUUCUCGUCUUUGCAUAAAAGAAAGUGUGGUAUAGGUAUUAAACAAAAUCUAGAUCAUGAAAAUAACAAGCCCCACAUGGAUCUCACAUGUUUCCACUCAAAAACCGGCGAUUCAAAUUUAGUUAACACAUAAACUUCUACCAAGGCCAUCAUCUAACAUAUUUUCUUCUUUUCCUGUUUUCACCCGUACCUUACUAGAGGACAAAGCCACUCUUGAUGUUUAGGCAAUUUGUGUUACAAACAUACGACAACUUUGGUUGCACUUAGUAGUUUUGGAGAAGAAGAGUUCAUAUGUUGUUAACUGAUCUUUGGUGCACUUUAUAUAUUCUAAUAUCUCAUUUCUCUUCUGUUGAUGCACUUCUCAACGAUUGAUGCACUUUAUAAGAGUUCGUACGACAGGCACUAGACAUCAGCCAUGUACAGAAAACUAAACAAAAAUUAAACAGGGAGAAAUGAAAGCUAAAAACCAGUAGGGGCUUUGGGACCCUUUGCCUUGCUCUGGCAGACGAUCCAUUGGCUUCUGCCGCGCAUGGCAAGCCCGACAGAGAAGUUAGUGAGGGCUUGCAAGGCAUCGCCUUAUGUUGGUAGCGAUUGGUGCGAGCCCUCACAACUGUCCUUGGCAAGCUCUUGCAAAUAGACAUCAAGCAAAAUCCCAUGUGAUUUAGGAACUUUUUCUAUACAAUUAAUUCAAGAAAAAGUGUCUAUUCAUUCCUAUCUAAUGUCUUGAUGAAAUUUGCAGAGUAUGGCAUGGGACACAAGGUUUCCACACUUGGGGAUGCAUAUAGUUACGGCAUUCUAUUAUUGGAGAUGUUCACUGGCAAAAGACCCAUCGAAGAGGCCUUUGGGCACCAUCUUAACCUCCACAACUUCGUCCGAACGGCUCUUCCGGAUCGGGCAAUGGACAUCGUAGACUUAAGCCUUUUGAGUGAAGCUGGUGAUCGACAACAGGAGAUCAAAAUCAGAGAUUGCAUUUUCUCCAUAUUCGAAGUUGGAGUUGCAUGUUCGAUGGAAUCACCGCCGGAUCGGAUGGAUAUGACUGAGGUGAUCAGGAAAUUACACUUGAUCAAGGCAAGUUACGAAGCCAAAGAGAGGAGGAUAGGUAUGUAGUUAAAUCAAUUUUCUCAUUUCAUAUUGGAACUCCUUCACUAGUAGAGAAAAUCAUCUUGCAAAGGUAGCGCUAGCAAAUUGACAUGAACGUCUCCCUCACUAGCCUGCCUACCCACACCCAUUAUGUGUAAUUUUUUUAUAAUUACACCAAUAUCUAUAUUUAAUAAUCAUAGAAAGUGGAUGUAUGGAGUUAAAAUCUAUCUAUUUAUACCAAGUAACCGUGUAAAAGUUGAUGAAUUUUCUUAUUUGUUCGGUUCUCUUCAUUUCUGAUGCCAUUGUGGAUUGAUGCAUUGCUUAAUUACCAUGGCUGGGUCAUUGCCCUUGCCCCUCUCUCUCUGCACGCUUGUGUACUAAUAUGUGACCUCACUGUGAGGUCACAAGCUCAAGGUCAACUCUUAAUGUCAUGCUUAACUAAGAGCCCGCGGUCAAUUGGAGACCAAGCUUGAUCAAAUCCAAAGACAAGGAGAGGGAGGCAACCUCAUUAGAAGAUCAUGAACUCAAGGCCAACUCUUAAUGUCGCCAUUGAGAGUGAACUCACUGUCAAUUGGAAACCAUGCUUGAUCAAAUUUGGGUGACGUCACCAUCAAAAUUAUGUUGUGGUCAUGUUGCCGACACCGGCUGCCACCGUGUGUGACCCAUACCUCUUCUCCAAACCUCCUUUUCUUUUAUCUUUUUUAUUUGCUAUGUCAUCAAAUUCGAAGUUUUUAUUUUUACUUUUUUUUGGUUGAUAGAGAUAGUGUUAACAAAGGCAUAAAUGGGACAAGAUCAAAAAGGGAACAUGGAUGCAUAUAUGUUGCACUUGUCAAUGUGCUUAUUACAUUGUCUAAUUAUCCUUGUCAAGUCUUCCCACUCAACCAACCCCAUCUCUUUCUUCACCAUUAGCCACCGUCUCUGACCGUUGUAGCCAAUUGUCAUCACAGUCGCCUCCCCCAUGUCUCGCCACUUUCUCCUUCGUGUCAUCCACAACCAUCUUUGCUCUCUCUAUUUGCUGACCCAACACUCUCCCUCACUCUCUCUCUUCCCUCAACACCAAAUCUCUGUGAGGUCUCGGCACUACCAUUGAUGACCUGAUCUGGCCAUGGCCUUGAGAUCUCACCAAGAUCUUAGUGGACAGGCCAGAUAAGGGGCAGGCGUCCCCAGAUCUGGAGACGACCCUCUAACCUCAUCACUGUCGACAACUUAAUCGUAUGACUAGGGGAGCUUGAUGCGAGGUCUUGAGACCAGCCAGAGGCAUGAAAUUGACGUUUAGGCAGCUCAGCCACCCUUAGAGAGAGAGAGAGAGAGAGAGAGAGAGAGAGAGAGAGAGAGAGAGAGAGAGAGAGAGAGAGAUUGGUGUUGGGAUUUUGAGAAGUAAUGGUGUAAGGAGUGAAAUUAAUGAAGAGAGAAUCGUGUCUUGGUUUGGUGUUGGAGACAACGGAUAGGUACAUAAAUGGUACAAUGGAUCUGCAUCCAAGGGACAUAAAUAGCGAUGAUGAAGGCCAUAAAAUACAAUGCCUUAGAUCUAGCAUAAAAUAUGUAACCAGACGGCAUAGUCACAAAAACACAAAGCAAACAUAGACUAAUUCAUAAUAUGAACGGCCUAGGCUAUUUUAGGCUACAUUACUAGCCAACUGUCAAUAGACUACGAGGUCUUACAAUAGCGUGCCAUCAAGAAGCUCAAGUUUGGCAUUAAGAUCACCAAUAUCAGGGGGCGGUAGACUUCCUGGAUUGAGAUCAAAACAAGAACAAUAUAGUGAGAAAAUGUUGAAUUGUGUAUUGCUUUAAUGAACAAUGUAUUACAUUAUACAGGCACUUGUAUCUAGAACAAUAAACACAAAACGAGAAGUAAGCUAAAUCAGGAUUUAAUAAAAACACCGGAAUCAAUUAUGACCAAUUACAAUCCACACAAAGUCACAUAAACUUGCACAUUUCCUAACGAUUGGAAUUCAUCAUAACAAUAAACAAGAGCUUUUAAGAAUUUCUCUAUGAGAGUUUGAGGUUGAAAUUACUCUCGCAAAUUUGUUCUAUAGAUUAGAAACCUUUUUUUUUUUCACUUUUGGUCAAUAUAGUAAAGAGUGUUGAGAUAAGUGGCCUUGGCUAUAUUAUUAACAAAGCAAUGCAAGGGUGACCACAUCCUACGGUAAAUCAAAAAAGAAAACAGCGCUCUCCUGUAAUUAGCUUACGAUUAGCCAACAACUAGCUAACAAUCAUCACAUGAGCCCUUCCUCUAGUAGCAUAUAGCAUAAAAGUCGAAAGAGCAAGAGUACUUGAAAUCUGCCAAAGCCAUUUCAAGCAGUCGCAGAAUAUUGCUAAUCUGCUUAAGUUGCUUUUAAGCGCAACAUGUUAUGCAUCCAUAUUUUUCAAAACUAGCUAUUGCUAAUACUAAAAUCUAACAACCUAAUCAAGGCCUAUUUUUCUAACCAACUUUCCAUUUUUAUUUUCCAGAAUUAUUUUCGUUUUCUUAUCUUAUUCUUGAUCCCUCCUCUGAAUCAAAUCUUCACUCAGAUACUCCAUGAAUUUCAGCAUCACCUCAGUCAAAGCAAUUGGUAACAAACAUGCCCAGUGAUUAAGAAAUUAUGAAAAUAAAAACACCACAUCGCGGGUAACUAGAACAACACUUGGAUGGGCUUCGGAUCAAUUCAAUCUACACCCAAAAGAGAGUGACCAGCAAAGGAAUGGUGAUGACAGCCCAUAUCCGGCGAGUUCAAGGCACAGCAAAAUGGUUAUUUGUUGAAAAAAUUUCACCAAUUCCCUAACAAUCUCCUAAAUCAUCAUACAUGUUCAAAUGAUAAAAAUGACAUCACAAGAAGUCCAAAUUGAACUCCAACUAGAUAAGCCAGCAAAUCCAAAUUUCAUUCCACUAUGAUCAAAUAUGCCAAUGGUUCUAUUUCUUUCAAAAUUGACAUGUGUUCUUAACACCCAUUCAUUGCCCACUAAUUUUAUGAAAAGUACAUGCAAGUAUCGGCUAUAUGACUAAACGUCCAGGCUGCAAAGCCGAAUACAAAACACACACUCCAAUUAUGAUUUAAUAUCAAAUCAAAACUUCGUUUAAUCCCUGGCUUCAAUCAAUCGAAUGAGUUUCUGUAUCCAUAAAGGUGCUGAGGUAACCAUUAAGCAAAGCUUACUAAAAACUUGGUUUCAAAUUCGCAAGAAAAGCAAAAAGAGAAAAUGAGGAGAGAGAGAGAGAGAGAGAGAGAGAGAGAGAGAGAGAGAAUAGGAAAGAAGGAUUCACCUGUACUGAAUUGAUCUUUCCUCACCAAAUUUACGUGCAUAUACCCGUACUCAAACCUUUCAAGUUAAGAGCAAUGCGGAUAUGGAAAGAGCUAGAGUUUCUCCCAGUGCUGUCCAACUUCGACUUCGUCCUCCCAGGGCCUUGAAACACAGCAAUAACAAAGAUGUGAAUGACAGACAGAAAAGAAAAAACACAUGUAAUAGAGACAACGAAAAGCAGAGAGAAGAUAGAGAGUUCAUAUUAAUGAUCGUGGCCUCGUCAAGUCCAGUCAACGAGCUUCUCUGAACUUUUAUCUUGAGAGAUAAGUUAUCGGCAGCAUAUUCAGCAGAUUUCAGCGAAAACCAUUGCUCAUUCACAAGGGAGAUAUGUCCAGUAAACAUAACAUUGUAAGCACUAGCAGAAAAAGAUGACAAGUCUAAUCCAACAAAAAGAGUAUAACAAGUUUAAACCAACAAUAAGCAUAUGAACAACAGAAUCAACACGGUUCCACUCGAAUUUGGCAAACAUACUUCAGUAUCGAUUUAGUUUCAUAUAGGACUCAUGUGCAAGAAUGGACAUCGACCAAUGUACCACUGAUUAAAUGAGGACUGAAAUUCUUUACAAUCUCAAAGCAUGAAUAGCAAACAGAGAAGAUGUUAGCAUGGCACUGUGAAGAUUUAGCUAAAAGAUACUUACUUCUUUACUCUUCACUCAUUUACACAUAUACAUGCACAAGCACUCCCCAAGCAACUCACUGCUCUCUGUUUUCUCUCAGGCUUUUUGAUGUUAGUUCAUGGCAAAGAACUAAUCCAUCCGAGGUAGGACCUUCCGGGCUCUCAAUAGAUUCAAGAGUAAGACAUCUCUCCUAUUUACGCCAGUCAGAAUUCACCAGUCCAUGUAUUUUGCACGACAAACGGUUCUACCUUCCGGACAAAAUUGCAUUAUGAUGCAAGCCAAUAUGCGCAUCUGCCUCUUGAGAAAUUUUCUAUCCUAUCAUAUCAAUAUGAAAGCUUCCCCGGCCACUAUGAUGAAUAGCAAUCAGCGCAAUUGAGAAAUACUCGAUUAGCCCACACAACAGCUCAAAGGAAAUUCACGAGUGUAAUCAAAUUCGCAAGUGCAUAAUUAUUAAGCAUCGUUAAAGCAAAUACAAAAUUAAGACCACAACACCAAUCAGCUGAGCAAGAGAAUACACAACCAGCAAGCAUAAUCUCAAUCCGGCGGAUAUAAUCCAUCAGAUGCCAAAACGAACUCAUGACCCCUUGGGUAUACGUAAGUCUAACAUGCUUUGCUCAUCUAGAUAUUUGAUUAACACGAAUCUAUACUUGGCAUAACAUCAGAAUCAGAGACAACAUAUUUGGAUGGAUUUGAACAACAAUUCAAGUAGUCAUGGCUCAUGGAGAUCUUGGCCGUAGUCUAAAAUCACUGGAAACAGAGGAGCUGUAAGUGAGUCGAACAUGUACGUUACACAACAAUCAUUCCAGACACUAAAGCAUAAGAACGCUUCUCAAAAUCGUAUUCCGAAUUCGUUCAGGCAUUUUAGCGAAUUUUGGUGAUCAGUUCAAAAAUUAGAACACAGAGUCAUAAUCAAAGAGUCAAUUCCGAUAUAGACAACUUCAAUGACAUCAGGACGUACUUAAACUACUAACAGAUCCGCAAUCAUCAUUCUACUUUCGCUCAUAACCUUAAUAACAAAUCUGGGAUUCAACUGAAUAAAACAGAGCAAUGACGUACAUCCCUCGGAGUCCGUCUUUGGCCAAGAACAGCCAAAGACGUCGUCACAGGUGAUCCGCGUCUGAGAAGAAGCUCCAGCAAAUCUCUCAGCUCGUCGGACUUCACGGGCUGAAGAUUUGAAGAGGUCGGGGCCAUCGCGAGACAUGGAACCGCACUUUGCUUGCAUAGCAUCGCGCGCUGGUGAAAAUCCAACGUGCGAGUGUGUUGUAGACAUGGAAUCGGGAAGCAAACUACGGGUGUCCUGGGCGUGCCCAAAGGAAACAGCGAUGAGGCUGAAAGAAAAAGGAAUAGAGAAGAGUAAUAAGGAGAAAAGGAAAAGAAGACAGUCGCCUGGGGGGUCGAAAAGAAAGAAAACAGAAGUGGAUGUAUGGAGUUAUGUUUACCUAUUUCCACCGAGUAAUCAUGUAAAAUUUGAUGAAUUUGCUUAUUUGUCCUAUUCUCUUCAUUUCUGAUGCCACUGUGGAUUGAUGCAUUGCUUAAUUACCAUGAUUAGGCCAUUGCUCUCGCCUUUCUCUCUCUCUCUCUACUUGCUUAUGCACUAGAAAGUGACCUCACUGUGAGGUCACGAGCUCAUGACCAACUCUUAAUGUCACACUUAACUGAGAGGCCGCCGUCAAUUGGAGACCAAGCUUUGAUCAAAUCCAAAAAUAAGGAAAGGGAGACAACCUCAUCACAAGAUCAUGAGCUCAAGGCCAACUCUCGAUAUUGCUGUUGAAAGUGACCUCACUAUCAAUUGGAAGCCAUGCUUAAUCGAAUUUGGGUGUCGUUGCCAAUGAAAUUAUGUUGCGGUCAUGUUGCCGACACCGGCAGCCACCGUGUGUGGCCCCUACCUCCUCUCCAAUCCUCCUUUUCUUUAUCUUUUUCCUUUGCCAUGUCAUCAAAUUAUAGAGUUUUUCUUCUUCUUAUUUUUUGUCAAUAGACAUACAGAGUUGACAAACACAUAAAUGGGACAAGAUCAAAAAGGAAACACAGACGCAUAUUUUUUGCACUCGUUGGUGUGUUAUCACAUUGUCUAAUAAUCCUUGUCAAGUCAUCCCACUCAACCAACCCUCUCUCUUUCUUUACAAUUUUCCACCAUCUCCACCCAUUACAGCCACCUAUCAUCAACGUUGCCUCCUCCAUGUCUCACCACUUUCUUCGUCGUGUCAUCACGUCACCCUUAAAUGAGAGAGGGAGAGAGAUAGCUACACAAAAACAAGGACAAUGACCAACAUUGAAGCGAUAGGGGUGAGAGAGCGAACGGAGCGUGACAUGACCCCUCAUAAGCACCGGCAGUAAAUGGUGAAGCGAGGAAGGUCAAGAUUGAUGGUGGCACCAAAGGCAUGUCAAUGACACAAGCCGGUUGUGGUUUGUGGGUGCUCCAAAGGGGGGAGUAAAUGGUGGAGCGAGGAAGGUCAAGAUUGAUGGUGGCACUAGAGGCAUGUCAAUGACACAAGCCGCGCGCGGUUGUGGGGGCUCCACAAGGGGGGAGAAAGAUGGGGAGGAGAAGAGAGAGUGUUGUUGGGAUUUUGAGGAGUAUUGGGUAAGGCGUGAAAUUAAUAAGAGACUCAUGUCUUGAUCUAGUGUUGGAGAUAGUGGAUAAGUAAAUCAAUGUUACAAUAGAUCUACAUCCAAGAGACAUGAAUAGUGACAGUGAAGGCGAUAAAAUACAAUGCCUUAGAUGUGGCAUAAAGUACGUAACACGACGGCAUAGUGAGUAAAGCGUGGAGCAAACAAAAACUAGCUAACAAUAUGGACAACAUAGGCUUUAUUAGGGCAAAUGUCCAUGAAAUAUAUACUAAAUUGCUGAUCAACUGUCAAUAGAUUACAACAACUAGCAAUAGAAUGCCAUCAAGAAGCUCAAGUUUGGCAUUAGGAUCAAUAUCAACAUGGGUUGAGAUCAAAAUAGGAACAAUCUAAUGAUGAUAUCGAGUCAGAAUGUGAGAGUAUAUUAAAUUGUAUGUUGUUCAAUUGAAAAAGGAAAGUAAUCUAAUAUGGGAUAUCUAACUCCAAACCAUUGGCACAUCCAUGAAUCGCCACAUGUAAAAAGCCCUUCCUCUUAUAUCAUGAAGUGUAAAAGCCGAAAGAACACUUACAAAGGUAUAUGUAAUAAGUUGGUGAUCAAGAACACUUUGAAUCUGCCAAAGCCAUUGCAAACAGUCGCAAAAUAUUGCUAGUUUGCUUGUAAUAAUCUGUUUAAGUUGCUCUCAUGAGCAACAUGCUUUUGCUCUAAGGCCCGAUCUAGGCCCGCCCAAUGUGCAUAGUUAUUAUAAUUUUUUUUCUUGAUGGGCUGGAGUGGGCCAUAAUGUUCGCCCAAUUGGAAGGCCCAGUCUAGCUCUUGCCCGCUCAUCAUGUCUCUUCAAGUAUAAUUGAGUCAUCGACAAGUUCAAGCAUAGCUCACCCAACUUAUUGAGCCUAACUAAGAUUAGCAUAUUCCAACCGAAGUUGAUUCAAUCUAAAAAGAGAAAACAUUUGCACUGUCAAAAAUAUAAUGAAAGAAUUAUCAAUCAAUCAUACACUAGAAAUCGCUUAUUAAUAUAACAUCAAACUUAGAGGAUUACAUAUGUGCUAAAAAUCUUAGGAUGCGAGCACGCUAUGUACUCUAGCAAACCAAUUUCAUAAAUAUGUCAGCAGCACGAUUGAAUCAAAUGUGGAUGGAAAGAACAAAAUGAGAUAAAAGAAUUGGAGAUGAUGUGUUAUGGAUCAGCUAGUUUAGUAUUUGGGAAGAGAGCACUCCUUGGGCAGGUUGUUUUGGAACCUUGCAUUGUCCUGGCAAUAGACAUAUAUCAUGUGAUGUCUCCCGACCCAUUUGAACCACCUCCUCCUUGUUCCACCAGUUUGUGGGGCUCUCCGCCCUGCAAAACCUCGGAUUGCCCUUCCAGACACAAGCGUCGAUCUUGUAGUCCCCGAACGUGGCCACGAAGGGCCCUUCGACCAAUUGACCAUGUCACGCUCACCCCGUGUCCCCCAGAUGUCGCCAGACUGUCAUGGUCUGCCUUUGAUACAUGAUGUCAGCUUCCACAUCCUCGAUAUCGAGGAUCACCACCUCCAUUUGUACCAGUAGACUGAAUCGAGUCGGGAGCUGACUCAUACUCACUAGCCUGAAAAAGGUGGAACAACAAUAAAUGAAUUUAAGAACUCAAUAAGUAAAUCACCUAAACCUCGUAUAGACAAAUGCCUUAUUUCGGAAAUCUACGAACUUGAUGCCCACUUGUAGAUGUCAAAUUAAUAACAAAACCUUUGCUUUGCCUUAACUAUAAGCAUGAGGGAAACUCUUCCUCUACCUAAACAUUCGUCCUAUCAAGAAUCUAUAAGAUAUCUCAUGCCCAUAAAAAUUCUAAAUAUGCCGAUUGAUAACUUCAAUAACAUACACGUGUUUCUUGGGUAUAAUGCAAUCAAUUGCCAAUAAUAUUCCCACGUGCCAAAUGUUAGUUUCUAAAAUAUUACCAUGGCCUUUUGAGACUCAAAUAAUGACUUCCAAAACAUCCUCGUGUUCUCACAUCACAACUAACGCCAAUUAUAACAUGCACGUACCUUUCAAGUCACUAAAAAUGACAAUUAAAUUUUGCACGUGUCUCACACACAACAAAUAAUGCCAUAUCAAAUAUGCACAGGACAUAUAACAACUUUCAAAGUAUUCACAUAACACUCAAAUGCCCCGCCCACAUUUAGCGCCUUGAGAAUCAUAUAAUACCCCAUAAUAUUAUGCUAUCUUAGGUCCAAUUAUUAUACAUACAUAGCCAAAGAACCUAUGGCUCUUCCGAAAUUAUCCAAGGCAUCAUCCUGCCCCAUCGAGCAUGGCAUCCAAACUCCAUCGGACAUCGUUAUGAUAAAACACUCCCAUGAAUGGUAUUCGAACUCCCUUGGGCAUCCGAAAUCCAUCAGGUAUUGCCCCGACUUCCACCAGUGAUGGGUUUUUCAUGUGACCACAUGGAUUAAGCACACAACCGAUUAUUAUCUUCCUCUUUAGCCCAAUGUAUGAAUGCCUCAAUGACGUACCAAGUGAAGUGUGUCUCAUGGCCUAUCGAAACUACUUCAAUAAAAUAUGCUUAGCACGAAACGAGAAUUGACCUAGGUCCUAUUUAGAUAAACAACGAUACACCUCAAUACCGCUAAUCUAAGAGAGAGACUAGACCUGACGUGCUUCCACACAUGUUCAAGGACCAUCGCAAGUCUCACCUCAAAGACUCGAGGUGACUUCAUGCAUCGACCAUGUAUAUGAGGACUACCUCAAAUGAACAUAAAACUUUGCCCUCGAUAUUGCUCAACAAUACAUAAAACAAGAACAUCCAAUAAUAACAAGGUUUUCAAAUAACUCAACAUAGGUUAUGACAUAACCAGCUUACACAAUGGAACAACGGCUUUUUGAAACCAAACCCGAACAUGAACAUAAACAGAUCGUUUCCAAUAGCAAUAACAAACCGAGCAACCUUAACAAUAACUUAAGCUUUCUUUAUUUACCUUAAACCUAAUAAACCAAUCAAACUCAUGAGCAAACCAUGUAAAAUUAAUACAUGGUUCUAACCUCUCUAUGAUAGCUUGAUCCUAACUCCUAAUACAAGCAAAACCAACCUAAAUUCAAGCCACGUAACAUUACGGCCUAGCCGGCGUUUACGAAAUUUACUUACAAACACUUGAGACACAGACGGAACCGAACGACAGACGAUUUGAGCUCAUGGCGGCAAUGAGGGUGCGACAUGAGAUGAUAGGCAGCUCAAGACAACGAGUGGUAGUGCAAUGGCAUAAGACGACAGUGGCGGCAGUGCAGCGACAUAAAGGAGAGAAAGAGGGAGAGAGAGAGAGAGAGAGAGAGAAGAGAGGGUCAACCAAAGGGGAGAAAGGGAGAGAAAUGAGAGCAAACGAAGAACUUGGGUAAGAAGGAGAUGGAAGAGAGAAAAUUUUAAUCUAAGCAUUAAUGGCAAGCUCAAUUAUUGUCCUAAGCCACUAAUGACUUCUUGGCUUGAAGAGCAAGAAUGGUUCUCCACCACACAAAUGCCCAAGCUUGCAUUUCAAGCUUCAAUGCUCUGGUUGCAAGAGAACUAGUCUAGUUAUCCUAACUAGAUUAUUCCUUCUCCUAUUUCCUUCUUAAUGGGCACCUAUCCUCUUUGCAUAGUGUGACAUCCUAGUUUUCAAGUUCUGUCUUGGAUUGAAUAAGUUGGGCUUUUCAUCGACACGCCUAUAGUUCUUUGCUCGUAGUUGGCUACUCACGAGUUAACUAACCUAUCAAGUGAAGCCGUUAAGGGAUUUUAAUGCAAUAAACUUGAUAAUUCGACCAGGAAUCGGCUGUUCGACCGUGCUAGUCUACAAGGGUCACUAUGGCAUUGUUAAAAUUGAUUAGGGAUCAAGGAUAGGUCGACUCGAUUGAGAUGUAUGAUCAAAGUAUGGGUGAUUCCACCUGAUUCCAAAAUUAUCGUCGAUCGGCACUAGACCGAUUUUUUGUCGUUUUCGGUACUCUGUGCCCAUAUUUGAAACCUUGAGAUUUUCACAAUAACCUAGAGUCGCCAAUGUGUCGAAGAUGUACGUUGUGACUCGAAACAAAUCGAUCACGGGUCAAUUGCACAAAAAAUUCCAGAAAGCUACCCGGUAGGCUAGGUCACGCUAAAAUUGUGCCAAAUUGAAAUUAACCGCAAAUUUGAAUCCGAUUUCAGAAAUUGAAAGUUCUGUAAUGUCAUGAUGUAUUUUAGGACCAUUGACUCAUCAUUCAAAGAUUUUUCUGAAAACUGAGAUUUUUGGCGAAAAUGCAAAAUAUGACCGUUUUUGUCCGGAAAAUUCAAUGACCAUUUUUUAUCGUGUUUUUGGGACGCAAGUUGGUUCCAUUGGCGAGGAAAAAUGUCAAUUUGGUCAAGGACCCCUUGGUGGAAUUUUGGGGAAUCGAAUUGAGUCCAAUUGGAGAGAAAUUGGUAUAAUUUGGGGGAAAUUGAGUGCAAAUUUUAGUAGCCCCCCUUGGUCCUCAACUUUUGGACCACUUCAUUAGCUUGCAAGAGAAGCUUGGUGGCUGCAAAAGAGCCAUGGAUGACAGCCAAGGGCUGGUGGGGCCUCUUCAAGGGACAAGAGGAUAGAUUGGAAGCCAAAAGGGUCCCUCCAAGCUUGUGUUGUCCCCUAUCUUCUUCCCUCAGUUGCUUUCUCCAUUAGAGAGUGUUUUGUGAGCUUCCAAAGUGCAGAGAAAACCUCAGCCUCCUCCCCCUUGCCGUCGAGUAGCCCGCCAAGGCCGCCGGAGCCCCAUCGUGCCGCGUCAUGCCCCCGUGUGAGCCUACGCCCCUAUCGAAUCACCCUUCCAGUUUUGUUGCCGUGUCGUCUCCCUCGAGCCUCUUCAAGCCGUCGCCGUUCAAGCUCGCCACCACCGCCGUUUAGCCUCGCCUAUCCUCUUAUUCGCCUACCUGGUCAUUGGCCCUCCUUAGCUUGCCGUUUCAACCGUCAGUUCCCCCUCCUUCAGUCCAAGUAGAAACUGAACCAACAAGGAUUCGUGGGCCUUCGAGGCCCAUUUUGGACCCCUUCCGGGCCUUGCUUGGUGCCGCCACUUGGAGUUUGUUGUCUGUCUCCGCUUUGCUGUCAUCGUGGACUCAUCGGAUUUCAAAACCGGUGAGUUUACUCACUAAACUCUGCUUAUGGAGUUAAUUAUACUUAAGUAUUGAUUAGUUUAUGCUAAUUAAGGUUUAGGUGGUUAGUUAGAAUGGAUUACUGAUUUAACUACUCGUUUAUGCAUGUUAGGUUAUUAGAUCGACUUAAUUAGCAACUAGAUAUGUUGUAUUAUUUACCUAGAUAGGUUUGGAAAUUUUUUGGGCCCGUUUCAGUAUUUAAUUAGGCUUUUCCGGCCUAAGUUGCAUUUAUUGGUAUUUAUUUAAUUAAUUUUAGUAUUUAUUUAAUUAUUUAUUAUUUUCCGAAAAUUAUACCAGGAUAGCCGAUAAUCGGAAUUUCGUGCUGAUCGCAAUGGUAUAAUUGGUUUAUUUAAUUGAGUGUUGAUUUGUGCAAAUUGAGUGAGAUUUAUAAUUUUGGGUAUUUAUUCCAAAAUUAGGUAUUUUCAAUAUUUAAUUAGAAAAUACAAUACCGAGCAUCGGUUUACAACACCAAAAAUGUGUUUAUAGACUAUUAUAAUUAGUGGGAUUCUAUAAAUAAAUAAAUAAAAGAUAUUGUAUUUUGGUUAAUGUCAACCGUGUACCCACACAAGAUUAUUUUCACCAGGUACUAUAAAGAUGGUAGAUUUUCAGUGAAUGAGAACAAUAUACUAUAUCAGCCUGCAGGCUUUGAUAUAUCAGCUUCGGUGAGCAGUAUACUCUAUUAGCUUUGGUGAGCAAUUGUAAGUAUCGCACAGCUUUGGUGAACAAUAUAAAUAUAUAACAACUUCGGUGAGCAUUAUUAUAUAUCUAUUGUCAGCUUUGGUGAGCUAUACCAUAUAAUUUCAACUUAGGGUGAGCUGAAUUGGUUGAAUUUUAUAGAUAGUAUUGAUGGUAUGGAAUCGAGUGGAUGGAUUGAUGAAUGGUUUGAUUUGAAUUGAAGUAAUUCGUUGAAUAUAUGAAUCAUACUGACUUGCAGGAAGGAACUGAGGUAAAGGUAAGUCCUCUGUCUUGUGUGUGCAUAGAUAGUCUUUUGGCGUAUUUCCUUCCUAGUCGGGGUUUAAGGGGUAGACUUGCUGAGACGUUGUCUCACCCCAUCGUGGGUUAAUAUUUUCAGGUUCUUAGAUAGCGGAUCCUCUAGAAUGUCAUGGUCGUCCCAUAAGGGUCACCGAGUGAGUUUAUACCUAUUCCGAUCCCGGAAGCUUUUGGGUUUAUGAAUUGGUAGUGACCAUUGUCUGGGUCGAAGAGCGUCUACAUUAUGUGUUCCCUAAUCGAUUCAGAGCUUGGUUCCGAUACGGACCCAACGGUUUCCAGGUGGGUCCUCUCAGGUGUUUUGAAAUUUCCACAAGGAUAAUUGAUGCCUCUCUAUGGGAAAGUGCUGUGGACCCUCCCGAUGGUGUGGUGGAGAACCCGACGUCCCGUUCGAAUCCCGUGAAGAUUGAAGAAUCGACGAACGAGUCUGACUAGAUAGUCAUAGGAUGAGAGUGCUAGUAUGAACAAAAUAAAGGAGUUAGGGAAGAGAAUAAGAACACGAGAUUUAUAGUGGUUCGGCUUAAUCCAAGCCUACGUCCACUCUCCCACGAUAACAGCCUUCUUGGCUGGAUUCCACUAUGCAAUCAACAAGAGAUUACAACUCCGAGUGCAAAUACUUAGUAGAUCACACUAUCUCACUAAGUCACUCUCUUGGUAUUUCUCUCACGAUUACAAACGUUUAAGCUCUCAAGAGACAAGUAUAUGAUCUAAAGUCGCUCAGACUUUGGAAUUAUAAAUUCUACGCUCCGUCUCUUACUUGCUCAUCGGUCCAUGAUCUCCUUAAAUACUCCUCCACUUCCAAACUACCGUUGGACAGUAUCCCGGAGAAUCGUCUUCCAAUAUACCCAUUGGACAGCUCUGUAUCUUAGAAGAUUUGGUAGCCGUUGAGUGACAAAGGUAAAAUCCCAAAUUGAUUCCGAUCGCCCAUACAAACGAAAUCUUGGUUUCCAUAAGUAAAGCUUCUUCGUAUAGAAAGAUCUUGUCUUCAACAUCCAAUUGUCAAUCAAAUAGAUUGAGUCAAUCAAAUCAAUCUUGAUGUGGAAUCCAAACCAGAUCACUAGCCGUUGUAUGAUUGGGCUUGAGUUACGAUUCAUCGAAUCUGGAUGUAAAGUCUGAGUCUUUAGACUUUACGAUAUAAGUCUUGAGACUUUACAAUCUGGGUCUGUAGACUUUACAAUAUGAGUCUGUAGACUUUACAAUCUGAGUCUGAACAUAUCUGCUUCUGAACAGAUUUAGCUUUAAGGUCUGUACCCAGUUCAGCUUCAGCAUAGAGUCUGUCUUCUGGUUCAUCAUUCACGUUCAGUCUGGAAUUUGUCAGAGUGAACAGACUUCUGAUGUAGAACAGACUUUGACACUAAAGUCUGGCAGUCUUCAGACUUUGAGUCUUGAGUCUAACAGUCUUCAGACUUUGAGUCUAGAGUCUAACAGUCUUCAGACUUUGAGUCUUGAGUCUGGCAGUCUUCAGACUUUGAUAAUAUCCUCUACAUGUUCUAACAUCUGCAUGGCCUAUUACUCAACCAUCAAAUAUGUUAGUAGCCUUUGAUUUAUUUUGUCAUCUUCAAAACAUCAUAAGGGAUUUCCCUAACAUAGGACAGAUCGUUUUGAGGAUCGACCCUUUGUAGACUUUUGUGAAUAUAGACUAGCCUUGUAAAUGACUGCUGUGUAUAAAAGUGUGUUGUGGUUUUCAAAAUUUGUGGCCCUGUUUUAUUCCAUUCCAUUUUUGAGUUGUCUGGGAUUUAUUUAUUCACUUCCGCAUGUGCAUUAAAAUGAAUGGGUCGGCAACAUGUCCUGGGACGUUACAAAUUAAUCGACCACCGAGGGAUGGGCAUGCGCUCGAGGAUUGGGGCGUGACACAUAGUCCCCCUAAAUUUUUGUCUAACCUCAAUUUAAUCUCAAGAAGCUAAGUUAGUUUCACCUCUAGGGUUAUUAAGGUCUAUGUCCAAAAAUUACCACAUGUUUCCAAUCAAUGCACUAAUGUACUAACUUCCAAAAUUCUAAGAAUAGGUUUAAGCCUUGCAAGACAACUUGUCUCACAAGUUUAUUCGAUUUAGGCGUGUAAAGGGGGGAGUCUCAUUGGCUUCUAAAUUCACUCUCAAUAAAUCUAAAUUUAAGAGGACAAGAUAUAAUUAAAAGAGUUGUAUAAUUGUUGUAUUGACAGGACAAGAAUAACUUAAGAUCACCUACGAUUGACACCCGUAGUCAGACCGGGUUUGUGACUAAGUUUUGUUCGGAAAUGGCCCUAAUGUGACCUACGCUAAUUAAGCGGCAUUGAUAUGGUUAGACCUAAACUAAGUUUGACGUCUAUCUGGGGUUCUAUGCGUGACCUAUGUUUAAGCCUGGUUGGUCCAUGAAUGACUUUCAACAGUUAUGUAAUCAUGUAGAAUCAAUUGACUUACCUUUGUUCAUGACCAUGUGGAAUCGAAUAAGGGUCGUUCACAAACGGUAUAACGACCAUGCAUAGUCACCUGCGACUGGUAUAUACUUGAGCUGAAUCAAUCUAUAUCUAUCCAAUGAUUGACUUGUGACGACACAUUGUCGUCCACAUCGAUCCUUAUGGUCAAACGGUCCUUUCAUGUUCGAACACUCUAGUCUAACUUAACUUGAUCCAGAGUUGCCUUACCCUAAUCAAUUAGUUGGCUCAUAAACAAUCCCUAAGAUUGACUCACAACAUAUUCUCGUUAUGGAAUUAAAAUUGGACAUGGCCUAAACUACAUGACAUGCAUAUGAUAUUUUUGGUGUUCUUAUUAAAAUUCGCAACUAGAAGUAAAUUAACAUAUGAAUACACCUAAAGUGAGAUGUUAUCUAAUUUAAGUUAAGAAAUGGACUCACUUAAAUCCCGUCUUAUCUUGGAAAUUUAUCUCAACAUGUAAUUCUAUUUUUAAAAAAAAAAAAAGCUAUCUACUCUAGAUAUUAUCUAAACACGCAUUUAAAUUGAAAUAGGAAAAUGUCUAUCUAGUCCUAUCAUGCAAUUUGAAUGAUAUGAUAUGCCAUGCAAUCUUUUCUUGAAUUUUUUUUUUCAUUGAAGCUAGCAAUUCUAGCUAAACAAAAUUUCAAACAUAGCAAAAUCCAUUGUUUCAUGUCUUAGAUUAAUGGAUAUCAUAAUCUUGAUAGGGCACUUACUUAGAAUCAAACAUUAAAAAAAAUUAAAAAAUGAUCCAUCAUCUCACGGCUCAAAUGAUAGAUUAUCACAAUCUUAGUCAACGUAAUUAUCCAAUAAUAAGUUGAAAUAAUUAAACAAAUGAUCCAAUAUCUUUAUGGAUCAAAUUAGUACUUAAACCAACUUUAUCAAUAAGCCUUAAUUGGAUAUGCCUAAUAUCUCAAAUAUCAUAUCGGAUAGCAAUUAAUCCAAAUUGAGUAAUGAAAUAUUUCAAUUUAAUUGGAUAAAGCUUGUUACCUAAUUUGAUCGGACCGGAUCUCGACUUGCGGAUAGGUCUCAGCAGUUGUAUCUCACGGUGUGGCGCUUGGUCGACUAUGUGCUUGACAAGAGGGCCACGGUAGAUGAUCCGCCGAUGAUGCUCAGCCUGCAAAAAAAUUAAAAUCAAAGCGCCGCGGCCGAGCUUUGGAGCAAAGUCGGAUAACUCGCUGGCUGCCUCACGGUACAUCAACUCCACGGGUUAGUGUGAUUUUUGUUUGAAGGACACCAUAAGUCCUGAAGUUCACUCAUAAGCGACUCACCAUAAGUCCUGCAAGAGAAACACGAGGCAAAAUUGUUAAUCGGCUGUGAUGAUGGGGCGUGCUGCAAGCGCAAGAAAUAGUCCGAAUUUGUCGAUGGGGCUCGCUGGACUCAACAACAAAAGCCACUUCAAUGUGGCUGCAAGAGAGACCGUCGCGUGCCUUCAAGAGCGACUCAAGGGCAGCUUAGUGCGAUGCUGCUCUGAGGGCUGGAGUCGCGGGAGCCGACGUCAUGGCGGUAAAGAUCAGGACGGCGGCUCGUCAUCUCAGUCCAACACGGGGUACGGCGUCGCGGCUUAAAUGAGGGAAGCGUUGUAGCAAGCGGGAGCGCAACGCUACGGUGGGAGGACUCACGAAGCCGAGACUACGAGGAAAAGACCUCGCUCUCCCUCUAUUCUCUCUCCAGAUUCUUUUGUGUACCCAGUGUUGACCGAGAGAGAGAGAGAGAGAGAGAGAGAGAGGGCCCUCCCUCCUAUUUGACGAAGCAAAGGCCUAUCUUUUUGUCUUCUUAUCCCUUUUCUUACGGACGUGUGUUGCUCUUCUUUUGUGUUCUCAUUAUGCGGACUUUCAGAACCUGCAGGAAGAACAAAAGACAUUUUCUCUCCCUCUCGCAAUGGUGGCCGUGUAUUCUCUAUUGUCUCCCCUCUUCUCUUGCAAUCCACACUUGUUUUUACAAUGCCCCAAAUAUUUUCUUCCUUUAUUUCAUCAACCAAAUAUUCUUUGUUUUGCUGAUUGUAUCUCGUCUCAGAUCACUCUUUUCUUUUUGUCUAAUCAAGCUUUGAUUUUCCCGAAAUUCCAAAUCUUGCAAAGAUGCUUGCCAAAUGUCUACGAGCGUGCAAUAUCUCCUUUGUAUGCUUGCCUUAAUCGACAAUAAAUGGAUAUUUCUUCUUUCUUGUGCUUUUUAUUUCUUAAUCUUUGGCCAAAUAUUCUCUUCAGAUUUCCACCAUUUUGUUUUUAGUCAAUCUUCCAUCAUUAUCCUUCUCUUGCCAAAUUCGCACGUAUUCAGCCCAUGUUUCCUCUUUGCUGUCUUUCCUUGGCCGAGAAUAUGCUCUCUUGAUUUCAAAAGUUUCCAAUUUUAUAUACUCAUGUGUGGCACAAGUAAUUUUCGGCCACAUGGGGUAUUCAAUGGGCUUGAAUUUCAUGCUUCCUUGGGCUCAGUCUAAUUAUUUACCUUACAGGGUUAAUUAGUCCCAUAAGCUUAGAACUGUUUACCACCCGCCACCAAUCCAAUGCAAAUGCAAUUUUAUGGGCCUAUUGCUAUUGAAAUGCUCCUAAAAAUCUAUAUGCAAUUGUAAUAUUUUUUUGCAUAGGGACAAGGGAUGAUCCUUGAUUUUCUAUGCAAUGAAUGACUAAAUGGGUUGCCAAAAUUUAGGUGUUAAUAACCUAGCAAAAAUCCAAGUCAAAGCCCAAGUUCAUACCAAACCAAUACUUCUAUCUUCUAAAGUAAAUAGGCUAUCCAAAUACUUUUCUAACACAACCCACAUGUGCAUUCAUCAGUAGAUGGUAUAUAAAUAAAAUCAUAGAAAAAUUACCAAAUUAAAAAUUUGUAGGCAAAAAAGUCAAAAAGAAGACCUAAAACUUUAUCAAAUAAAACAAAACAAAUUAAAACAUUGAAAUAAUAAUUCAUCUCUCUUACAAUUCUACAACUCUAAUGUCCAGCAGCAAGCUACCUCGCCACCGGAUCUUUGCUUUAGUCAAGCCAUCGUCCAGCCCUUAUGGUGGCUGGACCAUUGCCAUUGCCAUAGCCUCUAAAUUGCGCUCUUGCCAAGAUGUAGUAUAAAAGUCGAAAGAACACGCUGUUAUCAAGCAUUCUAUCAUUACAACAAGCGGAGAAUCAGUUGAUAAUCGAGAGUAUUUGAAAUCUGCCAAUGCCAUUUCAAACGGUCGCAGAAUAUUGCAUAUUCUUUAAACAGUCGCAGAAUAUUGCAGAUUCUCUUGUGAUAAUCUGCUUAUGAUGCUUUUCGCGCAUAAUUUCAUUCAUACACAUUUUCCAAAACUAGCUCAUACGUCAUAUCAAAGCGAGUCGCUAUUUUUUUCCCUUUAUUUUUUUCACGCCCUUUAACUAAUAUAAUAAUGGGUCGCAAUCCGCAAGUAAGCUGACGACUUUUUUUUUUUUUUUUGAUCGGUAGCUAACGACUUUAUAAGCCUUUCUUAGUAUGGAAGUUUUCAUACUUGCCUGAAGGGUCGUAGUUGCACAUAACAUACUACCGACUAUCGUUACACUUAACCCUAGUACAACCGACUUGGACCUAUUCGGGCCAACCAUCUGAGUGUAGUAUAAGUAGUCGCAUGUACUCGCGCCAGUUUUGGUGUUGUAAUUGUAGUAUUGCUUCUCCACGACCCACAACUUCACAGCGUAGGUGCCCAUGAACGUGCCUGUGCCCCUGGCGAGGUUCUUGCUGUAGGGCCCAUUGGAGUGUAAGGGGCUACAGUCUCUGACUUGUUGGUUUGCGUAGCUCUAGGUGUAGGCGGCAACAAUAUUAACCCAUGUCAUGUUCACCACGCUAACUUACUUUUGGGCAUCAUCGUGAGAGUUGAGAUAGCCUUGGGGUGAGUUUUGGGCAUGAGUAGGUUGAAAGAAAGAAAUGGAGACAAGAGAGAUGAUGAAAUUUAGAGAAUUCAUGACACUUAAGGAAUUAGUAAUUCCUAAAACAAAUUCGACACUAAAUCGAACCCCUAAAACGAAUGCGGAAGACGAGCCCAAAAACAAACAUGUAUCACCGAUCAAAGAUAUACCACGGAAUCGAGCGUACCUUAUUGUUCACAGAUUAAACACCAACGUUGAUUUGAGGAAGAAAAACUGAUCCCGUUCUAUCGAGGAGCGUGCUGUUGCUAUUAGGGGGAGAAAAACAGAGCGUACGGUUUCUUUCUAUGUUCUUUUUUUCUUUUUCUUUUUUUGAGGGAGAGAGAGUGAAAAGACAUACGUACAUCUAAAGGGGUGUGAUCCCUUUUUUCUUUUCUCUUUUAUAUCUUCUCCAAGAGACGUAACUCUUCAAUGUAAUACGUUCUCCCAAAAGUCAUAACACCUGGUAUCUAAACAACGCAACAUUUCACAUCGCAUCCGUUCCUCCAUGGGCCCUUAUCUUGGGGGCCAGGCUUUUAGGCCCAACAUGGGCGAACGGGCUCACUUAGGCCCAUCAACAUAUAAAUAAAACCAUCAUCUCCCACUCGCACAUGGUGGGCCGAACAAGAUCCUCUUUACCUCUCUACAACAUUUAUACCAGUGAAUAAUCCAUGCGACCAGCAUACUUUGAGAGUUUGUUGCUAUACAUCUAUUAGGAAUAUAUAGUAGCUCAUAAUGGGCAUCACCCUUUGAGUAUAUUUAGUAUGCAGUACCCUAGAUCAAUCGAUCACACUUGUAUCUCUCUCUUGAUCUCUUUUUAAUCUUUGAUAUAUUGUAUUCACAAUUACGAUUAUCCCAAAGACAGUCAUAAUUGGUCGACUAGUGAAUACAAAACUUAGAAUGUGAUUCUCCAUUUUUUAUCUUCCUCUUUCCUUUAAACUCUCAAUUUCAGUUCAGCUUGCUUUUCUAGAAAUGUCCCAUCAGAUCGAAUCAAUUCAUGAUCAUUGGCAACAUCCUAAGAUAGCAAACACUAAAUAGAAAUCUUGAGAAUAAGUAAGAGUCAUGAGGGCACUAAAUUGAGGAACUCUUUUCCUCAAGAGUCUCACACGGCAUAAAAGUUGAGAUUAAAUUUUGCCAUUCUUUUUGGCCGUCUCAUGCAUACGUAGUAUGAAAUACGUAUUACGGUAUUAACUCCUUUCCCAUGGAGCGUAUGUCUACACCAUCAAUACCGUACAGAUGAUAGUUCAGACAUACAUAAUAUCUAACUUGAGUUCACAUAUCUACUCAUUCACAGAAUUCAUCAGAACUCACAUCUGGCAUCAUAGACAGAUAAAGUAAAAUAUGUGGGUUAUUUUACUUUCGGACAUAGUAAAUAUUAUGUCAUCAUCUUAAUACUCAGUUAAGGUGACUUAUGUAUUUUAAGCUUGAGCUCUCGAUUAUCACCUAGAUAAUAAGCUUAAAAACUGUCUCAUCUCUAUUUAUUACACAGUAAAUAGAGGCGAUUACCCAUGUGAGUGGGCUAAUAUUUUAUCUGUCCGACAUACUUUAUCAACUUAAUAUAAUGCACUGAGCAUUAAGAUGCAUAAACGUCAAAUAAAGAUUUAUAGGCAUUAAUGAUGAAAAAACAAAAUCAUCAAAUGUGAACACUUAUGGAAAUUAUAAUAUUCAGUACAUUAGCCUUUACGCAGUCUUAGAGAUUUUACAUUACCACAAAACACAUCUCUAGGUAUUGGCUUUGUCAUAGGAUCUUCUACUAUUUUAUGUGUAGAUAUGUACUGUAAGUUCACAUCUUUUCGUGCAAUCAUAUCAUUGACAAAAUUAUACUUGGUAUCUAUAUGUUUGGUCUUGUCAUGAUAUUUUGGAUCUUUGGUGUACGUUAUAACUGCUUGGCUAUCACAGUUAACCAAUAAUGGAUUUGCAGCAUACCCAAUAACACCUAAAUGAUUCAAAAAUAUCUUAAGCCAAACACCUUCUUGUACUGCUGCUGAUAAUGCCAUGAACUCAGCCUCCAUCUUGGAUAAGGCUAUACACGUUUACUUCUUACUGCUCCAAGAUAUGGCGCCAUUAUUCAGUAAGAAAGUAAAACCAGAGGUAGAUUUUCUUUCAUCUAAAUCUCCUCCCCAAUCAGCAUCCGAAUAGCCUUUAAGUCGCAGAUCCUUUCCUUGGUAAUUCAACUUGUAAUCGGCAGUUCCCUUCAAAUACCUCAGUAUUCUUUUAACGGCUUUCCAAUGUGCUUGACUUGGAUUAGAAUGGUAUCUACUCACCAUUCCAACUGCCAAACAUAUGUCAGGUCUUGUACAUAUCAUAGUGUACAUCAAGCUCUCAAUAGCACUAGCAUAAGGAAUAUGUUUCAUUUGUUCCUUCUCUUGUGGAGUCCUUGGACAUAGUCUAUGGCUCAAUCCUUCAUAAUCAAUUCCUUUCUGUUAAUUAUACUCCUUCGCCACAAGGCGAGCCUUAUACAUUUCUAUCGAGCCAUCAGCUUUACGCUUUAUUUUGAGAACCCACUUGUUCCCAAUAGCUUUGCAUCCUUUUGGAAGAUCAACCAGUUUCCAAACAUGGUUUGACUUCAUUGACUCCAUCUCCUCUUCCAUUGCAUGUAUCCAUUUUUCCUUACUAGGGCAAUUUAGAGUCUCAUUAACAUUUCUUGGCUCAUCCUCAUCUUGUGGAGCAACUAUGAAAGUUUCCCCUUCAAUGUCAAAACGUCAACAGGGAAUACUUUUGCGACUUGUUCACCGUAUGGGAGAUUGUACACUUUGCACAUCAUUCCCCAUCAUGCUCCCACUCGAAUUAGAUAAUGACGAUAUCAUCUCAUCAUGUGGUUGUAAUUGAGAGUGAAUUGAAUUAAAUUCAUCACUUCUCAUGUUACUCCCACUUGGACGAACUCCAUUAAGUUCAUUAUCUUGAUCCAAGGUUUCAAAUAGGGAGUAAUCCUCACAUAUUUCGCAUUUCUUAAGAAAUUCAUUCUCUAAGAAUGUGACAUCCCGUGAUUCGAAUUAAGUUAUACUUCCACUUUCUUGCUCACCUAUGAACACAUACCCUUUCGACUAUUCAGAAUAUUUUAUGAAAAUACUCUUCUUUCCUCUGGGACCCAAUUUCCCAAACUUGUGAGAGGGCUCAUGAGUAUAGGCAGCACAACUCCAUAACUUAAGGAAACUUAAGUCCGGUUUUUUGCCUGUCCAUAACUCAUAUGGAGUGGAAGUAACUGAUUUGGAAAGCACUCGGUUAAGUAUAUAUGCAGCAAUUAACAAUGCAUCACUCCAAAAAAUGAUAAGUAAGUUAGCAUGCACCAAUCAUGGAUCUAACCAUUUCCAAUAGGAUUCUGUUCCUUCUCUCUGCAUCACCAUUUUGUUGAGGAGUAUAUGGAAUAGACAACUGUCUUUCUAUUCAUUUUUCAUCACAUAAUUUUCUGAACUCAUCAGAUAAAUAUUCUCGACCUCAAUCGGAUCUCAAUACUUUUAUUUUCUUGUCUAAUUGAUUUUCUACCAAGUUCAUAAAUCUUUUGAAACAACUCAAUGCUUCAGAUUUAUGAGAAAUCAAAUAGACAUAUCCGAAGUGAGUAUAAUCAUCUAUAAAUGUGAUGAAAUAAACAGUCUCAUGCCUUCCUCUCACAUUCAUCGGACCACAGACGUCAGAAUGGAUUAAUUGCAAAGGAAAUUAAGCUCUUUUACCCUUUCCAAAUGAUUUUCUUGUCGUUUUCCCUGCUAGGCAAUGCUCACAUAUGGGUAAAUCGACUUUUUCAAUAUUGCCUAACAAGCCCUAUUUGGCUAGUCUAUUCAUACGUUGUUGGCCAAUGUGACCAUGUCUAGCAUGCCACACACUCACAUCAUUAUCAUAUGAAUUAGAAGACGUAAAAAAGGAAUAACAAAUGUUGGCAUUACUAUAGUCAACCUUUAAUACAAUAAAACCAUCUAGAAAAUAAUCACAACCAUAGUAAUUUGUACCCAAAUACAAAUCCACACCACUAUUAUGGAAGUUCAUAUUAAAACCAAGUUUAACCAACACUAAAACAGACAUUGAAUUCCGACGAAUCUCUGGAGCAUACAGCACAUCAUGCAGGAACAGAGUGCGUCCAUCACACAUGUUCAAUUGACAGAUGCCAAUUCCUUUUACUUCUGCUCUAGAGUUGUUUCCUACAUAGAUCCACUUAGUUCCAGUCGGUACUCGUCGGAAUUCCACAAAGAAUUCUCUAUCUUUCGCUACGUGGUCUGUCACUCAUGAAUCCACAAUCCACAAAGGAUUAGACUCAAUUAAAAAUACAGAACUCGACACAUAAGCAAAGUUUUGAAAAGUACAAGGAGUGUAUACCUUCUUUGGCUCACGACAGUCGUGAGCAUAGUGACCCUUCUUGUCACAAUUGUAACACUUCACCCUCGUCAGCUUUUUCAUUCAAGGACGUUUUCCUCUUUCAUGUUGGUCAAGCUUCGGUUUCUUCCCUGAAGAACUUGCUCCCUUGCCUUUCCUCUUAUCGAACCAGUUAGAAUGUUUGCGCGUGAAGCUCGUAGCUCCAUGUGAGCUAGAACCAGCAUGAUAAAUUUCAGCUUCCGGCUUAGCCGCCAAGAGGCGGUCCUAUUCCAGCUCAAGAUGACGCACUGCAUCAUCAAAGGUUUUAAUAUUUUCAUUAUGGAUUAGGUGCACCUUCAUAUGCUCCCAACUCUGAGGCAAGGAACGAAUCACUACUUGCACUUGCUGCUCAACAGUCAGGACAUGGCCUGCAUAUUUCAACUCAUUAAUCAUGUUUGACAUCUUUCUAAGGUGUUGCUUCAUGGUCUGAUCAUGAGGCUUCUUAUAAGAGUCAAACCUAAUAGUGAGCUACCUCAGUCUGGUCACCGAAAUAUGACCAAAUCUUGCUACCAAUGCUUCCCACAUUUCCUUGGCAUUCUCAAAAUGCCUAAACUCUCGUAUGACGUCAUUUUCCAUGCUACUCAGCAACGUAAUGCGAGCAAGAGAGUUCUUUCUUUUCCAAGCAGCAAAUGCAUCAUUAUCUCUCUUAUGCUGUGCAAUGUUUCCUUCUUUAGGUUCUACUAUGGUUAGGUUAAGAGCUUCCAGUGUCUCUUGCUCUUCCAUCACAUAUUGGAUUUUCCAUGUGUCAUAUUUCAUAGUUAUCGCCAUUGAGCUUCUCACUUUUGUUUAGCUCAGCGACAAUGCUCUUUGUGGUUGAAGCCAUUUGAUCUGAACAUAUUAGACAUAUAUGUACGAAUUAUUAAUGCCUAUCAUUUUUUUUUUUGGUAAAAUUAUUAAUGCUUAUCAUUUAUGCAUCCAUUUUGCACAAAACCAUCAUAUUAAUGAAUAAUUUCAAAUAAGGUUUCAGAAUCAAAUGGUCACUAUGUUCCCAAUUAUCAUCCAAAAUCCUAACUUAGAGUUAUUAUUAAUAUAACAUUCUAUGCAAAAUAAAUUCUUUGAAAUUACAAAAAUUUCUAUGAACUACCCACAGCAGUUAAUAAUAAUAGAAAGUAAAUGAUAUUUGAUAUCAAACAAUGAUAUAGUAAUAAUUGUCUUACAUAAUACAACUAACAUAUCAGUUGCCACACCAACAACAACUAGGUAGAAAACAUUACAUAAGAUGUCCACAAAGAACACUAAAUAAAGACCAGCCAAAAACAUCUAACACCAAGUCAACAUACGAACUGGGAAAAAUCCUCUUUUGUUCAACUUUUUGAUCUUUUCCCUUAUAACAAUCCAGUAAUAAUCAUCUAUAAAAGCCAUCACAAUUUUCCUAUACGAAACAGCUCUAUUGACUUCCCACAAGCGAUUCAACACUCCUUGCCAUUCUUGUGGAAGAGUGUUUAUGAAAAAUCGCACCAUCUCAGACUAUGGCAUGGGACGACCAUUCCAUACGACCUUUUGUAUCUUCCCGUUGACUUCAAGAACAUGAUCAAUUAAUUCGCCUCUCUCCCAUCGAUAAUCAGUCAACUCGGCUAUCAACCUAAAAAGUCUUUCCUUUUGUUUAUCGGUAAUUACGCGGAUAGGUGUGCGCAACCUAAGGAGAGGCAUUGUUCCUGCAACAAAUGCAGAACAAAUAAGGAUUUACAUAUAAUCCACAUAGACUUAAUUGGAAAAAGAAACACUUUUUUUUUUAAACGGUCAACAGUUAACGGUCGUGGUCAAUGGUUACGGUCAACGGUCAACGGUCACGGUCAUCGGUCAGCCGGGUCGGAGUCAACGGGCAGUCGGGUCGGACCGGACGGGCCGGGUCAGGCUGGUCGAACUGAUCGGGCCGAUCGGACAAACCGACCGGCACGUGCCACGCUCGUGCCUGGCUGACGUCACGAUGACAUCAGCCGACGCGUGCGUGGCACGCGCCUGCACUCCGCGCGUGCAUCACACGCACCUGGAUCGAAACGGCGUGUGCGACGCACGCGCUUACGAGGGACUAAGUCGGCGUGUGCAACGCACGCGCCAAUAACCCCCGUUCGUUCCGGCUACGCGUGGCGGCGCGUCUGACGGCCUCCGGCUGCGAUCCGCCACUCGUUUUUCUUGUAUCAACGAGGGCUUUGAUCCUACGCUUUUAGAAAAAAAAAUUUUGACUUAUAGAAAAUCAAAAAACAGGACAAACAGAAUCGGGUCUCGGGUUUUUCUAUCCCCGAUCGAUCGGCAACGGCUUUUCUCGAAUUUUCAAUAAAAAGAUAAUUCAUAAACAUGAAAAAAAAGGGUUAGGAAACAUGAACUGGGGCUUUGAUACCAAUGUUGGGAAUUACUAAUUCUCUAAAACGGAUUCGACACUAAAUCGAACCCCUAAAACGAAUGCGGAAGACGAGCCUAGAAACAAACAUGUAUGACCGAUCAAAGACACACCACGGAAUCGAGUGUACCUUAUUGUCCACAGAUUAAAUACCAACGUUGAUUUGAGAAAGAAAAACUGAUCCCGUUCUACCGAGAAGCAUGCUAUUGCUAUUAGGGGGAGAAAAACAGAGCGUACUGUUUCUUUCUAUGUUCUUCUUCUUCUUUUUUUUCUUCUUUUUUGAGGGAGAGAGAGAGUGAAAAGAUGUACGUACAUCUAAAGGGGUGUGAUCCCUUUUUUCUUUCUCUUUUACGUCUUCUCCAAGAGACGUAACUCUUCAACGUAAUACGUUCCCCCAAAAGUCAUAACCCCUGGUAUCUAAACAACGCAACCUUUCACAUCGCAUCCGUUCUUCCAUGGGCCCCUAUCUUGCGGGCCGGGCUUUUAGGCCCAACAUGGGCGGACGGGCUCACUUAGGCCCAUCAACAUAUAAAUAAAACCAUCAGUUAUCAUUGGACUAUUUAUAAAAUAUAUAUAUAUAUAUAUAUAUAUAUAUAUAUAUAUAUGAAGAUUUUGGGGGCUUCAACUUAUCAUGUGCAAUGAACUUAUCAGGGAACGUCUCCUCUGGACAAUACAACUUUGCAUUCAAAUUUAGUUUGUUCAUGAAAUGACAAAAUUAGUAAACUAAGUGGUGCAUGGAGGGAAUUGGCUUUGCUUGUUCUUUCUUUCCUCAAAUGGAAGUCAACCAAAAGGCUUUAGUGAAAUUUGAAAUUUGAGCAAGUUUGAUAUGAUAAAUUAAGAAUAAUGUUAGACAUUAUUUGGAGUAAUGCUAAAGACAUUGAGAUUAGUGCAUGAAAUUAGAUUAUUAGGUGAUGUAUAUAAAAUUUAGCCAGGUAUUAAGAACAUACAAGUCUUAUUCGAGCACCCAAAAGGGGAUGUUGAUCAUUUGUCCCGUGUACAAGUCGUCUGAGAGUCGGUCCGGAAAGUACUGCUGCGAGUCGGGCAACCCCCUUCUCUGUAAUUUGACCUGCUCAGACUCGCCUCUCGGCCGCACGAUCCCACCUCAGACACUGCCUAUGUCAUCCUCACCCGUCGCUUGCCUAUUACAUGAUCAUGCCAGCUGUCCAUGUCAGUUGAGUGUUCAUCCCCCAAUAUCAACUCUCACAAAUUCAGACACAACUCCCGCUUCUCCCUCUCCCACGAAACUAUUAAUAUGGCCGACAUACCGACAGCACAAGUCUGAAAUUGCACGGAUGCGCAGGGCCUGCCCUCACAUCACUAUUCAUCAUUGAACGGUUGGAUGUGUCGGGUAUCUAUAUUAAGUGCAGGACCUCGUGCCAAACUGAAUCUAAGAUGAUGAAUCCCACUUAUCAAUAAAUAGUUUUUCACGUACCUCUACAGUGAAAAUGAUGGAAUCUUUUUUUCAAAAAAAUAAAAUAAAAUGACAAUCUGGAUUAACUAGGUAGCACGGACACAGCGACACGGACACGCGACACGACACGACACGACAUGCGACACGUUAUUUUUCAAAAAGUAGAGAAUUUUGACACGUUCCAACACGUUAUAUAUUAAAUGAAUAUUUUUAUUUUUAAUUAAUUUAAUUCAAAUUCAGUAUUUUAAUUUUUCGAAAUUAUAUUUUAAUCUCAUUUAUUUAUUUUUCCAUUAAAAAAAAUCUCCACUAAGGUCCACCCCACCCUCUUCUAGUUCUUUCCCUCAUCCAUUUCCCCCCUCCCCCAAAAUGUAUUUUUCUUUACCUCCCCACCAUCGUUCGUUUCCCCCCACCCCCAAAUUUAUUUUUCUUUCCCUCCCCUUCACUGACAGACAGGCUGUCCCUGUCUCUUCCCCUCCCCCAAUACGCAAUGGCCCAUCAAAAACCCGUCCCUAUCUCUUCCCCUCCCCCAAUACGCGAUGGCCCAUCAAAAACCCUAGCUCUGCACGACCCUUCCUCUUCUUGUUCCUCGUUGCUCGCUACUCACCGCACAAACCCCUUUCCUUGCCGCUUGCCGCUCACCACUCGUUGCCUCUCGCCGCUCGUCGCCUCUCACCGCUCGCCGCACGACUACCUUCCUCUCCUCUUCCUCCAAAUUAAUUUUUUUCAUCAAAAACUCUAAAUUGGUAUAUUUUUGACAAAUUUAUCUCAAACUGGUAUACUUAUGACAAAUUUAUUCUCUAUUAAUUUCCGUUAAACUUUAUUCUUAAAUUACUAAAUUGGAUAACAAGUGACACUUGACUGGUGUACCAGUUUGGAAUUUAAUUUUAUGUUCACCACAAUUAUAAAAUUUACCAAUUUGAGAUUUUUGGGGAUCAAAUAAAUUAAGUUUAGAGUAAAUUUAUCAUAAGUGUAUCAAUUUAUGAUUUUUUUUUCUGAUCAUUUGGGGUAAAUUUGUCACAUGUGUAUCAAUUUAAGGUUUUUCAUGUUCAAAAAAUUAGUCUUUGAUAAAUUUGUCACAUAUAUACCACUUUGGGAUUUUUUAGGACAUUAACCCUUAAAUAUUUAUAUACUAGAUUUAUCAAAUACUUACUCUUUAUAAUAGCUAGCUCUUCCAUUCUCUCUCCUUUAUCACUAUCUCUCUACCUCUGCCCCACACUCCAAUCGUGUCCCACUGCUGCCGUGCUCAAUUCCACCAUUGCUAUCGCUUCUAACGCAACGGAAACAAUGAUCACAUGAAUAGCAAUUCAUAACAUGAGUAAAACUCGUAAAUGUAUAUCCAAAGCGUACACUCCCAAAAUGUAUGUGUGUGAACUUUCUCAAUUUCUUGUACUUCCAAUUCAAAAUACUGUAGCUAAAAACCCUAAUGAAAUUCUAAGUUUCAAAUAAGAAAUAGACAUAUCAAUAAGAAAAUCCAUCCUACUAAACCUCAAAUGUCUAAAUGGAUAAUUACUCAAAAUUGAAAUAAAUCAUGUGAUAUCCUAACGGAAUUUCUAAAUCGAAAACAUACGUCCAGCGUCAUUCUACUGUCCUAGGAGAAAAACUUGACUCCAACAUGUUGGACGAGCUGCAUCAAUCGCCCACAAUUGUUAAAUAGCUUGACUCGAAUUUUAAAACGACAAAGGUAUGAUUUUUCAUAUCAACGUCGUCACUAUUUCUUUUGAACUGCCCUUCUGAGAAUUGAAAGUUUCCCCUGGGUCAUCGAUAUACGGUGGGACAAAAUCAUUCUUCAGCCGAAAUUCCCCAAGUUCAAAUCUCUUUUAAGAAAAGCUUAACCCUAGGUAAUUUUCUUCAUAACGUCCAGCAAUAAUCCGGUCACCCGAAUUAAUAGAUUUUAACCGGUAAUCAACUCAACAAGAAUUCUUCUGGAACUUUCUCUCCAUUAUUUUAAAGAUAAUUCUCAUUAGAAAAAAUCAUUUUCUAAUUCAGAAUCUUUUACCUUUCAAAUUGAAAUUACAAAACUUUAGUCACUCUGCAUUGCCGGAGCAGGUUUAUCGAAUGGUUGGCCAUGGGCUCGACAUUCCACCAGCGCUGCUUCAUUAACGCAAGCCGGUUUUCUCUUUAACCCACGAGCGGGGACCGAGAAGUCAUCAUGUUUGGCUUUCCAACUGAAUAAUCGCCGCAUUUGGUCACCGUUCUAUGCUUGUUGAGAUACACUAAUCAUAUUGUCGUAAAGCCUACAUCUCCGAAUCUUCGUUUGCAUGAUGGUUGUCUCCAAAGCCUUAAUGCUAAACACCUGUAUGUUUUUAUGCCUACCACGGUCGUCCCUAGACAAGAGUUUAGACAAAGCUCAAGCAAUUAUACCAUUAUUCAUAUGAUGUCUAGUUUUUAGAUGCGCUAACUUUUCUAUGCAAAACAUUUAAUAUGGACCUAAAAGUUCAAUGCGAAAUAUCUGAAUGUUUUAUAUGUACACAUCCAUCUUUCUCAUGUAUUAUUCGACCAGCUGUUGCAUCAUCAGCAUCAUUGAUGUACGUAAUUAAGCCCAAUCUCUUAGGAUGGUUGAAUCAAGCAUGGCCUUCUCGUUAAACACAUGUGGCCUAAUGUUUCAGCUGUGUUAGGUUUGUACUACUUUGUAUUCUCUAGGCCUCACAUAAUGGGAGCUCGGGUGAAAAUCUAGAGUUUUAGAUGCCCAGAGAUCAAAUCUGAAAAUAGCCAAAAAAAAAUAUCCCUCCACACCGUUAGAAUGCAUUAUAGAAUUAUAAUUACAAGGGGGGAAAACCAAUACUUUGCAUCAUCUACUGUCAUGGUUAUCUUAAUUUUCAGGUGUGAAGUUCACGGUUUUUAAAGAUUCAUGAGUCAAAAAAAUAAAUGUACAUAACUUAGAGGAGAAUUUAUGCAAUCUUUUCAAACUAAGGGGAUAGAGGGCAUGCAUAUGUCCCCAAACUAUCAAUUUGUAUAUGUUAUCUUUUGAGUUCUAAAAGCAGACAAAUUUUUUAGGACAUAACAAAGUGGAAGUUUAGGAUCGACAAUUGAAAGUUCAUAAAAAAGAAUUGCUAUUUAGUAUUCUUAAUGGAGACUUUGUUGUAUUUUGGAGAAAAUUUGCUAGUAAUUAUUAACAACGUUAUGGGACAAAUAAUUCUUUUAAAAAAGUGAUAUCAUACCUACUUCAUUGGUCUUCCUGAUCGUUCAUCAUAUUUUUCUCAAUAGGACAACAAACUAUCAUGUUGAAAUAAUGCCCCUUUAUGAUGAGGCAAGAGCUUUAGAUGCACCAAAAUUAAAUAAUGUCAUGUGAAUGGUGAAGGCAAUUCCCUUCACCGAAGAAAAGUUGAUCUCUUUCAAAAAUUAUUUCUUCUUCUUUUUUUUCUCGCGAUUUCUGAUUUUCAAGUGAAGGAAUUUUGAUCCUUGAUCUAACAUCCUCAGCUCCAAGCUCCCAAGCAUAUCAUCAUCCCUAUCAAGCCCCACAUCACAUCGUGAAAGGGAAGCUAUGUAUGAUCUCUAUGGCGCAUUUCUCUCUUGAGUUCAUCCUAUUACAUCUUUCAAUCGAUUCUAGUACAUAACAAUGGCCAUGUCGACCAUAUAAUGAUACAUUUUAUUCAUUAAGCUUGUUGGGAAUAACGGAUCCUCAAAAACCGGAUUCAACACUAAAUCGAACCCCUAAAACGAAUACGGAAGACAAGCCCGGGAAAACAACACGUAUCACCGAUCCUAAAGCACACCACGAAUUCGAGCGUACCUUAUUAGCCACAGAUUAAACACCAACGCCGAUAAGAGGAAGAGAAUUCGGUCAUGUUCGAUCCGAUGACGUCAAUUUGCCUUGAAGGGAAAACGGGGUCGCGUUUAGCGUUUUCUUUAUUUUGGAGGGAGAGAGGGAGAGAAUACGUACGCUACUUUUUUUUUGCCAAAAGGUGCGUUCUCCCUCUCUCUCAUCCCUUUUAUACCUCCCUCCAUCCACGGGCCCUAUUCCUGUGGGCCGGGCUUUUAGGCCCAACAUGGGCGGACAGGCCUUAAGCCCAUCACUAAUAAAACCAUCAUCUCCCACUCGCACAUGGUGGGCCGAACAGGAUUCUCUUUACCUCUCUUCAACAUUCAUACCGGUGAAUAAUCCGUGCGACCAGCAUACUUUGAGAGCUCGUUGCUAUACAUCUGUUAGGAAUAUAUAGCAGCUCAUAACGGGCAUCACACUCUGAGUAGAUUUAGUAUGCAGUACCCUAGAUCGAUCGAUCACAUUUAUAUCUCUCUUGAUCUCUUUUAAACAAUGAUAUAUAUAUUGUAUUCACAAUUAUGAUUAUCCCAAAGACAGUUAUAAUUGGUUAACCAGUGAAUACAAAACUACAAUAUGAUUCUCUAAAAUCGAUCUUCCUCUUCCCUUCAAACUCUCAAUUUCAAUUCAGUUUGCUUUUCUAGAAAUGUCCCAUUAGAUCAAAUCAGCUCAUGACCAUUGGCAACAUCCUAAGAUAGCAAACACUUAAUAGAAAUAUUGAGAAUAAGUAAGAGUCCUGAGGGAACUAAAAAUUGAGGAACUCUUUUCCUCAAGAGUCUCACACGGCACAAAAGUUUAGAUCAAACUUUUUGCCACUCUUAUUGGUCGUCUCAUGCAUACGUAGUAUGAAAUACGUAUUACAGUAUUAACUCCUUUCCCAUGGAGCGUAUGUCUACACCUUCAAUACCGUACAGAUGAUAGUUCAGACAUACCCAAUGUCUAACUUGAGUUCACGUAUCUACUCAUUCACAAAAUUCAUCAGAACUCACAUCUGGUAUCAUAGACAAAUAAAGUAAAAUAUGUGGGUUAUUUUACUUUUGGACAUAGUAAAUAUUAUGUCCUCAUCUUAACACCCAGUUAAGGCGACAAAUAUAUUUUUAAGCUUGAGCUCUCGAUUAUCACUUAGAUAAUAAGCUUAAAAACAGUCUCAUCUCUAUUUAUCACACAGUAAACAGAUGCAAUUACCCGUGUGAGUAGGCUAAUCUUUUAUCUGUCCGACAUACUUCCUUAACUUAAAAUAAUGCACUGAGCAUUAAGAUGCAUAAAGAUCAAACAAAGAUUCAUAGGCAUUAAUGAUGAAAACACAAAUUCAUCAAAUGUGAACACUUAGGGAAAAUACAAUAUUCAGUACAUCAGCCUCUACGCAAUCCUAGAGAUUUCAUAUGGCCACAAAGCACAAUUCUAGGUAUUGGCUUUGUCAUAGAAUCUGCUACCAUUUUAUGCGUAAUAUGUACUGUAAGUUCACAUCUUUUCGUGCAAUCAUAUCUUUGACAAAAUUAUACUUGGUAUCUAUAUGUUUGGUCUUGCCAUGAUAUUUUGGAUCUUUGGUGUACGCUUUUGCUGCUUGGCUAUCACAGUUAACCACUAACGAAUCUGCAGCACUUCCAAUAACACCUAAAUGAUCCAAUAAUCUCUUAAGCCAAACAUCUUCUUAUACUGCUGCUGAUAAUGCCAUGAACUCAGCUUCCAUCGUGGACAAGGUUAUACACGUUUGUUUCUUAUUGCUCCAACAUAUGGUGCCAUUAUUCGGUAAGAAAACAAAUCCAGAGGUAGAUUUCCUUUCAUCUAAAUCUCCUCUCCAAUCAGCAUAAAAAUAGCCUUAGAGUCGCAGAUCCUUUCUUUAAUAACUCAGCGUAUUAUCAGCAGUCCCCUUUAGAUACCUCAGUAUUCUCUUAACGGCUUUCCAAUGUGCUUGACCUGGAUUGGAUUGGUAACUACUCACCAUUCCAACUGCAAAAACAUAUGACAGGUCUUGUACACAUCAUAGCGUACAUCAAGCUUCCAACAGCACUAGCAUAAGGAACAUGUUUCAUUUGUUCCUUCUCUUGUGGAGUCAUUGGACACAGUCUAUGGCUCAAUCAUUCACCUUUUGCAAUAGGAGUGUCUAUGGGUUUACAAUCUUGCAUACGAAAUCGUUCAAGAACCUUAUGUAUAUAUGUUUCUUGCGAAAGAUAUAACGAUCUCUUCGAACGAUCUCUUGAAAUCUUAACUCCAAGAAUGUAUGCAACCUUACCCAUAUCUUUCAUCUCAAAGUUGGAAGAUAACCAACUCUUGACAGUAUUAACAAACUCCAUAUUGUUUCCGGUAAUUAGUAUAUCAUCAACAUAUAAUGAUACGAUCACAAAUUGAUCUUUGGAUCUUUUGAUAUAUACACAAUGAUCCUCGUCAAUCAUUGUAAAAUCAUAUGCCAUUAUGGCAUUAUGAAAACGUAUAUAUCAUUGUCGUGACGACUGCUUAAGGCCAUAUAUCGAUCUCAAAAGUCGACAUACCUUUCCUUUUUGGCCUUUCACUAUGAAACCAGCAGGUUGUUCCAUAUAUAUUUCUUCCUCUAAUUCUCCAUUGAGGAAAGCAGUCUUUACAUCCAUCUUAUGUAACUCAAGAUCCAUACUAGCCACUAUUGCUAGAAUAAUGCGAAUUGAGGUAAAUCUUACUACAGGAGAAAAUGUAUCUUCAUAAUCAAUUCCUUCCUGUUGAUUAUACCCCUUCGCCACAAGGCGAGCCUUAUGCAUUUCUAUCGAGCCAUCAGCCUUUCACUUUAUUUUGAAAACUCACUUGUUCCCAAUAGCUUUGUGUCCUUUUGGAAGAUCAACCAGUUCCCAGACUUGGUUUGAUUUCAUUGACUCCAUUUCCUCUUCCAUUGCAUGAAUCCAUUUUUCCUUACUAGGGCAAUUCAGAGCCUCAUUAAUAUUUCUUGGCUCAUCCUCAUCUUGUGGAGCAACCAUAAAAGUUUCCCAUUCAAUGUCAAAACGUCGACGGGGAACACUUUGGCGACUUGUUCGCCGUAUGAGAGAUUGUACACUUAGCACAUCAUUCCCCAUUAUGCUCCCACUAGGAUUAGAUAAUGAUGACGUCGUCUCAUCAUGUGGUUGCAAUUGAGAAUGAGUUGAAUUCAAUUCACCACUUCUCAUAUUACUCCCACUUGGACGAACUCCACUAAUAUCAUUAUCUUUAUCCAAGGUUUCAAAUAGGGAGUAAUCCUCACCUAUUUCGCCCUUCUUAGGAAAUUCAUCCACUAAGAAUGUGACAUCCCGUGAUUCAAAUUCAGUUAUACUCCCACUUUCCUGCUCACCUAUGAACACAUACCCUUUCGAGUGUUCUGAGUAUCUCAUGAAAAUACUUUUAUUUCCUUUGGGACCCAAUUUCCCAAACUUGUGAGAGGACUCAUGAGUAUAGGUAGCACAACCCUAUAGCUUAAGAAAACUUAAGUCCGGUCUUCUACCUGUCCAUAACUCAUAUAGAGUGGAAAUAACUGAUUUGGAAGGCACCAAGUUAAGUAUAUAGGCGGCAGUUAACAACGCAUCACUCCAAAAAGUGAUAGGUAAGUUAGCAUGCGCCAUCAUGGACCUAACCAUUUCCAAUAGGGUUCUGUUUCUUCUUUCUGCAACACCACUUUGUUGAGGAGUAUAUGGAAUAGACAACUGUCUUUCUAUUCCUUUUUCAUCACAUAAUUUUCUGAACUCAUCAGAUAAAUAUUCUCGACCUCGAUCAGAUCUCAAUGUUUUUAUUUUCUUGUCUAAUUGAUUUUCUACCAAGUUCAUAAACCUUUUGAAACAACUUAAUGCUUCAUAUUUAUGAGAAAUAAAAUAGACAUAUCCAAAUCGAGUAUAAUCAUCUAUAAAAGUGAUGAAAUAAACAGCCACAUGCCUUCUUCUCACAUUCAUUGAACCAUAGACGUUAGAAUGGAUUAAAUGCAGAGGAAAUUCAGCUCUUUUAUCUUUUCUAUAUGGUUUCCUUAUCGUUUUCCCUACUAGGCAAUGCUUACAUAUGGGCAAAUCGACUUUUUCAAUGCUGCCCAACAAGCCCUCUUUGGCUAGUCUAUUCAUACAUUGUUGGCCAAUAUGACCAAGUCUAGCAUGCCACAUAAUCACAUCAUUAUCAUAUGAAGUAGAAGACGUGAAAAGGGAAAAAAAAAAUAUUGACAUCACCACAGUCAACAUUUAAUACAAUAAAACCAUCCAGAAAGUGACCACAAUCAUAGUAGUUUGUAUCUAAAUACAAAUCUACACGGCUAUUAUGGAAGUUCACACUAAAACCAAGCUUAACCAACAUAAAAAAAAAUAGACACUUAAAUUUCGACGAAUCUCCGGAGCAUAUAGGAACAAAGUGCGUCCACCACGCAUGUUCAGUUGGCAGGUGCCAAUUCCUUUACUUAAGCUCUGGAGUUGUUUCCCACAUAGAUACACUUAGUUCUAGUCGGUAUCGUCGGAAUUCCACGAAGGAUUCUCUAUCCUUCGCUACAUGGUCUGUUGCUUCUGAAUCUAUAGUCCACAAAGGAUUGGAUUCAGCCAAUAAUGUAGAACUUGACACAUAAGCAAAGUUUUCAAAUGUACAAGAGGUGUUUACCUUUUUCGGCUCACAACAGUUGCGAGCAUAGUGACCUUUCUUGUCACAAUUGUAACACCUCACCCUUGACAUUUUCUUCACUUGAGGACGUUUUCCUCUCUUGUGUUGGUCAACUCUUAAUUUCUUGCAAUAAGGACUUGAUCCUUUGCAUUCCCACAUAUUGAACGAAUCAAUACGCUUGCGCUUAGAGCUCAAAGCCCUUUCUGAGCUAGAACCAGCAUUGCAAAUGUCUAUUUUCGGCUCAAAUGCCGUUAGGCGGUCCUCUGCCAGCUCAAGGCGGCGCACGGCACCCUCAAGAUCUUCCAUAACAUGGUCAAGAGCUUCUAGUGCUUCUUGCUUUUCCAGCAUAUAUUGAAUCUUCAUAUUCAAUAUUUCACAAUUGUUGCCGUUCAUAUCAGCAAUUACGUUCUUAGUUGCUGAAACCAUCGAUCUGAACACAUCAGACAUAUAUGCACGAAUAAUUAAUGCCUAUCAUUUAUGCAUCCACUUUGCACAGACCCAUUAUAUCAAUGAACAAUUUCAAGUAAGGUUUCAGAAUCAAAAUGUCACUAUGUUUCCAAUCAUCCUCCAAAAAUCCUAACUCAAAAUUAUUAUUAAUAUAAUUGUCUUAUGCAAAAUAAAUUCUAUGAAGUUACAAAAACUUCUAUGAACUACCCACAGUAGUCAACAAUAACAAAAAGCAAAUAAUAUUCGACAUCCAAAAGAAUAACAAUGUUUUCACAUAAUACAACUAUACAUUACACUAAGCAAUAUAUACAGAGGAAAAAUAUCAACAUAGAAAGAGAUAUUCACAUCAAAAACAUCUCAAACUAAUCUAAGAAAUAAAUAAGGAAUGUCUCUUCUAAUCUAUCAGUCAAAAUAUCUGAAAAAUUUGAAGGCACAUUUGCCAACCAUGGAAAAACUUUUGGAGAGCUUUCAUGUCGCCUCCAAGGCGCAUUCACUCUGCGUCAUGUGGCGCUCAAUCUAAGGGUUGAAGUUUUAGUCAACUCAAUACUAUAAUACUCUCUAACAAAAGCUACCACUAGCCUUCCAUAACCUGGGACCACGUUGACCUCCCAUAGCCGAUCUAACACUGCUUGCCAUUCAGGUGGAAGAGUGUUCAUCAAAGCUGGAACCUUUUCAAAAUCCGGCAUAAGAUAACCAUUUCAGAUGAUUUCCUGUAUCAUCUGAUUGACCCUAACCACAUGUGAUACUAAAUCACCAUCAUGCCACCGAUAAUUAGCUAACUCUAUCAUCAGCCUUUUAAGUCUUGCAUUUCCCUCGUCCGUUCUCGGGAUUGCAGGUAUCCUUGCAUAACGCACCAUAGUUCCUGCAACAAAUGCAGAACUAAAAAUGGAGUACUUAUAAUCCAUAAUGUACAUAAGGGAAAAUACAUAAUUUUCCAUGAUUCAUGCAGCAAAUGCAGAAUAAACAAUGGAUUACUUAUAACUCACAUAGGCAUGAUUGAAAAAGAAACAAAUUCUUUUUUUUUUUUUUUGGGGUCAACGGUCCACGGUCGACGGUCGACGGUCGCCGGGUCAACGGGCGGCGGGUCGGGUUGGUUGGACCGGUCGGGACUGUCGGACCGGUCGGACCGGUCGGGACGGUCGGACAAGUCGGGCCGGGUCGGACGAACCGACCGGCACGUGCCGCAUGCGUGCGCGGGCUGACGUCACGCAGACGUGAGCCGGCAUGUGCGUGGCAUGCGCCAGGCUUCCGCUCAUGUCGGGUCGGGUCGGGUCGUCGGCCGGUAAUCGACCGGCCAAUGGUCGUCGACGAUGACGUCAUCGGUGACGUCAGCACGCGUCGGUUCGCCGACCGGCGCGUGCCGGUUCGCCGGCCGGUGGCGCGCACGUGCCGGUUCGCCGACCGGCGCGUGUGGCGCACGCGCUAGCCGAGCCAGUGCUUUAGGCGCGUGGCACCCACGCGCAACGGCUUCUGGUUGCGCGUGUGGGCGCGUCCAGCGUCUCCCAGCGACGCACGACCCGUCGAUGGACUCGUCUCGACGAGCUCUUUCAUCCUAUGUUUUCAGAAAUCGAUUUCGACUUACAGAAACUCAAAAAAAUGGACGAACAGUGCUUGGGUGUCGGGAUUUCUCGCCCCGAUCCGUGUCAGCCGAAUAUUUUCGCGAAAAAUCAAUCAAAAAACAUCAAAGGGAUCGGGAAAACAUGAACUAGGGCUCUGAUACCAAUGUUAGGAAUAACGGAUCCCCAAAAACUGGAUUCGACACUAAAUCGAACCCCUAAAACGAAUGCGGAAGACAAGCCCGGGAAAAUAACACGUAUCACCGAUCCUAAAGCACACCAAGGAUUCGAGCGUACCUUGUUAGCCACAGAUUAAACACCAACGCCGAUAAGAGGAAGAGAAUUCGGUCCUGUUCGAUCCGAUGACGUCAAUUUGCCUUGAAGGGAAAACGGGGUCGCCUUUAGCGUUUUCUUUAUUUUGGAGGGAGAGAGGGAGAGAAUACGUACGCUACUUUUUUUUGCCAAAAGGUGCGUUCUCCCUCUCUCUCUCUCAUCCCUUUUAUACCUCCCUCCAUCCACGGGCCCUAUUCCUGUGGGCCGGGCUUUUAGGCCCAACAUGGGCAGACAGACCUUAAGCCUAUCACUAAUAAAACUAUCAAAGCUGAUAAGAGUUAAGAAAGAGAAUUGGGAUAAGACCCACGAAGGAAUUCUCACCAUAGAAUCUAGGUUGAGUUCCUUAAAAAAUGCAGUCCAUUAAAUCAGAUAAAAAUAUAUAAGAAUACGGGACAGGUAGAGUUUAAUUUUCGGGACUAGGCGGUAAUUCGUCGAUAUUUUUUUUAUAUAUUGAUGAAUUGACCAAGCAAGUAUAUCAGCUCUAAUUAAUGAACAAAGUGUUAGUAAGCUUUUGCCCAAAUAACAAAUUAGGUGUCAAUGGUCAAGUUGCCUAAUUUUGUAUUCCAUUUCAAUCCAUCUUAUCUAUUGCAGCCUAGUAUAUUACUUAGAAAGGUCAGACUCAUCAUAGCUGAAAAAUCCUUACCCGCUAUAAUUUACCUCAAAUAAAUUUUCAUUUUAUCUCGAAUCACGUUGUUUUAAUACUAAGACACAAGAACACACCAAAAUUUGCAGUCAGUGAAUUCAAAUUUACGAGUUUUAUGCUUGCAGAUUCAGUCACCGGAAUCGAUACGAUGUUGUUGUAUAUAACUUGGCGGAUGAAAUGAUUAAGCUAUACUUUGGGAAAGUAUUGCGAAAGCUCUAGAAAUACGAACUGUUGGGACGGUGCAAUACAAAUUAGAUACCUUUAUUUGGAAAUUUACAGAAAGAAAAAGAGCUCACAAUCCGAGCUCGUUAACAAAUCCCAGUAGAUGACGAUGAUUUUGGUAGAUCUAGGCUCUAACAUUCAUCGGCAGUAUUGCGCAUGCAUGUUAAAAACCAAUAAGGAAGUUUUAACAUUAUAUUUAGUCUUUUUCAAUGAAGUCGUUUGGGACAGAAGUUGGGGCGUCACGACCCAGCACUAGUCACCAGUGAGCCAAGUUCAUCUACGGACAGGCCGAUUGUGAUUACCUUACCAAUGUUGCUAGUCGAGGUAGAAGUAAACUCCAAACAUUUACUUCCUAUUUCGAAGAGAAAAUCAUUCUUUUACACUAGAAGUUCUGAUUUUUUUUCUUCACAAGUCACAAAAUCUGCGCUUCGCAUAGGCAUACCUGGAUAUAAAUGUUUUAUCUGCAUAUAUUGGUAUUUUUACAAGUUACCUUUAUCCGUGUUAGCAUGUAAGCGUAGUUACUUAAAAUCUCGACAACGUUGGUACUUGUGUUAUUUUUCCCAAUGUGUUGGGUCUAUAUCAAUGCAUAAAUACUAUUAAAAAAAAAAAACACUUACGACUUACGAUCCUUAAAAACCGAGCUUCUGAAGGAAGAAAUUGAAUCUAGUUCUUCAAGAUACAAGUCAGCAACACACACCUAUAUCCAGCACAUAUUGAGAAGCAAUUCUCCAUGAAAACAAGCUUGAAUCAAGCUGGAACUUGUUGAUUCUCACCUCAAUUGAUGAACUAAUUCGUCAUACCAAAAGCAUCAUCUUCUUGCAUAAACAUGACAAAUCAAGCUUCAUCUCCAUGGAAACCCCAAAAUCAUCUUCUCGAUUUGUCCCUCUUUACUCCGUCCCCUUCUUUCUAUUUUUAUUUUUCCUUUUUCUUCUCUCUCCCUUGUCUUGCUUGUCUCCACUACAACAAGGAGACCCAAUUAGAUUAGCCACCUUAAUGAAUCAGUAAAUCCAAUUAACUAUCCAGGUGCCCAAGAUAGACUUUAAAACCAAGAUAUAAUGGACUAACGUAUUUAGAUGCUUCAUUCGCCACUUUCUAGAAAUCAAAGAAACCGUGUAAAAUUGUUAUUCAUUAUUCAAUUUAUGGAUCCACUUUUAUUUCUUGAGCAUUUACAUAAUUUACGUAAAUAUGAGGCACUUUUCAAAUGUUCGCUAAACAUUAUAUUUACAUGGAACCACGAAAUCAACCGGUCUUAUCCCAAGUUGCAAAAAUAUUCCUUAUUGUCAUAACCUCAUAAUGUCUCAUAUGAAUGUCCACAUGUCACUAGGUGUCAAAAUUUCAGCCUACAAACACUAUUAAUGAGUUACCCUCAAUGUUGAGCAAACAAAUUAUCGACGAACAAGUAAUUGCCCACCUCUUCUUGGUCGGCCACUUUAUAGGAAUCAAAGAAAGCAUAUAACAGCAGUAUUAGUUAUUAAUUUAUAAAUACACUUCUAAUUCUCGGUCACUUUUUUUAUUUGUAUAAAUAUGAGGCACUUUCCGAGAUUCAAGAGAUGACUAUCAUGACGUAGCACUUUUUCCAAUGUGGCAUUUAAUUAUAGGUGUAAGCGAUAAAGACCGAAAGCCCAAAUUGGACCGGCUAGAAUAGGCCCCCAUGGGAUUUCGGGCUCCCUCUUUUUUCAGGCCAGUCCGAGCCUUCAAGCUUGAGAUGCUCAAGCCUAAAAUGGCCCAUCUCCAAAUUAAUUUUUUAACAAUAGACUAUGCAAUAUAGGUAUAAAAUCUAAAAACUUUAGAAAGUUUGUUAUUUAUGUUCAAAAUAGUUUAAUAAAGUCAUGAACGAGUUCAAAAUAGUUAGAUAAUAAAGUGAUUUUUUAGGCAAAAAAUAUAUUUAUUUAUUUAUUUUAAGUCCAGAAACAGAAAAAUUUUGGCUAGGCCUGAGGGGAUGUUUGAGAGGACAUUUGUUACAACAUUGAAAAGAAAAAUAACAAUAUAAGAAGUUAAAUUUUGUUUAAUUGAUCCUACCCUUUUAUGUUUAAUUCCCAUUUUAAUAUAAUCUUUAGAUUGAUUACUGACUUCACACCUUUUUUAUGAUAUGGCCAAGCCAUGCAGCCACCGUGUCAUUUAGUAAGAAAUUUACAUGUAACAUUACUCUUGAAAUACUUGUCUGACUAUGCCCACUGAAACAUUGCAUUUCUAGACACUUGACAAGUUGGGGCAACAUUUUAAAAUGCAAUGGGUGUUCAUGCCAAUCUGGUGCAUCAUAGUUCUCAACUGGGGUGGUUAAUUUUCACGUGAGACUAAUGGACAUACUCCCCUAGUGAUCGUAUUGGCCAAGAACUCUUGAAUUUUCUUGAUUGGAAUAUUUCUCAUAAUUAGGUUCAAUAGUCUCUUAAAAUUGUUAAUUAUCCUAGAGAUUUCACCGCAAAAGCCUUUUUUUAUGCAUCGUUUACAAAAGCUCUUGAAGAAGAAUCCACUCCAAUGGAAAAGAGAGCAUACCGGUGCAGUUGUGGUGCUAAAAGAGAAAUUGAUGCAUCUUCCCCCACUGUCAGUUCCUUUUAAUGGCAAGCGAAUCUUGUGAAUUGAUGAUAGUGAAAAGUUUUGGACAGUAAUUUUGCUUGAAGAAGUCAAGGAAAGAGAUACAUCUAUGAACAAAAGAGCGGACGGUUUUCACCUGUUGAACUUCACUACCACUCUACAUUCAAAGAAACUUUAGCCGUCAAAUAUGAAAUAAAGGAAUUCGAAUUCAAUAUGAUUGGUUAUCAUUUCUCUAUCAAAUAUAUAUAUAUAUAUAUAUAUAUAUAUAUAUAUAUAUAUCUGUCCUUUCCCCAUCCAAAAUGAAGUUUAAAGCCAAACUAUUUUCUCAUCCUCAACUUAUUUGAUGCGUAGAAUAGUUUUCCAAAUAUUCUUUUGAAACCAAACCCAUUAAAUGAGAGAAGAACCUCCUCGUAAAUCUUCUCUGAAGACCCAAAGACUUCUCAUCCUUUUACAUGUUCACUUUUGACCGAUUGUGAAUUGAUAGCAUAAGGGAAGGGUGAAAAGAGCCCCAUCAGGGUGAUAUGCCCAAUGUCCUCCUUGAAAACCACAAUACUUUCCUCGUCAGACAAUAUUUUUCUACAAGUCAAGGAAAGAGAUACGUCUAUGAACAAAAGAGCAGACGGUUUUCACCUGCUAAACUUCACUGCCACUCUACAUUCAAAGAAACUUUAGCCAUCAAAUAUGAAAUAAAGAAAUUCGAAUUCAAUAUGAUUGGUUAUCAUUUCUCUAUCAAAAAAAAAAAAAUUGUCCUUUCCCCAUCCAAAAUGAAGUUUAAAGCCAAACUAGUUUCUCAUCCUCAACUUAUUUGAUUGGUAGAAUAGUUUUCCAAAUAUUCUUUUGAAACCAAACCCAUUAAAGGAGAGAAGAACCUCCUUGUAAAUCUUCUCUGAAGACCCAAAGACUUCUCAUCCUUUUACAUGUUCACUUUUGACCGAUUGUGAAUUGAUAGCGUAAGGGAAGGGUGAAAAGAGCCACAUUAGGGUGAUAUGCCCAAUGUCCUCCUUGAAAACCACAAUAUGUUCCUCGUCAGACAACAUUUUUCUACAAGUCAAGGAAAGAGAUACAUCUAUGACAAAAGAGCGGACGGUUUUCACCUGCUGAACUUCACUACCACUCUACAUUCAAAGAAACUUUAGCCGUCAAAUAUGAAAUAAAGGAAUUUGAAUUCAAUAUGAUUGGUUAUCAUUUCUCUGUCAAAAAGAAAAAAAAAUCUAUCCCUUCCCCAUCCAAAAUAAAGUUUAAAGCCAAACUAGUUUCUCAUCCUCAACUUAUUUGAUGGGUAGAAUAGUUUUCCAAAUAUUCUUUUGAAACCAAACCCAUUAAAGGAGAGAAGAACCUCCUUGUAAAUCUUCUCUGAAGACCCAAAGACUUUUCAUCCUUUUACGUGUUCACUUUUGACCGAUUGUGAAUUGAUAGCGUAAGGGAAGGGUGAAAAGAGCCCCAUUAGGGUGAUAUGCCCAAUGUCCUCCUUGAAAACCACAAUACUUUCCUCGUCAGACAACAUUUUUCUACAAGUCAAGGAAAGAGAUACAUCUAUGAACAAAAGAGCGGACGGUUUUCACCUGCUGACUUUCACUACCACUUUACAUUCAAAGAAACUUUAGCCGUCAAAUAUGAAAUAAAGUAAUUUGAAUUCAAUAUGAUUGGUUAUCAUUUCUCUGUCAAAAAAAAAAAAAUCUAUCCGUUCCCCAUCCAAAAUGAAGUUUAAAGCCAAACUAGUUUCUCAUCCUCAACUUAUUUGAUGGGUAGAAUAGUUUUCCAAAUAUUCUUUUGAAACCAAACCCAUUAAAGGAGAGAAGAACCUCCUUGUAAAUCUUCUCUGAAGACCCAAAGACUUCUCAUCCUUUUACAUGUUCACUUUUGACGGAUUGUGAAUUGAUAGUGUAAGGGAAGGGUGAAAAGAGCCCCAUCAGCGUGAUAUGCCCAAUGUCUUCCUUGAAAAUCACAAUACUUUCCUCGUCAUACGACAUUUUUCUACAUGUGAUAAUAAUAAAUGCUAAACAUAUUGUAACUGUGAAUGCAUUGAAAAUUUGGGCCUCCUUCCUUCAUUGGAAAUCUGGCUUCUUCACAAAUAGAGUGUUUGUAGAUAGCUUGUAGCUAGAAUUUUUGUAGUACAUAACACCUUGUAAGGAGCACUUCUAUCUAAUUUUUCCCCUAAUAAAUACAAUCUCAUAAACUUGUCCCUUGAAGAGGAUAUUUGUACUUUGCAAGUAUAGCCAGGCAUGUUUUCAAUUGAAUGAGAUCAAUUGAAUACACUAUAUCUCAUAAUGAGCUAGGGCAGCAAUGACAAAAAUAACAUAAAAUGCAGUUGAUGGAAUGUUUAGUCUUCAUCUCCAUGGACUUCUCAAUCCCUCCCAUAAUUGACGGAAAACAUGAGGCACCAAUUCGUCCAGUCUUUGACCUUCAGUUUGUCAAUUUGUCCUUUUUUGGAUUUUGUCCUCCCUUUCUUUUCUUUUUUUAUCACCUUAAAUAUUAGUGUACAAAACCACAUAGCAAACUACGAGUGGAUAAUAAAUCAUAUUUAAUGCAUCUUCCGUCGUUGCCUGAUCUUUAUGAUGGCAAGCGAAUCUUGCGAAAUUGAUGAUAGUGAAAAGCAUUGGACAAUAAUUUUGCUCGAAAAAGUCAAGGAAAGAGAUACAUCUGUGAACAUAAGAGCAGAGGGUUUUCACUUGCCGAACUUCACUACCACUCAACGUUCAAAGAACAUUAGCCUUCAAAUAUGAAAUAAAGGAAUUCGAGUUCAAUAUAAUUGGUUAACAUUUCUUUGCCUGAAAAAAAAAAGAAGAAGAAAAAGGCCAUCCUUUCCCCAUCCCAAAUGAAGUUUAAACCCAAAUUAGUUUCUUAUCCUCAACUUGUUUGAUGGUUAGAAUGGUUUUCAAAGUACUCUUUUGAAAUCAAACACAUUAAAGAAGAAAAAACAUCUUCAUAUAUCUUCUUUCAAGAACCAAAGACUUCUCAUCCUUUUAUAGGUUCGCUUUUGACCAAUUGCAAAUUAGUAUCGAGAGGGAAGGGUGAAAAUAACUCCAUUGGAGAGAUUAGCCCUAUGUCCUUAUUGAAAUCCAGAAUACUUUCCUUGUUAGACAACAUUUUUCUACAUGUAAUAACAAUAAACACUAAACAUAUUGUAAAUGUAAAUGCAUUGAAAAUCUGGGCCUCCUUCCUUCAUUAGGACUUUGGCUCCUGCACAAUAGUACCGUGUUUGUAGAUAGAUUGUAACUAGAAUUUGGCUAGUACAUAACACCUUGUAAGGAGUAGUUCUAUCUUAAUUUUUCCCUAAUAUAUAGAAUCUCAUGAACUUGUCGCUUGAAGAGAAUAUUUGUACUUUGCAAGUAUAGCUGGGCGUGUUUUCAAUUGAAUACAUUGGAUGUGAUAAUGAGCUAGGGCUAGCAACAAAAAGAACAUGAUAAAACACAUUUGAUGGAACAUGAGGCACCAAUUCAUGAGGAGUUAAGAUAUAUGAAAGUUAUGACAUUCAAGUGGUCGAAAAAAAGUUUAUGACACUAAAGUGAUCGUCAUACCAAAGUUUUGGUACUUAUAAUGUUCUUUCCCAACAAAGUUUGUUAAAAAGGGAAAAGAGAGGGGCAACUUUAAUAAAAUGAGAUAUAGUUUUCUAUUCCCUUGUCAUUCCUUCUCAAGAUUACAUGAAAGUCCUCUCAAGCAUUAUUACAAGCUGCCAUUGAAUUUUUGCUGGAGAAUCGUCGAAGCUAAUCAAAUAGUUUUUAACUUGUCAUAACAAAAUAUAUUGUAAUUAUACAUUUCUCACAUUGAUCUUCAUUAUUUCACCCACAGUUAUUUUAUUUUUAUUAAUUCGAUUUCACUAGAGUCAAAAUUCUCGCUAAAAUAAGAUCCAUGAAGAUGGAGAUUUGUCAAUGUAACCUCCUGAGAUUAAUUUCAUUUGACUUUUGUAUGCUUAAUAGAUUGUUGGACCCCUUCUAUCAUUUGGUAGUUGCAUGUAGAUCUUCUUGAAAACUAAAAUUUGUUUGAUCAUCCUUAUAAAGUUCGAAUAUGUUCAAUUCCUUUAUGGCCCCUUUACUUCUUGUGCUUGCAUUCAAAAGAUGUUCAGAGCAUACUUCAGUGUCAGCUUGAGACGAACUCGAGAGGAGAUCUGUUACAACAUUGGAAAGAAAGAUAAACAUAAUGAGAAGCUAAUUUCUUAUACUUGAUCUUACCCCGUUUAUUUCUUUUUUCCCUUUUUCACAAUCUUUAGUUUCCUCUCUCACAAUCUCUUCCACAUCAUCCUUAUCUUAAAUGGAGUCCAAAAAUUAAGUUACAUACUGGUGAAGCAAAUUGACCUCAAAUAAGAUAUUUCAGAUCUAAUUCAUAUUUAUGUUUUUGAAAAGGUUUGAUCAUAAUAAGUGCGACAUUUUAAAACUAAGCUAUAUUGUCACGAAAAGUGAUUUUUUGCAGAUUUUGUGAAGAUUAUUCUGAACAACUUAUCUUGAACCAAAAUAGAAGAAAUGAACAAGUAACACUAUUUAAUAGUCGCUAAAGUAGCAUGGGCAUAAUUUGAGAGGGGACACAUUGAAUACGCAUUUGAUGGAAUGUUCGGUGAUCGUCUCAAUGUGCUUGUCAGUCCUCACGUAAUUGAUGGGUUACUAAUUGACUAAACAAGUUCAUCACUGUUUAAUAAAAAGUGAUAGGAUAUGAUGGAGAAAAGCCACUUUUCUGUAAUUUUUUUGAAAAAAUUCAAAUGUUAAUUAAAACUAUGUACAUAUAUACAUGUAUGUGUAUAUAUAUGUAUAUAUGUUAGGGCAACAUUUUAAAAUGCACUGGAUUCAUGUCAAUCUAAUGCAUCAUAGUUCUCAACUGGGGUUGUUAAAUUCAAUGUGAGAUUUACAUAAUCUAAAUUUAAUUAGACUCAUAUGAGUUCAAUGGACAUAUUACCAUAGUGGUCCUAUUGGCCAAGAAGUCUGAGAGUUUCUUGAUUAGAAUAUUUCUCAUAGGGAAGUUCAACAAUUUCUUAGGAUUGUCAAUCAUCUUAGAGAUUCCGUACCAAAAGCCUCUAAAUUUAUGCAUGCAUUGCAAUAAGCUCUUGAAGAGGAAUCCACUCCCAUGGGAAAGAGAGCAUAUCAAUGCAAUUGAGGUGUCAAAGGAGAAGUUGUUGUAUCUUCCCCCAUUGCAAGUUCCUUCUGAUGGCAAGCGAAUCUUGGGAUCUGAUGAUAGUGAAAAGUAUUGGAUUGUAGUUCUGCUUGAAGAAAUUGAUGAAAGAGAUAUAUCUGUGAACAUAAGAGGAAACGGUUUUCACCCGCCGAACUUCACUACCACUCUAUAUUGAAAGGAACCUUAGCCAUUAAUUAUGAAAUUAAGGAAAUAAAAUUCCAUCUUAUUGUUUAGCAUUUCUUUGUCAAAAUAAGAAGUCAUCCUUUCCCCAUAUGAUGAAGUUUAAAGCCAAAAUAGUUUCUUAUCCUCAAUUUGUUCGAUGGUUAUUAUGAUUUUCAAAACACUCUUUUGAAAUCAAACACAUUAAAGUAGAGAAGAACAUCCUUGUAGAUCUUCUUUCAAGACACAAAGACUUCUCAUCCUUGCACAUAUUCACAUUUGACUGAUCGUGAAUAAGUACCGUGAAGGAAGGGUGAAACGAACUCCAUGAGGGUGAUAUGCCCAAUGUCCUCCUUGAAAACCACGAUACUUUCCUCAUUUGAUGACAUUUUCUACAUGUAAUAAUAGUAGAUGCUAAACAUAUUGUAAGUGUGAAUGCAUUGAAAAUUUGGGCCUCCUUCCUUCGUUGGAACUUUGGCUUCUUCACAGUAGUAGCGUGUUUGUAGGUAGAUUGUAGCUAGAAUUUCGGUAGUACAUAACACCUUGUAAGGAGCACUUUCUAUCUGAAAUUUUUCCCCUAAUAAAUAAAAUCUCGUGAACUUGCCGUUUCAAGAGAAUAUUUGUGAUUUGUAAGUAUAGUCGGGCGUGUUUUCAAUUGAAUGAGAUCGAUUGAAGACACUGGAUAUAAUAAUGAGUUGGGGCCCAACAAGAAGAGCAUAAUAAAAUGCAUUUGAUGGAAUGUUCAGUCUUCGUCUCCUUGGACUUCUCAAUCCUCCCGUAGUUGACAGGGAACAUGAAGCACUAAUUUGUCCUUUAUUUGGUUUUGUCCUCCCUUUCUUCUUUGUUGUUACUCUCAACUUUUUUAUGGUGUUUCCCAUUAGAUGAUGCUAUGCUAUAUGUUAAUAUUAGUAUACUAAACCGCACAGCAGACUAUGAGUGUACUAUAAGUCAUAUUCGAUAACUAAUAACAAUAUGUCAUGUCAAAUUCAUAAAACAAUCUUAGCAUCGACAUUUUUUUUUUUAUCGUAAAAUUGAAAGCUAGCAAGACACUAAAAUAAGAGAAGCACUACAUGUACUGAGACUUUACUUGAGUUUCUCAGUAAAUGAAAUGGUGCACUGUGCUGUACAGCAUGUUGUCAAAUAAGAGUGGAAUCGACGUUAGUUUGUAAAAAGGGGAAAAGUGAUAAAUGGGGCAAGUUCAAUUAAAGGAAAUUUUGUGGCAAAAAUAUUAAAGGAAAUUUUGCCAGCCUUCUAAUAUUCAGUGCAAUCUGUAAUAUGCUUUGUUGGCUAUACUUCUUGGCCAUACUGAUAAUUAAAAUGCCUGUAUAACCCUUAACAUCAGCUAUAUGAGGCGAGGUGACGUUUGAAUAAAAGGCAAAGUCGGAAGAAGGGAAUUAUUCCCAAACCUCCGCUCUGUUCUCCUUGAUUUCUUACCGAUCUUUCUCUUCUAGGUCUAGUGACAUUGGAAGGAUAAAAUUGCAAUUUUGAUCAUAUAAGAUGAGUUGGUUCGACAAGUCUGCUCUCUAUUUGUUAUUCAAAUCCUACGGAUGAGAAAGCUUUUCCAAGGCCAUGAAGCCUUUGGUUGAAGGCUAAUGAUAUUUUGGAGACCAUCAAGCAGUUUCAUUUAAGGACUAAAAGAGGAAAGGGCAUGCGUGCUAGGAUAACAUACAUGUCCCAAAUUUCAUUAGUCUUCCUCUUGUUUUAUGGUUAUAUGCAUUGUUAGCUUAUUCCAUUUCUCUUUUUUUUUUUCCUAUGGGGUAAUUGUCGUCAAUUACAUGUCAUUUCUGUUGAAAUAAGUUACAUGUCCCUAUCCUAUUCCUCUUCCCAAUCGUUAUUAAAUUGAUGGGAAAUAUGAGGCACCGGUUAUUAAAUUAUGGCUUGAGUUUGAACUAGGUACGAGAUCCAACUCAUUUAAAGGAUUCUGAUUUCAAAAUAUGGUGUUCCUUUUUAAUCAGUAUCAUAUUUUGAUUUGUUGGGCGGUGCUACUUAACUAUUAAAUGUAUUUAAGGUUUGGUUCUGUUGAAGAUAAAUAUCCAAGUUUAACCGAGGGAGCAAACAUUAGUCGGACGCCACUCAACGCGUACAGUUUUAGGCCUUUUCUAAUAUCCUGAAGAAGACGUACUGCUGAAGUCUCUAUUUUAUAUCCCCGCGCGAGAGGACUCUCUCUUUAGCGAAGAAAAGAAGGGGACGCACCAGUAACGCUUUCUUUGAUCGCACGGAGUUCUACAAUCGGUGGAUUUUGUGACGCGAGUGCAUAAUGAGUCGUUCUAUUAAUAAACACUGUGAGUUUAGAUGUAAUCAACUCGUGGAAAACACUUGAACUUGCAAGUAAUUGUAACUCUAUUUUUCUCCGAUUUUUAGUGGAUUAUAGCUGCUUACUCUCCUAGCUGCAUAGAUAUCGAUUUUCGGACUGAAUCACAAAAAUCUCAAGAGUUCUUCAUUGUUUCUCAUUUAUUUUCUCUGCGAUUUCGCAUUAAUUAAUUACAAAAUUUGGUUAGUUUCCACAUUAUUUUAUAAUAAUUUAUUCAAUCUUCAGUCUUCAGUCUUCAGUCUUCAGGAGAGAGAAAGUUUACGGAACUUCCCAUGAUGGAGUUAGUCAAUAAUUGAUUUGUGCAUAGAGAGAGGAGGUUUAUAAAUUCAGCUCAGACUGAAAGUGGAUCACUGAACGAGAUGGGGAAGCACCUAUUUCUUAUUCUCAACUCUAUUCUCUUGUGGUGGUGGAGCUCAAUCACAAUCUCCAAAGCAUACUCACAAAACCAAACGGAUCGGUUCGCGUUAGCCUUCUUAAAAAACGCAAUACACAAAGACCCAUUUGGGGUCUUGAGCUCUUGGAAUGAUUCUACUCAUCAUUGUGAGUGGCAAGGUGUUUUGUGCAGCAAAAGACAUCUUGGGAGGGUCACAUCUCUGGUCCUGAGAUCACAAGGCUUGGAUGGCUUUCUAUCUCCUCAUGUAGGUAACCUCUCUUUUCUGAGGGUCAUAUUUCUGCAGAACAACAGCUUCCACGGCGAAAUCCCACCACAGAUCAGCAACUUGCUUCGGCUACAUGUUCUUAUUCUUAGUAACAACUCAUUUGGUGGGCCGAUACCCUCCAAUCUUUCCCGUUGCUUGAACCUCGAGAACCUGAAUCUCAUAGAUAACCAACUUGUGGGGAGAAUUCAUUCCGAUCUUGGUUCUUUAACAAGACUUAAACUCUUGGGCUUGUCUCGAAACAGACUUGUAGGUCCUAUUUCUCGUUCGAUUGGAAACCUCUCACUGCUACAACAGCUCUCCCUG